UUGGUCGUGCUAAGCUGCCUACUGCGACCUCUCACCGGCGCUUUCCUUCGCUGCCGAGGCCUCUGCUUCCCUCCUUCAAACUGUCUCCAUGGCCACUCGUAUCAUACCAAUCCGCUGGCUGCUUCGAUUUGACUCUGCUUCUAAGUCGCCACCGCACCAAGAGCCUUUUGGCCUUCUUCUGUUUCCAAUCUGGAUUGGGCCUCACUCCGCCUCUGUUUCUGACCCGCCCCGCACGGAGAGUCGCCUCGCUCUGCCCGCCGGCAGUCUCGCACCACCAUCUACAAGCCACUACAGGUUCAGUCGCCGUCUCGGUUUGUUUUGCGCUCAAAGCGUCUGCGAGUUACCGUCGGGCCUGGUUUUCGUAACAAGUCGCCCUCGUUGCGCCUGGUCUCCGCCUCACGCUGUCAUCUACAAACCACCGAGAACAUCGUCUUCCUCUACUGCCCGUUUCCCAGGCGCGUCAGGUCGCUCAUUGCUAUCUCUUGGAUGAGACAUGCAGUCUAGUCUGCUCCAUUAGGAUACAAGUGAAUUGCAUGGUGACCAGAUGUACGUGGAGUCAGGGAGUGCAAAAAAAAGUGGAAGCAGUAAAAUUCAGAUCAAUUGGAAAAACGACGACCGACAUGACUGGUUUGAUGUCCCAGGAAAAGAUCAGGUGCUAUCCACCUUAUUUAUUUUUUCAAUAUACUUUAAGUUCCUCCGGGAACAAUUGUCCUCCUUUUAACAUGUUUGUUCCAUGAUCAUGGCACAGACGAUAAAGAUCAUCUAUCAUCCAAAUACAUCAGGACAAUUAUUCACUGCCGAAGUGGAGUUAUAUCACGGAUAUUGAGUGCAUAGCAUCGUCAUUUUGCACAGCUGCCACGCUCAACGAAAAUGCUUACGCUACCGCCCUUGCGGUCUGGUCUACAUCAACACACCGGGCCGCACCUGUCUGCAUGAGCUAUUUAUUGUAGCGACCAGACCUCAAACAGUCUGUGCUUCUGUGCACCAGUGUCAUCCCUGGAUCAGUAAUGCUGACACGCACAGUACUUGGAGGAUUUAUAACAGAGUAGCAAUCACACACUUAUUACAUCGAGUAUCUCAAGAGAGAAAUAAGUAUGACAAAUAUGGCUUAAGGCCAACUAAAACGAUAACAGCGGAAGACUUGGAAGAUAAGUGAGUCCAUCAACUCCAACGGCAUCACUGAGUAUAAGACCACGACCUAAGGCACCUUACUCGUCGUCUGAAAAGUCUGCAACAUGAAACGUUGCAGCCCAAAAACGGGUCAGCACAUGGAAUAUGCUGGCAAUGUAACACAUAGAGGGUAAUGAACAAAAUAAUGCUAUACUGCAUGCAUAUAUGGCUGGUAGAAGGCUCUAUGGUUACAGUUUUGCGAAAAGCCAAUUUUUCCCUACUGCAAAGGAAUAAAUUUUAUUUAACUAUCAUGGUGGUUGUUAAACAUUGAGAAUGGUUGACAGCAUUCUCAAUCCCAAUUAAGUAUCGUCAUUAACCCAACAAAAUUAAUUAAAGUAACAUGAUGAGAUUCACAUGAUAAUCCAAGUACUAGAUACUCAAGAUGUCCAUAACCGGGGACACGGCUAAUCAUGAUUAGUUUAUACACUCUGCAGAGGUUUGCGCACUUUUCCCCACAAGACUCGAUCUCCUCCGUUGGGAUUCUCACACUUCAGGGUGUUUGAGAAACGGAUGACCGAGACACAGUCUUUCAGAAGUGUUAACUCUCUACUCUGGGUAGACAGUACCACCUACAACCCCUACAUCUGCUAGUCUACCUCUUCAAGAGCUCACACAACUUAAUCAACUAUGCUAGAGCUCAUAAUAGCUUGUGGCUGCACAUGGAAGUUUCUAGCAUGAAUAAUCUCAUGAUCCCUUUGAACCUGGGUGGCGGUCCAAAAGAAAAACAGGCAAUCCUGGAAUACCCAGGUACCUCAAUCCACCCAGAUGUGAGUUUUAGUUGCCACCUUAAGGUUAACCAUUAAUUAACAAUCUCACAUCUGUCAUGGUAACACUCAAACCCAAUCCACGUGUACUAGCAUAGCAUAGUAAUAUGAGCAACGUAGAAGUAACUCCCAAGGGUUUGAUAAUAAACAGGUGAUAGGUACUACCUCAACUACUUCCCAAUACCCACAAUUUAAUUAGAUCCUAAUCAUGCAAUGUUUGAGGAUUAGUCUAAUGCAAUAAAACUGGGUAGUAAAGAGGUAUGAUCAGAGUGUUACUUGCCUUGCUGAUGAUCCGUGAAACCUAGAGAUUCGAAGUAGCAAGCGGCGCACUCCGGGUACUCUAUCGCAAACAAACAAGCAUACAAUAAGCACUCAUCUAAUGCACAGGUAAAACUCAAAUAAAGAUCUAACCAGAAAGUUCAACUUAAGAACUCCGGUUUGCAAAAAGAAUCAAAUCAAACGAAGCAACGAAAGUCAAACGGCGAAAGAAACAAGCUUCGUUUACUAAUCUGGAUCUAAGUCAAAUUUUACAGUAGCAAAAACUUGUUUGAGUAGCUUAGACGGAAAGAGAAUUUCGAGACGAAACUCUAGGCGCUUGAAUCGCCCGAUUCCGAUAAACGAGCUAAAAGAUAUACCAGAACGAAAAUCAGAUCAGAAAUCGCGAUCUGGAAUAAUCGCGGAAAAACCGACGAAAAAGAAAACUGACGAACAGUUAAACGAACGGACGUUCGUUAACUGCGACUAACCGACGAACACGUUCGUUAAAAUGAACGGAUCGGCGAACGUUCACUAACUAACUAAACCGAUCUAUAAAAAAAUAAACCUAGGGUUUCGGAAAAAAAUAAACCGAACGGUUUUUUUGAAAAAAAACCGGACGGCGGACGGCGGCGGCGGCUAACCUCCGGCGAGGCUCGGGACGGGCUCCGGCGGGGUCGUAGGGGUGCGGCGAGGGGCGGCGGGGCUCGGGGAGGGGACGGGCGACGUCGNNNNNNNNNNNNNNNNNNNNNNNNNNNNNNNNNNNNNNNNNNNNNNNNNNNNNNNNNNNNNNNNNNNNNNNNNNNNNNNNNNNNNNNNNNNNNNNNNNNNNNNNNNNNNNNNNNNNNNNNNNNNNNNNNNNNNNNNNNNNNNNNNNNNNNNNNNNNNNNNNNNNNNNNNNNNNNNNNNNNNNNNNNNNNNNNNNNNNNNNNNNNNNNNNNNNNNNNNNNNNNNNNNNNNNNNNNNNNNNNNNNNNNNNNNNNNNNNNNNNNNNNNNNNNNNNNNNNNNNNNNNNNNNNNNNNNNNNNNNNNNNNNNNNNNNNNNNNNNNNNNNNNNNNNNNNNNNNNNNNNNNNNNNNNNNNNNNNNNNNNNNNNNNNNNNNNNNNNNNNNNNNNNNNNNNNNNNNNNNNNNNNNNNNNNNNNNNNNNNNNNNGGCGGGGUCGGGCGGCUCGGCUCCGGCGGCUUCGGGUCUGGGGGGAGGUGGCGGCCGGGCGGGGUACUUAUAGGUAGGGGGGUGCUGCCGUGGGGGAGGGGCCAAGGCGGCGGGAGUCGGCCUCGAGCCGGACUCGGGCGGCGGCGCAGUCUCCAGGAGGGAGAUGGCGGCGGGGUGGGCUGGGCCGCUCGGCUGGGCUUCGGCCCAGUCGGCGCUCGCGGGAUUUUUUUUAAAAUAAUUUCGCCGAACCUAAAAAAAUCGUAGAAAAAUAAAUAAAAAUCCAAAAAUGCCAAAACAAAUUUUCAUCGUCUAAUUAAAAUAAUUAGAACGAGAUGAACAUUUUCUUGGCCCAAAAAUGCAGUUUUUGAAAACGUGCAAUUUUUCUAAUGCAAAUAAAAUUGCAAAUAAAAUCCGAAUAAAAUCAAAUAUUUGAUUUUAAUAUUUUUCCUCCAAUAUUUCAAUUAUUUUGGAGAAGUCAUAUUUUCUCCUCUCGUAUAUUUUAAUAUGAAAUAUUUUUCGGAGAGAAAAAUAAAUUAAAACCAAAAAAAAUCCUCGUUUCAUUAUUUGAUAAAAAUCAAAUAUGAAAACCGAGAAAAAUCCCCCUCUCUCCGAGGGUCCUUGAGUUGCUUAGGAUUUUCGAGGAUUUUGCCAAAAUGCAAUAAAAUAUGCUAUGCAAUGAUGAUCUAAUGUAUAACAUUCCAAAUUGAAAAUUUGGGAUGUUACAAACCUACCCCCUUAAGAUGAAUCUCGCCCUCGAGAUUCGGGAUGGCUAGAAAAUAGGUGAGAGUGGUUCUUCCGUAGAUCUUCCUCUCGCUCCCAGGUGGCUUCGUCCUCGGUAUGGUGACUCCACUGAACUUUGCAAAACUUGAUAACCUUGCUGCGGGUGACUCGGCUGGCACACUCAAGAAUCUUAACUGGUUUCUCCUCAUAGGUCAAGUCACUAUCCAACUGAAUCGCUUCCAAUGGCACUGUAUCUCUCAGUGGUAUCUUGGCCAUCUCUGCGUGGCACUUCUUCAACUGGGAAACGUGAAAUACAUCAUGAACUCCUGACAAUCCUUCAGGCAAUUCCAGCUUGUAAGCAACUUCUCCCAUACGCUCCAAAACUUUGUAUGGUCCUACAAAACGUGGCGCUAACUUUCCUUUAACUCCAAAGCGCUUCACUCCUCUAAGUGGUGAUACUCGUAGGUAAACUCUGUCUCCGACUUCGUGAACUGUCUCCUUGCGUUUAGAAUCCGCAUAACUCUUCUGCCUGGAUUGGGCUACCUUGAGCCUAUCACGAAUCAACUUCACUUUCCAUUCAGACUCUUUAAUCAAAUCUGGUCCAAACAACUGGCGGUCUCCAACUUCGUCCCAUAACAAUGGUGUUCUACACCUCCUUCCGUAUAAAGCUUCGAAAGGGGCCAUCUUCAAACUGGUUUGAUAACUGUUGUUGUAAGAAAACUCUGCAUACGGCAAAUUGUCGUCCCAACUAGAUCCAUAAUCUAGCGCACAAGCUCUCAGCAUAUCUUCCAAAAUCUGAUUGACUCUCUCGGUCUGUCUGUCUGUCUGUGGAUGAAAGGCUGUACUGAACUCUAGCCUGGUACCCAAAGUUUCAUGUAACUGAUUCCAAAACUUUGAAGUAAACUGGGUUCCUCUAUCUGAUACAAUGGUCCUCGGAACUCCAUGCAGACAUACGAUCCUGGUCAUGUAUAUCUUUGCCAACUUAGCACUGGUGUAAGUGGUCUUCACUGGGAUGAAAUGAGCUACUUUCGUCAAACGAUCGACUACAACCCAUAUUGAGUCAUAGCCUGAACGAGUCCUGGGCAAUCCCGUGAUAAAAUCCAUGCCUAGUUUAUCCCAUUUCCAUUCGGGUAUCGGCAAUGGCUGUAGCAAUUCCGCUGGCUUCUGAUGCUCUGCCUUCACUCUCUGACAUACAUCACAAACUGCUACAUACUCCGCAAUAUCCUUCUUCAUUCCGGUCCACCAGAAAGUAUCCUUCAAAUCCAAAUACAUCUUGAUAUUUCCUGGGUGAAUCGAAUACGGUGAAUCAUGGGCCUCUUGCAAGAUCAACUUCCUGAUCUCCAGAUCAUUGGGCACAUAAACGCGGUCCUCAAACCAUAAGGUAUCGUGCUCAUCCUCGCGAAAUCCUUUGGCUUUUCCUUUGCUCAUCCUUUUCUUUAUCUCGUCAAUUUCCUUGUCUGUCUUCUGAGCUUCCCUGAUCUUUUCCAUCAAGGUAGACUGAAUCUCCAACGUUGCUAAAUAGCCUCUUGGAACUAUCUCCAAACAUAGCUCGCGAGGAUCCUUGGCUAAUAAUUUCGGUAACUCUCCGGUCAUGAGUGUGUUGACAUGGCUCUUGCGGCUUAACGCAUCUGCUACUACGUUAGCCUUCCCUGGGUGAUAAUGCAAUCUCAUAUCAUAAUCCUUAAUGAGCUCCAACCAUCUCCUUUGCCUGAGAUUCAACUCCUUCUGCGUGAAAAUGUACUUCAAACUCUUGUGAUCCGUGUACACCUCACAGUGAUUUCCGAUGAGAAAAUGUCUCCAUGUCUUCAAUGCAUGCACUACGGCUGCUAACUCCAAAUCAUGCGUGGCAUAAUUCUUCUCAUGGGGUUUAAGUUGUCGUGAAGCAUAUGAAACAACUCUUCCCUCCUGCAUUAGCACUGCUACAAGUCCUCGACGUGAAGCGUCGCAAUAUACUUCAUAAUCCUUGCGUUGAUCUGGCAGAAUCAACACUGGUGAUGUAACCAAACGUUUCUUCAACUCUUGGAAACUAGCUUCACAUUCCUCAGUCCAAUUGAAUUUGGUGUCUUUCUUCAAUAGCUCAGUCAUGGGCUUAGCAAUCCUCGAGAAAUUCUCAAUGAACCUCCGGUAGUAUCCUGCAAGUCCAAGAAAACUCCGGAUCUCUCCAACUGAUGCGGGUGAUUCCCAGUUUGUCACAGUGUCUACUUUGGUGGGGUCUACUGCUAUUCCUUCUCCGGAUAUAACAUGUCCGAGGAAUCCAACUUCCUUCAACCAAAACUCACAUUUGCUGAACUUGGCGUAUAACUGAUGUUCUCUGAGCUUCUCAAGUAGCAAACGCAAAUGUUCCUUAUGCUCCUCUUCAUUCUUGGAGUAGACUAAAAUAUCAUCAAUGAACACUACGACGAACUUAUCCAAAAACUCCAUAAACACUUUGUUCAUCAGGUUCAUGAAAUAGGCAGGUGCGUUAGUCAGACCAAAUGACAUAACGGUAUACUCAUAUAGCACAUACCUGGUGGUAAAAGCCGUCUUAGGUAUAUCCUGCUCUCGAAUCUUUAACUGAUGGUAUCCUGAUCGUAGGUCGAUCUUGGAAAAUACCUUAGCUCCUUGUACUCGGUCAAACAAAUCAUUGAUCAUCGGCAGUGGGUACUUAUUUUUGAUGGUCACUUCAUUCAAUCCACGGUAAUCAACAACCAUCCUUAACGAUCCAUCCUUCUUCUCCACUAGAAGUACGGGUGAUCCCCAAGGUGACGAACUUGGGCGAAUAUAGCCUUUAUCCAGUAACUCCUUAAUCUGCUUCUUAAUUUCCUCCAAAUCCUUAGCGGGCAUCCUGUACAGUCUCUUAGAUAUCGGCCCUGUGCCUGGCAAAAGCUCAAUCAAAAACUCAAUGUCUCUAUCCGGUGGCAUGCCUGGCAACUCUUCUGGAAAUACAUCCGGGUAAUCCUUCACCACUGGUACUUCCUCCUGUACAACUCCUGAUAAGGAAUUCACCUGAGUCCUCUUCAGCAUAUGCCGGGAUACAUACUUAAUCCUUCUUCCUUCUGGGGUGGUAAGCAAAAUCGACUUACUGGCACAAUCAAUGUUCCUUCCAUACUUCGAUAACCAAUCCAUGCCUAAUAUCACAUCCAAUCCUUGCGAUUCCAAUACUAUUAGGUCCGAGGGAAACACGUAGUUACCAAUCCUUAAUGGUAACCGAUCACACCAUAAACUAGCCAUAUACUCUGCUCCUGGCGAGGUUACUAACAUGGGCGACCUAAGGGCUUGGGUUGGCAGUUUAUACGUAUCCACAAAUCCAUUCAUACAUAUCAAGGGGAUUCAACCUCAAGAAACGGGUUAAGUGAUCAACAGGGGGUGGUGGUGGGUUGUUGUUGUUGUUGUUGCCUUGGUUCUGUACUAACACUUGCAUCAGGGCAUUCUGCUGCUGAAUUAACUGAGUGAUCUCCGGUGGGAAAACAAAUCCGGUGUCGCAUCUCGGAGGCAUCUGAUAGGUUUAGAAAAGAUGAGAAUUUAGAAUAGAAUGAGGUAUAGAGGGAAAACACUACCCAUAUGCUCAUGAGACAAACACAAACAAUAUCACUCAAUCAAUUCAAUCAAGGCAUACAAUCGAUCUAACUAUCGAUACAAAGUGCUCGGGCUAUACUAUAUACAUGGGGGAAUACUACUACUGAUUAUGGGGGUCUACUAGAUAUUUUGAUCGGUCGAAGACUCCAUGAUAUCUGCUCCAGCUUCAUCAACAAAAUCAUCUUCACUGGGGUCCGAGUCGGUGUCGUCGAUGAUGAUGUAGUUAUCCGGGCAAGUGCAAUCAUCAUCUUCUCCUCCUGGUGCUGGGUCUCCCAUGAAUACUCCGAUCUUCUUUGUCAGGUCGCCGUUCUCCUCACUAGUGCGAUGAUUUCCUCCAUAUAAUCCUCGCGUGUAGACUUGAGUUCUUCCUCCAACUCCGUGAUCUUGGCCAAUGCCUUCUUCAGAUCUAUCAUGUCUGCGCACAUUUGGUUCUCCUGGCGACGAAUGUGUUGGUUUUGCUCCUGGAUGAAAGCUGCAAUUGAUCUAUCCUUCUUGGUGCUGAUCAUCUCCCAUUGCUCAUCUCGGCGUCCACAAAUCUGAUAAAUAGUAUCCUUAAGCUCCUUGUGGUAAACUUCUCCAAUGCGUCCCAUAGUGAUGUGGGCUGCCAUGCUCUUUCCUAAACUCCAGGUUGGUGCAUCAAAGGAAAACUCUAUAGGCUCAGCGACUGGCGUAAACGUCCUUCCUGGAACUUGAACUUGAAUCUUCCAGCGCUCCUCUUCGGGUAGUGUGGCUUUGUAAGUCCCGGUGAAGCUUGGUAUUCCGAUGUUCAGGUACUUAGCGACUUCCUUCAAGUGUCGUCCAAAAGGUGUAUCUUCAUCCGGUUGCAUGAACUUGUUCCUUGCAUCCGCCAUUCCUAAAAGAGUAGAAAGUGGAGAGGAGUCAGAAAUGAGAAGAGAGUAGUGUUCUAGGGUUUAAGCUUAGUGGUCGUGUCCUACAGUCAGCGUGUGCUCUGAUACCACCUUUGUAGCGACCAGACCUCAAACAGUCUGUGCUUCUGUGCACCAGUGUCAUCCCUGGAUCAGUAAUGCUGACACGCACAAUACAAAUGGAGGAUUUAUAACAGAGUAGCAAUCACACACUUAUUACAUCGAGUAUCUCAAGAGAGAAAUAAGUAUGACAAAUAUGGCUUAAGGCCAACUAAAACGAUAACAGCGGAAGACUUGGAAGAUAAGUGAGUCCAUCAACUCCAACGGCAUCACUGAGUAUAAGACCACGACCUAAGGCACCUUACUCGUCGUCUGAAAAGUCUGCAACAUGAAACGUUGCAGCCCGAAAACGGGUCAGCACAUGGAAUGUGCUGGCAAUGUAACACAUAGAGGGUAAUGAACAAAAUAAUGCUAUACUACAUGCAUAUAUGGCCGAAUGGUUUUUUUGAAAAAAAAACGGACGGCGGACGGCGGCGGCGGCUAACCUCCGGCGAGGCUCGGGACGGGCUCCGGCGGGGUCGUAGGGGUGCGGCGAGGGGCGGCGGGGCUCGGGGAGNNNNNNNNNNNNNNNNNNNNNNNNNNNNNNNNNNNNNNNNNNNNNNNNNNNNNNNNNNNNNNNNNNNNNNNNNNNNNNNNNNNNNNNNNNNNNNNNNNNNNNNNNNNNNNNNNNNNNNNNNNNNNNNNNNNNNNNNNNNNNNNNNNNNNNNNNNNNNNNNNNNNNNNNNNNNNNNNNNNNNNNNNNNNNNNNNNNNNNNNNNNNNNNNNNNNNNNNNNNNNNNNNNNNNNNNNNNNNNNNNNNNNNNNNNNNNNNNNNNNNNNNNNNNNNNNNNNNNNNNNNNNNNNNNNNNNNNNNNNNNNNNNNNNNNNNNNNNNNNNNNNNNNNNNNNNNNNNNNNNNNNNNNNNNNNNNNNNNNNNNNNNNNNNNNNNNNNNNNNNNNNNNNNNNNNNNNNNNNNNNNNNNNNNNNNNNNNNNNNNNNNNNNNNNNNNNNNNNNNNNNNNNNNNNNNNNNNNNNNNNNNNNNNNNNNNNNNNNNNNNNNNNNNNNNNNNNNNNNNNNNNNNNNNGUGCGGCUCGGCUCCGGCGGCUUCGGGUCUGGGGGAGGUGGCGGCGGGGCGGGGUACUUAUAGGUGGGGGGGUGCUGCCGUGGGGGAGGGGGCAAGGCGGCGGGAGUCAGCCUCGAGCCGGACUCGGGCGGCGGCACAGUCUCCAGGAGGGAGACGGCGGCGGGGUGGGCUGGGCCGCUCGGCUGGGCUUCGGCCCAGUCGGCGCUCGAGGGAUUUUUUUUAAAUAAUUUCGCCGAACCUAAAGAAAAUCAUAGAAAAAUAAAUAAAAAUCCAAAAAUGCCAAAACAAAUUUUCGCCGUCUAAUUAAAAUAAUUAGAACGAGAUGAACAUUUUCUUGGCCCAAAAAUGCAGUUUUUGAAAACGUGCAAUUUUUCUAAUGCAAAUAAAAUCCGAAUAAAAUCAAAUAUUUGAUUUUAAUAUUUUUCCUCCAAUAUUUCAAUUAUUUUGGAGAAGUCAUAUUUUCUCCUCUCGUAUAUUUUAAUAUGAAAUAUUUUUCGGAGAGAAAAAUAAAUUAAAACCAAAAAAAAUCCUCGUUUCAUUAUUUGAUAAAAAUCAAAUAUGAAAAUCGCGAAAAAUCCCCAACUCUCUCCGAGGGUCCUUGAGUUGCUUAGGAUUUUCGAUGAUUUUGCCAAAAUGCAAUAAAAUAUGCUAUGCAAUGAUGAUCUAAUGUAUAACAUUCCAAAUUGAAAUUUUGGGAUGUUACAUUUAUUUAGUAUGAGCAAGUCACUACUUGGGUAGCCCGGUUUUUCUUCCAACAAAUUGGAGGCAAAUUAUCAUUCAGCCGCCGUCUGCGCUGGAUGGCUCAAUGGACAUGCGCACAAAUCGCUGCCACUACAGUUUGGUUAACUUCAAACAACCAGUUGGAAUGAACCAGUGGCCGAGUUGCUGACACGGCUCGUAAGGGAUCAUUUAUAACCCGCCACAGUUACCUCAACCUUCUGUGGAUUCACAUUGCGCUAUCAACACCAAUGAUAUGUACCUUCUGCUAUGGUCAAAGUAUGGAGAAUCUCAAGACAACUCCUUGAGUCAUCUUAAGACUCGGGGGCUACGAUCAUAUGAUUCAGCAAGUCUUGCCAGUUUCAGCAAGUUCAAAGUGCCCAAAGACGUUGAAGGGAAAGAUAACCCAGUCCCGGAGGCUACUGUUAUAUUGAUGACAAUUUAAAGGCUGUCGGGAAUAUUCCGGCUCACAAUGAUGCAUGCGGUUUAUAGUCUGGUUUAAGGGAAAUCCCGUCUCCCACACAGCGCUGAAGCCCUUAGUAUCUGGUUCAAAUCCGGUUUAAAAGGAAACUAUCUCUUGCAAAGCUCUGACACUCUCAAUAUCCGGUUCAAAAAUCUCGGUUCAAGAAGAAUUUAUCUCUUGCAAAAAGUUAUGGUUGCCGAAGAGGAUCUGUUGCCAUGAUGCGCGGUUCAAACAUGGGUAUCCUGCCUUAUUGGCUUAUCAUAUUAUAGAUCAAAUAGGGGCUUCUGCUUUAUAGAGCAAAGUUAUGAUUGCCCAUUGAUCCGGCUAUCAAGCCAAUAUUAUCAUAAGAGCACAGCUCUGGUUACUUCGGUAAUCCGGCUAUCAAGCCAAUAUAAUCAUAAGGGGCCAAAGAGAGUCUGCUGCACAGCACAGCUCAAACAUGGGUAUCCCUUGAGCACAGCUCACAAUAUCACUUGGGGGCUAUGUUCGAACCAUAGUCACACUUCUUGAUAGGCAUGAGGGCACCAGGGAAAUCACUUGGGAACUUGGUCGUAUUCGAACCAUAGCUACACCUCUUGAUAGGCUUAAAGGACACCAGGGAAAUCACUUGGGGGCUAUGGGUUCGAACCAUAGUUACACCUCUUGAUAGGCAUAAGGGCACCAGGGAAAUCACUUGGGGGCUUGCUCGUAUUCGAACCAUAGCUACACCUCUUGAUCGGCGCAAUGCCACAAUUAUGACUACUUGGGGGCUCUGGUCAUAUCCGAACCAUAGCUUAAACCCUCUUGAUCAUACACAUACAUCAUCAUAUAUUGCGUCAUACAUUGCAUCAUCAUUACACAUCAUAGCAUGUAUCAUAUGGGCACGGAUAUACCGGUUUAUAUGGCAGGAAUCGGUUUUCAAACCAGGUUAUAUUAUUCAAAUCUUUAAUAGCCAACACGGCUGGAUUUUUAUUAUGGUUAUCAAUAACCAAUAUUAUGAUUGAGGUUUUCAAAGUCGCUUCAGCGCAAUGGAUAUAAUUUAUUCUACAAUGGAAGGAAUAGUCCCAAGUCACUGCAGGCUUACGACCCGGCACUUGGGGGCUACAUUAUUCAAGUUGAGAUUACAUCAAAAAUGCAAGUCUCAUGUCGCUGCAAGCAUGCACCAUGAUACUUGGGGGCUAAUGCAAAGUCAUUGUUUGCUCACCUUAUUGAAGACCCGACUCAUCACAUCGUAAUGAACCGGCCCUUGGGGGCUACCAAUUGCUCCUGUCAACAAUUCAAGGUACAAAGCUUUUAAUCCAUUAUAUUGAAGGGUCCACUGCUCAGUUGGUAAAGCACAAGGCUCUUAACCUUGUGGACGUGGGUUCAAGCCCCAUGAUGGGGGUUACAUCAUAUGAUGUUAUUUUCAUUGAAGUAUAUAUCAAGUCCCAGCUCAAUAUUAUCUUACUGAGCCGGUCCUUUGGGGAUACACGUUGUUGUUCAAAGUUUACAUGAUUAUAUUUACAAAGUCCUUGCUCAUUAUUGCAUAAUGACCCGGCCCUUGGGGGCUACACUGGUUGAAGUUUUUAUGAGCAUCAGGUAAUUACAAGUCCCAGGUUGCUGCAAGUAUGACAACCCGGCACUUGGGGGCUACAUAUAUGGAAUACUCAGUUUAUGACUAAUGACUGGGAUGAACAAAUCGGAUUUCUUCAAGAUUGUGAUAUUUAUAUUGAAGCAAGUCUUAAGCUGUUGCUAUGCUACCUUCUUAAGACUUGGGGGCUACAAGUGAUAGGCAUAUAAGAGGUAUAUUUUCAAGCUUGAUGUUAACUACAAUUAUGACUCGGUGCCAUCAAUAUUUGUAAACCGACAAUGAUAAACCGGCAAGUUCUACAUUCUUAAACCGGCAAGUUCUGCAUUCUUAAACCGGCAAGUUCUACAUUCUUAAACCGGCAAGUUCUACAUUCUUAAACCGGCUGAAGAUCAGAUGAGUAUUUCAAAGACCAAUAUUUUUGUUAAGCAUUGGGAGCUGAGUCAAAUGAAUUAUUCUUCACAAUAUUUCUCUGUGACAAACCAAUGUCAGCAAAUUGAUUAUGAAGCUGGCCUAUUGACCCGGAUUUUCUAGAAGAAGGAAGUGACAAGGACUUAAGGAUGAUCAGGAUCAGUUUAACAUGGAUAAAUCCAAAUUAAACUGGGGGCUAAUGUCGGGGAUAUACCCUGCGGUAUGACCCGGCCGGAGUUAUAACCCCGCGGGACCUGGUAAACCGGCAGGUGUUAAGUCAGAUGAUAACCCGGCAGGUGUUAAGUCAGAUGAUAACCCGGCAGGUGUUAAGUCAGAUGAUAACCCGACAGAUGUUAGGUCAGAUCAUAAACCGGCAGGAAGUCAUAACCCGGCAGACCAUCAUAAACCGGCAGACCAUCAUAAACCGACAGACAGUCAUAACCCGGCGGACAGUGAUAACUGGUUGACAGUCAUAACCCGGCAGAUAGAGUCGCCUGGGGUUAUGAAGCCCGAGACGUUAUGAAGCCCAAGACGUUAAGCCCAUGAAGAGAAGUCAGAAUAGUUUAAGUCUUAAUCCGAGUUGGACUCUACAUGUAACCCGCCCCUUCAACAUAUAUAAGGAGGGGCAGGGCACCCCAAGAGGGGAGGAGGAUAACCUUAGGGCUAGACAUAACUAGGACAACCGGUUUACGGCGACUCCCUCGUGAUGAUAAUGAGACCUAGCCUCAAAACAACAUGUAGGGUUGUUACCGGAUGAUGUUUCCCGGGGCCCGAAGCUGUCUAAAUCCUUGUCUUGUGUUGCGUCUCUCGAUUCCGCUCAACCCCUCUCAAGCUACCACAUAGAUGUGUUGGCCUCACGACUAAGUCCUCACACUAGGACAUCUGCCGUGACAAUUCCACGACAAUGCCUCUUGGGCAAGAUGACUAAAAUGCCGUUCUCUAGAACAAUGGAGUGAGCAACAGAUUUGUUGGAAAUCAUACACACUAAUGUAUGUGGUCUGAUGAAUAUUGAGGCUCGCGGCGGGUAUCGUUAUUUUCUGACCUUCACAGAUGAUUUGAGCAGAUAUGGGUAUAUCUACUUGAUGAAACAUAAGUCUGAAACAUUUGAAAAGUUCAUAUAAUUUCAGAGUGAAGUGGAAAAUCAUCGUAAUAAUAAAAAUAAAGUUUCUACGAUCUGAUCGUGGAGGAGAAUAUUUGAGUUACGAGUUUGGUCUUCAUUUGAAACAAUGCAGAAUAGUUCCGCAACUCACGCCACCUGGAACACCACAACGUAAUGGUGUGUCCGAACAUCGUAACCGUACUUUAUUAUAUAUGGUGCAAUCUAUGAUGUCUCUUACCGAUUUACCACUAUCAUUUUGGGGUUAUGCAUUAGAGACAGCUGCAUUCACGUUAAAUAGGGCACCAUCCAAAUCCGUUGAGACGACACCAUAUGAACUGUGGUUUGGCAAGAAACCAAAGUUGUCAUUUUUAAAGUUUGGGGUUGUGAUGCUUAUAUGAAAAAGUUUCAUCCUGAUAAGCUCAAACCCAAAUCGUAGAAUUGUGUCUUCAUAGGAUACCCAAAGGAGACUGUUGGGUACACCUUCUAUCACAGAUCUGAAGGCAAGAUCUUUGUUGCUAAGAGUGUAUCCUUUCUGGAGAAGGAGUUUCUCUCGAAAGAAGUGAGUGGGAGGAAAGUAGAACUUGAUGAGGUAACUGUACCUACUCCCUUAUUGGAAAGUAGUUCAUCACAGAAAUCUGUUCCUGUGACUCCUACACCAAUUAGUGAGGAAGCUAAUGAUGAUGAUCAUGUAACUUCAGAUCAAGUUACUAUCGAACCUCGUAGGUCAACCAGAGUAAGGUCCACACCAGAGUGGUACAGAAUCCUAUUCUGGAGGUCAUGUUACUUGACCAUGACGAACCUACGAACUAUGAGGAAGCGAUGAUGAGCCCAGAUUCCGCGAAAUGGCUUGAGGCCAAGAAAUCUGAGAUGGGAUCCAUGUAUGAGAACAAAAUAUGGACUUUGGUUGACUUGCUCGAUGACCGGCAAGCCAUAGAGUAUAAAAUGGAUCUUCAAGAGGAAGACGAACGCUAAUAGUAGUGUUACUAUCUACAAAGCUCGAAUUGUCGCAAAAGGUUUUCGACAAGUUCAAGGUGUUGACUACAAUGAGAUUUUCUCACUUGUAUCGAUGCUUAAAAGUCCGUCUGAAUCAUGUUAGCAAUUUCCAGAUUUUAUGAAAUUUGGCAAAUGGAUGUCAAAACUGUAUUCCUUAAUGGAUUUCUUAAAGAAGAGUUGUAUAUGAUGCAACGAGAAGGUUUUGUCAAUCCAAAAGAUGCUAACAAAGUGUGUAAGCACCAAUGAUCCAUUUAUGGACUAGUGCAAGCAUUUCGUAGUUGGAAUGUACGCUUUGAUAGUGUGAUCAAAGCAUAUAGUUUUAUACAGACUUGCGGUGAAUCCUGUAUUUACAAGAAAGUGAGUGGGAGCACUACAACCUUUCUGAUAAGUAUAUGUGAAUGGCAUAUUGUCGAUCGGAAAUGAUGUAGAAUUUUCUGGAAAGCAUAAAGGAGUGUUUGAAAGGAGUUUUUCAAAGAAAGACCUCGGUGAAGCUGCUUACAUAUUGAGCAUCAAGAUCUAUAGAGAUAGAUCAAGACGCUUGAUAAGUUUUUUCAAUGAGUACAUACCUUGAAAAGAUUUUGAAGUAGUUCAAAAUGGAACAGUCAAAGAACGAGUUCUUGCCUGUGUUACAAGGUGUGAAAUUGAGUAAGACUCAAAGCCCGACCACGGCAGAAGAUAGAGAGAGAAUGAAAGUCAUUCCCUAUGCCUCAGCCAUAGGUUCUAUAAAGUAUGCCAUGCUGUGUACCAUACCUAUUAUAUACCCUACACUGAGUUUGACAAGGGAGUACAAUAGUGAUCUAGGAGUAGAUCACUGGACAGGGGUCAAAAUUAUCCUUAGUCGAAUAAGGAUAUGUUUCUUGAUUAUGGAGGUAACAAAAGGUUCGUCGUAAAGGGUUACGUCGAUGCAAGUUUUGACACUGAUCCAGAUGACUCCAAGUCUCAAUCUGGAUACAUAUUGAAAGUGGGAGCAAUUAGCUAAAGUAGCUCAGUGCAGAGCAUUGUAGACAUAGAAAUUUGCAAAAUACAUACGGAUCUGAAUGUAGCAGACCCGUUGACUAAAUUUCUCUCACAAGCAAAACAUGAUCACACCUUAGUACUCUUUGGGUAUUAAUCACAUAGCGACGUGAACUAGAUUAUUGACUCUAGUAAACCCUUUGGGUGUUGGUCACAUGAUGAUGUGAACUAUGGGUGUUAAUCACAUGGUGAUGUGAACUAUUGAUGUUAAAUCACAUGGCGAUGUGAUCUAGAUUAUUGACUCUAGUGCAAGUGGGAGACUGAAGGAAAUAUGCCCUAGAGGCAAUAAUAAAGUUAUUAUUUAUUUCCUCAUAUCAUCAUAAAUUUUUAUUAUUCAUGCUAGAAUUGUAUUAACCGGAAACUUAGUACAUGUGUGAAUACAUAGACAAACAGAGUGUCACUAGUAUGCCUCUACUUGACUAGCUCGUUAAUCAAAGAUGGUUAAGUUUCCUAGCCAUGGACAUGAGUUGUCAUUUGAUUAACGGGAUCACAUCAUUAGGAGAAUGAUGUGAUUGACUUGACCCAUUCCGUUAGCUUAGCACUUGAUCGUUUAGUUACUGCUAUUGCUUUCUUCAUGACUUAUACAUGUUCCUAUGACUAUGAGAUUAUGCAACUCCAGAAUACCGGAGGAACACUUUGUGUGCUACCAAACGUCACAACGUAACUGGGUGAUUAUAAAGGUGCUCUACAGGUGUCUCCGAUGGUACUUGUUGAGUUGGCAUAGAUCGAGAUUAGGAUUUGUCACUCUGAUUGUCGGAGAGGUAUCUCUGGGCCCUCUCGGUAAUGCACAUCACUAUAAGCCUUGCAAGCAAUGUGACUAAUGAGUUAGUUACGGGAUGAUGCAUUAUAGAACAAGUAAAGAGACUUGCCGGUAACGAGAUUGAACUAGAUAUUGAGAUACCGACGAUCGAAUCUCGGGCAAGUAACAUACCGAUGACAAAAGGAACAACGUAUGUUGUUAUGCGGUUCGACCGAUAAAGAUCUUCGUAGAAUAUGUAGGAGCCAAUAUGGGCAUCCAGGUUCCGCUAUUGGUUAUUGACCAGAGAAGUGUCUCGAUCAUGUCUACAUAGUUCUCGAACCCGUAGGGUCCGCACGCUUAACGUUCGUUGACGAUAAAGUAUUAUAUGAGUUAUGUAUGUUGGUGACCGAAUGUUGUUCGGAGUUCCGGAUAAGAUCACGGACAUGACGAGGAACUCCGAAAUGGUCCGGAGAUAAAGAUUGAUAUAUGGGAUAAUAGUGUUUGGUCUCCGGAAGGGGUUCCGGAUGUUUCCCGAAAUGUUUGGGUACGAGAACACUUUAUUUGGGCCAAGGGGGAAAGCCCACAAGGUUUUUGGAAAGCGCAAAAGGAAGUUUUGCGGAGUCCAGGGUCCAGACGCCAGGGACCCUGGCGUCUGGCCCUGGAGUCCGAGAAGGACUCUUGCCUUUCGGGUGAAACCGACUUUGUGGAGGCUUUUACUCCAAGUUUCGACCCCAAGGCUCAACAUAUAAAUAGAGGGGUAGGGCUAGCACCCAAGACACAUCAAGAAACACCAAGCCAUGUGCCGGCUACCCCGUCCCCUCAAGUUUAUCCUCCGUCAUAGUUUUCGUAGUGCUUAGUCGAAGCCCUGCGGAGAUUGUUCUUCACCAACACCGUCACCACACCGUCGUGCUCCCGGAACUCAUCUACUACUUCGCCCCUCUUGCUGGAUCAAGAAGGCGAGGACGUCAUCGAGCUGAACGUGUGCUGAACGCGGAGGUGUCGUAUGUUCGGUACUUGAUCGGGACGGAUCGUGAAGGUGUACGACUACAUCAACCGCGUUGAUAAAACGCUUCCGCUUACGGUCUACGAGGGUACAUAGACAACACUCUCCCCUCUCGUUGCUAUGCAUCACCAUGUUCUUGCGUGUGCGUAGGAUUUUUUUUUGAAAUUACUACUUCCCCAACAAUAACUUGAGGCUAGUUCCUGCGGGACAAAUCCACACCCAAGCAUAAUUGACUGCCCAUGUCUGUUGAUGCCAAUGAAGGGGCAAACGGCAUAUUGUACAUGUUCGUGAGAUAAGUUGCAUCAAAUGAUACGCAAUCAUGAUAAGCCUCCGCGUAUGCUUUCCGUGCCACACCAUCCACCCAAAACAAGUUUUCUGUCUCGCCUUCCGCAUCUGUCUUGCAUUUAAAGAAGAAUCAUGGGUCGUUUUCCAUCACCUUGCAAAAGUAGUUUAGUGUUUCUUCAAUGUCAAUGUCUUUAGUUGGGGCAUUGACCUUCGAACAGUGGUUAUGGAUGGCUUUAGCUGUGUACGGAACAAUAAACUCCGAGCCGUAGUAUGAUGACAUUAACAUCAUCAUCUUUCCUGCCAUAAAAAAACAGAAACUUGUGUUUUUCAGGACUAACUAACCACAAUGCAGCGAGCAACUUGUUUUUAUAGAGAACAUAAAGUAACAAUUAUGCAUAAGUAGAACAAGAACCAAGCCUGUAUCCCACCAAGUUUUAUUUUUCUGCUAGGUGAUGUCUUAUUUAUUUAUUUAUCAGAGUUGCACGGAAAAUGAACAUAGUUGCCUCAGUUUACUAUUCAAGUUGCCAGUUUUUCUCCCUGAUCAGGGUUGCCCAUGAAUCCUAAGCACCUUAUACUAGGAUAGGAAAGAAAUCCAAGUAGUUGAGGUAGGAAUAGGAAACACCAAGGUUUUCUGCUUGGGUCAUGCUUUUUUUAAUUACCAGAGUUGCACAAAAAAUGAACAUAGUUGCAUAAAAAAUGAACAUAGUUGGCUCAGGUCAAAGUACUUGAUGCAGGAAUAAGUAACAAUUCUGUGGUAAAAAGAUUUAAUCCAAUGUGAGUUGUACCUGCCGUCAAGUUGCAGUCGUUUAGGUGAGUCGGAAUUUUUUUCUGUUCCGGCGGGAUGCCUUGGUGAGAACGGAGGUAUUUCGAAAGCGAUGGCUUGUCAAUCAGUGGAUGGUUGUGAUCUGCAAUAAAAGUGGAACUGGUUACAGCAGAAUUGCUGUUUUUCCAGCACGCCUGUGUAGGCCGACCUGUAAGACGUAUUUGACUUGAUUGAAAAGCCCUAUUUCGCAUCCUCUAAUGUGUCGAAGCGCAAGCCAACAUAAGGUUGUUCUGGCUGUGACCCAGCUUCUUCGUCUUCCAACUCAUGUGCCUCAUGAACUAAAGCAUUAGCAGGAGCAACCAUACGUGGGGGAGCGGCAACACGAUUGUCCGGGACAUGAGUAGUGUUAGAGCCAACGUUGGGGUCAGGAGACUCACCAACCUCCUCCUCCAAAUGUUGUGCUCCUGCUCAUCCCCUGCAUGUAAGAAGGGUGCACCCAACUCGACUGAAAUGUUGAUGGACUCUACGUCAAGUGGUGGUUCAUUCAGAUCAAUCAUCAUGAACAAUCAACCUGCAACAAAUUGUGUGUUAGCCCACCACAAAAGUAAGCACGACCUUUUUGAACAAACUAGUUGUAGAAUAUAAAGGAGCAACUAUAAACACUUGUUUGGGCAACUAUAAAGUUAAACAGAGGCAAUUUCUAUCUUCUUUUUUCUCAAAAGUUUCUUGUUUCUUCUUUUUUUCUUAUAUGUUUUAUGUUUUUACCAGUAUGACACACAUAUAUAGCAGCAAAGAUUUGUUUUACAUGACAUGCGCUGAUUCAUUUGUGCCUUUUUUCAGCAGCAGAUUACAACUUUUGAUGAUGGGAAACAAUGUGCAUAUGUGACGGAGAGCUUACCAGGAGCAGGAGGCCUAUCAUUUGGUGUAGUUUAUGUCUUUUUUAUUUUUUUAGUGAGACCAUAUGGAAUGUAGCAGAGUAUCUUAGUGUGGGAUUGUUCGAAUCUGUUUAUCACGUGUCAUUUGUUUUGUGCGUUUGUCGUUUGUGUCUUUUUUAGCGAGAACCAUACUGAUAUGGCAAAAGUUGUGUGUUAACAAAUGCAAGUUAAUACUUUCUACCCCUGCUUAUAACAUGAGUUUUAUGUUGUUGAUAGUACAUGCUUUAAUGCACAGGGAAGUUGCAUGUGUUUUAGUACUGGAGUUGUCAUGUUCUUACAUCUGGUAGAGGCAACUCUAGAAUUUCUAAACAACUACGCUUGCACAGCUCUUUCUUUACCAGAGUUGCUUAAAAAAUGAAGAUAGUUGCUUCAGUUAACUGUUCUAGUUGUCAGGUUUGUUUCCUGAUCAGGGUCGCUCAUGAACCCCAAGCACCUUAUACUAGGAUAGGAAAGAAAGCCAAGCAGGUUUCAAUGCAUACAAUAUAGAGAAAUUAUGUUUUGGUGUUGCAAUGCACCUGCAAAACUGUGCAAUGGUCCUGCAUUUUAUUUCGCACUAGAGUUGCCCUAUUUUUGUACUGGUGUUGCUUUUUUUAUCAUAACAGUUGCUCAAGAUGCAUGCCAUACAUAGGGUUGGCUCAAAGUGGUCUACAAGUUGCUUUUUCACCAGAUCAAAAGAACGAACUAAAAACUGGACUAGUUGAUGUUCAAGCAGGGAAGGGCUGGGGUGGUUGAGUAGGGAAGAGAGAGAGGAGUCGGGUGGAGGUGGUUCUUACCUUUUUGGGGGGAGGCAGGUCUCUUUUUUUCUCUCCAGAUCUGAUUUUUGGAGCAAGGAGGAGGAAGGAGGUGUUCCUGCGACGGCUUUGUUCUUCAAGACGCCAUAGAUGGGGCAGAUCUUGUUUAGAGGAAGAAAGGAGGAGCAAGGAGGAAGAAGGGGACCCUUGUGUGGGCUUGUCCUUCAAGGAAAAGGGNNNNNNNNNNNNNNNNNNNNNNNNNNNNNNNNNNNNNNNNNNNNNNNNNNNNNNNNNNNNNNNNNNNNNNNNNNNNNNNNNNNNNNNNNNNNNNNNNNNNNNNNNNNNNNNNNNNNNNNNNNNNNNNNNNNNNNNNNNNNNNNNNNNNNNNNNNNNNNNNNNNNNNNNNNNNNNNNNNNNNNNNNNNNNNNNNNNNNNNNNNNNNNNNNNNNNNNNNNNNNNNNNNNNNNNNNNNNNNNNNNNNNNNNNNNNNNNNNNNNNNNNNNNNNNNNNNNNNNNNNNNNNNNNNNNNNNNNNNNNNNNNNNNNNNNNNNNNNNNNNNNNNNNNNNNNNNNNNNNNNNNNNNNNNNNNNNNNNNNNNNNNNNNNNNNNNNNNNNNNNNNNNNNNNNNNNNNNNNNNNNNNNNNNNNNNNNNNNNNNNUGGGGGGCUCCUUUCCUUUUUCGGCUGUCUGGUCGCGCGCGCGGGCCGCUCCUUCCUUUUCUGGGAGAGCGCUCGGUGCUGCGAUCGGGCGCCCGUGCGCCAGCGAGCCACGUCAUUGUUAUUGUCUCUACUUUUUACUAUUAUUUUAUUUGAGAAGAGACCCUCAAGAAAAUGCACCGUCACGACACAAGAGGACACGUGCACUCUGUCCAACUCCACCCGCAUGCGUGUGCCCUCCCCUCCCCUCCCUUCAAGGGCUGAAGGUGCCUUUCAUUUCAUCCUUCUUCCCUCACCUCACCUAGUACAGCCUACGACCAGCCACAUGGAGAGUAACAUACACAUAUCCCUAGACUAUGUUACUACCUUCAUAGUGGGUAGUAACAUAAGUAUGGUAAAAUGCAAAGCCUCAUUUAUUAGGUUAUAAACUCAUAUUGCAUUGGAACAUGUGAUGUUACAGUAACUAGCUAAGUUACUCAAACUACCUCUCUCCUUAUUAACUCAUUGCCACAUAAGUAAAUUUGCUGAGUUGGACUCAAUGUUACUGCUGAAGUUACUCCCACUGUGGCUAGUCUACAACUGCCCCGCUCUCGUUCCCCUUUCCCUCCGUGCAUCGGAGUAGUAUUAUUUUUGCUAAAUGACCCCUUCUCUGGUCCUUAUUUACAGCAUCUAUCUACAGCCGAACCUGGACCCGGAUAUGGAGCGAUCUUCUCCCGCCGGCGCCGAACCCUAGCUAGCUAGCUACCUCGGACCAGUCCGGUUGCGAGAGGCCACCGGCGGCAUGGGCAUGGCUGCGCGCGGCGGCGGAGCAUGCAACGCGAGCGCUCUAACCAUAUCUCACCGAAUCCUGCCGCCGCGCCCGUCCCGCAUGCCGUGGCCGAUGACCGCGCCCCUCCCCAGACGGCGGCGAUGAUGGAGGGAGCCGCUGGCGCCGGCCAGGCUCCCGAGCUGCGGACGCGCCGGGUCGCCGCGCCGGACCGCGCAUUGGCUCGGAGGCCCCUCGGGGCUGCCGCCGAUGCGGGGGGCGUCUGCGACCGUGCGGGCUGGGGACCGAGCGGCGGGGCCCAUGGUGCGCUCCGGUCGAGGGCUUGGUCGGGCCGGCGCGGGAUCUGAGCCGCCGUCCAUGGAUUUUUCGCAGCUUGGCUACGUUUUGCUUUCGAUCUGGUACUGUCCCCCCAUCUCUCUCUCUCUGACUUACAAUCCAACGACCAUGUUAGAGCAACUCCAAUACGGUGACCCAAAUGUACACGACGGGCGCGCCCAUUUUUUUAUUUGGGUCGGCUGGUGCACUCAACGGUGGGAAAAUACGCAUGAUUAAACAUAAAUGGCCAAUAAACAUGUCGCCCAAAGUCCACUUAAACAUUUUUCGCCCAAAGUUCACUUAAACAUUAAUAAAAUUUGAAAAAAAGUUUGCUUCAUCACUUAAACAUUUGUCGCCCAUGCGUCGUCCUUUUCCCCGGGGCCGGUGAGGUCGAUGAACACCGGCUCCAGCCCAGGGAAAGGUGGUAUCCCACGGCGCACGCGCUGCCUCCACCGUCUGUCCCGCUGGCUAUGGGGGUGGUGGCUGCACUGCUACUGCAUGGGCGCGCUCCUCCUCCGCCUCCCGCGCCAAGCGACGCUCCAGCUCCAAUUGCUGCUCGCCGUCGGCGUGCGCUGUCCAUUGUUGGAGGUACGUGGCUUCCUGCUCCGGCGUCCCCCAAGCCACACGCGCGGCGCUGACCCACUCACGGAGCUGGUCGGUUCACUGGUAGACCUUCGGCUGGUGCUUCGUGGAUUGCGGCUUCGGCUCGGGGGAGGAACGCCCUGCGACGGCAACAGCGAAGGGAGGAUGACACAGUCGCCGGGGCGGCCACGGACAACGUGAGGGCCUCCUCCAUGGCCAACCCAGCGCGUGUCCUCCUCGCGCUGGCUCUCCUCCAGGGCGCGCUGCAUGGCGGCCUCCACAGCCUAGUAGGUCGCAUGCGCUCCUCCUCCUCCGGCAAGACGUCUGGCGGAGGCGGGGGAGAGGGGAGGGUGCACAACGUGGUCGAUGUGGAUGCCGCGCGCGGCGCUCCUCCUCGUGUUCUAGCGUAAACCAGCGCUCCUAGUUGGGUAGUCUGGCGCGUAGGCAUGCGUCGCGCACUGAUCCGACGUCAGGAGCUCGCGUCGCCGGCGAACAUCCUCGGCAUGUGCCCUCCCGAGCACGGCACUGCCGGAAUGGGGAUCCUUUGUGGGUCCAGAUGCCAACUGUGCGACAGGCUUAUGUCUGGAUAUUGCAGGGGCGACGGUACUGCCAGUGCCACUGCGCUUGGUGGACUGGUAUGUACAACCGCUCCCGCUCCCGCGGUGGCGAGCCACGGCGAGCCGACAACGGCGGGGAAGGAGGCGCGUGAGAAGAGCUCGCGCCUGCACUAAACUUGCCCUUCUCCUUCCCACUGAAGAACCCCAAAUCUGGCUGGCUGGCUAGGGUUUCUGAUUGCCAGUGAGGGAGCAGGCGUGGCCAGAUGUGGACGGGCGGUGGAAGUGGAUGAGGUCGGCCCCGCCACACGCUUGCAUUAAAAAGGACGGGCAUGCGACACUCUCACCCACUGCCAGGUGGGCCCGAGGUAGGUGGGCGCGUCUACUAUGAGCGCGUGCGGUGGUUGGGUGGCCGACAUGUGGGGCCGUGGCGGACAUCUAGCGGACGUAAACCAGGCCCAAAUUUAGGCCAGAAAUGGAUCGGCGUAGACAUCUAGCGGACACGUUUUGGGUUUGAAUUGCGCGUUGAGUCGGAGUUUUUGUCCGCGGUGACCCAAACAAACACACGCGGAGGAGAUGGGUCGCUUAGGGCGUGACAUGCUGUCACCGGGUCUCUGUCCCAACACGACACGUGCACUCGUUGAGUCGUUGUAACUCUAGUGCGCUAGCCUGCCUUCAUCCUUCUUCCCCUCCCCUCACCUACACUGCACCACCGCCCUCAUUCCCCUUUCCCUCCAUGCAUUUGGAGUAGUAUUAUUUUUGCUAAAUGACCCCUUCUCUGCUCCUUAUUUACAGCAUCUACAGCCGGACCUGAACCCGGAUCUGGUGCGAGAGGCCACCGGCGGCAUGGCUGCGCGCGGCGGCGGAGCAUGCAACGCGAGCGCUCUAACCAUAUCUCACCGAAUCCUGCCGCCGCGCCCGUCCCGCACGCCGUGGCCGAUGACCGCGCCCCUCCCCAGACGGCGGCGAUGAUGGAGGGAGCCGCUGGCGCCGGCCAGGCUCCCGAGCGGCGGACGCGCCGGGUCGCCGCUCCUCGGGGCCAGCCCCUCUCGCCGCGCCGGACCGCGCAUCGGCUCGGAGGCCCCUCGGGGCUGCCGCCGAUGCGGGGGGCGUCCGCGGCCGUGCGGGCUGGGGACCGAGCGGCGGGGCCCGUGGUGCGCUCCGGUCGAGGGCUUUGUCGGCCCGGCGCGGGAUUUGAGCCGCCGUCGAUGGAUUUCUCGCAGCUUGGCUGCGUCUUGCUUUGGAUCCGGUACGGUCCCCAUCUCUCUCUCGCUCUCUCUCUCUCACUCUGCGCGCGCGCGCACGCGUAGAGUUCACACCAGUAGAUCCUAAACCGAAUCAGCCGAGCUCUCGUUGCCGCCUCAGUUCCCCAGCGCUGCCACGGUGCCGCCAGCCACCGCCAUUCCAUUGGCUUGGAUUCGGUUGUGGCGUCGGUUGGGAGCCGUAGGAUGAUGUCUGAUGCCUCGUCCGUGCGGGAGGUUUGGUCGGUCGAGGCCAGGUAUAAGCAGCUCCUGAGAAGGAUGGAUGAAUGGAUGCAUUCAUGUGUCGUGAACUAAAACCACGACACUUGGUUUCGAACGGAGGGAGUAUAUUUUUAAAACAAAUCAGGUGAGCUCUCGUUGCCGGAUCGCUGACCUAUCGUCCGGAUGCCCACCGCGUCAGUUCCCCACUGCUACGGUGCUGCCUGCCACCGCCGUCCCAUUGCCUUGGAUUUGGUUGUGCGCGUCGGCUGGGAACCGUACGGUGUCUUCUGAUGCGUCGUCCGUGUGGGAGGUUUGGUCGGUCGAGGCCAGGUAUGAGCAGCUCCUGAGCAGGAUGGAUGGAUCUAUGGAUACAUGGAUGUAUGCAUGCAUAUAUGUAUGGAUAUCACUCCGCAAAAAAGAAAAGAAAAAAAAUAUGUAUGGAUAUAUGGUCAUGUUGCUCGGGGGUUCAACCUCCUUUUUGGAAAAAAAGGAGGGGCGAUGCCGAUGAUGAUGACUGUGGCUGAAAUAAUGUCUUGAGCAAUCAAGACAGCUCGGCGAGGUGGGACUAAACAGUGCCAGAAAAUUGGUGUCUGCGUUGGAGUUGGCCUUAGAGCCCACCCUUCUCUCUUGCAGCCUGUCCAAUUCAUCGCCAAUGUUGGAUGUUCUUUGCCUUGGAUGGUCAUUCUGAUGAGUGAUAACCAGGGCAGUUCUCUUACAUGGCAAUGGGUGGAUUAUGCAGCAAGAGAUGUGAGUGUUGGGUUUGAAGAUGAAAUGCAAAACUGAGCCCUCUUUUGCUACGCUACAUAUGCUCAGUUCAGUUGCAUUAUGUUUUGGAUUCAGUAUGGAUCCUCCUCUCUCUCUCUCUCUCUCUCUCUCAAACCCUGAAACAAAUCAGUCAAGCUCUCAUUGCCGACUCGCUGACCCAUUGUCCGGGUGGCUGCCACGUCAGUUCCCUGUCUCUACGGUGCUGCCAGCCACUGCCAUUCCAUUGCCUUGGAUUUGGUUGUGGCGUGGGCUUUGACCCGUAAGGCGUUGUCUGAUGAGUCGUCCACACCGGGAGGUUUGGUCGGUCGAGGCCAGGUAUGGGCAGCUCCUGAGACUGAGACUAGUCAUAGUGGGAGUAACUGAAUUAUGGAACGGAGGGAGUAGUAACAUUCAUGCCACAUAGGCAAAAAAGAUUAUGUGACAAGUAAUUAAAGAGGAUGGAUGGAUGGAUGCGUGCAUGCAUGCAAUGGGAAUCAUGGUCAUGUUGCUUGGUGUGUAGAGCGCGUGUGGGUACUAAUCAGAGCCAGAAUCGGUGACCGCGUUGGAGAUGCCCUUAGAGCCCACCCUUACCUCUCUUGCAGCCUGUUCAGUUCAUCUCUGAUGUUGUAUAUUCUGUGCCUCGGACGUUCGUUCUGAUGGGUGAUAACCAGGGCAGUUCUCUUACAUUGCGAUGGGUGAAUUAUGCAGCAAGAGAGUGAGUGUUGGGUUUGAAGAUUGAAGACAAAACUGAGCCUGCAAUUUUUCACUGUUUAGUUGCAUUUUGUUUUGGAUUCGGUAUGGACCCCCCUCACCUCUCUCUCUCUCUCUCAAACCCUAAAACAAAUCAGUCAAGCUCUCAUUGCCGACUCGCAGACCCAUCGUCUGGGUGGCUGACACGUCAGUUCCCUGUUGCUACGGUGCUGCCAACCCGCCAUUCCAUUGCCCUGGAUUCGGUUGUGGCGUGGGCUGGGAACCGUAGAGUUUUGUCUGAUGUGUCGUCCGAGACGGAGGUUUGGUUGGCUGACGCCAGGUAUGAGCAGCUCCUGAGACUGUCUAAGUUACUUACCACUAUGAGCAGCCUGAUGGAUGGAUGGAUGGAUGAUGUAUGCAUGCUACUGUGUGAUGAAGAGAUGGAGUUCUUACCAGGGGCGAUGAUGAUGACUGUGGCUGAAACAAGCAUGUCUUGAGCAAUUAAGACAGCUGUGGCCUGUGGGUCCUAAAUUAGAGCGCACCCUUACCUCUCUUGCAGCCUGUUCAAUUCAUCGCUAAUGUUGGAUGUUCUGCGCCUUGGACGGUCAUUCUGAUGAAUGAUAACCAGGACAGUUCUUUUACAUCGCGAUGGGUAGAUUAUGCAGCAAGAGAUGUGAGUGUUGGGCUUGAAUAUGAAAGGCAAAACUGAGCCCUCUUUUGCUACGCUACAAAUAUUCGAUUUUACCUUCUCUACUAUGCACUGUUUUUUCUUUUCUAUUCCUCUCUAUUGUGUUGAUGUGACUAACGGCCCAUCUGGACUUGGUGAUGAAGCCAACCGCCCUAGCUUGGAUUGAUUUCCAGCUGGCUUUGUUUUUGCCUGUAUAGUUGUACAAACUAUAUAUGUCGAACACAGUAUUGUUUUUGACUUGGAUAUCUACCUUAUGUUUUUCUUCUUUUCCAAAAUGGAAAAUUUAUAUUGUCCUGUUUUUAUUUGGCUUGCAGUUACUCCUUUUAUCUGAAGUGAAGAAAUGUAAAUUGCUUCUUUCAUUGCUAGUAAUACAGCCAUCAGCAUAGUGUUCCAAAUUAACUUUUGAACACAGCAUAUUUGUUUCUGUUCUGUGUUGAUGAGUUAUAUUCUUUUCUGAAUGGCUAUGAUGAUUUCCUCCUCUUUGGUGUUGGAGAUAUUUCAACAUAUCCUGAGAUAGAGAUGAUUGGUUCCAUUCAAUUUUCCCAGUUAGACAGUUAGUCGUUAUACUAGGAGGCCUUGCUCUGCAGCAAGUUACCAGUUGCGGCUAUUUGUUGCUGGGUGGGGAAAGAGAGAGAGAGAGAGAGAUGGUAAGGAGAGACCUGAAGGACUGGAAUAUCACCAAAGAACUAACCAUGGGCAGGGGUGCAUGGAAAUUAGCUAUCCACAUGCCUAUCCCAACUUGUUUGGGACUGAAAGGCUUUGUUGUUGUUGUUGUUGUUGUUUAGUACCGAAAGGCCUUGAGUACUACCUGAAGCAUUUUUCCAGCUUCGGUGAUUUAUGGUGGGUUAAAUCUGAGCCAUUCAAGCAAUACUCCACAAUUUUCCUGGAUUUUGCAAACUAUUCCUCGUGCACGUGUCUGAUACUUCUACUACUGUUUGAUUAUGGUAAUUUGAUCAGUGAGUACUUUUGGAAUAUACUCCAGAAAACAGCUUGAUUUUCCCUAAUACCUUUAAUUAGUUUCUUCUUGAUUUUAAGGAUACCAGUUCGGCAACUGUGAAUGGUCAUUGCUAAAUUUAAGUUGUAUAUAUUCUGUACAUUGUGGUCCUGUAGCUUGAAAAAGGAACUUGGCAUUACCUCUGGCUUUGGUUCUUUGUUAUGGCUCUGGUUCUUUGUGUGGACCUUCUGGGGAGGUGAGAUAGCGUGAAAUCUUUUUAUUGAACCAAUUUAAAAGCAGAUUCUUAUUGAUGCUAUCUUUCAGUUUUUUUGGUCCUAUUUUCGCAUCCAUUGUCAAAUUUUCUUCUAUUGAUAUUUGCCAUUGUAGUCCUUAACUUCCACUAUGAAUGCAUGCCAUCCUUAUUCCCUUGUAAAGCUUCAUCUGUGAGGGAGAGGCAUCAAUGAGGAAGGAUGCUGGUGGUGACGCCUGCCGUCUGUCUCCCUAUCAAUUUGACUUGAUAAUUUCAUUCUUCUGCUGUACUCUUUAUCUACUUAUCAGUUGGUACUUUUGGUUUCUCGUUACUUCUUUACUGGUUUCAAGUUUCAACUUAAGGGUCGUAUAUGGCAAGUUAAGAUUACUGUUUUCUUCAUGUCAUGUUCAUUGGCUGUGAUGAUAUAGCUUCCCUGCGAGAGCUUCUAUCUAACACCGUAUUGAUUCACUUGGUGCUAAACUAGGAUGGCUUGUGUCACAGCAAGUAACCAGUUUAGCGGCUAACUAUUACUCCCUCCGUUCACAAAUAUAAAUGUUCAUGGUCAUUCUACCAGAAAUUCAGUUAUGGUGUUGAGAUGGGAGUGUAUCUGAGCCAUUUACUUACACAUGUCCCAGUUUUUGUGUCCACCAGUUCAUGAUUUGCUCCUGAUAUAGUGAUUAUUUCUGCUAUUACUGAUUCUCCUGUGGUGUCUGGUCAUCUUGCGGCUCUUUGACUAUUGGCUUCUCUGUUAUUCUCUUUGUGGGAUUUGUGCCAAGUGCUGUUAUGGUGUUGAGAAAUGCUCACAGCGAACUGGAUGUUGAGCUAUUUUACACUUUACAUACUCAGAAUGCUUUGAAUUACUGAUGCAUCGAGAGGUUCUACUUUGUUUGAAUAGAAAACAAUCCUGUGUGCCGAAGGCCCUGGGAGGCGGCAGAGGGCUUCACAUCUUUUGUUCGAACAAUGCUAUUAUUUGCAACUGUUCUGUUUCUUUGCUUAGUGUUCCGUUUAGUCGUUCCUGCAUGAUUUUCUUCCCUUUCAUACUUUUAUAUUGUAUAAAUUGUGCUACGCUGCUGCUCUUCUUCGUUCAUGCAUUUGCUGCACUAUGGCACCUCAAGCGUCAGCAAAAAGAUAUUACAUUUGGUCUUUGAUGUCAUCAUAUGUUUAUUUAGUUCUGAGUCUGCCCAUUUAUUUUUGGUAUAAAUCAUGUGCAACCUAAUCUGCAGGGCGCGUGGCUGUCCAAAAUCAAGCUCCCCAACAACUGGACAAUGGAGCACAUCCGGCAGCUUGUCACGCUUUGGGCUCGGCUGAGGGCCAUCCCCCUCGCGGUGGACGCCGAGGACACCAUCACCUGGAAACAUACUGCCAGCGGAAUCUACUCUGCCACAUCCGCGUACAGUGCGCAACUCCUUGGGCUGGUCAGCUCGCCCAUGGGCUUCGCCGUUUGGAAAGCAUGGGCUCCCCCUAAGAUGAAAUUCUUUGCUUGGCUGGCAAUCCAAAACCGAGUCUGGACGGCGGAUAGAUUGGAGAGGAGAGGGUGGCCGAACUGCGGCCUAUGUCCACUCUGCAAGCAGACGUUGGAAACGGCGAGCCACAUCUUCUUCAAGUGUCGGUACUCCAUUAGACUGUGGGGCCUGAUCAAAGGCUGGCUCAAGCUAGACUACCUCGACAUCUCCUCCUGGAUCACGAUGCGCUCCAUCAAGGACUGCUGGCUCAACAUGUCCAACUCCAGCAUGCCCAACCGGAAGGCGAUGGCUUCUCUUGCUAUGCUGACCUGCUGGACCAUUUGGUGCGAGAGAAAUGCACGGGUGUUUCGUCACAAAUCCACGCUUCCGUCUGUAUUGUUCUCCAACAUUAAGACCGACGCCAACCUUUGGGUAAUUGCGGGUGCUAAGCACUUGGGUCAAAUCAUGCCGGGAGAGUAGUGGCUUUGUAAUAUUUUCUUUCGCUUUUCUUGUAAAAGCAACUCUAAACUCCUUAAUUAAUGGAUGAGGCGAAGCUUUUGCCUCCGUUUCGAAAAAAAAUAAUCUGCAGCACUCCCUUUGUUUCUAUGUUUGCCUCUUUUGUGUUGCCCUCUUUCUAUGCGCCGUUGAUACUUCCAGUAAUAUGUGAUUUGAACUUGAGUGUACUUCACAUGAUCUCCUGUGUAGUUAAUUCCUCAGCUUUCCGUGGGUAACUUUUGAACUGCUACUUUAAUGACAUAUUUUUCGUGUAAUGUGUGGGAAUUUAAGUGCUCGCCUAGAAAUCUCAAUAUUAGAUAUUCACAUGCACGGCAUUUACGUGUGGCUCUGAUGAGUUCUGAUGAUGCUCCGUCAUGUAUUCUGGCGACGUAAUAAUAAAUAUGCCUUGGAGCAGCAGUGAAGCUUUUUAACACGUCGUCUUCCUCUGUACGGGUGUCUGGUCAAAUAUGCUUGGUCAUCUGUUUGAGAUUGGGAUCAGCAGCCGUAGAAAAUGCAGGGCAAAGGAUUUAGAAGGGCUUUCUUGUAAUUUUAUAUCAACAGAUGCAACUGAGUGUGAGUGCAUAUGAGCAUUAAGAAUUACGCAUGAGCCCUCAACGCAACUGUACUAUCAUACAAUAUGUAUAUAUGAUACAGUAUUAUUCCUCUUUUUCAUCUUUGAAACUAGUUCUUGUAUUUGUACCUUUUUGUUUCUGGCAGAGUUACGUGCCUACAUUCUUACUCCCAGAACUUGAUGGCUGUUGUAAAUAGAAGUACACUUGUUCCUCUUGUUGCCGGUGCUUGCUAAACUGAUUAUCUGUUUGAUGAGUCUAGACUAUUUUCUCCUCAUAUACAUGUUCAGUUUUGCUUAACAAAAGGAUAUUGUCCAGUGAUUUUCUUCAAUACCAAAAUACCUAUUCGUACGGACUACGGAAGGUUGCACGUAGAUACGAGAGUGAGCGAGACAAGUUGAAAGAGACCGGGAGUAGGUUGAUAAACUUACUUGCACAUUUGGAAUCGGAGAUAUUGUACUUGUUUACGCUUAUUUUUAUUUACUAAAACCUAGCUCAGCCAAUACUACUCCCUCCGUCCAGAAAAGUUUGUCUUUUUGGGGACAGAGGUAAUAUAACAGAAAUGCAACGAGAACGGCAUUUUGGAGCUCGGCCUCUAUGGAGGCUGAAUUUUGAAAAAUUCAAAAUUCAUACUUUCCGGUUUCACAAAAAUCUGUAAAAGAUUAUACAAGCAUACAGGAUGCGAUGUGUAUGUGUGUAAAAUUUCAUGAUCCAAAAGCAAUUUUCGAAAUGCAACCAUCUAAAAAAAGGUUAAAAGAAAGCGAGUUCACUGCAUUAAGAGAAAACCCCUCGUGUCAUUACGUGUGAUCACAAUUGAAACACAUGACAUGGGACGAAAACCUGACAACACAACAAACUAAACCUAAUAAGUUCCAACGUAGCAUAACUAGGACUACUCAGCAUGCAAGCUGGCCCACCGCAAAAGAACAACAACUCUAAACCACAACAAACCCUCGACAAGUAGCUAGACCCCAUAUCAUCCACAUGAAGUUGUCGCCUCUCCAUGGAUAGCAGCGCAGAUCCUCAUCAGCAUAGUUGUACUACUAGUGUUUAACAUCUCAGCACCUUGGGUAAUCACCUAUUCAGUCGAAUCCUUCUGCAGAUCCGCCCAAUAUCACAAGGAUGCACAAGCAGCAAACACCCUUUCAAAAGGAGUUUUAGGCCAUUUAAACUCAAACAUAGCUCUGUUACGACAAUUCCAGAUCGUCCAUCAAACAACAAGCCCAAUUGUAUAAACUUCCUCAUAUGUUAGAAUUAGACCUAACUGCCCCAGGCAGUUAAUAGUGCCCAAAGCACCUUUUGCUGUAUAGACGCAUGUUCACUCCGAACAGGCGCCUAUCCACAAACCGACGCCCCCCUACAGGCGCCUCUUUCGUAAACCGACAUCCCGAACAGUCGGGAUCCCAUGUAUAAAUACCCCUUGUUGAUGAUCGAUGAAAGGAAGAGUUCAUUCUCAAUCAUUUUAUUUCUUACACGCUACCAGCACGCUCCCGGAGCUGCAAGCACAACACAACACUGAAUAUCACAAACAUUUCAAACAUCAUGUUGCACAGCAUGAGAUCACACCACACCGCCCCUUCUGGUUGAUCACCAGAAUUUUGCAUCACGCCGCAGCUCGAGACUGAUGUUUAGAUAGGCUUUCCAAGUACUCAUCCACAAUGUCCAAAGCACACAUUUCCUUCACACACGUCAUCGACGCAGGGACGUCGAACUGGAAAGUGAGCCCUGAGCUCCCAAACUCCUUCCUCGCCGCUUGGAUGGCUUCUCUCACCGCACAAUGGACGGAUGCCGCAAGAACUAAGGCGGGUUCCCCAUAAGCUGGCAGAGGCAGUGGUUAGAUUAAUUUAGCUAAUGAUCACAUUCAUAUCCGGAAAAAAGGUGAAGUAUAUUCAUAUUGCUUUAGGGAAAGAGAUCACAUUCAUACCCUUUGACGAAAGCACACGGUUCUUGUGGUACCCAGUGUUGAGCACCUCGGCGUUGAACUGCUUCGGGAUGGUGUCGACGCUUGGGAUCUUGUAGACCCAUGUACUGUCACUCACAACCAGUCCAUCGGCAUUUGUUUCGUGUUCUUCAUUUAUGAAGAAACCGACUCCUUGUAUGAAGGAGCCUUCAAUCUGUAAGAUGGAUGGCAGAGAUCAGAUAUGAAUAUAUGAUGCCAUCAUGUACUAUAAUGAAGAAAAACUCUGAUCAGGGCUGCAAUCGUAAUGUACUCGCUCUGUUUCGAAGCAAGGCAUCAUCAAAUACGGAGUAAUAUCCAUUCUUAGUACAGAAUGAUAAAGGUGUGUAACACAGUGGAAAAUAUCUCAGACCUGGCCCAAGUCCACUGCAGGGUUCAAACUCUUUCCACAGUCAUACACAAGGUCGCUCCGUAGUAAAGUAAUGGUUCCUGUAAGAAGAUCAAUCUCCACCUGGACUUUUAGUAAAAAGUGAAAAGGAAAUCAGAAAAGAAUCACAAUAUCUUUCAUAUGUAGAACAUCCAGUAACUAUUGAACUAUGUUAGUCUGAUUGACAUUUAGCAGAAUAUUUUUGUACCUCACUUAUACCAGCUCCAUAGUUCAGAUAGGUACUGGAUUCUUGGCCAGGUACCCAGUAUGUACUUGAGGACAAAUUAACAUUAUCCUUAACGGUCUGUUGGGGAACAUUAAAUUAUACAACGACAAAGUGUUAGCACACAUACAAAUAACAAUUUCCACACAUAAAUGUUUUACUCCCAUAUAGAAUAAAAAACCAGAGGGAAAUAAGAAAACAACCUGAGCAAUCAAAGCAUCCCAUGAAACAGCACCGCCGGAUUGCUGCUUGAGCUUCUCCAUGACUGGCUUUAAUCUGUCAACCAGCAUGUUGCAGGCCUCAAGGGUUGCUGCACAGCUAGACUCAGACGAAGUGCUGCCGGCGGUGAGCCCACCUUGGAUCAAGUUCAGCAUAUCAGCCUGAGGAACACGCACCCUAUCAAGAAGGGAUUCACAUCCAUCAGGCCACAACUGUCCCAAAGCAAAAGUUGUCAUUUGCUGUACUUUGGUCCACAGCCCUUGCCCAAUCUCAAUGCCUCCAACCUCAACCACAAUGGAACCAUCGUUGAGCACAGAAACUCUUCUAGGAGCUGGCCUUGGUGCCACCUUGAAGACGAGGGGCGCGCAAGAGAUACCCCGCUUCCACCACUUGGUGCAGCUGUUGUACUGCCUGAUGGAUUCGGCUCGAUGCAGGUAGCUCGAUGUCGUGAGCAACCUAUCGAAGAUAGAAUGCAAUGUGUACGUAGAAGCUUCGCCUGUGCUUUCUGGAUAGAACAACACAAGGCUGUCAUAGGUGUGGAAAUUCUUCUGUCUGACACUAUUAGCAUCAAGUGACAGCACCGAAGCGACAUGCUCGAUGAUAGCUUCAGCGAUAAAAGAUCCCUGAGCAUCUCCAGGAGCACGCAUUACUGACUUGGAUGUGUUGUUUGUUUUACAGAGCUUGAUGUCGAACGAGAGAGCACCCCAGUUGUAUUUCUUCAGGCCUGAAAUGAUGGUGUCUGGCAUUAUGGUGCUAGCAUCUGGAGAAAUUCCAGCAUUGACUAGUAUGUCCAGGUGCAAGGCUGUGAUUCUCCCAUCAGACUUUAAACCAACAGAGUAAUAUGCUUUUAUGGGGUGACGACCCCAGAUCAUGAUCAUGUCAGUACUGCGGUUGAGAUACAUCCGCACCGGUAACUUGAAUGCACAGAGUGCAGCUGCCGUUGCUACCUACAAAAACAUAAAUUGUCAGAUCACUAAGCACAACACAGCUGAAAUGGUUAAUGUCUUUUGCUUUCUUGGAAGUUGAAUGAAUGGUAAAAUGGCCAAACUUAUGUUAAAACCUAUCACUAGAACCCUAAUCCACCAUAAAAAAAGGAAUGUUAGUUGUAAAAAUAGAUUAGUGGAUUAGAUGUUGCGUCGUGAACUCAUCUUAUGUGAAACCUAACUUAUACACUCAUGUUCGUUGAAGGUAUAUACUAGAAGUAAAAAAAAAUGCAAUUAUUCAUAUAAAGAUACUACCUCCAUCCGGAAUUAGUUGACGCUCAAACGGAUGUUCCGAACGGAGGGAGUACUUGUUAGAUUCUUUCAGUUGUGCCGCAUGGGCUAUGAAUUUCUUUUGUCGCUUUGUCGGGCUGUUGUUUAAACUUGUUAGAUUCCUACUUACAUUGCAUGAUCUGAAUGCCUUCCCACCAAAGCCUCCUCCAACCCUCCUUGUAAUGACACGCACGCUGCUGAACGGAAUGCCGAGGCACUUGGCUAUUGCACUCUGUGCAACCUCAGGGUACUGUGAUGAAAUGUAUACGACCAUGCUGUUAUCUUCAUCUGGAAUUGCUAGAGUCGCUUGUGUUUCCAUGUAGAAGUAGUAUUGAGAGGCAAGUUUCACCUGUGAUCAUUCAAGGUACACAUAUAACUUUGACAAAGUUGCAUCACAACAAUACGAACUUUCAUACAGUUGCUAUGUUACUGAGCAGAUUAAAUGGUAACUAUAAAAAAGAAGAAUCAGAUUAACUACACGGACCAUACCAGAGCUCAAGUUAAUUAAAUGAUAGUGACUGUAAAGUUAUAUAUGUAACAAAAAGUGGUAUCCACUAGUAAUGCAUAUGGUCCAGUUGAAAAUAGAUAAUAUCAAAAAUGAAAUUUAGAAGUUUGUAUUGUUAAGUAUAAAAAGUUCCAUUAAAUUUUCAGUAAUGCAUGUUAAGUAUAAGAAGUUCCAUUAAUUUUUGAGUAAUGCAAGCGAGAUGUUAGAAUGGAAAAGGUCUCAUAGUAUUUUGAAUUAACAUACUUUCGUUGAGAGGAUCUUGUGGUCAGCUUCUGCCAUGCCCUUGCAAAAAUUACCAACUUGUUUUGGAUACAUCUCAGGAGGAACUUCGAAAUAGCUGUUGUUUUGUACUGCUUGUUCUACAGUAAAGAUUGGUGGCUUCAAAUCUUUUGUGUCAUAUUCAACAACAACCUGUUUUCCUGCCAAGUUGGCGUAUCUCUGAGUUUCUGCAAUCUGAAGUAAAGUCCACAUUUUAGGACAUCAGUACUGAAAAAAUACAGAAUAUAUUUUUUCAUUCUUAGAGCAAAAGGUAGCUAAUGCUCACUUGUAAUUAGGGGCAAAUGUGCACUUAAAUAAAUAGUUUAAUUUAACAAGAUCACCUUCGGUAUUUAAUUAGGGGCAAUUGUGAGAACAAUACAAUAUAUUUUUGGCAUAUCCACUUGCAUUGAGUUUCAACAAGCAAUCUUGUUACGAAACAAACAGAGAUAUAGGUGCUCCUACUACACAAAAUUUCUGUAGGCGUUUAAUUAACCCAAUCUAAUAGGUUGUUCCUUAGGGCAUUUUACAAGUAAAUUUCUGGAUAUAAAUAUUAUAUAUAUAUAUAUAUAUAUAUAUAAUUUUUGGAAAAAUGAAUUUGUGAAAUUAAGGUUUCAUUAUUUUAAUUUUUACAGAUUUGCCCCUAAUUAAGAUUUACUUUUUCUGUAACAUUCACAAAGGUUUUUCUCAAAGAAGAAUAAUGAAGAAAAACCCAUUUAUGAAUUGCCUUUAUUAUACAAGAAUUUAUUGCGGAGUGAACAUUAAAAUAUGAAAAGAUAAGUACCACGACACCAAGAGCUUGUCCAGCAUACGCAACAAUUGGGGCACCAAAAAGUGGUUCGUCCCCAAACAUCAAGCUUGACCCAAUAUUUUGCCCGCCACUUGGAAUAUCAUUUGCAGAAACAACCGUGAGGAUCUUCUCUGAUGCUAAAGAAGGUUUGAACUUGAUAUUCUUGACAUAUGCAAGAGGUUGUGUGCUGUAAAUAAACUCUCCGUAAAGGCAAUUCUUUGGAGCAGGGAUAUCAUCUACAUAUACUGCCUCCCCUGCAGUACAGAAAAGAAAUUAUAUCAGUCUGAAGCUAAUCCAAAAGGAAGGAUAAUUUAGAGAGGAAGAAAACUUCUAGAUCCCCAUUAGGAAUUCUGAUGGUUUAUAUUCAUCACAUACCAGAAGCUUGAAGCUCAACUGCAUAUCUCUUAAUCGGCUCACCAACUGGUUAUAUUCAUCACUGGAAACUGUUUCUCGACGUGAAGACAACGGAAGGUCACAAAUAUCAUCUGUAUCUAAAGAACCAGCAGAACUAAUGUUCAGAGUUUCUCCAGAUUCCUUUAGCAAAUGGAGACAAGUAACUGAAGAGAAAUCCAACAACCACACUGACUCUGUAUUCAGGAUGUGAUGUUCCUUCCAUUGGUACAAUUGUUUCUCUAAGUAAUCGAACUACCGUUCAGGUGUUGUUCAACUUUUGUUACUCUAAUAGCAUGUUCGGUCCCAUAGGCACCAAAGGCCAUGUGUAGGUUACUCAACACAAGAUCACCAGACGAUUCAUUCAGGAAGACAUGGCCCAGCAUAGCAGAGUUAACAUAUGAAACAACAUUGCCAAGAGGGCGAGGUGCCGCUCGGUAAGUUUCGAAGAUCACCUUACUUUCUUUCUGAGAAUCUGAAGCCCAAUGUGGAAUAAAUAUGCUCAGGAGCAAUGUACUGGGAUCAAGAGGAGGCUGCUCCAGAAACUCUUCAAAAGUUACCUCUAGUGUUUCUGAAUAAACCUGAAGACGAACAGUUGAAGCAGCACCAAGAAGUAUGGUCGCGAUGUCCGAGGGAAACGGGUAUUUCUGUGCUAGAAUUAUGUUCCCACCAAGGCUUGCUGUGUUGCGGACAAAUGGUGUGGCCACCUUGCUCAUGUGCUCAGCGAGUUUUCUGAAAACCACACUUCCAUUUGCACAUGAUGUAGAUCUAGCUUCUUGCUCGAGUAUCUCAAUAGUUUUAGAAAUUGGUGUAGCUGCUCCGAUUUCAAAGCCACUGUCUUUCUUCCAAACAGCUGAAAGUUCAGGAAUGUCACCGAUGUCAAUAUACUUGUUAUAUAGAUCCCGAUCCUUGUAUCCCUUGACACCAGAACUUGUGUUCCCGACAACCACUUUAACUGUGCAGUCACUAAAAAUGCCAGAGUUCAGCAAGUCAUAAUACUGCCCAAUGCUUUUAGGAUGAUACCAACCCACCCUGGAGACCGUGACAUCUGAAACAUCAGUUAGAUGAAGGAGCGAAGAUUUUAUCUCGGAUUUCAGGAAGUCCGGGAAAGUGCAGACUCCACCACCAAGAGUGUAAGCUGGCAACUUGCUGACGUCGGCGUCCUUAUCACCUUUCUUCCAGAAUAUAUUGAGGCCCAAAUCCUCCAGGUCAACAUCUGAAGCAAAACUUUUGCACGCAUCGACGAUCGGUCGGUAGCCGGUACAUCUACACAUGUUGCCUGAGAAAGCCCUUUCUGCUUCAGAUACUGUCAACUUUGAGAACCCCUUUCGUGGUUCGGGCUUCUUGGACUUGUCAGCAUUGGCAAGAGAAGUGAAAAUAGACAUGCACAUGCCGGGAGUGCAGAAGCCGCACUGAGAACCAUGGAACCCGGACAUUCUUUUCUGAAUAGAAUGGAAGCCAUCUUGUGUAUUUCCCAGGCCUUCGGUGGUGAUGGCUGAGCAGAGAUUUAUGCUGUAGAGCAGGGCCAGGCAUCAACUUGCGGAGAAUUUGGUCACUUCAUCUUUUGUUGGAUUAUAGGUUGCUAUAAGGACUACACAAGCUCCACAUCCACCUGCAAUUGAGCACAGUUAUAGAAUUAGUCAUGGCAUUCUAUAUCCUCCUCUUUUCGGAAGAAUGAACAUCACAUGCCCGUAUAUCCUCUCUCUCUUAUCAUGGAUCUGGAGGGACCGGCCGAACCGAAAGGACUAGAACUUGCGUGAGAACUGAACAAAUAUAGCCACAAUGCAUGAGAACUUGCGUGAGAACUGUCUCAAUUUGGUUUGGAUUCUUAGUUCAAAAUCUGAACUUGUCUCUAAAAAAAGAACAGCAUUGAAGCAUACGGAUCCAAAGUACACAAUGAAAGCCGAUGCAUGAACUGCGGGCGGUAUGAUAUAUGGACCUUAUGUAACCAGGUUCUUAACAAGAUUUCUGCAUAAACUUUAGCACUAGCGCACCCGCAUCGGCGGAGUUUGUAUGUUCAAAACAGGGUCACCAUGACGAUGACACACUUUGAUGUUCGAAUACUAUGCUGCAUCGAGCUGGUGAAAUCCACACAGAAAUCCUCGACGACGCCAUCGCCCCCAGGACUGCCGCCCGCCGACGCGUCCCCGAGAGGGAGGUGGAGCUCGUUGUCCAGCUCCCGUGUCGAUAGUAUUCUGGAUCUGACAAAUGUUUGAAAACUAUAGCGAAAAAUAUUCUGAAUCUGUUUGCACUGGAUGGAUACCGUGAAAUUUCCUGUUGUUUUUAUGCAGCUUUGUUCAAUUUCUAAAAGCUGCCUAAAAAUUCUGAAAUGUUUCUUGAAAUCCGUAGAAAGAAGUUUGGAGUUUGUUGGUACUAGUAGUGAAAGAUGGUUCAAAUUCAUGAAAUGGUUUUGACACACAGUGUGUUUGAUACUUUGGCCGACAUUUAGCAAUCCCGAUAUAUAAUUGAGUUGCGUACACGCAGUCUGAAAUCCCAAAACAACCAUCAACGACAUGUGUGGUGCCGGAAUAUAGCACUUACGGUAGAGGCAAUUAGGAAGUCCCUUCCAACGAUCCCCUCUCCCCGCGCACCCUGGUCUAGAAGCUAGCCCCUUUCACUAUUCUACAUGAUAUAUCUUUUUUUAACACAAUAAAAUCAUAGAUGCGUGCAUAUACGCGCAUACACUCACAUUUAUGAACGCAUGCAUGCACUGUUAGAUAAUAACGAGAAAUAAACGAGACACAAGAGACACGGAUUUUUACGUGGAAACCCUUGCGGGAGAAAACCACGGACGCACGAAGGCGCAAUCACUAUGAGGAGGAGUAUUACAAGCACGAGACGACAUGCCGUCUUAGGUGCGACUACAUGGGGUAUAUGUGAGGGGCAACACAUAGGAGUCGUUGUAGGACAUGUAAACGAGUUGUACUCGUACGCGUCAGUACCAACGCAAAGGCCCACACCGUAUGUACUAUGUCUAGUCCAAUACGGUAGAAUUUGGAUCACAAUUUAACAAUCUCCACCUUGAGCCAAAUUCCCUCCAGUAGUCGAAGAAAGUAAAUAACUCCAUCCAAAUCAGCAUAAACACCUUCUGCGUCAAAGUCCAUUGGACUAGUGUGAAAUACCAACUAAGCCUGAGCAAAGCCCAAACUUAUUGGUCGGAACUGGCUUUGUCAUCAUAUCAGCAGGAUUAUCAUGAGUACUUAUCUUGCAUACCUUCAAAUCGCCUUCAGCAACAACAUCUCGAAUAUAAUGAAAUUUGACAUCAAUGUGCUUUGUUCUCUCAUGAUACAUUGGAUUCUUUGUAAGAUAUAUGGCAUUUUGACUGUCAGAAAAUAUGGUAGGGCAAGAUGAAUCUCCACAAAGCUCAGCAUACAAACCUCUCAACCAGAUAGCUUCUUUGCAUGUCUCAGAAAUAGCCAUAUACUCGACAUCAGUAGUGGAACAAGCCACAAUAGACUGCAAAGUUGCUCUCCAACUCACAACACAACCACCAAUGGUGAAAACAUAACCUGUGACUGACCUUCUCUUAUCCAAAUCACCAGCAAAAUCAGAAUCAACAAAACCAACAAGUCCAUCUUCAGUUCUCCCAAACUGUAAAUAAGCAUUAGAAGUACCUCGCAGAUAUCUGAAAAUCCACUGAACUGCUCUCCAAUGCUCUUUUCCAGGAUUAGCCAUGUAUCUACUGACAACACUCAAUGCAUAUGAUAAAUCCGGACGAGAACAAACCAUGGCAUACAUAAGUGAACCAACUGCACUCGAAUAGGGAACUCUAGACAUGUACUCAAUAUCUGCAUCUGACUUAGGACAUAAAGUUGAUGAUAAUUUGAAGUGUGCAGCUAACGGAGUACUUACUGGCUUGGCAUUAUGCAUAUUAAAACGACGAAGAACUUUAUCAAUGUAUCCCUUCUGACUUAGAUAUACUUUUCCAGAUGGUCUAUCUCUGGAUAUUUCCAUGCCAAGUAUUUUCUUUGCUGCACCCAAAUUCUUCAUCUCAAAUUCAUUACUCAAUUGCUUCUUUAGUUCAUUAAUAUCUGACAUACUCUUUACAGCAAUAAGCAUAUCAUCAACAUAAAGGAGCAAAUAAAUAGUUGAACCUUUGACAGUUUUCAGAUAAACACAACUAUCAUAAUUAAACCUUUUAAAACCUUGAGAGAGCAUAAAGGUGUCAAAUCUCUUGUACCACUGUCUAGGGGAUUGCUUCAAUCCAUAAAGAGAUUUCUUUAACUUACAGACAAGCUUUUCUUUUCCAGGAAUAACAAAACCUUCAGGUUGUUCCAUAUAAAUAUCCUCUUCUAAUUCUCCAUGUAAGAAUGCAGUUUUAACAUCCAAUUGUUCAAGCUCAAAAUCAUGCAUGGCAACAAUACUGAGUAAAGUGCGAAUAGAGCUAUGCUUCACAACAGGAGAAAAGACUUCGUUAUAGUCAAUACCUGGAAUCUGACUGUAACCUUUAGCAACUAACUUUGCUUUAUAUCUUGUCUCAUCAUUAGGAGAAACACUUUCUUUCCUCUUGAAAACCCACUUGCAAUGAAUAGGUUUCUUCUCUCUAGGUAAUCUUACUAAAUCCCAAGUGCCAUUCUUUUCAAGUGAUUCCAUCUCAUCAUGCAUAGCAUUCACCCACUUAUUACAAUCACCAGAAAUAAUAGCCUCGGAAUAUGAAGAAGGCGCAAAAUUACCUUCAAUUUCUUCUGCAACAGAUAAAGCAAAAGAAACAAUAUUGCACUCUUCAAUUAACCUGUCAGGUUUAUUAAUACCCCGUCUAACUCUGUCACGUGCGAGAUUCCAACUGGGCGGAACAAUAGGCUGAUUUGGAGUGGGAGUGACAUUAUCAUCAUUAACGACGGGUUCAUCAUUUGCAUCAACAAUUUCAUGACCAGAUGUAUCACCCGAAUCAAUAACAUGCUCCACCUGAACAGUAGGCUCCUGAACAAUAGGCUGUUGUUCACUCUCAACGUGAACAUUAGUAGAUGAAACAUCAUGUAACAUAGCAGAUUCAUUAAAGAUAACAUUUCUGCUAAUAUCAACCUUCUGGGUUUCAGGAUUCCACAAUUUAAAACCUUUAACACCAGACUUAUAACCAAGAAAGAUGCACUUAACAGCCCUAGGCUCCAACUUUCCAUUAUCAACAUGAGCAUAAGCAAUGCACCCAAAAACUCUCAACUGUGAGUAAUCAGCAGGUGAACCAGACCAUACCUCAAUUGGAGUUUUCUUAUUAAGAGCAAUAGAUGGUGAACGGUUAACGAGAUAACAAGCAGUGGAAGCGGCCUCAGCCCAAAAACGCCUAUGCAAACCUGCAUUGGACAACAUGCAACGGGCUCUGGAAAUAAUGGUCCUGUUCAUACGCUCAGCAACACCGUUUUGUUGAGGAGUAUAAGGAACGGUGUAAUGUCUGACAAUGCCUUCAGACUUGCAAUAAUUCUUAAAUUGCUUAGAACAGAAUUCCAUACCAUUAUCAGUGCGAAGUAUUUUUACCUUCUUUUCAGUUUGUCUUUCAAUCAUAAUCUUCCACUCCUUAAAUGCUGAGAAUGCUUCAUAUUUAUGCUUCAAGAAAUAAGGCCAAACUUUUCUCGAAUAAUCAUCAAUAAUAGUCAGCAUGUAACUUGCACCACCUAGUGACUUUCUGCGAGAUGGUCCCCAUAAAUCAGAAUGGACAUAAUCAAGAAUACCUUCGGUUGUAUGAGUCGAAGUGUUGAACUUCACCCUCUUGUGCUUGCCGAAGAUGCAAUGCUCACAAAAUUUCAAUUUACCAGGCUCAUAUCCAUCAAGAAGACCUCUCUUAUUUAACUCUGCCAAACCAAGUUCACUCAUAUGUCCAAGACGCAUAUGCCAAAGGUUAGCAGCAUCACAAUCAGAAUUCUUUGAAAUAACUGGAGUAGCGUUACCUGAAACGGUAGAACCUCGAAGGUAAUAAAGACCAUUGGUCGAACUCAAAUCACCUUUCAUCACAAUAAGGGAACCUUUGGUGACUUUCAAAACACUAUCUCCACCUGAAUACUUGUAUCCCUUUGCAUCAAGGGCACUCAUAGAAAUAAGAUUUCUCUUCAUCUACCGAACAUCUGUCAAAGUUCUGAUUAUGCCAUCAAACAUCUUGAUUCGAAUAGAACCUAUGCCUUCAAUCUUGCAUGGUGAAUUAUCAAAACCCAAAACGGAACCAACAGCAGUAGUGGAAUCAAAAGUAUUAAACCAAUCUCUAUGUGGACACAUAUGAAAAGUGUAUGCAGUGUCAAGUACCCACUCAUCAUUGGUCUCAGCGCAUCCAGCAAUAACGACAAGAGCAUCAUCGGAACUAUCAUCACGAGCAACGUUAGCAGAAUUUUCACCUGGUUUGUUACCUUUUCUCUUUUCCUUGUUCUGCAACUUGAAACACUCUGAGAUGGCAUGCCCGCCUCUCUUGCAAUAUCUGCAAUACUUCUUGUCUCUGGAUUGCGACCGGCCCCUGUGGCCGUUCUUACUUUUGCCUCUGUUUCCAUUAUUGAAGUUCUUCUCCUUUGUCCUGCCACGAACCGAUAAUCCCUCGGCUUGGGAUGAACUUGAACCAUCAUGAGGCACCGUUAAUUUCAUCUUCUCCUUAGAGUUCAAAGCUCCAUAAACUUCAUUGAGCGUGAGAGUAUCACGAUUGUAUAAUAUGGUGUCUCUAAAAUUGGUAUAAGAACUUGGCAGUGAACAAAGUAACAUUAAAGCUGUAUCUUCCUCUUCAUACUUAACCUCCAUUGCAGCUAGAUCAGAUAUGAUCUCUUUAAAUUCUGAAAUAUGAUUCAAAACAUUACCUCCCUCAGGUAACCUGUGCAGGAAUAAUUUUUGCUUCAGAUGCAUCUUGCUGGUAAGAUCUUUAGUCAUGCAAAUCCCUUCCAGCUUUAACCAUAGAGCGGCGGCAGUUUUCUCGCUCAAAACUUCCUGCAAAAUAGUAUUAUGCAAAUGGAGUUGAAUUUUUGACAAAGCCUUACGAUCAAUUCUUUUCUCCUCAUCAGUCCAGUCCUCAAUUCGGUUCUUUCCGAAACUAUCCAAUGCUUAAUCAUAGUCGGUCUGUGCCAACAACGCUCACAUCUUAACUUGCCAUAGGGUAAACCUUGUGUCACGGUCCAGCGGCGGAAGAUCGUACUUCAUGGAAGCCAUGAGUAGAUAAAUCUGGUAAGCAUCGGGUGUGGACUAAACAGUAAAAAAAAAUCCAAACAGUAGCAAUUAGGCACCAAAGUGCGCUGUAGCUUGACGUGAUAGCGUACUAGUUGAAGUGCUAGUACACUAGUACUGCCAGCCCUUGGUCUUCACGUGUGGACAUGGAACACUCGCCGCUGAAAAGAAUCUGGGGACUUUGUCCACGCGGCUGCUGCUUUUCUUCUGUCGCCUUGAGACUCGGGAGCAGCGGCGGCUAGAUUAAAUCAUACAACACGUCGGCUCGGUGCAGCGGAUUCGUCUCGAUCUCGGUGUAGAGGAAAAAUCAGUAUCCGAUCUUGAUCUAGACACGGAUGAUGAGCCGCCCGGACUCGGCGGAUUGCACGACGCGGCGACAGCGCGGAACCCUAAUCCUCUCGAUCUCAAAUCUCGUCUCUGUCACUUGGCUCUGAUACCACUUGUUAGAUAAUAACAAGAAAUAAACGAGACACAAGAGACACGAAUUUUUACGUGAAAACCCUUGCGGGAGAAAACCACGGACGCCCGAAGGCGCAAUCACUAUGAGGAGGAGUAUUACAAGCACGAGACGACAUGCCGUCUUAGGUGCGACUACAUGGGGUAUAUAUGAGGGGCAACACAUAGGAGUCCUUGUAGGACAAGUAAACGAGUUGUACUCGUACGCGUCGGUACCAACGCAAAGGCCCACACCGUAUGUACUACGUCUAGUCCAAUACGGUAGAAUUUGGGUCACAAUUUAACAUGCACACUAUAUUCCACUGAGCACCUCCGAGAUAGUGAGCUGGCACAACAACCUGAGACCAACGAAGUCUUCACAUGUGCCUCAUGGUCAACGAAAACAUCUCUUCUCACUGAAUCGUCAGAAGUCUGAAAAAGAUUCAGGAAAAUGCGUACACCAGUGUCAAGUUUAAGACUUAAACCCCGAUAGGCUGGUUUCACCACAAGGAACCUAACUAUCUGAGCUGCGGUCAAUUUACUCCAUAGGAUAUAUCGGCUAAGAAAGGGACGCUCUAUCCUCCCAACAUGGAUCAACCACUCAAUAACUAGUACGACCCCAGAGUAAAGGACGAUGAUGGCGAACGAUGAAAAACAGUGGGUAAAGCAAAGUAUGAUGCAGACCGGGCGGUAAGAACGUGAGCUGGUUAAAGUGUGGCGUGCAAAACGGAAACUCCAAGGGAGAUCACUGUCACUGCAAGUAUGAUCAGAACCGAUCGGUCGAUCUGCUUAGCUUUCAGAGACUAGCUUUUCGCCACUCCGCGGCGCAUGCCCUGUCGCGUCUGCUAAGCUAGCUAGCUCAGGUGCCAGGGCCGUCCGAACUAGCUUUCGGCUCUUAAAUUGCAUUUGAACACUUGCUCCAUCCCUGUCGAUUGCCGACACGCAAGUAUGCGAAGUCUACAUUCUGUAUUUAUACUGCAUGUAAGGUACAUAGCUAGAUUAAUGACGUAGUGAAAUCAGGAAACACAAAAUACAAAUUGCAAUCUGUUAAGUAUUCCCGGUCACGCUUUAUAUAUCCGACCGAGCCCACCAUAUCGGCACAUCCAGAUGCAUGGAUGCAUGUGUCAUAAGGUAGUCGAAUCGUGAUUCUGAAUCAGAUCGAAGCUCCGAUGGUACGACCGCAAUCGUAGAAUCUUCGCUGUUAGAAUCGUAUAAGAAACAUACUCCCUUUGUUCCAAAUUAUAAGAAUCAUGGAUUAGGCGGUGUAUCAUUUUUCUUUCGGGAAAAUUAGCCAGUAUCUUCGAUAUGUGCAUGUUUGUGAUGAGUGUGUGAUUUUGUGGACCACAUGAUAACACAUCGCGAUCAAUAUGCAGAAUGAUAUAUAUAUAUACUAGAUCGACAUAAUGAUCUCAGAGUCAGACUAUCGGUCUCCAACAGACGAAAAACACUAAUUUCCUUGUACCGGGAGUUGUCAGGACAGUGAUCGUCCCUGGAUCAUCAAAAACUAAUGGUGUACGCUCGGACCACAACGUACGCAUGUCGACGCAAAAGUCACGGAAAGCAAUGGUACGCAUGAUCGAGAGCACCACACUCAAACCACGUCGCCCUCAAGAAAAGCAAGAAGGAGAGGCUCUGCUUCACCCUCCACGGAGUGCAGUUGGCGGUGGCACGUAGAUUCAAGAGCUUGCUGGCUGGCAAAGCUAAAAGAAUCGUGGAUCAAGAGCGAGCGAGCGAGCGUACGUACCUUCGCCGCAGCCGAGGCUGCCGAGCUUGGUGCCGGUGAAGGGCGUCCUGGUCCGGAUGAACUCGAGCAGCGUGGUUCCGGGGUGCACGUCGCCGGCGGCCACCUCGUACCGCCGCCCGUUCAGCGCGAACACCACCCUCUCCAGCCUCAUCGGUCGAUCUCCCUGAUCGCUCGCCGGCCGCCGGUCGUCACCGAUCGGUCGAUUGCGCGCGGUGAGCGAGCUGCUAGUCUGCUUCUGCUAGUGUAUGUGAGACUGUGUUAUGAGCCGCCUUGCGAUCUAGGACGACGUGCACGGCGAUAGAUGGAGGCGAGCUGCUACCUGGGAGUUGAAUGAAUGGGCAGCUGCGUGAUCUUUGAAUGCUAGCUGGUCGAUGGCUAUUUACUUGCGGGAGAGGAUCGAAACCAGUGUCAUGACCGCGACAGCACGCUACGGAAAGGCGAAGCGAAGCAAUGCAUUUUUUCUGUUGCGUCCGUGUCCGUAUUCCUGUAAAAAUACAAGGCGAGAGACAUACGACCCUAUAACUCCCGUCUCAAUCGAACGUGCAGCCGGUGGCUCACCCAGCAAACCCAGAGCAUCUGCGCCCUCCACCUUAGGGCAAGGACUAUAGGAGUCUCGAAAAUACAAUUUUUCCAAACUUCAAAAUAGUAGAUAAGCAUGUCGCCUAUCUACUAUACACUGUUCAUCUUUCCAAACUUCAAAAUACCAUCUUGGCACCAUUCAUAAUAUAGGGCUCGCUAGAGCUCGUGCGCCAAAGUCACUUUUUGCACUCUCCGCCCCCCUCUCUGCUAUGGUAGAUAGGCGACCGAAUCCCCAACGUCGAAUGCUAGUGAGGCCGUGGGUCCCUCCCCCCCCCCCCCUCCCCCGCCCAUCGCUGGAGGGGGAGGGAACUGCGAUGAACCAUCUUGUAAACCCGUUGAUCGGGAAUUUAAGGAGAGUUUGCAAUCAUCAUGUAUCAUAAUGCACCUCAUAGCAUGACUUAUCAUAUAGUUGCAUGGUGAAAAAACCCUCUAGGUUAACUUUGCAAUAUGUGNNNNNNNNNNNNNNNNNNNNNNNNNNNNNNNNNNNNNNNNNNNNNNNNNNNNNNNNNNNNNNNNNNNNNNNNNNNNNNNNNNNNNNNNNNNNNNNNNNNNNNNNNNNNNNNNNNNNNNNNNNNNNNNNNNNNNNNNNNNNNNNNNNNNNNNNNNNNNNNNNNNNNNNNNNNNNNNNNNNNNNNNNNNNNNNNNNNNNNNNNNNNNNNNNNNNNNNNNNNNNNNNNNNNNNNNNNNNNNNNNNNNNNNNNNNNNNNNNNNNNNNNNNNNNNNNNNNNNNNNNNNNNNNNNNNNNNNNNNNNNNNNNNNNNNNNNNNNNNNNNNNNNNNNNNNNNNNNNNNNNNNNNNNNNNNNNNNNNNNNNNNNNNNNNNNNNNNNNNNNNNNNNNNNNNNNNNNNNNNNNNNNNNNNNNNNNNNNNNNNNNNNNNNNNNNNNNNNNNNNNNNNNNNNNNNNNNNNNNNNNNNNNNNNNNNNNNNNNNNNNNNNNNNNNNNNNNNNNNNNNNNNNNNNNNNNNNNNNNNNNNNNNNNNNNNNNNNNNNNNNNNNNNNNNNNNNUCGUGCGCCAAAGUCACUUUUUGCACUCUCCGCCCCCCUCUCUGCUAUGGUAGAUAGGCGACCGAAUCCCCAACGUCGAAUGCUAGUGAGGCCGUGGGUCCCUCCCCCCCCCCCCUCCCCCGCCCAUCGCUGGAGGGGGAGGGAACUGCGAUGAACCAUCUUGUAAACCCGUUGAUCGGGAAUUUAAGGAGAGUUUGCAAUCAUCAUGUAUCAUAAUGCACCUCAUAGCAUGACUUAUCAUAUAGUUGCAUGGUGAAAAAACCCUCUAGGUUAACUUUGCAAUAUGUGCAAAUCUGCUCAUAAGUGAAUGUUGCGAAGAAAAUGGCAUCCAACUAAUGACUUGGUAUUUUCCCGAGUCCUAAAUGUCACAACCAACACCGAGGAUGGAUCUCAAAUUUUCUGUCUUAGUUUUGGUAUUUGAAUCAAAUGAUAAUUGUUCAGAUUCAAAAAAUGGUAGAACUGUAAUUUAAUUGCUUGGUGGUGAUUCCGUUAAUGAAAAUUGAUAUAUCGGGAUAAUAUGUGGCCCUUAACCUCCAGUAAAAUUAUCAGGACUUUUGGAAUCAUAUUUCAUCUACAUGCAAUUCAGACCCAAAUUUAGGGCAGAACUGAAUUUGAAUUAAAUGAUAGUCAAAUACUUCUGAAAAAUCUUGAAAAUUUUCACAAUAGUGUGAAAUAGUAUAAUUGGAACAUGUACCUACAGUUUUAAACCAACAAAUGAUUAACUAGCCCUUUAAAAUCCAAGGAAUGAAAGGAAUACAAGAAAUAGGAGAGAGGAGGAGGCAACCCAAACCAAACUGGGCUGAACCGGGUCUAGUCGGUCUCCCCCACCUAUUUCUUUUUUUUUCUCUGUUUCGCAACAAAAGAUAUUUUUCUCUUUUCCUUUCCCCACUGAGCAAUGGGGCCCGAUGGGACCCACCAAUCAGGUCACCUUCCAUCUCAUCAGAGAGUUUCCCUCCAGGUCGAGAUUGGCAUUGACACCCAGGGCACCAGCAGGCAACAUGCAAGUUGUCUGGACGCAAUCGUGGCAUCUUCGGCGAGCUUCCCCUCUGCCUCCAUGUCCCUGAGCUCCCCUCGGUCGAUUUGGCCAGGUACUCUAGCCGAUGUCGACGUCGUCCCCGGCUUCGGCGGACACCUCCACGGUCCCUUUGUCGCCACCUUCUUCCCCAAGCUCACCUCUGCUCGUCUGAGCCUUGAGCUUUGACGCAUCCUCUCGGCCAAGAUCACUUCUGCUCGUCUUCGACGACGCCUACUGUCGCACGCUCGGGAUCCGCCGGCCGCCCCGAAGGCCAGAGCAUGCAGCGCUGGCCAUCGAACAACCGGAUCACCUGUAGCUCCUGUAAGUCCACGACCUCAACGCCACGGAGGCCAUAGCAGCGGAGCAGGACCCGAGCCGCCGCCUAUGACCCCCAUACACCGGCGACACGACAGCUAGCCAUGUCCUCCCUGGCUCGGCGUCGCCCCGGCUCUGCCUCGGACGGUGCCUCGCCAUCCUCUUCUCUUCGCAAAUCGAGUGACGCAAGUUUCAUUUUCAGACAACUUGCAAAUAGCAAACAUGGAUUACUAUUUAUAAACAUGCAUUUCAAAUGCAGGUAUGCCUUCAGGUUCAGUCUGGAAUUAUCAAUGCAAGUCUCAACCCAGAAUUAUUACAAAAGUGUGCAAGCACAACACUGAAUGUUAUAAACAUUCCGAACAACAUGUAUGCAAUUUACCAUUCAACGUCACGCAACACGAACAAACCACACCGCUCCUUCCGGUUGACAGUACCCCAUUCUUGUAUCAUGCCGCAGCUCGAGACUGAUGUGCAGAUAGGCUUUCCAAGUACUUAUCCACGAUGUCCAAACCACACAUUUCCUUCACGUGUGUCAUCGGUGCAGGGACGUCGAGCUGGAACGUGAGCUCUGAGCUUCCAAACUCCUUCCUUGCCGCUCGGAUGGCCUCUCUCACCGCGCAAUGGACCGACGCUGCGAGAACCACGGCAGGCUCCCCAGAGGCUGGCAGAGGCAGACUAGUUAAAUCACUUUAACCAAUGAAAAAUUUCAGUUGGCAAAAUAGUAAAACUAUAUUCAUGUUGCUUCAGUUCAGGGGAAGCACAGUCCUACUACACACCUUUUGACGAAAGAACUCGGUUCUUAUGGUACCCAGUGUUGAGCACCUCGACGUUGAACUGCUUCGGGAUGGUGUCCACGCUCGGGAUCUUGUAGACCCAUGUGCUGUCACUCACAACCAGUCCAUCGGCAUUUGUUUCGUGUUCUUCGUUUAUGAAGAAACCAAUUCCUUGUAUGAAGGAGCCUUCAAUCUGUAACAUGGAUGGUAGAGAUCAGAUAUGAAUAUAUGAUGCCAUCAUGUACUAUAAUGAAGAAAAACUCUGAUCAGGGCUGCAAUAUAAUGUACUCGCUCUGUUUCGAUGUAAGGCAUUAUCAAAUAAUAUCCAUGUUCACUACUCCCUCCGUUCUUAAAUAUAAGUCUUUCUAGAGAUUACACUAUGGACUACAUACGGAUCAAAAUGAGUGAAUCUACACUCUAAAAUGUGUCUAUAUACGUCCGUAUGUAGUUUGUAGUGGAAUCUCUAAAAAGACUUACAUUUAGGAACGGAGGGAGUACAAAAUGAUAAAAGAAGAGCACAGCGCAGUGGAAAAUAUCUCAAACCUGGCCCAAGUCCACUGCAGGGUUCAAACUCUUUCCACAGUCAUACACAAGGUCACUCCGUAGUAAAGUAAUAGCUCCUGUAAGAACAUCAAUCUCCACCUGAAUUUUCAGUAAAAAGUGAAAAUGAAGUCAGAAAAGUAUCACAAUAUCAUACAGUAACUAUUGAACUAUGCUAGUGUGAUUGACAUUUAGCAGAACAUUUUUGUACCUCACUUAUAGCAGCUCCAUAGUUCAGAUAGGUGCUGGAUUCUUGGCCAGGUACCCAGUAUGCACUUGAGGACAAAUUAACAUUAUCCGUAAUGGCCUAUUUGGGAAAGUGUGAGCACGUAUAAAGAUAAAAAAUUCCACACACAAAUAUUUUACUCUUAUGUAGCAUAAAAAUCCAGAGGGAAAUAAAAAAAUAACCUGAGCAAUCAAAGCAUCCCAUGAAACAGCGCCACCGGAUUGCUGCUUGAGCUUCUUCAUGACUGGCUUUAAUCUCUCAACCAGCAUGUUGCAGGCCUCAAGGGUUGCUGCACAGCUAGAUUCAGACGAAGUGCUGCCAGCAGUGAGUCCACCUUGAAUCAAGUUCAGCGUGUCAGCCUGAAGAAGGCGCACUCUAUCAAGAAGGUAUUCAGAUCCAUCAGGCCAUAACUGUCCCAACGCGAAAACGGUCAUCUGCUGUACUUUGGUCCACAGUCCCUGCCCAACCUCAAUACCUCCAACCUCAACCACAAUGGAACCGUCGUUGAGCACAGAAACUCUUCCAGGAGCUGGCCUUGGUGCCACCUUGAAGAUGAGGGGCGCACAAGAGAUACCCCUCUUCCGCCACUUGUUGCAGUUGUUAAAAUGCUUGAUGGAUUCAGCUCGAUGCAAGUAGCUUGACGUCGUGAGUAAUCUAUUGAAGAUAGAAUGCAAUGUGUACGUCGAUGCUUCGCCUGCGCUUUCUGGAUAGAACUGCACAAGACUGUCAUAGGUGUGGAAAUUCUUCUGCCUGACAGUAUUAGCAUCAAGCUUCAGCACUGAAGCGACAUGCUCGAUGAUGGCUUCAGCAAUAAAAGAGCCUUGCGUAUCUCCAGGAGCACGCAUUACUGACUUGGAUGUGUUGUUUGUCUUACAGACCUUGAUGUCAAACGAGAGAGCACCCCAGUUGUAUUUCUUCAGGCCUGACAUCAUAGUGUCUGGCAUUAGGGGGCUCGCAUCUGGAGAAAUCCCAGCGUUGAUUAGAAUGUCCAGGUGCAAGGCUGUGAUUCUUCCAUUGGACUUGAAACCAACAGUGUAAUAUGCUUUUAUGGGGUGUCGACCCCCGAUCAUGAUCAUGUCAGUACUGCGGUUGAGAUACAUCCGCACCGGGCGGCGUAACUUGAAGGCACAAAGUGCAGCUGCCGUUGCUACCUGCAAAAGCAUAUAUUGUUGGAUCACUGAGUAGCAAUAGCUGAAAUGGUCAAUGUUUCGGCUUUCUUGGAAGCUGAAUGAAUGGUAAAAUGAAGCUCAAAUGGGCAAACUUAUGUUAGAAGCUAUCACUAGAACUCCAAUCUACCAUACAAAAUAGCAAUUAUUCAUAAAAUGCAAUAUCCAAAAAGUACUGUUAGAUUCAUUCAGUUGUAACACACAAGCUUUGAAUUUGUUGCCACUCUGUUGGACUGUUGUUCAAAAUUGUUUGAUCUUACUUACAGUGUAUGAUCUGAAUGCCUUCCCACCAAAGCCUCCUCCAACCCUUCUUGUAAUGACACGCACAUUGCUGAAUGGAAUGCCGAGGCACCUUGCUAUGACACUCUGUGCAAGCUCAGGGUAUUGUGAUGAACUGUAGACCACAAUAGUGUUAUCUUCAUCUGGAAUCGCAAGUGCUGUUUGUGUUUCCAUGUAGAAGUAGUACUGAGAGGCAAGUUUCACCUGCGACCAUCGAGGUCAUACAUAUUAAUGCAUGUUGAAAACAGAGACCAUCGAAAAUCAAAUUUAAACGUUUGCGUUGUUAAGUAUAAAAACUUCCAUUCACUUUUGAGCAAUGCAGGUGAGAUGUCAGUAUGAAAAGGUCUCACGGUGUGUAGAAUUAACAUACUUCUGUUGAGAGGAUCUUGUGAUCAGCUUCUGCCAUGCCCUUCGAGAAAUCACCAACUUGUUUUGGAUACUUCCCAGGAGGAACUUCGAAAUAACUAUUGUUCUGUACUGCCUGUUCUACAGUUAAGAUGGGUGGCUUCAAAUCUUUUGUGUCAUAUUCAACAACGACCUGUUUGCCUGCCAAGUUGGCAUAUCUCUGAGUCUCUGCAAUCUGAGGUAAAGUACACAUUUUAGUGACAUCAGUAAUGAAGAAGUACAAAAUAACAAACUUUUGUAAUAAGUUUUUGAUUCUUAGAGAAAAUGGUAGCUAAUGCUUACUUGUAACCAGGGGAAAUUUUGCACUAAUUAUUAAUUAGUUUAAUUUUAAAAUAUUACUCAUGGUGUUUAAAUUAAAUACAUUCAUAUUAUGAUAAAAUGUGACAUCAAUAUAGUGUAUUUUUUGCAUAUCCACUUGCGUUCACAUUUAGUAAGCAAUGUUUUAAUGAAAGAAAAGAGAUACAAGCUCACCGCAGAAAAUUUCCAUGAGCUUUUAAUUAACCCAAUCUAAUACGGGUUUUCUUAGGGUAUUUUACAAAAGAAAUUUAUGAUAUACAUAUAUAGAUAUAUUUUUUGGAUGAACAACUGUGUGAUAUUAGGGUUUAUUAUUUUAAUUUGUAUGGAUUUGCCCCUCCUAAUUAAAAAUUAAUUCUUCCUUACAUUCAUAGACUUAUUUUGCAGAGAGAAAUAGUGAAGAAAUCCCAUUUAUAAAUUGACUUCAUUAUACAAGAAUUUAUUGUUGAGUAAACAUUAAAAAUAUGAAAGAUAAGUACCACGACACCAAGAGCUUGUCCAGCAUACUCAGCAACUGGAGAACCAAAAAGUGGUUCAUCCCCAAACAUGAAGCUUGAUCCAAUAUUUUGCCCUCCACUUGGAAUAUCCUUCGCGGAAACAACUGUGAGGACCUUCUCUGAUGCUAAAGAAGGCUUGAAUUUGAUAUUCUUGACAUAUGCAAGAGGCUGUGUGCUGUAAAUAAACUCUCCAUAGAGGCAAUUCUUUGGAGCAGGAAUAUCAUCUACAUAUACUGCCUCCCCUGCAGUACAGAAAAGAAAUUCUAUCAGCCUAAACAUAAUCAUAAAGGAAGGAUAAUUUGGAGAGGAAAAGAAUAUGUAGAGCCCACUAAUAAUUUUGAUGAUGUAAGCUUAUUAAACACAUACCAGAAGCUUGAAGCUCAACUGCAUACUUUUUAAUCGGCUCACCAACUGGUUUAUGAUCAUCACUGGAAACAGUGUCUCGACGUGAAGACAAUGGAAGGUUACAGGGAUCAUCUGUAUCUGAAGAACUAGCAUAACCAAUGCUUGCAGUUUUUCCAGGCCCUUUGAUUCCUUUAGCAAAUGGAGACAGGAAACUGAAGAGAAAUGCAACAGCCACACUGAUUCUGUAUUCAGCAUGUGAUGUUCCUUCCAUUGGUACAAUUGUUUCUCUAAGUAACCGAACUGCUUCAAGCACAACAGAUGGAGUGAGCACUUCUCCAUUCAGGUGUUGUUCAACUUUUGUUGCUCUAAUAGCAUGUUCCGUCCCAUAGGCACCAAAGGCCAUGUGUAGGUUACUCAGCACAAGAUCACCACAUGAUUUCUGGGAGACAUGGCCCAACAUAGCAGAGUUAAUAUAUGAAACCGCAUUGCCAAGAGGGCGCGGCGCUGCUCGGUAAGUUUCGAAGAUCACCUUACUUUCUUUCUGAGAAUCUGAAGCCCAAUGUGGAAUAAAUAUGCUCAGGAGCAAUGUACUGGGAUCACUAGGAGGCUGCUCCAGAAACUCUUCCAAAGUAACCUCUAGUGUUUCUGAAUAAACCUGAAGACGAACAGUUGAAGCAGCACCGAGAAGUAUGGUCACGAUGUCCGAGGGAAAAGGGUAUUUCUGUGCUAGAAUUAUGUUCCCACCAAUGCUUGCCGUGUUACGGACAAACGGUGUGGCCACCUUGCUCAUGUGCUCGGCGAGUUUUCUGAAAACUACACUUCCAUUUGGAGAUGAUUUAGACCCGGCUUCUUGCUCAAGUAUCUCGGUGGUCUUAGAAAUUGGUGUAGCUGCUCCAAUUUCAAUGCCACCGUCUUUCUUACAAAUAGCUGAAAGCUCUGGAAUGUCACCGAUGUCAAUAUACUUGUUAUAUAGAUCCUGAUCCUUGUAUCCCUUUACACCAGAACUUGUGUUCGCGACAACCACUUUAACUGUGCAGUCACUGAACAAGCCAGAGUUGAGCAAAUCAUAAUAUUGCUCGAUGCUUUUAGGAUGAUACCAACCCUCCCUGGAGACCGUAACAUCCGAAUCAUCAUUUAGAUGAUGAAGCGAAGAUUUUAUCUCGGAUUUCAGGAAGUCUGGGAAAGUGCAGACUCCGCCGCCAAGAGUGUAAUCUGGCAACUUGCUAACGUCGGCGUGCUUAUCACCUUUCUUCCAGAAUACAUUGAGGCCCAAAUCCUCCAGGUCAACAUCUGAAGCAAAACUUUUGCAUGCAUCAACGAUUGGACGGUAACCAGUACAUCUACACAUGUUGCCUGAGAAAGCCUUUUCUGCUUCGGACACCGUCAACUUUGAGAACCCUUUUUGUGGUUGAGGCUUCUUGGAUUUGUCGGCAUUGGCAAGAGAGGUGAAAAUAGACAUGCACAUGCCAGGAGUGCAGAAGCCACACUGGGAAGCAUGGAAUCCAGACAUCCUCUUCUGGAUGGAAUGGAAGCCAUCUUUGGUAUUUCCCAGGCCUUCGGUGGUGAUGACUGAGCAGAGAUUUAUGUUGUAGAGCAGAGUCAGGCAUGAACUCGCAGAGAAUUCAGUGACCUCAUCUUUUGUUGGAUUGUAAGUUGCUAUAAGGACUACACAAGCUCCACACCCACCUGCGAUAGAGCACAAUGGUACAGUUAUUCAUGGGAUGCUAUAUCCACCUCUUAUCGGGACAAAAUAAACAUAACAUUGAUCUGGAGGAACUGGCCGAACCGAAAGAACCAGGCCUUAUGUGGAAACUGAAGAAAUAUAACCAAAUUUACUGCUACUAAUUUAUCCCAAUUUGGUUUGGAUUCUUCUUCCACAAUCUGAACGCCCAGGUAAACAAAAACAAUGACAACAGUGAAUCAUCCGGAUGGAAACGUAUACACGAUGAAUGCCGAUCCACAACCUAUGGGCGGUAUGAACCUUGUACUACCAGAUUAUAUAAAAUAUUUGCAUAGGAGUAAACACACUAUUAGUACAUGAACUUGCCAGGGGUGUUCAAUUUAGUACGUCAGCUUGGAAACCGGUCAAUUUCAGAAGUGAAACCUAUUGAUGCAUAGCAAAGCAUACGUGGAAAUCAUCCAGAAAAAUCCAGAGGUGCAGAGACCCUCACCGCCCUUGUCGCGCAGGACCUGUGGUGCGCCAGCGGCAUGUGAGGCCGCGUCCUCUCGCUUCACCCUCUGGAUCGCCUCCGGCCAUGGCUUGGGUCGGCGACGGAGAGGCGGGGCAAAGAAAUGGUAAGAGAUUGGAGAGCGAGGGGGGCGAGGACGCGAUGGGAGACGGAAAGGGGCGACACGGUGGCUCGACGGAGAUGCCGCCGGAAUUGGGGAAGACGUGCGGCGGCAAAGCAGAACUAGGGAUUGGAGGGCCGAUUUGAGAUUUUUUGGUACCGUGUUUACUCUCAGAGGUAUGAGGGGCUCUUUUGCAAGAUUACUGCGAUUUUGUCAAAUAUCGCUAUGGUUGUUGGGUCUGUUUUUAACGUAACAUCACUAACAAAUUAUGUUAAAAAAACAUCACUAACAAAUUUACGCAUUCCGUGUAUUUUACUCUUUUCAUAAACUUUUGCAUCAUUGCAUUAGCAUCCGCAGAGAUUGUAAUAAUGAUAUUUGUGUCUAAACCAGGGAUCCCGUGAUCUUAAAAAAAACAUAUUUCAUCGGGCUGGUGUAAUCCACAAAAAAAAAAUAUGUACAAAUCAAGCCGAAUUUUGAAUAGCUUUCCCUACAUCUUUGUUGAUCGAAAUGCUAUCAUGUCAAGUGCUACCCGCCACUUAUGUGAUUUAAUUGGAUCCUUAGCUUAAGAGAUACUACCCCUGUUUCAAAAUAAUUAAAGUUUUGGCUUUGUCCUAAGUCAAACUUAUUUAAAUUUGACCAAGUCUAUAGGAAAAUAUAUUAACAUCCAGAGCACCAAAUUAGUCUCAUGAGAUUGUUUUUGUACUACGUGUAUUUGGUGUUGUAGAUCUUGCCAUAUUUUUCUAUUGAGUUGGUCAAACGUAGACAAGUUUAAAUUAGGACAAAACUAGAACUUCAAUUACAGACCUUUUAUGUGUUUUGAGCCUAUGAGGAGGAGGGGCAGUUACCAAUGGCGCUAGCAAAAGCAAGUCGGGCGAGAAGGAGCUCAGUCUCAAUUGCGUGGUUGCCAUAAGUUCUAGCAGGCUUAUCGAGCUAAUGAAUUGGUGGAGUGGAAGAAGUUGACUCGCGCUAGAUUGGGAAUAUAUUAUCCAGGUGGAGCGAGCGAGGUGCAAAAAUGCAUGGUCCCACUCGAUGUGGCUGGUGCUCCAAGCCGUAUCAUACUAGGUAGGUAGGAAGGAAGAUGAAUGUCGACCAUAACAAGUUCUAGCUUGGCGGGCUCCUAUACCAGGAAGUGGCGGAGCUACAUUGGGGCCAGUCCAUAUCAUGUUCCUCCUAUCACUUAAGAUUUUUUUUAGCUAUACAUUUACUCUUGAGCCUUUGACCAACAACCCACAGGCUAUUUCCCCUUUUGUUUGACCCGCUCAACCCGCCUAACGUUGGGCUUCAAGCUCGGCCACUGAUUCGAUGACAUCUCUGCAUGGAGGUGACCCUAUUUCACACAUAGGUUGCUAGAUAGCGACCUACGUGUACCCCCCCCCCCUCGCGUGCACCCCGUCAUGUCUACAGGUUAGCCCAUUCUAGUUUUUCUUUCCAUCGAUUUUGGGAAGUUCCUAGAACCUUAACUCAACCAGUUUGUUCUCGGUUUUUUCUUUCUUUUUUCAUUUUUUCCUUUUCUUCUUCUUUUUUCUUUUCCUUUUUACAAAUCCUCAAACUUAUGAUCAAAAUCAUUAAAAUUUCAAAUUCGUGAAGUUUUUUCAAAUCAGCAAAUACCUUUUAAAAUUCACGAGCUUCACUGAAAAUCAUGCACAAUUUUUUAAAUCACAAACAAUUUUCAAAUUCAUGAUAGUUUUUUGAACUACGUGAACAUUUUCAAAAUUCGAGAAUAUUUUAUUAAUUUAAGAAUUUUUUUGAAAUUAGUAAACAUUUUCAAAAUAUUAAAGCAAAAAUUUAAUUUCAUGGUUGUCUUGAAUUUCUUUACAUUUGCUGAAUUGAUGAGAUUUUUUUGAAAUUUUUGAACAAGUGAAAUUUCUAAUAUUUCGCAAUCAUUUUUUGAAUUGGUGAACAUUUUUUAAGUCCAUGAUUUUUUUAUGAAUUGCAAAUAUUUUAUCAAAAUUUGAUUAAAUCCAUAAAAAAAAAAUCAAAUUUGUGUUUUUUUAGAAGAAGGAACAUUUUUUGAAUUUUGAAACGUUUCUUAAAUUAUUGACUUUUCAUAAAUUAGGAGGGAUUUUUGAAGUUUACAACUUUUUCAAAUAUGGGAACAGUUUUUGGAACCCCAAUUUUUCUAGAGAAGAAAAAAAAGAAACGAAAAAAAAUGAAGAAACAAAAGAAAAUGAUAAGGAAAAACAGGGGCGCCCCAUCCCGCCCAUGGGUCGGCCCCAAAAUCCGUUUGGGGGACGAGCGGCGCACUAUGUGCGAAAUAGGAGGUCCCUCCCUCAAUCUGGCCUAAUCUGAAAUCGUUUCUGGUUCCUCCUUUCCGCCUACUCGCACUGCAAAAAUGCUACACCUACGAAAGCUUUGUACGUAAUUAACUUUCUCCACUAACUAAACUGCCCCCCCCCCCCCUUCCGAAUUUCAGGGUGGGCACAUGCCCCCAGUUAAAACCAACAAAAACAUGCCAACUAAAUACGUAAGCCUUCCCUUCGUAGGAGCAAAGCUCUUCGCGCUGUUCGUCCGAACCUUGCAGGGUAUCAAAUAGUUAUAGUUUAACGGCAUUUUACGAAAGUGCUCCGUCAGCCAUACGUAAGCACUGCCGCAUAGGAAUUUUGGUGAUGUGACAGAAAGGCGGGAAACGAGAGAAUGAGAGGAAGAGGACUUCAAAUCUGCAAAGCAUCCGUAGGAUUUCUACACAAAAACUUACAGAUGGUGAUGUUAUUGUUGUACAUGUUGUCUAUAUAUAAUGUAUAUUAUCAUCCGUGCAUGCCACGAGAAAGGGACGUGCCAUCUUUCCAACAAUCAACCACCUAAUAACUAUCCAACUGUGGAGGGUUGACAACAAAUGCGUAUUCGCAUAAAACGAAACAGUGUUGGUUAUGACUCUGUGACAAGGACGGAUGAGAAAGCAGGAACGUGAGCUGAUAGCCUCCGUUUCAACUUUGUACUACUAAAUCUACAACACUUAUUUUAGAACGGCGGGACUAUAAAGCAGAUAACGUGCUCCAAAUUUAAUGAUGUACGCUCGGACCACACCACAUGCAUGCAUGUCGGCGCAAAAUCACACAAGGCAUAAUUCAAGUGUGUACUCGACGACCGACAGUACAACGCUUGAGCGAUGUCGGUCUGCUUUGCGGGGUGCAAUUGGCAGCGUUCGUACGCUCCUAGAGCUAGCAAGAGAAUGGCGGAUCAAGAGCGAGCCGCGGACGAAAUGGGGCGCCCCGUUUGAAGUUGCUCUAAGCUAGCAUCCAGCAUGCGUGCUGUGACCCCGUAACUGUACGCACCUUCGCCGCAGCCGAGCUUGGUGCCGGUGAAGGGCGUCCGGGUCCGGAUGAACUCGAGCAGCGUGGUGCUGGGGUGCACGUCGCCGCCGGCCAUCUCGUGCCGCCGCCCGUUGAGCGCGAACACCACCCUCUCCAGCCUCACAGGUCCCAUCGCCGCUUCGCCACCGCUUGGUCGACUGGCUAGAAAGGGCUGAUAGAUGUAUGAGUAGCAGUAGCUACUCUGCCUGGCAGGCUAGGACGUCAACGGCGAUGCGUCAGUGUGUGUGAUGGAGAAGGUGGUGGGCGAGCUGCUGCUACGCUAUAGCGAGUGAGUUGAAUGCUGGCUGCACCCCUCCGCGUGGCCUCCAGCGUCACCGACGGGGACGGACAGCGCGGCAUGGCGGUGAUCCGGUAGGUAGGUGCACCGUGCAGUGCGAGCGGUGCCGAAGCAGUGCUGUUCGGACACAUUUUUUCUGCUGCGUGGAUAACGAUCCUUCCUUGAUCGAGUUGUGUGGGCAGCAGCAAACAAAAGAAAAUCGGUGGAGAAUCCUUCCUCGGUUGACCCUCAAAAUGGAAGCGGCAAGAGAUACGAUCUUGAGUUCCACUAGAAAAGGUUAUCUGGUGUCCUUAGAAAAAAAAACGUUAUCUGAUAUUCCACCGUCGUCUCUUCCUCUGAUCCUCUCUCCAUUUAGAAAAAGAGAUUCUUCAUCGACGUGGAGCAAGCAAAGCUUGCGACGUGGAGUCUGCAUAGUCUCUUUCUGUGUCUGCCCGGGAAAAGAAAAUUUGUCGCGUCGUCUAUUUCGGAUCAACCUUGAUACGCGUGGAUACUGUUGAGAGUAUUGUAAUUAUUACGAAAGCUAGGAUAGUGUAGGAUAUUAUUCUAUUUUGACUUGUACUCUAAAAUAAUCAUGUACUCCUAUAUAUAUAUAUAUAUGCCCAUGAGGCUUAAGCAAUACAACGAACAUUAUACCAAUCCCCCUCUCUCUUCUAACAUGGUAUCAGUUUCCGGGUUCUAAACCCUAGCCGCUUUCGCACCCGCAUGCCGCUUCCGGGGCGGUCGGCCUCCAUGACCGCCGUCGGGGGCCGUCGCCUGUACCUAGGGUUCGUCCGCCGGUCGUGUUGAUCGGCUGCGCUAGAGAGUCUUUUUCCCGAGCCCUUGCUCAGGGUUUUUUCGCUCUCUCGCCGGCCGUUUUGAUCGGCGUUUUUCUUUUUGGUUUUCCGAUCUGUACUUGAUCGGUUUGCGUCGCCCGCCGCCGCCGUCGACCCCUGUGCGCCUCUACUCCGACAUCGGCGCGACCGACCGGCCUCUUCACCGACCCAGCGGCCUCGCGCGACAGGCGGCCCCUAACGGCCGCCGUCCGCGCAUCUGCCCGCCCAUCGUCCCGACCCGACGACCUCGCGCGAUAGUCGGCCCCUCACGGCCGUCGUCGAUCUACGCCGGCCAUCACCGCCCUGUCCCCGAGUUCAGCGCGCCCCUCCGCCGAUCGAGCAACAGGCUGCCGCUGCGUCGCCCUGUCGGGCCGCAGCGCCGCCGCCCCGUGGUUCUCCUCGUGGCUGCACCGAUCUGCGCCGCUGCUGCGUCGCCCCUUCGGGCCGUAGUGCCGCGGCACGUGAUCCCCGUCGCCGCCUUGAGGCCGUUCCCGUGGUUGCACCACAUCGCGCGCUGCCGCUACGUCGCCCCUUCGGGCCGUAGUGCCGCGGCACCGAGGCCGUCCGCUCCAGGCCGUCCCCGAGGCUGCACCGACCCUCGCGCUGCCGCUGCAUCGCCCCGUCGGGCUGUAGCGAGCGUGGCACGCGAUCCCUGCAACCGCCCUGAGGUCUUCCCUGCCGUCGCCCCGACCUGCCCGCCGCCGUUGCGUCGCCCCUUCGGGCCUUAACGCUGCGGCCCGUGGUCCACCGCCGUCCACGCGCGUUGACUUCCAGAUGAUAUGCGCCCCGCCGCCUCCCGUGGUGCGGGAACGUCGCCGUCCGCGCCGGUCUUCGUCACGCUGUCGGGUUCAUUAUCGCCUACUUCGAGCACCGCCACCGCGCUCCUUCUCUAGCCGCUGCCGCUGCUCUUCUUCCGCGGCUCCACGGCGACUACCUCGACACCGGCGACCCCUGACUCGACACCGACCACGGUGUUCUUCGCACGGCUACCUCGACUACGGCUACACCACCUACGCUCUCGGCUACCUCGACAAACGNNNNNNNNNNNNNNNNNNNNNNNNNNNNNNNNNNNNNNNNNNNNNNNNNNNNNNNNNNNNNNNNNNNNNNNNNNNNNNNNNNNNNNNNNNNNNNNNNNNNNNNNNNNNNNNNNNNNNNNNNNNNNNNNNNNNNNNNNNNNNNNNNNNNNNNNNNNNNNNNNNNNNNNNNNNNNNNNNNNNNNNNNNNNNNNNNNNNNNNNNNNNNNNNNNNNNNNNNNNNNNNNNNNNNNNNNNNNNNNNNNNNNNNNNNNNNNNNNNNNNNNNNNNNNNNNNNNNNNNNNNNNNNNNNNNNNNNNNNNNNNNNNNNNNNNNNNNNNNNGUCGGCUUUCCUUCGGAUUAUUCUCCAGUCUCACCGUCUGCGUCGCUACCGUUGUGACUACGGGGGGAUGUUGAGUAUUGUGAUUAUUAGGAAAGCUAGGAUAGCGUAGGAUAUUAUUCUACCUUGACUUGUACUCCAAGAUGAUCAUGUACUCCUAUAUAUAUGCCCACGAGGCUCAAGCAAUACAACGAACAUUACACCAAUCCCUCUCUCCGUUCUAACAGAUACCAUAGGAGGUCGUCAACUUUGACUCUCAAUCGGUGAAGUAAUACUCGCGGCUGAAGGUAUAACCUAGCUAUAGGCCGGAAUCGUCGGAUCGUCACUAACAACUUCUUCCUCCCCUACGCGUUCUUGUCGAUGAGAUUAGAUCUAUCCUUCAUAUUCAUAGUGGUUCUAGACGUGAUCAUAUAGCAUUUUUUUUGAUUGUGUAGUACAUUCCCUACAAUCCGAGGUUGAGCUCUCACACGUGCGUCACGCCCCUCGUUACCCCCGCCCUCCACAUAGACCGCACAGACACACCUGUCACACACGUGGUUGCCCCGGUCCUUUGUAACAUGGGCCAUGUUGCAAAUCCUAGAUGAGCUCCCACAGGAACGAACAUGUCAUGCACGCGAUGCGGCGAACGGCACGACAAAAAUCAGUCCCUAGUCUUUUCCUUAGACCUAAAUAAAGUUUGGGCUACGAGCAACUACAACUCAAUCAAACCUUUGCGUACCUCGCAUCUGAAUGUGAUAUGUGUUACAUCAGUAAGACCUACUAAGUUUUUAAAAGGAAUUAUGUUGCACGAUCAUGCUGAUAUAGACAUGAAAUAUCGUCGUCAACAUAAUGAUCUUAGUGUCAGAUCGGCCGGUCUCCAACAAACUAAAACACCAAUUUCCUUGUACUCUAGUGCUCGUAAACAUAAUAAACAUUAAAUAGACGUACGUCUUUGGAUCAUCAAAAUGAUGAUGUACGCUCGGACUAAAACGCAUGUCGAAGUCACACAAGGCAUAAUUCUAGUGUGUACUCGCUUUCCUUUUUUGAAACUUUCAACGGGGGAAGAGAGCCCUCAUGCCUCACCUGAAUUUCGUUUCAAAGGUCGCGCAAACGCAAGAAAGAAAAUCUGGUAGUUCUUGGCCGUAGGGUGAAAUCGGAGAGAAAAUUAGUACUCCCUCCGUAAAAAAAUAUAAGAUUUUUCUUUAUAUAGGGAGUAGUUAUUACACCCUCGGAAUCGGAACCAGGACAAAGGGUUUGAGCUCAAGUGGAAGCUCUGAAUUGUGCACUCAUGAUUGGCAGUACGUAUACUACACUCAAGCGAUUUUUUUUUGAAAGCAUACACUCAAGCGAUGUUGCUCUCAAGAGAGAAAAGAAAGAAUCUUCUUCACGUAGGUUCCUAGCUAGAGGAAGCCAGCAAGAGAAUGGCGGAUCACGAGCCGGGGAAUGCACUGCAUGCGUACUAUGGUAUGAUGAGCAUACGUACCUUCGCCGCAGCCGAGCUUGGUGCCGGUGAAGGGCGUCCGGGUCCGGAUGAACUCGAGCAGCGUGGUCCCGGGGUGCACGUCGGCGCCGGCCACCUCGUACCGCCCCCCGUUCAGCGCGAACACCACCUUCUCCAGCCUCGUCGACCCCAUCGAUCGCCACUUGGCCAGUCGCCGCCGCUCGGUCCACCUCGGUGAGCGAGCGAGCGAGCUAACCAGAAAUGGUGGAUUGAGAUGUCUACUAUAUGAGGAGCUACUCAGCCUGGCUGGCAAGGACGACGCGCACUGGGAUGGAGAACGUGGUGGGCGAGCUGCUGCUGGCAGCUAAGCUAUAGGGAGGGAGUUGGAUGAAUGCUGGUCGUCGGCCUCGAUCUGUUGCCUCUUUAAUUGCGUGACGGCGAGUGGUUAGCUGCCCCGGCGACUCGGAGCGCGGGGAGGAGAUCGGGCCAGCGUCACCCGACGGGGACAGCCACGAUAUGGGCAGCGAUCUGAUAGGUCCGCGGACGUGCACGCACGUGCAGUGGGAUGUAACGGCUGAAGCUAUUGCUAGACACGAAAACGUCCCAACACAUUAUGUUGCCUUCAUGUUCGUGUAAAAAUUGAGGCGAAAGAGAUAUGAUCCUAACUCCCGUCCCGAUCAACCUGCUAUCCCGCCUGCGUCUCUUCUUCUUCUGUCCGUUGUCACUCUCAAACUGAAGAAACUAGAUGAUUCCCUGCGCGUUGCUACGAAAAUAUUACAAGACAUGUAGGUAUACAAUGUUAUUUCUGCAUCUUAGCGUUUCUUUUGUUAUUUCUGCAGACUCGAGAGGGGAUCACAGUCACAGCGUCGACCGACGGUGACAGCACGGUACGGGCGGCGAUCCAAUCUGGUAGGUGCACGGACGUCCACGUCCAGCUACCAAAGCUACGCUGUUUUAGACACGAAAACGUCCCCACAUUUUUCUGUUGCGUGCGUGGAUAACGAUCCUUCCUGUUCCAGAAGAUGGGUCCAGAAUCUGUGAAUUAAAAUGGAUUCUGGAAGAGAUACGAUCCUGAGUUCCUGACUGACGCUUGUUAGAAAACAUUAUCUGCUGUUCCACCGUCUCUUCUCCGUUUUAAAAAUGAGAUUCGUCGUCGACGUACGUGGAGCACAGCAAAGCUUGCUGCGUGGAGCCCGUCUGCAUCGUCUCUCUGUCUGGUCUCCGGCCCCGCGAAAAGAAAAAUCCCGUCAUCUGUCUCAAACAGAAGCGAGCGAGCGAGCAAGCGGAGGCAUGGGUCCGGUGGGUGUGCGGUCUCCUCCCUGCACUCUAUCCUUAUGAGCAGCGGAUACUCAUUUCUAUGCACACACACGUAUACUUCGAGAGACUGAGCCGACAUAUAAAUAUCAUUUUGUGAUUGACGAAGUCAUCAACAGCGCCUCUUAUUCUAUUAUCCAGCCUCAGUCGCUCGUUCCUCAUCCCAAGCGCGUCUCUCACCCUCAAGCCGUGUUGCUCCGAGUUGGAGAUGAUGGCGCUACAACACCGCCUGUGCUGCCAAGGGGAGAACAAGCUAGUGCUGCAAGCUUGGCCACGUUUUGCGGUGGAGGCAAUUGCCGAAUUCUGCAAGUGUUGGCCACCAGAGAACAAGCUGCACAAUAUCAACCACCGGUGGCCUACCGCAAGGCCCCGCCACAACAUCCCCUAUGUUACGAACUGCCACAAUGUCUCAUGUGCAGUGAGUUAAUGUUGUGGAGGGGCAUCAUCAUGCUGCGAAAAUGAUGUUGAGGAGGAAGAUCGAAUAAUGAGGGUAUGUUGCGGUGACAGCAUCGCUCGUCUUGCAAAAGUCUGCUUGCAAACCUCUUAGCUCAAAAUGGCUCAUGUUGAAAACACUCGUCUUGCAAACCUUCGAGUGCAACAUUGUUCAUGUGCAUAUUUUUUAGCGCAACAUGUCUUUGUUGUAAAAACAGGUCAGCUGGAAGAUGCAGCCCAAAUUGGAUGUCCGUCGUGCGGUGGACCCGAUCCGUGCAUAAGCCGGCCAACACUUAGUAGUCGGCUUAGAAGUUGGCUAAAAAAAAAUAGUAGUCGGCUUAGAUAAUCAACUUCACUCUAAGGAUGCAUGACGUAAAAAAAGGGGUGACAUAGCCCAACCCAAUGACGUAUAGUCGCUCUGAGCAGGCUACGGCUAUGUGGCUCGGCAGAAGACCUCCUUGCGUUGAGGAACUCUUGCCAAAGAAUUGUAACUCUACCUUGAUGGAAUAAACAUCUAUUGAUCUCGCAAAAAAAAUCUAUUGAUCUCGCAAAAAAAAAAUCAACUUUACUCUAAGGACACAUGACGUAAAAAAAGGGGUGACAUUUUCAUGUGUAUAUCGUAGCAUUUUUAAGGGGUGUCCAACUAUACAUCGUACUUUUUUUAUUAUUAUUUUCGAGCAUUAAGCAAAUUUUUUUGAGACAUUUUUGAACAUUAAACAUGGUAUUUUAUUUGUCCACGGGCCAAAGUUUGUAUGGAUUCGUAGACCUGGCCAUGGCCUCACAAGUGACAACAACGGCCCACAGCCCACUUGGGGCGUUAAAACCCCAGGCAACUCUGUGCUCCUUCAUCUUGUGCGGCGGCUGAUUCGGCAGUUGUGGGCGCCGUCGUCACCUGUUGGACGGGAUGCGUCGGAGGAUCGCCGGAAAGGCUGCGGCCACCGGUGACGGCGGAGUAGACCGCCUAGGCGCGCUCCCGGACGAGAUCCUCCAGCAUGCGCUGUCGUUCCUGCCGUCGCGCGACGCCGUGCGCACCUGCGUGCUCGCCCGCCGCUGGCGCCACCUGUGGAAGUCCGCCCCGGCCCUGCGGGUCACCGACGUCGACGCCUUCAGGAGCGCCCGCCACGUCAACGGCUUCGUGAACCACCUCAUCGUCCUCCGCGACCGGACGCCCCUCCGCGAGCGCGAGAUCGCCGUCUAUAAGGAAUACGACGGCGGUGGGUACUACGACAGCAACGGAGAUCGCCUCGAGCACUCCCAGUACAUCGAUCUGUGGGUCAGGUACGCCUUGUCAUGCCAUGCGCGUCUGCUUCGGAUCAGUGACCAUGACCCCAAUGAUCUUGACGCCGGAUACUACGAUUAUAAAAUACGGAGUGUUAUGCUUGACGUUCCCAUCUUGUCCGGGCAUCUUACCACUUUGGAACUCGACGGGGUGGUGCUUUCGAGCGAAUGCUCCCCACCCUCUAGAUUUCUCCAGCUGCCCAAACCUGGAGACUCUAAAGAUGAACCGCUGCUCCAUCCUAUUCUUGGGAGGCGACCGUUCCAUGAAUAUAUCGUCGCAAUCUGUGCGAUGUCUGAGCAUUACACGCUGUGAUUUUGAUCACUUUGUCCGGGCACGUGCCCUCAUUUCUAUCCCAACCCUCGUGCACCUGGACCUGGAGCUGACCGAGGACUGUGGCUUGGUUCCUGCGUUUGAGAGCAUGAUGCCGUCGUUGCUAACAACAUCUAUCAAGCUUGACCGCAGUUGCAACAAGGACGACAUGGGUUGCUCAUUGCUUCUUGGAUGCCUCUCACAUUCCUCUAAUCUAGACCUCAUGGCCGGGCCUCAAGCGGUAUACAUAUAUGUUUUUAUCCACUUAAAUUCUAGCUAGUCUCAUUUGACAUGCUCAUCCCAUAUGUGUUGUGCUUGUGCUUGCCCAGUUUGCUUUCAGGACAGCUUUAAAACGGUGCACCACAUUUAGCAAGCUCAAAAUCUUGUCACUCAAUGAAUGGUGUGUGGAACCUGAUUUUGGACCACUACAUUACUUUCUACGUUGGUCACCAAAUCUUGAGAAGCUCAACAUCCAUCUAUCUAAGGUAUAUUUGGUAUGUUUUGCAAUUAUAAAAUAUUUUGUGCUGUUAAAGUUACAAUUGCAUAGUUCAUUUAUUUGGUAAACUACAUAGCCAUAUCGACAUGUUGAAGAAACAGAGGGAUGCUACGAUUCGGCGGAACCAUUUUUGGCAUCAAAGCAAUUCAGGGUUGUCGAGAUCAAAUGUCGAGCAAAAGAUAAGCUUGUUCACAAAAUUUUGAAGGUCCUGAGUUCCUGUGGAGUACCUGCUGAGCAAAUCAACAUCAAGAAAAUAAAUUGAUCUUCCCACGAUAAAGUCAAAUUAUAGGUCUUCCUAGAUAUUUAAGUUUUUGCAUUCCCAUACCAUGUAUGUGUGAAGUUUAGUAAUGCUUCGUUUAAAUUAAUUGGACAACUAAAUGUGUAAAUGAUAAGCAUCAAGGAUAAAAAAUGCUCUUUAGAUAGUACGUGAAAUUAUCAGUCUUGGUGAUAUUUUAAAAUUCCGCAAUCCUACACUACAAGAAUCUGGUUUUAUGACGAGUUGCGUAACUUUGCCGAGUUCGUUCUAUCGGGAACUUGGCAAACUUUUGUCUGCCGAGUUUGAUUCAAAAUUGAACUCAGCUGUGAUAAGCAACUCGGCAAAGCUUUGACUUUGCCUAGUUCAAAUGGUAAAGGACUCACAAACAAAAAUAACUCGGCAGAAUCUCAAGUUUAUCGAGUUCCAGGCUAAAAAGCCCGGUAAAGUAUGAUAGAUGGGUCCUGUUGUAGAGCAGGCGACAGAGCCAUGAUGGCGGCCUUGUUGGACAUACUAGUGCCGAGUGCCAAACUCGACAAACAAUUUGCCCAAUGCUACUAACGAAGGAACUCGGCUGAUAUUUUGUGGGCAAUAACUGCUGGCACGUGGCUUAUUUCUAUUCGCCUUACUCUGCCAUGUUUAGGAUGAUAAAAUUCGUCAAACCUUAGGGCCAUGUGGCAUUUCCGUUAACGUCCUGUCUAGCCUGACGGUUUUGUUUACCAAGUUUUUUCUGGUAGGAACUCGGCAAACAUUGUUUAAAUAUUCACCGAGUUCGCAAUAGAAAGAACUCGACAAUAUUAAUGAUUGCUGGGCCCGUCCAGCCGAGUGUUGUGCGCCGAGUUUGGCACUCGACGAAGAUUUUGCCAAGUUUAUUAUGGGCUCCGCCGAGUUUCUUUGAAAUCCGCCAAAAGGCCAUUCUAGUAGUGCCAUGUAUAUAGGGCUGCAAGAAAAGCUCGAGGCUCGUGAGCCGCUCGAGAUCGACUUGUUUUUUGACUCGACUCGAGAUCGACUCGAAAAGAAACGAGCUGAGUUUGAACACUUUAUGUAGCUCGACCAAGAAACGAGCCGAUCUUGAGCCAAUGUUGGCUCGCUCGAUUUUAUUUCGAUAGCUCGACAGAAUAUCAUUAUGUUAAAUGAUCAUGCCUUAUAUUAAAUGGAAAUACGAUAAUUUAUUACCAUCUAUGUUGUCCAUAAUUUUUCUCCAUUUUAUUUACCACCGAACACGGAAACUUAACUAAGUGCAGAGAAGAUUUAAGCCUAAUUAUGGCACGUGGUCGACUAUGUGUUAAAUAACCUAUAUUUUUGGCAAAGGUUCCCAGCAUAUUCACCUUAAUUUUUUAGUUUUUCAUCCAUAGAUUCAUAUUUUUUACCAUCUCAUUUAGCUCGAAACUAGCUCGAGAUCGACUUGAGAUCGUUACAAUCUGAGCACGAGUCAUGUUCCACAGCUCGAUCAUGAGCUUCACUUAGUUUGAGCUCGCUCGAAUUUUCAUAUGAGUUGAGCUGAGCCAACUCCAACUCGCUCGAGCUCGACUCGUUUGCAGCCCUACAUGUAUAUUUAUAAAUUUUAGCAAUGUGUACUUAUUAAGCUAAUUGAACUACAAAAUACGUAAAACAUAAGAUAAGACUUUGUAUCAGUUUCAUAGUGUUAAAAAGAGAUGUUCUUGCUUCACAAUAUUUAAAGCAAGUGGUACACCAAUCCAACUAAUCCCCCUUUCCUUUUAUAUUUCUAGAGGAUCAUAUUCAGAUUCAGACUAUUCAUUGUAGUCAGAUGAACAUUUGGACCUUUAGCAAAAUUUCCAGUCGACAAGUCGAGAGUUGAGACCUUCUAAGUUCAAUCCACAAGACUAGAAACAUGAGUGCCAUCAGGAUUUGGUCAGGUACUCAACAUGGAGAUAUCUUAUUGCUUUGUACUUUUGGUUCAAGGCAUAUGCACAUUUAAUUUUCAUGAACAUGUGAUGAUGUUCCACAUUACAUAUCAUGUGUUCUAUUUAUUCACUACCCGUGUUGGUUGGCUUUUGCUGAAGCUAAUACUGCACUUGAGGUGGCAUCGGUGCAGAUUGGGACUAUGCAAAUGUCUAAAUUCCCUUUUCGUUUUAAACCAUCGCCUUGCGAAGUUGUGCAAUAGAGGGGUCCAUCGCAUACGACACGGAUUAAUCAUCUGCAACAGGGCUCUAGAACACAGACGUUUUGGCAAAAGCAAUUGUAUGUGGUGCACAAACCUAUCGCACAUACCAUAGUUAUGACAGGCAUGUGGGAUUGGUCAUCAUUCGCACACGUCUUUUCUGAGUUAAGCACACGUAAUUGGUCAUUGAACCCAAACAAAGAUUCAAUGCAAAACAAUUACGAAAUAUUACAUAUGGCACACGGUUUUCCCAAGGAAACUGCGCGUGGUGUCUCGAGCAUCGCACACGAGUCUUCGAUUCCUAACAUCUGUCAAGUAUGAUAUCAUCGAACAUGGUUCGCGUAUACUUUACGAGUGGGAUUGCGUUUGUCAUCGGACACGGUGGAUUUGAAGCUCCCGUGUGGGAUGAGGUGGAGAGAGUCCCGACCUGAAUGUCGUUUCAAAGGUCGCGCAAAUGCGAGAAAAGAAAAUCUGGCACGUUCUUUGAGUUUGGCAGUUUUUAGUCAAAUUGUUCAUAGGGUGAAUCAGAGAGAAAAUUAGAUAUUACAUCUUAGGUGGACAAUGUUUGCUGUUGGAAAAACUGAUAAUUUCGUGCCUCCCAAAUCUUCCAUAGCACGGUAGCAGGACAAAGGGUUUGAGCUCAGGGGGAAGCUCUGACUUGUGCACACGCGAUGUUGCCCUCAAGAGAAAAGAGAGAAUCUGCUUCACAUGGUUUCUAGAGCUAGUUACCACGAGCGAGAAUGCACUGCAUGCGUGCUAGUAUGACAGUAUGGACCAUCGCCGCAGCCGAGUUUGGUGACGGUGAAGGGCGUCCGGGUCCGGAUGAAUUCGAGCAGCGUGGUCCCAGCCUCCCAGGGGGACGUCGCCAGGCACCUCAUACUGCCGCCCGCGCAAACACCGCCUUCUCCAGCCUCACCGGUCCCAUCGCCACUGCUCGGUGGGCGAGCUAGCCAGAAAUUGUUGAUUGAUGUCUAUAUGAGGAGCUACCCAGCUUNNNNNNNNNNNNNNNNNNNNNNNNNNNNNNNNNNNNNNNNNNNNNNNNNNNNNNNNNNNNNNNNNNNNNNNNNNNNNNNNNNNNNNNNNNNNNNNNNNNNNNNNNNNNNNNNNNNNNNNNNNNNNNNNNNNNNNNNNNNNNNNNNNNNNNNNNNNNNNNNNNNNNNNNNNNNNNNNNNNNNNNNNNNNNNNNNNNNNNNNNNNNNNNNNNNNNNNNNNNNNNNNNNNNNNNNNNNNNNNNNNNNNNNNNNNNNNNNNNNNNNNNNNNNNNNNNNNNNNNNNNNNNNNNNNNNNNNNNNNNNNNNNNNNNNNNNNNNNNNNNNNNNNNNNNNNNNNNNNGGGCUAGUUGAAUGAAUGAUGGUUGCCUAAUCAGGAUGGGGCGCUGCUGACCCCAAUAAAUCACCCGCCUUGUCCCUAAUCUACAAAAGGCCGACUGCUUCUUCUCUGCUGAUGAAGCCAUCGAGGUGGUGGAUCAUCACCGAUGGUGAUGUAGAAGACUGGAUCUUGCUGACUGGGUUUGAGCUUAUCACGGUUGAUAUCGCGGCGGAGAUGCUAGCGCCUGCAACUGCGGUCGAAGGCCGACCGGCAUCGCCAUGCCAUUGCAUCUUCUGGCCGGAAGCGGUCCGAUUUCGUUUCUUCCUGCAAUGCUGCCUUAUAGGAGGCAAUUCCUCUUCGCGUUGGUAGCCAUGGCUUUGAGCUGUCGCGCCUUCGUCACCCCAAGCGGCUUGUUCCUCGGCGACAACGAGGUGAAUCCGGCCUGAAGAGGUUGGACCCGAUCAUGUUUUUGUUUCCUAUGCAAGGUCCUUGUUGCAUAAGUCCAGGGACUUGGUUGUCUGUCUUUGUUUCUUAGGUGUCCUUUUGUAAAAAUGUGUUGUACUCUGGGUUUUAAUGAAUAAAUCUUUUGGAUCUUGGGGAUCCCUCAGCUGCUCAAAAAGAAAAGAAAAGAAAAGAAAGAAUUUGCUUGGGGAGUACAAUUAAAGCAUGGUUAAUAAUAUACCCAACUGCUGGCUAUAACAUGUUACCAUGCUAUCUAUAACCAAUAUAAUAAUAGCUAACUAGCUAACUUGUAGAGUAUUUAGCUACAAGGAGGUAUUACUUUAUUACCACAUGACCCACCUUAUACUUUCAUAAAGUAUCUUGGAGUCUGCGCCAUAGCCAGCUAUAAAUCUACAGCCCUCUUCUUUCUCUUUCCUCUUCUUUCUUCUCAACUCAGUAAAAAAUAUAUUUAAACCCUUAUAGCCCGCCUACGUCACCUCAUUAUAUUUGCUCUUAGCAAGCUAGUAAUGUACUAUACUACUAUGUGCUCGUAAGUUUCUAAAGCUAGCUAGCAUGAGAUUGUUGAGUAUAUCGAGAGCGAGCGCAUGCAGCAUGCACCCCGCGUACUUACCUUGGCUGCAACUGAGCUUGAUGCCGGUGAAGGGCGUGUUGGUCCGGAUGAACUCAAGCAGCGUGGUCCCCGAGUGGACGUCGCGGCCGGCCACAUCCACUACUAGUAAAACCCUGUAGGUAACUACUAAGUAGAGGCGCAGAUUAUUUGGCAUUUGCAACUGCUAUUUAGUAGUAGCGUGGGCAAACAAGUGCGCUACUGAUAGAGCAUAUUAGUAGCAUGGGCACCCAUCGUUACUUCUAAGUGGUCGCACGGGUUGUAAAACCCGUGCUACUACUAAGUUGAUAGUAGUAGAGCAGGGUGUAAACCCCCGCGAUACUGCUAUGAGUAGAUGGGGUCAACUGAUGGGCCUCACUUAGUAGUUGAGUCGUCCGUUCAAUGCGAGGGCCACCUUCUCCAGCCUCACCGGUACCAUCACCACUCGCCUCUCGCGGUCGACCUCGGCUAGAAAUGGUUGAUUGAUGUGCACUGUGAUGUGAGUGACGUGGGAAUGGGUGGGCGAGCUGCUGCUGGCAGCUAUAGGAAGGGAGUUGGAUGAAUGGUGGCCGACCUUGAUCUGUUGCUUAUUUACUUGCGUGACGGCGAGUGCUUAGCUGCCCCGGCGACUCCGAGCGUAGGGAAGGAGAUUGGGCCAGCGUGACCUGACGGGGACAUCGACGAUAUGGGCAGGGAUCUGGUUGGUCCGCGGACGUGCACGCAUGUCGAGUGCGAUAUGUUAGAGUUGUUUCCAAUAUUGUGUACAAGGUAGGUUACAAUUGGACUCUGAGUUGUAUUGUGUUUACAUGGUAUGGAUUCGUGUCUUAGUAGGACAAUUGUAUCCUAGGCCUCCCAUAUAAUGCGGGGUAGACACACAAUGUAAACCUAUGCCAAUAUAACAACACAUGCACACAGGGGAGUCGGCGUCGUGUGCCGACUCCCGGGUGGCCGGUGUGCGGUAUUGUGACGGUGUCACGGGGAGGAGCGACCGUAGUCACGCCCUGGGGAUGUAACCGAGUUCGGUGAACCUCGUUAACGAAUCUCGGUGUCUUGUCUCGUAUGAUUGCUUGGUCCUUAGUAGAUCGAUUGUGUGUCUCAGAGUUAUUGUAACAAGUGGUAUCAGAGCCAGGUUUCGAGGAGGUCACAGAGUUGAUCUGGAGGAGCAAGAACAUCGACAGAAGUCUGCAAUCGUAAUACGAGAUGAAGUCGUACAUCGGCGCAUUACAAUUUGGAGAAAGACGUGACCGAGUUCUAAUAUUCAUGGAAGCAAUCGGAAGAAUCGGCUUGGUUGAUCAAUCGUAGCGACAGUGGUGACGGGAUCCGUAUCGGAUCACAGCACAACAGCAGCAGCGAGGAGCUGGCUGAGCCAGGCGAGACACGGCCGAGUUGGGCGAUGAUUUUGGCUGCGUGGCCGUACACGCUGACCUGUGGUUAAAUGGUUAGAUGGACAAUGGUAUCCCCAGUGGGUUCAAGUCCUGCCGCUCGCAUUUAUCUUGGAUUUAUUUCAGGAUUUCCGGCGAUGCGCGUUCAGUUGGAGGAGACGUUUCCGUCGACUACGAGGCGCCUACGGUGACUUGUAAAAUCUCAAGAUGAUAUGCCAGCUCAGGGGGUGUUUGGUUACAAGGGACUAGACUUGUUUUAGUUCCAGGGACUAAAGAAAAAAGACCCUUCAGUAGAGUCUUUUUCUAGUCCCUUAAGAAAAAGUCUCUCCUGUUUGGUUACAUAGGAACUAAAAGGGACAUUUUCUAGUCUAGUCCCUGUAACUAAAUAAGGCCUCAGUCCCUCGAAGGUGCUCAUAGUGUAGAGUGUGUGUGCGCGCGUGUUCAUAGGAAUGAGUAUAUGCACAUACAUAUAAGCGCGUGCGUCUGUACUGUGUUAAAAAUAAGAAUCAAGAGCAGCUAUACCGUGGAUUUGUUUGGAUACAAAAGAAAAGGAUCGAGUUCUCGUGUGCGUAUGACGUGAAGGGAGGCAACAGCAGAUCGAUUGGGCGAAGAGAGAUAUCCGUUUGAUAUGCAUCCAUCAGGGACUAGCGACAAAGGUUUUGGCAAAGCAAUUAGCUAGCGUUGGAAAGUUGAGCCAAGACCGGAGCUACACGUGAAGACCAAAAGUUUUUUGUUCUUUGGUAGGAAUUUGUUAUUAGUGCACGAGGGUGUACCACAUCAGGUUUUGCUUGUUUACUUGGGCAUCACGUGAGGAGAGCUCGAAUAAUUUUCCAUAGGGUCAGCUGUACAAAGAACCAUGGCGACAACGGGUACCAGAUUUGAGUUGGAGAAGUUGACGGAACUGGAAACCUUGGGUUAUGGUAGACAAGGGUGAAAGAUUUGUUGUCACAUCAGGGAUGCUUGAAAGCGUUGCGGGAAGUCAUGUCAGCUAAAAUUGAAUUAUCAUGUGAUGGAUGGAAAUUUGCUGCAAACGAUUUGGGAGCCUUGAGCGUGUCAUGCAACCGGACAAGUUCAAUGGGGUUGGACUUGACAUUCUGACGGAUCAUCAUGGAUGUCGGUUGGUAUAGAAGACGAUGGUGGGAUCAGCGACGACGACAUAGGAGUGUGAAGCUGAUGGUGACCGACUUCUGGGCGUGGAAACACGUGGGACAUGCCCGAGGGUUUGUGUGGUUUUGACAAGACUAUGGCGCAAGAUUGAUUCUGGACAGUGCACAUGCGAGCUUGAAGUCGAUGGGGCACGGGGUGGACUGCUCAUCUAUCAUGGAGUCAUUUUGAAGGUGGAGUUGAGGUCUAAUGGAAGACUUCACUCGGUGCUAAUUGAGGGGCUCCAACGUAAGAGCUCAAAGAGUCGAAGCCUAUUUCAGCGGGAGAAAGAGAGGUGACACGUAGUUCGGACUGGAGCCCAGUGGUCUGAUGGAAAUGUGAAACUCGUCAUCGGUCGGUGAUGAUCGGUGGUACUCUGCGGUGGGGGUUGAGUGGUGUGGGUUCGUGACACUUGAGACUCGACCGGGACAAUAGAGACUCGACUUGGUAAUAGCGGCGAAGCAUGUGGUUAGCACGGGACAUGGAGACGAACCAGGGCUCUGAUGGUCAUACAUGUGGUGUGACGACUGCGAAUUUGACUCGAAAUGACUACAAGCAACAGUGAAAUUCAUGUGUCGUGAACUAAAACUACGACACUUAGUUCGAACGGAGGGAGUAUUAUUUUUAAACCAAAUCAGGUGAGCUCUCGUUGCCGGAUCGCUGACCUAUUGUCCAGAUGUCCGCCGCGUCAGUUCCCCACCGCUACGGUGCUGCCAGCCACCGCCGUCCAAUUGCUUUGGAUUCGGUUGUGCGUAUGGGCUGGGAACCUUACGGUGUUGUCUGAUGCGUCGUCGGAGCCGGAGUUUUGGUCGGUCGAGGCCGGGCAUGAGCAGCUCCUGAGCAGGAUGGAUGGAUCUAUGGGUAGAUGGAUGUAUGCAUGCAUAUAUGUAUGGAUAUCACUCUGUAAAAAAGAAAAGAAAAAAUAUGUAUGGAUAUCAUGGUCAUGUUGCUCGGGAGUUCAACCUCCUUUUUGGAAAAAAGAGAGGCGAUGCUGAUGAUGAUGACUGUGGCUGAAUUUAUCAUGUCUUGAGCAAUCAAGACAGCUUGGCGAGGUGGGACUAAACAGUGCUAGAAAAUUGGGGUCCGCAUUGGAGUUGCUCUUUAGCCCACCCUUCCCUCUCUUGCAGCCUGUCCAAUUCAUCGCGGAUGUUGGAUGUUCUGUGCCUUGGACGGUCGUUCUGAUGAGUGAUAACCAGGGCAGUUCUCUUACACUGCGAUGGGUAGAUUAUGCAGCAAGAGAUGUGAGUGUUGGGUUUGAAGAUGAAAUGCAAAACUGAGCCCUCUUUUGCUACGCUACAAAACUGAGCCCUGCCGCCUCCUCACCCCCCUCUCCCUCUCUGUCUAAAACAAACCAGUCAAGCUCUCAUUGCCGACUUGCUACCCCAUCAUCCGGGUGGCUGCCACAUCAGUUCCCCGUCUCUACGGUGCUGCCAGUCACUGCCAUUCCAUUGCCUUGGAUUUGGUUGUGGCGUGGGCUGGGAACCGUAAGGCAUUGUCUGAUGCAUCGUCCAAACUGUGAGGUUUGGUCAGCUGACGCCAGGUAUGAGCAGCUCCUGAGACUGAGACUAGUCAUAGUGGGAGUAACUUAGGUUUUAGUUCAAAUUGAACUAAAACCACGACAGUAAUUAUGGAACGGAGGGAGUAGUAACAUGCAUGCCACAUAGGCAAAAAAGAUUAGGGUUAAUUAUCAUUUUGCCCUCAGUGGUGUCCAUGUGCUCAGUUUUGCCCUCAGAUGCGAAUUGUGCUCAGUUUCGCCCAUAGUCUGAGCGCAUCGACUCGUUCCGUGAACUCAGCCGUCUCCGUCAGGUCAACCUUUUGACUCGGCCCUUACAGGUGGGACCAGGCGGCAGGGAUGGCCAAUUUUAUUCAGACCGUUGCACACGUGGCUUGUGGGACCCAGCAGAGAGCCGUUGAGCAGAGAGCCGUUGCAGGUGUGCUAUAUAAGUGGGCAACAACGGCGAUGACCACGGCGACAGAGAGCACGGCGGUGACCACGACGAGAGAGAGCACGGCGGUGGGAAGCUAGCUGUGGAGGGCGCGGCGGUGGGAAGCUAGCUGUGGAGGGCGCGGCGGCGUUGAGAUCCCCUUCGGCUCCGAGCUCCAUGUCUUCCUCAAGCUCCCGUGCCACCUCGCGGAUGCAGAGCCGGGCGCGUGUGGACAUGCCUGUCUUCGUCUGUCCGCGGUGCCGGGCGGGUGUUGAUCGAGGGUUUCUCACACACCGAGGAACCAGAAUCGUCCGUUCUACGUGUGCAACGAGAAUGGGGUAAGAAUUGGGGCAAUUGCACCAUUUUCGAGCAACGGGUUGAUCUGUUUGGUGUUCAUGCAGGUGACAUGCUUCUUUCUUGGGUCGAUGCUCUGGCCAAGACUCUGAUGAAUGAACUGCAAGAAGAGCAUGAAGAAUGGUUGCGCAUGCUGCCACGAACGGCAGUGGCCGCAACACGAGCUCCGGAAGAACAGAUGGAGGGCGAAGCACGCACUGACAGAGAGCUAGCCGUUGAGCUUAGGAUGUUGAAGAAGAAGGUUAGGAAGCUUGAAGAUCAAGCACUACCAAUACCCAUUUGCAAAUACUUUUGAGCAUUUGUAGGUAUGGUAAUCGCACUGGUUGUAAUGUUGAAAAUGUAUGGAAAUGCAUGAAUUAUGGAGGAAUUUGCAAUUUGAAAUUGUAUGAGAAAUUCACCUAGUUUAAAUGUUGGUCAAAGUUGUUUAAAUAUUGAAAAAAGAGAAGAAGUGACCAACAUUUAAAUAUGUUGAAAAAAAGAGAAGAAAUGAGGAAUUCAGAAACUUUUGAUCAUAGAAAUGCAGCUCUCUGCUCUGCCUUUCUGUCAAAAAAAAGGUUGCUCUUGGGCCAAAUUCAGAGCGUAGAGCCAAGUGCAAGCUAGACUAAUGGGCCAACUGCAUCCAAUUAGGCCCAUUCGGGGGUUCUCUUGCGUAUUUUUCUGUUUUCUGUUCUGAUUUAAUUUAGGCAGUAAAUCAUAAUGCUGAAACUUUUUGUGGAAGCUAAUUGAAUUAUUCCAGAGCCAAACAAUUAAGGUUAGGAUUUUUUUGGAGCUGUUAAUUAAUCCAAUUCAAAUACACCGUGAUUUAAAUCAAAGACCAAAAUGUCAUGGAAAAUGUGCCUCAGCUCUGGUAGAGGUUUACACCUGGUGCCAAAAUAAAUGAACAUUUUUUAAGGGCAUUACAUUGAGAAAAAAAAUAAUUUGUCUAAAAAAAUGAAGGGUGGAAAAUGCACAAAAAAUUGGUGCGGCUAGGGACUCGAACCCAGGACCGCCUGGGUUUGUGGUGUUUAGGGCUGCGUUGGUAACCGCUAGGACAGAAGGCAAGACUUUGACAUGGGUAGGGAAGGAAGGUAUAUAUAGUGAGACUGUGAAAUUUGUUAAAAAAAAUAGUGAGACCGUGAAUGUUUGCACACGCAUGAGAGUGGUUUUCCUUUGUUUUGCACUGAAAUUUUGGAGGGUUGGAAGGUUGAAAACGUAUGUUUGCAUUGCCACAUGAUUUUGGUUAGAGUGGCACUUGGUUUAGGGUUAGAGUAGCACUUGGUUUAGGAUUUAAAGGGAAUAAAUUUGCAUGUUAGUUCAUGACUUAUUUUUUUUGAAUGAAACAGAGGGCUUCUCAACCCCUCUGAUUUUCAUUAAUGAAAACCACAAGUUCUUGAACUUCAUGACUUGGUUUAGGGAAGAAAUGAUAUGUUUGGGCACAAACAUUUUUUAACACACAUAAUAAACCCUAAUAACUUAGAUAAGAUGCAACACACCGUACCAUUACAAUAAUAAGUUCACGGACAGUUCACGGACACAUGACGAAACAUGACACGACACGACACGAUAUAGAAAAGCAACAAAAUAAAAAACGAAACAUGACGAGCUUGACUCCGGGCUUGAACAUCUUCUUCUUGACCUCCUUCUUCCACCUUGGCCGCGUGCGCCCCUUCAACACCGUCCUCAUCUUCACACCUCCUCCUCCUCCUCGUAGGGAAGGGAGUGCAUCUGGCCUGGAGUGGGGAAGAUGCUCUCGUAGUUGGUGUAGAUGUUGUAGACGGUGAAGAAGAUGGCCUCGCAGCCGCACCAAAAGACUUGGCCGAGGAGCUCGCGCGCGUCAAACGGGUUGGUGAAGGUGACCGUGAGCAGUAGGAGGAUGCCGCCGCGGUCACGAAUCUCGUUGAGGGUGAACAUCCUCGGCGAGCCCCGUGGGAGGUGGGCAUAGCCGGCUCUGAGGAAGGCGCGGGUGAGUUCGACGGAACCCCUCCACCUUGAAAUAGCCCACACACUGAGCUCCCUCUCCACGAGCACGCCCGGUGGGUAGCGCAGCUCCGGCACGACAGGCGGACGGUUGAAGGUCGGCCCGUUGAACUGCAUCUUCACUUGGUCUCGCUUGGGGAGGGCUCGGUCGCUUGGGUGUUUGAAGUUGGAGAGAAUGGAUCGGAUCUGGCUUGUGGGUGGGAGAGGAAGAGAGGCACCCCAUUUAUAGGCCUGUGGGUGGGAGAGGAAGAGAGAAAGGAUGAGAACGGUGCGUGUGUGAAUCCGGACGCGUGUGUGUAUCCGGACGCGUGUGUGUAUCCGUUACGUUUUGCACUCUUAAAUUUUUGCACGAAAACAAUGCAUGGGGCGCGUGCGUGCAUCUGAAUCACUGCCUAGCUCUUUAACCGGGCGGUGCAUCUGACUCGCUGCCCUGAACCACUACCCUGAACCACCUAGCUCGCCUCGCUAGUGAAAGGAUCGAUAUAGUUGACUAGAGGGGGGGGGGGGUGAAUAGGCAACUAACAAUUUUUAGCUUUUCUUUACCAAUUUAAACUUUGCAUCAAAGUAGGUUGUCUAGAUAUGCAACUAGGUGAGCAACCUAUAUGAUGCAACAACAAUAAGCACACACGCAAGCAAGAGAUAAAGCACAAAUAAGCUUGCACAAGUAAAGGCACGAGAUAACCAAGAGUGGAGCUGGUGAAGACGAGGAUGUGUUACCGAAGUUCCUUCCCUUUGAGAGGAAGUACGUCUCCGUUGGAGCGGUGUGGAGGCACAAUGCUCCCCAAGAAGCCACUGGGGCCACCGUAUUCUCCUCACGCCCUCACACAAUGCGAGAUGCCGUGAUUCCACUAUUGGUGCCCUUGGAGGCGGCGACCAGACCUUUACAAACAAGGUUGGGGCAAUCUCCACAAUUUAAUUGGAGGCUCCCAACGAUACCACGAAGCUUCACCACAAUGGACUAUGGCUCCGCGGUGACCUCAACCGUCUAGGGUGCUCAAACACCCAAGAGUAACAAGAUCCACAAGGGAUUAGUGGGGGGAUUCAAAUUUCUCUUGGUGGAAGUGUAGAUCGGGGCCUUCUCAACCAAUCCCUAGAGAAUCAACAAGUUUGAUUGGCUAGGGAAGGAGAUCGGGCGAAAAUGGAGCUUGGAGCAACAAUGGAGCUUGGAGGUGGAAGAGUUGGUCAACUAGAGGAGGAAGACACCCCUUAUAUAGUGGAAGAGCAAAUCCAACCGUUAUCCACCAACUCAGCCUGCGCAACGCGGUACUACCGUACCUGAGGCGCGGUACUACCGCAGGGGCACGCGGUACUACCGCAGGGCCCCGCGGUACUACCGCCCACGCUACAGAGACCAGAACAGCCUAAAAUGCACUAAAGCAGAGGGCGGUAGUACUGCUGGCGCGGUACUACCCCUCCCCCUUGCGGUACUACCGCAAGGCAGGGGCUGUCUAGAGAUGGGAAGGCACGGAUAUAAAAAAUUACAUCCGUGGCUACUUCCGCAGAGUUGGAGUCGAUGCAAAAACCCGAGGCGGUAGUACCGUAAGCCAGCAGCGGUACUACCGCGCGAGGCGCGGAUGUAAAAAAUUACAUCCGCCCCUUACUGCUGUUGGAAAUAUGCCCUAGAGGCAAUAAUAAAAUGGUUAUUAUUAUAUUUCUUUGUUCAUGAUAAUUGUCUAUUGUUCAUGCUAUAAUUGUGUUAUCCGGAAAUCGUAAUACAUGUGUGAAUACAUAGACCACAACAUGUCCCUACUGAGCCUCUAGUUGACUAGCUCGUUGAUCAACAGAUAGUCAUGGUUUCCUGACUAUGGACAUUGGAUAUCAUUGAUAACGGGAUCACAUCAUUAGGAGAAUGAUGUGAUGGACAAGACCCAAUCCUAAGCAUAGCACAAAGAUCGUGUAGUUCGUUUGCUAGAGCUUUUCCAAUGUCAAGUAUCAUUUCCUUAGACCAUGUGAUCGUGUAACUCCCGGAUGCCGUAGGAGUGCUUUGGGUGUACCAAACAUCACAACGUAACUGGGUGACUAUAAAGGUACACUACAGGUAUCUCUGAAAGUGUCUGUUGGGUUGACACGGAUCGAGACUGGGAUUUGUCACUCCGUAUGACGGAGAGGUAUCUCUGGGCCCACUCGGUAAUGCAUCAUCAUAAUGAGCUCAAAGUGACCAAGUGGUUGGUCACGGGAUCAUGCAUUACGGUACGAGUAAAGUGACUUGUCGGUAACGAGAUUGAACAAGGUAUUGGGAUACCGACGAUCGAAUCUCGGGCAAGUAACGUACCGAUUGACAAAGGGAAUUGUAUACGGGAUUGAUUGAAUCCUCGACAUCGUGGUUCAUCCGAUGAGAUCAUCGUGGAACAUGUGGGAGCCAACAUGGGUAUCCAGAUCCCGCUGUUGGUUAUUGACCGGAGAGUCGUCUCGGUCAUGUCUGCAUGUCUCCUGAACCCGUAGGGUCUACACACUUAAGGUUCGGUGACGCUAGGGUUGUAGAGAUAUUAGUAUGCGGUAACCCGAAAGUUGUUCGGAGUCCCGGAUGAGAUCCCGGACGUCACGAGGAGUUCCGGAGUGUUCCGGAGGUGAAGAAUUAUAUAUAGGAAGUCCAGUUUCGGCCACCGGGAAAGUUUCGGGGGUCACCGGUAUUGUACCGGGACCACCGGAAGGGUCCCGGGGGUCCACCGGGUGGGGCCACCUAUCCCGGAAGGGCCCCAUGGGCUGAAGUGGGAGGGGAACCAGCCCCUGGUGGGCUGGUGCGCCCCCCCUUGGGCCUCCCCUGCGCCUAGGGUUGGAAACCCUAGGGGUGGGGGCGCCCCCCACUUGGCUUGGGGGGGAAGCCACCCCUUGGCCGCCGCCCCCCUGGAGAUUGGAUCUCCCAGGGGCCGGCCCCCCCAGGGCCCCUAUAUAUAGUGGAGGGGAGGGAGGGCAGCAGUACCACAGCCCCUGGCGCCUCCCUCUCCCUCCCGUGACACCUCUCCCUCUCGCUGAGCUUGGCGAAGCCCUGCCGAGAUCCCCGCUACUUCCACCACCACGCCGUCGUGCUGCUGGAUCUCCAUCAACCUCUCCUUUCCCCUUGCUGGAUCAAGAAGGAGGAGACGUCGCUGCUCCGUACGUGUGUUGAACGUGGAGGUGCCGUCCGUUCGGCGCUCGGUCAUCGGUGAUUUGGAUCACGACGAGUACGACUCCAUCAACCCCGUUCACUUGAACACUUCCGCUCGUGAUCUACAAGGGUAUGUAGAUGCACUCCUAUCUCUCGUUGCUAGAUGACUCCAUAGAUUGAUCUUGGUGAUGCGUAGAAAUUUUUUAAUUUCUGCUACGAUCCCCUACAGUGGCAUCAUGAGCUAGGUCUAUGCGUAGUUACUAUGCACGAGUAGAACACAAGAUUGUUGUGGGCGUAGAUCAUGUCAAUUUACUUGCCGCUACUAGUCUUAUCUUGAUUCGGCGGCAUUGUGGGAUGAAGCGGCCCGGACCGACCUUACACGUACGCUUACGUGAGACAGGUUCCACCGACUGACAUGCACUAGUUGCAUAAGGUGGCUAGCGGGUGUCUGUCUCUCCCACUUUAGUUGGAUCGGAUUCGAUGAAAAGGGUCCUUAUGAAGGGUAAAUAGAAAUUGGCAUACACGUUGUGGUUUUACGUAGGUAAGAAACGUUCUUGCUAGAAACCUAUAGAAGCCACGUAAAAACAUGCAACAACAAUUAGAGGACGUCUAACUUGUUUUUGCAGCAUAUGCCUUGUGAUGUGAUAUGGCCAAAAGGAUGUGAUGAAUGAAAUAUAUGUGAUGUAUGAGAUUGAUCAUGUUCUUGUAAUAGGAAUCACGACUUGCAUGUCGAUGAGUAUGACAACCGGCAGGAGCCAUAGGAGUUGUCUUUAUUUUUUGUAUGACCCGCGUGUCAUUGAAUAACGCCAUGUAAAUUGCUUUACUUUAUUGCUAAACACGUUAGCCAUAGAAGUAGAAGUAAUUGUUGGCGUGACAACUUCAUGAAGACACGAUGAUGGAGAUCAUGAUGAUGGAGAUCAUGGUGUCAUGCCGGUGACGAAGAUGAUCAUGGCGCCCCGAAGAUGGAGAUCAAAGGAGCAAUAUGAUACUAGCCAUAUCAUGUCACUAUUUGAUUGCAUGUGAUGUUUAUCAUGUUUUGCUUCUUGUUUGCUUAGUACGACGGUAGUAAGUAAGAUGAUCCCCCUAACUGUGCACCGUUGCGAAUGUUCGUUGUUUUGAAGCACCACGUGAUGAUCGGGUGUGAUAGAUUCUAACGUUCGAAUACAACGGGUGUAAGCCAGAUUUACACACGCAAUACACUUAGGUUGACUUGACGAGCCUAGCAUGUGAAGACAUGGCCUCGGAACACGGAAGACCGAAAGGUCGAGCAUGAGUCGUAUAGAAGAUACGAUCAACAUGAAGAUGUUCACCGAUGUUGACUAGUCCGUCUCACGUGAUGAUCGGACACGGCCUAGUUGAUUCGGAUCAUGUUUCACUUAGAUGACUAGAGGGAUGUCUAUCUGAGUGGGAGUUCAUUGAAUAAUUUGAUUAGAUGAACUUAAUUAUCAUGAACUUAGUCUAAAAUCUUUACAAUAUGUCUUGUAGAUCAAAUGGCCCACGUUGCCCUCAACUUCAACGCGUUCCUAGAGAAAACCAAGCUGAAAGAUGAUGGCAGCAACUAUACGGACUGGGUCCGGAACCUGAGGAUCAUCCUCAUAGCUGCCAAGAAAGAUUAUGUCCUAGAAGCACCGCUAGGUGACGCACCCAUCCCAGAGAACCAAGACGUUAUGAACGAUUGGCAGUCACGUGCUGAUGAUUACUCCCUCGUUCAGUGCGGCAUGCUUUACAGCUUAGAACCGGGGCUCCAAAAGCGUUUUGAGCAACACGGAGCAUAUGAGAUGUUCGAAGAGCUGAAAAUGGUUUUCCAAGCUCAUGCCCGGGUCGAGAGAUAUGAAGUCUCCGACAAGUUCUUCAGUUGUAAGAUGGAGGAAAACAGUUCUGUCAGUGAGCACAUACUCAAAAUGUCUGGGUUGCACAACCGCUUGACUCAGCUGGAGUUAAUCUCCCAGAUGACGCGGUCAUUGACAGAAUCCUUCAGUCACUUCCACCAAGCUACAAGAGCUUUGUGAUGAACUUCAAUAUGCAGGGGAUGGAAAAGACCAUUCCUGAGGUAUAUUCAAUGCUGAAAUCAGCGGAGGUGGAGAUAAAAAAGGAACAUCAAGUGUUGAUGGUGAAUAAAACCACUAAGUUCAAGAAAGGCAAGGGUAAGAAGAACUUCAAGAAGGACGGCAAGGGAGUUGCCGCGCCUGGUAAGACAGUUGCCGGGAAGAAGCCAAAGAAUGGACCCAAGCCUGAGACUGAGUGCUUUUAUUGCAAGGGAAGUGGUCACUGGAAGCGGAACUGCCCCAAAUACUUAGCGGACAAGAAGGCCGGCAACACCAAAGGUAUAUGUGAUAUACAUGUAAUUGAUGUGUACCUUACUAGUACUCGUAGUAGCUCCUGGGUAUUUGAUACAGGUGCGGUUGCUCAUAUUUGUAACUCAAAACAGGAGCUGCGGAAUAAGCGGAGACUAGCGAAGGACGAGGUGACGAUGCGCGUCGGGAAUGGUUCCAAGGUCGAUGUGAUCGCCGUCGGCAUGCUACCUCUACAUUUACCUACGGGAUUAGUUUUAAACCUCAAUAAUUGUUAUUUAGUGCCAGCUUUGAGCAUGAACAUUGUAUCUGGAUCUCGUUUAAUGCGAGAUGGCUACUCAUUUAAAUCUGAGAAUAAUGGCUGUUCUAUUUAUAUGAGAGAUAUGUUUUAUGGUCAUGCCCCGCUGGUCAAUGGUUUAUUCUUAAUGAAUCUCGAACGUGAUGUUACACAUAUUCAUAGUGUGAAGACCAAAAGAUGUAAAGUUGAUAACGAUAGUCCCACAUACUUGUGGCACUGCCGCCUUGGUCACAUUGGUGUCAAGCGCAUGAAGAAGCUCCAUGCUGAUGGACUUUUAGAGUCUCUCGAUUAUGAAUCAUUUGACACAUGCGAACCAUGCCUCAUGGGUAAGAUGACCAAGACUCCGUUCUCCGGAACAAUGGAGCGAGCAACCAACUUAUUGGAAAUCAUACAUACUGAUGUGUGCGGUCCAAUGAGUGUUGAGGCUCGCGGUGGCUAUCGUUAUGUUCUCACUCUCACUGAUGACUUGAGUAGAUAUGGGUAUGUCUACUUGAUGAAACACAAGUCUGAGACCUUUGAAAAGGUCAAGGAAUUUCAGAAUGAGGUGGAGAAUCAACGUGACCGAAAGAUAAAGUUCUUACGAUCAGAUCGUGGGGGAGAAUAUUUAAGUCACGAAUUUGGUAUGCACUUAAGGAAAUGUGGAAUCGUUUCACAACUCACGCCGCCUGGAACACCUCAGCGCAACGGUGUGUCCGAACGUCGUAAUCGCACUCUAUUGGGUAUGGUGCGAUCUAUGAUGUCUCUUACCGAUCUACCGCUCUCAUUUUGGGGCUAUGCUUUAGAGACUGCCGCAUUCACUUUAAAUAGGGCACCUUCUAAAUCCGUUGAGACGACACCGUAUGAAUUAUGGUUUGGGAAGAAACCUAAGCUGUCGUUUCUAAAAGUUUGGGGAUGCGAUGCUUAUGUCAAGAAACUUCAACCUGAAAAGCUCGAACCCAAGUCGGAGAAAUGCGUCUUCAUAGGAUACCCUAAGGAAACCAUUGGGUAUACCUUCUACCUCAGAUCCGAAGGCAAGAUCUUUGUUGCCAAGAACGGGUCCUUUCUGGAGAAAGAGUUUCUCUCGAAAGAAGUGAGUGGGAGGAAAGUAGAACUUGAUGAAGUACUGCCUCUUGAACCGGAAAGUAGCGCACCUCAGGAAAAUGUUCCUGUGGUGCAUGCACCGACUAGAGAGGAAGUUAAUGAUAAUGAUGAUCAAGGUACUUCGGAUCAAGCUCCUACUGAACUUCGUAGGUCCACAAGGACACGUUCCACACCAGAGUGGUAUGGCAACCCUGUCCUGGAAAUCAUGUUGUUAGACAACGGUGAACCUUCGAACUAUGAAGAAGCAAUGGCGGGCCCGGAUUCCGACAAAUGGCUAGAAGCCAUGAAAUCCGAGAUAGGAUCCAUGUAUGAAAACGAAGUAUGGGCUUUGACUGACUUUCCCGAUGAUCGGCGAGCCAUAGAAAAUAAAUGGAUCUUUAAGAACAAGACAGACGCGGAUGGUAAUGUGACCAUCUAUAAGGCUCGACUUGUCGCUAAGGGUUAUCGACAAGUUCAAGGGGAUGACUACGAUGAGACUUUCUCACCCAUAGCGAAGCUGAAGUCCGUCCGAAUCAUGUUAGCAAUUGUCGCAUACUAUGAUUAUGAGAUAUGGCAAAUGGACGUCAAAACGGCAUUCCUUAACGGCCAUCUUAAGGAAGAACUGUAUAUGAUGCAGCCGGAAGGUUUUGUCGAUCCUAAGAAUGCUAACAAGGUAUGCAAGCUCCAGCGCUCCAUCUAUGGGCUGGUGCAAGCAUUUGGGUUUACACAGACUUAUGGAGAAGCCUGUGUUUACAAGAAAGUGAGUGGGAGCUCUGUAGCAUUUCUCUUAUUAUAUGUGGAUGGCAUACUAUUGAUGGGAAAUGAUAUAGAAUUCUUGGAAAGUAUAAAGGCCUAUUUGAAUAAGUGUUUUUCAAUGAAGGACCUUGGAGAAACUGCUUAUAUAUUAGGCAUCAAGAUCUAUAGAGAUAGAUCAAGACGCCUCAUUGGUCUUUCACAGAGGAUGUACCUUGACAAGAUAUUGAAGAAGUUCAAUAUGGAUCAGUCUAAGAAGGGGUUCUUGCCUGUAUUGCAAGGUGUGCAAUUGAGCACGGCUCAAUGCCCGACCACGGCAGAAGAUAGAGAAAAGAUGAGUGUCGUCCCCUAUGCCUCGGCCAUAGGGUCUAUUAUGUAUGCCAUGCUGUGUACCAGACCUGAUGUAAACCUUGCCGUAAGUUUGGUAGGAAGGUACCAAAGUAAUCCCGGCAUGGAACACUGGACAUCGGUCAAGAAUAUCCUGAAGUACCUGAAAAGGACUAAGGAUAUGUUUCUCGUAUAUGGAGGUGACGAAGAGCUCGUCGUAAAGGGUUACGUCGACGCUAGCUUCGACACAGAUCUGGAUGACUCUAAGUCACAAACCGGAUACGUGUAUAUUUUGAAUGGUGGGGCAGUAAGCUGGUGCAGUUGCAAGCAAAGCGUCGUGGCGGGAUCUACAUGUGAAGCGGAGUACAUGGCAGCCUCAGAGGCAGCACAAGAAGCAAUCUGGAUGAAGGAGUUCAUUACCGACCUAGGGGUGAUUCCCAAUGCGUCGGGCCCGAUGACUCUCUUCUGUGACAACAGUGGAGCUAUUGCCCUUGCUAAGGAGCCCAGGUUUCACAGGAAGACCAGGCAUAUCAAGCGUCGCUUCAACUCCAUUCGUGAAAGUGUUCAAAAUGGAGACAUAGAUAUUUGUAAAGUACAUACGGACCUGAAUGUAGCAGAUCCAUUGACUAAACCUCUCCCUAGAGAAAAACAUGAUCAACACCAGAACUCUAUGGGUGUACGAUUCAUCACAAUGUAACUAGAUUAUUGACUCUAGUGCAAGUGGGAGACUGUUGGAAAUAUGCCCUAGAGGCAACAAUACAAUGGUUAUUAUUAUAUUUCUUUGUUCAUGAUAAUUGUCUAUUGUUCAUGCUAUAAUUGUGUUAUCCGGAAAUCGUAAUACAUGUGUGAAUACAUAGACCACAACAUGUCCCUAGUGAGCCUCUAGUUGACUAGCUCGUUGAUCAACAGAUAGUCAUGGUUUCCUGACUAUGGAUAUUGGAUGUCAUUGAUAACGGGAUCACAUCAUUAGGAGAAUGAUGUGAUGGACAAGACCCAAUCCUAAGCAUAGCACAAAGAUCGUGUAGUUCGUUUGCUAGAGCUUUUCCAAUGUUAAAUAUCAUUUCCUUAGACCAUGAGAUCGUGUAACUUCCGGAUGCCAUAGGAGUGCUUUGGGUGUACCAAACGUCACAACAUAACUAGGUGACUAUAAAGGUACACUACAGGUAUCUCUGAAAGUGUCUGUUGGGUUGACACGGAUCGAGACUGGGAUUUGUCACUCCGUAUGACGGAGAGGUAUCUCUGGGCCCACUCGGUAAUGCAUCAUCAUAAUGAGCUCAAAGUGACCAAGUGGUUGGUCACGGGAUCAUGCAUUACGGUACGAGUAAAGUGACUUGCCAGUAACGAGAUUGAACAAGGUAUUGGGAUACCGACGAUCGAAUCUCGGGCAAGUAACGUACCGAUUGACAAAGGGAAUUGUAUACGGGAUUGAUUGAAUCCUCGACAUCGUGGUUCAUCCGAUGAGAUCAUCAUGGAACAUGUGGGAGCCAACAUGGGUAUCCAGAUCCCGCUGUUGGUUAUUGACCAGAGAGUCGUCUCGGUCAUGUCUGCAUGUCUCCCGAACCCGUAGGGUCUACACACUUAAGGUUCGGUGACGCUAGGGUUGUAGAGAUAUUAGUAUGCGGUAACCCGAAAGUUGUUCGGAGUCUCGGAUGAGAUCGCAGAUGUCACGAGGAGUUCCGGAGUGGUCCGGAGGUGAAGAAUUAUAUAUAGGAAGUCCAGUUUCGUCCACCGGGAAAGUUUCGGGGGUCACCGGUAUUGUACCGGGACCACCGGAAGGGUCCCGGGGGUCCACCGGGUGGGGCCACCUAUCCCGGAAGGGCCCCAUGGGCUGAAGUGGGAGGGGAACCAGCCCCUGGUGGGCUGGUGCGCCCCCCCCUUGGGCCUCCCCUGCGCCUAGGGUUGGAAACCCUAGGGGUGGGGGCGCCCCCCACUUGGCUUGGGGGGGAAGCCACCCCUUGGCCACCGCCCCCCUGGAGAUUGGAUCUCCCAGGGGCCGGCGCCCCCCCAGGGCCCCUAUAUAUAGUGGAGGGGAGGGCAGCAGUACCACAGCCCCUAUAUAUAGUGGAGGGGAGGGAGGGCAGCAGUACCACAGCCCUGGCGCCUCCCUCUCCCUCCCGUGACACCUCUCCCUCUCGCUGAGCUUGGCGAAGCCCUGCCGAGAUCCCUGCUACUUCCACCACCACGUCGUCGUGCUGCUGGAUCUCCAUCAACCUCUCCUUCCCCCUUGCUGGAUCAAGAAGGAGGAGACGUCGCUGCUCCGUACGUGUGUUGAACGCGGAGGUGCCGUCCGUUCGGCGCUCGGUCAUCGGUGAUUUGGAUCACGACGAGUACGACUCCAUCAACCCCAUUCACUUGAACGCUUCCGCUCGCGAUCUACAAGGGUAUGUAGAUGCACUCCUAUCUCUCGUUGCUAGAUGACUCCAUAGAUUGAUCUUGGUGAUGCGUAGAUUUUUUUAUUUCUACUACGAUCCCCAACAACUGCCGCGUACUUGGGGAACUAAGUCAGAUACCACGGUAGUACCGCUUACUAGAAACGGUACUACCAUGGGCCCUUGCGGUACUACCGCACCAGCGGGCGGUACUACCGCAAGGUCCUGCGGUACUACCGCUCUAAGGAGCAGUACUACCGCACGCCCUAGUUCAGCAAGCAAGAGCAAUAUUUGCAUAGACAAGGAAAACAUAGGAUACUCCAAAGGCUAGAGGAAAGGAGGUGCAAAGGAAGAUGUGUACGUGAUGAAUCCACCCAACCUUUCCAACGCGGACCCCCUCUUAAUAGUACGGCUUCCCUACGACUCAAUACCACCGAAAAGAAACGAAGAGAAACGCCGUCUUCCAUAGCCUUCGAGGGGAACCAAAUCAUCUUGUGCCUAGUCAAUAUAUAUGAAAUAUUCGAUGCACAUGAUUAGUCCGCAAAAGCACUGUCAUCAAUCACCACAACCAACUAAGGGAUAAAAAUGCCCUUAAAAUCUCCCCCUUUUUGGUGGAUUGAUGACAACACGGGAUUUGCACGAGGGUAUAACGCAAAGAGCAAGGGCAAAACCCAAGUCUCUAAAAUAUAGACGGGCUCCCCCUAGAUGUGUGCUAUCUCGAUGAGUGCUUUGGACUGCACGGCACACAUACUAGGAUCAACACUCCCCAUAUAUUUUAUAGACAUGACAAAUCUUGCAAUAAGGCUAAAGCUAAGCAAGAUAGACAGGAGCAUAAUGUAAUAAGCACAAGAUAGAAUAAGCUCACUACGAUACGAUAGAGUGCAUAUGUCUUACACCAUAUGAUAGAAGGUCUCAUGAGCACAAACCAAAGCAAACCAAAGCAAACGAAAUAAACGAAGUUCAACUGACCCAAACACGACACAACUCGCAAAUCCUACACUCUCUCCCCCUUUGGCAUCGAGACACCAAAAAGGCAGAGAGGACACCUACAACAAUAGUGGUGGCUCAAGCGGAGUAGUCACUUGCACACUCCCCAUCAGACUCUGCAGCUGGGACGAACUCCUCCUCAGACUCGGUCCACCGAUAACCCUGCUUGCGCAUCCAUUCUGCCUCUAGGGUGAUGUGCACCUCUGACCCGCUAGAUAUGUUCUCGCCAAAGGUCCUGAAAAUCCGCUUGUCGCGGCGGUGAGUCUCCUUGGAAGCCACAUGGGUCUGGUACUGCCCCUUUGCCUGCAUACAGAACAAAACCUUCAUCUUGUUCUUCGGUCGCUUAGCCCUAGAAGGCUCAGAGGUGGGAGGGAUGUAACCCUCAGAGCUGUCCUCGUCUGCUGCCUCCUCCUCAUCUUCAUUUGCAUCCACGUGAAGGAAAUAUGCCCUAGAGGCAAUAAUAAAGUAUUAUUUAUUUCCUUAUAUCAUGAUAAAUGUUUAUUAUUCAUGCUAGAAUUGUAUUAACCGGAAACAUAAUACAUGUGUGAAUACAUAGACAAACAGAGUGUCACUAGUAUGCCUCUACUUGACUAGCUCGUUAAUCAAAGAUGGUUAUGUUUCCUAGCCAUAGACAUGAGUUGUCAUUUGAUUAACGGGAUCACCUCAUUAGGAGAAUGACGUGAUUGACUUGACCCAUUCCGUUAGCUUAGCACUCGAUCGUUUAGUAUGUUGCUAUUGCUUUCUUCAUGACUUAUACAUGUUCCUAUGACUAUGAGAUUAUGCAACUCCCGUUUACCGGAGGAACACUUUGUGUGCUACCAAACGUCACAACGUAACUGGGUGAUUAUAAAGGUGCUCUACAGGUGCUUCCAAAGGUACUUGUUGGGUUGGCGUAUUUCGAGAUUAGGAUUUGUCACUCCGAUUGUCGGAGAGGUAUCUCUGGGCCCACUCAGUAAUGCACAUCACUAUAAGCCUUGCAAGCAUUGUAACUAAUGAGUUAGUUGCGGGAUGAUGUAUUACGGAAUGAGUAAAGAGACUUGCCGGUAAUGAGAGUGAACUAGGUAUCGAGAUACCGACGAUCGAAUCUCGGGCACGUAACAUACCGAUGACAAAGGGAACAACGUAUGUUGUUAUGCGGUCUGACCGAUAAAGAUCUUCGUAGAAUAUGUGGGAACCAAUAUGAGCAUCCGGGUUCCGCUAUUGGUUAUUGACCGGAGAGGUGUCUCGGUCAUGUCUACAUAGUUCUCGAACCCGUAGGGUCCGCACGCUUAACGUUACGAUGACAGUUAUAUUAUGAGUUUAUAUGUUUUGAUGUACCGAAGGUUGUUCGGAGUCCCGGAUGUGAUCACGGACAUGACGAGGAGUCUCGAAAUGGUCGAGACAUAAAGAAUGAUAUAUUGGACGACUAUAUUCGGACACCGGAAGUGUUCCGGAGAAGUUCGGAGGGGUUACCGGAACCCCCCGGGGAAGUAUUGGGCCUUAGUGGGCCUGAGGGGAGAGAGAGGGCAGCAGCCAGGAGGUGGCGCGCCCCCUCCCAUGAGGAGUCCGAAUUGGACUAGGGGAGGGGGGCGCGGCCCCUCUUUCCCUCUCCCUCUCCCUCUCUUUCCUUCCCCCUCUCUCUUCCUAGUUGGACUAGGAAAGGGGAGUCCUACUCCUACUAGGAGGAGGACUCCCCCCUCUCCUUGGCGCGCCCCAAGGGAAGCCGGCCUCCCCCUUGCUCCUUUAUAUACGGGGGCAGGGGGCACCUCUACACACACAAUUGAUAUACGAUAUUUUAGCCGUGUGCGGUGCCCCCCUCCACCAUAUUACACCUCGAUAAUAUCGUUGCGGAGCUUAGGCGAAGCCCUGCGUCGGUAGAACAUCAUCAUCGUCACCACGCCGUCGUGCUGACGAAACUCUCCCUCAACACUCGGCUGGAUCGGAGUUCGAGGGACGUCAUCGAGCUGAACGUGUGCUGAACUCGGAGGUGCCGUGCGUUCAGUACUUGAUCGGUCGGAUCGUGAAGACGUACGACUACAUCAACCGCGUUGUGUUAACGCUUCCGCCUUCGGUCUACGAGGGUACGUGGACAACACUCUCCCCUCUCGUUGCUAUGCAUCACCAUGAUCUUGCGUGUGCGUAGGAAUUUUUUUGAAAUUACUACGUUCCCCAACAGUGGCAUCCGAGCCUGGUUUUAUGCGUUGAUGCUAUGCACGAGUAGAACACAAGUGAGUUGUGGGCGAUAUAAGUCAUACUGCUUACCAGCAUGUCAUACUUUGGUUCGGCGGUAUUGUGAGAUGAAGCGGCCCGGACCGACAUUACGCGUACGCUUACGCGAGACUGGUUUCACCGUUGCGAGCACUCGUUGCUUAAAGGUGACUGGCGGGUGUCUGUCUCUCUCACUUUAGUUGAACCGAGUGUGGCUAUGCCCGGUCCUUGCGAAGGUUAAAACAUCACCAACUUGACAAACUAUCGUUGUGGUUUUGAUGCGUAGAUAAGAACGGUUCUUGCUAAGCCCGUAGCAGCCACGUAAAACUUGCAACAACAAAGUAGAGGACGUCUAACUUGUUUUUGCAGGGCAUGUUGUGAUGUGAUAUGGUCAAGACAUGAUGCUAUAUUUUAUUGUAUGAGAUGAUCAUGUUUUGUAACCGAGUUAUCGGCAACUGGCAGGAGCCAUAUGGUUGUCGCUUUAUUGUAUGCAAUGCAAUCGCCAUGUAAUAGUUUUACUUUAUCACUAAGCGGUAGCGAUAGUCGUAAAAGCAAUAGUUGGCGAGACGACAACGAUGCUGCGAUGGAGAUCAAGGUGUCGAGCCGGUGACGAUGGUGAUCAUGACGGUGCUUCGGAGAUGGAGAUCACAAGCACAAGAUGAUGAUGGCCAUAUCAUAUCACUGAUAUUGAUUGCAUGUGAUGUUUAUCUUUUAUGCAUCUUAUCUUGCUUUGAUUGACGGUAGCAUUAUAAGAUGAUCUCUCACUAAAAUUUCAAGAUAAAAGUGUUCUCCCUGAGUAUGCACCGUUGCGAAAGUUCUUCGUGCUGAGACACCACGUGAUGAUCGGGUGUGAUAGGCUCUACGUUCAAAUACAACGGGUGCAAAACAGUUGCACACACGGAAUACUCAGGUUAAACUUGACGAGCCUAGCAUAUGCAGAUAUGGCCUCGGAAUACGGAGACCGAAAGGUCGAGCGUGAAUCAUAUAGUAGAUAUGAUCAACAUAGUGAUGUUCACCAUUGAAACUACUCCAUCUCACGUGAUGAUCGGACAUGGUUUAGUUGAUUUGGAUCACGUAAUCACUUAGAUGAUUAGAGGGAUGUCUAUCUAAGUGGGAGUUCUUAAGUAAUAUGAUUAAUUGAACUUGAAUUUAUCAUGAACUUAGUACCUGAUAGUAUCUUGCUUGUCUAUGUUAAUUGUAGAUAAAUGGCCCGUGCUGUUGUUCCGUUGAAUUUUAAAUGUGUUCCUUGAGAAAGCAAAGUUGAAAGAUGAUGGUAGCAAUUACACUGGGUCCGUAACUUGAGGAUUAUCCUCAUUGAUGCACAGAAGAAUUACGUCCUGGAAGCACCGCUAGGUGCCAGGCCUCCUGCAAGAGCAACACGAGAAGUUAUGAACGUCUGGCAGAGCAAAGCUGAUGACUACUCGAUAGUUCAGUGUGCCAUGCUUUACGGCUUAGAACCGGGUCUUCAACGACGUUUUGAACGUCAUGGAGCAUAUGAGAUGUUCCAGGAGUUGAAUUUAAUAUUUCAAGCAAAUGCCCGGAUUGAGAGAUAUGAAGUCUCCAAUAAAGUUCUACAGCUGCAAGAUGGAAGAGAAUAGUUCUGUCAGUGAGCAUAUACUCAAAAUGUCUGGGUAUAAUAAUCACUUGAUUCAACUGGGAGUUAAUCUUCCGGAUGAUAGCGUCAUUGACAGAAUUCUUCAAUCACCGCCACCAAGCUACAAGAGCUUCGUGAUGAACUAUAACAUGCAAGGGAUGAAUAAGACAAUUCCCGAGCUCUUCGCAAUGCUAAAGGCAGCGGAGGUAGAAAUCAAAAAGGAGCAUCAAGUGUUGAUGGUCAGUAAAACCACUAGUUUCAAGAAAAAGGGCAAAGGGAAGAAGAAGGGGAACUUCAAGAAAAACAGCAAGCAAGUUGCUGUUCAGGAGAAGAAACCCAAGUCUGGACCUAAGCCUGAAACUGAGUGCUUCUAGUGCAAGCAGACUGGUCACUGGAAGCGGAACUGCCCCAAGUAUUUGGCGGAUAAGAAGGAUGGCAAGGUUAACAAAGGUAUAUGUGAUAUACAUGUUAUUGAUGUGUACCUUACUAAUGCUCGCAGUAGCACCUGGGUAUUUGAUACUGGUUCUGUUGCUAAUAUUUGUAACUCGAAACAGGGGCUACGGAUUAAGCGAAGAUUGGCUAAGGACGAGGUGACGAUGCGCGUGGGAAAUGGUUCCAAAGUCGAUGUGAUCGCGGUCGGCACGCUACCUCUACAUCUACCUUCGGGAUUAGUUUUAGACCUAAAUAAUUGUUAUUUGGUGCCAGCGUUGAGCAUGAACAUUAUAUCUGGAUCUUGUUUAAUGCAAGACGGUUAUUCAUUUAAAUCAGAGAAUAAUGGUUGUUCUAUUUAUAUGAAUAAUAUCUUUUAUGGUCAUGCACCCUUGAAGAGUGGUCUAUUUUUAAUGAAUCUCGAUAGUAGUGACACACAUAUUCAUAAUGUCGAAGCCAAAAGAUGCAGAGUUGAUAAUGACAGUGCAACUUAUUUGUGGCACUGCCGUUUAGGUUAUAUCGGUGUAAAGCGCAUGAAGAAACUCCAUACUGAUGGACUUUUGGAAUCACUUGAUUAUGAAUCACUUGGUACUUGCGAACCGUGCCUCAUGGGCAAGAUGACUAAAACACCGUUCUCCGGAACUAUGGAGAGAGCAACAUAUUUAUUGGAAAUCAUACAUACAGAUGUAUGUGGUCCGAUGAAUAUUGAAGCUCGUGGCGGAUAUCGUUAUUUUCUCACCUUCACAGAUGAUUUGAGCAGAUAUGGGUAUAUCUACUUAAUGAAACAUAAGUCUGAAACAUUUGAAAAGUUCAAAGAAUUUCAGAGCGAAGUUGAAAAUCAUCGUAACAAGAAAAUAAAGUUUCUACGAUCAGAUCGUGGAGCAGAAUAUUUGAGUUACGAGUUUGGCCUACAUUUGAAACAAUGCGGAAUAGUUUCGCAACUCACGCCACCCGGAACACCAUAGCGUAAUGGUGUGUCCGAACGUCGUAAUCGUACUUUACUAGAUAUGGUGCGAUCUAUGAUGUCUCUCACUGAUUUACCACUAUCGUUUUGGGGUUAUGCUUUAGAGACGACUGCAUUCACUCUAAAUAGGGCACCAUCAAAAUCCGUUGAAUCGACACCUUAUGAACUAUGGUUUGGCAAGAAACCAAAGUUGUCGUAUCUUAAAGUUUGGGGUUGCGAUGCUUAUGUGAAGAAACUUCAACCUGAUAAGCUCGAACCUAAAUCGGAGAAAUGUGUCUUCAUAGGAUACCCAAAGGAGACUGUUGGGUACACCUUCUAUCACAGAUCCGAAGGCAAGACAUUCGUUGCUAAGAAUGGAUCCUUUCUAGAGAAGGAGUUUCUCUCGAAAGAAGUGAGUGGGAGGAAAGUAGAACUUGAUGAGGUAACUGUACCUGCUCCCUUAUUGGAAAGUAGAUCAUCACAGAAACCAGUUUCUGCGACACCUACACCAAUUAGUGGGGAAGUUAAUGAUAAUGAUCAUGAAACUUCAGAUCAAGUUGUUACUGAACCUCGUAGAUCAACCAGAUUAAGAUCCGCACCAGAGUGGUAUGGUAAUCCUGUUCUGGAGGUUAUGUUACUAGACCAUGACGAACCUACGAACUAUGAAGAAGCGAUGGUGAGCCCAGAUUCCGCAAAAUGGCUUGAAGCCAUGAAAUCCGAGAUGGGAUCCAUGUAUGAGAACAAAGUAUGGACUUUGGUUGACUUGCCCGAUGAUCGGCAAGCCAUUGAAAAUAAAUGGAUCUUCAAGAAAAAGACUGACGCUGACGGUAAUGUUACUGUCUAUAAAGCUCGACUUGUUGCAAAAGGUUUUCGACAAGUUCAAGGGAUUGACUACGAUGAGACCUUCUCACCCAUAGCGAUGCUUAAGUCAGUCCGAAUCAUGUUAGCAAUUGCCGCAUUUUAUGAUUAUGAAAUUUGGCAAAUGGAUGUCAAAACUGCAUUCCUGAAUGGAUUUCUGGAAGAAGAGUUGUAUAUGAUGCAACCGGAAGGUUUUGUCGAUCCAAAGGGAGCUAACAAAGUGUGCAAGCUCCAGCGAUCCAUUUAUGGACUGGUGCAAGCCUCUCGGAGUUGGAAUAAACGCUUUGAUAGUGUGAUCAAAGCAUUUGGUUUUAUACAGACUUUUGGAGAAGCCUGUAUUUACAAGAAAGUGAGUGGGAGCUCAGUAGCAUUUCUGAUAUUAUAUGUGGAUGACAUAUUGCUGAUUGGAAAUGAUAUAGAAUUUCUGGAUAGCAUAAAGGGAUACUUGAAUAAGAGUUUUUCAAUGAAAGACCUCGGUGAAGCUGCAUAUAUAUUAGGCAUUAAGAUCUAUAGAGAUAGAUCAAGACGCUUAAUUGGACUUUCACAAAGCACAUACCUUGACAAAGUUUUGAAGAAGUUCAAAAUGGAUCAAGCAAAGAAAGGGUUCUUGCCUGUACUACAAGGUGUGAGAUUGAGUAAGACUCAAUGCCCGACCACUGCAGAAGAUAGAGAGAAGAUGAAAGAUGUUCCCUAUGCUUCAGCCAUAGGCUCUAUCAUGUAUGCAAUGCUAUGUACCAGACCUGAUGUGUGCCUUGCUAUAAGUUUAGCAGGGAGGUACCAAAGUAAUCCAGGAGUGGAUCACUGGACAAUGGUCAAGAACAUCCUGAAAUACCUGAAAAGGACUAAGGAUAUGUUUCUUGUUUAUGGAGGUGACAAAGAGCUCAUCGUAAGUGGUUACGUUGAUGCAAGCUUUGACACUGAUCCGGACGAUUCUAAAUCGCAAACCGGAUACGUAUUUACAUUGAACGGUGGAGCUGUCAGUUGGUGCAGUUCUAAGCAAAGUGUCGUGGCGGGAUCUACGUGUGAAGCAGAGUACAUAGCUGCUUCGGAAGCAGCAAAUGAAGGAGUCUGGAUGAAGGAGUUCAUAUCCGAUCUAGGUGUCAUACCUAGUGCAUCGGGACCAAUGAAAAUCUUUUGUGACAAUACUGGUGCAAUUGCCUUAGCAAAGGAAUCCAGAUUUCACAAGAGAACCAAGCACAUCAAAAGAUGCUUCAAUUCCAUCCGGGAUUUAGUCCAGGUGGGAGACAUAGAAAUUUGCAAGAUACAUACGGAUCUGAAUGUUGCAGACCCGUUGACUAAGCCUCUUCCACGAGCAAAACAUGAUCAGCACCAAGACUCCAUGGGUGUAAGAAUCAUUACUGUGUAAUCUAGAUUAUUGACUCUAGUGCAAGUGGGAGACUGAAGGAAAUAUGCCCUAGAGGCAAUAAUAAAGUAUUAUUUAUUUCCUUAUAUCAUGAUAAAUGUUUAUUAUUCAUGCUAGAAUUGUAUUAACCGGAAACAUAAUACAUGUGUGAAUAGAUAGACAAACAGAGUGUCACUAGUAUGCCUCUACUUGACUAGCUCGUUAAUCAAAGAUGGUUAUGUUUCCUAGCCAUAGACAUGAGUUGUUAUUUGAUUAACGGGAUCACCUCAUUAGGAGAAUGACGUGAUUGACUUGACCCAUUCCGUUAGCUUAGCACUCGAUCGUUUAGUAUGUUGCUAUUGCUUUCUUCAUGGCUUAUACAUGUUCCUAUGACUAUGAGAUUAUGCAACUCCCGUUUACCGGAGGAACACUUUGUGUGCUACCAAACGUCACAACGUAAUUGGGUGAUUAUAAAGGUGCUCUACAGGUGCUUCCAAAGGUACUUGUUGGGUUGGCGUAUUUCGAGAUUAGGAUUUGUCACUCCGAUUGUCGGAGAGGUAUCUCUGGGCCCACUCAGUAAUGCACAUCACUAUAAGCCUUGCAAGCAUUGUAACUAAUGAGUUAGUUGCAGGAUGAUGUAUUACGGAACAAGUAAAGAGACUUGCCGGUAACGAGAUUGAACUAGGUAUCGAGAUACCGACGAUCGAAUCUUGGGCAAGUAACAUACCGAUGACAAAGGGAACAACGUAUGUUGUUAUGCGGUCUGACCGAUAAAGAUCUUCGUAGAAUAUGUGGGAACCAAUAUGAGCAUCCAGGUUCCGCUAUUGGUUAUUGACCGGAGAGGUGUCUCGGUCAUCUCUACAUAGUUCUCGAACCCGUAGGGUCCGCACGCUUAACGUUACGAUGACAGUUAUAUUAUGAGUUUAUAUGUUUUGAUGUACCGAAGGUUGUUCGGAGUCCCGGAUGUGAUCACGGACAUGACGAGGAGUCUCGAAAUGGUUGAGACAUAAAGAAUGAUAUAUUGGACGACUAUAUUCGGACACCGGAAGUGUUCCGGAGAAGUUUCGGAUAAAACCGGAGUGCCGGAGGGGUUACCGGAACCCCCCGGGGAAGUAUUGGGCCUUAGUGGGCCUGAGGGGAGAGAGAGGGCAGCAGCCAGGAGGUGGCGCGCCCCCUCCCAUGAGUAGUCCGAAUUGGACUAGGGGAGGGGGGCGCGGCCCCUCUUUCCCUCUCCCUCUCCCUCUCUUUCCUUCCCCCUCUCUCUUCCUAGUUGGACUAGGAAAGGGGAGUCCUACUCCUACUAGGAGGAGGACUCCCCCCUCUCCUUGGCGCGCCCCAAGGGCAGCCGGCCUCCCCCCUUGCUCCUUUAUAUACGGGGGCAGGGGGGCACCUCUACACACACAAUUGAUAUACGAUAUUUUAGCCGUGUGCGGUGCCCCCCUCCACCAUAUUACACCUCGAUAAUAUCGUUGCGGAGCUUAGGCGAAGCCCUGCGUCGGUAGAACAUCAUCAUCGUCACCACGCCGUCGUGCUGACGAAACUCUCCCUCAACACUCGGCUGGAUCGGAGUUCGAGGGACGUCAUCGAGCUGAACGUGUGCUGAACUCGGAGGUGCCGUGCGUUCGGUACUUGAUCGGUCGGAUCGUGAAGACGUACGACUACAUCAACCGCGUUGUGUUAACGCUUCCGCUUUCGGUCUACGAGGGUACGUGGACAACACUCUGCCCUCUCAUUGCUAUGCAUCACCAUGAUCUUGCGUGUGCGUAGGAAUUUUUUUGAAAUUACUACAUUCCCCAACACCACGUCCAUGGCAGCCACAGUAUCAUCACGAGAGGUAGUGUUGGCCCACUGAGGCUUGAUACGGAGGUUGAUGGGCUCAUGCCGGAUCCAACCAGGGGCCUCAAACUCAUCCUGAGGGUAGACCCGCUCCCAAGUAGCCGAGAUCAACUGAAACAGAUAAGGUCCAUAGAUGGGGACCUUGCGGUUGUAGACCGCAAACCGAAGCUCAUGCCACAUGAUAUGUGAGACAUCAAGUGGUAGUGUCUGAGAGUUGCGAGCAUCUUCACACAGGAGCAUCAUAUCCACAAGAUAGGCAUGCACCUUGUCCUUGUCCCCAAUGCGUGGGAAGAGAGUGUUGCGGAAGAUCCGAUGCAUGAUGUCAAGAAAGGAGUUGAGUACCCAAGAUGACUUGCCAUUGGAGAGCUUCUUCUCCACAUAGAAGGGCAUAAGCUUGUUCUUGUUGGCAGACUCGGGAUUGGCAUGAGGGCGAACACCUUGGGGUGUGGCGAGCCCCUCAUCCGGAACCCCAAGCAAAGUCAUGAAUUCCUUCCAAGUAGCAGUCAGCUGCCGACCAUUGGUCAUCCAAGUCAUGGUCCUUUCCUCAUUGGGAUGAAAAUGCACUGAGGCAAAGAACUGAGCAAGGAUCUCAGGAUCAUAGUCUUCGUGGAAUGAGAUGAUAUGCUCAAUGCCAAAUUGCUCCACUAGGUCUAAAGCCUCACCAAAGUAUUCCCGGUGCGCCUCUUUUCGCAUGCGAUGCAUGUUGAUCCACUUCACCUCCACAUAGGUGUUUUGCUUGGCCUUGAUGACAUCCAGAUAAAUGAGAUUCUGCUGCUUGGUCCAGAAUAGCUCAUUCCCUCAAAAGUUGGCACGAGGGUUUCCAUAUGGAUUGAUCUUCCUCCGAGAGAUGAACUCAGCAAGCGGUAUCUCAUCCAUACCCAUGGCGGGUUCCUUCUCUUUGGUGGCGGUGGUCUUGGUUCUGCGUUGGGGGGCAUUAAUGGAGCCCUCUGCUACCUCUGUGUUGCGCAUACGCUUGGAUCUCGUGUCACGGCUUGGAUUGGAGCGGCGAGCCGGAGCACCUGAGCCACCACAUAAAACACACACCACAAAACAACCACGCACGAAACGCGAGAAGGAUCAAUGCAAAGACCACAACAAAGCAGGUAAAACAAGUAGACAUGGCACGUGAGAAGUGCCACAAGAGGGAUUUGAGACAACAGUAGUAUCGUGUGUUGCGCCACGUGCGGUAGUACAACUCCAAGGAGCGGUAGUACCGUAGACGCGGUAGUACCGCACCAGCAGGGCGGUAGUACUGGACGUGCGGUAGUACCGCACCUAAAGAGCGGUAGUACCGCAUGGUUGCAGAUAUGAAACAGCCACGGAGAUCUGAGCACAAUCGUGUCAACACGCGGUACUACGGUCGAUCAAAUCCAUCACGGGACAACUAUAGCAAGUACCAUCACUACACAAAACUACUCUCCUACGUCCUACUCUUGUAGAGAUUUGGCCUAAAAUCUCAAGAACAACUUGCAUCUCCCCAAAACCUAAAAGCAACAAGACGAACAAGAAAAAGGGAGGGAUUGGGGAGAAACCUUGUUCCAUGGCAAGAGGGAGUGGUGGGGAACGAUCCCACCGGUCGGAAUCCGAGGAGAGCGGCCGGAGAUGGAGAUCCGGAGAGGACCUCUGGCGCCGUUCUUGAGCAAGAGAGAGAGAGAGAGACGGAGUGGGGAGAGAGACGAAUGGGUAUGGGGGAGUUAGAACUCCCCCUGCCCGUGUUUAACCCCCCACUCGCCCUCGACCGCACGGUAGUACCGCACGUCAUCGCGGUACUACCGCCCCGGGAGGAAGUACCGCACCGUGACUUUAGUACCGCUCCCCCAGGCGGCAGUAAAAAAUUACUGCCGCGCUGGGUGCGGAAGUACCAUGCGCUCCUCACGCGGUAGUACCGCACGUCAUUGUGGUAGUACCUCCCGGGCGGAAGUACCGCACCGAGGCCAUAGUACCGCUCCCCCAGGCGGCAGUAAAAAAUUACUGCCGCGCUGGGUGCGGAAGUACUGCCCCCCCUUUGCGGUAGUACCGUGGCAGGCCGCGGUAGUACCGUGAGCUCAAGAAAAGACAGUUUCAACCAAAAGAGAGAACACCGAAGCAUGGAACCUUCAAGCGAGAGACCACACCAAAGAGCUAACACACUGGACACCAUAAGCACAAGCUCGACACGAAGGAAGAGAGGCAAGAGACAACACAGACCUAAAACGAGACACAAACUCUCCAAGGAGAGGGUGGUGGCCGGAGCCACCUAUGUUUGAGUCAAUUGGUAUGGCACCGCGAAGAAUUAUCCUUGGGCCCAUGACCAAAACUCGUCUUUGAAGCACAAGUACCAUAAAAAAUGGCUAAUGUGAAAGAGUUGAUCACUUUAUGCAUAAUGGGGGGAGGGAGAGUUCAUUGAGAGAACAACACUCCCCCUAUGUCCAUGCCUACACCUAGAUUAGACAACAAGUUGAGUGUGGUGGGGUGUGCAAGGGUUCAAGCAACAUUGCUCGAAUCAAUGAUAUUUAGCUCAUGCCUUAACUCGCGAAAUCUUGCUUCAUCCAAACGCUUCGUGAAAAUAUCUGCAAGGUUAUCAUGGGUGUUGACGUAGUUGAGCUCGAUCUCCCCUCGCCUAAUGUGAUCUUGGAUGAAGUGAUACCGAAUCUCAAUAUGCUUCGUCUUGAAGUGUUGCACGGGGUUGAGAGAAAUCUUGAUGGCACUUUCAUUAUCACACCAAAGAGGCACUUUGUCACAAAUGACACCGUAAUCCUUUAAAGUUUGCCUCAUCCAUAAGAGUUGUGCACAACAACUUCCGGCCGCCACAUACUCCGCUUCGGUGGACGAGAGAGACACACAACUUUGCUUUUUAGAAGACCAACUUACCGAAGAGCAACCAAGGAAUUGGCACCCUCCGGAAGUGGACUUCCUAUCCACUUUGUCUCCCGCCCAAUCGGAGUCCGAAUACCCUACAAGCUUGAAGUUUGCUCCUCUUGGGUACCAUAAGCCAAAGUUUGGGGUAUGAGCCAAAUAUCGAAAGAUUCGCUUGAACGCCACAAAGUGGCUUUCCUUAGGUGCGGCUUGAAACCGUGCACAAAUUCCCACACUCAACAUGAUAUCCGGUCUAGAUGCACAAAGGUAAAGCAAGGAACCAAUCAUGCAGCGAUAUACCUUUUGAUCCACCACUUUACCAUUGGGAUCGAUGUCAAGUUGGCACUUGGUGGGCAUUGGAGUGGACGCCGGCUUGACAUCACUUAGCUUGAAUCUCUUGAGCAUGUCUUGAGUGUAUUUGGCUUGGUUGAUGAAGGUUCCUUCUCUUCUUUGCUUUACUUCGAAACCGAGAAAGAACUUCAACUCUCCCAUGGAAGACAUCUUGAACUUUGAGGUCAGGAGUGCGGCAAAUUCCUCAUUGAAAGCUUUGUUAGGGGAACCAAAGAUAAUGUCAUCAACAUAUAGUUGGCACACAAACAACUCCCCUUUGACCUUCUUAGUAAAAAAAGUGGGGUCGAUUAGCCCAACUUCAAACCCACGAUCUUGUAACAACUCGGUAAGGUUGUCAUACCACGCACGUGGGGCUGGUUUAAGACCAUAGAGUGCCUUAUCGAGUUGAUACACAUGAUCGGGAAAGUAGGGAUCCUCGAACCCGGGGGGUUGUUUGACAUGAACCAACUCAUUAAUAGGACCAUUAAGAAAAGCAAUCUUCACAUCCAUUUGUUGCAACUUAAAGUUGUGAUGAGAAGCAUAAGCAAUCAACAAACGAAUAUAUUCAAGGCGAGCAACGGGAGCAAAGGUUUCACCGUAGUCAAUACCCUCGACUUGGGAGUAGCCUUGUGCCACCAAUCGUGCCUUGUUGCAGAUGAUGGUCCCAUGAGCAUCUUGCUUGUUCUUGAAUAUCCACUUGGUUCCAAUGACAUUGUGGUUCCUCAUUGGCCUUGGCACUAAUCUCCACACCUUGUUGUACUCGAAGUUGUUGAGUUCUUCAUGCAUGGCAUUAAGCCAAUCCGGAUCUUCGAGUGCUUCAUAUACCUUUUGGGGUUCAACACAAGAGACAAACGCGUGAUGUUCACAAUAGUUUGCCAAUUGUCUACGAGUGCUUACCCCCUUUUGAAUGCUUCCAAGCACAUUCUUCAUGAGAUGACCCUUGGUGGAGAGCUUGGAUGCAAUCUUGGCGGCACGACGCUCCAAUUCCUCCUCGGUGGUGAGUUGAGGAGCGGUCACUUGAUCAUCUUGAGCGCCGUCUUGAGCUUGUUCUUGAUCUUGAACUUGCUCGGAGGAGAGAACUUGACCUUGGGCAUCAAUUGGUGUGUCAGCACCGUCUUGAGCAUGAUCUUGCCCUUGGUCUUGUUCAUGAGGUUGAGGGCCUUCACUUUGUUCUUCGGAAGCGUGUGGGCCUUGGGUUGGUGAUGGCUCCACUUCAGUGGAGCAUUGUCCUUCUCCUUCGGCCACAAGGGGUUCCUCAAUGGGUAGGAUAAAACCAACACCCAUUCUUCUUAUGGCUUGAGGAGGAAUUUCAUCACCUACAUCACAAGUGCCACUUUGCUCCACUUGGGAGCCGUUAUUCUCAUCAAACUCCACGUUACACGUCUGCUCAAUAAGUCCCGUGGAUUUAUUGAGGACACGGUAAGCAUGAGAGUUUGUAGCAUAACCAACAAAUAUGCCCUCAUAAGCUCUAGCCUCAAAUUUAGACAACCGAACACCUUUCUUGAGAAUGAAACACUUACACCCGAACACCCGAAAGUACUUGAGGUUGGGCUUGUUACCGGUGAGUAUCUCAUAUGGAGUCUUGUUCAAGCCCUUGCGGAGGUAGAGCCGAUUGGAUGCAUGACACGCGGUGUUGAUGGCUUCGGCCCAAAAGUUGUAUGGAGACUUGAACUCCGCCAUCAUGGUCCUUGCCACAUCCAUCAACGUCCGGUUCUUCCUCUCCGCAACACCGUUUUGUUGAGGGGUGUAAGGUGCGGAAUAUUGAUGCUUGAUCCCCUCAUCACUAAGAAACUCAUCCAAGGUGUAGUUCUUGAACUCGGUGCCGUUGUCACUUCUUAUUGUCAAGAUCUUUGCAUUGUGUUGACGUUGGGCUUCAUUUGCAAAGUCAAUGACGGUUUGUUGGGUCUCGCUCUUCCUCUUGAAGAAAUACACCCAAGUGUAUCUUGAAUAGUCAUCCACAAUCACCGAGCAAUACUUCCUACCCCAAGACUAUCAAAGGAUGGAGGCCCAAAGAGAUCCAAGUGAAGGAGCUCCAAAGGCCUCUUCGAGUAAAUGAUAGUCGUGGGAGGGUGAGCCUUCUCAUGUAGCUUUCCUUCGAUACAAGCACUGCAAGCACGAUCUUUAGCAAAACUAACAUUCAUUAGUCCACGGACAUGGUCCCCCUUGAGAAGACUUUGCAAAGAUCUCAUAUUGACAUGGGCUAAACGGCGAUGCCAAAGCCAUCCCACGUCAACUUUAGCCAUUAGGCAUGUCGCGGUCUUAGUGGGUCGCUCCAAAAAGUUAAUCACAUAGAGACCGUUCUCGACAUGCCCAACAAAGGCUACUUUAAGAGUCUUGCUCCACAAGAGGGCCAUGGUAUCAAUAUCAAAGAAAGUGGCAAAGCCCAUGAUUGCAAGUUGACGAACGGAAAGUAAAUUGUAUGCAAGGGACUCAACAAGCAUGACCUUCUCGAUCGUGAGAUCAUGAGAAAUGACAACUUUGCCGAGUCCCAAUACCUUAGAAGAUGAGGCAUCACCCCACUCGACAUUGGUGGGCAUAGAUGGAAUCUUGUGCACGUCCACCACCAAGUCCUUGCUUCCGGUCAUAUGAUUUGUAGCUCCACUAUCGAGCAACCAUGAUCCCCCACCGGAAGCAAACACCUACAAGAGAUCAAUGCUUGGUUUUAGGUACCCAUUUUGUAAUGGGUCCUUUGAUGUUAGUAACAAGGGUCUUAGGAACCCAAAUAGACCAUUCAAUAUACUCAUGAGGAGAACCAACAAAUUUGGCAUAAACAUGCCCAUCACUAGCACGGCAUAACACAUAAGAAGGAUUAAAGUCGCCGGCUUUGUUGGAAGGGGUGGCAUUGCCCUUCUUGACACCGCCACCCUUCGCAUUGUUCUUCUUCUCCUUGGAAGCACCCUCUCCCUCCUUCACAAAAGUUUACUUGAGAGGAGGAGGUCGUUUAGUCUUGUCAUUCUUCUUCUUGUUCUUGGGCUUGGGUGCGAACCCAAUCCCCUCCUUGGCCACAACUUUCUUUUGAUUGCUCAAAAGGUCGUUGAGGUUCUUCUCACCUUGUAUGCAUGACACAAGGCCUUUCUCAAGUUGCUCCUUCAACUUAGCAUUCUCCUCAACAAGAUGCACAUGCUCACAACAAGGGUUACUAGAAUUUGCAUUAUCAAUUAACACCAUAUGAGGAAAGGUGGAUUUCUCCUUGGUUAGCUUCACUUGGAGUUGAUCAUGAGACUCCUUGACGCUAGCAUGAACACCCUUCAAGACUUUGUGAGCCUUGUCGAGAAUGUCAAACUCCUCUUUGAGUCUAGCAAGAUCAACCCCAAGCUUUGCCUUCUCGGAGUUUAGCACACAAGAAACAACAAGUGCAUGAUCAAGAUCUUUCUUUAACUUAACAUGAUCAUCGUUGUGUGACUCCUCAAGAGCCAAACGAAGACCACGCUCUUCGUCAAGAGCAUUGGAAAGAUCCGAAAUCUCAUCGCCAUAGUCACGACUAUGCCCCUCCAUCUUAGAGAUGGUAUCUUCGUGAGCCUCGAUCAUGUCAUUGGCUUCACCAAGUUGUUCCAAGAGAGCAACAAAGUGCUUCUUGGAUUUACCCUUGAGUUUACCCAUAAAGGUCUCAAACUCAUUCUCCUCCACAUUUGUCCCCUCAUGUUCAUCAAUGCUAUCCGAAGAAGGAUGAUUAAUGAUGGUAGUUUUGAUGUUGGGGGUUACCUUGUUGGUGGCUUUAGCCAUGAGGCACUUGGCGGUGAUGUUCUCAUUGGGUGAGUCAAAGAGAGACACCCGUGGAGUCAUAGCAAUGGCAACGGAGGCCAUGGCAACCGACUCACCAUCUUCCUCAUCGUCAUCAUCCUCAUUGUACUCUUCUUGUACCACCAAUGCCUUGGGAGGAGUCUUCUUGGUGAAGUUGCUCUUGUUGGGGAACGACUUGGCCUUGUCCUUUCGGAUGAGCUUGCCACCAUUGUCUUCCAUCUUCUCAUAAGGGCACUCCAUAACAAAGUGGCUCACAUUGCCACAAUUGAAGCAAGUCCUCACUCGUUGCUUACCCUUUGCGCCACUUGAAUUGUUCUUGUUGAAGUUGGGCCUUGAGUUCUUCUUGCUCCAAAAUUGCCUUGAAGCAAGCGCCAUGUGUUCAUGAUAGGCAUACUUCGUAUCUUCGAGGUUGCUCUCCUCUUCUUCCUCUUCAUCCUCUUCCUCCAUACUAACCUUGGCCUUUAGAGCAAGGUUGGGCUUCUUUACUCUUUGAGUGCGAAGAACCGCAUUGUCAGCGGUCUUGUCCAAGAUGCUCAUAGCAACGAACUCAUCCAACACUUCACUUGAGGACAAGGUGUGGAAGUCCGGCCUUUGACGAAUGACGGAGGACAUGGCUUUGUGGUAGGGCAUCAUUGCCUUGAGGAAUUUGCGCUUGAUCCAAUUGUCAUCCGUGUCCUUACUUCCAUGAUCUCAGAGAGAGACCGCGAGUUUAGUUACUCUCCGAUAAAGCUCACGAGGUUCUUCAUCUUCUUUCAUUGCAAACUCAUCGGCUUCAUCUUGCACCACUUCAUAGUUGGAGCGUUGAAUGCUUGCGCUUCCCCGAUAGAGAGAAACCACUUGGUGCCAAGCAUCUUUGGCCAUGGUGUAGGGCCGGAGAUGAGGAAGAUCUUCGGGUGGGAUUGCUUCUUGGAUGAUGAAGAGAGCAUUCUCAUUGAAUUGAUUAUCCACGGCUUCUCUAGGAGUGAAGUUACUUCGGUCAUGCGGAUAGAAACUUUCUUCAAUGAUUCUCCAAAGGUUAGUGUUCACAUGAUUCAAAUGACGCUUAAAACGAUAGACCCAAGAAUCAAAUUCUACAUUCUUCUCAAUCUUAGGGGCCGAUCCGGCAUGAUUCAAAUGAGUGGAAGGAAGCGGUCCACCAUAGACAAGUGGAGGUUCCACAUGGGCAAAGAUGCCGGUGCCAUUUUUACCAUUAGAAGAAGGAGCUUUCUCGCUAGUAGCUUCCCCCUUGUCGGAGGUAGCAUCCGUCACCUUGUUAGCGGGAUCACCCACUUUCAACGGUGCGGUGGAAAGUUUAAGCCCUUCUAAGAAUUUAUUAAACAUGCUUUCGACCUCGGUCGUCAUGGAGGUUUUCAAUGUGUCCAACGCCACAUUGAAUUCCUCACGAGAGACCGCGAUUCCCCCAUCUCCCGUAGACGAGACCGGAUUCACACCGGAGUGCUCCUCCACACCGUCUACGACGUCAACCAUACUCUUCAGACGGUAAAGUCCUUAAUAAAGAGACGAGGCUCUGAUACCAAUUGAAAGGAUCGAUAUAGUUGACUAGGGGGGUGAAUAGGCAACUAACAAUUUUAAGCUUUUCUUUACCAAUUUAAACUUUGCAUCAAAGUAGGUUGUCUAGAUAUGCAACUAGGUGAGCAACCUAUAUGAUGCAACAACAAUAAGCACACACGCAAGCAAGAGAUAAAGCACAAAUAAGCUUGCACAAGUAAAGGCACGAGAUAACCAAGAGUGGAGCUGGUGAAGACGAGGAUGUGUUACCGAAGUUCCUUCCCUUUGAGAGGAAGUACGUCUCCAUUGGAGCGGUGUGGAGGCACAAUGCUCCCCAAGAAGCCACUAGGGCCACCGUAUUCUCCUCACGCCCUCACACAAUGCGAGAUGCCGUGAUUCCACUAUUGGUGCCCUUGGAGGUGGCGACCGAACCUUUACAAACAAGGUUGGGGCAAUCUCCACAACUUAAUUGGAGGCUCCCAACGAUACCACGAAGCUUCACCACAAUGGACUAUGGCUCCGCGGUGACCUCAACCGUCUAGGGUGCUCAAACACCCAAGAGUAACAAGAUCCACAAGGGAUUAGUGGGGGGAUUCAAAUUUCUCUUGGUGGAAGUGUAGAUCGGGGCCUUCUCAACCAAUCCCUAGAGAAUCAACAAGUUUGAUUGGCUAGGGAAGGAGAUCGGGCGAAAAUGGAGCUUGGAGCAACAAUGGAGCUUGGAGGUGGAAGAGGUGGUCAACUAGAUGAGGAAGACACCCCUUAUAUAGUGGAAGAACAAAUCCAACCGUUAUCCACCAACUCAGCCUGCGCAAUGCGGUACUACCGUACCUGAGGUGCGGUACUACCGCAGGGGCACGCGGUACUACCGCAGGGCCCCGCGGUACUACCGCCCACGCAGCAGAGACCAGAAGAGCCUAAAAUGCACUAAAGCAGAGGGCGGUAGUACUGCUGGCGCGGUACUACCGCAAGGCAGGGGCUGUCCAGAGAUGGGAAGGCACGGAUAUAAAAAAUUACAUCCGUGGCUACUUCCGCAGAGUUGGAGUCGAUGCAAAAACCCGACGCGGUAAUACCGUAAGCCAGCAGCGGUACCACCGCGCGAGGCGCGGAUGUAAAAAAUUACAUCCGCCCCUUACUGUCGCGUACUUGCGGAACUAAGUCAGAUACCACGGUACUACCGCUUACUAGAAGCGGUACUACCGCACCAGCGGGCGGUACUACCGCAAGGUCCUGCGGUACUACCGCUCUAAGGAGCAGUACUACCGCACGCCCUAGUUCAGCAAGCAAGAUCAAUAUUUGUAUAGACAAGGAAAACAUAGGAUACUCCAAAGGCUAGAGGAAAGGAGGUGCAAAGGAAGAUGUGUACGUGAUGAAUCCACCCAACAUUUCCAACGCGGACCCCUCUUAAUAGUACGGCUUCCCUACGACUCAAUACCACCGAAAAGAAACGAAGAGAAACGCCGUCUUCCAUAGCCUUCGAGGGGAACCAAAUCAUCUUGUGCCUAGUCAAUAUAUCUGAAAUAUUCGAUGCACAUGAUUAGUCCGCAAAAGCAUUGUCAUCAAUCACCAAAACCAACUAAGGGAUAAAAAUGCCCUUACAGCUAGCCUAGCUCGCCUAGCGCGCCUCGCUCGCCUCGCUCACAUGCAUGCACGUCGCCGCCUCCCGCGCAUGCAAACCCACGUCACCGCCUCCCAUGCAUGCAAGGCCUGGAAAGGCUGAGACGGGCUAUUUACUGCGGUCUCAGGCCCAGACAACGAGACGGCCCAACGGUCCAUCCAGCGCGCCCGGUAUUUGUUUUAAAAAAACCAAUCUCCCAGCCAAUCAGAUUGCAUCUCGCGGAUCGCCCCCCUCCUCCCCGUAGAUUCCUUCUAGAAGGGUUAGAUCGACGGCCCUUGAUCGCCGCUAGGGUUAGAUGAACGGUCCUUGUUCAGUGCUAGGGUUAGCGGGGUUUGGGAGGGGUUUGGAGCAGUCAAAGCUAUGUUUGACCAGAUUUCAAAUGAGCAUAAUAAAUUAAAUAAAAAUCAGAAAAAUAAAAAACCUGCGCACAUAGUCUUCUUAUGUCAUAUACUAACGAUUUAAGUUGAUAAACAAGGUUUACCUACAUUUAAACGAUAGGUUCAUGUGUAUUGUGUGAUAUCUAGAGUAUCUCAAACUCUCUUGUAUGAAGUGAAGAGAAGUGUUUUGGGGAAAUGAACAUGAAAAUUUCAAAAAACUCACCACAGCUUCAUUUUGGAGUGACUAAGAACGAUCCAGGCUUAGUUUUUCAUUUUGAUAUGUUUUACACUUGUUUAAAUCUUGCUCAAAGUUAAGUUUGACCAGAAUUCAAAUGAGCAAAACAAAUUAAAAAAAAUCAAAAAAUGGAAAAACCAGCGCACAUAGUCUGUAUAUAUAGAAUAUAUGUGUAGGAAAGUUAUUUGGCUGAUUUAGACAAGGUCGAAAAAACCUUGCUUACAAAUGAGGCCGUUUACCCUACCUUUGGACCCCCUCUUUUUAGCACAUUUUUCAUGAAAAUUUCAAAAACCUCACCACAGCUUCAUUUUGGAUUGACUAAGAAGGAUCCAUGCUUAGUUUUUCAUCUUGAUGUUUUAGACUUGUUUAAAUCUUGUCAAAGUUAGGUUUGACCAGAAUUCAAAUGAGCAAAACAAAAUUCAAAAAAAUCAAAAAAAGGAAAAACCAUGUGCUCAUUCAAACAUCAUCCAACAGAUUUAAACUUCAUGUCAAACAUACUUCUAACAUAGGUUCAACAUCAUCCAACAGAAAUACAACAUGUCAAGUGAUAAAUGUUUCAUAAUGUUUCAUAAUACAACAUCAUCCCUUAUUCAUAAUGUUUCAUAAUUAUUCAUAUAUAGCGUUGGGGCUUCUGUCUGUUCCUUGAGCUUCUUGCCUUUGCUCCUCGUGCACCUUGUGCUCAUUGCUUCUUCUCUUCUCCUCUUGGUUGUCGGUACCUUGCGCGUCUUCUUCAAACCUAUCAUAGAGCUGUGCAAAACAUAAAGGGUAAUGAGAUCAUGUCAAGUGAUAAAUGUACAUCAGUAUUUGACCCUUACAAGAUUUACAUACCUAGCAGAACUCACAACAACAGAAGGUUGGUCACCAUUUGGAGCCUCACAUGGAUCAUCAUUUGGAGCCUCACUUGGAUCACCAUGAUCACCAUUUGGAGCCUCACUUGGAUCACCAUGAUCACUAUUUGGAGCCUCGCUAGGAUCACCAUUUGGAGCCUCACUUGAAUCAUUAUUUGGAGGAUAUUUUGGAUCAUCGUCAAAAUCAUGCGGCUGUUGACCAUCAUCAUUUGGAACCUCGUCAAAAUCCUCAUCUGAUGCAACCGGCUGUUGACCAUCAUUUUCAUCAUCUGUUGAGGCAACCGGCUGUUGACCAACAUUUUCAUCGAUGCCUUCAUCGAAACUCUCUCCGAACGCUGGAUCUACUGUGUUAUCACAAUACUUACCGAAAUGACCAGACCCACCACACCUUGUGCACUUACGCUUCCUCGCUCCAAGUCCAGCUCCUUCGCUGCAAGGUCUGAUUCGACUCUUCCUUGGUCUACCUGCUGCUCUCUUCAGAACUGGAGCGCAAAGCUUGAAUCCAGGGUCCACCAUGUCCCAUUGGUGUUUUCCCUCCAUAGCAGGCAAGGCAUAAGCAUAUGUGGCUUUGAACCUUGCAACAGAGUAGUAAUCAUGCACAUACUGCUAUAUGUUCCCUGCUGGACCUGGGAGAGAAGUGAUGAAAAACAAGGCAUGAAUGCAUGGCAACCCAGUUAUCUGCCAUUGCCUACAACAGCAAGUUCUAGCUUCUAAAUCCACUAGAUAUCUCCAUUCCCUCUUCUCUUUAUCCAAAUAUGAUAUCUCUGCUGUGGUACCCGAGCAAAGAGUUAUGUUCAUUUCCAAGCCUGUUGUCUUCUGCUUCAGUUCAUUCAUCACGGCAGGGGUGAUAAUGUGGCCCAUGAAUUUUGCCUCGGCUAUUCCUGCACGAUAAUGAAAUUUCUGCAUGUAUUCUAUCCUUAUCCUGUCAAGCAAAUCCACCACAUAAUGACCAUUUAGUUUCUGGAUCGUUGAGUUGAAAGACUCUGCUAGAUUAUUGUGCACAUAGUCAACUUUGCUCACUUCACUGAAUUAGUUUCUGGCCCAUAACUUGGAGUGGUGUGUUUCCAAGUAUUCUUUCAAUUUGGGAUUCAUGUAUAACUGCCUCAAGUGGUAGUUGUGCUUCUUCACACUGCAAGUCAAAGAUGCUGGCCAUAAAUUGUCGGUAUACACCUUUCCUUUGAAUUUCUUCAUGAAAUUUGCAGCAAGGUGACGCAUGCAUUCCCUAUGCUCUACUCCAGGGAACACAUUGUCCACGGCCACUUCUAAACCUUUGCAGGCAUCUGUAUGAAUGACCAACCCAUUGGGAUGUGCAAUAGCCCGGCGUAGAUUAUGCAAAAACCAAGUCCAGCUCUCCUCAGACUCUGUCUCCAGCACACCGUAGGCAACUAGAAAUACAAAACUGUGUGCAUCAACUGCACAAGCUGCUACUAACUGUCCUUUAAACCUCCCUAUGAGAAAAGUGGCAUCAAUAGCCAAAUAAGGCCUGCAGCCUGCCAAAAAACCCCGGCGACAAGCCUCAAAGCAGACAAAAACCCUCCUAAAGCAUUCCUUGGUCUUUGUCACUCCACUGAAUGUGUACUCCAUGGUGUGGUGAUCAAUAUCUACAAUACUACCUGGGCUUGUCCUCUCCACUUCACCUUUGAAUGAAUACAACAAUUGAAAACUUUCCUGCCAGUUACCAUAAAUAGAAUCCAUAGCAUGUUGUUUACCAUUGAACAACCUCAUGUAUGGUAAAUCUAUCUUGAACUUAUCUUUGAUGUUCUUCUGCAAUUCCUUUGGACCCACUUGCUGGUUUUCUUUCACCCACUUCUUUACUUCUUCUACCACCCAUCUUGACUUGGCUCUACUGAUUGUAUCCUUCCUAAGGGUUGAUUCCUGGCAUGUGUGCUUAAAAGGGUUCACUUUGACCUGAACAUUAGUGCUAUUUCGCAUUUUAGAUGCGGGCAGCCUCCAUGGACAACCCUCAGUCGGACAGUGCACUCUGUAACGUACUUGAUCGCUCUUGUCAACUUUGAAAGUACGUUCUACCUUGAUGCAGUAUGUCACAAGUGCAUUUCUACACUCAUUCAUGGAUGCAAAAAUUGUACCUUCUUCCAUAUGAGGGUUCAAAGGGUCCCAUUCAACAGCUGCAAGGUCUUCGUCCUCACCCACCGCGUCAUCAUCCACACGGACUGCAUUGUGAGCCUCAUCUUGGUUUUCUGUCCGAGGUGCCCAUCGUAAAUUCCGAAUAACAUCAGAAUAUAGCUUCUCUUCAUCAACCCCAUAAUUGUAGUCAUCAGGCUCCACUUCAAGGGGGACCCUACUGCUGUUGCCCAUACUUGUCGAGCCACCACGUCGCCGUGCCCAACUGAACUGUUCUGACUAGAGAUGCCAUUACGACGACUUGGUUCUCCCCGAGAUGUUGCACCCGUCAUCCUAGGUCCAAAUGCCUGCUCAAGCACAUCAACUUGCAACCUCACAUGAAAAUUAUCUUUCUCUUUAUGCCUAACAAACAUGGUAGCUAGCUCUUCAUCAUUACUAACUGUCACCCAUUUCUUUUCCCCAUCAUAGUAUUUGUAUACCACUUCAUCAAGCAAACCUCAAGGAUAUUGGCUACAAAUUACCUCCCCAAAUUGUCUGAAACUCCAAUUACUAGCCAUUGGCAACCGAUAAUCAAAACCUCCUUGGUAUUUCUUCUUAUCCUUUGCAUCGAACAUGUACGGUCCCUUCUAAUGUGCACCAUGAAAGCAAACCGCCACUCCAUCCUAACCGGCGAAAAACAGAGACGCAAUCAGCACACUAAUUGGGCAAACCUACUUGAAUCGAGUGUUCAAAUGCACAACUAAUCUCAAUCUAAACAAGAGGCGAGACUUACCCCUCAGGUACCCAGUCGUGGACGCGGCGGAUCUCCGGCCCGAUGCCUGCCUCGCCAAAUACUCCGGGUCGCCGCUGCUCGCCAUUUCGCCCUAGGGUUCUUCCUCCUAGUUCAAAUAGCUCCAGCAGCCCCCCACCAUUGAGCGCUCCGGCCGGGCGCACGGAAGGAGGCCGCGCCGCGGGUCGAGCAGGUGGCGGGCGCCCCACCCGUGGCGUCGCAGGAAGGUGGCGGGCGUCGCAGGUAGCCGUGGAGCGUAGGCCCAGGACGGUAGCGGCGGAGCAGGCCGUGCAGCUGGUGGCGGGGCAGGUGCUGGCCGCGGCGCAGGUGGCGGCGGCGGCGUCGCAGGACAGCCGGCCGGCGGAUGGGCAGAGUGAGCUAGAAUGAUUUGGGGAUUUAGUUGCACGGGCCUACAUGUUAGCUCCGGACCCACGUCCAUGCGGUCCCACGUGUAAGCUCCGGACCCACAACCACUAACGCCGGCGGACGGAAUGGACUCAAAUAUGGCCGUUUGGCCUCGUCAUAGUUGUUGUGCAUGGACUAGGGGCAAAACUGAGCACAAUUCGCAUCUGAGGGCAAAACUGAGCACAUGGACACCACUGAGGGCAAAAGGAUAAUUAACCCAAAAGAUUAUGUGACAAGUAAUUAAAGAGGAUGUAUGGAUGGAUUUGUGCAUGCCUGUAAUGGAUAUCAUGGAUGCGACAAGUUACUUACCACUACAACCAGCCUGAUGGAUGGAUGGAUGAUGUAUGCAUGCUACUGUGUGAUGAAGAGAUGGAGUCCUUACCAGGGGCAAUGAUGAUGACCGUGGCUGAAAUAAGCCUGUCUUGAGCAAUUAAGAGCUGUGGCCUAUGGGUACUAAAUUAGAGCACACCCUUACCUCUCUUGCAGCCUGUUCAAUUCAUCGCUAAUGUUGGAUGUUCUGCGCCUUGGACGGUCAUUCUGAUGAAUGAUAACCAGGGCAGUUCUUUUACAUCGCGAUGGGUAGAUUAUGCAGCAAGAGAUGCGAGUGUUGGGCUUGAAGAUGAAAGGCAAAACUGAGCCCUCUUUCUCUACGCUACAGAUAUUCGAUUUUACCUUCUCUACUAUGCAGCGUUUUUUCUUUUCUAUUCCUCUCUAUUGUGUUGAUGUGAGUAACGGCCCAUCUGGACUUGGAUUGAUGUCUUCUCUUGGUGAUGAAGCCAACCGCCCUAGCUUGGAUUGAUUUCUAGCUGGCUUUGUUCUUGCCUGUAUAGUUGUACAAACUAUAUAUGUCGAACACACUAUUGUUUUUGACUUGGAUUUCUACCUUAUGUUUUUCUUCUUUUCCAAAAUGGGAAAUUUAUAGUCCUGUUUUUAUUUGGCUUGGAGUUAAUCCUUUUAUCUGAAGUGAACAAAUGUAAAUUGCUUCUUACAUUGCUAGUAAUACGGCUCUAAUUAUUUGUUUCUGUUAUGUGUUGAUGAGUUCUAUUCUUUUCUGAAUGGCUAUGAUGAUUUGCUCCUCUUUGGUGUUGGAGAUCUUUCAACAUAUCCCGAGAUAGAGAUGAUUGGUUCCAUUCAACUUUGCCCAGUUAGACAGUUAGUCGUUAUACUAGGAGGCCUUGCUCUACAGCAAGUUACCAGUUGCAGCUAGGGAUAUCACCAAAGAACUAGCCAUGGACAGGGGUGCAUGAAAAUUAGCUAUCCACGUGCCUACCCCAAUUGUUUGGGACUGAAAGGCUUUGUUGUUGUUGUUUGGUACCAAAAGGCUUUGAGUACUACCUGAAGCAUUUUCCAACUUUGGUGAUUUAUGGUGGGUUAAAUCUGAGCCAUUCAAGUAAUACUCCACAAUUCUCCUGGAUUUUGCGAACUAUUCCUUGUGCAUGUGUUUGUUAUGACACCUGUGUCUGAUACUUGUACUACUGUUUGAUUAGUAAUUUGAUCAGUGAGUAUUUUUGGAAUAUACUCCAGAAAACAGCUUGAUUUUCGCUAAUAACUUUUCUUUGUUUCUUCUUAAUUUGAGAAUGCCUGUUUGGUAACUGUGAAUGGUCAUGGCUUCAUUGUGAAAAUUAAGUUGUAUAUAUUCUGGACAUUGUGGGCCUGUAGCUUGAAAAAGAAACCUGGCAUUACCUAUGGCUUUGGUUCUUUGUUAUGGCUCUGGUUCUUUGUGUGGACCUUCUGGGAAGGUGAGAUGGCAUGAAAUCAUUUUAUUGAACCAAUUUGAAAGCAUAUUCUUACUGAUGCUAUUUUCAGUUUUUUGGUCCUAUUUUCGCAUCCAUUGUCAAUUUUUCUAUUGAUAUUUGCCAUUCUAGUCCUCCUUAACUUCCACCAUCGAUGCUUGCCAUCCCUAUGUCCUUAUAAAGCUUCAUCUGUGAGGGAGAGGCAUCGAUGAGGAAGGAUGCUGGUGGUGACGCCUGCUGUCUCCCCUGGCCUUUGAGCUUCGCUACAUGGGGUCAGCCCUCCUGUUGCGCCCUCUGCACUAAUGCAUCGGCUUGGGAGGCCCUCCGGCAGCCGCCGCAGCUGAAACAUCAGGGGCUGGCGGUUUGCGGUGUGGAUCGUGGGGCGGAGUACUCCUGUGGCCUCUGCUGAUGGCUGCGAAGUUGGGUGUACUCAGCGAGAUCUGAGCUAUGGAUUUUUCACGAUUCAGUUCCGCUCUUUGGACCUGAGCUGCUGUGGCUGGGAACUCUGAAUCCCUCUUCGCCUGAGCUCGUACUGAAAGUGGAGGGAAUUAAUAUGAAACUUGCGUUCCAAAGAGGCCCUUAAAUCUUAAUUACCACCUCUUCUCUCUUGUGAGCUCUAAUUGCGCUCCAGCUGCUGAUACUGUGCUUAGCUGCAGAUGUUUUGUAUCUGACCCGACCUAUUUUUCACCCUUAUCUGUUGCAUGCGCAAAGGGAUCUUCGAUUAUUCUACUUUUCCUACACAUUCUGUUGGUUUUGCAGUGUGUCAACCAGUUCUGUUGUUUUAGGAACAGUAGUCUAGCCGCACUUAUUGUUGUCUUUGUUCUUUCUUUUCUGUUCUUCCUUUUUCUUGAAUGGAUAUGAUAAUUCUGCUGUCCCUUGGAUAGUUCUUCAAACUAUCUUAUUUGGUGUUGGGUCAGUUUGCUUGUUUCAAUUGCUAUUUGACUUGAUAAUUUUAUUCUUCUGCUGUACUCUUUAUCUACUUAUCAGUUUGUACUUUUGGUUUCACGUUACUUCUUUAUUUGUUUCAACUUAAGGGUCGUAUAAGGUAAGUUAAGAUUACUGUUUCCUUCGUGUCAUGUUCAUGAAUGGCUGUGAUGAUGUAGCUUCCCUGCGAGAGCUUCUAUCGAACACCUGAAUUGAUUCACUUGGUGCUAACUAGGAUGGCUUGUGUCACAGCAAGUAACCAGUUCAGCGUCUAACUAUUACUCCCCCCAUUCACAAAUAUAAGAUGUUCAUGGUCAUUCUACCAGAAGUUCAGUUAUGGUGUUGAGAUGGGGGUAUAUCUGAGCCAUUUACUUAUACAUGGCCCAGUUCAUGAUUUGCUCCCGAUGUAGUGAUUCUUUCUGCUUUCACUGAUUCUCCUGUGGUUUCUGGUCAUCUUGCGCUCUUUUCUUCUCUCUGAUUCAAGUAGAAAUAGACUAUUGGCUUCUCUGUUAUUCUCUUUGUGUGAUUUGCGCCAAGUGCUGUUGAUGGCAAUGACGAGUAAGGCUCAUUCAGAGGAGGUACUGAGAUCAGAUACCAUCGGUUGUUUUCAUGGUAUGGGUUAGGGUUAGGGUUUUGUGUGACUAGGUGGAAGCGUGCAAAUCGGGACGACUUGCUUUCUAGGAGCAACCAUUUGAAUGCUGAGAUGCCACACAGUGGAUCACCAAGUGUAUCGGAUACAGAGUGGGUUUUGCCCAUAUGAUAGACGAGCCAACUCUGAGCCUCCCAUUUUUUUAAUUUUCUUUAAUAAAUACGGCCUCUCUUUCUACAAUUUGUGGUUAUGUGUUUAUGUGUGUAUGUAAUAAUCUUCUCAAUAUGUUAAUGAUUUAUAGCAGUAUUGGGAUCUCACUGUAAUAUAUGUUAUCAUCUACGGCACUUAUGAGAAAUGCCCAUAGCGAACUGGAUGUUGAGCUAUUUUACACUUGCAUUCUCGGAAUGCUUUGAAUUACUGAUGCAUCACAGGUUAUACAUUGUUUGAAUAAGAAACAAUCCUGUGUGCCGAGGGCCCUGGGAAGCGGCAGAGGGCCCAGAAUUACGCAUGAGCCCUCAACACAACUGUACUAUCAUACAAUAUGUAUAUAAUACUCUAUAAUAUUAUUCCUCCUUUUCAUCUUUGAAGCUAGUUCCUGUAUUUGUACCUUUUGUUUCUGGCAGAGGUACGUGCCUACAUGCUUACUCCCAGAACUUAAUGGCCGUUCGCGAUUAUAGAAGUACACAUGUUCCUCUUGUUGCCAGUGCUUGCUAAUGUGAUUAUCUGUAUGAUUGAUGAGUCUGGGCUAUUUUCUCCCCAUAUAAAUGUUCAGUUUUGCUUAACAAGAGGAUAUUGUCCAGUAAAUUUCUUCAGUAUCAAAAUACCUAUUCGUAUGGAAGGUUGCAUGUGGACAUGUAGAGAGUGAGCGAGACAAGUCGAAAGCGACCGGGAGUGGGUUAAUAAACUCAUUUGCACAUUUGGAACUGGAGAUAUUGUACUGGUACAGAUACAUCGAUCUACAUGUCACCUGUGCGCAUACGCUUACUUUUUUAAAAUUUAAAACCGGGCUCAGCCCCUUACCAUUACAAAAUACUAUAACAGAAAUGUAGCCAUCUAAACAAGGUUAAGAAGGGAAGAGAGAAAGCCAUCUAAAAAAGGUUAAGAAGGGAAGAGAGAAAGCGAGUUCAAUGCAUUGACAGAAAACUCCUCAUGUCAUUUGAUCACAAUUGAAACACAUGAUGUGGGACGAAAACCUGACAACACCACAAACUAAACCUAAUACAGUAAGUUCCAACAUAGCAUAACUAGGACUACUCAGCAUGAAAGCUGACCCACCACAAAAGGACAACUCUAAACCACAACAAUCCUUCCAUAAGCAGCUAGACCCCAUAUCAUCCAGAUGAAGUUGUCACCUCUCCAGGGACAGUAGCACAGAUCCUCAUCAGCAUAGUUGUACUAGUCUUCGACAUCUUGGCACCUUGGGUCAUCACCUACUCAGUCGAAUCCUUUUGAAGACCUGCCCAGUAUAACAAGGACGCACAAGCAGCAAGCACCCUUUCAGAAGGAGUUUUAUAGGCCAUUUAAACUCAAACAUAGCUCUGUUACGACAAUUCCAGAUCACCCAUCAAACAACAAGCCCAAUUGUAUAAACUUUCUCAUAUGUAUAAGGGCUGCAACGUAAUGUACUCUCUCUGUUUCGAAGCAAGGCAUUAUCAAAUAUCGAACAAUAUCCAUUCUCACUACAGAAUGAUAAAAAAGUGCGUAACACAGUGGAAAAUAUCUCAGACCUGGCCCAAGUCCACUGCAGGGUUCAAACUCUUUCCACAGUCAUACACAAGGUCACUCCGUAGUAAAGUAAUGGCUCCUAUAAGAAGAUCAAUCUCUACCUGGAUUUUUAGUAAAAAGUGAAAAGGAAAUAAGAAAAGAAUCACAAUAUCAUCCAUAUGUAGAACAUCCAGUAACUAUUGAACUAUGUUAGUCUGAUUGACAUUUAGCAGAAUAUUUUUGUACCUCGCUUAUACCAGCUCCAUAGUUCAGAUAGGUACUGGAUUCUUGGCCAGGUACCCAGUAUAUAUGUACUUGAGGACAAAUUAACAUUAUCCUUAACAGCCUGUUUGGGAACAUUAAAUCGUACAACGAUUAACCGUUAGCACACAUAAAAAUAACAAUUUCCAUACAUACAUGUUUUACUCCCAUAUAGAAUAAAAAACCAGAGGGAAAUAAAAAAACAACCUGAGCAAUCAAAGCAUCCCAUGAAACGGGCACCGUCGGAUUGCUGCUUGAGCUUCUCCAUGACUGGCUUUAAUCUGUCAACCAGCAUGUUGCAGGCCUCAAGGGUUGCUGCACAGCUAGAUUCAGACGAAGUGCUGCCGGCGGUGAGCCCACCUUGGAUCAAGUUCAGCGUAUCAGCCUGAAGAACACGCACUCUAUCAAGAAGGGAUUCACAUCCAUCAGGCCACAACUGUCCCAAAGCGAAAGCUGUCAUUUGCUGUACUUUGGUCCAGAGCCCUUGCCCAAUCUCAAUGCCUCCAACCUCAACCACAAUGGAACCAUCGUUGAGCACAGAAACUCUUCCAGGAGCUGGCCUUGGUGCCACCUUGAAGACGAGGGGCACACAAGAGAUACCCCGCUUCCACCACUUGGUGCAGCUGUUGUACUGCCUGAUGGAUUCGGCUCGAUGCAGGUAGCUCGAUGUCGUAAGCAACCUAUCGAAGAUAGAAUGCAAUGUGUACGUAGAAGCUUCGCCUGUGCUUUCUGGAUAGAACAACACAAGGCUGUCAUAGGUGUGGAAAUUCUUCUGUCUGACACUAUUAGCAUCAAGUGACAGCACCGAAGCGACAUGCUCGAUGAUAGCUCAGCGAUAAAAGAUCCCUGAGCAUCUCCAGGAGCACGCAUUGCUGACUUGGAUGUGUUGUUUGUUUUACAGAGCUUGUUGUCGAACGAGAGAGCACCCCAGUUGUAUUUCUUCAGGCCUGAAAUGAUGGUGUCUGGCAUUAUGGUGCUAGCAUCUGGAGAAAUUCCAGCAUUGACUAGUAUGUCCAGGUGCAAGGCUGUGAUUCUCCCAUCAGACUUUAAACCAACAGAGUAACAUGCUUUUAUGGGGUGACGACCCCAAUCAUGAUCAUGUCAGUACUGCGGUUGAGAUACAUCCGCACCGGACGACAUAACUUGAAUGCACAGAGUGCAGCUGCCGUUGCUACCUACAAAAACAUAAAUUGUCGGAUCACUAAGCACAACACAGCUGAAAUGGUUAAUGUCUUUUGCUUUCUUGGAAGUUGAAUGAAUGGUAAAAUGGCCAAACUUAUGUUAAAACCUAUCACUAGAACCCUAAUCCACCAUAAAAAAAGGAAUGUUAGUUGUAAAAAUAGAUUAGUGGAUUAGAUGUUGCGUCGUGAACUCAUCUUAUGUGAAACCUAACUUAUACACUCAUGUUCGUUGAAGGUAUAUACUAGAAGUAAAAAAAAAUGCAAUUAUUCAUAUAAAGAUACUACCUCCAUCCGGAAUUAGUUGACCCUCAAACGGAUGUUCCGAACGGAGGGAGUACUUGUUAGAUUCUUUCAGUUGUGCCGCAUGGGCUAUGAAUUUCUUUUGUCGCUUUGUCGGACUGUUGUUUAAACUUGUUAGAUUCCUACUUACAUUGCAUGAUAUGAAUGCCUUCCCACCAAAGCCUCCUCCAACCCUCCUUGUAAUGACACGCACGCUGCUGAACGGAAUGCAGAGGCACUUGGCUAUUGCACUCUGUGCAACCUCAGGGUACUGUGAUGAAAUGUAUACGACCAUGGUGUUAUCUUCAUCUGGAAUUGCUAGAGUCGCUUGUGUUUCCAUGUAGAAGUAGUAUUGAGAGGCAAGUUUCACCUGUGAUCAUUCAAGGUACACAUAUAACUUUGACAAAGUUGCAUCAUACAGUUGCUAUGUUACUGAGCAGAUUAAAUGGUAACUAUAAAAAAGAAGAAUCAGAUUAACUACACGGACCAUACCAGAGCUCAAGUUAAUUAAAUGAUAGUGACUGUAAAGUUAUAUAUGUAACAAAAAGUGGUAUCCACUAGUAAUGCAUAUGGUCCAGUUGAAAAUAGAUAAUAUCAAAAAUGAAAUUUAGAAGUUUGUAUUGUUAAGUAUAAAAAGUUCCAUUAAAUUUUCAGUAAUGCAUGUUAAGUAUAAGAAGUUCCAUUAAUUUUUGAGUAAUGCAAGCGAGAUGUUAGAAUGGAAAAGGUCUCAUAGUAUUUUGAAUUAACAUACUUCCGUUGAGAGGAUCUUGUGGUCACCUUCUGCCAUGCCCUUGCAAAAAUUACCAACUUGUUUUGGAUACAUCUCAGGAGGAACUUCGAAAUAGCUGUUGUUUUGUACUGCUUGUUCUACAGUAAAGAUUGGUGGCUUCAAAUCUUUUGUGUCAUAUUCAACAACAACCUGUUUUCCUGCCAAUUUGGCGUAUCUCUGAGUUUCUGCAAUCUGAAGUAAAGUCCACAUUUUAGGACAUCAGUACUGAAAAAAUACAGAAUAUAUAUUUUCAUUCUUAGAGCAAAAGGUACCUAAUGCUCACUUGUAAUUAGGGGAAAAUGUGCACUUAAAUAAAUAGUUUAAUUUAACAAGAUCACCUUCGGUAUUUAAUUAGGGGCAAUUGUGAGAACAAUACAAUAUAUUUUUGGCAUAUCCACUUGCAUUGAGUUUCAACAAGCAAUCUUUUUACGAAACAAACAGAGAUAUAGGUGCUCCUACUACACAAAAUUUCUGUAGGCGUUUAAUUAACCCAAUCUAAUAGGUUGUUCCUUAGGGCAUUUUACAAGUAAAUUUCUGGAUAUUAAUAUUAUAUAUAUAUAUAUAUAUAUAUAUAUAAUUUUUGGAAAAAUGAAUUUGUGAAAUUAAGGUUUCAUUAUUUUAAUUUUUACAGAUUUGCCCCUAAUUAAGAUUUACUUUUUCUGUAACAUUCACAAAGGUUUUUCUCAAAGAAGAAUAAUGAAGAAAAACCCAUUUAUGAAUUGCCUUUAUUAUACAAGAAUUUAUUGCGGAGUGAACAUUAAAAUAUGAAAAGAUAAGUACCACGACACCAAGAGCUUGUCCAGCAUACGCAACAAUUGGGGCACCAAAAAGUGGUUCGUCCCCAAACAUCAAGCUUGACCCAAUAUUUUGCCCUCCACUUGGAAUAUCAUUUGCAGAAACAACCGUGAGGAUCUUCUCUGAUGCUAAAGAAGGUUUGAACUUGAUAUUCUUGACAUAUGCAAGAGGUUGUGUGCUGUAAAUAAACUCUCCGUAAAGGCAAUUUUUUGGAGCAGCAAUAUCAUCUACAUAUACUGCCUCCCCUGCAGUACAGAAAGAAAUUAUAUCAGUCUGAAGCUAAUCCUAAAGGAAGGAUAAUUUAGAGAGGAAGAAAACUUCUAGAUCCCCAUUAGGAAUUCUGAUGGUUUAUAUUCAUCACAUACCAGAAGCUUGAAGCUCAACUGCAUAUUUCUUAAUCGGCUCACCAACUGGUUUAUAUUCAUCACUGGAAACUGUUUCUCGACGUGAAGACAACGGAAGCUUACAAAUAUCAUCUGUAUCUAAAGAACCAGCAGAACUAAUAUUCAGAGUUUUUCCAGGCCCUUUGAUUCCUUUAACAAAUGGAGACAAGUAAUUGAAGAGAAAUCCAACAUCCACACUGACUCUGUAUUCAGGAUGUGAUGUUCCUUCCAUUGGUACAAUUGUUUCUCUAAGUAGCUGAACUGCUUCGAGCACAACAGAUGGAGUGAGCACUUUUCCGUUCAGGUGUUGUUCAACUUUUGUUGCUCUAAUAGCAUGUUCCGUCCCAUAGGCACCAAAGGCCAUGUGUAGCUUACUCAACACAAGAUCACCAGAUGAUUCAUUCAGGGAGACAUUGCCCAACAUAGCAGAGUUAACAUAUGAAACAGCAUUGCCAAGAGGGCGCGGUGCCGCUCGGUAAGUUUCGAAGAUCACCUUACUUUCUUUCUGAGAAUCUGAAGCCCGAUGUGGAAUAAAUAUGUUCAGGAGCAAUGUACUGGGAUCAAGAGGAGGCUGCUCCAGAAACUCUUCAAAAGUUACCUCUAGUGUUUCUGAAUAAACCUGAAGACGAACAGUUGAAGCAGCACCAAGAAGUAUGGUCACGAUGUCCGAGGGAAACGGGUAUUUCUGUGCUAGAAUUAUGUUCCCACCAAGGUUUGCUGUGUUGCGGACAAAUGGUGUGGCCACCAUGCUCAUGUGGUCGGCAAGUUUUGUGAAAACCACACUUCCAUUUGCACAUGAUGUAGAUCUAGCUUCUUGCUCGAGUAUCUCAAUAGUUUUACAAAUUGGUGUAGCUGCCCCAAUUUCAAUGCCACUAUCGUUCUUCCAAACAGCUGAAAGUUCAGGAAUGUCACCGAUGUCAAUAUACUUGUUAUAUAGAUCCAGAUCCUUGUAUCCCUUUACACCAGAACUUGUGUUCCCGACAACCACUUUAACAGCACAGUCAGUAAAAAUGCCAGAGUUCAGCAAGUCAUAAUACUACCCGAUGCUUUUAGGAUGAUACCAACCCACCCCGGAGACUGUGACAUCCGAAACAUCAGUUGGAUGAAGGAGCGAAGAUUUUAUCUCGGAUUUCAGGAAGUCCGGGAAAGUGCAGAUUCCACCGCCAAGAGUGUAAGCUGGCAACUUCCUAGCGUGGGCGUCCUUAUCACCUUUCUUCCAGAAUAUAUUGAGGCCCAAAUCCUCCAGGUCAACAUCUGAAGCAAAACUUUUGCACGCAUCGACAAUCGGACGGUACCCGGUACAUCUACACAUGUUGCCUGAGAAAGCCCUUUCUGCUUCAGAUACCGUCAACUUUGAGAACCCCUUUCGUGGUUCGGGCUUCUUGGAUUUGUCAGCAUUGGCAAGAGAAGUGAAAAUAGACAUGCACAUGCCAGGAGUGCAGAAGCCACACUGAGAAGCAUGGAACCCGGACAUUCUUUUCUGAAUAGAAUGGAAGCCAUCUUGUGUAUUUUCCAGACCUUCGGUGGUGAUGACUGAGCAGCGAUUUAUGUUGUAGAGCAGGGUUAGGCAUGAACUGGCGGAGAAUUCGGUUACUUCAUCUUUUGUUGGAUCAUAGGUUGCUAUAAGGACUACACAAGCUCCACAUCCACCUGAAAGAGAGCACAAUUAUACAAUUAGUCAUGACAUGCUAUAUCCGCCUCUUUUCAGUAGAAUGAGCAUAACAUGCCAGUAUAUCCUCUCUCUCUCUCUCUCUCUCUCUCUCUCUCUUAUCAUGGAUCUGGAGGGACCGGCCGAACCGAAAGGACUAGAACUUGCGUGAGCGCUGAACAAAUAUAACCAAAUUUACCGCCGUUUAUGUAUAUAUUUAUCUCAAUUUGGUUUGGAUUGUUAGUUCAAAAUCUGAACUUGUAUCUAAAAAAAUGACAAAAUUGAAGCAUACGGAUCCAAAGUACACAAUGAAUGCCGACGCGCAAACCGUGGGCGGUAUGAUAUAUGAACCUUACAUAACCAGGCUCUUAACAAGAUUUCUGCAUGAGCUUUAGCACUGCCACACCCGCAUCGACGGAGUUUGUAUAUAUGUUCGAAACAGGGUCACCAUGACAUACUUUGAUGUUCGAACACUACGCGUGCUGCAUCGAGCUGGUGAAAUCCACACAGAGAUACAAAAUCGAGCCGAAAUUGCUUAUAUCUCUGGUGAUCGGAACGCUGCCAUGUACAAGUACAAAAGUACCCACCCGCUUAACGUGGUUAAAUGUUACUCGCUCGUGCUCUUAAUCACAGGACAUAGUUGCAGUUUACCUCAGUGUGAAGUUGUGGAAGUAACAGAGCUUCCAGGGUUUGGGGCUCUGGGGCUCCGGCUCCGGGGGAAAGCAAGGAGCGGGCCGGGCGGAGGAGGAGCUCGAUGCUGACCAGGGAACCGGCGGAGCGGACGGGGGAGAUGGAGAUGCAGAGCAUCCUUCCUUCCUUGGCAAACCUGGCGGAGCUAGGUGGCGGCGUGAUGGAUCUGUCGUCCCGGAGACCGGAUUCGGCGUCCUCGACGACGCCACCGCCCCCCGCGACUGCCCACCGCCGACGCCGUCGUCCUGGCGUGCGUCCCUCCCCGAGACGUGAGGGAGGUGGAGCUCGUCGCCCGCUCCCGUGUCGAUGGUGGUAUUCUGGAUCUGUCAAAUGUUUGAGAAGUAUUGCGAAACAUGCUCACUCUGAAUUUGUCUGCAUUGAAUGGAUUUCGUGAAAUUUCCUAUUGCUUUUUUUUUUAGAAUCAAGAGCUUUAUUAAUUUAACCAGCGGGAUUACAAUCCUUCGUCACACAUGCCGUGAGGAAGGUCGGAACAUAGUUGAUCCAAAUACACCGACGUCUAGAGGAGUUACAUUGUUUAGCACAAAGAUGAGCUAGUUCGUUCGCUUCCCUCGAAAUGAAGGAUAAUCGAAACUCCUCAAAAUUCCCGCAAAGCUCUUGGAUUUCCUUAAUUAUGGUAGCUAUCUCCGAGCGGUCAUUCUUUGGAGAAUCCCACAGUUUAACCACAAUUUGGGCAUCAGUUUCCAUGUGCACUUUCCUAUACCCCAAAUCAAACGCAAGCUGGGCACCAUCUCGUAUUGCAUACGCCUCCAUGGACAUAGCAGAAAGUCCAUUCUCAUACCAAAUUGCCUGAGCACGAAUUAGCUUUUCUUCGUGGUCGCGCACACCUAGUCCUGUGCCUCCCUGAUGGGAGUCCUCUUGAAAUGAGCCAUCUACAUUUAUCUUCAGGGUGGCUUGGUCCGGCGGCUUCCAUCUUUGUACCUCCUUAUUGGCGACUAUUGUCAUCUUUUUCCCAGUCGCCGCUAGAUCAGCAGCAACAUCUGUUCCCCAUUUAACUGAUUGCAUCAAGGAUCUUGUGGUCUCACCAUGUGUGCGUGCAUUUCUUUCUGUCCAGACGGCCCAGGCACCACAUAGAAUUACACAUGCAUCUGAUUGCUUAACCUUGUCAUGAUCCACCAUAUCCACAGCCCAUGUUUCAGGACUUAACACUGGUAGCUUAACUGACGUAGCUUGCUUGACCUCCUGCCAGAAUAAUUUUGCCCAAGUACAGUCAAACAAGGCAUGGCGGAUGCUUUCCUCUCGGCCACAAGCUUCACAGAAUGCUAUUCGCUCAAUAUGUCUCCCGCAAAGAACAUCUUGAGUUGGGACAUACCCUUUGAUCACCCUCCACCAAAAAUUUCUUACCUUCGGCGGUACUGGGAGUCGUCACAGUUUCCUCCAGAACCCCCUCUCCUGCCCCUCUGAGCUUGAUGCUGAAACUGUAUCACGCCGUAAUGCGACCAUCAGGUUGUAUGCUGAACGCACUGAGAAAUUCCCAAAUCAAUCCGGGGACCAUGCCCAGAAAUCAUCCUGUGCUUUCCCAAUCGGUAUACGUGUGAUCAUGGAAAUAUCAGGCUCCACAAAGUUUGAUCCAAUGACUUGCAUGUCCCAACAUCCAUUGUCCUCAUCUAUCAAUUCAUUCACACGUGAAAUAGAAGCAUUUGGUAGUCUGACAAUGGGCCUUUUACUGUGACUUUCAGGAAGCCACGGAUCAUCCCAAAUCUUAACGGAAUUGCCGUCACCGAUCCUUCUAAUCAGCCCCUCCUUAAGUGCCUCAAUACCAUGUAAGAUAGCUCUCCAAGUAUGAGAUGAAUUUCUUUUGUUUUUUUGCUUCCAUAAACUCACAAUCGUGAAAGUAUUUUCCUUUUAGGAUCCUUGCACAUAAUGAAUUGGGGUUUGUAAUAAGUCUCCAACCUUGCUUAGCCAGCAUAGUUUGGUUGAAGAUUUGUAUGUCUCUAAAUCCCAUACCCCCUUCACUCUUCGGUAUUGCAAUAUCGAUCCACUUCCUCCAAUGCAUUUUCCUCUUCUUCUCAUCUCCUCCCCACCUAAAUCGAGCUAGCAGACUGGUUAUCUUUUUACGCAUAUUUUUUGAUAACCGAAAGCAGCUCAUGGAAAAGGUUGGGAUCGCUUGACACACUGAUUUAACUAACACUUCACGGCCUUCGAGGGGUAUACGUCAAGGGGAAAUUUCCUAUUGCUUUAUGCAGCUUGGUUCAGUUUUCUAAAAGCUUGUCUAAAGAUUCAUAAGUUUUUUUAGACCCGUAGAAAGAAAUUUGGUUUGGUCGUUCCAAUGAAAGAUGGUCGAUCAUCUAAGUUAUGCUUAGUUUGUGGAUGGUUUCUGAAACGUGACUGAAUGUACAAUAGUGGAAACGAGAGUGAGUCUGAAAAAAAACACAUAUGUGCCAUUCUCCUUGUUCCGCUGCUUCCCUCCCCCGCAUCAUUCUCCCCCCUCGUUGCUGGCGUGACCGGGCGAAGCCCGAAUGGCGUCAGCGGGGUUCUCUCUCCCCUUCUCGUGGCAGGUGGUGGCGCAGGAAAAAAUGGUUGGGCUGAGGCACGGUGCGGCGUGCGGGGCAUGGCGGCACAUGGCCGCGGUAGUACUCACGUGGGCAUGAAACGUUUGAUUAGUGGAUGUGCAUCAUGUGGGACCUGAUGUGCUCGGGGUGAUGGCGUCCAGAUCUGGCAAUGUGGCGGCUUUAGACUGUGCGGGCGACUUCCUCCUCCCCGGCAUGGGGGUAGGGUGUGCUCAGACCAGGUACGGCACGACUGGUGAGGCUGGAUCUAGGGUUGGGAAACAAUGGGCCUCAAGGAUUGGCCCUUGGUCGAACCUGGAGGGCUGUAUCUGGCUCAUCAAGAACUUCCACCCUGCCACCCAGUAAAACCAUGCAUGGGGACACAAAUCAUGGCUAACCAGCCGUCACCGCUGAUGCGUCGUUGCGAGCUUCAAUGGUCCCGCCACUGGGAUACAUACCUUUGCGCCUCGGUGCCACCAUUUAGCUCGAGAAGCACCCGACCAUGCCCUCCGACUUUUGAUGGGUGAAUUUUACACUCACUAUUUCCCGAGUUUAAGCUUCAUAUUCCCUUUGACUAUCACAUCAAAUUGCUUACUAAUCAUUAAUAACUGCAAAGAUAUGCAAUCUACUUAUCUUAAUGUUUUGUUGCGGAUAUAGAUGCAAUCUGGAGGAAAUGAAGACAUAAUCAGAAAGUACUGAAAGAGAGGGUCGUUUCCAUAUAAAGGAGGUCACCAAGGUGACUCCAUAAGUGAAGAUGCCAUGUGGUACGAGAUGGCGCCCUCAUACCAGCAAUCGGACCGCAUGGAAUCAACCUCGGGAAGUCAACGCAAGGUACUUCUCUGUUAGGCCUGAAGUCCAAUUCGUGACGCCUCACCCUUGAAACCCUAUUCCAGACCUCUGCACUCUUUAAAGGAAAUGGAGAAGGAGAGGGAGGACUCCGGAUCAAUGUCUUCACCACUUCUCCUCCACUUCCUUCAUACCUGUCAUCUCCUAGCAACAACCACCAUCUCCAUCUCCCAUUAGAUUAUACUUGUACUCGAGAUUUUAUCGCAAUCAGCGAUAUUGUAGAUGGUUAAUCAUUCCAAGUGAAAUCUUCUUUGAUGUCUCUUGUAUGUGGUUUGAUUGCGAUGUGUGAGUAGUCCUCUUUUUUCUCAAAUACACAAAAGGUUUGCAUAUCAUUGCAUUGAUAGAAGAAGAAAAGAGUCAUACAGGUGGUUCGUGAACAGACCACAAACACAAUUACAUGGCAUGGCCUACACGACAGGACGGCUGGCGAUAUACAUUGUCGCCCGAUCAGUCAAGGCUAACGUGUGAGUAGUCCUCAUGGGCUAAGGGCCAAGGCAUAGCCUCAUGUCCCGUGUAAAUCUACCUAUGGGUUGACGAUAUGACUUCCUUUUAUUAUGUUUCUACAACAAGUUUUGUCUUGUCACCUCUCGGUCCUAGGAUUCACUGUAGUGGAGACAAUGGUGUUGGUCCAUGAAUUUUCCUUCCUUCUGCUACAUUUCGCCCAAAGGGUUGAAGAGAGAUGGUAGAUCAAGUUAUUCUCAAUGGCCCAAUUGACCCUUUUCCCCGGGGAUCCCAGCUGAGGGAAGCCUAGGGGAGCUGCCGACUCCAACUAUCGUCCAUGUAUGAUCAAUCCAAGACCUGACCAACUGCUUAUCCUACCUUCUCAUACCUUCUGCAUCUCAUGUUUUUGUCUCGGUAGAUUCUUUCAGUGGCAUGUUUCAGUUCUCUUCCCCAUUAGUUAGAAACAGUGAGACAUUAGUUCAAGUACAACAUACUAUCGUUACCGCCUGGAUAAUUAGACAAUCAACCUGUAAUCACAAUGGCCCAAUUGCAAGAGCAUAGCUCUACCAGCUUAGCUAUAGCCCCCUGCUCAAAAAAGCUUAGCUUUAUCCCCCAAAGUCAAGAGGAGUAUGCAAGAAAGAGUCAGAUGCUUCUUCUAUUCUUUAUUCUGGCACAACUGGGCCGUCAUGGAUUUGAACCAGCAGGUCACCCGCUUAUCUAGUUAUAAGUUUAUUAUUUUUAAUUCAUCACACCAAUCUUAUCUAUCUUACAGGUGAAUCAUCAGCUCUGGCCAAUUUUCAAAUAUUGUUUACAACCGCUCCCGAUUGUUGUUUGUGUUUGCACACUGAGCUAGCAUUGAAGUGUACCGGCCUGGAGACAAGAAUGAUACGCGAUAACAUGUGCUUGCUAGAAGUGCCCUCUACCUCUUCCUGAUUCGAUAAACCUAGGUCUCUAAGAAAGAAGGUCAUUUACUACAACGCAACCUGGAUUGAGAUAAUUAGCUUCGACGGAAGGCAGNNNNNNNNNNNNNNNNNNNNNNNNNNNNNNNNNNNNNNNNNNNNNNNNNNNNNNNNNNNNNNNNNNNNNNNNNNNNNNNNNNNNNNNNNNNNNNNNNNNNNNNNNNNNNNNNNNNNNNNNNNNNNNNNNNNNNNNNNNNNNNNNNNNNNNNNNNNNNNNNNNNNNNNNNNNNNNNNNNNNNNNNNNNNNNNNNNNNNNNNNNNNNNNNNNNNNNNNNNNNNNNNNNNNNNNNNNNNNNNNNNNNNNNNNNNNNNNNNNNNNNNNNNUGGGGUGUGUGUUUGCUAAGGGUUGCCGUUCACUCCUUUCAAAGUAAGUGUCGCUUCCCUAUUUUGGAAAAUGUAGCGCUGCCAAACCAUCACAUUGGCUGUACAAUUCAUGUGGGCUCACUAGCACAACAUUUUCCCCUUCACAAUGUUUGCAACUAGUGUUCUCCAAUUCAUCUAGUAUCAUUUGUUCUCCUUCUCUCAAACCAAAAUUUAAGUAACAAGCAUGAUUGCGCAUACAUUAUUGAGAUUAUCAUUAUCCUUACGAGUUCACAUUUUUAAGAACCGGUCCUUAAGAAAAGAUGGAAUUCAGAUAGUUUGGAGAAAAUUCAUCCUCAAACAUUAUGGUUGACAUUUUUCUUCUACUAAAGAGGCCCUAAACAUUCUUUCCUUUCAUCUCACAAUAUUUUCCCUUCUCGUUUGAUCUUGAAAGAUACUACCCACUCUUGGUCUUCUCUAUUAAGUAAACUAAAUAAGAAACAUAUGCACAUUUAAUUGAAAUGGUCGUAAAUCAGAUGUCUUCUUGACUCAUGGGAACAGAUUAUAUACUUGCUGGUUUUUUUAUGCCCGGUGAUGACUCUUUGUGCACACCGCACGCAUGAGAGCAAUUUUUGUUUUGUGUGAAUUCUAUGGCUCGCACGCUUCUAUAUCUCAAUGUUGAUGAAAAGCCUUAUAUUGUCUAUAUACCUAUUUUAUUUACUCAAGUUUUAAACAAUAGUUUAGUCCAAUUAUGCUCCUUCUAUUGUUCAUAUGUCUCUAUCUCCUAUCAAACUCUAUAAACGUGACCAACUGUUAAUUAGGAAUUGUUUCCGAUUACAUGGUCCAGUUGGAGACAAAGUAGCAUACCAUGCCUGAAAACAACAUAUUCGGGCUUAGCUAUUCUUUGGUAAAACUAGGUGGAUUAAAUAGCUAAAUAUGGUAUAAUAUGGGUAACAACUAAAGCAACUUAUAACUCUCAUACAUUAAUGGUGCUAUUGAGGAGUAUACUUGCAACCUAGAACUUAAUUUUGCCCUUUAUACUUUAACAAGGAGAUUAGAAGAAUGUAAAUUCUACCUCGCCAUUGUUACUGAAAUAUCAAAUCAGUGAUAUUAUAUUUCAGUCACAAUGUAUAAAAAGUUCAACCCUCAACCUCAAGCAAAUAAAAUUAACCUCCCUCGAUCAAAAUGCAACCUAGAGAAUGACUAGAACAAUCAAGAGAAAAUAGGUGACAUGUGAGUCAGGGGUUGUACAUUCUAGGCCUAAUGAUGGAGCUGACAAGACCACCUUUCCUCGUAAGACAAGAGGUGGGACCACGAGAAGGAUAUGUGUAGCCAUGAGAAGAAGAUGUGCAACCAUGAAGAUGGCAUUGCAGAGGGUAACAACAUCACAAAAGGAGAUAUUCGGACUUCGAUGGUGUUUCGACUAUGAUGUAUGAGGGAGACGUUUCAACUUUAGUGUUGCAAUUGUGUAUGUGCUAUUUGAGCCCCAAAGUGUAUGUGCUAUGAACGUCCGUCGGAGAUGAGUAUGUGUAUGUGCAAUGAAAGUAUAAAAUCUAUGUGUGUAUGUGACUUCAUAUGAAAUACAAUCUUUAUAUGUUCCUUGUAUAAGGAGUAUAUAAGUUGUGUAGCAGCGCAGCAUCAACUGCUAUGCACCACCACUAGUCACCAGUGACUGGUUGUAAUACAAGGCCACCCGGUAGUGACAUAGCCCUUGUCGCCUCUCAUAAGUCAUCACUGACCGACCGACCGGUCAAUGAUGACUAAUCAUCAAUAGGUCAAAUGAUCGAUCAAUGAUGAGGUAGUCACCACUAAUGCAAAAUCACGGACGGGUCACUGGCGAGUCAGUGAUAAUGGUUUUUUCCCGAUCAACGCUUACUGGCUCUAUAGAAGUUAGUGUUCUCCCCUAAAAACAUCAUUCUCUUUUGAGUCAUCAAUUUAUAAUUUUGGUAGUAAAUCAUUCUAUUGAAAUCCUAGAACUCUACAUGGUUCAUCUAAUAAGAGUACUAAAGCAAAUGCUUAUGUCUCUGCAUGCUUGCAUAGAAGAGAAAUAUGUGCAUCCCCGCGGUUGCAGAAGUGUGGUGUACUCGUCGAUAGCCAUGCCUAUAGGCGGCGGUUCAGAGACGACGUGAAAAUGCCAGAAUGGUGGCGGUGGGGGGUAGGGGAGGUGGCUGCGACGACGGUGCCCGGGCGGGAGGAGGGAUCCAAGUGGGAACUCUAGCUUUGCUCAAGGCUAAGGUAGAACGAGGAGAGAAGGGGGAAGUCAUGGUUGUUUUUUGUUUGGGCUUAUUCUUGGCUUUCGUACUUUGGCACUUUGGCUUGUAUAAGCCAAAAACAAAAACACCUAGCCAAAGUGCAAAAUUCAAAAAGAAGCCCAACAGAAUACCUAGUGCUCUUGGCGGCAAUUUGACCGUAAUUUUGACCAGUCUGAAUGGACGUCCGAGAUCAAAGGAAACAAAGAUCAGAUGGCUGAAAGCUCUCGGCAUCUUUCCGGGUUAAAGCUUCAGAGGAUGUGGGUAGAGAACUAAAAAUGCAAAUUAUUAUUGAGUUGAUGAGUACACGGAGUCCAAAUUUCAAACUACCACCGACGACAUAUGUGAUAUGUGGUGCCGAAACAUAGCACGCAUGGUAGUGAUGCCCUUCACGGCGCUCCAGGCCAUGUCGCAGCACAAGGUAGGAAGUCCCUACCAACGAUCUCCUCUCCCCCUUUCGCUAUUCCGGAGGAUAUCGGUUAAGAAAGGGACGCGCAACCAUGGAUCAACCACCCCAGUAGCCAGUACGAUCCCAGGGUGAAGGACGAUGACAACGAAGGAUGAAAAACAGUGGGUAUUGGCUCUGACCUGUGACAACGGCAGAUGAGAAAGCAAAGUAGUACUCCGUCUGUAAAGAAAUAUAAGAGCGUUUAGAUCACUCUUAUAUUUCUUUACGGAGGGAGUAUGAUGUAGACCGGGCGGUAAGAACGUGAGCUGGUUGAAGUGUGAGGCGGGCAAAAGGGAAACUCCAAGGAAGAUCAAUGUCACUGCAAGUACUAUCAGAACCGAUUGGUCGAUCUGCUUAGCUAUCAGUGGCUAGCUUUUCGCCAGUCCGCAUGCCCUGUCACGUCUGCUAAGCUAGCCAGCUCAGGUCAAGGCCAUCCGCGCUAGCUUUCAGCUUUUGAAUUGCAUUUGAGCACUCGCUCUUAUAUUAUGAGACAGAGGGAGUACAUAGCUAGAUUAAUCACGUAGAGAAAUCAGGAAUACGAAAUACAACUGCAAUCUGUUCGGAAAUUCUGGUCACCCUUAUUUUUUUUGCGAAUAAUUCCGGCCACGCUUUACAUAUCCGACCGAGCUCACCAUAUAAUUUUGUGGACCACAUGAUAAUUCAUCGCGAUCAAUACGCAGAAUGAUAUAUACUAGUAGAUCGACAUAAUGAUCUCGGAGUCAGACUAUCGGUCUCCAACAGACGAAAAACACUAAUUUCCUUGUACCGGGAGUUGCCAGGACAGUGAUCGUCCUUGGAUCAUCAAAAUUGAUGAUGUACGCUCGGACUACAACGUCGCAUGUCGACGCAAAAAUCACAGAAGCUAAUCGUACGCAUGAUCGAGAGCACCACACUCAAACCAUGUCGCCCUCAGGAAAAGAAGGAAAGGAUCUGCUUCACCCUUCACGGAGUGCAAUUGGCAGAGUCACGCGUAGGUUCCAAGAGCUUGCUGGCUUGCAAAGCUAAGAGAAUAUGGUGGAUCAAGAGCGAGCGAGCGUACGUACCUAUCUUCGCCGCAGCCGAGCUUGGUGCCGGUGAAGGGCGUCCGGGUGCGGAUCAACUCGAGCAGCGUGGUCCCGGGGUGCACGUCGCCGCCGGCCACCUCGUACCGCCGCCCGUUCAGCGCGAACACCACUCUCUCCAGCCUCAUCGGUCGAUCUCCCUGGUCGCUCGCCGGCCGCCGGUCGUCACCGAUCGGUGGACUGCGCGCGGUGGGCGGGCUGCUACUCUGCUUCUGCUAUAUGAGACUGUGUUAUGAGCCGCCUUGCGAUCUAGGACGAUGUGCACGGCGCGGCGAUGGAGGCGAGCUGCUACCAGCAUUUUGAUUUUCGGUUUUGGGAUUUUUUUCGCCCCAGGCCGAGAUGGCCGAAUUUCGGCCAUUUUCAAAAAAUUUGGCUGAAAUUUGACCAAAAUUUGACUGAUAUUUGAUCGAAAUUUACCAAAUUUAACCAAUUUCGGCUGAAGAUAGAUUUCGCCUCAGGCCGAGAUGGCCGAAAUUCGGCCGAAAUCCCUUUUUUCGGCUGAAAAUCAAAACACAGGCUGCUACCUGGGAGUUGAAUGAAUGGGCAGCUGCGUGAAAGGCGAAGCAAUAAUGCUGUCCAGCCCAGACACGAAAAGGUCCCAGCAUUAAUUUUCUCUGUUGCGUUCGUAUUCCUGUAAAAAUACAAAGGCGAAAGAGACAUGAUCCUAACUGUAGAAUAGUGGAGGAAGAGGGAGAUCGCACCUUGGGUGCUCUCCGGUGUAUACUCAUGUAUAUAUAGCCGGUUACAACAGGGCGCAGGGGUGUGGCGACGUGCAUGGAUCGUGGGAUCGUGCAUGCAUGACGUGCGCAUGUACAGGGAGAGAGAGAGAUGGGUAAGCUAGCUACUGUUAACACCCCGCCACAGGUUGAGCGUCCGGUGGUCGGAUGUACAAGCUGGACCGGAAUUCCUCGAACGCCGGUGUGGGGAGCCCUUUCGUGAGAACGUCGGCGAACUGUUGACUCGUGGGCACAUGGAGAACGCGCAGUUCACCGAGUGCAACCUUCUCCCGGACGAAGUGGAUGUCCAACUCGAUGUGUUUUGUGCGACGGUGGUGGACGGGGUUGGCAGCCAUGUAGACGGAGGAGAUGUUGUCGCAGAAGACUACACUGGCUUUUCGAAGCGGUGUAGCAAGCUCGUCGAGAAGUUGUCGAAUCCAACAGCUUUCAGCGACGGCGUUGGCGACGGCGCGGUACUCGGCUUCUGCGCUGGAGCGAGACACGGUCGCUUGGCGUUUGGACGACCAAGAGACCAGGGCGUCGCCGAGGUACACCGCGUAGCCGGAAGUGGAGCGGCGUGUGUCCGGGCAGCCCGCCCAGUCCGCGUCGGAGUAGGCGACGAGGUCGAGGGAGGCGACGCGACGAAGAUGUAGUCCGUGGGUGGUGGUGCCUCGAAGAUAUCGGAGGAUUCGCUUCGCCAGCGCAAGGUGCGGAGCGCGGGGAUCGUGCAUGACGAGGCAGCACUGCUGCACCGCGUAGGCGAUGUCCGGUCGUGUCAUGGUCAUGUACUGAAGGGCGCCGACAAUGCUCCGGUACUCUGAGGCGUCGGGGACGGGUGCGCUGUCCGCAGCCGACAGUUUGGAGCGCGUUUCUACGGGCGUCGAGGCCGGCUUGCAGGUCUGCAUGUUGGCACGCUCGAGGAGUUCUUCAGCAUACUUGCGUUGCGACAAGAAGAACCCGUCGUCCGUGCGCGUCACAGCGAUGCCGAGGAAGUAGUGAAGUGGCCCGAGGUCUUUCAUCGAGAACUCGGUGGAGAGCAGACCUUGCAGUCGUCGUAGUAGAGCGGUGGACGACGCGGCAAGGAUUAUGUCGUCGACGUACAGCAGUAAGUAGGCGCCACCGGCGUCGCUUUGGAGCACGAACAGAGAUGGAUCUGCGCGCGAGACGGCAAAUCCGAUGCUGCAGGCGAACGCGGCGAACCGCGUGAACCAGGCGCGCGGCGCUUGCUUCAACCCGUACAAUGAUUUGUCGAGGAGGCAGAUGUGGUCGGGGUGGUCGGCAUCAACAAAGCCCGCCGGCUGCUGACAGUACACCUGCUCCGUCAGAUGGCCGUGGAGGAAAGCAUUGUUGACGUCCAUCUGGUGGACUGGCCAGCCCCGCGACGCCGCGAUGGUGUGGACGACACGGAUCGUGGCCGCCUUGACGACCGGCCAGAAGGUUUCGUCGAAGUCGACGCCGGGGCGCUGGGAGAAGCCGCGAACAACCCAGCGCGCCUUGUAACGCACCAGCGUGCCGUCGGCCUUGAGCUUGUGUCGAAACAGCCACUUGCCGGUGACGAUGUUGGCGCCGCGCGGCCGGGGUACGAGCCGCCGGGUAUUGUUCGCCAUCAGUGCCCUGUACUCCACCUGCAUCGCAGUCAACCAACAAGGAUCGCGCAAAGCGGCACGCACAGUCUUUGGGAUGGGUGAGAUCUCGUUAGACGUUGAAGUGGUGUGGUUCUGGUGGUAUUUGGGGUUUGGGAAGAACUUACCAGCCUGAGCACGAGUACGCAUGGUAUGGGUGGGCACUGGGCACUCGCGACCGCGAGCUGCAGGUGGUGCUGGUGAGGAGGGCAGGGGGGAGACGUCGGGGAAGGCAGAUGGAUCGACGUCGGGUGUGUUGGGCUCGGGUGUGGGGGGCGAUGGUGUGGCUGCCAUGGCAGUAGGCUCAGGUUGUUGCGGGGAACACAGGGGUGUGAGUGUAGCCACCGGUGGAGCGGGUGUAGCCACCGGUGGAGCAGGUGGCCGGACGGUGCGUGGUUGGCGCGGGACAUGUGGCAUGGAGUAAAUCUCGUCGGUGAGGGAUGGUGUGGUGGGUGUGUCUAUGGCGUUGUUCUCUUGGAAGGGAAAUGUGCCCUCGUCAAAAACGACAUGCCGUGAGAUGACCACACGCCCGGUGGCGCGAUUCUGGCAGCGAUAGCCUUUGUGUUCGUGCGAGUAGCCGAGGAAAACACAAGGCGCCGACCGGGGAGCAAGUUUGUGCGGGGUGGUGGCCGUGAGGUUUGGAUAGCAUAGGCAGCCGAACACCCGAAGGGCUGUGUAAUCUGGGUGGACGCCGUACAGAAGGAAGAACGGCGUGUGAUCGUGGCGGGGGCGACACGGGCGCCGGUUGAGGAGGAAGGUUGCCGUCUGAAGCGCUUCAGCCCAGUACGAGUAGGGCAUGUGAGCAUGGACAAGCAGCGAUCUGGUGAUGUCGUUGAGUGUCCGCAGGGCUCGUUCUGCGCGCCCGUUCUGGGGCGAGGUGUACGGGCACGACAUGCGGAGCUGUGUGCCAAGGGAGGAGAACAGGGCGCGGGAGGCGGCGUUCUCAAAUUCCUUGCCAUUGUCAGUUUGGACAGUGAGGAUGGGAAGGUUGAAUUGAGUGCGUGCAAAGUGAAAGAACGUGCGAAUGGCGGGAAGCACCUCCGAUUUGUGGCGUAAUGGGAAUGUCCAGGCAAAAUGGCUAUAAUCAUCGAGAAGUAAUAGGUAAUACUGGCAACCAGAGUUGCUUUGGGCUGGAGCAGUCCAUACAUCACAGUGCACUAAUUGAAAGGGAAAGAAAGAUACAUGAUCGGAUGAACCGAACUGGAGCCUAGUGCUCUUUCCUAGUUGACAAGCUUGACAGAUAGUGGGUUGGCUUGGGGUGUGGUCGACGCCCGAGAGACGGAGGGUGCGGCUGAGGGCAUCCCCGCCUGGAUGGCCUAGGCGUUGGUGCCACACAUCUCGCGAAGUGGCGGUGAGGGCGUGGUGACCAUGUGGCAGCGCAGGUGUGGGCGUCAAGGGAAAGAGGUCAUCAUCGGCGGCAUUACAACGGAGGAUCACCUUCUUCGUUCUUCGUUCCUUGACAGAAAAACCAAGAUCAUCAAAUUCGACAUUGAGAGGAUUGUCACGGGCAAGAGCUUUAACUGAUAUGAGAUUCCUAAUCAGGUGCGGGGAGACGAGGACAUUGCGAAGACAGAUGGGGGAGCCGCUGGUGGGAAUGGUGGUGCCCGGUGUGCGUGACCGCUAGCGUGCUCCCGUCGCCGACAAUGAUGCGAGAUGAACUGUAAGGGACUGAGGAGGAGAGCAUACCAGACGAAGACGCCAUGUGCGAUGUUGCUCCGGUGUCGAGGUACCAGUCGGCCGUUGGUGGCGCCGGCUGCUGCUGCUGCAUCGACAUGGAGUUCAGGGCGUGGAUGAGCGCAUUCUGAUCCCAGGAAGGACCAGGAGGGUUGGUGGAGUUGUUCGUCAGUGCGUCGUACAGGGGGUGAGCGGGCACGACCCCUGGUUGCCAGACCACAGGAGGUGCGUGCGCUGGAACGCCUGGCCCGGCGGCAUAGUGCGAUGCAGUGCCGGUGAACGGCGUGCUCCCACCGGGUCGGGGUCCAAGGACGCCGGCGCCAGGUGCAUGGAGACGCCAAGGCAUCGGCCAGGCGUGGACCAUACCGGUCCAUGGAGCCGCAGAAGGAGUGGGAGGGCGAGUCAUGUGGCCGCCCCCGCCGGAGUACGAGCCCUGACCCCCGCCGGAGUUUGAGCCCUGGCCCCCGCCGGAGUUGUUGGCCUUGCCCUUGCCCUUGUAGCGCCCGUUCCCGCCGCUGUUGCGCCCGUGGCCGCCAUUCUGCCCGCCCGAGCCGCUGCUGGUGUUGGGCACACGUGCAGCAUGCAGGGCAGUCUCAGUGUUGGCGUCGGCGGACAGACGACUCUCCUCGAGCAGCAGGAAUGCACGGCAUCGGAGGAACGCCGGGAAGGGAGUCUGCAUCGUCAGAAUGGGCACAGCGUAGCGAAAACGCGGGUGCAGACCACGAAACAUGUUGAGCACCUGGUCGCGGUCGGUGACGGGCGCGCCGAGCUCGGCGAGGCGAUCGGCGCAGUCCUUGAGCCGUGCGAAGAAGGAGAGGAUGGACGAGCUCCCCUGCUCGAUGCGGCGAAACUCGGUGGAGAGGAACACCACCUGGUGCUCAGCGUUCUCGAGGAAGAGGGUGCAGAUGGCCGCCCAGAGAACGGCGGCGGUGGCGCCGCGCUGGUGGACGAGCCCGAACACCUCUGGGCUAACUCGGUUGUACAACCAGGAGACGAGAUGAGCAUCGUCUUGCGCCCAGGCAGGGUCGCGGGGACGUGGCGGUCCGGUGAGGUGAUCUGCGACAGCGAGCUUCUGGAAGGUGACUUCGAAGAGGGUGCGCCAGUGGGAGAAGUUGGGUGGGUUCAGGGUGAGCACAAGAGGGACGUGCUGGUUGAUGAAGACGCCGGCGAGUGGGGAGGCGAGCGGCUGGUGCGUCAUGGAGGAGGAGGCCGUGGGGUCUGGAGCGAAGAGAGCCCCGUGGGCAAGUGCAGAUGGGGUGAGGAGGGGCUGGUGAAUGGUCUGAGAGGAGGGAGGUGUGACGGGCGAGCUGCCAGAGAGAGAGCCCGGACGUGGUGUAGGUGGGGAGGCGGCGGCGGCGGCGGCGUCGACAUGACGCCGGCGAGCGCAGGUUUGCGGAAGCGGAGUGGAGCGGUUUACAGGCGAGGGAGAAGCCCAGCGUCUGAUACCAUGUAGAAUAGUGGAGGAAGAGGGAGAUCACACCUUGGGUGCUCUCCGGUGUAUACUCAUGUAUAUAUAGCCGGUUACAACAGGGCGCAGGGGUGUGGCGACGUGCAUGGAUCGUGGGAUCGUGCAUGCAUGACGUGCGCACGUACAGGGAGAGAGAGAGAUGGGUAAGCUAGCUACUGUUAACACUAACUCCCGUCUCAGUCGAACGUGCAGUCGGAGGCUCACCCAGCACGGUACGGCAAACCGAACGUGGAUUUUUGGAGCACGGGUGCUUUAAAUAGUUUAAAAACACUUUGAGUUUCAAAAAAUUCUACAUAAUCAUAUGGAUGUAUACUGCACAUGUCUAAAGCUUGACGAUGAAAUAAAUAAACAUGUGAGCUAUACAAAAAUAAUAAAAUGUUGGUUUCUAAAUAGUGAAUAAUACGUACACGGUUCAGCAAACUUCAAAAUACACACCAUUGAAAAUAUAGGGCUCACUAGAGCUCGUGCACCAAACUUACUCUUUGCGCUCCUCCCUCCCCCUCCCUCUCUGCUAUAGUAGAUAGGCGACCGAAUCCCCAGCAUCGAACACUAGUGAGGCCGUGGGUUCUCCACCCCUCCGUCCAUCGCUGGAGGGGAGGGAACUGCAACGACCCAUCUUGUAAACCUGUUGGUCAGGAAUUGUAAGAGAACUUGCAAUCAUCAUGUAUCAUAAUGCACCUCAUAUCAUAGCUUAGCAUAUAGUUGCAUGGUGAAAAAACCCUCUAGGUUAACUUCGCAUUAUGCCCAAAUCUGCUCAUAAGUGAAUGUUGAGAAGAAAAUGGCAUCCAACUAAUGAAUGACCUGAUAUUUCCCCGAGUCCUAGAUGUCAUAACCAAUCCCUAGGACUGAUCUCAAAUUUUCUGGAUUAGUUUUGGUAUUUGAAUCAAAUGAUAAUUGUUCAGAUUCAAAAAUUGGUAGAAGUCUAAUUUAAUUGCUUGGUGGUGAUCCCCUUAUGAAAAUUCAUGAAAAUUGAUAUAUCGGGAUAAUAUGUUGUCCUUAACCUCCAGUAAAAUUAUCAGGACUUUUGGAAUCAUAUUUCAUCUACAUGCAAUUCAGACCCAAAUUUAGGGCAGAACUGAAUUUGAAUUUAAAUGAUAGCCAAAUACUUCUGAAAAAUCUUGAAAAUUUUCACAGUAGUGUGAAAUAGUAUGAUUGAAACCUGUACCUAGAGUUUUGAGCCAACAAAUGGUUAACUAGCCCUUUAAAAUCCAAGGAAUGAAAGGAAUACAAGAAAUAGAAGACAGGAGGGGCCAACCCAAACCAAACUGUGGGUCGAACCGGGUCUAGUCGGUCACCCCGACCUAUUUCUUUUUUUUUUUCUCUGUUUCUCAAAAAAAAAAUUGUCCUCUUUUCCUUUCCCCACUGACCAAUGGGGCCCGACGGGACCCACCAAUCAGGUUCCCUUCCAUCUCAUCGGUGCAACGUGCAGAGAGUUUGCCUCCAGGUCGAGAUCGGCAUUGGCACCCAGGGCACCAACAGAAACACACGUUGUCUGGACGCAAUCGUGGCCUCCUCGCAUCUUCCGUGAGCUCUCCCCUCUGCCUCCAUGUCCUUGAGCUCCACCGUCACGGCCGAUUUGGCGCAAGUACUCGAGCCGAUAUCGGCGUCGUACCCGGCUUCGGCGGACACCUCCACGGUGCCUUCGUCGCAACCUUCUUUCCCGAGCUCACCUUCUGCUCGUCUGAGCCUCGAGCUUUGACGAAUCCUCUCGACCAAGAUCACUUCUGCUCGUCUUCUUCUCAGGACGGCGCCUACCGCCGCCCGCUCGGGAUCCGCCGGCCGCCCCUAAGGCCAGAGCAUGCAACGCUCGCCAUCGAACUACCAGGUGACCUGUAGCUCCUGUAAGUCCACGACCUCAAUGCCGUGGAGGCCAUAGCAGCGGAGCAGCACCCGAGCCGCCGCCUAUGACCCCCAUACACCGGCGACACAGCGGCUAGCCAUGUCCUCCCUGGCUCGGCGUCGCCCCGGCUCUGCCUCGGACGGUGCCUCGCCAUCCUCUUCUCUUCGCAAAUCGAGUGACGCAAGUUUCAUUUUCAGACAACUUGCAAAUAGCACAUGGAUUACUAUUUAUAAACGUGCAUUUCAAAUGCAGGCCUGCCUUCAGGUUCAGUCAGGAAUUAUCAAUGCAAGUCUCAACCCAGAAUUAUUACAAAAGUGUGCAAGCACAACACUGAAUGUUAUAAACAUUCCGAACAACAUGUAUGCAAUUUACCAUUCAACGUCACGCAACACGACAAACCACACCACUCCUUCCGGUUGACAGUACCCCAUUCUUGUAUCAUGCCGCAGCUCGAGACUGAUGUGCAGAUAGGCUUUCCAAGUACUUAUCCACGAUGUCCAAACCACACAUUUCCUUCACGUGGGUCAUCGGCGCGGGGACGUCGAGCUGGAACGUGAGCUCUGAGCUUCCAAACUCCUUCCUUGCCGCUCGGAUGGCCUCUCUCACCGCGCAAUGGACCGAUGCUGCAAGAACCAGGGCAGGUUCCCCAGAGGCUGCCAGAGGCAGACUAGUUAAAUCACUUUAACAAAUGAAAUUUUCAGCCGGCAAAAUAGUAAAACUAUAUUCAUGUUGCUUCAAUUCAGGGAAAGCACAAUCCUACUACAUACCUUUUGACGAAAGAACACGGUUCUUAUGGUACCCAGUGUUGAGCACCUCAGCGUUGAACUGCUUCGGGAUGGUGUCUACGCUCGGGAUCUUGUAGACCCAUGUGCUGUCGCUCACAACCAGUCCAUCGGCAUUUGUUUCGUGUUCUUCGUUUAUGAAGAAACCGAUUCCUUGGAUGAAGGAGCCUUCAAUCUGUAAGAUGGAUGGUAGAGAUCAGAUAUGAAUAUAUGAUGCCAUCAUGUACUAUAAUGAAGAAAAAAUCUGACCAGGGCUGUAAUGUAAUGUACUUGCUCUGUUUCGAUGUAAGGCAUUAUCAAAUAAUAUCCGUGUUCACUACAAAAUGAUAAAAGAAGAGCAUAGCGCAGUGGAAAAUAUCUCAAACCUGGCCCAAGUCCACUGCAGGGUUCAAACUCUUUCCACAGUCAUACACAAGGUCGCUCCGUAGUAAAGUAAUAGCUCCUGUAAGAACAUCAAUCUCUACCUGAAUUUUCAGUAAAAAGUGAAAAGGAAGUCAGGAAAGUAUCACAAUAUCAUCCAGUAACUAUUGAACUAUGCUAGUGUGAUUGACAUUUAGCAGAAUAUUUCUGUACCUCACUUAUAGCAGCUCCAUAGUUCAGAUAGGUGCUGGAUUCUUGGCCAGGUACCCAGUAUGCACUUGAGGACAAAUUAACAUUAUCCUUAAUGGCCUAUUUGGGAAAGUGUUAGCAUGUAUAAAGAUAACAAUUUCCACACACAAACAUUUUACACUUAUGUAGCAUAAAAACCCUGAGGAAAAUAAAAAAAUAACCUGAGCAAUCAAAGCAUCCCAUGAAACAGCACCGCCGGAUUGCUGCUUGAGCUUCUCCAUGACUGGCUUUAAUCUGUCAACCAACAUGUUGCAGGCCUCAAGGGUUGCUGCACAGCUAGAUUCAGACGAAGUGCUGCCAGCAGUGAGUCCACCUUGGAUCAAGUUCAGCGUGUCAGCCUGAAGAAGACGCACUCUAUCAAGAAGACAUUCAGAUCCAUCAGGCCAUAACUGUCCCAACGCGAAAACUGUCAUCUGCUGUACUUUGGUCCACAGUCCCUGCCCAACCUCAACACCUCCAACCUCGACCACAAUGGAACCAUCGUUGAGCACAGAAACUCUUCCAGGAGCUGGCCUUGGUGCCACCUUGAAGAUGAGGGGCACACAAGAGAUACCCCUCUUCCGCCACUUGUUGCGGUUGUUAAAAUGCUUGAUGGAUUCAGCUCGAUGCAGGUAGCUUGACGUCGUGAGUAAUCUAUUGAAAAUAGAAUGCAAUGUGUACGUCGAUGCUUCGCCUGCGCUUUCUGGAUAGAACAACACAAGACUGUCAUAGGUGUGGAAAUUCUUCUGCCUGACAUUAUUAGCAUCAAGCGACAGCACCGAAGCGACAUGCUCGAUGAUAGCUUCAGCGAUAAAAGAUCCCUGCGUAUCUCCAGGAGCACGCAUUGUUGACUUGGAUGUGUUGUUUGUCUUACAGACCUUGAUGUCAAACGAGAGGGCACCCCAGUUGUAUUUCUUCAGGCCUGACAUCAUAUAGUCUGGAAUUAGGGGGCUCGCAUCUGGAGAAAUCCCAGCGUUGAUCAGAAUGUCCAGGUGCAAGGCUGUGAUUCUCCCAUUGGACUUGAAACCAACAGUGUAAUAUGCUUUUAUGGGGUGCCGGCCCCCGAUCAUGAUCAUGUCAGUACUGCGGUUGAGAUACAUCCGCACCGGACGACGUAACUUGAAGGCACAAAGUGCAGCUGCCGUUGCUAACUGCAAAAGCAUAUAUUGUUGGAUCACUGAGUAGCAACAGCUAAAAAUGGUCAAUGUUUCUGCUUUCUUGGAAGCUGAAUGAAUGGUAAAAUGAUGCUCAAAUGUGCAAACUUAUGUUAGAAGCUAUCACUAGAACUCUAAUCUACCGUAAAAAUAGAAAUCAUCUCUUCAUAAAAUGCAAUAUUCAUAAAAAAGUACUGUUAGAUUCUUUUAGUUGUAACACACAGGCUUUGAAUUUGUUGCCACUCUGUUGGACUGUUGUUCAUGAUUGUUUGUUUCUUACUUACAGUGUAUGAUCUGAAUGCCUUCCCACCAAAGCCUCCUCCAACCCUUCUUGUAAUGACACGCACAUUGCUGAAUGGAAUGCCGAGGCACCUCGCUAUGACACUCUGCGCAAGCUCAGGGUAUUGUGAUGAACUGUAGACUACAAGAGUGUUAUCUUCAUCUGGAAUCGCCAGUGCUGUUUGUGUUUCCAUAUAGAAGUAGUAUUGAGAGGCAAGUUUCACCUGCGAUCAUCGAAGUCAUACAUAUUAAUGCAUGCCAUGUGGUGUUGAAAACAGAGACCAUCGAAAAUCAAAUUUAAACGUUUGCGUUGUUAAGUAUAAGAACUUCCAUUCACUUUUGAGCAAUGCAUGAGAUGUCAGUAUGAAAAGGUCUCGCGGUGUGUAGAAUUAACAUACUUCUGUCGCGAGGAUCUUGUGAUCAGCUUCCGCCAUGCCCUUCGAAAAAUCACCAACUUGUUUUGGAUACCUCUCAGGAGGAACUUCGAAAUAACUAUUGUUCUGUACAGCCUGUUCUACAGUUAAGAUUGGUGGCUUCAAAUCUUUUGUGUCAUAUUCAACAACGACCUGUUUGCCUGCCAAAUUGGCAUAUCUCUGAGUCUCUGCAAUCUGAGGUAAAGUACACAUUUUAAUGGUAUCAGUAUUGAAGAAAUACACAAUAACAAUUCAUUGUAAUAAGUUUGUGACCAGGGCAAAAGUUAGCUAAUGGUUACUUGUAACCAGGGAAAAAUUGGCACUAAUUAUUAAUUAGUUUAAUUUAAAAAGAUUACUCUCGGUGUUUAAACUAAAUACGAGCAUAUUAUGAUAAAAUGUGACAUGAAUACAUUAUAUUUUUGCAUAUCCACUAACGUUGAUUUUUAGUAAGCAAUUUUGUUAUGAAAGAAAUGGAGAUACAAGCGCACCACAGAAAAUUUCCGUGAGCGUUUGAUUAACCCAAUCUAAUAUAGAUUUUGUUAGGGUAUUUUAUAAAUGAAAAUUUGGAUGUACAUAUAUAGAUAUAUCUUUUGGAUGACAAUGUGUGAUAUUAGGGUUUAUUAUUUUAAUGUGUACAGAUUUGACCCUCCUAAUUAAAAAUAACUUCUUCCUUAAGAUUAACAACCUUAUUUUACAGAGACUAAUGAAGAAAAUCCCAUUUAUAAAUUGACUUUAUUUCACAAGAAUUUAUUUUUGAGUAAACAUUAAAAAUAUGAAAAGAUAAGUACCACGACACCAAGGGCUUGCCCAGCAUACUCAGCGACAGGAGAACCAAAGAGUGGUUCGUCCCCAAACAAGAAGCUUGAUCCAAUAUUUUGCCCUCCACUUGGAAUAUCCUUCGUGGAAACAACCGUGAGGACCUUCUCUGAUGCUAAAGAUGGCUUGAAUUUGAUAUUCUUGACAUAUGCAAGAGGCUGUGUGCUGUAAAUAAACUCUCCAUAGAGGCAAUUUUUUGGAGCAGGAAUAUCAUCUACAUAUACUGCCUCCCCUGCAGUACAGAAAAUUAAAGGAAGGACAAUUUGGAGAGGAAGAGAACUUCUAGAUCCCAUUAAUAACUUUGAUGAUGUAAGCUUAUUAAACACAUACCAGAAGCUUGAAGCUCAACUGCGUACUUUUUAAUCGGCUCGCCAACUGGUUUAUGAUCAUCACUGGAAAUUGCUUCUCGACGCGAAGACAAUGGAAGGCUACAGGGAUCAUCUGUAUCUGAAGAACUAGCAGAACCAAUGCUCAGAGUCUUUCCAGGCCCUUUGAUUCCUUUAGCAAAUGGAGACAGGAAACUGAAGAGAAAUCCAACAGCCACACUGACUCUGUAUUCAGGAUGUGAUGUUCCUUCCAUUGGUACAAUUGUUUCUCUAAGUAACCGAACUGCUUCGAGCACAACAGAUGGAGUGAGCACUUUUCCAUUCAGGUGUUGUUCAACUUUUGUUGCUCUAAUGGCAUGUUCCGUCCCAUAGGCACCAAAGGCCAUGUGUAGGUUACUCAGCACAAGAUCACCACAUGAUUUCUGGGAGACAUGGCCCAGCAUUGCAGAGUUAAUAUAUGAAACCGCAUUGCCAAGAGGGCGCGGCGCUGCUCGGUAAGUUUCAAAGAUCACCUUACUUUCUUUCUGAGAAUCUGAAGCCCAAUGUGGAAUAAAUAUGCUUAGGAGCAAUGUACUGGGAUCACUAGGAGGCAGCUCCAGAAACUCUUCCAAAGUAACCUCUAGUGUUUCUGAAUAAACCUGAAGAAGAACAGUUGAAGCAGCACCGAGAAGUAUGGUCGCGAUGUCCGAGGGAAAAGGGUAUUUCUGUGCUAGAAUUAUGUUCCCACCAAUGCUUGCUGUGUUACGGACAAACGGUGAGGCCACCUUGCUCAUGUGCUCGGAGAGUUUUCUGAAAACCACACUUCCAUCUGGAGAUGAUUUAGACCCGGCUUCUUGCUCAAGUAUCUCGAUGGUCUUAGAAAUUGGUGUAGCUGCUCCAAUUUCAAUACCACUGUCUUUCUUCCAAAUAGCUGAAAGCUCUGGAAUGUCACCGAUGUCAAUAUACUUGUUAUAUAGAUCCUGAUCCUUGUAUCCCUUUACACCAGAACUUGUGUUCGCGACAACCACUUUAACUGUGCAGUCACUGAACAAGCCAGAGUUCAACAAAUCAUAAUAUUGCUUGAUGCUUUUAAGAUGAUACCAACCCUCCUUGGAGAUCGUAACAUCCGAAUCAUCAUUUAGAUGAUGAAGCGAAGAUUUUAUUUCGGAUUUCAGGAAGUCCGGGAAAGUGCAGACUCCGCCGCCAAGAGUGUAAGCUGGCAACUUGCUAACGUCGGCGUGCUUAUCGCCUUUCUUCCAGAAUACAUUGAGGCCCAAAUCCUCCAGGUCAACAUCUGAAGCAAAACUUUUGCAGGCGUCAACAAUCGGCCUAUAACCGGUACAUCUACACAUGUUGCCUGAGAACGCUCUUUCUGCUUCGGACACCGUCAGCUUUGAGAAACCCUUUUGUGGUUCAGGCUUGUUGGAUUUGUCGGCAUUGGCGAGAGAGGUGAAAAUAGACAUGCACAUGCCAGGAGUGCAGAAGCCACACUGGGAAGCAUGGAACCCAGCCAUCCUCUUAUGGAUGGAAUGGAAACCAUCUUUGGUAUUUCCCAGGCCUUCGGUGGUGAUGACUGAGCAGAGAUUUAUGUUGUAGAGCAGAGUCAAGCAUGAACUUGCAGAGAAUUCAGUGACUUCAUCUUUUGUUGGAUUGUAAGUUGCUAUAAGGACUACACAAGCUCCACAUCCACCUGCAAUAGAGCACAACGAUACAGUUAUUCAUGGGAUGCUAUAACCGCCUUUUCUCGGGACAAUAUAAACAUAAUAUUGAUCUGGAGGAACCGGCCGAACUGAAAGAACCAGGCGUUAUGUGAAAAUUGAACAAACAUAACCAAAUUUACUGCUAGUUAUUUAUCCCAAUUUGGUUCGGAUUCUUAUUCCAAAAUCUGAACUCCCAGGUAAACAAAAACAAUGACAGCAGUGAAUCAUAUGGAUGGAAACAUAUACACGAUAAUGUCGGUGCGCAAACCACGGGCCGUAUGAAUCAUAUAGUGCCAGAUUAUAAAAAAUAUUUGCAUAGGAGUGAAACACUAUUAGUACAUGAACUUGCCAGGGGUGUUAUGUUUAGUACAUCAGCCUAGAAACCAGUCAAUUUCAGAAGUGAAACCUACUGAUGCAGAGCAAAGCAUAUCUAGAAAUCCUCCAGAAACUGUUUCCCCCCUGUAUCAGAGGUGCAGAGACCCUCACCGCCCUUGUCGCGUAGGACAUGUGGUGCGCCAGCGGCAUCUGAGGCCGUGUCCUCUCGCUUCACACUCUAGAUCGCCUCCGGCCAUGGGUUGGGUCAGAGGGGGAGGCGGGGGAGAGAAAUGGGAAGAGAUGGGAGAGUGAGGGGGAGGGGAACCGAAAAGAGAGACACAGUGGCUCGACGGAGAUAGCGCCGGAGCCGGGGAAGACGUGCGGCGGCAAAGCUAAACUGGGGAUUUGAGGGCCGAUUUGGGAAAUUUGGGUACCGUUUUCACUCUCUGAGGUGGUGAGGGGCUUCUGUGUAAGAUUCCUGCGAUUUUGUAAAAUAUCGCUAUAGUUGGUGGGUCUGUUUCUAAAUUAACAUCACUAACAAAUUUACGGUUUCAAUGUAUUUUACUCUUUUCACAAACUUCUGCAGUAUUGCAUUAGCAUCCGCAGAGAUUGUAAUAAUGAUACUUGUGUCUAAACCAGGGAUUCCGUGAUCUUCAAAAACUCUCUUUCAUCGAGCUGGUGUAAUCCAUUUAAAAAAAAAAAAAAUCAAGCCGAAUUUUGAAUAGCUUUCCCUACGUCUUUGUUGAUCGAAAUGCUAUCAUGUCAAAUGCUACCCACCACUAAUGUGUUUAAAUUGUCACUUUGAAUCCUUAGCUUAAGAGAUACUACCUCUGUUUCAAAAUAAUAAAAGUUCUGGAUUUGUCCUAAGUCAAAAUUGUUAAAUCUGACCAAGUCUACAGAAACAUAUAUUAACAUCGAGAACACUAAAUUAGUCUCAUGAGAUUAUUUUUGUACUAGUGUAUUUGGUGUUCUAGAUCUUGCCAUAUUUUUCUAUAGAGUUGGUCAAACUAAGACAAGUUUGACUUAGGGCAAACUAGAACUUCACUUAUUUUGAAACGGGGGUAGUAACUCACUAGGUCUUGUUCUAAAAUGUAGGACAGACUUGCAUUGGCUCAAUGUAAGUUGUGGAUGUGCAGAACUUUUGAGGGUUUUGAGCCUAUGAGGAGGAGGGGCCGUUACCAAUGGCGCUGCUAAUAGCAGGUCAGCCGGGGAGGAUCUCAAUCUCAAUGGCGUGGUUGCUGUAAGUUCUAACACACUCAUCGAGCUAAGGAAUUGGUGGAGUGGUAGACGUUGGUUCACGCUAGACGGGGAAUAUAUUGUCCAGGUGGAUCGAGCGAGGUGCAAAAGUGCAUGGCCCCACUCGAUGGGGCUGGUGCUCCAAGCUGUGUCGCACUAGGUAGGUAGGAAGAUGAAUGCCGACCAUAACAAAUCUAGCUCGGCAGGCUUCUAUCCCAUGCAGUGGCGGAGCUACAUUGGGGCCAGUCCAUAUCAUGGCCCGCCCAUCUUUUAGAAAUUUUUAAGCUAUACAUUUACUCUUGAGCCUUGGACCAACAAAACAUAGGCUAUUCCCCUUUUGUUUGACCCUCCUAGCCCGCCCAGCACUGGGCUUUAAGCUUGAUCAUUGAUCCGAUGACAUCCCUACAUGGAGGUGAUCCUAUUUCGCGCGUUCGCUGAAUAGCAACCUACUCCUUCCGUUUCAAAAUAGAUGACCCAACUUUUAACUAACUUUGUACUAAAUUUAGUACAAAGUUGGGUCAUCUAUUUUGAAACGGAGGGAGUAUAUAUAUUGCAUAUCCCCCCUUGGGUGUGCCCCAUCCUAGUUAGCCCAUUCUGAUUUUUCUUCCGACGGGUUUUGGGAAGGUCCUAGAACCAUCGUUGAAUCGUUUUUUUUUCUCUAUUUUCUUCUGGCUUUUCCUUUCAUUGUUCAUUUAUUCCUUUUCUUCUUCUUCUUUUUCCUUUUCCUUUUUACAAGUCCACAAACUUCUUAUCAAACUUGUAAAAUUUCAAAGUCGUGAAGUUUUUCAAAUCAGCGAACAGUUUUUCAAAAUCAUGAACUUCUUUGAAAAUCAUGCACAUUUUUCUAAAAAUUCAGAAUAAACUCAAAUUUGUCAUUGUAUUUUUGAAAUACAUGAAUGAUUUUUUAAUCCGAGAAGGUGUUUUAAAUUAGUUAACAUUUUCAAAAUAUUAAAUAAAAAAAAAUUCAAAUUCAUGUUUUUUAAACUAUAUACAUUUUCCAAAUUGAUGAGAUUUUUUGAAACUCGCAAGCAGUUUUUGAAUUGGCAAACAAUUUUUAAGUUGGCAAUUAAUUUUUUGAAAUCCGUGAAAAUCUUAAUGAAUUGCGGAUAUUUUUUUUAAAAAAUUUAAAAUUGUAAUUUUAGAACAAGGAUCAUUUUCUAAUAUCAAAAAAUUUCUUAAAUUUUUUAACGUAUGAUUUUAUAAAUUUUAAAAAUAAAAUUUGUGAAGAUUUUACGGAAACCCCAAUUUUGUAAGAAGCAAAAAGUAAAAAAAAAGAAGCGAAGAAACAAAGAAAGGAAAGAAAAUGAAAAGGAAAAACAGAGGCGCCCCAUCCCGCCCAUGGGGCUUGCCCAAAGAGCGUUUGGGGGACUAGCGGCGCACUAUGCGCGCAAUAGGAGGUCCCCCCUCAACCUGGCCCAAUCCAGAAUCGUUUCUAGUUCCUCCUCUCCGCCUUACGCGCUGUUCCUGCAAGCCUUGCAGGGUACUCCCUCCGUCUUAUAAUAUAAAAACAUUUUUCAAGUUGUUUUAGCUUGAAAACGUUCUUAUAUUAUGGAACGAAGGGAGUAUCAAUUAGUUGCAGAUUAACAGCAUAUACGGAGGUGCUCAGUCAGCCAUACGUAAGCGCUGCCGCAUAGGAAUUUUAGUGAUGUGACAGAAAGGCGGGAAAUGAGAGAAUGAGAGGAAGAGGACUAUAAUGUAUAUUAUCAUCCGUGCAUGCCACGAGAAAGGGACGUGCCAUCUUUCCAACAAUCAACCACCUAAUAACUAUCCAACUGUGGAGGAUUGACAACAAAUGCGUAUUGGCAUAAAACGAAACAGUGUUGGUUAUGACUCUGUGACAAGGACGUAUGAGAAAGCACGUUCCACACUGGAAUGUAGAAUCGUGACUCGUGAGCUAUGGCCAAAAUGGAAACGCCAAGGAAGAUCACUGUCAGCCUGUCACUGCAAAUAUGAUCGUAACCACCGACCGACCGGCUUAGCUAUCAGUGACCGGUAGUUCAACACUUGACGCGAAGUCUAUGUUUUCCGUUGGUAUUCCUUUUCAUUUUUGCAAUCAAGGUACGUAAGGUACAUCAUUUUUCCUGUAUGAGUGCUCUAAUAAUGCUGCCAGAGUAGACCAGAGAUUCAUGGCCGGUAUAAUGGCUAGUCUGUAAUUUUUUGUAAACUCUUCUUAUUUGGUGAGACCUGGCAAAGCAUUUACAUCUGUUUCAAAGAAAAAAUGCACUUCAUUAGAUGAAUCACUUGCAUCUAUGGUGAAACCAUGAACACUUACAAUUUUGCAAUUUGUUAACUAGUAGUAUUUCCUUGCACCUUAGAUCGGCACCCGAGCACACCACAGCUGGAUGUACCCAAGCACCGACACCAAUCGCUUGAAUGUGACAUUAUGAGGGUAGAUGCAUGGAGUUAAAUUUUGAAUAGUAAUUGAGUCAAUUACACCGAUGGUGCUUGAACUUGGUGCAAACGGUCACUUUGGUGCUAGAACUUGUGGCAUACAUCGAACUGGUGUAACAAGUUGGCUCGGGCGUGCAAAUACGGUACAAACCUUGGCUGUGUACGCCCGGGCCGCUGAUUAGGCACGCCAACAUGGCAUGGGUCCCGCCGUCAGUGACCCGAAGGCAGACAGGAGGGCGUGUGGCCAAUUUUUUUGUGUAAACCCCCUUGAAUUAUUAUUUUCCCUCAAAAACGCCCUGUCGACGUUGCAAGAUGGCAUUUCAUUUUUUCGACUCUAUAGCCAGUGGGCCCCGUGUGUACACACUGAGAAUUAUUAACAAGAAAAAACGAAGGCCUCCACGUCUCGAACAUGCGACCCUUGCCCAUGUCACAGUCUGGCUGCUACACCAUUCAGUCUUCACAACUUCAGAUAAAUUUUUGUAUUCAUCAAUUUGAAUAUUAAAUAUAAGCAGCACAUGUAUAUUUUUCUAUUAAAUAAACAUUUUAAAUGUCCAUAUUUAAUAAACAAUUUUAUAUAAUAGAUGUGUGUAUGUUUAAAUAUUUUUAUCUACUAAUCAUUGUUUGUAUGUCUAACAUUUACAAAAAAUAAAUAUUUGAACAUUAUUUUAAUUACUUACAUUUCACAAAUAUUUCAAAAAGAAUUAGCGCGUGCAAAUGGGCUGCACUAUCUGCAGCCAAUUUAAGCCCCACAUGUAUCUUCCUUAUACUACAUUAACAGUUGUUAUCCUUGUUAGACAUCCGAAUGUAAUUGAUGCAGUGGGUAUGAGCACGAGCGCCCUAACAGUAGGUCGUCGUGUUGAAUUCUCAAAAAAAAAAGGUCACGUGUUGGAGUGUAGGAGUCUAUCAUAUUCCCUUUUAAUUCCCGCCAAAAAAACAUUUUCCCUUUUAAUUUUCUCGUCGGGACUCACCUGUCAUACAACAAACAAAAUAAAAUACCAUCUACCACGUGGACAGGGUCUUUUUUGUGAGAAAUAAAAAAUGUCGAGGUUUUUCUGCAAAAAGAAAAAAACAGGCCACGCACUUCUAGUCUCUGACAAAGGGCCCCACGCCACGCUGGCGGCCAAGUCAGCGUUGAUUUCGUAUCCAAGUGCGGUUAGCACUGUAUUUGCACACCUGAACCAAGUUGUUGCACCAGUUCAAUGUAUGCCACAAGUUCUAGCACCAAAGUGACCGUUUACGCCAAGUUCAAGCACCACCGAUGUAAUUGACUCAUAGUAAUUCGACUAUUUGCUUCUCAAGCUUAGUGUGGCAUUUUGUGGACCAUGGAAUAAAUGAUCACUCAACCAACCAUAUUCCGUACCUCGAAUCUGGACGUGAUAUGUGUUACAAUCAGUAGGACCUACUAAAAGUAGCGAUCACUUUAGCCCAACACAUUUCGAAGUUUACAAAAUUGAAUUAUGUUGAAUGAUCAUGUCGAAAUAGACAUGAAACAUGUUCGCCGACAUAGUGAUCUUGGUGUCAGACUAUUGGCCGGUCUCCAACAGACUGAAACAUCACUUUCCUUUUAGUGGGAGUUCACGACGACAGUGAUCGCGCUCGUAACUAAAUACUCCCUUCUUUCCAAGUUUAUACUAAAUUUGUUCUUUUUAGAAAAGGAGGAAGACCCCCGGCCUCUGCAUUUGGGUGAUGCAUACAGCCAUUUUAUUAAUUAUUCUCAAAAGACCUUACAAAGAAAUACAUCAGUAAGUCUGAAGUCACCGUCUAGGCAACAUCUAUCGCUACUCCUAUCCAUUUGAUGAAGAGAUGCUGAUAGUCUGGGCCUAAUACCAAACAGACCUCGCAGCCAAACCUAACAUCUAAGACUUGAGUUCCCAUCCAGGACGCCUGCCGGGUAUGGGUCAUCCACCGGUCCGGCGCACCCCUCAACCAGGACGCCUGCCGGGUAUGAGGCCGCCGCAGCCACCUGCCACCAAUCCAUCUUCAGAGAUGUACUGCUGCAUCUACCUUGCCCGGUCUAACUGUCGUCGACGCCACCACGACGCCAGACAACGCCACCAUCCUGCGCCCGUCCAUCAACACACGCCCAGUAGCGAGACCCCGCUGCUCCAUGCCGCUGAGACCCGCCAUUGUCGGCGUGUCAGAUGCAACGCCGCUCCUCCUUCGCGAACACCACCUGCUACCACUGGUCCUAUCCCCUCCACCUGUAGAUCCUCUGCACUCCCAACCGAGCCCCAGUGCCCCUGACGACACCUCCAGAAAGGUCACGACACAAAAAGCGCCGCUGCCGCCAGAUCCGAAAAGGAUUGAAGGUUUUCACCCGGCCGGGGAUCGGGGUGGGUAGAUUGGGCCUUCAGCUGCGCCUUCAUGAAGGAAAGCGGCGCCCAUGGGCAUCGCCGCCGCCGGGCCGGCUAGACUAGCCAAGGUUUCCCCCGGACCCAAAAUACACCACCAGGGCUCACCACCACCGGAGCCUGCAGCCGCAAACCACCGGGACGAUGACAGAGGCAGCAGGAGAAAGGGGAACCUCCAGAUCUGACGCAACGGAGAACCGCGCCAUGGCCGGACUCCACCAGCGACCCGCCACCCGCGCGGCCGAGUACGCUGGCCAGCGUCGCCUGCAGACAUCUCCAGCCGCCGGACGCCGCCGCCUCGCCGAUAGGGCCGCCGCCCAAGGAUCCGCAGGCCACCGAUGCGAUACUCCGGCCCGCAGGCCGACGGGAUCGAUCCGGGCGCCGAGAUCCCCGCCGCCACUUUCCCCGGCGUCCGCGCGGGCUUUGCCGGCAGCCGUCUCCGGCGGCGGCGAGGGACGAAGGGGGAUGAGGGGAGGCGGGCGGCGAAAGAUCGGAUCGCCCCCGAGUCGCCAGGGCCGCGUCUCGUACGCAAGUAUCUCGUCAUACUAAAUUUGUAACACUUAUUUUGAAGCGAAGGGAGUAUAAAGCAGAUAAUGAUGUACGCUCGGACCACAGCGCAUGCAUGUCGACGCAAAAUGACACAAGACAUAAUUCAAGUGUGUACUCUCCCAGCACACACACGACCGACAGCACAACGCUUGAGCGAUGUUGGUCUGCUUUGCGUUCGUGCUAGCAAGAGAAUGGUGGAUCAAGAGCAUGCACCUUCGCCGCAGCCGAGCGUGGUGCCGGUGAAGGGCGUCCGGGUCCGGAUGAACUCGAGCAGCGUGGUGCCGGGGUGGACGCCGGCGCCGGCCACCUCGUGCCGCCGCCCGUUCAGCGCGAACACCACCUUCUCCAGCCUCGUCGACCCCAUCGCCGCUUCGCCACCGCCCGGUUGCGGCGAUGUAUGGGUAGCUACUCUGCCUGGCAGGCUAGGACGCGCACGGCGACGCGUGUGUGUGAUGGAGAACGUGGUGGGCGAGCUGCUGCUGCUGCGCUAUAGCGAGGGAGUUGAAUGCUGUCUGCCUACUUGCGUACGUGACGCGAGUGCUGGCUGCACGCCUCCGCGUGGCCUCCAGCGUCACCGACGGGGACGGACAGCGCGGCAUGGCGGUGAUCCGGCCGGUAGGUGCACGUGCAGUGCGAGCGGUGCCGAAGCAGUGCUGUUUGGACAAGAAAACGUCGCAAUAUUUUUUUCUGCUGCGUGGAUAACGAUCCUUGUUUUCUUGAGAUAGGGAACCCCUCAUGCCUCCUAGCGCGCCUUCGUCGGUUGUCAACAUGGAAGCGGCAAGAGAUACGAUCUUGACUCCCACUUGAAAACGUUAUCUGCUUUCCUUGCAGAAAAAAAAACGUGAUCUGAUAUUCCACCGUCGUCUCUUCCUCUGAUCCUCUCUCCAUUUGAAAAAAGAGAUUCCUCAUCAACGUGGAGCAAGCAAAGCUUGCGGCGUGGAGUCUGCAUAGUCUCUUUGUAUGUCUGCCCGGGAAAAGAAAUUUUGUCACGUAUCAACUUUGAUACGCGUGGAUACCGUAGGAGGUCGUCAACUUUGACUCUCAAUCGGUUAAGUAAUUCUCGCGACGUCCGAUUGUCACUAACAAGUUCUUCCUCCCCGACAUGUUCAUGUCGAUGAGAUUAAAUCUACCCUUCAUAUUCAUAGUGGUUCUAGACGUGAUUGUAUAACAUAUUUUUUUUAUUGUGUACUAAAUUCCCUUUAAAUCUGAGGUUGAGCUCUCACGCACGCGUCACGCCCCCUCGUUGCCCCCGCCCUCGACAUAGGCCACACAGACACACCUGUCACACACGUGGUUGCCCCCGCCCUCUGUAACAUGGGCCAUGUUGCAAAUCUUAGAUGAGCUCCCACAAGAACGGACAUGUCAUGCACGCGAGGCAGCGAACGGCACGACAAAAAUCAGUCCCUAGCCUUUUCCUUAGACGUAAAUAAAGUUUGGGCUAUGAGCAACUACAGCUCAAUCAACCCUUUGCGUACCUUGCAUCUGGAUGUGAUAUAUGUUACAUCAGUAAGACCUACUAAGUUGCGAUCGCUUUAGCCCAACAUAUUUCAAAGUUUAUAAAAUGAAUUAUGUUGCACGAUCAUGCUGAAAUAGACAUGAAACAUCGUCGACGACAUAAUGAUCUCAGUGUCACAUCGGCCGGUCUCCAACAGACUAAAACACCAAUUUCCUUGUACCGGGAGUUCAGGACGCCGGUGAUCGUGCUCGUAAACAUAAUAAAUAUUAAAUAGACGUACGUCUUUGGAUCAUCAAAAUGACGAUGUACACUCGGACCGCAACGCAUGUUGAAGUCACACAAGGCAUAAUUCUAGUGUGUACUCGCUUUCCUUUUUUGAAACUUUCAACGGGGGAAGAGAGCCCCUCACCUGAAUUUCGUUUCAAAGGUCGCGCAAACGCAAGAAAAAAAAUCUGGUAGUUCUUGGCCGUAGGAUGAAAUCGGAGAGAAAAUUAGUACUCCCUUUGUAAAGAAAUAUAAGAGCGUCUAGAUAACUCACUAUUUUAGUGAUCUAAACGCUUUUAUAUUUCUUUACAGAGGGAGUAGUUCCGAAGGAACCAGGACAAAGGGUUUGAGCUCAAGUGGAAGCUCUGAAUUGUGCACUCAUGAUCGGCAGUACGUAUACUACACUCAAGCGAUGUUGCCCUCAAGAGAGAAAAGAAAGAAUCUUCUUCACGCAGGUUCCUAGAGCAAAGCCAGCUAGAGAAUGGCGGAUCACGAGCGAGGAAUGCACUGCAUGCGUAGUAUAGCAUGAUGAGCGUACGUACCUUCGCCGCAGCCGAGCUUGGUGCCGGUGAAGGGCGUCCGGGUGCGGAUGAACUCGAGCAGCGUGGUCCCAGGGUGCACGUCGGCGCCGGCCACCUCGUAGCGCCGCCCGUUCAGCGCGAACACCACCUUCUCCAGCCUCGUCGACCCCAUCGCGCGCCACUUCGCUGGUCGCCACCGCUCGGUCGACCUCGGCGGGCGAGUGAGCUAACCAGAAAUGGUGGAUUGAGAUGUCUACUAUAUGAGGAGGUACUCAGCUUGGCAAGGACGUGCACUGGGAUGUGAGUGAUGGGGGAACGUGGUGGGCGAGCUGCUGCUGGCCGCUAUAGGGAGGGAGCUAGUUGGAUGAAUGCUGGUCGUCGGCCUCGAUCUGUUGCCUCUUUACUUGCGUGACGGCGAGUGGUUAGCUGCCCCGGCGACUCGGAGCGCGGGGAGGAGAUCGGGCCAGCGUCACCCGACGGGGACAGCCACGAUACGGGCCGCGAUCUGAUAGGUCCUUGGACGUGCACGGCACGUGCAGUGGGAUGUAACUACUGAAGCUUUGCUGUCUACUAGUCUAGACACGAAAAAGUCCCAACAUAUUUUGUUGCCUCCACGUUCGUGUAAAAAUUGACGCGAAAGAGAUAUGAUCCUAACUCCCGUCCCGAUCAACCUGCUAUCCCGCCCGCGUCUCUUCCUCUGUCUGUCAUCACUCUCAAACUGAAGAAACUGGAUGAUUCCCCGCGCAUUGCCUUGAAAAAUAUUAAGAGACGUGUAGGUAUACAAUACUAUUAUUUGUGCAUCUUAGAGUUUCUUUUGUUAAGUUAGCAACCUAACUGUUUGAUUUUUUUAAAUAAAUUAAAUUAAACUUUCCAAUGAAAAAGAAAUCACAAGUGAGACCGUCGGAUCAAUAUCCGGCAUUUUUAAAUUUCAUAAACGUAUCUACAAAAAAGUCUUGUAGCAUUGUAAAGUUUUUCAAGAGUUUUCUCAGUAAAAUAGACGACACACCUGGCAAUACUUGUAUGCACGCAUUGCCUUGUUCAAUUCAUAUUUUCACUUUUUAAUGGAACCUAACGAUCAAUAUCUAUUGCUAAUUCCAGUGAAAUUUUCAUACCACAUGAAUAAGAUGGAGUGCUAAUGACAUGAGUUUGUCUAAAAUGUAUAACAUGGAUAAUCAUGUCACUAAUUAUGAUGUGCCAGACAUGUAUGACAUGCGUGAGUUGGAAAAUUGAGAAAGCGCAUGUUGUAAGAAUUAAAGGUAUUGAAUAUGGUGCAUAGCCCCCCAAAAAAACUUAUAGAUGCUGACAUGGCACACUUGAUGAGGUGAAAGGCUACUUAUAAUGUGGAUGAACUUUUUAAGAAUAUAAUACAUAUGAUAUAGGAUAAGCAAACUGCAAAAUGGUGUUUAGCUACUCGCGUGUCCAUGUAUAGGAUCCUUUUUGCCGAUCUGGCAAUUUCCAUGUCCAUGCAAAUUGCUUUUUUACAAUUGCAACACACACAUACUCAUCCCUAUGAAUGGAAGCACAUACGCCCUACCCAUAUGAAUACCUCAGAGAUACUGAGCAAGCACACCAUCUUACUGUUGACGAAGUCAUCACAGACGUCUCGUAGUUGAUGGGAACGUCUCUUCUCACUUUACAAAUAUCUACAGAAAACCUGAAUAAACCAGAAAAAUGUGAGCACCGGCACCAAGUCUAGGACUUAAACUCUGGUGGGCUUGUUCCACCACAAGGAAUUUAACCAUCUGAGCUACACUCAUUUAAAAAAAAUUUCAUUCACCGGACUUUCUCUAGUGAUAAGUGAACUACUUGGACUGACUUCACCUGAUCCAGUGGUUAUAUCAAUGACACGUCUAUGAGCAGGUCGUUAUGGCAUAUAUACUGAGUUAAUGACCACGUGGCUUAUAAUUUACUUCUGCCUACCCUCUCAAAACAGACUGGCGCCAUGCUUUCUAAUCAUAACCAUAUGGCCAAACAACACAAAGUGUUCAUGAAGCCCACUUACAAAGUCAAAGAAAAGCCAGACAAACAGGAAGACGACGCAAAAUAACGCACAACACAUGCACUUUCAGACGCUGCCCUCUUGCGGGCAAGCAUGAGCAUAUAACGAUGCCUGCACGUUUAAAGGAUGGGAGACAUCAAGAUCACCAGGUGCCAGCACCAAAGCUACUUCAAGCUACAACCCAAGCCCACCAGAGGAUGUUGUCAAUGCGUGACAAGAAGGUACUUGACACCCAAGAAGGCCACACUAGUGCAGAAAUGCUUAUAGACAAUCUACACUAGUGGCAUGGAGCCGUGGAGACGAGAUGGCGCAGGCCACAUGUAUGUGGCAUCCAGCAGGGGAUAGGUACGAAAAUUACUAGUGGCAUGGUAAUAAAACGCCGCGCCACCGGUACCUUCACUACUGUUGGCGCCUGUGUCAAACAGGCAUGCCACUACUAAUAAGUGGCAUUUAAAUGUGCCUGUACACGACUAAUGAUAUACAUACUGGUGGUGUGUCAAGGAGUCUACACGCCACUAGUAUGGUGCGCCAAUAAUUGAGCUUUUUGGGGACAACCUCUAGCUCCUUCUUCCCCCUCUCACUUCAUAAUGCACGAUGCACCACCAUUGUCGAGUCCGACAGAGCGGGCAAGAGUUUUCACGUGGAGCCCUGACAAAGGGGAGAAACACGAUCGUGGUGCCCCAAGACGAACGCAACACUCACAUCCAUCACCGCCACUAGUGCUAGAGCACAAAGCUUUUGCUUGGUAUCUACCCGGUGUCAUGCCGAGGGACCAGAGUGACGGAUCCUACAAUAGGGGAAGACCACCUAGAUGAAUCAAGCCCCCCAGGUCAAGAUUUGGUUCGUACACGCUUUCGCUUGGUAUCUACCCGGUCUCAUGACGAGGGACCAAAGUCACGGAUCCUACCAUAGGGGAAGGCCACCCAGAUGAAUCAACGCUCCCUGGUCAAGAUUUGGGUUCAAACACUGCCAGUAACAACAACCUCGCCAUGACCACUCACCGUCACUUAUCUCGUCCCUACACAGCCAAUAGGCGCAUCCAACAUUGCCACCACGUUGGUCGAUGUAGGCCGCCAUCUCCAAAAGAUGCAAGACUCGACAUCGUUGCUAGACAUGGCUUGGAAUUUUUGAAAAAUUCAAAGUUCAUAUUUUCCAAUUGCAAGAAAAUCUAAAAAAGUAUGGAAGCAUACAAGGAUGAAAUAUACAUGUGUGUAAAAAUUCGGGAUGAAAUACCUUAAAAUGCGACCUGUACAAAAAAAACAGAUUCAUGAACUUUGAGGAUGAAUAGUAUCAUGUGCUAAAAAGCCCCAAUUUUUGUGUGCACAAUCCUUAUUUCAACGUAUUUCUUCCUGAAAAUUCACACACAUGUACAUUAUGCCUCCAUGUAUAUCUAUACUUUUUUAGAUUUUUUUGAAACAUAGAAAUAUGAUUUUUGAUGAAUGUUGAAAAUUGUAAAAUGAAGGCCUCCAUGGAGGUCGGCCUCUAAAUUAAAAGCAAUCUUCAUGAUUAGCAGACCUAAAAUAAACGAUCGAUUUAAAUACCCUCGUUCCAAAAAGAGGUAGGACUUGAAAAUGUAUGAGUAGUCAGCCUGGCAAUCUAGUAGGACGUACGGCGACGUGUGAGACGGAGAACGUGGGUAGGGUGGGCGAGCUGCUGCUGCUGCUCUGCUAGCUAUAGCGAGGGAGACAGCGUCACCGACGGGGACAGCGCGGUACCGGUACGCGCGGCGAUCCGAUCCGGUAGGUGCACGGACGUCCACGUCCAGCUACUGAAGCUAUGCUGUUUUAGACACGGAAACGUCACCACAUUUCUCUGUUGCGUAUGUGGAUAAUGAUCCUUCCUGUUCCCGAAAAUGGGUCGAGAAUCUGUCAAUCAAAAUGGAUGCUGGAAGAGAUACGAUCCUGAGUUCAUGACUGACACCUGUUAGAAAACAUUAUCUGCUGUUCCACCGUCUCUUCUCCGUUUUAAAUAUGAGAUUCGUCGUCGGCGUACGUGGAGGAAAGCAAAGCUUGCUGCGUGGAGCCUGUCUGCUCUCUGUCUAGUCUCCGGCCCCGUGAAAAGAAAAAUCCCAUACUCUGUCUCAAACUGAAGCAAGCGAGCAAGCAAGCAAGCCGAGGCAUGGGUCCGGUGUGUGGUCUUCUCCGUGCGUGUCCUCUGCCGGCGGACGUGUCUGCCAAAUGAGAAAAGCAUCCCCUCAGCCGGCUGAUUUUUUUUUUUGCUUCUCAUGCUUUUUUUUAACACAGUAUAUACACAUACGCGCAUACACUUAUCCCUAUGAACACACAUGUACACCCUACUCCUAUGAGCAGCAGAUACUCAUCCCUAUGAAUACACGUACACUCCGAGAAACUGAGCCGACAUAUCAAUAUCAUCUUGAGAUGGACGAAGUCAUCAAAGGCGCCUCUUAUUCUAUUAUCCAGCCUCAAUCGCUCGUUCAUCAUCCCAAGCCCGUCUCUCACCCUCAAGGCGUGUUGCUCCGAGUCGGAGAUGAUGGCGCUACAACACCGCCAGUGCUACAGGGGAGAACAAGAUGGUGCUGCAAGCUUGGUCACAUUUUGCGCCGCAGGCGGCUGCCGAAUUCUGCAAGCGCUAGCCGCUUGAGAACAAGUUGCACAAUAUAAAGUACCCCUUGUCGUGGAAUUGUCACGGCAGAUGUCCUAGUGUGAGGAUUUAGUCAUGAGGCCAAUGCAUCUAUGUGGUAGCUUGAGAGGGGUUGAGCGGAAUGGAGAAACGCAACACGAGACAAGGGUUUAGACAGCAUCGGGCCCCGGGAAACAUCAUCCGGUAACAACCCUACAUGCUGUUUGUGACGAGGUCUUAUUAUCAUCACGAGGGAGUCGCCGUAAACCGACUCUCCUAGUUGUGUCUAACCCUUAAGAUUAUUUCUCUCCCCUCUUGGGGUGCCCUGCCCCUCCUUACAUAUGUUAAAGGGGCGGGUUACAUGUAGAGUCCAACUCGGAUUAAGACUUAAUCUAUUUUGACUUCUCUUCAUGGGCUUCUUAACGUCUUGGGCUUCUUAACGUCUUGGGCUUCUUAACGUCUCGGGCUUCUUAACCCCAGGCGACUCUGUCUACCGGGUUAUGACUGUCUGCCGGGUUAUGAUUGUCUGCCGGGUUAUGACUCUCUGCCGGGUUAUGACUGUCUGCCGGGUUAUGAUCUGACUUAACAUCUGCCGGGUUACCAUCUGACUUAACAUCCGCCGGGUUAUCAUCUGGGUUAACUGUCUGCCGGUUUACCAAGUCCCAGCCGGGUUAUAACUCCGGUCGGGUCAUACCACGGGGUAUAUCCCCGACACCCCUGGUGUCGGAUUCAGGGUUCCGGCAAACCCUUGAGGUUCGAACUCUGGGGUGCGCACGAAGAUCUCUCUCUUCCUAGCUCGCUCUCGCAAAGAUCUCAAGGCCUAGCUCGCUGAACCGAAGGAACAAGAGACAUGAGAGUCUAUACUAGUUCGGGCCACCGUUGUGGUGUAAUACCCUACUCCAGUGUGGUGUGGUGGAUUGCCUUGCAGGCUGAGGAUGAACAAGUACAAGGUGGGAACAACCUCCUCAGGAGAGGUGUUCUUGAUCUCGGUGAGCUGGUGUGUGCGAGGAUGGUCUGAAUGAUCCGUCCAAGAUGAGUUGCCUCCUAUAGUGGUGGCUAGUCCUAUUUAUAGAGGCCCUGGUCCUCUUUCCAAAUGUUAGGCGAGAAGGGAUCCCACAACGGCCAAUUUUGAAGGGAGACAAUUAGUACAAGUUAUCCUGACAAAAGGUGCUCUUCGCCUGCCAAAAGCUCUGGUGGUGAUGCAGUUGUGGGCUCCGCGGUAACCUCCGUCUUGCCGUCCUGCCGGUCUUGGUCUUGUUGCACCGAUAUGGAAACCUUUGCCUGAUGCCUCGGGACUCCUCGCCUGCGCUUGCCUCUUUAGCACCAAAGAGGAAACUGGUACUCUGCGUCCGCUGGCGCCCGCCUGGCGUCGGUCGUCAUGGCUCAUGUCACGCGAACCUCGUGAGGUGCCCCUGCAUUGAUAUCUCCGCUCCUCGGGAGCCAGCCUAGUGAGGCUGCCCCUGAGGAGGCCUUGCGUCGUCCGCCUCGCGAGGCUUGGCCCCUCGCGAGGGUCUUGAGUGGUUGCUGAUGAAGAUGGGUCGUACCAGGCCCGAUGGAGCGACGCCGUGGGCCGCAGGCAGGCAAGUCUGGGUACCCCCGUUCCCAGGACGCCGACAGUAGCCCCCAGGCCCAAGGCGCGCUCGAACUUGGCUUCGAGGCGAAGCCAAAGGACAAGUGCGGAGCGCCGCGGGCCCCAACCGCCUGCGGCCUUGAUUGACGCGUGGCGACUGAUGGGACGUGGGCGUCUCCGCUUCCCCAUGCUGCCUCGGUAACCGUUUGACUUGACGAGUCCCUGCUACAUGAAGUAGAAAACCAUCAUUACCUGCGAUCGUGAAGGCCGGCGGUCGGCCUCCUUUUGGCUAUAAACGAGGAGAGGGGCGGAGCCCCCCGUCACUCAUCUCAUCCUCCAUUCCGCCCGCUUCUUUUUUCCCCUGCUUCACCGCCUUGCUGCGACACNNNNNNNNNNNNNNNNNNNNNNNNNNNNNNNNNNNNNNNNNNNNNNNNNNNNNNNNNNNNNNNNNNNNNNNNNNNNNNNNNNNNNNNNNNNNNNNNNNNNNNNNNNNNNNNNNNNNNNNNNNNNNNNNNNNNNNNNNNNNNNNNNNNNNNNNNNNNNNNNNNNNNNNNNNNNNNNNNNNNNNNNNNNNNNNNNNNNNNNNNNNNNNNNNNNNNNNNNNNNNNNNNNNNNNNNNNNNNNNNNNNNNNNNNNNNNNNNNNNNNNNNNNNNNNNNNNNNNNNNNNNNNNNNNNNNNNNNNNNNNNNNNNNNNNNNNNNNNNNNNNNNNNNNNCCGAAGAAGAGGCUGGCCCGCUCUCGCGACGUUGUUGUGAGGCCGCAGGUGACGAGGCCUUGGUACGAGCGGCCUCCCCCCGGCUACCCGUUGCCCUUGUACGCCCAGGCUCAAGGCUCCGGAGGGGGAGGCAGCGGCCCGCGCCGCUCGCGCCUUGGCCGCGGUGCACAUGCUGUGGCGGUGCGCGCUGCCACCCCACGAACUCACGCGGAGGGCUCCUCGCGUGAACUCGUGGUGUGGGCGGUGAUGCCACCGCGCGCGUGGAUCCGAUUCCCGCAAUUCUUCGCUGGAGAGAUGCCGCCGAGGGGGCCGCUCGAGCUGUGGCUACAGCAUGCCAAGUGCGACACCCCGGCGACGCGGAGCAGAGGUCUAGGCCAUCUCCCCGGGCAAGAUCUUCAUGACCCAUGGAUGGGGUGAGGUCGCCCGCGUCUGCCGCGCGGAGGGGGCCCUCGCCAUCCAUUUCGAGUACGACGGCGCCUCCACGCUGUUCUUCAAGGUCUUCGACGAGGAAGGCCGCCGGGACGGUGCAGCAGUAGGCACUGGGCCCGCCCUUGGCCCUGCCGGCAGUUCCUCCAGCAGCAGCGAUGGUGCCUGGGAGUCCAGCGACUCUCCCGAGCUCAACGAGACUCCGGAGACGAGCGAUGACAGCUACGCGCCUCCGAGCUCUCACCAUGCCCGGUGCGCAGCAACGGCGUCCGCCCGUCGUCGUCGCUGAUCUGGAUGGGGUUGGCGUCGGCCUCCCGUGGCCCACUGUAGAUACGACUUCUGAUAGUCUUCUCCUUUUGUUCCCUGCGAGGAAUCGAGAUGAACCCCAUGGGGGUGUGUAAAGAAUCUGUAGUGCCUUUUGUGUCUAUAUAAUCCUUAUUGCGAAAAUUUAUGAUUGCGUGUCUUGCUUCGGCUUGGUCCCCCCUUUCCAACCUCGCGGUAGCUUAAUGCUCUACGCCGACAGGUCCCAGUCCCCAGGCAGGCUUCAGCCGUCGCUGGUAUGCCAGGUCGCGAUGCCGUGGUCAAGGCCAAGAGGUGAGCGGCCCGAGGUCCGGUGAGAGCUCCUGAGGCGCGAUGCUCAAGAGGUCCCCUUUAGCAUGCAAGCAACUCCCUGAAAGUAGGAAAGGAAGGUGGCUUCGCCGCAGCAAGGCUGCAAGAGCUGGAAAUCCCGUGUCACAGCGCUGGGUCGGCUCGAGUGCAUGACUUAUCUUAGCGAUCCCGGGUCGAUCCCUUGCGCAGCGCCCGAUUCGUCCGUUAGUGGCAGUGGUGUCGUCGGUGAAGGAAAUAUGCCCUAGAGGCAAUAAUAAAGUGUAACACCCCGGUGUAAUGAUGCUACAGUAAACCCUGGGGUUAAGUUAAUCAUUUUGCUAAACAAGUGUUUGAUCAUCAUUUUCUCCUCUCUCUUUUUAAAUUCCAGUUGAAUUCAAUUUCAAAUUAUGAGUGAAAUUCAAAAUGCUCAAACAUGAAAACUAAAAUGUUCAUCGUGUGGAAAAUAUUCUUCUGGUAAUAUUGGUGGUGAACCAACAUUUUUUGCAAAGUACCUAAAUGGCCUAAAAUAGCUAUAACAGAAAGUUGUUAAAAAAAAGAAAGCAAAAGUUAAAACAAAAACAAAAGGAGAGAAAAGGGGCUAGAGCCCCUGGCCUGCCAUUGGGCCUCGGCCCACCCAAGCUAGGCCGGCCCGCUCCCCCUCCCCGGUCAUCCCUCUCCUCUCUGUUCACGCGACCGAGCCCCCCCAGCUCGUUCCCACCCGACCCGGCGCGGCGCCCCGCGCUGCCACGUCGCCGGCGAGGGGAUAAGGGCAGCCCCGACGCCUCAGGCUCCCUCCCCACUCGCCCACUUGCCCCCUCUCUCCCUCGUCGAUCUCUCUUCCUGCUCGCUCACUCCCCUCUCUCUGACCCGAGCGCCAUCGCCGCCGUCCCACCUCGCAUCACCGCGGCGACCGCCUCCCUCGUGCUCCUCCGACGUAACCAGCCGCUCCGCCGCGCUCCGCUACGACGACUACGGCCACGAACGCGAGCUGGCAAGCCCCGCAACACCGGAUCCCCGUCUUCUUCCUCCCCGGGUCGCCGGACGCAGCCGUCGUCCAUUCGGCCUUCCCCUGCGCUCCUAACCUGUCGAGGGCCUUUCUUGCGCCGCGCGGUGAGCCCCUCUUCUUCUCCCCUCGCUCCCCUGGCCUCUUGCGCUACCAUAGCCACCACGCUGCCAUGGCCGAGCUCGGCUCCGCCGAGCAGCUGGCCGUCGUCGUUGCCAUGCUCGCCUGAGCACGGGAACGUGCUCAGUGCAGCCCGCCGAGGCCGCCCGUGCCGCUUGCCCACCUCGUCGACCCCCCUAGCGCGAUCCCGACGAGGUCCCGAACGCCACCACCGCCUCCACUCGUCGCCGACGCCGUUUCCGGCAGCUCCAGCUCCGGCCGGCCUCACCACGCGACGCGGCGGGAUCUCCUCGUUCGAACGCGCCAAGUCCCGGGCCAAAAGACCCCCUGUGCGCGAUUCCCGGCGAAGUCCGGCGAGCCCCGCCGCUGUUUUGGUCGCCGGCGGCGAAACCCCGACGCCGCUGAUGUGGCACACCUGGGGCCCGCCUCUGGGUCACUGCCCGUGGGCCCCCUGGCCCUAGUUGACCACGUUGACCGUGGUCAACUGUGCUGACUGGGCACACAGUGUCACUGACACGCGGGCCCCAUCGCAUAUUUUGUUAAAUAAAUGUUUUUCUAAAUAAAAGUGAUUAGUUAAGCUUAACAGUCACUGACAUGUGGGGCCCAGCUGUUAAUUAACCUCUUUUUAGUUAGUUUAAAGUUAUGUUAAUCCACUGUCUAUGACAGGUGGGACCCACUGGUCAGUUUGACCAGUCAGCGGGUCUGUUGACCUGCUGAUGUCAUGCUGACACUCUGCUGACGUCAUAAUUCCUUUUCUGUUAAUAUUAAUAAUUUCAUAAAAUACUUUAAUCUUUAAAAAUUCAUAGAAAAUAAACCGUACCUCGGAUGAAAAUGUUUUCUAUAUGAAAGUUGCUCAGAAAAAUCCAACGAAUCCGAAUACGCGGUCCGUUCAUCUGUCACAUGCCCUUAGCAUGCUGAACAUGGAACAUUCCCCCUCCGGUCAUCUGUCUGACACAGGCCCGAAACCGGGAACACCUUCCCGGUUGAAUUCCCCCUUCACCCAUAUCGUGCAGCCAUACGUUAGGUCACACCCGACACAUCAUAUUGCCACGUUAUGCUUUGUGAUGCUAUGUUUGCUUUAUAUUUACUGUUUCUUCCCCCUCUUCUCUCCGGUAGACCCCGAGACCGAUGCUGCCCCUAUGAUCGACUACGUCGACGAUGACCCCUCCUUGCCAGAGCAACCAGGCAAGCCCCCCUUUGAUCAUCCCGAUAUCGCCCAUUCCAUUCUCUCAUGCUUGCAUUAGAUUUUGCUACUGUUAUUGUUUGCUCCUAUUCUGAUGCAUAGCCUGCUUUUGUAACCUGCUCAUUGUACCUUACCUGCUUAUCCUAAACUGCUUAGUAUAGGUUGGUUGGUGAUCCAUCAGUGACCCCCACCUUGACCUUGUUGCCCCGGCUUCAUCAUCGAAGACCCGAUCAACGGGAUCGAAGACCAGGCCCCGGCAUCGCACAUCACUUUCCCCUUAGUUGCUCGACACUGCUGGGUUACUAUCGAGUGCUGAGGGUGAGACCUCUACAGCACUUCUGAUGUUAACCCUGUAGUGUAGCUAUUCGGCCGUGGUCAUCGAGGGUGAUUCCGCCUUAACCACUUCCGAUAUGACUAUAUCGUGCAACCCCUCAAGUGUGAACCUCGGGGGUGAUUCCUCUUACUUCACCUUGAUGAUUACAUCGAGUGGAAUCCACCGGGGGUGAUUCCUCGGGUUUUCCCCUUGAUGUUUGGACACACGGAUACUUGGACUUUACAACUGUUACUUGGAAAGGCGGGUCGACCCUGAGGGGUACCCGCGAGUGAUGUGGAGACGGGUUGACCUGGAGGGUACCCGAGAGUUGAAUACGAGGCGUGGCCGGGCAUUCUUAGCCCUUGCCGCAAGUCCUCGAGACGGGGCGACGGGGUCACAUCUUUCGUGAGUCUCUGCUCGUGACCGCACUACCAGCACACUAACGGUUUGGAUAUUUGAUCCGAGGGGCCUCUGGCCCGAUAGCACUAACCAUCACGUGGGCAUAGUAUGGGCGUUCUGCGUCGUAUGCAUCAGCCGAAGCUUAAUAGACGUCAAGCGACUGAGCGGCGCGCGCCGGGCUGGACUGGUAAGCUCCUACCUUUUUAAGGAGGUAGCUAGGUCUGCUCACCGGCCGCCCACGCAACAUGCAGGAGUUCCCGGGGCGAUGGCCCAUGACCCCUGGGGGCAUAGGUUUAGUCCGGCGUGCUUGACCUCUCUAUUAAGUCUAGGUCGGGUUGCGGCGUAUUGUUUGGCCGAGGCCGGGCAUGACCCAGGAAAGUGUGUCCGGCCGGAGUUAAUCGAGCGUGGUGGGUAAGUUGGUGCACCCUUGCAGGGAAGAAAACAUCUAUCGAUAGCCUGUCCUACGGUAACGGACACUUGGAGUUGUAUCCCGAUCGAUACAACUAGAACUGGAUACUUGUGAUGAGACUUGGAUAUGAGAUGAUAACUGGAUAGUAUGGCUCUGGGAUUGCUUUCUCGCAGGGAGUCGAGAAAGGAUCUUUGGCCGAGGUUGAUAACACUUCUACUACUUUACUUUAUGCUACUCUACUCCCUCCUGUUGCUGCAAGAUGGUGGUUUCCAGAAGAUGCUAGUCUUCGAUAGGCUAGGCUUUCCCCUCUAUUUUGGCAUUUCUGCAGCCCAGUCCACAUAUACAACCUUCCUUUGAUAAUGUUGCAUAUGUAGUGUAGAUCCUUGCUUGCGAGUACUUUGGAUGAGUACUCACGGUUGCUUUGCUCCCCCUUUGCCCCUUUCUUCUUCUUUCCGGUUGAUGCAACCAGAUGUCGGAGCCCAGGAGCCAGGUGCCACCGCCGAUGCCUACUACUACGUGGAGACUGUCGACGACCAGGAGUAGUUAGGAGGCUCCCAGGCAGGAGGCCGUGCCUUUCGAUCGUGUUGCUUUUGUGCUAGCCUUCUUAAGGCAUCCCUGUUCAACUUAUGUCUGUACUCAGAUAUUGUUGCUUCCGCUGACUCUUGUGUAAUCGAGCUUAUGUAUUCGAGCCCUCGAGGCCCCUGGCUUGUAAUAUAAAGCUUGUAUUAUUUUAUUUGUGUCUAGAGUUGUGUUGUGAUAUCUUCCCGUGAGUCCUUGAUCUUGAUCGCACACAUUUGCGUGUAUGAUUAGUGUACGAUUGAAUCGAGGGCGUCACAUAAAGUUGUUAUUUAUAUUUCCUUAUAUCAUGAUAAAUGUUUAUUAUUCAUGCUAGAAUUGUAUUAACCGGAAACUUAGUACAUGUGUGAAUACAUAGACAAAACAGAGUGUCCCUAGUAUGCCUCUACUUGACUAGCUCGUUAAUCAAAGAUGGUUAUGUUUCCUGACCAUAGACAUGUGUUGUGAUUUGAUGAACGGGAUCACAUCAUUAGAGAAUGAUGUGAUGGACAAGACCCAUCCGUUAGCUUAGCAUUAUGAUCGUUGAGUUUUAUUGCUAUUGCUUUCUUCAUGACUUAUACAUGUUCCUCUGACUAUGAGAUUAUGCAACUCCCCAAUACCGGAGGAACACCUUGUGUGCUAUCAAACAUCACAACAUAACUGGGUGAUUAUAAAGAUGCUCUAUAGGUGUCUCCGAAGGUGUUUGUUAGGUUGGCAUAGAUCAAGAUUAGGAUUUGUCACUCCGUGUUUCGGAGAGGUAUCUCUGGGCCCUCUCGGUAAUGCACAUCACUAUAAGCCUUGCAAGCAAUGUAACUAAUGAGUUAGUUACGGGAUGAUGCAUUACGGAAUGAGUAAAGAGACUUGCCGGUAAUGAGAUUGAACUAGGUAUAGUGAUACCGACGAUCGAAUCUCGGGCAAGUAAUAUAUAGAUGACAAAGGGAACAAUGUAUGUUGUUAUGCGGUUUGACCGAUAAAGAUCUUUGUAGAAUAUGUGGUAGCCAAUAUGAGCAUCCAGGUUCCGCUAUUGGUUAUUGAUCGGAGAUGAGUCUCGGUCAUGUCUACAUAGUUCUCGAACCCGUAGGAUCCGCACGCUUAACGUUCGAUGACGAUUGGUAUUAUGAGUUUAUGUGUUUUGAUGUACCGAAGGUAGUUUGGAGUCCCGGAUGAGAUCACGGACAUGACGAGGAGUCUCAAAAUGGUCAAGACAUGAAGAUUGAUAUGUUGGAAGGUUAUAUUCGGACACCGGAAUAGUUCCGAGGUGUAUCGGGUAUUUUUAGGAGUACCGAGGGUUACCGGAACCCCCCGGGGGUUAUUGGGCCUUAUGGGCGUAGUGGUGGAAGAGAGGAGGCAAGCCAAGGUGUGGCGCCCCCUAGCCCAAACCGAAUUGGACUAGGGGGGGGGUGUCGGCCCCCCUUUCUUUCUCUCCUCCCUCUCCUUCCCCCUUCUCCUUGUUGGAAUAGGAAAGGGGGGGCCGAAUCCUACUUGGAGUAGGAUUGCCCCCCCAUGGCGCGCCUCCUCCCCCUGUCCGGCCUCCUCCUCCAUUCGCCCUUUAUAUACGUGGGAAGGGGGCACCCCAAAGGCACACCAAAGUUUCUCUUAGCCAUGUGCGGUGCCCCCCUCCACAGAAACACACCUCGGUCAUAUCGUUGUAGUGCUUAGGCGAAGCCCUGCGCCGGUAAUUUCAUCAUCACUGUCACCACACCGUCGUGCUGACGAAACUCUCCCUCAGCCUCAGCUAGAUCAAGAGUUCGAGGGGCGUCACCGAGCUGUACGUGUGUAGAUCACGGAGGUGACGUGCGUUCGGUACUUGAUCGGUUGGAUCGUGAAGACGUUCGACUACAUCAACCGCGUUACUUAACGCUUCCGCUUUCGGUCUACGAGGGUACGUGGACACACUCUCCCUGCUCGUUGCUAUGCUUCUCCUAGAUAGAUCUUGCGUGAUCGUAGUAAUUUUUUGAAAUACUACGUUCCCCAACAGCCGGGUUAGGCCCGCGCGAGCUCCCCCCUCUUUUUCAUGCUCUUCUAUGUGCUAUGCGUCCUCGGGUCCCGGCCCUCGAGCGAGCUCAACCGCCACUGGUAUGCCAGGUCGCGGUGCCGUGGUCAAGACCAGGGGGUGAGGGCUGGAGAGCCAGUAAGAGCCCCUGAGGCGCGAUGCUCAGGAGCCCCCCUUUAACGCGCAAGCGAAUUGCGUGAGAAAAGGGAGGAGCUUGCGGUGCCGCCCUCAAUUAAGCUCCGAAGAUUCCUGCAGGUUAGCGUGAGGGGAGAGUACGGAUUGCAAUCGCGUUUGCUGCCCUGCCGUUGCUCUUUCCGCAAGAAGAUGAAGGCACUGAGGGCCUGGUGAGGUGACGUGCGUGGGGCGUGCCGCGAGCCAGAGCUCGACCACUCAGGUUUGUCAGCGUUGCAGGGACGGACCCGAGCACAAGCGCCGUGCCGACGUGUGUAGCCCCCGUUGCGGGAUGAGCAGGAAGCCGGCCAGCAGUGCGGUGGCCGCGAGGGGCAACAAGUAAGCAGGCGGUGAUUAGAAGGUGAUCCAUGCAAGAGGGCAAGCAAGUUCAGAUAGGUGCAAGAACGAUACAUGCCACUGGGAUGGACCUGAGCGGCCUGGGGAUGAUGCAGCCAGAGAGGCGCUCCCAACAGAGUAAGCUAAAGAUGCAAAAGGAUACACGUCGCAGGGAAAGACCCAUGUGACCUGGGGAUGAGGCAGCCCGAGGGGCGCCCCCAGCUGAACGAAUCGGAAAGAGUCACCUGGUACCGUUGCUGAAGAGGUGUUGAAGUAGCUGAAGAUGUGUGCUGGGGAGGUCGCUCCUCACGAGCCGCCAGGGCCCUGAGCUUCAGGAGGCUCCGGGGGCUCGGGUGGUUCUUGAAGAACCGUCACCAUCUCCGCCAGGACUGCAUGAUGCCUGACCUCCUGAGUCGCCAGAACGCUCCGUAAGUGGCGCUGGAAGGUGGCAGCCGCGUUCGGCAAGCCGAAUGGCAUGCGAACGUAGCUGUGAGGCGGACCGUCGCACCGACCAACGCGUGAAGGCCAGAAACGCUCCUGAGACGCAGCCCUGUUGAGCCAUGGGAUGUCGACGCAGACGCGCAGCUCGUCGUCCUCGCUAGGACGCGGGGCUACGCCAAGGGGUGGGCGGCGGUCGCCGCGUAUGGUCCUUGCUUCCUGAAGCUCCUUAGUCACCUUUGUUGGGGAUAUGACUAUCAGAUAUGACCCGCCCAGGAGGGGCCGGGUCAUCCCUAUGGCGAUUCAUCUCGAAGAAGCCCAAGAGUAUGUUAAGAUGGCGGUUCAUAGAGAGGCUUAUUUGAGGGCCCAAACCUGAAGGCGGCUUAAGGCCCACAAGUAUAAACCGCCAUGUAUAUGUAAACUUGUAUUGUAAGGCAUGUAAGAUAAGUCACCGAGCCGGACACGUUGUAUGAGCCAGCCGGGACUCUGUAGGCCGCAGGGCGUCAACCCGUGUAUAUAAGGGGACGACCCGGCAGCGGCUUAGGGCAAGAAACAACAACUCGAGAGCCAGGCAAAGCGUAUCUGCUCCCUGGUCAUCGAAACCCUAGCAAUACCACCUCAAACUAGAUUAGGCCUUUACCUUCACCGCAAGGGGCCGAACCAGUAUAAACUCCUCGUGUCCUUUGUCCCGUUUAACCCCUUUAAGCUAACCUCGUCGCAAUGGCUCCACAACUAAGUCCUUCCAUGAGGACAUCUGCCGUGACACUUCCACGACAGUUGGCGCCCACCGUGGGGCCAGUUCACGGUGGUUUUGGGUUCUUAAAGGGCAGCUUCGAAGGGAUCAAGGGAUACGCUGUGGGCCGGAUGACCAAGAGUCGUCGCGGCAAGCUCUACAUCGACGAUGCAGGCUGGGGCCCCGAGGCCGGCUCAAUUGAGUACGGGUACCGGGUCCCCUUCGGCGGAAUUCACGUCUUCAUCGGCAAGAUCGGCGAACCGGGCCCUGAGCCGGACAUCUGCUCUGACAUCAUCGAGACGGCUCAGCGUGCGCGACCCGCCCGGGUUCAACCCGCCGUGAAGCAUGCCUUUGUUGGAUGUAUCCACGGGGCUGAAUUAGAAGGCUCUGAGUCUGGCGGUGAGACGGCCAUCUACUCAGAUGGUGAGUCGUCCACAGGCGAAACCGAUUCAAUGUAUCAGUUGCAAGACGGACGGCUUGGGGGCUGUUCCCAUGGUGACAGUAUUCCGGACCCCCAUGAGCCGCCGAACAGGGUGGCGAUCUUCUUGGCUAGCACCCAGCCGGUUCUUGGUUCGACAGCCGCCGCGGCCAUGACUUCCAGUGCAGCGGCGGUGACAGCAGCGGGUGCGGACGGUUCAACACGCCCGCCGGCUCAAGUUCUGGCGGAUCUACUAGACGCUCUAGCGACCCCGAUGGAGGUUGAUGUGACCCCAGACAACCAGGAACAGCAUAAGGCGGAAGUGGCUAAAUUGCGUGAAGGGAUCGCGCAAGCUAAGGCGGACAUGGCAGCGGAAAACUCCAGGAUGGCUGCAGAGCGGGCCGUUUUGAACGCCCAAGCGCAGCGGAUUCAAGCAGAUUCAUACCGGCUUUUGGUGGAUCAGAACGCUUCAAACUAAGUCUUGAGGAGGAAGCAUCGUAGUCAUCGGCCCUCAGUUUAUGAGUCGAGGGACCUCUUCAACACACCCGGAGCGGGGGCUAGUAAUCCGCUGGCGAUAAACCAGUCGAUUGAGGCGCCAGGGGGCGGAGUACUAGGUCAGCCGCGCAUAGCCGGUUCUCCACACAUGGAUAAUACCCCACCUCAGUGCGGAGUGACGCCGCCGGGUCAUUACUCCACCCCUCUAGAUAACAUGAUUGCUGCAGCUACGCGAUUGGCGGCUUUAACGAUCAAGGGCGAGACCCCGGCGGCGAUUGAAACUAGAAGGGCCAGGGAACUUCUUCAAACUGCUUUGGUGCAGCAGCAUGCUUAUUCCUAUAGCCGUGACCGGAUUCAUUCAACCCCUCGUCCGAGCCGGAGCUACAGUAGAAAUAUUGACUCUCCAGCAGUUUCGAGUACCGAGCGACGUCGUCACCAACCUCAUGGCCAUGACCCGGCGCGCAACGGGGCCGAUGCACAAGAUUUGGUGGACCAGAGCAGGGCACGUCGGGAGGCGGAGCUGGCGGCUCAUCAGCACGCGCCGAUUUUCCUGACGGCUUCAGUUGAGGCGGGUGCGACUUCCAGGACUUUCGGUGUGCCGUGUCUAACAUCGGCUCUACGGAACGAGCGCUUGCCCAAGGAUUUCAAAGGCCCUUGUAAGGUGCCCAAUUACACAGCAGAUCAGCCUCCUGAGGCCUGGGUUGAGAGUUAUGAGAUGGCCAUGGAGAUGCUGGAUGUUAGUGAGGCUGCAUACGCCAAGUACUUCACCAUGAUGUUGGAGGGGACGGCUCGUACCAUGUUGAAGGGGCUGCCGGCUAAUUCCAUCAGGUCAUGGGCAGAGUUGAAGACCCGGUUCAUCCAGAAUUUCGGAGAUACAUGCAAGCAGCCCAUGUCAAUUGUGGAUUUGGCUUCUUGUGUUCAAGCUGAGGGUGAUUCAGCCACCAGUUGGGUACGCCGGGUCUCGACUAUCAUGCACUCUUCAGAUAACAUGAACGUCGGUUCAGCGAUUCUGAUGUUGGAGAAAAAUUGCCGUUUCACUCCGCUCAAGCAGAAGCUUGGAUGGCUCAAGUGUCAUUGCAAUGACAUGGGUACUUUAAUGGCGGCUCUUGUUAAAUAUGCCGACUCUGAUGGUACCAAGGACCCCGACUCUGAGGAUGAAAGAUUGGGAAAGGGAAAGAAGAGCAGCGGCGUGAAGGGAUAGCAGUACAAUCUUGUCAAUCAGGGAGGCAACGGUAAGCGCAAGGCUGACGAUUUCGUGGCUAACACCGGUGCGCGCACUUAUAACCAGCGCCGUAAGGGACAGUCGGCUCCAAGGACAGGUUUUGACCUUGAGGCGAUGUUGAAUCAGCCGUGUCCAAAACACGGAACGGAUCAGAAGCCGGCUACUCAUUCAUGGAAAGAUUGCAGCAUAAUGAGAAGCUUUCGGGAGUCCAUCCAGCGCCACCAUGGCCUGAACGGCAGAUCAGGGUCCGGUUCUCAUGGUCCGGGUCAUGGCAGCGGCGGUUCAAAUUCCGGGUUUCAGGGCCAUGGCAACCAGGGUGGUUAUAAUUAGCAAAGUAAUCAGGGGGAAUCAACAGCAGCAGCAGUCUGGCUAUCAGAGCAACCCGAAGCAGUUGAAUAGUGGGCAGUAUCAUGUCUUCACCACUAGCUUAUGUAAGCGGGACCAGAAGCUUCAUAAGAGGGCAGUGAAUGCGGUUGAGCCGGCGGUGCCCCAUUAUUUGCGAUGGUCAGAGCAGCCUAUUGUAUGGAGUCGUGAGGAUCAUCUACCCCGGGUUGAUAAUCCGGGUCACUUGGCUCUGGUGGUAGCACCUCAGGUUGGGGGCUAUAAGUUUACUAAGGUGCUCAUGGAUGGAGGUAGCAGCAUUAACAUCCUUUAUUAUGAGACCUUCCGUCGCAUGGGACUGACAGAUAAGAAUCUUAAGCCGUCAAACACUGUCUUCCAUGGUGUGGUGCCGGGUAAGUCAGCCUACCCGGUGGGCAAGAUAUCUUUAGAAGCUACCUUUGGAGAUGAGCAUGAUUCCAGAUCUGAGACUUUAACCUUUGAAGUGGUCAAGAUCAAGAGCCCUUAUCAUGCUCUGUUUGGGCGGCCGGCUUAUGCUAAGUUCAUGGCGAGGCCUUGCUAUGUUUACUUGCAGCUUAAGAUGCCGGGUUACAAGGGCACCAUUACCAUGCAUGGGAGUCGUAAGGUGGCCCUGGAGUGUGAAGAAGGUGAUGCGGCUUAUGCUGAAUCAGUUUGUGCAACGGAGGUGUUGAAAUUUUACAAGGAUAAUGUUGACCCGACAGACAUGACAUCCUUGAAAAAGCCAACAAUAGAGCAUGAUCCGUUGCUUAAGUUUAAGUCGGCGGACGACACUAAAAUGAUUGACUUCGUCCCUGGUGAUUCAUUGAAGCAGUUCAGUAUCAGUGCCAAUCUGGAUCCGAAAUAGGAAAGCGUGCUCAUCGAGUUCAUCCGUGAGAACCGAGACAUGUUUGCAUGGAAGCCUUCAGACAUGCCGGGUGUACCGAGGGAACUCACUGAGCACACUCUUAAUAUUAGUCCAAAAUUAAGCCGGUCAAGCAAUUUCUUCACUGAUUUAAUGAGGAGAGGCGGAAGGCCAUCGGUGAGGAAGUGGCCCGGCUCUUGGCAGCAGGGUUUAUCGUCGAAGUUUUCCAUCCUGAGUGGUUGGCUAACCCGGUCCUGGUACUCAAGAAGAAUGGCACUUGGCGGAUGUGUGUGGAUUACACGGACUUGAACAAGGCUUGUCCGGCUGAUCCGUUUGCUCUCCCUCGUAUUGAUCAAAUCAUUGAUGCUACGGAGAGUUGUGAGCGUUUGAGUUUUUUCGAUGCUUAUUCUGGUUAUCAUCAGAUCAAGAUGGCAGUUAAGGACCAGGAGAAGACAACUUUCAUUACUCUGUUUGGAGCCUUCUGCUAUGUGUCUAUGCCUUUUGGGCUCAAGAGUGCCCAGGCGACUUAUCAGCGAUGUGUGCAAAAUUGCCUUCACAAUCAAAUUGGGCGCAAUGUUCAUGCUUAUGUAGAUGACAUUGUGGUGAAGUCAAGAGAGAAGGAGACCCUGAUUGAUGAUUUGAAGGAGACGUUUGACAAUCUCCGGGUCUACAAGAUGAUGCUUAAUCCGGCUAAAUGUGUCUUUGGUGUGCCAACAGGCAAGCUCUUGGGUUUCCUGGUUUCUAACAGAGGCAUUGAAGCUAACCCGGAGUAAAUCAAAGCCAUUACUUCAUUAGCUAAACCGGCGUGCGUUAAUGAUGUUUAGCGUCUGGCGGGUCGUAUUGCGGCUCUGAGCCGGUUCAUAAGCCGGCUGGGUGAGAAGGCUAUCCCCCUCUAUCAGAUGAUGAAGAAGACGAAUCAUUUUGUUUGGAGCAAUGCUGCUAACCAAGCAUUUGAGGAUCUGAAGAAAUAGUUGGCUGAGCCGCCCGUGCUUGUUGCCCCUGUUGAUAAAUAGCCUCUGUUGUUUUAUGUGGCUGCUAAUAGCCGGGCCGUCAGUGUAGCCAUCGUGGUGGAAAGGAAAGAGGCAGGCAAGGAGUACCCGAUUCAACGACCGGUUUACUACAUCAGUGAGGUGCUUAUCGAGUCCAUACAGAGGUAUCCACACUGGCAGAAGCUUGUGUAUGGGGUUUUCAUGGCAAGCCGGAAGCUUAAGCAAUAUUUUUAGGGUCAUCCCAUCACUGUGGUUAGUUCUGCCCCUUUAGGAGACAUCAUCCAAAACAUUGAAGCCACAGGCCGGGUUGCUAAAUGGGCCAUUGAGCUUGGACCUCACGGUUUAAAGUAUGUGCCACGUACGGCCAUCAAGUCCCAAGCACUUGUGGAUUUCAUCAAUGACUGGACAGAGUUGCAGGCACCCGAGGAAAAGCCGGAUAACACAUAUUGGACUAUUCACUUUGAUGGAUCCAGACAGUUGGAGGGCUCGGGGGCUGGAGUUGUCUUAACUUCCCCACGAGGUGACAACUUUUCUUAUGUUCUCCGGCUUAUGUUCCCCUGUACUAACAAUGCAGCUGAGUAUGAGGCCCUGCUCCAUGGUCUUCAGAUGGCUAAGGAGAUGAGCUUAAGCCGGGUGAGGUGCUUUGGCGACUCAGACCUAGUGGCUCAGCAAGUUUCUGGUACUUGGGAUUCUAAGGAUCCGCUUAUGGCGGCUUAUCGUCGAGAGGUUGAUGCUAUUGUGGGUCAUUUCAAGGGUUAUCAAGUGGAGCACAUUGAUUGCAGGAAGAAUGAGGCGGCUGAUACGUUAAGCCGGCUGGGAUCUCAGCGUAAGCCGGUGCCACCUAACACGUUCCUGGAUAUUUUGCUUAACCCUUCUGUCAAAUUGCCUACCGAGGAAGAUCUUGCUGUCCCUGACCCGGAAGUGUAGUUGGUGGCGGCUCUUCACGCUAUUCCUGAUUGGACAGUUCCGUAUUUGGCUUACAUGACCCGGGGUGAGUUGUCGGAGGAUGAAAUCUUGGCCAGACAGAUAACCCGGCGGUCUAAGUCAAUGACAAUUGUCAAUGGGGAGUUGCACCAUUGCAGUGUCACAGGGGCGUUUCAGCGUUGCGUCUCUCCCGAAGAAGGCCGUGAGAUUCUACGGGAAAUCCAUGAAGGAGAUUGUGGUCAUCAUGCCGGCUCUAAAUCUCUUGUGGCCAAGGCUUUUCGUCAUGGGUUCUAUUGGUUGACGGCUCAUGCUGAUACUGAGGAUUUGGUAAGCAGAUGUGACGGCUGUCAAAAAUUUCACGAUGAGCUCAUGUGCCGGCUCAAGAAUUUAGAAUGAUUCCAAUUACUUGGCCGUUUGCAACUUGGGGGCUUGAUAUGGUUGGGCCUUUCAAGGGGUCCAAGGAUAAGAAAACCCACCUUUUGGUGGCGGUUGAGAAGUUCACCAAGUGGGUUGAAGCAGAGCCAGUCAGUAAGUGUGUUGCAGCAACGACGGUUCAAUUCAUGAAGAAGGUGAUCUUCUGUUUUGUCUUUCCACACAACAUUAUAACAUAUAAUGGCACUAAUCUUUCUAAGGCUGCUAUGCGAGAAUUAUGUCAACGAGAGCAUACCCGGCUUGACGUUUUAUCUGUGGCUCACCCUCAGUCCAAUGGUCAGGCAGAACGAGCAAAUCAAGACAUUUUGUGAGGUAUCAAGCCCCAGCUUAUGGUCCCUCUGCAAAGGACGCCGGGCUGUUGGGUGGAGGAGUUGCCUUCGGUGUUAUGAAGCAUCAACACGACCCCUAACAGAUCUACGGGUUACACCCCCUUUUUCAUGGUUUAUGGAGCAGAGGCGGUUCUCCCUAGUGACAUCCAUCAUGAUUCACCCCGGGUAGCGGCUUGUGUGGAAGCUGACAAUGAAAAGGCACGUCAAGAUGCACCUGACCUGUUGGAUGAGGAGCAUGAUCUCGCGGCGGCUCGUUCGGCGAUUUAUCAGCAAGACCUACGUCGUUACCACAGCCGCCGGGUCAAAACUAGAACCUUUCAGGAAGGCGACUUAGUGCUCCGACUCAUCCAGAUCAAACAGACAUGCAUAAGCUCUCGCCGCCCUGGGAAGGACCUUUUGUGGUCAGCAAGAAUCUGCAUAACGGGUCAUAUUAUCUUAUCGACGUUCGAGAACACAAGGAUUCACGUAAGUCGGAGGAGGAGAACCAUCGGCCGUGGAAUAUUGCUCAUCUUUGGCCCUACUAUACUUGAGCCACCAGCUCUUAUGAUGUACAUAGUUCGAUGAUGUAUAUAUUAUAAGCAGAAUAAUAAAGCUGGCAUCCCUGAUAAUUCAGGGUCUCUGCCGUUUCACUUCAUUGAAGUUGAGUCUUUAUCAUCAUAUUACAUAUUCAUUUAAGAGGCUUGAUGCCCAACUUCAGGGACCAAAGAGGGUUAGAUGCAUGCCACAGCUCAAACAUAGGUCCCUGACGAGUACGGUUUAUUUAUAUGAUCACUUGGGGCUUCCUGCUCAUCGAGCAUAGCUGUCAGUACCCUCUUGAUCGGCGCAAUGCCAAAACUUAUAUGAUAACUUGGGGGCUUCCUGCUCAUCGAGCAUAGCUGUCGGUACCCUUUUGAUCGGCGCAAUGCCAAAACUUAUAUCGUCACUUGGGGGCUUCCUGUUCAAACAUAGGUGUAUUCACCAAAGAGAACAUAGCUGUCGGUACCCUCUUGAUCGGCUCCAUGCCACACAUGUCAGUAUGUCACUCUGGGGCUUCCUGUUCAAACAUAGGCGUAUUCGACCAAAGAGAACAUACGUUACUACCCUCUUGACUAGGUUUGUCCAAGCAUAGGCGUAUUCGACCAAAGAGGACAUAACCUUUCUGGGUCAUCCUACCUGUAGCCAGUUGCUUCAACUCCAUCGGGUCAUCCCGAGAUUGACCCGUCGAACUCUUAAACGAUCAAUCUUACGGCGUAUUCGACCAAGAUCUGAGCUCGUUAAGGUUCAAACGACGGCUUGUCAUGUGAGAGCACGGCUUACAGAUAGUCAGGAUAGAUCCAGGCUUCAUAAGCCGCCUUUCUUGAAACUUGGAUAAAUCGGCCCGCGUACUCCUGAUAAGUCUUUGAGCAAGACCAGACUUUGUCUAGGGUUCAAAUGUGGAUUGGGCACACUAUGAGUCAGGCUCACGGAACGCACGAACAAUCCAGUGGCUCCGGCUAGUUUCAUUGAAGAAGACACUUUGGCUUGGCAGCCCACAAAAGCCUCGACUUUCUGUUGAUUUUUUUUCAUAUUCGAAGUUUUUUCUUUGGCUGCUGAUUUUUUAUAAGUCGGGCCCAGCAGCCCUACUUAUGGCUCAUAUUUGAAGCAUCUUCCGGGUAUUCAUAACCCGCCAGGAUGGCAGACUCUAAGUCGCCAGAAUAUCAUACUUUUAUGUUUACAAUUACGGCUCUACCAUUUCUAACUGCAUAAGGUUGCUCAACCGGCAGUUUAGGCAUACAGCCACAUGAAUGAUAUUUUAUGUUAAAUAUUAUGGUCAGACUGGCCCUGGUUAUGGACUAUUUGUCCCAGCGGCUUCAAUUGGGUAUCAUGACCCGCCCAGCGGUAAGCCGUCAGGGCAUUGUAUUUUCUUGUGUGCAGGAUAAAUAUCAUUUAGAUCUGCAUAAAUCAAAGACUAUCAUACCCCUUAUGGUUUUUAAACCAGAAGAUCAACAGUAUCUAUUAUUAUAUACUUAAGACAGAAGUCAAAUAAGCCAUGACGUUCCUCCACAUAGAUUAAAUUAUCUUGACCACUAAUUUUAGAAAAAACGGUUAAGAUUUAAAGAUGUAAACAUUACUUACAAAUAGCAUGUACAUGCAUUAUUUUGGACAUAUCAAAGUCUUCCACGUACAUGUGCCUAUGAUGAAAAAGUCCAACCCAGGCACGCUUCGCAUCGGCCAAAGCUAGCUAGGCUGCCUAAAAAAGUUUUUUUUUACGUGCAAUCAUGAGGUGUAGAUGGAUUACGCAUGAAAACUUUGUGACGCCAGCCAAUACUAGACUCGGACAGACACGUCAAUGCAAACAGAGAGACAGCCUAAUACACAUAUGUAUAUAUGCACUAGCAAGGCAGAUCCAUGUGCAUAUAUAUGCAUGCAUGCAUACUAAUGAACUAAUGUUUUUUUGCCAGAGCUUUACUUAGCCGAUAGGCUCAACAUCGAAAGACACCAAUGGUUGUGUCCAUAUGUACAAGUUGCCUGUUUGUUUUUAAAUCAAAAAAUAUACCAAGCCAAUCAAAAAAAAAAAGCUUUAUAUAAUCCAGUGUAUGUAGAAUACAACAUCGACUCCAUACUUUCAAAGAUGAUUUGGUUUUUAGGGGAUUCCAAAACACAAAUCAAUAGAAUUUAUAUAGAAUUUCGAAUUUGAUUUAUGUGUGAAGUUAAAAUCUAUGAGAGUUGCAUACAACCAUUGUAAGAUACACAUACAAAUCUAACUUCAAAUUUUCUCGCAAAAAAAAUCCAACAUCAAUUGGGUGGUUACAACCAUAAUCACGUUCAUUCAAGAAAAUUAACCAGGAAUCUUUGUGUGUACAGGGAAUCGACAAGGAUAUAUACAUGUACUCACAGGAUAUUAAACCAUAGCAAAGUGUAAUAAAAAAUGGUGACUUUGUUUAUUCGCACACGACGUCGCCGGGUAAUAACAAUUGAGAAAAAUACAUGCAUGGCGAAAAACAAAGAAACCAGAUGGCAGCCACGGUUACAGACACACUCAUCAACACUUGAAGCAUGGAAGAUACAAGUUGAUCUCUGUCCAUAAAAACAUUUUAAUAAGGCAUUCAAUGAGGAAAAACAGUUUAUCUCAAUUUUUUUUGCAAAAAUGUUAGCCAGGCAUUUAAUUCAACUUCCUAAACAGAAAUUAAUGCCGUUCUCGGUGAACACAACUUAUAUCGACCAUGCGGAGAGGUCUACAAUCAUCAAAUUUUUUUUUUUUAAUGCUAAGUAAGAAUUGACCUCUUUUUAUAUAAAAAAGAAUUAGUCUAUCCAUCAAACUUUUUGGAUCUAAACAAGAAUUAGACUAUGCAUAAAAUAUAUCAUAGAUAAAUCUUUCUUAGUUCGAUGGAGCUCUAAGUAUAUUUUCUAAACCUAUAACAGAACAACCAUUAUUAGAACAAAAAUCAAAUACAAACAUUUCUACAGAAAUUUCGCAACAAAGGUAAAAAGUAGAAUUCUUUCCUAGAAAAAACAUAUACGAAGCCAUAAGUAGGUUCAUUGUAUAAUAAAAUCUAUCAUAUUAUAUUAUUAAGACAGAAUAAAAAGAACAGUGAAGAUUGGUUAAUCUUUAGUGAUGGUAAUUUAACGAUGGAGAUUCAUCAUCAGAUAUACAUAGGCUAGAGUAUAUACAUGAGACAUGUAUCUAAAAUACGUACGUAAAUAAAUCUGUGAUAAAAAAGAGGCCACGUGGAGUUAAAAAAAGUUAGGAAUUGUAUAAAGUUUACUAUUCACGUCGUAAUCAUUUGAGGGAUAGUUUUCUGUACAUGAUAAACAUAUAGUAGUUUAAACAUCCUCCGUGUGAGUCCCGGACUCCUUUAAGGAAUUGUAUAGGCUGAAUUAAAAUUCUGCAAAAAAAAAAAAAAAACCUACCGCUACUCGCCGCGCAGGACGACGACCGCACGCCUGGUCCGCAUGCGUCGUUGUAUCCCACCGAAAUUGCCAUCCCGACUCCCGAGUCCCAGCUACCAACGCAAUCGGUCUCUUCGUCUUUCUGGGUGCGGUCCGUGAGCAUCGGCCUCUAUCCAUGUUCGUCUCUACGGUCCGCUCGCCGUCGCUGAUUUCUUGCCGAGCAGCCACCAGUCGUAUCAUGUACUCUUUCCACCGCAUCUCACGUGCGCUACUGUCAUCUAUCAUCAUCCCCUCUCCUAUCCAUAGGAAAAAGCUUAUAGGCAGGCACGGACCAAAUCUCAGAGGAGGAUGGGAGAAAGAUGAUGGGUGCUGUCGUGAAGAUGUGUCAUGCAUAGUGGUUAAUCAAGGCGUUCUGAGACUGCCGCGAAGGAAAGAGCAGCGUGGCUGCAACCACGGCAAGACGACCACCAUGCAUGUGCCUUACAAGCUGCUGCUGCUGCAGCAGCAGUAGCAGCAGCCUCACUUUGACCUGGACGACAUGACGAGUACGAGAUCGAUCCCGAGCUGCUUUCAUUGCUCAACAUGCCUUUUUCUUCCGCACAGUUCAAUCAUCCAUUCACCGUAUACCUGUUGGACACUAGGACCUGUUCGCCAUGUGUUUAAGGUACUGCUUACUACCUAAUGGUUAUUUCUUUUCAGAUGAAUGUGGAGAUUUGGUAAUGCUUACGGAAAAGAGCUAGGCAAUGGUUAUUUCUUUUGCGAUGAUUGUGGACAGAAGUUCAAAAACAGGAUAUAAAUUUGUGAGUGCUAACAGCAUAUCCUUGGAAGGAAUGCUAAAGGUACUGAAUUUAUGUUACAUUGCAUGUCAUAUUGUACUCUCAAGGAACAAUAGCUAAUAUUAUGUGCAUAUUUUUUGUCUAAAGUAUAUUGUGUGCACAUUCUUAUUUCUGUGAAUGAAUCCUAUGGAUUAUUUGAUACUCACAAAGUUAUAGUAGUUGUGGUGCAGUGUGCAGUAAUUAUGAAUGUACAGGUCACUGAGAUUUUGUCGCAAAUUCCAAUUUAUCCAUUGGAUUUUAACUUCUACGGUUUUCCUAGGUGGCACUGAUAAGUUAACGUUAACAUAUUGCCAUAAGGCUGUCAAUUUUCUAUUCCAUGUUCGGUCCUUGCAUGCAUUUUCUGAGUACGUUCAUAAUUAUUAUGCAGGCUAUUUUUUCCAUGGAUGGACCGAGACAUAGGGACGAAAGCUUGGCAUGGCUACAACCACGACAAGACGCCCACCAUGCAUGUACCUUACUAGCGGCAGCAGAUUCAAUUGGCCGUCAACGACAUGACGAGUAUGAAAUUGAUACCCAGCUUUAAGCAAUGCUCCUCCCAGUUCAACAGAAUAAACUUUUCCAACAUUCCCUUUUCCUUUGCGUAAUUCCAUUCAUUCGUGCUCCGGCACUUACCUGUUGGACUUGCUCGCCAUGUGUUUGAGGGAAUGCCUAAAGAAAAUAGAUGACAAUGGUAAUAUCUUUUCGUUUGAUUGUGGUGAUUUAAAGGCUAAAAAUAUGAUAUAACUAUUUGUAAAAUCUAACCGCAUAUCCUUCGAGCCAAUGCCAAAGGUCCGGAAUUUAGGAUAUGGUGGAUGACAUAUUAUGAAAGUUUUAUAUAGUGUGUCUCGGUGGUAUAGCGUUUGGAGAGGCAACGUGAUAAGCCGUUUAGAGCCAUUGUUAGCCCAUUUAGCUUGCUAUAUCAGCAAUUUAGCGUUCUAAUGCUUCGACCACUGCCAUAGCCCUUUAUUUCAAAACUUUGCAUAUUAUACUCUCAAGUAACAGUAGUUGAUGUUGUGCGCAAAUUUCUUCCUACAUAAUGUUGUAUGCAAAUUCUCUGUCCAAACGAAUCCUAUAGACUAUGUUAUACUCACCAAGUUAAAGUAGUUGUUGUGUGUGUGCAGCUUUUUUCUCAAAGAUGCUAUGUAGAAAUCCUUAUCUCUACAGGUGAUUCUCAUUAAUUAUAUGACAAUUGUCAUGAAAGGUUAGUUAGGAUUGGUCUCAAACUCAAGUUUAUCCAUUCACGUUUAGUUUAUAAGGUUUUCCUAUUUGGCAAAUGAGGUCAUAAAUUAUGUGAUUUACGUCAUGUUGGCACUUGAGUAUUUUUACAGCAGCAUUGUGCCAUUUUCAUUGGCUUGCAUAUAUAAUGUAGCAGUGCCUUUCUCAACCUUGAUUAAUUAUUGUACUGCUAUUUAUAUUUAUAAUCUUAUCAUAUAUCAAAGUAAACAAAGAAAAUUAUGACAUCUUUAAGCUUUUAGCUUGCAAGCAUCUAUUAAAUACAGUUUGUACUUCCAACACCUAGAUACAAUGUGUGCUUUAUUCAAUAGUGUAAUCUUUAGAUGCAUGUAUAUUUGUGUAUUAUUUCUAAUUAAAACAAUGAAUUCAUUGGUUGGAUUUCAUUACUCUUAUGCAGUUUAUUGCAUUCUUAAUGUUGCAUACUACGUCACUCAUACAAUGUAAUGUCGGCUCAUGGAUAAUCUAAGUAUGUCCACGGCAGGCGGAAGAAAUGGAAAAACAAGAAAAUCUAGAGAAAUAUCAUUCGGUGAGCUCUUUCUUGGUAACAUCAAAAUUUUGACAAAUAUUUGUUAUUGUUGGAUAGAUUUUUCCAUAAUUCUUAGGAGUUGCUACAAGAAGAAAUAACAACAUUGAUGCAUGGUUUUGUAUUUUGUUAAUCUGCUUCCUAAUUUAUUAAUAAGAACAACUUAUAGGAACACUAUAUCGAUAUAGUGAUAGGUCAGAGAAGUGCGUCCAACAAUAAGAAAACGUAUGAUCUGAACACCAUGGAAGAAUGGCAGUUCAAAUCGAAGGCAUGCUGCAUGGACAUAUAUGUAUGUAUUCUUCAAGCAACAACAGUGAAGUUGUGAUCAUAUUCUCAGUAUACAAAUAAUUAUCUUCACGAAAAUGCAAUCAUAAGGUUGCUAAUGACUUUGACGACAGUCAUGUUGUGUAAACAAUUAAUAUCACCCGAUACAUGAUUCUAAUUCUAUUUAUAUUGUGCACGGAGAAAUGAUACUACUUGGCACACCUAUUAUUUGGCCUUUACUCGGAGAUAUGAUUAUACUUCAUCCAUAAGCAGGGUAUGCGACGAAGUUAAUCAAGAUGAACACUGGUGUAAUUCAAUUUUACGUAGUGCUGAUUUGAUGAAUGAAUUAAUUUUAUGUUGUGCCGAUUUGACAAACAAUUUGGUAUUUUUCUGUUACAUAUGUAAGAAAAUGGCUAUACUUUAUAACACUACAGGGAUGGAUUUAGUUAUCAUUUUGUUAUAUUAUAUAAAUAUAUAAUCAGUGAAAUCAAUUUAACUCCAUGAAUUGUGUGUGAAUGCCAUGAAUAGCUAAAUCUGGAAAUUAAUUCUACGUGCAAAUUGGUCGCUGCAAAGAAAAUUUAUCAGAAACAAAUUCAGAGUAAAAUCAAAGGAAAACUAUAUAUUUGUGUACUAAAUUUUGGAGAAAAGGCUACAUACUAAAUUAGAUUGAAAAUAAAUGGCUUAUUGUGACAGGACAAUAUAUGCUGAUGAAAAGUUUUCUCAACACAGGGUAGUCCCUUCAACAUUCAUGUAUGCAGUUGAACAACUGACAUAUAUUAAUAGCAAAUUACAACCUAGCCGCGCAAAUGCGCGGGUCACUCCGCUAGUUAAGGCAAAAGGCAGAAACGUGCACGAUGGCACGGCAGAUUCCAGUUUUUACUACCCUAUUACAUGACUCCAUGAGCCGAAUGAGAUCAAGUGUUUUUUCAAAAAGAUCAAGUAUCUAAACCGCUUGGCGGUUCAAUCUUCCUGGCCUUGCUGGCUGGAGGCUUCCGCGUCAUCCCUUGCCGGUUCUUCGUCCUCUUUUGUCGGCUGAAAAUUUGGUGAUGACCAAUCGAUGCCAGAUAAAGCUUGAAAUUCAGCUUCGUCAUCUAUAAGAUCGGACGGUUCAACUUCAGGGGCAAAAGUAUGCUUACGGAUUGGAGGGAUCAGAUCCAUUAGUCGGUAAGACGGUGUAGGCAUCUUCUGAUUUUGCUUGUCGUAAGCCGGAUGGUACUUUGAAAUGUCUGAAUCAUUGGCAAUCUGGGUGGCCAUUGGACGAAUUUCCUUCACACAGGCGGCAAAGUCAUUUUGGUCAAAAGGAGUACCAUCCUCUUUUAAGCUUGGUUAUCCCGUGGCUACAUCAGUCGGCUCUAAUUCUGGUACCCAUGCUUUUACCCGACUCAAAGCUGUCACAGCGCCGGCUCUUGUAGAUGAUCGCUUCAUAUCAUUGAUCCUCGCAGGCAGCACUGAGAGCUUUUUUAAGACAUCUAUCAAAAGUUUCGGAGCUUGAUUAGUUGGAGAAAUUUUGGCCAGGGCACGCUGAGUUCCAGUGUAAAGCUGUUCAACAAGUGUGUAGACAGCUUUCAGCUUCACAAGCAUGUCUUGAUCGAGGUUGCUACUCCUGGGACCUGGAUAUAUCACAGAUUGGUUAAUGGCGAGUUAUAUGAUCACAACAAAAAAUUUACUUUUGACUAGCAAGGCGGCUCACCAAAGAUAGCAGAAACCAUCUGAGAUACACCGUGUUUUAAGCCGGUGAGCUCAGUGGUCACCUCUUGAAGCGCUACCUCAGCUUUCUCCGCCCGCUGCAUUAAAGCAGUCUUUUCUUCAGCCCAAGUCUUUUUCUCCGCCUCAAAACUGGUCUUCAGCUUUUUCGACUCAGCCACGCUAAAUUGGAACUUUGACUCAGCUUUUCGGGUCUCAGAUUCCUGAGUCGCCAGCCGGGUCUUGGCGUCGUUCAAUUGCGAUUCAAGUUCAGCAAUCGCAGCCUGUAUGAAGUGCAAUGUUAUCAACAUUUAUAUCAAGAUUACAAGAAUAUAAGUCCCAAGUCUUUUGCAAGCAACAACACUUGACACGUGGGGGCUAAUGUGUGUCAAAGAAAUUUUUCAAGGAAACGGUUCUUAUGAUUAAAGUCCCAAGCACUUUGCAAGCAAGACUACUUGGCACUUGGGGGCUAAUGCAUAUCGCUUGUCUCUUCUUCAUCAUGAGCCGGAUGUGCUGUAAACAGUCCGAACCGACUCAUGGGGGCUAUGCAGUUAAGAUUUUAUUUCUUACAAAAUGAUAAAUAGGACCGGCUCAUCCAUGCUGAUUAAACCGGCCCUUGGGGACUACAGAUGCAAAGCCAAAAUUACUUCAACAUCCGGUUUAUAUUUAAACCGGACUUGGAGGGAUUCUAGGACAGAAGUUUAUGGAUUCUUCUAAGUCUACAGCUUAUUCAAUCUGAUCAUAAACAGUAGACUUGGGGGCUGGCAGGAUAUACAUAAAUUAUUCAAAGCUGGAAGUCAUACCUCAUACUUUUGGUGCAUUUGUUUCACCAUAUCAACUUCAAGAUCGCGGCUGGAGUGUACUUGGCUGAGAUAACCAGAGAGGAUCUCACUGCUGCUUAGAUGCGCAUAGUGGGAGACGUCAAACUUCAUUUUCCGCCUUUCAAUAACCUCUUGCUUGGCAGUAUGUUUAGCUAAAGCUAUUGGAUUUCCCGGUUCUACAAAACCGGUGCCAGUAAUCAGCACGUCAUCAUUAAGAGUCUCUGACGGCUUAGGUGAGCUUGAUGGUGCAAGGUUUGAAGGAUUGAUACUAGUGUUAUCAACACAGAGAUCCGGAAUCUCAGGCGGAGUGUCAGUGACAGUUUCUUCCGGUUGUUUAUCAGAGGCUUCAGGUGCAAGGACUUGCUGCUCCGGCUCAGCAGCUUCAGGUGCCUCAGGUGGUUUGAUCACCUUCGCUUUCUUGUUGGGCUUUGCUUGACCACUGCACGGGUUAUGACAAGUCAGUAUAAAUAUAAGAGUAUAAAGAAUUAUAGAGUGAAAUUAAUGGCCAUUACCCAGGGGCAGUUUUAAAAGCCGACAAUUCGGUUUGAGAUGAGCCGUCAGAGGAAGAACAGGCAAGUUCCUGGUUAAAGGUCAUCAACAGAGUUAAGUAAUAGACAAAUAAGACCUGCCAACGGGUCAAAAGAGUAAGUAUAAAAGAACCUCGUUUCGCCGUUUCGAGGAACGGGAGUAUUGGGUAAGCCAGAGGACAACUCUUUGCCACCGCUCGUCCGGGUCUGACGUCGAUUCUCAUGUUGCUGUUGCUUCAAAAGAAAGUGAGGAUAUAAAUAAGCCAAGGGGUGUGAAAACCUUACUUUCCGGGUUACUUGUCAAAGUUUCUGUCUUGGCAAAGGGUCUGAGCCGGAGGAAAUAAUAGUUACCUCUUCUUCAGCUGCUUGACUGGCUCCCGUGUCAGCCUGAUAAUAGUCAGUGUCAAUAAGAUGAUUGAAAAAUGAGCCAAGAGAAUCAAGGGCUACCUCCGACUCAGAGGUAUCAUCGAGUUUAAGCAGAUCAGAGGCGCUUGGUUUCUUUUUUCUCUUGGUGGUCUUCUUGAUGGCUUUCUUGGCGGCUUUCUUGACAGCCCUAGCCUUCUUGGCGGCUUCACGAUCAUACUCUGUCUUUCAAAAGUUGGAUUUAGCCUGUAAAAGUUGGCGAAGGUUGAGUUAAUAAGGUAUUUGGAUAAUAAGGUAAAAGUAAGAAAGUUUAUAGACUCACGUCUGGGGCCGGGUUAAGUUUGCAGAACGGGGCCAGACCCACUUUAAUGCAAUCUUCUGGGUCUUCAUUCAGAAGGGACUUAACCAUCUCAUCUAUUGCCGCGUCAGUUAAUGGUGCAGAGCUGUGGCGUAGUGGAUCCUUUACACCUCCAGUAUAAGUGCACAUUAAGCCAAAGCAGCGGCUUAAGGGUAUGAUCCGCCAAGAAACCCAACACCUGACUAAAUCAACGCCAGUUAGCCCAUUUCCUAGCAGAGCUUUGACCUUCACGAUGGUACGAGCAAUUCUUUUCCGUUCAGCAACAGUAAGCUUUUCAGGAAGGUUGUGCUUUGGGUCUAAGCGCUCGACAAGGUAACCCGGCAGCGGAUUCUCGUCAGCCGGAGAAGUAUCUUUGCAAUAAAACCACGUCUGGUUCCAAUCCUUGGGGUGGCUUGGCAAGCAGGCAUAAGGGAAGAUAGCAUCUCUUCUGCGUUGAAUGGAUACCCCACCAAGCUCCAAGCUAGGGCCAUUCGUGAACUCAGUCUGGCGGUUCAAAUAAAAAUACUCUCUGAAGAGAUCGACGCUGGGCUCCUCUUGAAGGUAUACUUCACAGAAGACUUGAAAGUUACAGAUAUUUGACAUGGAAUUGGGCCCGAUGUCUUGAGGAUGGAGUUGAAAAAAGUGCAGAACGUCCCGGAAGAAUUUAGAGCUGGGCGGCGAGAAGCCCCGGUUCAUAUGGUCAGUAAAAACGAUGACUUCGCCAUCUUCCGGGUGAGGUUUUUCUUCGCCCGGGUCAGAAGCACGGUAAUGCAUCACAUUUUUUGCAGGCAGAUACCCGAUCUUGACAAAGUCCUUAAGUGUGCCCUCGGUGAAGAUGGAAGGGACCCAAUUGCAUGUAUAGGUUGUUUUGGGUGGCAUUGUGAAGAGAGAAAACUUAAAGGAAAGGAACAAUUUGCCGGCUUAAGUCAGUUGGUGAAAGCACAAGAUUAAACAGCUACAGUAUAUAUUCAACAUGACGGCUUAAGUGAGGACUAAUGAUGUAUAAGUAAUUAUAAGCCGUGAGGUAAGCCGCCAGGACAUGUACAGGUAUUCAAAAUCUGACAAAGAGCAAAAUUCUACUAAGUGUUGGACAAACAGGUUUCACAGAUUAAGGAUAUAAAUUUGGAUUUGCAACUGUUCAGAAAAAGGAAAUAAAUUCUAAAACUACAGAGGCGGCAGCAGAAAAGCGGAGGUGCCCCAGAGGAGAUCUGUCGCGAUGAGGAUAUGUUCUAGUAUCAAAACAGGUGCUAAAACUACCGCCGCACAAGAUUUAUGUGGUUAUUUUUGGAUAUAAUCCAUGGAUCUAAACAAGAAUAAAGAGGGGCGGCGACGAACACCGAAGAACACUGAAACCCUAAAUGAUAGAUCUAUGGCAAAGAAAAGAAGGACUUACUAAUGCUGAUGAAAUAGCGGAGAGAAGCCACGGCGUUUUUCUGGUCCGUUCAGGGUGAUGCAGCGGCCAGAGUUGACGAAGGGGCGAAGGUCGACGGCGGCGGAGCUCGUGCGGUCUGGUGCCUCGCGAGGAGGAAGAAGAAGGUGAGAAGGAAAAGGGGGAGAAUGAGAGGAGAGUUCGUGGUCUUAUUUAUAGGGCUGGAAGGACAAACGGCAGGCGCGAGAAUCGAGGAGGCAGAAAAAUGGAUAAGUGACGGCGCGGGCACCUCGAUUUUCGGAGGGACAGUAAAGAAAGAGAUUUAUUAAGAUUUGACUUUUGUGAAGCACUAAUUGCAGGUGACGUCAUGGCGGGUUACCACCAUUUCCGGAGAUGACGUCAUGGUGGGUUACAAUAUUUCACAAUAAGAUGAAGAAGGAUUUUUCCGAGUGUUGAAGAUUGAUAUGAACGAGUUCAAAUCAACCUGGGGCCUAAUGUUGGGGAUAUGACUAUCAGAUAUGACCCGCCCAGGAGGGGCCGGGUCAUCCCUAUGGCGAUUCAUCUCGAAGAAGCCCAAGAGUAUGUUAAGAUGGCGGUUCAUAGACAUGCUUAUUAGAGGGCCCAAACCCGAAGGCGGCUUAAGGCCCACAAGUAUAAACCGCCAUGUAUAUGUAAACUUGUAUUGUAAGGCAUGUAAGAUAAGUCACCGAGCCAGACACGUUGUAUGAGCCGGCCGGGACUCUGUAGGCCGUAGGGCAUCAUCCCGUGUAUAUAAGGGGACGACCCGGCAGCGGCUUAGGGCAAGAAACAACAACUCGAGAGCCAGGCAAAGCGUAUCUGCUCCCUGGUCAUCGAAACCCUAGCAAUACCACCUCAAACUGGAUUAGGCCUUUACCUUCACCGCAAGGGGCCGAACCAGUAUAAACUCCUCGUGUCCUUUGUCCCGUUUAACCCCUUUAAGCUAACCUCGUCGCAAUGGCUCCACAACUAAGUCCUUCCAUGAGGACAUCUGCCGUGACACUUCCACGACAGCCUUGGUGAUGAAAUCCUGAGCACCAGGCGCUCCAUGCCUUGUGCCCUCUUGGGGGAAACGUGCGGCGAAGCACGCCUCCACGUGGUGCCCGAGCGCCUCCCACGUGAUGUUGGCUAGGUCUAAGGCCCUCCAGAAGACAGCCCACGAGCCCAGCCCGAGGAGGGCGCCGGGCGCGCCUUCCUAUGCGAGGGAAGGAGGCGCUGAGGGAGUCCUGGACUAAGGGGUCCUCGGGCGUCCGGCCUGUUAGCCAUGGGUCGUACUGAUGGGCUGUGAAGAUACAAAGACCGAAGACUCCACCCGUGUCCGGAUGGGACUCUCCUUGGCGUGGAAGGCAAGCUUGGCAAUCGAAUAUGAAGAUUCCUUUCUCUGUAACCGACCUUAUGUAACCCUAGAUCCCUCCGGUGUCUAUAUAAACCGGAGGGCUAGGUCUGUAGAGGCCAAUACUCAUAGCCAUAGUCAUAUAGGCUAGACUUCUAGGGUUUUAGCCAUUACGAUCUCGUGGUAGAUCAACUCUUGUAACACUCAUAUUCAUCAAGAUCAAUCAAGCAGGAAGUAGGGUAUUACCUCCAUAGUGAGGGCCCAAACCUGGGUAAACAUUGUGUCCCCCGUCUCCUGUUACCAUCGACUUUAGACGCAUAGUUCGGGACCCCCUACCCGAGAUCCGCCGGUUUUGACACCGACAUUGGUGCUUUCAUUGAGAGUUCCACUGUACCGUCGUCAAAAGGGUUGAUGGCUCGCCAUGUCGUCAAGGAAAAUAUCACCUCUGGAGGAGCCCUGGCCCCAGGCCAAACCCUCCGGCUGGGCGGCUUCAUCAUGACCGCCUGUUCGGCCCUUAAGCCGACGAUGACCUCUCGAGUCAUCGAAAAUCGCCUCUGCGUUGAUUCUGAAUACUCCAAAUGGAUGGAUCCGACAGAGUUAUCAUCUUUAAACGAACUACUAGAUCGCAUCGCCGCCUUGGGAGUCACUACAGACUACGAUCGGAUUGGGCUUAAACCCGACCAGAGAGAAAUUAAAACUCCGCCGAUCACCCACCAGAUAGCGGUAGUCGAGGAGCAUGACAACUCUUCCUCUAUAUUGAGGACGAACUAUGUUGGGAUCUCCGAUCUCAAAGAGCCGGACACCCACCGGCAGAAAGACAUGCCUUGUCCUUCGAACAUAGAAUCGGACGACAAGCCUAAAAAAUCAGUUGAUAUCCCAGAGCCCGAACUGUUAAGUCCGGAAGAUCUUCAGACUCCGGAUCCAAAGUUGGGUCAGGGUUCGGAUUUAAAUCCACCCACCCACCCGGACAUAAGCGCUCUCAUGAGCAUACAACAGCAGUCUCAGGAAACGGUCCACCACUUCUGGGCCAGAUUCCUCCUUGUCGAAGACAAGAUUAAAGAUUGCCGCGACGAGGACGCGAUCUCAGCGUUCCGCAACAAUUGCACGAACGAAGGAAUCCUUAACGCCAUCAACCGUCGUCGCAUAUUACACUUCACUGACUUGGCAAUUAUCGUACAGAAGUACAGCGCAAUGGAAAGCGCCUGGAAAACUCAGGCGGCCCGUUGGGAAUCAUCGGUCCCCACUCAAUCCCUCGUUCAGGUGAAAAGGGCGCACCCUCGUGGCACACCCGGUCCAAUAGUAAAGAAAUAUAAGCCCAUUACGGGGCGCGGAACCGUUCUGGAAGGAUGGCUCGAUGGGCCAUGCAAAAUACACACAACACCAGAUAACACACCAACCCACAGCCUUAGAGCAUGUUGGAUACUCCGGCAAGUGGCCAAGAGCGGCGAGGCACUAGUAGAAAAAGAGCCCGAACUGUUAAGUCCGGAAGAUCUUCAGACUCCGGAUCCAAAGUUGGGUCAGGGUUCGGAUUUAAAUCCACCCACCCACCCGGACAUAAGCGCUCUCAUGAGCAUACAACAGCAGUCUCAGGAAACGGUCCACCACUUCUGGGCCAGAUUCCUCCUUGUCGAAGACAAGAUUAAAGAUUUCCGCGACGAAGACGCGAUCUCAGCGUUCUGCAACAAUUGCAAGGACGAAGGAAUCCUUAACGCCAUCAACCGUCGUCGCAUAUUACACUUCGCUGACUUGGCAAUUAUCGUACAGAAGUACAGCGCAAUGGAAAGCGCCUGGAAAACUUAGGCGGCCCGUCGGGAAUCAUCGGUCCCCACUCAACCCCUCGUUCAGGCGAAAAGGGCGCACCCUCGUGGUACGCCCGGUCCAAUAGUAAAGAAAUAUAAGCCCAUUACGGGGCGCGGAACCGUUCUGGAAGGAUGGCUCGAUGGGCCAUGCAAAAUACACACAACACCAGAUAACACACCAACCCACAGCCUUCGAGCAUGUUGGAUACUCCGGCAAGUGGCCAAGAGCGGCGAGGCACUAGUAUAAAAAGGGCCUUUUGUCCCGGUUUAUAAGGGUCAUUACUAAAGGGUCGUUACUAAAGCCUCCCCCUUUAGUCCCGGUUUGUGUAUCCCGGUUCUUACACGAACCGGGACUAAAGGCCGUCCACGUGGCCGCAGCCUGGAGCUCCACCUUUAGUCCCGGUUGGUGUUAAACCGGGACUAAAGGAAAUUUUAUGAUUUUUUUUUUGAAUUUUUUGAUUUUCAAAUUUCUGAAUUAUUUAACCUCUAAUCUCUGAUCACCACCCCUCAUCACUGCUCAAUUUAACCUCUAAUCUCUAAUCACCCCUCAUCAUUCCAAAUCAUCUAACGUCCCGGAUGGUCACCCAUUCUCUCACUACUCCAGCCUGAGCACGCUUAACUUCCGGGUUCUAUUCUCCCUCGUUUCCAAGUCUGCACUUGUUGUUUUCCUGACAAUAGUAAGAUGUCAAUCCUAUUAACCCUCAGGAAUUUAGCUUGAGCAUGAAGUCACACAUUUCACUGUUUGAGUUUGAAACUAUUGUUUUAAAAAACAAUAAUUAUUUAGUAACACUAAUAUUUCUUGAAUAAGUAGUUUGACCAUAGUUUGAUCACAGUUUGACCACAGUUUGACCAGAUUUGACCAAAAUUCAAAAAAACUGAAACAAUUAUUUAGUAACACGAAUAUUUCUUGAAUAAGUAGUUUGACCAUAGUUUGACCACAAUUUGACCAGAUUUUACCAAAAUUCAAAAAAACUGAAAUAAUUAUUUAGUAACACUACUAUUUCUUGAAUAAGUAGUUUGACCACAGUUUGACCAGAUUUGACCAAAAUUCAAAAAAACUGAAAUAAUUAUUUAGUAACACUAAUAUUUCUUGAAUAAUUAGUUUGACCAUUGUUUGACCACAGUUUGACCAGAUUUGACCAAAAUUCAAAAAAACUGAAAUAAUUAUUUAGUAACACUAAUAUUCUUGAAUAAUUAGUUUGACCAUUGUUUGACCACAGUUUGACCAUAGUUUGACCAGAUUUGACCAAAAUUCAGAAAAACUGAAAUAAUUAUUCAGUAACACUAAUAUUCUUGAAUAAUUAUUUAGUAACACUAAUACUUCUUGAAUAAGUAGUUUGACCAGAUUUAACAAAAAUUCAAAAAAAAACUGAAAUUUGAGCUUAACUUUUUUUCCUUUUAGCAUUUGAGGAUUCUAAAAAUUUGCAAACCGGCCAUAGGCCGUCAAAAUCGGAUGCGGAUUUUCGUGCUGAACAUUUCGAUAUAUUAUACGUUUUUUUCUGACAUCGUAUGCAAAAGUUAUAGCUGUUUUACAUUUCCCUACACUUUUUGCAAAACAUGUCCAAAUUUAAGUUUUUAAAUUUUCCUAACUAGUACAUGUAGUAACAUAACUACAUCUGGAAGGAUUUUAAUUUUUGAAGUUUUUAUCAUUUUCUUUUGCUUUUUACAAAACUGAAAAGGCGAUCCAGGGGGGGUAGAGUUUGAAAAAUGGGACCUUUAGUACCGGUUUGUGCCAUGAACCGGUACUAAUGCCUCGAACCCCAUUAGUACCGGUUGGUGGCUCGAACCGGGACUAAAGGUCUAACCUUUAGUACCGGUUGGUGCCACGAACCGGUACUAAUGGGCAUCGCACCCUCUAGUCCCGGUUCGUGUCUCAAACCGGGACUAAAGGGCUCAGGUGAACCGGGACUAAUGCCUUAGCCACACGAACCGGCACCAAUGCUCACAUUAGUCCCGGUUCGUGACUGAACCGGGACUAAUGUGAAUAUUUCCCUGUGACCAAAGCCCUGUUUUCUACUAGUGAGGAUAUCCUCACCAAGAAUACCCCAGAACAACACCCCCCAGAAGAUGACAAACUCAAAGUAUUGACGGUCUUUGAGACAUUUGCUUCAAACAAUAGGCACAAAAGGGCACUCCGUGAACUCGCCGAAGUCUGCCACAUCGCAGCAAUAAACCCUUGGAAUGACACGGCUAUAAAUUUUAAUGCCGGUGACGAACCAAAAUACAGGACAGUCCGAGCACCAGCCGCCUUGGUCCUCACUCCAAUCGUGGACGGCUUUCGGCUCACCAAGGUUCUCAUGGACUGCGGCAGCGGACUAAACCUCAUCUAUGAGGAUACACUCCACAAAAUGGAAAUAGACAGGAGCCGCAUCGAGCAAAGCACCACGACCUUCCGAGGAAUCAUUCCCAGUCAGGAGGCGCGGUGUCCGGGAAAAAUCACACUUGACGUAGUAUGCGGCACGCCGGAGAAUUAUCGGUCCGAAGAGAUAACCUUCCAAGUGGCCCCUUUCAACAGCGGAUAUCACGCCCUCUUGGGGCGAGAUGCAUUUACACGCUUCCAAGCCAUACCUCAUUACGGGUACAUGAAGCUUAAGAUGCCCGGGCCCAACGGCAUAAUCACUCUCGCCAGUGAUCCGGACAUAGCACUCCGCGCCGAAAAUAAAAUCGCAUCCCUGGCCCUUGAGGCAUUAUCUGAAGCCCACGCGGCCGAAGAAUUAACGGCACUGCGCUCCACGGUGGACAGGGACGAUGUGAUCCUAGACAAACGACCCAAAUCCACCUCCUUCAAACCGGCAGAAUAAAUAGUCAAAUUCCAAGUCCAUCCAACGGACCCCACGAAGACAGCAUCUAUUGGAGCACAACUAGACCCAAUGGUUGACGCCGCGCUACGAGAGUUCCUGGGCGAAAACUGGGAUAUAUUCGCCUGGCACCCUUCUUAUAUGCCAGGAAUCCCACGCAAGUUGGCGGAACACAGCCUCAAUAUAUUGAAGGGAUAUAAACCGGUCAAGAAAACACUGCGGCGCUUUUCCGAACCCAAACGGCAAGCUAUGGGGGAGGAGCUAGCCAAGCUAAUCGAGGUCGGAUUCAUUAGAGAAAUAAAACACCCGGACUGGCUGGCAAACCUGGUGAUGGUGCCAAAGAAGGACAAAUCCUGGCGCCUGUGCGUCGAUUUCAAAGACCUCAAUAAGGCUUGCCCCAAGGAUCCCUUCCCCCUUCCCCGCAUCGACCAGAUCAUUGAUGCUACCGCAGGACAUGACUCACUGUGCUUCCUCGAUGCAUAUUCCGGAUACCAUCAAAUUAAAAUGAAGGAGUCCGAUCAAGCCGCAACAACAUUCAUUACCCCAUAUGGGCCAUUCUGCUUCAACACCAUGCCCUUUGGGCUAAAAAACGCGGGCGCCACCUAUCAACGCUUGAUUCAAACAUGCCUGGAGAAGCAAAUCGGCAAGACAGUUGAAGCAUAUGUGGAGGACAUCGUCAUCAAAACCAGACACGUCGAAACACUCAUAGACGAUUUACGUCUCACAUUCGACCACCUCCGUGCAUACGAAAUUAAGUCUAAUCCAGAAAAGUGUGUUUUCGGCGUCCCCGCUGGAAAACUGCUGGGCUUCGUCGUUUCCAAUAGAGGAAUUGAAGCAAAUCCAGCAAAAAUCCGAGCUUUGUCACAAUUAGCUACACCAACAGACCUUAAACAGGUCCAAAAACUCGCCGGUUGCAUGGCAGCUUUAAGCCGCUUUAUCUCCAGAUUGGGAGCAAAGGCAUUGCCACUCUAUCGCCUUCUACGGCGCACCGAUCACUUCGAGUGGACGGAUGCGGCAACGGCCGGACUGGAAGAAAUAAAAGCUCCUCUAGCGAGCAACUCAAUCCUGGCCGCGCUGAACAUCGGCGAACCCACGUUAUUAUACAUAUCGGCAACACACCAGGUGGUGAGCGCCGUGCUCGUCGUUGAACGAGAAUAGGGCGGACACAAAUUCCCGCUUCAGAAGCCAGUAUAUUUCGUAUCCACUGUCCUCACACCAUGCAUAUCCCGGUACCCUCAUUAUCAAAAGAUAGCAUACGUGGUCUUCAUGGCAUCCCGGAAGCUACGACACUACUUCCAGGAGUGUUCGAUCACGGUGGCUUUCGAAGUACCACUCAAUGACAUAAUAAACAACCACGAUGCUACGGGCCGGAUUGCCAAAUGGGCCAUUGAGCUCCUUCCAUUUGACAUAACAUACAAACCGCGUCGAGCCAUUAAAUCCCAAAGUACUGGCUGACUUCGUUGCCGAAUGGACAGAGGCCCAACUCCCUAAAGAGUACGGCACAUAUUCCAACUGGGUUAUGUAUUUUGAUGGUUCCAAAAUGCUGGCAGGACUAGGAGCAAGCGUCGUUUUAACGUCCCCCACUGGAUACGUCGUCCAGUACGUACUCCAAGUAUUAUACACAAGCUCCAAUAACGCAGCCGAAUACAAGGCCUUAUUGCAUGGUCUUCCGAUGGCUGUCUCCACGGGCAUACAACGCCUGGAAGUGCGCGGGGACUCAAACCUCGCAAUAUCUCAAAUAAAUGGAGACUUCGAUGCCAAAGAUCUGAAGAUGGCGGCUUAUCGCAAUGCCGUCCUAAAAAUGUCGGCUCGGUUUGAGGGGCUCGAGUUUCAUCACGUGGCCCAAGAAAGUAAUCAAGCGGCGGAUGUCCUUGCUCGCAUCGGCGCCAAGCGUGACCCCGUCCCACCCAACAUCUUUCUGGAAAGGCUUUUUAAGCCAUCCGUGGUGUGGCAAGGGGAGAGCGGCAAUAUCAGUCUGGAUCCGAACACAACUCUAGAUCCCGAACACACUGAUAUCAUCGGGGGCUCAGCCACCGAAAUAACACCGUCGGCCCAUCUCAUUAUGGCAGUCAUUGCCCCAUGGACCGAACCCUUCUUGGCCUACCUUAAUAGGAAAGAACUCCCUGAGGAUCAGAAUGAGGCCCGCCGCAUUGUCCGGCAUUCGAAAGCCUACAAGGUUCACGAUGGAGAGCUCUACAAGAAAAGCGCUACCGGAGUCCUUCAAAGAUGUAUCUCCGAGGAGGAGGGGCGGCAGCUCCUGGCUGAAACUCAUGCGGGUCUCGGUGGGCACCACGCCGCAGCUCGGGCCCUUGUUAGCAAGGCCUUCCGUACAUUGUUUUAUUGGCCGAUGGCCCGAGCAGAUGCAUAGGACCUUGUCCAACGUUGUGUCGGAUGCCAACUCUUUGCCAACCAAAGCCAUAUGCCCCCCACCGCCCUACAAACAAUCCCCAUCACUUGGCCUUUCGCGGUCUGGGGGCUCGAUAUGGUCGGACCCCUUAAAGGAGGAAGCCGUAACAAAAAAUAUCUGCUGGUCAUGAUGGAUAAAUUCACUAAGUGGAUAGAGGCCAAGCCAGUUAAAACAGCCGAGGCCGGACUAGUGAUAGACUUUAUUUCCGGUGUUGUACACCGUUAUGGUGUCCCACACAACAUCAUCACCGAUAACGGCUCCAAUUUCACAGCCGACGAGGUAAAAAACUAGUGCGCCCAUUUGGGCAAUAAGCUCGAUUACGCCUCCGUCUAUCACCCGCAAACAAACGGUCAAGUCGAACGAGCCAAUGGUCUUAUUAUGAGCGGCAUCAAACCUAGACUGGUGCGGUCUCUGAAAGAAUCAGACAAGCACUGGGUUGAGGAGCUCGACUCCGUACUCUGGGGGCUGCGGACCACGCCCAAUCGCACUACCGGAUAUACACCUUUCUUCAUGGUGUAUGGCAUAGAGGCUGUGUUACCCUGCGAUAUUAUUCACGACUCACCUUGAGUGUGCAUGAACGAAGAGAGAGAAGCCGAACUUGACCGGCAGGACAGCUUAUAUGCCCUAGAGGAGGAGCGAGAUGUCGCAAAAGCCCGUUCCGCAUUUUAUCAACAGUAGGCUCGCAGGUAUCAAAGCAGAGAAGUGCGGGCCAAGACUUAUAAUGUUGGCGAACUUGUUCUACGCCUACCAGAGAAGAAAAAGGACAAACUCAAGCCCAAGUGGGAGGGUCCCUUCAUCAUCGACGAAGUUCUCACUAGAGGAGCGUACCGCCUGCGUGAUGCGUCAGACAAUCGCCUAGAGCUGAACCCCUGGAACGCGGCCAGACUCCAAAGAUUCUACGCCUAAGCGCUGAACUCUUUGUUUGUCUCCUUCUCCCCAUUGUUUCCAUUACUUUUUCCUCUCUUUUUGCUUUUUCCUUUUUUAGCCUUAAAGCUUUUUGUGCGGUAAAACCGUGCACUUGUGACAUACACAUCCUUAAAUAUGUACGUCAAUUAUACCUGGGGGCUUCUUUGACAGAAGCUUAUUAUUGUUAUUUUCCAAGCAUCAAGCUCAUCACAUAUGCGUGUUUUCCCCAUAUGUACCUUUUCUUCUCGAUUGUAUGCAUCGAUAUGACUUAAGUUUUGGCCAAGCUGGGUUGCCUGGCUCCUGUGCUUAUGCCCUACGUUCCCGUUAGUUCGGCUAGGGCAUAAAGGGAGCACCUCUGUGAUUGUUACUGCCGAGUCAUCCGGAUGUGUACCUCAGACUGGGUGAAGCCGAAAGCUAGCGUUCUUAAGGGAAUAUUCGGUCGGCGAACUAAAGAUGUUUUUACAGUCGUUAAAAUACGAACCCCCAGAUAUUUCACAUACUACGAUUUUUUCAAUCACAGUUCGGACAUGCAAAUUAACGCAUGUACACCCAGGGAAAGGAACCCUUAAUGGAACUAUUCUCUCUGGAAGAUGUUUCUUACAAUCACAAUGUAAUAUAACAUAGCUAGCCGGAUACAACUUAUCUGUUCAAGCAACUAUGACCCUAAUACGUCUCGAACGUAUCUAUAAUUUUUUAUUGCUUCAUGCUAUAUUAUAUUCUGUUUUGGAUGAUUAAUGGGCUUUGUUAUACACUUUUAUAUUAUUUUUGGGACUAACCUAUUAACCGGAGGCCCAGCCCAAAUUGCUGUUUUUUGCCUAUUUCAGAGUUUCGCAGAAAAAGAAUAUCAAACGGAAUCCAAACGGAAUGAAACCUUCGGGAACGUGAUUUUCGGAACAAACGUGAUCCAGAGGACUUGGAGUGUACGUCAAGAAAUCAACCAGGAGAGCACGAGGCAGGGGGCACGCCUACCUCCUGGGCGCGCCCUCCUCCCUCGUGGGGCCCACGUUGCUCCACCGACGUACUUCUUCCUCCUAUAUAUACCUACGUACCCCCAAACCAACAGAGGCAUCCACGAAAACCUAAUUCCACCGCCGCAACCUUCUGUAGCCGUGAGAUCCCAUCUUGGGGCCUUUUCCGGCGUCCUGCCGGAGGGGGCAUUGAUCACGGAGGGCUUCUACAUCAACACCAUAGCCUCUCCGAUGAUGUGUGAGUAGUUUACCUCAGACCUUCGGGUCCAUAGUUAUUAGCUAGAUGGCAUCUUCUCUCUCUUUGGAUCUCAAUACAAAGUUCUCCACGAUUCUCGUGGAGAUCUAUUCGAUGCAAUCUUCUUUUUGCGGUGUGUUUGUUGAGACCGAUGAAUUGUGGGUUUAUGAUCAAUUUUAUCUAUGAACAAUAUUUGAAUCUCCUCUGAAUUCUUUUAUGUAUGAUUGGUUAUCUUUGAAAGUCUCUUUGAAUUAUCAGUUUGGUUUGGCCUACUAGAUUGAUCUUUCUUGCAAUGGGAGAAGUGCUUAGCUUUGGGUUCAAUCUUGCGGUGUCCUUUCCCAGUGACAGUAGGGGUAGCAAGGCACGUAUUGUAUUGUUGCCAUCGAGGAUAACAAGAUUGGGUUUAUAUCAUAUUACAUGAGUUUAUCCCUCUACAUCAUGUCAUCUUACUUAAAGCAUUACUCUGUUCUUUUGAACUUAAUACUCUAGAUGCAUGCUGGAUAGCGGUCGAUGUGUGGAGUAAUAGUAGUAGAUGCAGGAAGGAGUCGGUCUACUUGUCACGGACGUGAUAACUAUAUACAUGAUCAUACCUGGAUAUUCUCAUAACUAUGCUCAAUUCUAUCAAUUGCUCAACAAUAAUUUGUUCACACACCGUAAUACUUAUGCUCUUGAGAGAAGCCACUAGUGAAACCUAUGGCCCACGAGUCUAUUUUCCAUCAUAUUAAUCCUCCAACACUUAGCUAUUUUUAUUGCCUUUUAUUUCAUUUUGCAUCUUUAGUAUAAAAAUACCAAAAAUAUUAUCUUAUCAUAUCUAUCAGAUCUCACUUUCGUAAGUGACCAUGAAGGGAUUGACAACCCCUUUAUUGCGUUGGUUGCGAGGUUUUUAUUUGUUUGUGUAGGUGCGAGGGACUUGAGCGUGGCCUCCUACUGGAUUGAUACCUUGGUUCUCAAAAACUGAGGGGAAUACUUAUGCUACUUUACUGCAUCACCCUUUCCUCUUCAAGGGAAAACCAACGCAGUGCUCAAGAGGUAGCAAGAAGGAUUUCUGGCGCCGUUGCUGGGGAGUCUACGCAAAAGUCAACAUACCAAGUACCCAUCACAAACUCUUAUCUCCCGCAGUACAUUAUUUGCCAUUUGCCUCUCGUUUUCCUCCCCCCCACUUCACCCAUGCCAUUUUAUUCGCCCUCUCUCAGUUCGCCUCUUUUUCGCUCGCUUCUUGUUUGCUCGUAUGUUGGAUUGCUUGCUUGUCACGAUGGCUCUACCUAGAUUUGGUGAUCUUCACCUUAAAAGGUUAGAGGAGAUUGAAAACAACGUCAGAAGUUUCAUGACUUUACAAUUUGAGCAUAACAAUUUCUUUAGAAACGAGCUUAAAGAACAAAAAACUUUUAUGGGUUACAUGAACAAAGAGCUCGACGAUAUGUCUAAGGAAUUUUAUGGUUUGAAAUCUCAAAUUGCUCAUCUCGAGAAAUUAAUUGCUGAAAUUUCGGAUAAGCAGGCCACCUUUGUUAAUAAGAUGGCCGCUAAGCCAGAUUUUUUUGAGAACAAAGAUGAAGAUCUAAAAGUUAUUGAUGUGUCCCCUAUUAAAUCUUUGUUUUCCAAUAUGAAUCUUGAUAAUGAUGGGACUGAAUAGGAGCCACCUUUACCUAGAAGGCGUCCCAAAAAUUCGGAGUUUUUAGAUCUUGAUGCAAAAAUUGGUAAAAGUGGGAUUGAAGAAAUCAAAACUCUAGAUAUUAAUGAACCCACUAUUUUGGAUUUCAAGGAAUUUAAUUAUGAUAAUUGCUCUUUGAUAGAUUGUAUUUCCUUGUUGCAAUCCGUGUUAAAUUCUCCACAUGCUUAUAGUCAACAUAAAGCUUUUACUAAACAUAUCGUUGAUGCUUUGAUGCAAUCUUAUGAAGAAAAACUUGAGUUGGAAGUUUCUAUCCCUAGAAAACUUUAUGAUGAGUUUGAACCUACUAUUAAAAUUAAAAUUAAAGAUCAUGAAUGCUAUGCUUUGUGUGAUUUGGGUGCUAGUGUUUCCACGAUUCCAAAAACUUUGUGUAAUUUGAUAGGUUUCUGUGAAUUUGAUGAUUGUUCUUUGAACUUGCACCUUGCGGAUUCCACCAUUAAGAAACCUAUGGGAAGAAUUAAUGAUGUUAUUUAUUGCAAAUAGGAACUAUGUGCCCAUAGAUUUUAAUGUUCUUGACAAAGAUUGCAAUCCUUCAUGUCGUAUUAUUCUUGGUAGACCUUUCCUUAGAACGAUUGGUGCAAUUAUUGAUAUGAAGGAAGAAAAUAUUAGAUUCCAAUUUCCGUUAAAGAAAGCCAUAGAACACUUCCCUAGAAAGAAAAUAAAAUUACCUUAUGAAUCUAUUAUGAGAGCCACUUAUGGAUUGCCUACCAAAGAUGGCAAUACCUAGAUCUAUCCGUGUUUUUAUGCCUAGCUAGGGGCGUUAAACGAUAGCGCUUGUUGGGAGGCAACCCGAUUUUAUUUUUAGUUUUUUGCUUUUUGCUUCUGUUUAGGAAUAAAUCUUUGAUAUAGCCUCUGGUUAGAUUUUCUUUUAUGUUUUAAUAAGUGUUUGUGCCAAGUUAAACCUAUAGGAUCUUCUUGGAUGAUAGUUAUUUGAUCUUGCUGAAAAUUCCAGAAACUUUCUGUUCACGAAAACAAUUAUUGAAAAUCACCAGAACGUGAUAAAAUAUUGAUUCCAAUUGCUGCUGAUCAAUAAACAAAUUGUCUAGGUCUUCCUAUUUUGGCUGAAUUUGUUGAGUUCCAGAAGUUUGCGCUAGUUACAGAUUACUACAGACUGUUCUGUUUUUGACAGAUUCUGUUUUUCGUGUGUUGUUUGCUUAUUUUGAUGAAUCUAUGGCUAGUAAAAUAGUUUAUAAACCAUAGAGAAGUUGGAAUACAGUAGGUUUAACACCAAUAUAAAUAAAAUAAUGAGUUCAUUACAGUAACUUGAAGUGGUGUUUUGUUUUCUUUCGCUAACGGAGCUCAUGAGAUUUUCUGCUAAGUUUUGUGUUGUGAAGUUUUCAAGUUUUGGGUAAAAGAUUUGAUGGAUUAUGGAACAAGGAGUGGCAAGAUCCUAAGCUUGGGGAUGCCCAUGGCACCCCAAGAUAAUCUAAUGACACCAAAAAGCCAAAGCUUGGGGAUGCCCCGGAAGGCAUCCCCUCUUUCGUGUACUUCCAUCAGUAACUUUACUUGGAGCUAUAUUUUUAUUCACCACAUGAUAUGUGUUUUGCUUGGAGCGUCUUUCAUGAUUUGAGUCUUUGAUUUUUAGUUUACCACAAUCAUCUUUGCUGUACACACCUUUUGAGAGAGACACACAUGAUUCGGAAUUUAUUAGAAUACUCUAUGCGCUUCGCUUAUAUCUUUUGAGCUAUAUAGUUUUUGCUCUAGUACUUCACUUAUAUCUUUUAGAGUACGGUGGUGGUUUUGUUUUAUAGAAACUAUUAUUCUAUCAUGCUUCACUUAUAUUAUUUUGAGAGUCUUAAACAGCAUGGUAAUUUGCUUAAAUUGGGAAAUUAAUCCUAAUAUGUUAGGUAUUCAAGACUAGUAAAAAACUUUCUUAUGAGUGUGCUGAAUACUAAGAGAGGUUUGAUGCUUGAUGAUUGUUUUGAGAUAUGGAGGUAGUGAUAUUAAAGUUGUGCUAGUUGAGUAGUUGUGGAAUUGAGAAAUACUUGUGUUGUAGUUUGCAAGUCCCGUAGCAUGCACGUAUGGUAAAUGUUAUGUAUAAAAUUUGAAACAUGAGGUGUUCUUUGAUUGUCUUCCUUAUGAGUGGCGGUCGGGGACGAGCGAUGGUCUUUUCCUACCAAUCUAUCCCCCUAGGAGCAUGCGCGUAGUGCUUGGUUUUUGAUGACUUGUAGAUUUUUGCAAUAAGUAUGUGAGUUCUUUAUGAGUAAUGUCGAGUCCAUGGAUUAUACGCACUCUUACCUUUCCAUCAUUGGUAGCCUCUUCGGUACCGUGCAUUGCCCUUUCUCACAUUGGGAGUUGGUGCAAACUUCGCUGGUGCAUCCAAACCUCGUGAUAUGAUACGCUCUGUCACACAUAAACCUCCUAUAUCUUCCUCAAAACAGCUACCAUACCUACCUAUUAUGGCAUUUCUAUAGCCAUUCUGAGAUAUAUUGCCAUGCAACUUUCCACCGUUCCGUUUAUCUUGACACAUUCAUCAUUGUCAUAUUGCUUUGCAUGAUCAUGUAGUUGACAUCGUAUUUGUGGCAAAUCCACCGUUCAUAAUUUUUCAUACAUGUCACUCUUGAUUCGUUGCCUAUCCCGGUAUACCGCCGGAGGUAUUCAUAUAGAGUCAUACUUUGUUCUAGUAUCGAGUUGUAAUCACUGAGUUGUAAAUAAAUAGAAGUGUGAUGAUCAUCAUUCUUAGAGCAUUGUCCCAAAAAAAAGAGAAAGGCCAAAUAAAAAAAGGGAAGGCCCAACAAAAAUAUAAUAAAAAGGGACAAUGCUACUAUCCUCUUUUUUUUCCACACUUGUGUUUCAAAGUAGCACCAUGAUUUUCAUGAUAGAGAGUCCCUUGUUUUGUCACUUUCAUAUACUAGUGGGAAUUUUUCAUUAUAGAACUUGGCUUGUAUAUUCCAACAAUGGGCUUCCUCAAAUGCCCUAGGUCUUUGUGAGCAAGCAAGUUGGAUGCACACCCACAUAGUUUCUUUUGUUGAGCUUUUAUGCAUUUAUAGCUCUAGUGCACCCGUUGCAUGGCAAUCCCUACUCCUUGCAUUAACAUCAAUCGAUAGGCAUCUCUAUAGCCCGUUGAUUAUCCGCGUGAUGUGAGACUUUCUCCUUUUUUGUCUUCUCCACAUAACCCCCAUCAUUGUAUUCUAUUCCACCCAUAGUGCUAUAUCCAUGGCUCACGCUCAUGUAUUGCGUGAAGGUUGAAAAAGUUUGAGAUUACUAAAGUAUGAAACAAUUGCUUGGCUUGUCAUCGGGGUUGUGCAUGAUGAGAGCAUUCUUGUGUGACGAAAAUGGAGCAUGACUAAACUAUAUGAUUUUGUAGGGAUGAACUUUCUUUGGCCAUGUUAUUUUGAGAAGACAUAAUUGCUUAGUUAGUAUGCUUGAAGUAUUAUUACUUUUAUGUCGAUAUUAAACUUUUAUCUUGAAUCUUUCAGAUCUGAACAUUCAUACCACAAUUAAGAGGGUUACAUAAAAAAUUAUGCCAAGUAGCAUUCCGCAUCAAAAAUUCUAUUUUUAUCAUUUACCUACUCGAGGACGAGCAGGAAUUAAGCUUGGAGAUGCUUGAUACAUCUCCAACGUAUCUAUAAAUUUUUAUUGCUUCAUGCUAUAUUAUAUUCUGUUUUGGAUGAUUAAUGGGCUUUGUUAUACACUUUUAUAUUAUUUUUGGGACUAACCUAUUAACCGGAGGCCCAGCCCAAAUUGUUGUUUUUUUUGCCUAUUUCAGAGUUUCGCAGAAAAAGAAUAUCAAAUGGAGUCCAAACGGAAUGAAACCUUCGGGAACACGAUUUUUGGAACAAACGUGAUCCAGAGGACUUGGAGUCUACGUCAAGAAAUCAACCAGGAGAGCACGAGGCAGGGGGCGCGCCUACCCCCCUGAGCGCGCCCUCCACCCUCAUGGGGCCCACGUUGCUCCACCGACGUAGUUCUUCCUCCUGUAUAUACCUACAUACCCCCAAACCAACAGAGGCAUCCACGAAAACCUAAUUCCACCGCCGCAACCUUCUGUACCCAUGAGAUCCCAUCUUGGGGCCUUUUCCGGCGUCCUGCCGGAGGGGGCAUUGAUCAUGGAGGGCUUCUACAUCAACAUCAUAGCCUCUCCGAUGAUGUGUGAGUAGUUUACCUCAGACCUUCGGGUCCAUAGUUAUUAGCUAGAUGACAUCUUCUCUCUCUUUGGAUAUCAAUACAAAGUUCUCCACGAUUCUCGUGGAGAUCUAUUCAAUGUAAUCUUCUUUUUGCGGUGUGUUUGUUGAGACCGAUGAAUAGUGGGUUUAUGAUCAAGUUUAUCUAUGAAGAAUAUUUGAAUCUCCUCUGAAUUCUUUUAUGUAUGAUUUGUUAUCUUUGCAAGUCUCUUCGAAUUAUCAGUUUGGUUUGGCCUACUAGAUUGAUCUUUCUUGCAAUGGGAGAAGUGCUUAGCUUUCGGUUCAAUCUUGCGGUGUCCUUUCCCAGUGACAGCAGGCGCAGCCAGGCACGUAUUGUAUUGUUGCCAUCGAGGAUAACAAGAUGGGGUUUAUAUCAUAUUGCAUGAGUUUAUCCCUCUACAUCAUGUCAUCUUACUUAAAGCAUUACUCUGUUCUUUUGAACUUAAUACUCUAGAUGCAUGCUGGAUAGCGGUCGAGGUGUGGAGUAAUAGUAGUAGAUGCAUGCAGGAGUCGGUCUACUUGUCACGGACGUGAUGCCUAUAUACAUGACCAUACCUAGAUAUUCUCAUAACUAUGCUCAAUUCCAUCAGUUGCUCAACAGUAAUUUGUUCACCCACCAUAAUACUUAUGCUGUUGAGAGAAGCCACUAGUGAAACCUAUGGCCACCGGGUCUAUUUUCCAUCAUAUUAAUCUUCCAACACUUAGCUAUUUUUAUUGCCUUUUAUUUUACUUUGCAUCUUUAUUAUAAAAAUACCAAAAAUAAUAUCUUAUCAUAUCUAUCAGAUCUCACUUUCGUAAGUGACCAUGAAGGGAUAGACAAACCCUUUAUUGCGUUGGUUGCGAGGUUUUUAUUUGUUUGUGUAGGUGCGAGGGACUUGAGCGUGGCCUCCUACUGGAUUGAUACCUUGGUUCUCAAAAACUGAGGGAAAUACUUAUGCUACUUUACUGCAUCACCCUUUCCUCUUUAAGGGAAAACCAACGCAGUGCUCAAGAGGUAGCAGACCCCUACGCCUGGUUUCCACGCGUGCCCCGGUAUAUUUUGCCGCUCGGGUAUUCGGAAACACUCUGCACCUUCGGGCCCAGAGGUCGAAGAGAAAAGGUCUAACAUGACAAUCGUUUUUACAAUCCGGCUAGGGACAAAUAUGUCAAGGAAAGUACAUAGUCACUUGGACUCAUAAAUUUCCUCCUCUAUACCGUCUAACAGGUUGUCUAACUUACAAUCCUGCUGGGAAUACCUGGCGGCUACUUCUACUUGGUCAUACACCAAAUUUACGGGAAUGUCUUUCCCAUCUGACCCUAAAGGUCCGACCCGAGCUAUAUGAUUUGGAUCAAGCUUGGUAUACCGUGUUUUUACCAUGGCCCAGGCUUCUCGUGCACCUUCCCGGCAGGCUGAUAUCUUCCAUAAUCGGAAGCGCCGCCGCGCUCCCUUGAAUAGCUCUAUAAGCUCCUCCAUCCUUCCUGGAGGGGAGGUGGAUGGCCAUAAAGCCUUGGCAACACUUCGCAUCGCCUGCCGAGCUUGCUCGUGCAUCUGCGAUUGCUCAUGCAGCAGAUCGCCCGAGAUUCUAGACAUUUCCUCUUCGGGACGACCAGUCAGCAUACCUACAGAUAUAAUUAUGUAAGUCCCUUUCAUCUCCGAACUACACGGAGGUAAGUGUGACCACAUACCAAAUAUACCGCCGCACAGCCUCUUAUUUUCCAUCACGGAAUCAGCCAGCUGGGUCCAUACAUCUUUUAGUUCUUCGCCCAGCUGGGUGUGGGCAUCCUACUGCUUGUUUUUCUCAUUUCUGACUCGUGUCAGCACACGUUCGCUCGCGGCCAGCAGCCUUUUGGCUUCUUGUUCUUCCGUUUGGGCGGCUUUCAGUUGCUCCUUCAGUUGAUCUGACGAUCCUGUCAUAAGAUGAGCAACAGUGUCAGCAUCGCCGGUGUAUAAUCAUGUUUUCUCGAUGGAGGGGAACAUUACCAGGUGAUGCCUUUUUGGAUUUUUCCAGUUCGGUGGUAACAACAGUUAGCUGUGUCUGACACUUUUCUAGCUCUUGGGUUAGUAGGUCGUUCUUCUCCGUAAGAACCUGGUUAUACAAUGAUCCUCAAAUCAGUUGUACCAACUGCUUCAAGUCUCGGGGGCUACUGGCAUAUGGUUAUCAUAUUCGGACAAAGUAAAUUUACCUGCACGUCUUUUAAAUGUUGAUUGGUGGCUCUGGUAAGCCCAUCUCGAGCAGCUCGGAUGUAUGCAUCAGCCGAGCUAAAGGCAUUAAACACCUCUUUUGUAAAGCUGGGGUCUCGUAAAACGGCCCUUUGGCGCCGAUGAUUCAUGGCGCGCUCUGUCGGUGUCAAAACCGGCGGAUCUCGGGUAGGGGGUCCCGAACUGUGCGUCUAAGGUCGAUGGUAAUAGGAGACAGGGGACACGAUGUUUACCCAGGUUCGGGCCCUCUCUAUGGAGGUAAUACCCUACUUCCUGCUUGAUUGAUCUUGAUGAAUAUGUGUAUUACAAGAGUUGAUCUACCACGAAAUCGUAAUGGCUAAACCCUAGAAGUCUAGCCUGUAUGACUAUGGUAAUGAGUCUCUAUCCUUCCGGACUAAGUCCUCCAGUUUAUAUAGACACCGGGAGGAUCUAGUGUUACAUAAGGUCGGUUACAAAGAAAGGAAUCUACAUAUUCUGCCGCCAAGCUUGCCUUCCACGCCAAGGAGAGUCCUAUCCGGACACGGGUGCAGUCUUCGAUCUUCAUAUCUUCACGGCCCAUCAGUCCGGCCCAUGGCUAACAGGCCGGACGCCGAGGACCCCUUAGUCCAAGACUCCCUCAGUAGCCCCUGAACCUGGCUUCAAUGACGAGGAGUCCGGCGCGCAGAUUUGUCUUCGGCAUUGCAAGGUGGGUUCCCCUUUCCAAACUCCAAGAUAGUCUCCGGACGCGAUGAUUGUAUCUGGACCUGUAACGCACACACACAAUCACAGAGAGAAUAUAAUAUUCCACGGGUCCAAUCCGCCGACAACUUUUUACAACGUGACAUCACGUCUGCCCGGUCAUAAUUUCGGACCGUUUUGCUCUGCCAUUCCACAUUUCGAGACGCGGUUGCCAUUGGCACGUCUUGUCGAAGCGGAGAUCGUGUCCCCUUAUUGUGGUAUUCUCAUCAAUACGGGUAUGGGUAACCCAACCGUGCCGUUUACACAGCCCUUGGGAAUAGGCGAGUUUUUAGGAGAGUGAGGAGGCGUUCAAUAUUCACUGCCUUUAUAAGGGGAUAAGGAUUCCCUUCUUCUCCCACGCCUUCUAUCUUUCUCCGCCAUUCUGAUCUUGAGCUCCAGAGCCCAGGUUCUCAUCUUCUUCCCACUCAAGCUAGCACUCAACCAUGUCCGGAUCCAGAGGUCAGGGCAAGUAGAUGCUCUCCUCCGUUAAGGAGAAGGAUAUUACUGAGCUUCGGGCGGCUGGGUACUUGGCAAAGGAAAUUGCCCACCGCCUUCCAGCCCAGGGGAAAAUCGUCCGCACGCCGAAGCCCAACGAGAGGGUGGUAUUCAUCCCUCAUUUCCUCCGCGGGCUUGGGUUUCCUCUCCACCCUUUCGUCCGCGGGCUGAUGUACUAUUACGGGAUAGACUUUCAUGAUCUAUCUCCGAAUUCUUUCCUCAACAUCUCGGCGUUCAUCGUCGUGUGUGAGGCCUUCCUCUGCAUUCAACCCCACUUCGGGCUGUGGCUCAAGGUCUUCAACGUGAAGCCGAAGGUGGUGGAUAGCCAGCAUGCGGAGUGCGGAGGAGCCAUGGUGAGUAAGCUGUCCAAUGUCUCCCGGCCGAAAGGCACUUUCGUGGAGACAGUCAAGGAAUGGCAGAAACAAUGGUUCUACAUUACAGAACCCCACGACACUAGCUGGGCCGCGACUGCCGAAUUCAACCCCGGUGCCCCAAUGCGGCUCACCUCCUUGGUCGAGAAGAGCCCGAACUGGUGUUCGUCAGACGAGAUGACAACGCUACAGACGCGCGUUCAAAGCAUGGUGGACAAGGAUGUCAAACUUGCCGAUAAUAAUCCAGGUGAUGCUAGUUCACCGGACUCUUCCGUGCCAAAGCCGAAGCCCCCUCUAUGUAAGUUCAAUCCGAAGAAGCACCAUACUCUGAAGAGGCUCUUUGAGACCACUCACGAAGGCGCCUGGAAGUUGCUCUUUAAGGGCAACGAGAAGCCGCCGACCACAGAUUCAGACCGCGGACACGACAUUAACCAUCUCGCCAGCGAGAUAUGUUAUUUUUUAACGCAUCCCCUACUUGCCUGUUUCGAGGAUGAUGUCUGAGCUUUUAUCAUUGCUUCUUCAAGACUGGAUGGAGAGGGCGAAGCGGAUCCAGUGUCCGGCUCCACUGCCUGAAGAACCAGUCAUCCCACGUUUAGCGAAGAUGCUGGUGCCGCCACCCUAUAAGGCGCCGGAGAAGAAGGCCAAGAAGAAGGCCAAGGGGGCCAAAAGCGGCCCCCGUCGCAAGGGCGCUUCGGACGUGACGUCCGAAGACGAAGAGACCCAUUCCUCCGUCCCUGAGGAUGACGAUGAGGAAGAGGAGGAGGAGGAGGAGAACAACCCUCCCCCUGAGGAGGGAAAGAAGAAGAGGACGGCUUCCACAAAUCUGGAGGCUGGAACGCCCAAGAAGGGGAAGGGCGCCCUUGCGGUCAACACCGCGUGGGACGUUGGCAGCAGUCCGGAGCGACGCCCCUGCACUAAGCCCUGGGCCGCAUCGUAAGUGCUAAGACUCGUACAUGCCCAUAGAUCUAACCUUUCCUCCUUGUCGUAUUGACAUGAUCAAUCAUGCUAUUACAGUCCAGCCCACGACAGCUCCCAGCGAUCCUCAUCAAGAGGUUCGUUGGACCCAAGGGAGAUGGCCAACGAGACACCGCCAGCCGCUUACUCUCCCAAGGCCAAAGGGGACGACGAGGUGCUCUCCCAACGGACCUUCCCAGGCCGGGGAGAGUCUCGAGAAGCGCCCGAAGGCGAAGCCCCCGUCGCCGGACACCAGGGGGAACCAAUCCCCCGGGAGACUAGGGAGGAGGGUCGCACUCAGUUCGGCCCUCAACCGGACUUGAUUCCGGAGACCGAUACAGUUCCGGAAUCCGGCACACAACCUCCAUCGAAAGAAGGGGGUAUGCCUAUUCCAUCGGUGACCCCUGUCAAACCAGGGGCACCAGAUAAUCUACUGGAAGCGCUGCGAGGGCUUCCAUUCUGGAUGAGCAUCGUGUUCUUAUGGGCACGGUGAUUGAGAGGAUUCAAUCCGCCAAGAGCGGACUAACCGAAGCCUGCAGCAGCCUGCUGACAGGUUUUGAGGUAAGCGACGCAAAAAGAGAAAAUCCCCAUAUAGACAGUAGCCCCUGAGACACUGUCUGGUGUUCGGAAAGAAAAUCCGGAUAGAGGAUCAUUCCUUUAUUGCAGGGAACUAACUAAAUUUGUUUGGAAUGCGAAGGCAGGCGUCACUGCUGGCCGCGGACUCACAUGCUGCCGAAGUCUCCGAACUCAAGUGGAGGCUGGAGCAGGCCGAGGAAGAGCUCGGCCGGGUGAAGAGGCAACUCCAGGAGAAUCAAGGUAUGUAAUAACCCCAGAAGUAUUCGGAAAGAGUAGGAUGUUAUUGACCGAAGUGUCUUAAUAUAAAUAGGAGUAACGACCGAAAUCGAGGCCCUGAAAAAGGCCCUGGGCGAAGCCGAGGGGACGGCCGUGAAGGAGCAGGCUCCCCGUAAGAAGCUCUAGGCCCGUGUCAGCGAGGUUCAACAAGAGCUCCACGACGCGGUGAAGAAGUGUGAGACCUUGGAGCGUGACGUGUCGGCUAAAGAGGCCGAACUCUCUAAGGCUCAUCAGAGCACGAAGACGGCCCGGAACAAGGCCCGGGGCGCCCUCCAAGAGGUCCAGGAGGCGAGGAAGAUUGCUGCGGGUAAGGCAUUCUGUAUGCAAAGCAAAUAUGCGAAGAGGAAGUAUCUUUUACUAACCCGGAUUCAGAGCUCUCCAGGAGCUUUUGCUGAUUUUCCGCGCAGUGUGUCUGACGCCGCGGAGUUCUUCCGAGCCGAAGAAGGGUGCUCUACGGAGAAGCUAUUUUGGUCGCAAUAUCUUGCGCCAGAGCCUCCCGUGCCCUUCACCGAUCAGCUGAAACAGCUGGUGGAGCCGCAUAGGGUGGCCGAACUAGCCAUGAAGGAUUUGAUAAUCCGGCUAUGGCCAGCCGAAGCUAUGCCCGGCAGCUACUUCGGACUCCUGAGGUCGAUGGUGGACGCCUGUCCUCGGCUGGAUAUCGUCAAGCGAUCAGCCUGUAUUGAGGGUGCUCGUAUGGCCUUCGCCCGUUGCAAGAUGUGGUGGGCGAAGAUGAAUGCCAUUGAGCUGGCUCGGGGGCCGCUAGAGGGCAAGGAGCACCGCACACCCGAGCUCUAUUUCGCGGAUGUCCUGGAGGGGUCUCGCAUUGUAGCAGCGCAGUGUGGGCAGGACAUUAUUUUUGAAUGAAUGCAUUCGUGUUGUCUUUUCCUUGUAUAAUGAAACAAAGUUGGUUUGUAAUAUAAUGACUGUUAUGUUUUUAAUUUUACCUCCUGUGAGGCCAUGUUUAUAUGAAAUCUGAGGGUUGGCCAGUCAUCGGCUUCUGCCCCCACGUAGAUAGUACGGAGGUGUUCGGGAUGGAAUCUAAACAAUCUUGAUACAAUUGUAUGGUCCUUGAAGGAGUUGUUUAGCACAACGAACCAGGCAACUAGACUAUUCAGCUUUAACGCCCUCACUUAGCCAUAGGAGUUCGACAAUAAAAACAUUGACGCAGCCCCUAGUUUCCGAACUAGAGUGCUAUAAGCGUCUGAUCGGGAAGUGCCGAUCCUUCGCGUAACGCGGAAGAAAUCUCCAAUGAUUUGCGACCUCCGAACAGCUGACCGGCUCUCGCUGCAUCAUGACAGUCAGUUUUCGGCUUUCUCUCAUGAGGUGCUCCUUUGGAUAAACCAGGGCACAAUCGCAGUAGUUCUCCAUUUACUACCUUAGCCGAUGUAGCGGAAUGUAAGGUAGCAAGCACAGGAGCCGGGCAACCCAACUUUUGACCAAAGACAUGAUUCAGAGCCAAUGCAUAUAAUGCUAAAUUUGGGGUGCCGAACUAUACUAUAAAAAGUGUUUAGACUUUGUUGUCGUAUUGUAGGGCGCCUGGGAGCCCCUGUCAAAUGUGAAACGUACCAAAGUGUACGGGUGCCAGAAGAUAAAUUAUUAAAGGAAAACAGGAAUAAAGCAGAGGUGAUAUCUUGGGCCCUUAAACUUGAGCCAUGAACUGUUUCCAUGAUAAUUGGGUUAAUGCGUCAAAGCGCAUUGAUACAAACAGUGCGAUAAGCAAUCCGGCUAUUUAACAUGCCGUGACCAAGGGCGAGCUGCGUGUGGGUCCUGACAACAGGUAGAGUGACCUCUAGAGCUUCCCCUAUACGUAUGUGCUUCCUGACAUCCUGGUAUUUUUAUCCUUUUACAGGACUGAUAAUCAGGCCGUCCAAGAAGGCCUAUGUAAAAGAAACCUGGAAAAGAAAAAAGGAAAUAGUAAAAGUAUGUGUGUGUUCGGGAUCGGUCGAGUCGAACUGUGGAUCACAACCUUUUCUGUGCGUCCGUCGAUGCCCAUGGAAUUUUGAGUGCGUAAUUAUGUACGCGUGGUACGAAUGCCACUGCCUGAUCAGGACUGGGACGGAGGCCAUAUUGCUAACCGAGCUCUUGACGAGCCAAGCUAUUCUGUUGCGGCGUAGUCUGGAUCUUCUUAUCAGUGUCCAGGGGCUCGGCAGCCGGAUUACGGUUCUGCUUGAGAAGGCCAUUCUGUACUUCUGCUGCUAGGGCGGCGGUGUGCUCCUCUAUACGGAGGGACCGUUCCGUAUUUCUGUUGACCAUGAUGACGCCGCGUGGACCGGGCAUCUUGAGCUUAAGGUAGGCAUAGUGUGGCACUUCAUUGAAUCGAGCGAACGCGGUUCGUCCGAGCAGUGCGUGAUAGCCGCUGCGAAAGGGGACGAUAUCGCAGAUUAACUCCUCGCUUCGGAAAUUGUCCGGAGACCCGAAGACAACUUCUUGCGUGAUUGCGCCCGUGCAGCGGGCCUCGACACCUGGUAUGACUCCUUUGAAGGUACUCUUUGUGGGCUUGAUCCGUGAUGGAUUGAUGCCCAUUUUUGGCACUGUAUCAUAAUAAAGCAGGUUGAGGCUGCUACCUCCGUCCAUAAGGACGCGCGUUAGGUGAAAUCCAUCGAUGAUUGGGUCGAGGACUAGUGCGGCUGAGCCGCCAUGACGGAUACUAGUCGGGUGGUCCCGACGAUCAAAGGUGAUCGGGAAUAACGACCAUGGAUUGAAUUUUGGGGCGACUGGCUCUAUCGCACAGACGUCCCUUAGCACGCGUUUGCGCUCCCUUUUGGGGAUGUGUGUAACAUAUAUCAUGUUUACUGUUUUCGCUUGAGGGGGAAACUUCUUUCGCCCCCCUGUGUUCGAUUACCGGGGCUCCUCGUCUUCGUCCUUGCUUUGUGAUCGCUUUUCCCUGUUCUCGGAGUUUAAUUUGCCGGCCUGUUUAAAAACCCAACAGUCUAUGUUGGUAUGAUUGGCUGGUUUUUCUGGGGUGCCAUGUAUCUGGCACGGGCGAUCGAGUAUGCGGUCCAGGCUGGAUGGUCCCUGAUUGUUUCUCUUGUAUGGUUUCUUCCGCUGGUUGGACUUGGAGCCACUGAAUCCGGCGUUGAGUGUAGUGUCAUCGGUAUUAUCACCAUUGCUUUGGCGUUUGUGUCUGUUACGUCGGAGCUUGCCGUUGUUGUUCUUAGCCUCGGAGGGGCCUGCCUCGCUGGCUGUGUUUUUGCUGCGAGCCAACCAACUAUCCUCACCCGCGCAAAAGCGGGUCAUGAGUGCCGUGAGGGCUGCCAUAGAUUUUGGCUUUUCUUGGCUGAGGUGGCGGGCGAGCCAUUCGUCACGGAUGCUAUGUUUAAAGGCCGCUAAGGCUUCGGCAUACGGACAGUCGACGAGCUGGUUCUUUUUAGUUAGGAACCUAGUCCAGAACUUCGUGGCUGACUCCCCGGCCUGUUGAACUAUGUUACUUAAGUCAUCGGCGUCCGGCGGCCGAAUAUAUGUACCUUGGAAGUUGUCGAGGAAAGCUUCUUCCAGGUCCUCCCUGCUGCCAAUAGAAUUUUCAGGCAGACUGUUUAGCCAGUGCCGAGCUGGCCCUUUGAGUUUUAGUGGGAGGUAUUUGAUGGCGUGAAGAUCAUCCCCGCAGGCCAUGUGGAUAUGGAGAAUAAAAUCCUCGAUCCAUACCGCGGGAUCGGUUGUUCCAUCGUAUGAUUCGAUGUUUACGGGUUUGAAUCCUUCUGGGAAUUCAUGAUCCAUUACUUCGUCAGUGAAGCAAAGAGGGUGCACGGCGCCUCUAUAUCGGGCCACAUCGCGACGUAGCUCUGAUGGAGUCCGUCUGCGGCAUUCGGCCCGGGCGUGGUUAGGUUUAUCACAUCCAAAUAGGUACCAUCGUCGUGUGUCAACGAACGUCCUCGCGAUCCGUAGAUCGAUCUUGUAUGUCCUGCUCUACUGUCCAGGUCUUGACGAAGGUCAUAUGUAUAGCCUCGAGCUGUCUUAUCCCUGCCUUUACGGCGAGGUGGGACAGUCUGGUUUUCGGCUCGGGUUGCAGCUUUAUCCUGACCGUGCUGUGGACGAUCAGCCGCGUUGCGUCAUGCUGGUGCGGGAUAUGGCACCUCAUCAUCGAACUGAGGUAGUAAUCUGCGCUUCGGGUAACUUUUGGCUCGGCGUUUAAGGCUGUACUCCUCGGCUGCCAGGACAUCAGUCCAUCUGUCAUUGAGCAGGUCUUGGUCAGCUUGAAGCUGUUGCUUCUUCUUUUUCAGGCUCCUCGCAGUGGCUAUCAACUGAAGCUUAAAGCGCUCCUGCUCUAGGGUCUCCUCAGGCACGAUGAAGUCUUCGUUGCCAAGGCUCACCUCCUCCUUGGAGGGCGGACGGUAACUACUGUCCUCCUAGUCUUCUUCUAUGGCCUAUUCGUCAAGGCUUGCAUGCCCUGAUUCUCGAUUGUCUUGUUCGGCAGUUUGUUCAUUGGGUUCUUGUGUGUCUUCGGCACCAUCCGGAGUGUUGUCGUCUCCUGUGCAGGUGUUGUUGUCCCUGCUGCGGCGGGAUUUAGAGCAGCGCUGCUGACGCCGGCACUUUGGCUGUGUUUUAGGAGGGUCUUCCUUGUCAUCGCCGCUAUUACUUUUCGGUGUAUCUACCAUGUAGACGUCAUAUGAGGAAGUGGUCGUCCAUCGUCCAGUGAACGGCGGGUUUUGGGCCUCCACGUCUCCGGCAUCGUCGUCCAUACUGUCGAUGUCUUCGGAGUCAUAGUCAAGCGCGUCGGUUAAGUCUUCGAUAGUGGCUAUGAAGUGGGUGCUGGGUGGUAAGCGAGAUUCUCCUUCGUCAUCAGCCUCCAGUUCAAACCGGACAUAAUUCGGCUGUGAGUCCCCCGCCAAGGACAAGUUUCUUAAUGAAUUUAGCACAUCGCCCAAGGGCGAAUGCUGGAAGAUGUCCGCGGCGCUAAACUCAAAGAUCGAUAAGCGAUCCAGUUCAGCGUCCGCGGAUGUGCAUGGCUCGGAAUUCAUGACCGAAGACAAGUCCGGGGUUCCGGUGACCAAGGCAUCGAGUGACUUUAGGUCUAUGUUCGGCUCCAACGCCGUGGAAUCUGCGGCCUCCGCGGUGGGGUUGAUCCCCCCGUCCUUGGACGGCGCAAUAUGUUCCGGAUCUAUGGCCAGAGCAGUUACAGGAGCAAUCUCCUGGAUGCGGCCCGAUGACAGAUUUAGGCCAUGUUCAUCACGGUGACUAGGAGCGGUCACCACUGUCUCGAAUCCGGUGAAGAUCAAAUCUCCACGGAUGUCCGCGACAUAGUUCAAGCUCCCAAAUCUGACUUGAUGGCCAAGGGCGUAGCUGUCGAUCUGCUCCAGUUGGCCAAGCGAGGUGGCCCGCAGCGCGACGCCGCCGAACACGAAGAUCUGUCCGGGGAGGAAGGUUUCCCCUUGGACAGCAUUGUUGACGAUUGAAGGGGCCAUCAAACCUUUUGGGGACGGCACAGUGGAACUCUCAAUUAAAGCAGCAAUGUCGGUGUCAAAACCGGCGGAUCUCGGGUAGGGGGUCCCGAACUGUGCGUCUAAGGUCGAUGGUAACAGGAGACAGGGGACACGAUGUUUACCCAGGUUCGGGCCCUCUCUAUGGAGGUAAUACCCUACUUCCUGCUUGAUUGAUCUUGAUGAAUAUGAGUAUUACAAGAGUUGAUCUACCACGAGAUCGUAAUGGCUAAACCCUAGAAGUCCAGCCUGUAUGACUAUGGUAAUGAGUCUCUAUCCUUCCGGACUAAGUCCUCCAGUUUAUAUAGACACCGGGAGGAUCUAGGGUUACACAAGGUCGGUUACAAAGAAAGGAAUCUACAUAUUCGGCCGUCAAGCUUACUUCCACGCCAAGGAGAGUCCUAUCUGGACACGGGUGCAGUCUUCGAUCUUCGUAUCUUCAUAGCCCAUCAGUCUGGCCCAUGGCUAACAGGCCGGACGCCCGAGGACCCCUUAGUCCAGGACUCCCUCACUCUCCACUUCCGAGUUGGUGAUGGAUACAUCAUCUGAAUCCUCGGCUCGAGGACAAUCCUGCAUCACCCCCGUAUCAGCCCCCGUCCUUACGGCAGGAUCUGGAAUCCGGCAGUGGGGAGUAUGACCGGCCGGACCCCCGGACAUAGUCCGGCACACUCUUUUCCUGAUACAGGACAAACAAAAAUGUCACAGUCGGAUGCGAGUGCCAAGGGGCAUAUUUGCAGAACCGUACCUCUUUGAUAAAGGCUCGGCCGUAUCUUCAUUCGCCUUCCUCUUCGAAGGCUUGCCCGGCGUGGGGGUCGCUCUCUUGGGAGAUGCCCCAGUGGCAGCAUGGCGCUUUUCCGAACGCCUCCCCUUUUGAUCGCAAAACAGUGCGGUGGGUGAGGCAGAACGGGGGAACUCUUUCGGAGGAGAUGUCUCCUGAUUACUUACAUGCGAAGCGGGGAGAAGACCGGGAUAGUCGGCGGUGAUGGCCACUUUCGUGCCGUCAUAGCUCACCCGGUAAAACACUCCAUCCUCGAGCACCACGAAUAUAUCCGGAUCCUCUUCGAAUCCUGGGUCAAGAUCCCGGUUGUGGCCCUCUGGCUGCGGGGCGGGGCUGUGAAGCCCCUCGGAGAUCUUUUGCCACUGCUGUUAUAAAUGGAUGGAUUAAACACUCAUUGAAAGUGGCUCGAGGAGUGGAGUGAAUAAAGCAGAGGGGUGGGGACUUACCCAGGUAGGAGGAUUGUACAUUGAAAAUCCAUCUCUGCGCUUGAUACGAAGAAAUUCCUCUUCCUCCCCUUUGAACAGUUCGGCCAACAUUUUGGCCAGAGCGGCGGGGGUGUCCGGACCCUUUCGGCCGCAGCGGGAGGCGUCAUCCUCCCCAUUGUAGUGCCACACGGGAAGCCCUCUGAAUUGGAGUGGCUAAACCCCUCGUACUAUGGCAGUCGCCAUUACCUCGACUAUUGACAAUCCGGAUUGGGUGAGCGUCUAUAUCUUGCUCAUGAGUUGACGAACUUCUGCACUAUCUUCCUCCUCGAGGCUUCGGGGGCGCCAACUGUGGCGUUUCUUCAAAGGAACACUUGUGAACUCGGGAAGACCCCUCCAAACUGGGUCGGGAAGCGCGACGUCCUCGAUAUAGAACCAUUCGGAAGGCCAUUCAUCGGAUGCUUUCUUUGGUGUGCCGGACAGGUAUCCGGUCCCAGCGAUGCGCCAUACCUUGGCUCCGCCCACUUCAAAUAUGGACCCCUCGUGGUUACGCGGGACGAGACAGAACAACUUUCUCCACAAUUCAAAGUGAGCCUCACAACCGAGGAAGAGCUCACAAAGAGCGACGUAACCCGCGAUAUGCAGAAUGGAGGCAGGAGUAAAGUUGUGCAGCUGGAGGCCGUAAUACUCCAGAAGCCCUCGGAGGAACGGAUGAAUUGGAAAUCUGACACCUGUUAGCAGAUAAGGGACAAAGCACACUCGUUCCCCCUGGAUGGAUUGGGGAAAUUUUCAGCUUGAGCCCCACCAUUGAAGGAGGUCAGUCCUACUCGAACAGGGACUAGAUCUGCGGAGGGAAGGAAUCCCUGUGUUUACAGCUUCACCAGCUGACCAUGAGACACGGAACAUCUCCCCCACUCGCCUUUUCUGUGCCGCAGGGAAGGGAGGAAGAGCUGGAAACGCUAGCCAUGUUGGAAUGGACUUUUCUAGCAAAGCUCUGAGGAAUUUUUCUGUGUGGUGCUGAAUGGAUCUGAGAUCCAAUCUCUUUAAUUGAUGCUAUUCUUACAUGGCUGGGGUGUUAUGUGCAAAAAUAACCUAACCUCUCGCAUUUGCUCAACAUGUGGAGGCUGAAGUUGCUGAUACACAGAAGCCGAGGGGUAUGACAUUAAAUGGAAGGCCGAAUACAUCACUUUGAAGUCAUCGGAGGAGGAACCCGCCUUGCAAUGCCGAAGACAAUCUGCGUGCCGGACACCUCAUCAUUGAAGUCUGGUUCGAGGGCUACUGAGGGAGUCCUGGACUAAGGGGUCCUCGGGCGUCCGGCCUGUUAGCCAUGGGCCGAACUGAUGGGCUGUGAAGAUACAAAGACCGAACACUCCACCCGUGUCCAGAUGGGACUCUCCUUGGCGUGGAAGGCAAGCUUGGCGAUCGAAUAUGAAGAUUCCUUUCUCUGUAACCGACCUUAUAAACCGGAGGGCUAGGUCUGUAGAGGCCAAUACUCAUAGCCAGAGUCAUAUAGGCUAGACUUCUAGGGUUUUAGCCAUUACGAUCUCGUAGUAGAUCAACUCUUGUAACACUCAUAUUCAUCAAGAUCAAUCAAGCAGGAAGUAGGGUAUUACCUCCAUAGAGAGGGCCCAAACCUGGGUAAACAUUGUGCCCCCCGUCUCCUGUUACCAUCGACCUUAGACGCAUAGUUCGGGACCCCCUACCCGAGAUCCGCCGGUUUUGACACCGACGGGCGCCCCACCUGCGGGCGCAGAUCCUGGGGGUGGUGCCGCUGGAAACGCCGCUUUCCUGAGGCCCUUGGUGGAGCAGCUGCAUCUUCUUCUUGGGGAUGGCCUCAGGACGGUAGAUGGCGCCUUCGUUAUCUGGGUCUUCGGCUGGUGUAGCUUGGUAAGCGCGCUCGAGAGAGCACACCCCAUCCUUCUCUUCACAGGCGACCGUGAUGACACCGCUGGUCCCUGGCAUCUUGAGGACGUUGUAGUCGUGAUGGGUCACUGCCAUAAACUUGGCCAGGGCUGGAUACCUGAGGAUGGCGUUGUACGGCAGGCGGAUGUGGGCGACGUCGAAGUCAAUGAGCUCGGUGCGGUAGUUAUCGCGCUUGCCGAAGGUGACAGGGAGGCGGACCUGCCCUAUCGGGGUGGUGGAGCCAUCGGUCACUCCUGAGAAGGGCUUGGUAGGCUGCAGCUGAUCGUCUGGCACCUGGAGGCGAUCGAACGUCUCGACGGACAGGACAUUGAGCCCUGCGCCGCCAUCGAUGAGCGUCUUGGUGACUUGGACGUUGCUAAUGAUGGGCGAGCAUAGCAUCGGGAGGGCGCCGGCAGUUACCGCGCAUUUGAGCUGGUCGGACGAGCUGAAGGUAAUGGUGCACUUGGACCACCUGAGCGGGCGCGUGGCCUCGAGCCUGAGGAGGGCCGCGUUCACUUCGCGGGCGAACUGCUUGAAGAUGCGCUGGGAGGCUGGGGCCUGAGCACCACCCAAGAUGCAGGCGAUGGCACGAGGCUCCUGGAAGCCCCCAGCCCCCUCGCACUAGUGCAGAACCAGGCUAUAGCACCGGUUCAUAAGGGCCUUUAGUGCCGGUUCUGUAACCGACACUAUAGGGUGGGGACUAAAGGUCACCCCCUUUAGUACCGGUUCUGCACAAACCGCCGCUAAAGGGCCACCACGUGGCACGAGCCAGCGCCGGGGGCGGGGAGCCCUUUAGUACCGGUUUGUAACACCAACCGGUACUAAAAUGUUGGGGGGGGGGUUGGUUUCAUGAUUUCUUUUUUCCUUUAAUUAUGUGUUUUCCAUUUAAUUCUUUUUCGUUUGCUGGUAUUUUACGAUACUACAUAUUGUACAUGUUAUGCAUAUAUAUCUAAAUAGAAUUUCUCAUAGAACCGAUCAUAUAUAUAUUUUUUCGAAAAGGGGGAUCUCCCCGGCCUCUGCAUCAGAGUGAUGCAUACGGCCCUCUUAGUAACGAAAAAAAGGUUCCAACAAGAUAUUAAAAAAGAAAGCUCACACAGAGCUAAAGAGGCUAGAAACACAGACUAGCCAAGAUAAGACGCCACAACCGGCUGGCUAAAGAUAGAUAGGUAAACUAAUUGCCUAUCCUAUUACAUGACCGCCAUCCAAACCGGUUGAAGAUAUCCCGAGCUACCAUCUCCCAGCGGAUAGAUCCAGUAACCAAAUGCUCCCUGGCCUCCAUCGGAGUGAGUAGCGACCAUGAACGGAUCAUGGCCGUGGCUCGGAAAAUAACCUGCAAAAAGUGAAUACGUGAUGUUCUGUUAAAAACCAAAUCAUUUUUGCAAGUCCAGAUAGUCCACAACAAAGCGCAAACUCCAACACGAAUAUGUCUCGCUAAGUCAGGCUCAAUCCCAGUGAGCCAUGUCCCAAAUAACGUAGUGACAGAAUUCGGUGGAGUAAUAUUAAAAGCAAUGUGAACCGUCCGCCAAAGGACUCUGGGAAACGGGCAAUCAAGAAAGAGAUGUUUGAUCGUCUCGUCCCGAUCACAGAAGCUACACCUCGUAGGUCCUGUCCAAUUACGCUUAAUCAAGUUAUCCUUGGUUAAAAUAACCUGUUUAUGGACAAACCACAUAAACACUUUUAUUUUCAAAGGAACUUUGACAGCCCAAACAUGCUUGGAGGUAGGAAUGGAGCUCGAAUUAAUUACAUCAAUAUACAUUGAUUUAACCGUGAAUACUCCAGACCUAGUCAGUUUCCAGCGUAAUUCAUCGGGUUGUUGAGAAAGAUGUACAUCCAUUAGUCUCCGAACUAGAAGGAGCCAAUCUUCCCAACGAUUGCCCACUAACGACCGUCUGAACUGAAUAUUAAGGGGGAUGGAUUGAAACACCGUAGCAACGAACACCUCAUGUCAUUGAACAAUGCGAUAUAAAGACGGAUAUUGAAUGGCCAAGGGUGUCUCGCCGAGCCAAGUAUCCUCCCAGAAGCGUGUACUAGCGCUGUUGCCAAUAACAACCUUUGUCCUAUUAAACAGAGAUUGUUUGACUUUCAUCAGUCCUUUCCAGAAAGGUGAGUCAGUUGGCCUGACUGUGACCUGGGACAAGGAUUUUGUCUGUAGGUACUUGCUGCGAAGGAUUUGGGCCCACAUGGCAUCAGUCUCAAAAGAAAGCUUCCACAGCCACUUGCUAAGAAGGCAUCUGUUCUUAACUUCAAGAUUUUCAAUACCAAGACCCCCUUGGUCUUUCGGUCUACAGAUGAUAUCCCAUUUUGCAAGUCUGUAUUUUCUUUUUAGAUCAUCACCCUGACAAAAGAAACGCGAUCUAUAAAAGUCCAGUCUUUUCCUAACAACUGGGACUUGAAAGAACGAUAAGAGAAACAUAGGCAUACUCGUGAGCACCGAAUUAAUCAGAAUUAAUCGGCCUCCGUAUGACAUGAGCUUGCCCUUCCAGCAACUCAGUUUCUUCUCAAACCGGUCUUCGAUGCACUUCCAUUCUCUAUUAGUCAGCUUUUGAUGGUGGAUUGGAAUACCUAGGUAAGAGAAAGGUAAAUCCCCCAAGCCGCACCCAAACAAUUGCCUAUAAGCCUCCUGUUCGUCUUUGGCUCUACCAAAGCAGAACAACUCGCUCUUAUGAAAGUUAAUCUUUAACCCGGUCAAUUGUUCGAAAAGGCAUAACACCAGCUUCAUAUUUCUCGCCUUGGCCAAGUCAUGCUCCAUAAAGAUGAUUGUAUCAUCACCGUACUGAAGGAUGGAUACACCUCCAUCAACCAGAUGAGGUAUCAAGCCACCUACUUGACCAUUCUCCUUAGCCCUUCCUAUCAAUAUGGCUAACAUAUCAACCACAAUGUUAAACAGGAUAGGGACAUCGGAUCUCCUUGUCUUAGGCCUUUAUGUGUCUGGAAGUAAUGACCAAUAUCGUCAUUCACUUUAAUUCCCACACUCCCUUUUUGCGUAAAUGAUUCAACCCAGCGGCGCCAGGCUUCAUCAAAACCUUUCAUACGCAAUGCCUGUUGGAGAAAUGGCCAUUUGACCUUAUCGUACGCUUGCUCGAAAUCCACCUUAAAAAUUACACCAUCUAAUUUCUUGGAAUGGAUUUCAUGGAGCGUUUCAUGAAGGACGACCACCCCUUCAAGGAUGUUUCUGUCCGGCAUGAAGGCAGUUUGGGAGUGCUGCACCACAGAAUGCGCAAUCUGUGUGAGCCUAUUAGUCCCGACCUUGGUGAAGAUUUUAAAACUAACAUUGAGAAGGCAGAUUGGCCUGAACUGCUCAAUUCUCACAGCAUCCGUCUUCUUAGGAAGCAGUGUGAUAGUUCCAAAAUUCAAGUGAAAUAAUUGAAGCUGUCCAGAGAACAGAUCAUGAAACAUAGGUAGCAAAUCCCCCUUAAUAAUAUGCCAGCACUUCUUGUAGAACUCCACCGGAAAUCCGUCCGGUCCGGGAGCCUUAUUAUUUUUCAAUUGUGCUAUAGCAUCAAACACCUCCUUCUCCGAGAACGGGGCAACCAGAAUAUCAUUUUCAGCAGCCGAAAGUUGAGGCACGUCCUCAGUUCUGGACUCAUCAAGGGCUACACAAUUGUCCUCCGGAGGUCCAAAUAACUGCCUAUAAUACUCGGUUAUAUAUGUUUUUAGGUUAUCCUGUCCUAAAAUAGUGCCGUCAUCUUGUUCAAGUUGGAAUAUUCUCUUCUUUCUGUGCUUACCAUUAGCAAUCAGAUGAAAGAAUUGAGUAUUCGCGUCCCCUUGGACCACUUUGCGGACCUUAGCCCGCAAAGCUCACUUCAAUUCUUCCUCGCGGAGAAGUUCUUUCAACCUCUUCUCUGCCUCAGUUUUAACCUGGAGCUCAGUAGGCAUCAAAAUCGUGGAUUCGGCCUUAAUGUCCAGAGUCUGUACAAGAGAGAGGAGCCUGUCCUUCUCAAUCUUAUGAACCCCACUAAGGUGCUUAGCCCAACCCCGUAAGAAGCUUCUCAAACUCCUAAUCUUAUUCUGCCAACGCUCAACCGCAGUCCUACCUCCUACACCCUUCGCCCAUUCCCUAGCGAUCAGGUCUAAGAACCCUUCGCGUUCGAACCAAGCCAUCUCAAAAGAAAAGGUGUUUUUGUUUCCCACGUGGUUCGGCUCCCCUGAGUCAACGAACAAGGGUGUGUGAUCGGAAAAACCCCGCGAAAGAGCUUGAACCGUCACAAGCGGGAACUUCUGUUCCCACUCCACACUCGCAAGAACUCGAUCAAGCUUUUCGUAAGUCGGGUUGGGCAAAGAGUUAGCCCAGGUAAACUUUCUACCAGAAAGCUCUAUCUCCCUCAGAUCCAAGCUUUCAAUAAUAGUAUUGAACAUGAACGACCACCUGCCAUCAAAGUUAUCAUUAUUCUUCUCCUCUCUCCUCCUAAUGAUGUUGAAAUCACCCCCAACUAAGAUUGGAAGCUGCUCGGACCCACAAAUCCGAACAAGAUCCGCCAAAAAUUCCGGUUUAAGCUCGGGCUGUGCGGCACCAUAAACCGCCACCAACGCCCAGUUGAAACCAUCAACCUUAGACCUGACUCGAAACUUAACCGCGAAGUCGCCCAUCACUACACUACGGACUUCAAGCGAAUCGCAUCUCACACCCAGCAAGAUACCACCCGAUCUUCCUCGCGGAGGGAGGCAAUGCCAAUCAAAAUCAACACCACCCGCAAGAGAGGAAAGGAACUGGGGCGCAAAGUUGUCUCUACCAGUUUCCGAUAGAGCAAUAAAAUCUAAACGAUGCUCCAGAGAUGCCUCAGCAAGAAACCUUCUUUUAGCCAAGUCUUUCAGACCUCUGCUAUGCCAAAAGAUUCCUUUCAUCACUCAUCAUGAAAUUUUUUAGUAGUCCGAAUCCUAGCACUCCUAAGAACUGCAGAAUCUGGAUAAAUUUUCCGUUUCCACUUACGCUUUGGUUUACUAGGUCCUGACUCCCGGUCCUCAUAACCGGGCUCAGCGGAAUAAACAACUGCAUUAUCUAUGGGCAUAUCAUCGUCCUCAGACUCAUGAUUGGAUGGUGCUAGAUCCACACACAUAUUAUCAAGCACUCUAACCCCUAAUGCAUCAAUCUCAUUGUCAGUCAUGGGUUUAACCGCUGCAAGAUUACGAAUAGUCUCUAAGGCACGCUCCGCCUCCAAAUCUAACAAAUCAUUCACCGAAUUGGAAAUCUCACUAUCUGUAGCCCCGAGUGAAACUCCUAAUUGGUUUGCAUUAUUUAUAAUUUCCUCAUUAGAAAAAUGCAAUAAAGAAUUAGAUAUGUUGACGGACAUACCAGUAGAGAUCUCAGCAUCAUGAAGCUUGGCCGCCCUCAUAGCGCACCUCUGCUGCAUGUCAUCAACCUCCGGAAGCUCCUGGAUGCGAGCACUCAUCCGCCUCCCCGUCGAGGCUGGGUCCGGGAUCCCGCCAAAAGCAACGACCUCCUCCCUAGUAACUCGUCGCGCUGAAACCCGCGAGGUCAACCAAGGUUACCGGAGGAGGCGGCUGCGGGCUCCCAUACCCCUCGGACAAGUGCCCCAAGCCGAGACCCAUAGCAACGGGUACGCUGGGAGGGAGGAUAGCGGGGGCCGCCUGCCUGAGCCCUCCUCCCGCCCCACCCUUCGGCGAAGAAUGGGUCGUCAUCGUCGCAGGAGACGCGGUCCUCCUGACCGCCGAAAAGGGAGGAGGAGCCAGGGCCACCUGCCCCAAACCCCCCACCCCCAGCGUCUCAGCAAGCGCAGGUGCCGUCUCCACGACCGGAGGAGACUCGGUCCUCCUGACCGCCGACGAGGAAGGAGGAGUCAGGGGCACCUGCCCCAAGCCCCCCUCCCCCAACGUCUCAGAAGCCGCGGGCGCCACCACUACCGAAGGAGAUGCGGUCCUCCUGACCGCCGGCGAGGAAGGAGGAGUCAGGGCCGCCUGCCCCAAACCCCCCUCCCCCAACGNNNNNNNNNNNNNNNNNNNNNNNNNNNNNNNNNNNNNNNNNNNNNNNNNNNNNNNNNNNNNNNNNNNNNNNNNNNNNNNNNNNNNNNNNNNNNNNNNNNNNNNNNNNNNNNNNNNNNNNNNNNNNNNNNNNNNNNNNNNNNNNNNNNNNNNNNNNNNNNNNNNNNNNNNNNNNNNNNNNNNNNNNNNNNNNNNNNNNNNNNNNNNNNNNNNNNNNNNNNNNNNNNNNNNNNNNNNNNNNNNNNNNNNNNNNNNNNNNNNNNNNNNNNNNNNNNNNNNNNNNNNNNNNNNNNNNNNNNNNNNNNNNNNNNNNNNNNNNNNNNNNNNNNNNNNNNNNNNNNNNNNNNNNNNNNNNNNNNNNNNNNNNNNNNNNNNNNNNNNNNNNNNNNNNNNNNNNNNNNNNNNNNNNNNNNNNNNNCGCAGCCGUUAUCCCUGGAACCUCGACCUCAGGAGGAGCAACCACCGACUCCCCGUCCCCGGAGCCAACCAAAGUCCUCACCGAUGAUGUCCGCGUCAAGCAUCCAGCCAGUGCCCCACCGGCAUCCUCGAACUCCAACAAAGGUAGUGACUGCUCAAAUGCAUCAUCAGAAUCUACCCGGUCUCUCCAAAGUCUGGGAGGGGCAGAGGCUGGCUCAAAGGACCCAAACCGCAACGAAGUCAUAGGCACCGAUGGUGAGGUUGCCGGCUCAACCCCGGUCCCAUCCCCGGACUGAGCCACAGGACGAGAGCCGUUGGUCCCCUCACGAGUCGACUCGUCAUUCGGUGCCCCCUCAGCUCCCGCACUGUCGUCCCCCUCGUGCAUAUCAACAUCAUUCCCAAUCAUUGCCUCAGCAAACAGGGCGGCGUCCUCAAACUCGAUCUCAAGAGGAAACACCUCUCCCCUAUAAGUCCAGUUGACCACAUCAGGCACGAACUCAAUAUCCAAAACGCUCACUAAGAUGCGGGCCACUCCAUGUGCACGAGUAAAGGCCAUAUCCACUUUCUCCGUCUUGCCAACCAUAAUGCCCAUACUGGCCACAACUCGAACAUCCUGCAAAGGCUUAGAUGGAGCCCCCGAAAACCUCAACCAGACCUGCGUAAGCGGCUUUCCUUUAGGCUCCACCUGCUGCCACUCAUGGAACUCCAGAAUGCACCUAGUGCCAGGAACUCUACAUAAACCAAAACUCAACAGUCUCUGCAGAUCAUCCACAGAAGGAAACUCCACCUUAAAAACAUUGGCCUCGAGAGUAACGAGCUCCCAAUGGAAGUCCCCCGGUGCCAGUUCCUGAAGCCUCUACACAAUCUGAGCCUCCGAAACCUCACCCUGAGUAGCUUUGACAACCCCGGUGGUCAAGCUCAAAGUCUCCUCCGGAAUCUCUCUCGCGGCCGGGGACUCAAAGAACAUUAGCUCAGCACAAUAAACUCCAUACAUUGUCAAAGACGGAGCCUGGUCACGCAACAACGGGCAAUCCCCCGAGGCAUGUGCCGGCUUACCACAGGACUCACACAGCUCUGCCACGCAUUCAGCAAUGAAGUGGCCCUUCUCACCACAACGGUAGCAAAGCAUCCUUUCCUUCUUACGCACCCACUUGGACGCCCUCUCAGCAUAAGACCUGUCGGUAACCUCAGUCCCACUCCCAGUCGCAGGAACCUCAACAUUGGCUAAAGCCGCUACCACCUCCAUCGCCUGUGGAGGGAGCUCCGUGGAAGCGCGAUCGGUCUCCACUACUGACGCCGCUUGGUCAACAACUGCCGAAGGCGGAGGCGGUCUGCGAUGAUACCUCCCGCGGCCACCGCCCCGACCACCACGAUGUCCACGAUGACCCCCUCUCUGGCGGUGAUCCGGACCGGAGGCACCCUCAACAAAACCUCCUGGACGGCCGAGAAACGGUCGCUCAGCAGACCCGUCACUCUGCCAGGCAUAACCACGCCCCCCUCCCGUGGAAGAGGAACCACGGUGCUGUCCAUCGCCAUACACAUCUAACCCAUCGUCCCCCCAUUGGCCUCGGGGCGGAGCACGGGACUCUUUAGAACUUGAAUUCUGCCUCGUGUGAGAUGGUCCCGACCGGUUUUGAGCCGGCCGCGCGACGAAGUGAGGCGGAGGCGCGGCAUGAGACUGACCACCCACAGGUGACGACACGAUCCCGGGAAUAGCACCACCUCUGCCAGUACCAGCUACACCAGCCGCGCCCAGCGCUGGGGGCCUAGGCCCGCAUCGACCCGCUGCCGGCGGAGCGACGGGCGCCGGAGGCCUGAGCCCUCCCUUUCCAGCUGCCGGUUGCAAGGACACCCCCGGCGCUGGAGGCCUAGACCCACCUCGACCUGCUACCGGCUGAGCAACGGGCGCCGGCGGCCUCACGCCCGAGUUAGCAUUACCACGGCCCGGUCCCAGUGGAACGCCCCCGCCUGCUGGCUGCCUCUGGCAUGGCGGCACGAGGGCUCCACGCCCGGCCCCCGCUGCCGGAGGCGGCUCCUCCCCGCCCCGCCCUGCUGGAGCGGACGAGGCGAGUCUCUUCGAUGGAGGUGGUAGGAGCUACUCCCGCACGUCUUUGAACUGGUAAGAAGGAGAUCAAUAUGCAUGUGUAUUAGUUGUGUGACUAGAUAUCGAUAAUCAUGUAAAAAUUGUGAAUAGUGUUCGGGCAAACGUACCCAUUGCUGUCUAUCAGAUUUGCUCCUUUUGGACACCAUCAUGCGAAUGUUCUCGCAAACAUAGUAUGCACACAGAUCAGUCCCCGACGCCUGCUUCAGGGCCUUUACGAGAAUGGAAUUUAAUAAGAUAAUAAUUAAUCAAGCAUGAUAAUUAAUUAAUGGUAUUGAAACAAGAAUUAAAGAUAUGGUAGCUAGCUAGUACUACUUAAUUACUUACCCUGGGUCGAAACCAAAACAGCUUUUGUCGCCAUUUGCCUGGAGUCACAUUGAUGAACUUUUCCCAAGCCCUACCCGCCGGCAAAGAAAAUGAAUAAAGGGGUUAUUAAAUAGUUGAUAUCAGGAAAUGACAAACUAAAAAGGCCGAGAUAUAGUUAAUAAUGAUUGAAAUUACCUGGCGACUAUCCCCUUCAAGAUGAUGAAGUCACUUUCUUUUUUAAGUAGUGAGUCCAGUACUUCAACUGUUCCUUCUUCAACUUUAAUGACUAACAAGAUCUAGUGGUAACUGCAUGCGCACACGUUUGCAUGUCUUAAUUAAGCGGGCAUGUGCAUAACACUAAUCAACUACCCUAAACCCUAUACACCUAAUUAUUAACAUCUAGCUAGGUAGUAAGCAAAAAAAAUUUGUAGUACAAGACAGUGUGACUCACAGGAAGUUGUAAGGAAGUAGUAUAUCUUCAUUGGUAUUGAGGCGCUUGAAGAACUCUAGCAUGUUAUUCUCUACAUCUUUUUUAUACCAUUGGUAUUGAGGCGCUUGAAGAACUCUAGCAUGUUAUUCUCUACAUCUUUUUUAUACCAUUCAUAUUUCCAUGUGGAAUUUGGGUCAAUGAACCCAAUGCCAUAGCAUCCAGCUUUUUUCAUUUCAUACAUCUUCAUCCUGCAUAAUACCACAGAAAAGAAUAUAGUGAGGAUAAUUACAGGUAAUGAUCGAUCAAUGAGCACUAUAGCUAGCUUGAGACUUAAAUUACAGAAAGAAAUCACUUACAGACAAUAGCAACUGAUGAUAGAUUUGUCCAAUGCAUCUUAAUGGAAUAACUGAAAUAGUUCUGAAUACUCAACAGAGACAGCUAGCCCAUGGAAGUAAUGCUCCUCCUUGACUUUCACCAUGAGGGACUCUCGAUUGGAACUCUUGGUAAUUUUCAUGUACCAAUCAUGCAAUUCAUACAUUCUCGUUGGGAGUUUCUUGACCUCCUCAGGCUCGACCAAAGGUUGGCCGCGGACAUAUUUCCGUUUUAUGUCCUCCUCUCUGAGCGGAGACAUGGGCUCUAUCUUGAGGAGUUGUCCAAUAGUGAUACCGAGCAUUUUAGCCUGGCUUCUAUGCUCGUCGGUUAUUACCAGCUGAUUGCCCAGCUGGGGAACGGUUUGCCCACAUGGGGCGCCGAUACUCUCAUGUGUUGGCACAACAAGCGGGGGGAUCGAUUGCGCCGCCUGUUCUCCCAGCUGGGGAACGGUUUUCCCGCUUUUUUUGCCAGCUGCUUGGCUCGAGCUCGAGCUCGACUCCUUCUAUAGUCGUGCUCGAUGUGCCUUCCUGAUUUGGCGCUCAUAGUCUGAGUCAACAGGCUUGGGAGCUGGUGGUCUAGCCAUACGAAUAAAGUGGUCAAUAUUUUCCCCAGGCACUUUCUCCCUUGGCGGCGGUGCCGGUUUCGGUCCAAAAUGGGCGUCCACUAGGGCCUUCACUAUGGCUGCGUUUUUGCUCCUCGGUCAUGUCGUAAGGCCUCUGAGGAAGAGGAGUGAGGCUUGGACCAUAUUUAUAUCGCUUGCCUCCGCCUGUACCUCAUGUACUACCUUGACUCGUACUGGUACGCACCAUAGCUGCGGCAGCUCUCUUCCCCGAUUGCUGAGGCGAUGGAGACGGCUGACGUGGCUGAGUUGGAGCAGGAGGAGUGGCCUGACACUGUGCUGGACUUGAAGCAGGAGGAGUGGCCUGAUGCGGUGUCGGACUUGAAGUAGGAGGAGUGGUCUGGCGCUGUGCCGGACUUGAAGCAGGAGGAGUGGUCUGACGCUGUGCCGGACUUGAAACAGGAGGAGUGGCCUGACGUUGUGCCAGACUUGGAGGGGGAGGAGUGGCUUGACGCAUUGGUGGACUUGGAGGAGCGGGAGUCUGCUGACGCGGUGGCGGACUUCGAGGAGGAGUCGGCUGACGCGGUGUCGGUGGCCUUCGAAAGUUGAUGCAAUCCUUUCUCCAUAGGAUGAUACGAUGUUUGGCCUCUCCUAGUGUGUGCUCCUCGCCACCUUCAGGAAUGUCAAGCUCUAACCCCGAAUAUUGGUCCACCACCUCAUCAACCACGACACGAGCAUAGCCGACUGGAAUCGGGUUGCAAUGGAAGGUUGCAUCGGGGGAAUUUGUAUAAGCAAUGGCGUCCUCCACCUUCAUGGAUAUGUUCUUCAUUUUGAAGUGUAUCUCACAGUUAGUGCUCUCCAUGAUGUCAUCCACAGGCUAUCUAUCCAGCAGUGCGUCGCCCGGGGCGGAACCAACGCUGCUUCUCGGCAUGGAUGGGAUGGUGCUAUACAAUUCUGGAUCAUCCGCUAGCUGCUGCCGCUGCUGAGACCCCCUUUCCUGGCUAAGUGAGUUGAUCUGCUGCUGCUGCCGCUGGAAUUUGAGUGCCAAGUCCGCGUGCGCUGAUUCUAGGCCUUGAAGGCGUUCUGCUUCCUGCUUCCCCUGCUCCUCCUCCAGCUUCCUCUUCUUCUCCUCCUCCAUCUUCCUUCUUGCACGGCUUCUGUAGUCGGCGUUCCAGUCUGAAAAGCUCUCAUACCACGGAACAACGCCCUUGCCUCGUGUUCUUCCCACGUGUUCAGGAUUUCCCAGGGCGCGCAUAAGCUCGUCGUUCUCUCUGUUGGGCGUGAACACCCCCUUUCGAGCAUCUUCUAUUUCUUGAAUUUACUUAUCUUCGGCUCCUUUAAGACUUGCCUUCUUUGAAACCUGGCCUGUCUUCGGGUCCAACGCCCCCCCCCAUGCGCAUAGAACCAAGUUCUACACAUGGAGGGCCAGCUCUUAGUAACUGGAGUGACCUCUGCAUCCAGCACCUCUUGCUCAGACUUAUCCCACUUAGGCAUUGCCACCGCGUAGCCACCUCGCCCCAGCCUAUGGAACUGCUCUUUUUUGCGGCAUUGGCCUUGUUUUUUCUCGACCAUUCCUUAGAUAAUUCUGAUUCCUUGAAUUUCACGAAAACGGGCCAGUGUUCUCUUUGCUUCUCCAGUGUUCCCUUGAAUUCUGGAGUCUUCUUUCCUCCUUCGACGUACUUGGCCCAUAUAGUUUUCUUGUGGGUGUUGAAUGCAAUUGCCAUCUUCCUAAGAGCAGUGUCCUUGACUUUCUCCACAUCUGCAUCAGUGAAAUGAUCUGGUAGGGUGAAAUGUUCCAUGAGAGAUUCCCAAAGCGUUGAUUUUGCUCUGUCGUCGACCCAAGUAAGAUCUGGACGUUUCUUUGUUGGCUCUUUCCAUUCUUGAAUGGAGAUCGGGAGUUGGUCCCUCACAAGAACUCCGCACUGACGAAUGAACUUGUUCGCAAUGUUCUUAGGUGAGCUAGGUUCGCCAUUAGCUUUGAUGGCAUCGAUGUUGUACUUUACGCCCUCCUUCAACUUUUUGCCUUGGCCUCGCACUAUCCUGCUGCCUGUAGAAGAUUUGCUCGAUCCGGAGGGCUGAAAGAAGAAAGAUCGAUUCGUUAAUAUAUCUUCAAAUCAAUAAAAACAUGUGAUGAUCACCAGAUGCCUGCUUAUAUAAAUAUACCUCGCCGCGGGUCUCUGUUAUUUCAAGAUCAACAUUUUCGGCGUCAUCAUAAUCAUUUUUGGCGUCAUCAUAAUCAUAGUUCAUGACUUCAUCAAUUCGGUCGUCGCGAUCGAAUAUCAUAUCAUCACCCUCCCCGGUAUUGUUCAGAUAUUGGGAGCCGUCAUCUUCUUCAUUCUGAGCAUCUGGCUCGCGAGGGGAGCGUAUGACCUUGAACAGGGCCUCUUCUCCCUCUCUGCCGGUAUUGUCCGCCAUAGCUUUUAUUUAACUAAUAGAGAAGAAAUAUAAAACAAUUUAGUAUUCAAAUUACAAUGCAUGCAUGCAAUCAAUAAGUAAAAACGGAAUCAUAGUACAUAAUUUCGAAUACAUCAUCUCGAAUAAUAUAUAUAAUCUCGAAUACAUCGUCUCGAAUAUUAUAUAUCAAAUACAUCACUAGCUAGCUAGCUAAUAAAGAUCGAAUACUACAGAAGAAUCUAUGCCACUCGCGGUUCCUGAGGCGCGGGCAGUGGGCACCCAAAGAGAAGGAACCAUCACAGGAUCAUAGCUCCGGUCAUCUCCCCAAAGAACCUGCCAGGUAUUGGAGAACCUGACGUCCAUAGCAGCCAUGUAGCGACGGACGUGCUCGUCCUCCUCCCUGACACGGCGACGCACCACCUCCGACGGGGCCGGCUCCCUCUGCACCGAACGUGGCCCAUGCGAACGCCGCCAAAGGAGCUCAGGGUCGACGACGGGACCCGGCGCCGGGUUCCUCACCAAGCGGCGAGCCCCUGAAGGUAGCACCUCCCAAUGCCAGCCCGGUGGAGCCCAGUCCCGGACAUGGGUCCUCUGAACCAAGACGUCGUCGCAAACGGGUCGACGGCGAGGAUGCAGGCGGGGCAUCGUGGACAUCGAUAACAAAUUCUUAUGAAAAAAAAUUCCUAUAUAUGCAAUGUCAUUUUAUUAGGAAAUUUUGAGGAACUUUUUCCUAUGCAACUUUUUUAUAUGCAAUUUUUUUCUAUACUAGGAUAUGCAACAGAAACACUAAUUAAGCAUCUAACACUAAAAACAGAAAAGGCAACUUCGAUACAUCCAUUAAAAAAUAGAAAAACAACAUUAUAUACAAAAAUUUCAUACUAAUUCAACACUAAUUGUAUGCAUCUAACGUGCAUUCAUACAUAUAUACUAGUCAAAAAAUAAUAAUCUAAAACAUCUAAACUAAUUAAACAUACAAAAAUAGAUAUAUACUAAUUAACUUAAGAAAAUGUGUGUGUGUGUGUGUGUUCAUCAUGCAUGUGUGUGUGUGUGGGGUCGGGGAGGGGCGGCCAUGGUGGCCNNNNNNNNNNNNNNNNNNNNNNNNNNNNNNNNNNNNNNNNNNNNNNNNNNNNNNNNNNNNNNNNNNNNNNNNNNNNNNNNNNNNNNNNNNNNNNNNNNNNNNNNNNNNNNNNNNNNNNNNNNNNNNNNNNNNNNNNNNNNNNNNNNNNNNNNNNNNNNNNNNNNNNNNNNNNNNNNNNNNNNNNNNNNNNNNNNNNNNNNNNNNNNNNNNNNNNNNNNNNNNNNNNNNNNNNNNNNNNNNNNNNNNNNNNNNNNNNNNNNNNNNNNNNNNNNNNNNNNNNNNNNNNNNNNNNNNNNNNNNNNNNNNNNNNNNNNNNNNNNNNNNNNNNNNNNNNNNNNNNNNNNNNNNNNNNNNNNNNNNNNNNNNNNNNNNNNNNNNNNNNNNNNNNNNNNNNNNNNNNNNNNNNNNNNNNNNNNNNNNNNNNNNNNNNNNNNNNNNNNNNNNNNNNNNNNNNNNNNNNNNNNNNNNNNNNNNNNNNNNNNNNNNNNNNNNNNNNNNNNNNNNNNNNNNNNNNNNNGGCGACGGCGUCGAUCGAGCGGGGCAGGCGCGCGGUGCGUCGUUGAUGGAGAAACAGAGGAAGAAACAGAGGGAGAAUGAAAAUUUUCCAAGUGUUGUUUAUAUAGGAGGGACCUUUAGUACCGGUUGUAGGCAUCAACCAGUACUAAAGGUCAAAUUUGGCCAGGCCAAGCGGCGGGGACGGCACCCCUUUAGUACCGGGUCGUGGCUCCAACCGGUACUAAAGGGGGGGUCUUUAGUACCGGUUGGAGCCACCACCCAGUACUAAAGGUGGUGCGCUGCCAGGCGAGGGGCGCAGAAGUUUAGUCCCACCUUGCUAGCCGAGGGGCGCCCGCACCUCUUAUAAGCCCUACCGCCGCUGCUGUCUCGAGCUCCUCCCUAAAGUAGGCCUUCUGGGCCUACCUCUGCUGUGAUGCCCUGUUGGGCCUACUGGACUAGCGGGCCUGCAUCCUGGCCCAACUAGUGGUCGGGUUUCUAGUCGUAUGCAGGCCGCUGUGGCCCAGUAAGCGGGCUUUUUUUAUUUAUUUUUUUCUUCUUCUUUUUCUUUUAUGCUUUAUUUAUUUUCUUUUAUGCUUUAUUUAUUUUUGAGUUGUUUUUUGCUGUAUUUAGAGUUUCUUUGUGAAUAUUUUUGCUUUAGGUACAAAAAAUUACAAACUUUCUGUUAGUGCCGGUAGUUUUCAAAUUUGAAUAGUUUAAAUUUGAAUUAUAUGAAAUUUGUGUGAAUCACUAGUUUGUGAAUAACUUAACCUUAAAAAUAGAUUUUUCAGUGAGUCUUUUUUCUUAUGUUUAAUAUUAGUGUGUUUUAUCAUUAUAUUCAAUUUGGUAAUACUUAGGUUAUUUAAAAACGAAAUGCCUUUGUAACAGAUGAGUUUUCGUCCGAAACCCUGAUACUUCGGAAGAGAUUGUCCAUUUUGUACACGAAGUGCAUCCAGUUUUUGCCGUAACCCUCUCUACUUUUUUGCACAUGCUAUGUCAGUGAAAUUAUGAUACCAUGCCAACUUUCAACCUUUCUAGAGGUUCAUUUGAAGUGUUUUUCAAUUUGAGGGUCAUUUAGCUGAAAAAAUUAGUAAAUGCAUGAAAGAAUUUGUUUGCACAUAAAAUUUCUUCGCGUUUCAAAUGCCAAAACACAUAAGUACCCUAACUAUUACAAAGAUUCCCUCCGGUUUGUUCGAAGUGGGACUUUCCAGAUAUAUAAGUCCGGAAACUCACUAGAGAAGAAAGUGAUGACAGUGAGAAGCCGAUCACAUCCCAGAGUGGGAUCUUUGGGCCGUGUGAAACUUUUUCUUCGCGUGUGUCCCUUUGCGCCGUAACCAUGGACAAUCUUCAUCAUUUAACUGGAUGCUCGGGUCAAUAUUCACUGUGAAUGGAGCAAUUUCAUGAAACUUUUCAUAAUCUUCUGACAUGUCUAUCUUGUCAUCCACUCCCACGAUGUUUCUUUUUCCAUAAAGAACUAUGUGGCGCUUUGGCUCAUCGUAUGAUGCAUUCGCUACCUUAUCUUUUCUUUUUCUCGACUUUGUGGACAUGUCCUUCACAUAGAAAAUCUGUGCCACAUCAUUGGCUCGGACGAAUGGUUCGUCUGCAUACGCAAGAUUGUUGAGAUCCAUUGUUGUCAUUCCGUACUGCGGGUCUUCCGUUACCCGCCUCGUGUCAUAUUCACCCAUUUGCACCUAAACAAAGGGACCUUCAAAUCACGUCCAUAGUCAAGUUCCCAUAUGUCCUCUAUGUAACCAUAAUAUGUUUCCUUUCCCGUCUUGCUUGUUGCAUCAAAGCGGACACCACUGUUUUGUUUGGUGCUCUUCUUAUCUUGGGCAAUCGUGUAAAAUGUAUUCCCAUUUAUCUCGUACCCUUUGAAAGUCAUUAUAUUCGAAGAUGGUAACUGGGACAGCAAAUACAGGUCAUCUUGAAUAGCGGUGUCAUGCAUGACACGUGUCUGUAACCAGCCGGCGAAAGUCCCCGUUUGUUCACGUGUAAUCCAGUCGUCAGACUGCUCCGGGUGUUUGGAGCGUAGAAAAUUCUUGUGUUCGUCCAUAUACGGAGCCACCAAGGCGGAAUUCUGUAGAACUGUGUAGUGUGCUUGAGUGAGAGAAUGCCCGUCCAUACAUAUUAUUUGAUCCCCUCCUAGCGUGCCUUUUCCAUCCAGUCUGCCCUUAUGCCGCGAUUCAGGAACACCAAUCGGCUUAAGGUCAGGAAUAAAGUCAAUAAAAAACUCAAUGACCUCCUCAUUUUCAUGGCCCUUGGAGAUGCUUCCUUCUGGCCUAGCACGGUUAUGAACAUAUUUCUUUAAGACACCCAUGAACCUCUUAAAGGGGAACAUAUUGUGUAGAAAUAUAGGACCAAGAACGUUAAUCUCUUCGCAUAGGUGAACUAGGACGUGCGUCAUGAUGUUGAAGGAUGGUGGGAACACCAACUCGAAACUGACAAGACAUUGCACCAAAUCAUUCUCUAACCUUGGUAUGAUUUCUGGAUCGAUUACCUUCUGAGAGAUUGCAUUGAGGAAUGCACAUAGCUUCACAAUGGCUAAUCGAACGUUUUCCGAUAGAAGCCCCCUCAAUGCAACCGGAAGCAGUUAUGUCAUAAUCACGUGGUAGUCAUGAGACUUUAGGUUCUGGAACUUUUUCUCUGCCAUAUUUAUUAUUCCCUUUAUAUUCGACGAGAAGCCAGUCGAUACCUUAAUAUUGAGCAGGCAUUCAAAGAAGAUUUCCUUCUCUUCUUUGGUAAGAGCGUAGCUGGCAUGACCCUGAUGUAUGCCGUCUUUUCCAUGCAUACGUUGUUGGUCCUCCCGUGCCUCCGGUGUAUCUUUUGUCUUCCCGUGCACACCCAAGAAGCCAAGCAGGGUCAAGCAAAGAUUCUUCGUCACGUGCAUCGCGUCGAUUGCGGACCGGACCUCUAGGUCUUUCCAAUACGGCAGGUCCCAAAAUAUAGAUUUCUUCUUCCACAUGGGUGCGCGUCCGUCGGCGUCAUUCGGAACAGGUUGUCCACCAGGACCCUUUCCAAAGACUACCUUCAAAUCCUUGACCAUAUCAUGUACAUCAGUACCAGUACAGUGGCGAGGCUUCGUCCGGUGAUCUGCCUCACCUUUGAAAUGCUUGCCUUUCUUUCUUACGGGAUGCCUGCUCGGAAGAAAUCGACGAUGUCCUAGGUACACAUUCUUCCUACAAUUAUCCAAAUAUAUACUGUCGCUAUCAUCUAAACAGUGCGUGCAUGCGCGGUAUCCCUUGUUUGUCUGUCCUGAAAGGUUACUGAGAGCAGGCCAAUCAUUGAUGGUCACAAACAGCAACGCCUUUAGGUCAAAUUCUCCCUGUCCGUGCUCAUCCCACGCACGUACACAUGUUCCAUUCCACAGCUAUAAGAGUUCUUCAACUAAUGGCCUUAGGUACACAUCAAUGUCAUUGCCGGGUUGCUUAGGGCCUUGGAUGAGCACUGGCAUCAUAAUGAACUUUCGCUUCAUGCACAACCAAGGAGGAAGCUUAUACAUACAUAGAGUCACAGGCCAUGUGCUCUGGUUGCUGCUCUGCUCCCCAAAAGGACUAAUGCCAUCUGCGCUUAGACCAAACCAUACGUUCCUUGCGUCACCUGCAAACUCCUCCCUAUACUUUCUCUCGAUUUUUCUCCACUGCGACCCGUCAGCGGGUACUCUCAACUUUUCGUAUUUCUUACGGUCUUCUAUGUGCCAUCGCAUCGCCUUGGCAUGCUCUUUGUUUUGGAAGAAAUGUUUCAGCCGUGGUAUUAUAGGAGCAUACCACAUUACCUUGGCAGGAAUCUUUUUCCUGGGGCGCUCGCCCUCGACAUCACCAGGGUCAUCGCGGCUGAUCUUAUAGCGCAAUGCACCGCAUACCGGGCACGCGUUCAAAUCCUAGUACUCACUGCGGUAGAGGAUGCAGUCAUUAGGGCAUACAUGUAUCUUCUGCACCUCUAACCCUAGAGGGCAGAUAGCCUUCUUUGCUUUGUACGUACUCUCCGGCAAUUCGUUGUCCUUUGGAAGCAUAUUCUUUAUCAUUACCAGCAACUUUCCAAAUCCCUUGUUAGAUACACCAUUCUCUGCCUUCCAUUGCAGCAAUUCCAGUGUGGUGCCCAAUUUUUUCUUGUCAACUUCGUAAUUCGGGUACAACAAUUUCUUGUGAUCCUCUAACAUGCGCUGCAACUUCUUCUUCUCCUUUUCACUUGCAUAGUUUCUCUUUGCAUCGGCAAUGGCCCGACCUACAUCAUCAGCGGGCUUAUCUGAUGCCUCUUCUUCAGCUUCUUCCCGCAUUGUCGGCUCAGCUUCUUCCCCCAUUGUUGUAUCAUCGUAUUCAGGGAACCCAUGGCCAGGAUAGCUGUCGCCGUCCUCUUCUUCUUCAUUGUCUUCCAUCAUAACCCCUCUUUCUCCGUGCUUGGUCCAAACAUUAUAGUGGGCAUGAAACCGGACUAAAACAGGUGGAUGUGAAUCGUUCUUGAGUUAGAGUAAUUGUGAUCAUUCUUACAGCCAGCACAUGGACAAGGCAUAAAACCAUCCUCCUGCUUGUUUGCCUUAGCCGCAAGCAGAAAAGUAUGCACGCCAUUAAUGAGCUCGGGAGAGCAUCGGUCAUCGUACAUCCAUUGUCGGCUCAUCUUCAUUACAGAACACCGAAAAGACCAAAUUAAUACAAGUUCAUACAUAAAGUUCAUACAUAAAGUUCACACAUAUAAAGUUCAUACAUAAAGUUCACACAUAUAAAGUUCAUACAUAAAGUUCAUACAACACUUAAAUGCAACAAACAAAUAACUCUCUAGCUAAAGCAUUUAAAUGCAACAACAAAUGCGAUCAAGAUCACAACUAAGGUAACAAUUCAUCCAACAGCAUAAUGAUACCAAGCCUCACUAUCAAUGGCAUAUUUUCUAAUCUUUCUAAUCCUCAAGCGCAUUUUCUCCAUCUUGAUCUCGUGAUCAUCGACGAUAUCGGCAACAUGCAACUCCAAUUCCAUCUUCUCCCCCUCAAUUCUUUUCAAUUUUUCUUUCAAAUACUCAUUUUCUCUUUCAACUAAAUUUAACCUCUCGACAAUAGGGUCGGUUGGAAUUUCCGGUUCACAUACCUCCUAGAUAAAAAUAUCUAUGUCAACUUGAUGGGCAUAUUUGUCAUAAACACGAAAUGCAACAGAUAGUUAUAAAAGAGAAUAUACCACAUCCGAAUCAUAACACGGACGAGGGCCGACGGGGACGGAUAUCAAAACCAUGGCACUAUGUAUAACAAACACCGUACGGGUAAGAUAAUUAUACGAGUAACUAUAUAUCCAAAUAACACAAACAUGAAUUUGUUAUAUAAAAAAGAUAAGAACAAGAGGCUCACCACAAGGUGGUGCCGGCGACGGGACAGUGCGGGCGAUCCAUGGUGGUUACGACGGAGAUUUAGAAGGUACUAAGUAAACCACACCUACAUAUGCAAACUAAGUGUUAUUUUGACCUCAAAUUGCAUAUAAAUCAAAUACUACCACAUAUAUAUAAUUCCUCCCAAAUUACUAAAACACACAAAUUAAUCACUAUAUAAACCAUAGCAAGAGCUAAUCUAGCAAUGAGAGAUGAAAGGACAAAGUUGCUAACCUUUGCGAUCAUUUGAAUGGAUGGGGGCCUUCAAAUCUUGACAACAUUUGGGCAAAAUUUGUGAUGAGAUCGAGAGGAAGAAGGGAAGAACAGAGAGGAGAGGGGAAGGGGGAAGAACAGAGCGCGGGUGGACGAAGGGUUUAUAUAGGACGACCUUUAGUACCGGUUCGAGGCACGAACCGGUACUAAAGGUGCUGGAGGGGCCCUAGACUGACAACAUCCUGCCACCACUCUCUUUAGUACCGGCUCGUGGCACGAACCGGUGCUAAAAGUUCGGCACGAACCGGUACGAAUGAGAGCAGCCCGCCUAGCCGUUGGAACCGGUACUAAUGGUCACAUUAGUGCCGGCUCAAAUUCAAACCGGGACUAAUGAGCUGAACAUUUGACUCUUUUUCUACUAGUGUCGUCCUGAUGGUGGUCAUCGUUUCUCCUUGGCGGUGGCGGCAGCGGAGGGAGGCCGGCGUUGCCCUGAGGACGGUCCCCACGAGGCUGCACCCCCGCGAGGCUGGUCCUGCCAGCGAUCCUCACAAGGUAGGCCGCGCCACUCCUGGCGGGGGCCGCGGUCAUCCCAACUUCCUCCACUUCGUCCUCCUCCUCGACCAUAGCCGCGGUCGCUGCGCUCGGGGCGUCGACCGAAGUGCCCGUCGCGGAUGGCCUUGAGCUGUUGACAGUCAUUGGUGUUGUGGCUGUAUACGUUGUGGAAGGCGCAGAACGGACAACUGCCCUUGGAUGACUCGAGGUGGUCUGGGCCGCGCUUCGUCUCUCGCUCAGCCGCAAGCACGGCUACCCUCUUGCGCUUCACAUCUUUGGCCUUGGCCUUCUUGCCUUCCGGGUCGGCAGCUGGAAGCUCGAGGAGCGAGAGGCGCCCUUCCUCAGCUCUUGUGCACUUGGUUGCCAUGUUGAACAUCUCCAGGGCCGUGUAUAGUUCCUCGUGGAUGGCGAGCUCCUCCUUCAUGUUGACAUCGCAGACACCGUUGGAGAACGCGGAGAUGAUGGCCUCUUCCGUCACCUUGGGGAUGUUGACGCGAACGCUGUUGAAGCACUGGAUGUACUUCUGCAAGGUUUCCCCUGGCUGCUGCUUGAUGCGCCGCAGGUCACCCGCGGCCGGCGGGCGGUCGCAAGUGCCCUAGAAGUUGGCGACGAAACGCUCGCGCAUCUCGCCCCAGGAGGAGAUCGAUCCCGCAGGCAAGUUCAGGAGCCACGAGCGCGCGCCAUCUUUGAGGGCCAUGGGAAACCAGUUCGCCAUGACCUUCUCGUCGCCGUUGGCUGCCUCGAUGCUCAGCUCGUAGAGCUGCAAGAACUCCGCGGGGUCGGGAGUGCCGUCGUAGUGCGGAGGCAGGUCUGGCUUGAACUUGCCGGGCCAGACGACGCUGCGCAGCUCGGGAGUGAAGGCACAAUAGCCUACCGUGGUCACCGGAGCCUGGUCCUGAUAUCCGCGCGCCGCCGCCGCGGGCGGCACGCGGUCUUGACGCAGUGGUGUUGUGAGCGCAGGAGCGUUUUCUUGCGGCCUCGGGACUUCCUGGCAGCUUCCUUCUUCGUGCGCGGGCGCCCGGCGCGGCGGGUCACGCCGCGGGGCCGCCGUGGUGCGAGGGCGCCGUCUUGAUGCGGAGGUGGUGGAGGCGCUCUGUGAACUACGCCGCCCGCGGCUGGAGGUGGGCGAGGCUGCCAAAGAGACGAUGCGGGAGAGCCCCCAGCAGCGCUGACGAGCUCGGCAAUGCGGUCCAGCCAGUCCUCAUAGAGGUCGUCGACCGGGAGGUAACGCAGGAGCUCGCAUGCCAUGAGCAGCGCGGCCUGCGCGACGAGCGUGGAACGACGAGCCGGCCGGAGUCAGUGACGGGGUGGCGGUGUGUCCGUCCCGCCGCACGGAGGGGUGCAGCGAUGAGCUUGCUGCUCGUUCCCUGUCGGGCCGGUGGCGGCGUUGGCAGCGGGUGAUGGAGAACGGCGGGGAGGUCCGCCAAUGGGCGCCAUCUGAGCGACGCGAGCAGUAAGGGCGGCCCGACGCUCAGCACAGGCUCGGCGGGCGUCAGCCAUGGAUACGGCGGAGCAGGGGAGCGAGGAUUGACGGAAGAAAGGCCUCGGCGCACCUCCUACUUGGGGCGCCAAAUGUCGGAUUCAGGGUUCCAGCAAACCCUUGAGGUUCGAACUCUGGGGUGCGCACGAAGAUCUCUCUCUUCCUAGCUCGCUCUCACAACGAUCUCAAGGCCUAGCUCGCCAAACCCAAGGAACAAGAGACACGAGAGUUUAUGCCAGUUCGGGCCACCGUUGUGAUGUAAUACCCUACUCCAGUGUGGUGUGGUGGAUUGCAUUGCAGGCUGAGGAUGAACAAGUACAAGGUGGGAAUAGCCUCCUGGGGAGAGGUGUUCUUGAGCUCGGUGAGCUGGUGUGUGCGAGGAUGGUCUGAAUGAUCCGUCCAAGAUGAGUUGCCUCCUAUAGUGGUGGCUAGUGCUAUUUAUAGAGGCCCUGGUCCUCUUCCCAAAUGUUAGGCGGGAAGGGAUCCCACAACGACCAAUUUUGAAGGGAGAAAAUUAGUACAAGGUAUCCUGACAAAAGAUGGUCUUCGCCUGCCAAAAGGCUCUGGUGGUGAUGUAGUUGUGGGCUCUGCGGUGACCUCCGUCCUGCCAUCCUGCCGGUCUUGGUCUUGUUGCACCGAUAUGAAAACCUUUGCCUUAUGCCUCGGGACUCCUCGCCUGCGCUUGCCUCUUUAGCACCAAAGAGGAAACUGGUACUCUGCGCUCGCUGGCGCCCGCCUGGCGUCGGUCGUCAUGGCUCACGUCACGCGAACCUCGCGAGGUGCCCUCUGCCUUGAUAUCUCCGCUCCUCGGGAGCCAGCCUAGUGAGGCUGCCCCUGCGGAGGCCUUGCGUCGUCCGCCUCGCGAGGCUUGGCCCCUCGCGAGAGUCUUGAGUGGUUGCUGAUGAAGAUGGGCCGUACCAGGCCGUCGAUGGAGCCAUGUCGUGGGCCGCAGGCAGGCAUGUCUGGAUACCCCCGUUCCCAGGACGCCGACAGCUAGGCUACCGCAAGGCCCCGCCAUAACAUCCCCUAUGUUACGAACUGCCACAAUAUCUCAUGUGUUGUGAGUCAAUGUUGUGGAGGGGCGCCAUCAUGCUGCGAAAUGAUGUUGCGGAGGAACAUCGAUUAAUGAGGGUAUGUUGCAGUGACAAUAUCGCUCAUGUUGCAAAAGUGUGCGUGCAAACCUCUGAGCUCAUAAUGGCUCAUGUUGAAAACACUCGUCUUGCAAACCUUCGAGUGCAAUAUUUUUUAUCACAAUAUAUGUCCGUGUUGUAAAAACACGUCAGCUGGAAGAUGCGGCCCAAAUUGGAUGGCCAUCGUGAGGUGGAUCCGAUCCGUGUCGUAAGCUGGCCAACAAUUAGUAGUCGGCUUAGUUAAUCAACUUCACUCUAAGGGCACAUGACGUAAAAAAGGGGAUGACAUAGCCCAGCCCUAUGACGUACUUUGAUGGAAUAAACAUCUAUUGAUCUCGCAAAGAAAAUCAACUUCACUCUAAGGACACAUGACGUUAAAAAAAGGGGUGACAUUUUCAUGUGUAUAUCGUAGCAUUUUUNNNNNNNNNNNNNNNNNNNNNNNNNNNNNNNNNNNNNNNNNNNNNNNNNNNNNNNNNNNNNNNNNNNNNNNNNNNNNNNNNNNNNNNNNNNNNNNNNNNNNNNNNNNNNNNNNNNNNNNNNNNNNNNNNNNNNNNNNNNNNNNNNNNNNNNNNNNNNNNNNNNNNNNNNNNNNNNNNNNNNNNNNNNNNNNNNNNNNNNNNNNNNNNNNNNNNNNNNNNNNNNNNNNNNNNNNNNNNNNNNNNNNNNNNNNNNNNNNNNNNNNNNNNNNNNNNNNNNNNNNNNNNNNNNNNNNNNNNNNNNNNNNNNNNNNNNNNNNNNNNNNNNNUAAGUAGGGAAUAAAACUACUCUCCAGGAGACUAGGCUACCUAAAGUUCGAGAGCAGAAGUUCUCUCCAAAAUAACAGGAACGAAAUCUAGGUACUUAUUAUUACAAAGCCACAUCAGAAGGAAAGGGAACAACGAUAGAUUUUUUCACUGGUCGCUCCCCUCAUGCUCCCCUCCCACACCUCACUUCCAGGCGAUCCGCAUCAGUUCUCCACGUCGCUUGUCCAACAGAAGAAUGCACCUUUGCAGCAGGGUUGCUUGAGCAUCGUCGUAGAGAACCUUCCACUGGUGCAAAUAACAGCUUAGUUUUGCAAGAAUGCAGUUCACGUUUCUCCAUUUCUGCCCCUGAAAACAAAAUUUGUUUCUUAGUCUCCACAAGCUCCACAAGGAAGCAGCAAUAACCAUGUUAAGCACAUGCUUUUUUUAUGUACUCGCCUGAAAGAAAAAAUAUUGUCAAAGCUGGUAAUUCUAUCAAUUUCAAAGAAAUCGGAUAUAAAGCCCCACACAUGUUGUGCCACCACACAAUCAAAUAUCAAAUGUUGCACAGAUUCGAACUCCGCACAAAAAAAGACAGGAAGGGUCCUCCACCUCCCUCCUUUUAGCAAGAUUAUCCCUAGUCAGGAUUUUGUUAUGAGCACACAACCACAAAAACACAUGUAUUUUCUGAGGACACAUAAUUUUCCAAAGGUCAUCUUUGAUAGCAGAAGCUAUUCCCCCAAAGUUUAUGCUUUUGUAGAAGGAUUUCAUAGAGUAUAAUCCAUUAGAUUCCAAAGACCAACUUGGUAUAUCAGAUUCGUCUGAUAAUGUAUACUGCUGAACAACCCUCAACAAUAGUUCCCAUCUAUCAAGUCCAUUUUGGUCAACGCAUCUCCUAAAAGUUAACUUAAGUUCACGCCCGUCCCACACCUGAGCAACAGUACACUCCGUUUGGUUACAAAUACAGUAUAAAUCCCAGAAUUGUACCUUCAGGGAACAAUCCCCGACCCAGGUAUCAUGCCAGAUGCUAAUUAACUCACCAUUCCCCAAUUUCCAUCUGUAAAAGUUUUUCGCGGCAGCUAACGCCCAGGUGAUGCUCUUCCAGAAGGUUGAACCACCAUCACCUUUUGCCCAAAAUAGGUUAGGAGCAUUCACUCUAUACUUGUAACGGAUGAUCUUUUUCCAAUCUGAAUCAGAUUCAUCAAAGAACCUUUUGCCCCAGGAAGCUAGCAAGGCCAUAUUAUAUUCUUUGAUAUUAGGAAUCCCCAAACCUCCAUACUCUUUUCUCCUAGUAACAUAGCCCCAAUUAGCUAGAUGGUAUUUGUGUUGGUCCCCAAUAUUCCCCCAAAAGAAGUGUGCCAUUUGGAAAUUGAUGGCAUUAAUUGCCCACUUGGGAAAUUUAAUGACAGACAUGAGAUAAGCAGGAAUGCUGAUCAAGCAUGCACAAAGCAAAAUAAUCUUGCCUCUAUAUGUGAGAUAUCUCCCAAGCCAUUCAGAAAUGCCCUUAAUAAUUCUAUCAAUAAUGGGCUGAAGAUCCUCCCUCUUCAAUUUGUCAUAAUGCAAAGGCACACCUAAAUAUUUAAUAGGAAAGCCUCCUUUUUUACAACAGAAAAUCUGGGCAAAAUCAUUAGCCACUUCCUCAUCAAUAUUGAUGGUCAUUAAGUCACUUUUAUGAAAAUUAAUUUUCAUCCCAGAAAGGGAUUCGAAACACGAUAAAAACCAUUUGAAAUUUCUGGCUUUGUGAACCGAGUUCUCCAAAAAAAGGAUAGUGUCGUCUGCGUAUUGAAGACUCACAACACCCCCUGGAAUUAUAUUGGGCAGAAGCCCAGAAAUCAGGUCUUGGGAGGCAGCUUUUUUAGCAUUUUUGUAAACACAUCAGCUACUAAGUUAAACAACAAGGGGGAGUGUGGAUCUCCUUGUUUAAGCCCUUUCCCUCCAACAAAAUAUGUCCCAUUAGUGUCAUUGAUUCUCACAGCAAAGGUGCUGUUAAUUAAUGUACAUUUAAUCCAAGCAAUCCACUUGGGGCAAAAACCCCUAGAUUGUAACAUUUCAAAUAAGAAAUCCCAGUUAACCCGGUCAUAAGCUUUUUCAUAAUCCAACUUAAGCACUAAGCCUUGAGAACCAGAUUUUUUGACCUCAUGAAUCACUUCAUGUGCCAUGACAACACUCUCUAAUAUAUAUCUCCCUUUAAUAAAGGCCGUUUGGUUUGAAGAGAUUAAUCUACGGCCAACAGGGGAAACCCUAUUGGUCAUGGCUUUAGAAAAAAAUUUAAUACCACAGUUGCUCAAACUAAUUGGUCUAAAUUUCUUCAAAUCCUUGGUGUCAGACUCUUUAGGAAUAAGGACUAUCAAAGCAAAAUUCAUUCUCUGCAUAUCUAGCUUGCCUUCUUCAAAGUCUCUCACUAACACCAUAAAAUCAGUUUUGAUAACAUCCCAAAAGGUUUGAUAGAAAAGAAAUGACAAUCCAUCAGGUCCGGGUGCACCAUGUGCAUACGAACCAAAAAUCGCCUCCUUGAUCUCCUUCUCAGAAAAGUUACUUUGGAGACGUUCAUUCUCUUCCUCAGUAACCAAGUCACCAUCCUCCCAGAAGGAAGGCCCAAGAUGCACAUGAGGUUUUUCUUCAGCUCCAAAUAGAUUUUUAUAAAAGGUAGUAGCUACUUCCAGCAUCUCCUUGGUGCUAUAUACAGGGCCAUUAUCACCAUUAAGCUCAGAAAGGUGAUUCUUUCUAUGUCUAUAAUUAGCUACAACUUGGAAGUAAGCGUUGUUCUUAUCACCAUCAACAAUCUAGCGGUCUCUCGAGCGCUGCCAGAAAGCAGUUUCUUCUUUACUCCAAAUACCAGCUAGUUCCUUCUUAAUCUCCUCCAUCAUGCGCCUGUCUACGUCAUUGAUUUGAUUCCUCUCUGAAAAAACAUCAAGGAUAUCAAAUUCGAGCAGAAGCUCUCUCUUUUUUCUCUUAAUGCCUGCCUCAAUAUUAAUGCUCCAGCCUUUUACUUUCUUCCUCAAUAGUCUACUUUUAUUCAUCCAAACAUCCAUGGCCGUCUUGCCAGGGACUGGAGUGUUCCAAAUUUUACGUACUAAAUCUUUGAAAUCAGGUUGGUCGAGCCACCACUUCUCAAACCAAAAUAUUUUGGGGGAGGUAACCCUCCAAGCACUAGUGUCAAUAAGUAAAGGGGUAUGAUCGCUCCCAACACAUGGGAGAGCUGUCACAACAGACAAAGGGAAUUUAAAAUCCCAAGAACCAGAAGAAAAAAACCCUAUCUAUAGUGGCAAAAAUAGGAUUAUUCUGGUUGUUACUCCAAGUAAAUUUUCUAUUAGCACUCUUGAUCUCCAUAAGAGACCAUUUAUUGAUCCAAUCAUUAAAAAGAUAGGAAAACUGGUUAUUAAUACUCCCAUUAUUCUUAUCAUCAGCCGAUCUAACCAAAUUGAAAUCCCCUCCCAAUAAAACUGGAUAAGUAAGGUUAUCCAUACUGUCAUGGAGUUCAGCAAUAAACUCUAACUUUUUAUCAUUAUAAGAAGUGCCAUAAACAGCCACUAGAUGCCACAUGAAACCAUCACAUUUAUUCUUAACAGUAGCCACAAUACAAAACUCUCUAUUAAUAAAGCCUAUCACCUCAAAUAAAUCACUCUUAAGACCCACAAGGAUCCCCCCAGCAGUGUUCACAGCCGGUAAAAAAUGCCAUAUAAAUUCCUCCUUACCAAAUAUAUAUUUGAGAACACAGUUAUCAAUAUUUUCUUUCUUGGUUUCAAAGAAACACACAAAAUCCACAUGAUUGUUACUAACAAAGUCACCUAGGCAUUGAUUCUUCCCAGUCUGGCCCAUUCCCCGAAUGUUCCAAAAGGCCCCUAUCAUUUAAUCUUAAAUGGGUGCGACAAGCCACAAGGCUUUUUUUUGUAUUCAAGACAUGGCUUUCCAUUAACGGUCCAGCAGUGCCAUCUGAGCCAUUAAUAUGAAAGUCACUGCUAGUAGCUUUGGUCUCAUCGACCAUUGUUUCUAAAUCUAGAUUCUCAGGGAGAACAAUCUCCGGAUUAUCGUCAGCAAACUUAAGGCAACGAUUUUUCUCCUCAUCAAUCAUAUCCAUGACAAUAGCUACUUGAUCAUCGAUGUUACUACCAAUGCAUAAAUCAACCUUACUAGUAUUUGAGACAAGAACAUCAGGAUCAAGGACAGCAAAUGAUUUACCUUUGAAAGUAGUGGGAAUUUCCAAAUUCGUCAUCUUCAUAUAUGCAGCUGCUUUGUCCAUGAUCUUAAUGUCUCCAUGAUUCCUAGUUAUUGGUUUGCUUGUGAGCACUGGCCCCCAGACAGGAGAAUUUUUUACACUUCGUUUUUUCUUCUGCACCGAUUCCACACUAUCCAGAGUUUCCAGUAGAGAUCUCUUAACAGAUCCCAUUGCCAGAGCUAAAUCCUCAGGGAGACACUGCAUCUCUUCCACCAAAUCUUCCUCCUCUUCAUCAGUCUCAACCAUUUCAAACCUACUUAGUUGUUCAGAGCAAUAUUCCAGAUGUGCUGACAUGGAAUCAGAUCUUUCAAAAGGAAAUGGUUUUGCAGGAGUGGUUUUUUCAUUAUCUGCUUCCUUAUUCUUCUCAGGGGUUUUGCUCCUAAUUUCUUCCACAAAAUCCUCAUGAAUUGUAUCCAGCAUGUGGGGAGGGUGGAAUUCCACUGCAGAAGCAUCUUUCUGUGAGUUUGACUGACUGGAAUUUGCAGCCAGAGUAUUUUUGGAAGGGAAAUUUGCCUUGUCCAGCUCAUCAAUAGGUUCUCCCAUGUCUUCUCCUUGAGAUUUAUCCUUGUUAGACAUGUCUUCAUUGUUUUCUUCAUCCUCUUUCUCCAUAUUAUCCAAAUCUGGGUCCAGAUCAUCUCCAUCAGAGUCCUCUCCCAUUUGUUCAAACCCUUCAACAGUGAAGAACAGAAUGUAUAACUUCCUUUUCAUUUCAACUAAUCUCUCAAAUGGAAUUUUCCUGGGGUCUCUACAAGCCACUUUCACUCUGAUAUUCUCAUAGAAGCUCUUAAAUAUACCAUUCCAGUCCACAUCUACCAGGAUCCCAAAGCAAGCUGUAAUCUGGGCAAGCACCUUCCAUGCACACCACUUUGGAGGAAUCCCCUCAAUUUGAACCCAGGCCUCAGUAAGUCCUCCAAAUUCAUCUAGCAUUCCCACCCAUUCGCAGAUCUUGACAGAGAUACCAUCAAUUGGGAGCUCGAAUGCAAGAAACUCAAUUAGGUCUUCAACAUUUUUCCAAGGUGGAAAUCUCACCAAGAAUUUCUUCUCUCCCAAGUCCCUAAUCUGUCAAGGCCACUCUUUGUUUUUGCAAAAAAAUUCCAUUGAGCUGAAUCGGCAACUCUGAGGCAGAAACCUCACCCUUAACCACUUUGAGAGCUGCACAAUUUUUGUAGUUAAGCCAACUUAGUUCUGAAGCAGUGGGUACAUCAAUAUGGUAAAACCCCAGGCCAGCCACUGCGCUACCAAAGUAGGUCGCUGUAGGAUGUGGCUUUGCCCAGGCAGCGCAGUUGUUGACAUUAUGACCUCCCGCGCAGAUAAAGCACUUCUUCGGCUCAAUGCAGUUCCCCACAUAGUGCCCCGGCCAACUACAGUUAAAGCAGCUCAUAUCCUUGUACCUUGGAUCCAGCGCCUGAAUUGUAGCAGCAGGAGGAGGAGGUGGAGCUGGGACUGCUGUAUCGGCCACUUGCUGCUGCUGGAUCCCACGCGCCGCCUGCUUGGGAGGAUGCUGCCCCGGCUUGGCAGCACCUGCCAACGUAGCAGCACCUCCGGCCAGCGGGGCCGUUAUCUUCCCAUCUUGAGGAGCAGGCUUCUUCCCUGGCGGUGGACGGCGUUGCCGCUGCCCUCCCUGCCCCCGCUCCGUCCCUCCCUUAACCACCUCAAGAAACGAUCUAGGAAAACCUAGUUUCUCGGUGGAGAUUUUAAAGAUAGUAGGAGUUGGAUCAAAUCUGCCCACUGCCCGAAUCGGGAAAUAGUCUUGUGCUGAGAAUUUUCUAUCCCUAAACAGAUCCUUUCUAACCCAAAACAAAUUGGGGAUUGCAAGGCUAGGGUUCGGCGGCGGCUGCCUCUCUAUAUGUAGGUGCUGGCGGCGGCUGGGAGAAGGAGCCACCCAUAACUGGCCAUAAAAAUCCGCCACUUCCUCCCCGUCCCCGCUAGCAGAGGUAGAAAGCGUAUUUUUACGACCCGUUUUCUUCCCAACCACACGACCCGAAAUCAAUGGCGGUGGCUGAGAGAUCGGCCCUGUUUGUGGGACCUCCAGCUUCGAAUCCAAUCCCGCCCCUCCCACAGAAGCGAGCUCGUCGGCGGCGGAAUGGCUCGCCGGACCCGCAGAUUCAUAAGAAUCUCUCACUGACUCAGGGAAAAUAGAAGUGGAGUCACAAAUACUCUCGCAAGGGACAACCCUAUCUUCCUUAAUGAUCAAUUCAGCGCACAAAUCACCAUCAGAUCUCGAACGAACAUAUGAUUUGGGUCUGGAUUUCCUCACCUUGUCAGGGAGAUGUGGGAUCUCCCCGCGGUCGCCCGGGCAUGGUGGAAGGUUGAGGAAGCGCUCCUCGCCCCUCCCACGCCGCGCCCACAGGUUAGAGAAGCCCUGCGGGGCGUGCACGCUGGCUCCCCUCGAUUCAGGGGACCCUAGGCAGGACAGUCCCCGGCGGCAGGUACUCUGGUGGUAUGUUGGCGAUCUGCACCACCGCCGGAGGCCGAAUGUUGAGCCGCGACGGAUUCCUUGUCCUGAAUCUCGCCCACUUCGCCGCCUGUCUUGGAUCCGUUGACUCCGCCUCCUGAAUGGCCCAGAAGAUGAGCUCGUAAUCCAUCCCCCCAUCGUCGCCGGCGAACCGCGCGCGUUCCUCGAACGUCGCGUGUUGGAUGACCUCGAUGAGGGUCGCUGGCCAGUUGUCGCGGUUCGGGAAUCGCUCCCUCACCACGCGAAUCAUCUCCGCAUGUGCCUCUGGCGACCCCCGCUCGGUCACCGGCAACUGCGACACCGGCACCGGCGGCAGGGGGGCCAUCGGCGCUGCCACCUGGUGAUUGGGACGCACCCGUCGCGCCCUUGCACCCCUCCGCGCGCCCCCCACCAUCUCUCUCGCUCGACUUGGCCGUGGGAUCUGACGAAGAGCAGCCGCCAGGGGAGGGAGACGAUAUGGCGAGGGGGGAGGGAGGCUAGAUAAGCCGCGCGGCCAUUAAUCGCGGUGGUUGCGGCGCCAUUACUCGUGGUAGGUGAGGCGCGAGGGCGGGUGGUAGGUGAGAGCGUCAUUUUUCUUCCUAUAUCGUAGCAUUUUUAAGGGGUGUCCAACUGUAUAUUGUACUUUAUUCUUUUAUUUUUAUUUUUGAGCAUUAAAAAAUUAUUUGAGACAUUUUUGAGCAUUAAACAUGGUAUUUUAUUUGGGCAUGAGCCAAAGUUUGUAUGGAUUCAUAGACCAGGCCAUGGCCUCACAAGUGACAACAACGGCCCACGGCCCACUUGGGGCGUUAAAACCCCAUGCAACUCUGUGCUCCUCCAUCUUGUGCGGCGGCUGAUUCGGCAGUUGUGGGCGCCGUCGUCACCUUUUGGACGGCAUGCGUCGGAGGAUCGCUGGAAAGGCUGCGGCCACCGGUGACGGAGGAGUAGACCGCCUAGGCGCGCUCCCAGACGAGAUCCUCCAGCAUGCGCUGUCGUUCCUGCCGUCGCGCGACGCCGUGUGCACCUGCGUGCUCGCCCGCCGCUGGCGCCACCUGUGGAAGUCCGCCCCGGCCCUGCGGGUCACCGACGUCGACGCCUUCAGGAGCGCCCGCCACGUCAACGGCUUCGUCAACCACCUCAUCGUCCUCCGCGACCGGACGCCUCUCCGCGAGUGCGAGAUCGCCGCCUAUAAGGAAUACAAUGGCGGUGGGUACUACGACAGCAACGGAGAUCGCCGCGAGCACUCCCAAUACAUCGAUCUGUGUGGUCAGGUAUGCCUUGUCGUGCCACGCUCGGCUGCUUCAGAUCAGUGACCAUGACCCCAAUGAUCUUGACGCUGAAUACGAUUAUAAAAUACGGAGUGUUAUGCUUGACGUUCCCAUCUUGUCCGGGCGUCUUACCACUUUGGAACUCGACGGGGUGGUACUUUCGAGCGAAUGCUCCCACCCUCUAGAUUUCUCGAGCUGCCCAAACCUGGAGACUCUAAAGAUGAACCGCUGCUCCAUCCUAUUCUUGGGAGGCGACCGUUCCAUGAAUAUAUCGUCGCAAUCUGUGUGAUGUCUGAGCAUUACACGCUGUGAUUUUGAUCACUUUGUCCGGGCACGUGCCCUCAUUUCUAUCCCAAGCCUCGUGCACCUGGACCUGGAGCUGACCGAGGACUGUGGCUUGGUUCCUGCGUUUGAGAGCAUGAUGCCGUCGUUGCUAACAACACAUCUAUCAAGCUUGACCGCAGUUGCAACAAGGACGACAUGGGUUGCUCAUUGCUUCUUGGAUGCCUCUCACAUUCCUCUAAUCUAGACCUCAUGGCCGGGCCUCAAGCGGUAUACAUAUAUGUUUUUAUCCACUUAAAUUCUAGCUAGUCUCAUUUGACAUGCUCAUCCCAUAUGUGUUGUGCACUUGUGCUUGCCCAGUUUGCUUUCAGGACAGCUUUAAAACGGUGCACCACAUUUAGCAAGCUCAAAAUCUUGUCACUCAAUGAAUGGUGUGUGGAACCUGAUUUUGGACCACUACUUUACUUUCUACGUUGGUCACCAAAUCUUGAGAAGCUCAACAUCCAUCUAUUUAAGGUAUGUUUUGCAAUUAUAAAAUAUUUUGUGCUGUUAAAGUUACAAUUGCAUAGUUCAUUUAUUUGGUAAACUACAUAGCCAUAUCGACACGUUGAAGAAACAGAGGGAUGCUACGAUUCGGCGGAACCAUUUUUGGCAUCAAAGCAAUUCAGGGUUGUCGAGAUCAAAUGUCGAACAAAAGAUAAGUUUGUUCACAAAAUUUUGAAGGUUCUGAGUUCCUGUGGAGUACCUGCUGAGCAAAUCAAAUCAAGAAAAUAAUUUGAUCUUCCCACGGUAAAGUCAAAUUAUAGGUCUUCCUAGAUAUUUAAGUUUUUGCAUUCCCAUACGAUGUAUGUGUGAAGUUUAGUAAUGCUUCAUUUAAAUUAAUUGGACAACUAAAUGAGUAAAUGAUAAGCAUCAAGGAAAAAAUGCUCUUUAGAUAGUACGUGAAAUUAUCAGUCUUGGUGAUAUUUUAAAUUUCCGCAAUCCCACACUACAAGAAUCUGGUUUUAUGACGAGUUGCGUAACUUUGCCGAGUUCAUUCUAUCGGGAACUUGGCAAACUUUUGUCUGCCGAGUUUGAUUCAAAAUUGAACUCAGCGGUGAUAAGCAACUCGGCAAAGCUUUGACUUUGCCUAGUUCAAAUGAAAAACGACUCACAAACAAAAAUAACUCGGCAGAAUCUCAAGUUUAUCGAGUUCCACGCUAAAAAGCCCAGUAAAGAAUGGUAGAUGGGUCGUGUUGUAGAGCAGGCGACGGAGCCAUGAUGGCGGCCUUGUUGGACAUACUAGUGCUGAGUGCCAAACUCCGACAAACAAUUUGCCCAAUGCUACUAACGAAGGAACUCGGCUGAUAUUUUGUACUGGGCAAUAACUGCUGGCACGUGGCUUAUUUCUAUUCGCCUUACUCUGCCAUGUUUAGGAUGAUAAAAUUCGUCAAACCUUAGGGCCAUGUGGCAUUUCCGUUAACGUCCUGUCUAGCCUGACGGUUUUGUUUACCAAGUUUUUUCUGGUAGGAACUCAGCAAACAUUUUUUAAAUAUUCACCGAGUUCGCAAUAGAAAGAACUCGACAGUAUUAAUGAUUGCUGGGCCCGUCCAGCCGAGUGUUGUGCGCCGAGUUUGGGACUCGACGAAGAUUUCGCCAAGUUUAUUAUGGGCUCCACCGAGUUUCUUUGAAAUCCGCCAAAAGGCCAUUCUAGUAGUGCCAUGUAUAUUUAUAAAUUUUAGCAAUGUAUACUUAUUAAGCUAAUUGAACUACAAAAUAUGUAAAACAUAAGAUAAGACUUUGUAUCAGUUUCAUAGUGUUAGAAAGAGAUGUUCUUGCUUCACAACAUUUAAAGCAAGUGGUACACCAAUCCAACUAAUCCCCCUUUCCUUUUAUAUUUCUAGAGGAUCAUAUUCAGAUUCAGACUAUUCAUUGUAGUCAGAUGAACAUUUGGACCUUUAGCAAAAUUUCCAGUCGGCAAGUCGAGAGUUGAGACCUUCUAAGUUAAAUCCACAAGACUAGAAACAUGAAUGCCAUCGGGAUUUGGUCAGGUACUCAACAUGGAGAUAUCUUAUUGCUUUGUACUUUUGGUUCAAGGCAUAUGCACAUUUAAUUUUCAUGAACAUGUGAUGAUGUUCCACAUUACCAUAUCAUGUGUUCUAUUUAUUCACUACCCGUGUUGGUUGGCUUUUGCUGAAGCUGGGUGUGCCUAUUGGCCUCAUGGAGGUGCAUACUAGGUAAUACCGCACUUGAGGUGGCAUCGGUGCAGAUUGGGACUAUGCAAACGGCUAAAUUUCCUUUUCGUUUUAAACCAUCGCCUUGCGAAGUUGUCCAAUAGAGGGGUCCAUCGCUUACGACAUGGAUUAAUCAUCUGCAACAGGGCUCUAGAACGCAGACGUUCUGGCAAAAGCAAUUGUAUGUGGUGCACAAACCUAUCGCACAUACCAAAGUUAUGACAGGCGUGUGGGAUUGGUCAUCAUUCGCACACGUGUUUUCUGAGUUAAGCGCACGUAGUUGGUCAUUGAAUCCAAACAGAGAUUCAACGCAAAACAAUUACGAAAUAUUACAUAUGGCACACCGUUUUCCCAAGGAAACUGCGCGUGGUGUCUCGAGCAUCGCACACGAGUCUUCGAUUCCUAACAUCUGUCAAGUAUGAAAUCAUCGAACAUGGUUUGCAUAUAUUGCAUUUGUCAUCGGACACGGUGGCUUUGAAGCUCGCGUGUGGGAUGAGGUGGAGAGAGUCCCGACCUGAAUGUCAUUUCAAAGGUCGCGCAAACGCGAGGAAAGAAAAUCUGGCGCGUUCUUUGAGUUUGGCAGUUUUUAGUCAAAUUGUUCAUAGGGUGAAUCAGAGAGAAAAUUAGAUAUUACAUCUUAGGUGGACAGUGUUUGCUGUUAGAAAAACUGAUAAUUUCGUGCCUCCCAAAUCUUCCAUAGCACGGUAGCAGGACAAAGGGUUUGAGCUCAGCUGGAAGCUCUGACUUGUGCACAAGCGAUGUUGCCCUCAAGAGAAAAGAAAGAAUCUGCUUCACAUGGUUCCUAGAGCUAGUUAUCACGAGCGAGAAUGCACUGCAUGCGUACUAGUAUGACGAUAUGAAGGGAGCUAAAGGUAAAUCAGGAUGGGGCGCUGCUGACCCCAAUAAAUCACCCGCCUUGUCCCUGAUCUACAAAAAGCCGACUGCUUCUUCUCUGCUGAUGAAGCCAUCGAGGUGGUGGAUCAUCACCGAUGGUGAUGUAGAAGACUGGAUCUUGCUGACUGGGUUUGAGCUUAUCACGGUUGAUAUCGCGGCGGAGGUGCUAGCGCCUGCAACUGCGGUCUAAGGCCGACCGACAUCGCCAUGCCAUUGCAUCUUCUGGCCGGAAGCGGUCCCAUUUCGUUUCUUCCUGCAAUGCUGCCUUAUAGGAGGCAAUUCCUCUUCGCGUUGGUAGCCAUGGCUUUGAGCUGUCGCGCCUUCGUCACCCCAAGCGGCUUGUUCCUCGGCGACAGCGAGGUGAAUCCGGCCUGGAGAGGUUGGACCCGAUCACGUUUUUGUUUCCUAUGCAGGGUCCUUGUUGCAUAAGUCCAGGGACUUGGUUGUCUGUCUUUUUUCUUAGGUGUCCUUUUGUAAAAAUGUGUUGUACUCUGGGUUUUAAUGAAUAAAUCUUUGAGAUCUUGGGGAUCCCUCAGCUGCUCAAAAAGAAAAGAAAAGAAAGAAUUUUCUUGGGGAGUACAAUUAAAGCAUGGUUAAUAAUAUACUCAACUGCUGGCUAUAACAUGUUACCAUGCUAUCUAUAACCAAUAUAAUAGUUACUCCCUCCAUUUCGGUUUAUAGGGCUUAUCUCAAAAUUUUAGUUUUUUCAUUUUAUAAGGCUCAGUUUGAUUAUUCCCCAUCACAUGUUCAGAUUUCAAGGUGCAUUAAAUCAUUGCAUGCAAUUAUUAAGAGAAAAUAAUGCAAUUAAUGCAUUGGUAAACAUACUUUUUUGGGAAAACAAGAGCAUUAAUUGGGUACUUUUGCAAACUAUAAAAAGUAUUCCACCACUGACCAUCUACCUUGGUUGGUGAGAUUUUUGAAUUGAGCCUUAUAAACCGGAAAGGAGGGAGUAACAUAUAGAGUAUUUAGCUACAAGGAGGUAUUACUUUAUUACCACAUGACCCACCUUACACUUUCAUAAAGUAUCUUGGAGUCUGUAAAUCUACAGCCCUCUACUUUCUCUUUCCUCUUCUUUCUUCUCAACUCAGUAAAAAAAAUAUUUAAAGCCUUAUAGCCCGCCUACAUCGCCUCAUUAUACUUGCUCUUAGCAAGCUAGUGCUCCCUCCUUUCCGGUUUAUAGGGCUUAUCUCAAAAUCUUAGUUUUUCCAUUUUAUAAGGCUCAAUUUGGUUGUUCCCCAUCACAAGUUCAGAUUUCAAGGUGCAUUAAAUAAUUGCAUGUAAGUAUUAAGAGAAAAUUGACCAAUGCAUGUACUUUAUGCAUACAUGCAUUGCAAUUAAUACAUUGGUAAACAUAAAUUUUUGAGUAAAACAAGAGCAUUAAUUGGGUGCUUUUCCGAAUUACGAAAAGUAUUCCACCACUCAUCAUCUACCUUGGUUGGUGAGAUUUUUGAAUUGAGCCCAGGGACGGAGCCAGAAAAUAAAGAUAGGGGGGGCAAGAACUUGAGGUGUAAAAAUCAAAGGAUACAUAUAUAUAUAGUACAUACUGGAAGAUUUCAUAUGUGCCGUGUUCGCCCAGCUAACCAACGGCACGCCAAAAUUUUGGUGGAGGGAAGGACCACCAACGCCUCGUUGAAACAAAUUGGUUUUGUAAACGGGGUGAGGUAAUGGAGCUGGGGAGACCCAAAUAAUUCGAUCACAACUAAACAGUGGCUAUCAAACUCAUCAACGCCAAAUAAUUAGUCGGGCGCUUGAGGGCUCUUAUCUAAACAUGCCCUAGAUAAUCAAAGAUUACAUAGCUAUUAAUUCAAAAUUUGAUUUAGGAGACAGUAUCAAAGAUCGUAAUUUUCUAGCUAGUUGUCAAUGUGUCUGUAGUUCUACGACUACACGUCUACGAUUUGAAAGAUGCGAACGAAUCUGAUGAUAAAAAUAAACUAACCGAUUUUAUCAUUUGGUUGAGCUCAUCCGUGCGGCCGGCCGGCCAGAAUGCAGCGUAUAUCAACAGGAGGCGCUUGUAUAUCCCAUUCCUUUCUGGACGGAGAGAUUCGAUAGACGAUUUGGCACCUUGACGGCCGGCGGCAGCCUCGAACGCGGAAGCAGAUUGGAAAGGAAGCGAUUAGAUGAGAUCUCUUUUAAGGGGUGAUUAAAGGAGAUCUAAACUGUGUGUACAGGCGUAUUGCUUCCGCUGUGGGCUGCUUUCCUUUUUUUCAUUUCCGGGUAAUUUGGGCUUUUUGCAUGCAAUUGCUUGGAAAAAGUACANNNNNNNNNNNNNNNNNNNNNNNNNNNNNNNNNNNNNNNNNNNNNNNNNNNNNNNNNNNNNNNNNNNNNNNNNNNNNNNNNNNNNNNNNNNNNNNNNNNNNNNNNNNNNNNNNNNNNNNNNNNNNNNNNNNNNNNNNNNNNNNNNNNNNNNNNNNNNNNNNNNNNNNNNNNNNNNNNNNNNNNNNNNNNNNNNNNNNNNNNNNNNNNNNNNNNNNNNNNNNNNNNNNNNNNNNNNNNNNNNNNNNNNNNNNNNNNNNNNNNNNNNNNNNNNNNNNNNNNNNNNNNNNNNNNNNNCGAGAGAAUUUAGCAAGCAAACUGAUCGCUAUCAAGGGGGCGAUGCGAUCGUCAGGGAGGGUCUCGCCCCACCCCCCCUCGUCCCCCCUUAAAUCCGUCCCUGAUUGAGCCCUAUAAACCGAAAAAGAGGGAGUAAUGUUCUCCCUCCGUCCGGGUUUAUUGUGCCCGUGGGUUUAUUGUGCCCGUGAGCCAGCCAUCCGCGUCCGGUUUUAUAAGGCCCUGAAUUAAUUUCCCUCGAUCUCCUCUACUGCAUGCGCGCUUGAUUCGGUAAACUUCUGAUUAAUCAGCUGCAUGCAAAACGGCGUGCGCAAUCUGCUGCAUGCCAUAACUGCCUACUAGCGCUGGACGUGGGCAUGGAUUGGAUGCAUGCAAAAGGGAAGCUGGCAAUCGGCUGCACGCCAUAAUUACAAGCUAAUUUGAUUGGCCUUUCCCACGCUUCAUAAUCACACAUAAUUAGCGUUAAUGCCUUGGUACCCGAGUUUUGGCUAGUGGGCCAAACCCGGACGGAGGGAGUACUAUACUAUUACGUGCUCGUAAGUUUCUAAAGCUAGCUAGCAUGAGAUUGUUGAGUAUAUCGAGAGCGAGCGCAUGCAGCAUGCACCCCGCGUACUUACCUUGGCGGCAACUGAGCUUGAUGCCGGUGAAGGGCGUGUUGGUCCCGAUGAACUCAAGCAGCGUGGUCCCCGAGUGGACGUCGCGGCCGGCCACAUCCACUACUAGUAAAACCCCUGUAGGUAACUACUAAGUAGAGGCGCAGAUUAUUUGGCACUUGCAACUGGUAUUUAAUAGUAGCGUGGGCAAACAAGUGCGCUACUGAUAGAGCAUAUUAGUAGCAUGGGCACCCAUCGCUACUUCUAAGUGGUCCCAACCGUGCCCCUCUGAGACAGGCCAUAGUAGUAGCACGGGUUGUAAAACCCGCGCUACUACUAAGUUGAUAGUAGUAGAGCAGGGUGUAAACCCCGCGAUACUGCUAUGAGUAGAUGGGGCCAACUGAUGGGCCUCACUUAGUAGUUGUGUCGUCCGUUCAACGCAAGGGUCACCUUCUCCAGCCCCACCGGUACCAUCGCCAGUCGCCUCUCGCGGUCGACCUCGGCUAGAAAUGGUUGAUUGAUGUGCACUGUGAUGUGAGUGACGUGGGAACGGGUGGGCGAGCUGCUGCUGGCAGAUAUAGGAAGGGAGUUGGAUGAAUGGUGGCCGACCUUGAUCUGUUGCUUAUUUACUUGCGUGACGGCGAGUGCUUAGCUGCCCCGGCGACUCCGAGCGCAGGGGAUGAGAUCGGGCCAGCGUGACCUGACGGGGACAUCGACGAUAUGGCAGGGAUCUGGUUGGUCCGCGGACGUGCACGCAUGUCCAGUGUGAUAUGUUAGAGUUGUGUCCAAUAUUGUGUACAAGGUAGGUUACAAUUGGACUCUGAGUUGUAUUGUGUUUACAUGGUAUGGAGUCAUGUCUUAGUAGGACAAUUGUAUCCUAGGCCUCACUACUGGAAUCAGCUAAUUUGCCAUCUGCCAGCUCUUCGCCGUCUGGUAGCUGACGGCAAAGAAGUUCUUUGCCAUCAGCUACCCAAAAGCAGACGGCAAAGAAACGGCAGACGACAAAACAAGCCUUUGCAGGCUCUUUGCCGUCAGCCAGCGGACGGCAAAGAUUCUUUGCCGUCAGCUGGCUGACGGCAAAGAGAGAGGUGGCCCCCACCCCCCCGNNNNNNNNNNNNNNNNNNNNNNNNNNNNNNNNNNNNNNNNNNNNNNNNNNNNNNNNNNNNNNNNNNNNNNNNNNNNNNNNNNNNNNNNNNNNNNNNNNNNNNNNNNNNNNNNNNNNNNNNNNNNNNNNNNNNNNNNNNNNNNNNNNNNNNNNNNNNNNNNNNNNNNNNNNNNNNNNNNNNNNNNNNNNNNNNNNNNNNNNNNNNNNNNNNNNNNNNNNNNNNNNNNNNNNNNNNNNNNNNNNNNNNNNNNNNNNNNNNNNNNNNNNNNNNNNNNNNNNNNNNNNNNNNNNNNNNNNNNNNNNNNNNNNNNNNNNNNNNNNNNNNNNNNNNNNNNNNNNNNNNNNNNNNNNNNNNNNNNNNNNNNNNNNNNNNNNNNNNNNNNNNNNNNNNNNNNNNNNNNNNNNNNNNNNNNNNNNNNNNNNNNNNNNNNNNNNNNNNNNNNNNNNNNNNNNNNNNNNNNNNNNNNNNNNNNNNNNNNNNNNNNNNNNNNNNNNNNNNNNNNNNNNNNNNNNNNNNNNNNNNNNNNNNNNNNNNNNNNNNNNNNNNNNNNNNNNNNNNNNNNNNNNNNNNNNNNNNNNNNNNNNNNNNNNNNNNNNNNNNNNNNNNNNNNNNNNNNNNNNNNNNNNNNNNNNNNNNNNNNNNNNNNNNNNNNNNNNNNNNNNNNNNNNNNNNNNNNNNNNNNNNNNNNNNNNNNNNNNNNNNNNNNNNNNNNNNNNNNNNNNNNNNNNNNNNNNNNNNNNNNNNNNNNNNNNNNNNNNNNNNNNNNNNNNNNNNNNNNNNNNNNNNNNNNNNNNNNNNNNNNNNNNNNNNNNNNNNNNNNNNNNNNNNNNNNNNNNNNNNNNNNNNNNNNNNNNNNNNNNNNNNNNNNNNNNNNNNNNNNNNNNNNNNNNNNNNNNNNNNNNNNNNNNNNNNNNNNNNNNNNNNNNNNNNNNNNNNNNNNNNNNNNNNNNNNNNNNNNNNNNNNNNNNNNNNNNNNNNNNNNNNNNNNNNNNNNNNNNNNNNNNNNNNNNNNNNNNNNNNNNNNNNNNNNNNNNNNNNNNNNNNNNNNNNNNNNNNNNNNNNNNNNNNNNNNNNNNNNNNNNNNNNNNNNNNNNNNNNNNNNNNNNNNNNNNNNNNNNNNNNNNNNNNNNNNNNNNNNNNNNNNNNNNNNNNNNNNNNNNNNNNNNNNNNNNNNNNNNNNNNNNNNNNNNNNNNNNNNNNNNNNNNNNNNNNNNNNNNNNNNNNNNNNNNNNNNNNNNNNNNNNNNNNNNNNNNNNNNNNNGACACGACACCCCGACCCCGACACGGCACCCGGACACCGACACGACACCCGACACCUCCCGAAAAGGUGUUCUUUGGCCUUGCAGAGGCCGAUGGGGUCAUAUAUUUGUGAAUUAUUAGUUAGGUCAUAUAUUUUUCGAUUUUGUUAUGAAAACAUCAUAUAUAAUUGUUGGGAAUCGUAGCAUAAUUUAAAAAAAUUCUACGCUCACCAAGAUGCAUCUAUGGAGUCUACUAGCAACGAGGGGAAAGGAGUGCAUCUACAUACCCUUGUAGAUCGCGAGCGGAAGCGUUCCAAUGAACGUGGAUGACGGAGUCGUACUCGCCGUGAUCCAAUUCACCGAUGACCGAGUGCCGAACGGACGGCACCUCCGCGUUCAACACACGUACGGUGCAGCGACGUCUCCUCCUUCUUGAUCCAGCAAGGGGGAAGGAGAGGUUGAUGGAGAUCCAACAGCACGACGGCGUGGUGGUGGAUGUAGCGGUUCUCCGGCAGGGCUUCGCCGAGCUUCUGCGAGAGAGAGAGGGAGAGAGAGGUGUUGCAGGGGAGGAGGGAGGCGCCCAAGGCUGUAGUUUGCUGCCCUUCCUCCCCCCCCCCCUUUAUAUAGGCCCCUGGGGGGGUGCGCCAGCCCUGGGAGAUGGGAUCUCCAAGGGGGGCGGCGGCCAAGGGGGGAAGGGGUUGCCUUGCCCCCCAAGGCAAGGGGGAAGCUCCCCCUAGGGUUCCCAACCCUAGGCGCAUGGGGGGAGGCCCAAGGGGGGCACCCCAGCCCACUAAGGGUUGGUUCCCUUCCACUUUCAGCCAACGGGGCCCUCCGGGACAGGUGGCCCCACCCGGUGGACCCCCGGGACCCUUCCGGUGGUCCCGGUACAAUACCGGUAACCCCCGAAACUUUCCCGGUGGCCGAAACUUGACUUCCUAUAUAUAAUUCUUCACCUCCAGACCAUUCCGGAACCUCUCGUGCCGUCCGGGAUCUCAUCCGGGACUCCGAACAACUUUCGGGUUUCCGCAUACAUAUAUCUCUACAACCCUAGCGUCACCGGACCUUAAGUGUGUAGACCCUACGGGUUCGGGAGACAUGCAGACAUGACCGAGAUGCCUCUCCGGUCAAUAACCAACAGCGGGAUCUGGAUACCCAUGUUGGCUCCCACAUGUUCCACGAUGAUCUCAUCGGAUGAACCACGGUGUCGAGGAUUCAAUCAAUCCCGCAUGCAAUUCCCUUUGUCAAUCGGUAUGUUACUUGCUCGAGAUUCGAUCGUCGGUAUCCCAAUACCUUGUUCAAUCUCGUUACCGGCAAGUCUCUUUACUCGUACCGCAAUGCAUGAUCCCGUGACUAACGCCUUAGUCACAUUGAGCUCAUUAUGAUGAUGCAUUACCGAGUGGGCCCAGAGAUACCUCUCCGUCACACGGAGUGACAAAUCCCAGUCUCGAUCCGUGCCAACCCAACAGACACUUUCGAAGAUACCCGUAGUGCACCUUUAUAGUCACCCAGUUACGUUGCGACGUUUGGCACACCCAAAGCACACCUACUUUAUCCGGGAGUUGCACGAUCUCAUGGUCUAAGGAAAAGAUACUUGACAUUGGAAAAGCUCUAGCAAACGAAACUACACGAUCUUUUAUGCUAUGCUUAGGAUUGGGUCUUGUCCAUCACAUCAUUCUCCUAAUGAUGUGAUCCCGUUAUCAAUGACAUCCAAUGUCCAUAGUCAGGAAACCAUGACUAUCUGUUGAUCAACGAGCUAGUCAACUAGAGGCUUACUAGGGACACUUUGUGGUCUAUGUAUUCACACAUGUAUUACGAUUUCCGGACAAUACAAUUAUAGCAUGAACAAUAGACAAUUACCAUGAACAAAGAAAUAUAAUAAUAACCAUUUAUUAUUGCCUCUAGGGCAUAUUUCCAACAGUCUCCCACUUGCCCUAGAGUCAAUAAUCUAGUUACAUUGUGAUGAAUCGAACACCCAUUGCGUCCUGGUGUUGAUCAUGUUUUGCCCUAGGGAGAGGUUUAGUCAACGGAUCUGCUACAUUCAGGUCCGUGUGAACUUUACAAAUAUCUAUGUCUCCAUUUUGAACACUUUCAUGAAUGGAGUUGAAGCGACGCUUGAUAUGCCUGGUCUUCCUGUGAAACCUGGGCUCCUUCGCAAGGGCAAUAGCUCCAGUGUUGUCACAGAAGAGAGUCAUCGGGCCCGAAGCAUUGGGAAUCACCCCUAGGUCGGUAAUGAACUCCUUCAUCCAGACUGCUUCCUGUGCUGCCUCCGAGGCUGCCAUGUACUCCGCUUCACAUGUAGAUCCCGCCACGACGCUUUGCUUGCAACUGCACCAGCUUACUGCUCCUCCAUUCAAAAUAUACACGUAUCCGGUUUGUGACUUCGAGUCAGCCAGAUCUGUGUCGAAGCUAGCGUCGACGUAACCCUUUACGACGAGCUCUUCGUCAACUCCAUAAACGAGAAACAUAUCCUUAGUCCUCUUCAGGUACUUCAGGAUAUUCUUGACCGCUGUCCAGUGUUCCUUGCCAGGAUUACUUUGGUACCUUCCUACCAAACUUACGGCAAGGUUUACAUCAGGUCUGGUACACAGCAUGGCAUACAUAAUAGACCCUAUGGCCGAGGCAUAGGGGAUGACACUCAUCUCUUCUAUAUCUUCUGCCGUGGUCGGGCAUUGAGCCGUGCUCAACUGCACACCUUGCAAUACAGGCAAGAACCCCUUCUUGGACUGAUGCAUAUUGAACUUCUUCAAUAUCUUGUCAAGGUAUGUACUCUGUGAAAGACCAAUGAGGCGUCUUGAUCUAUCUCUAUAGAUCUUGAUGCCUAAUAUAUAAGCAGCUUCUCCAAGGUCCUUCAUUGAAAAACACUUAUUCAAAUAGGCCUUUAUACUCUCCAAGAAUUCUAUAUCAUUUCCCAUCAAUAGUAUGUCAUCCACAUAUAACAUGAGAAAUGCUACAGAGCUCCCACUCACUUUCUUGUAAACACAGGCUUCUCCAUAAGUCUGUGUAAACCCAAACGCUUUGAUCAUCUCAUCAAAGCGAAUGUUCCAACUCCGAGAUGCUUGCACCAGCCCAUAGAUUGAGCGCUGGAGCUUGCAUACUUUGUUAGCAUUCUUAGGAUCGACAAAACCUUCCGGCUGCAUCAUAUACAACUCUUCCUUAAGGAAGCCGUUAAGGAAUGCCGUUUUGACGUCCAUCUGCCAUAUCUCAUAAUCAUAGUAUGCGGCAAUUGCUAACAUGAUUCGGACGGACUUCAGCUUCGCUACGGGUGAGAAAGUCUCAUCGUAGUCAACCCCUUGAACUUGUCGAUAACCCUUAGUGACAAGUCGAGCUUUGUAGAUGGUCACAUUACCAUCUGCGUCCGUCUUCUUCUUAAAGAUCCAUUUGUUUUCUAUGGCUCGCCGCUCAUCGGGCAAGUCAGUCAAAGUCCAUACUUUGUUUUCAUACAUGGAUUCUAUCUCGGAUUUCAUGGCUUCUAGCCAUUUGUCGGAAUCCGGGCCCGCCAUCGCUUCUUCAUAGUUCGAAGGUUGACCGUUGUCUAACAACAUGAUUUCCAGGACAGGGUUGCCGUACCACUCUGGUGCGGAACGUGUCCUUGUGGACCUACGAAGUUCAGCAACUUGAUCCGAAGCUUCAUGAUCAUCAUCAUUAACUUCCUCCCCAGUCGGUGUAGGCACCACAGGAACAUUUUCCCGCGCUGCGCUACUUUCCGGUUCGGAAGGGGUGACUAUCACCUCAUCAAGUUCCACUUUCCUCCCACUCAAUUCUUUCGAGAGAAACUCCUUCUCCAGAAAGGACCCGUUCUUGGCAACGAAGAUCUUGCCUUCGGAUCUGAGGUAGAAGGUAUACCCAAUAGUUUCCUUAGGGUAUCCUAUGAAGACGCAUUUUUCCGAUUUGGGUUCGAGCUUUUCAGGUUGAAGUUUCUUGACAUAAGCAUCGCAUCCCCAAACUUUUAGAAACGACAGCUUAGGUUUCUUCCCAAACCAUAAUUCAAACGGUGUCGUCUCAACGGAUUUCGACGGAGCCCUAUUUAAAGUGAAUGCGGCAGUCUCUAAAGCAUAGCCCCAAAAUGAGAGCGGUAAAUCGGUAAGAGACAUCAUAGAUCGCACCAUAUCCAAUAGAGUGCGAUUACGACGUUCGGACACACCAUUUCUCUGAGGUGUUCCAGGCGGCGUGAGUUGUGAAACUAUUCCACAUUUCCUUAAGUGUGCACCAAACUCGUGACUUAAAUAUUCUCCACCACGAUCUGAUCGUAAGAAUUUUAUUCUCCUGUCACGUUGAUUCUCAACCUCACUCUGAAAUUCUUUGAACUUUUCAAAGGUUUCAGACUUGUGUUUCAUCAGGUAGACAUAUCCAUAUCUACUUAAAUCAUCAGUGAGAGUGAGAACAUAACGAUAUCCUCCGCGAGCCUCAACACUCAUUGGACCACACACAUCGGUAUGUAUGAUUUCCAAUAAGUUGGUUGCUCGCUCCAUUGUUCCGGAGAACGGAGUCUUGGUCAUCUUACCCAUGAGGCAUGGUUCGCACGUGUCAAAUGAUUCGUAAUCAAGAGACUCCAAAAGUCCAUCUGCAUGGAGCUUCUUCAUGCGCUUGACACCAAUGUGACCAAGGCGGCAGUGCCACAAGUAUGUGGGACUAUCGUUAUCAACUUUACAUCUUUUGGUAUUCACACUAUGAACAUGUGUAACAUCACGUUCGAGAUUCAUCAAAAAUAAACCAUUGACCAGCGGGGCAUGACCAUAAAACAUAUCUCUCAAAUAAAUAGAACAACCAUUAUUCUCGGAUUUAAAUGAGUAGCCAUCUCGAAUUAAACGAGAUCCAGACACAAUGUUCAUGCUCAAAGCUGGCACUAAAUAACAAUUAUUGAGGUUUAAAACUAAUCACGUCGGUAGAUGCAGAGGUAGCGUGCCGACGGCGAUCACAUCGACCUUGGAACCAUUCCCGACACGCAUCGUCACCUCGUCCUUCGCCAGUCUCCGUUUAUUCCGUAGUUCCUGUUUUGAGUUACAAAUAUGAGCAACCGCACCGGUAUCAAAUACCCAGGAGCUACUAUGAGUACUGGUAAGGUACACAUCAAUUACUUGUAUAUCACAUAUACCUUGGGUGUUGCCGGCCUUCUUCUUGUCCGCUAAGUAUUUGGGGCAGUUCCGCUUCCAGUGACCACUUCCCUUGCAAUAAAAGCACUCAGUCUCGGGCUUGGGUCCAUUCUUUGACUUCUUCCCAGUAACUGGUUUACCGGGCGCGGCAACUCCCUUGCCGUCCUUCUUGAAGUUCUUCUUACCCUUGCCCUUCUUGAACUUAGUGGUUUUAUUCACCAUCAACACUUGAUGUUCUUUUCUGAUCUCCCCUUCUGCUGAUUUCAGCAUUGAAUAUACCUCGGGAAUGGUCUUUUCCAUCCCCUGCAUAUUGUAGUUCAUCACAAAGCUCUUGUAGCUUGGUGGAAGCGACUGGAGGAUUCUGUCAAUGACCGCGUCAUCCGGGAGAUUAACUCCCAGCUGAGACAAGCGGUUGUGCAACCCAGACAUUCUGAGUAUGUGCUCACUAACAGAACUGUUCUCCUCCAUUUUACAGCUGAAGAACUUGUCGGAGACUUCAUAUCUCUCGACCCGGGCAUGAGCUUGAAAAACUAGUUUCAGCUCCUCGAACAUCUCAUAUGCUCCAUGUUUCUCAAAACGCUUUUGGAGACCCGGUUCUAAGCUGUAAAGCAUGCUGCUGCCAAGCGUUCAUAACGUCUUGGUUCUCUGGGAUUGGUGCUUCACCUAGCGGUGCUUCUAAGACAUAAUCUUUCUUGGCUACUAUGAGGAUGAGCCUCAGGUUCCGGACCCAGUCCGUAUAGUUGCUGCCAUCAUCUUUCAGCUUGGUUUUCUCUAGGAACGCGUUGAAAUUGAGGACAACGUUGGCCAUUUGAUCUACAAUACAUAGUGUAAAGAUUUUAGACUAAGUUCAUGAUAAUUAAGUUCAUUUAAUCAAAUUAUUUAAUGAACUCCCACUCAGAUAGACAUCCCUCUAGUCAUCUAAGUGAAACAUGAUCCGAAUUCGACUGGGCCGUGUCCGAUCAUCACGUGAGACGGACUAGUCAAGAUCGGUGAACAUCUCCAUGUUGAUCGUAUCUUCUAUACGACUCAUGCUCGACCUUUCGGUCCUCCGUGUUCCGAGGCCAUGUCUGUACAUGCUAGGCUCGUCAAGUCAACCUAAGUGUAUUGCGUGUGUUCCGAGGCCAUGUCUGUACAUGCUAGGCUCGUCAACACCCGUUGUAUUCGAAUGUUAGAAUCUAUCACACCCGAUCAUCACGUGGUGCUUCGAAACAACGAACCUUCGCAAUGGUGCACAGUUAGGGUGAACACUUUCUUGAAAUUAUUAUAAGGGAUCAUCUUACUUACUACCGUCGUUCUAAGCAAAUAAGAUGCAAAAACAUGAUAAACAUCACAUGCAAUCAAAUAGUGACAUGAUAUGGCCAAUAUCAUCAUGCUCCUUUGAUCUCCAUCUUCGGGGCACCAUGAUCAUCUUCGUCACCGGCAUGACACCAUGAUCUCCAUCAUUGUGUCUUCAUGAAGUCGUCACGCCAACGAUUACUUCUACUUGUAUGGCUAACGUGUUUAGCAACAAAGUAAAGUAAAUUACAUGGCGUUAUUCAAUGACACGCAGGUCAUGCAAAAUAAUAAAGACAACUCCUAUGGCUCCUGCCGGUUGUCAUACUCAUCGACAUGCAAGUCGUGAUUCCUAUUACAAGAAUAUGAUCAAUCUCAUACAUCACAUAUAUCAUUCAUCACAUCUUCUGGCUAUAUCACAUCACAUAGCACUUGCUGCAAAAACAAGUUAGACGUCCUCUACUUGUUGUUGCAAGUUUUUUUACGUGGUUUGUAGGUUUCUAGCAAGAACGUUUUCUUACCUACGUAUGACCACAACGUGAUUUGCCAAUUUCUAUUUACCCUUCAUAAGGACCCUUUUCAUCGAAUCCGUUCCGACUAAAGUAGGAGAGACAGACACCCGCUAGCCACCUUAUGCAACUUGUGCAUGUCAGUCGGUGGAACCUGUCUCACGUAAGCGUACGUGUAAGGUCGGUCCGGGCCGCUUCAUCCUACAAUGCCGCCGAAACAAGAAAAGACUAGUACCGGCAAGAAGAAUUGGCAAACUCAACGCCCACAACUGCUUUGUGUUCUACUCGUGCAUAGUAACUACGCAUAGGCCUGGCUCAUGAUGCCACUGUUGGGAAUCAUAGCAUAAUUUAAAAAUUUUCUACGCUCACCAAGAUGCAUCUAUGGAGUCUACUAGCAACGAGGGGAAAGGAGUGCAUCUACAUAUCCUUGUAGAUCGCGAGCGGAAGCGUUCCAAUGAACGUGGAUGACGGAGUCGUACUCGCCGUGAUCCAAAUCACCGAUGACCGAGUGCCGAACGGACGGCACCUCCGCGUUCAACACACGUACGGUGCAGCGACGUCUCCUCCUUCUUGAUCCAGCAAGGGGGAAGGAGAGGUUGAUGGAGAUCCAACAGCACGACGGCGUGGUGGUGGAUGUAGCGGUUCUCCGGCAGGGCUUCGCCGAGCUUCUGCGAGAGAGAGAGAGAGAGAGGUGUUGCAGGGGAGGAGGGAGGCGCCCAAGGCUGUAGUUUGCUGCCCUCCCUCCCCCCUUUNNNNNNNNNNNNNNNNNNNNNNNNNNNNNNNNNNNNNNNNNNNNNNNNNNNNNNNNNNNNNNNNNNNNNNNNNNNNNNNNNNNNNNNNNNNNNNNNNNNNNNNNNNNNNNNNNNNNNNNNNNNNNNNNNNNNNNNNNNNNNNNNNNNNNNNNNNNNNNNNNNNNNNNNNNNNNNNNNNNNNNNNNNNNNNNNNNNNNNNNNNNNNNNNNNNNNNNNNNNNNNNNNNNNNNNNNNNNNNNNNNNNNNNNNNNNNNNNNNNNNNNNNNNNNNNNNNNNNNNNNNNNNNNNNNNNNNNNNNNNNNNNNNNNNNNNNNNNNNNNNNNNNNNNNNNNNNNNNCCCCCUAGGGUUCCCAACCCUAGGCGCAUGGGGGGAGGCCCAAGGGGGGCGCCCCAGCCCACUAAGGGCUGGUUCCCUUCCAUUUUCAGCCCACGGGGCCCUCCGGGACAGGUGGCCCCACCCGGUGGACCCCCGGGACCCUUCCGGUGGUCCCGGUACAAUACCGGUAACCCCCGAAACUUUCCCGGUGGCCGAAACUUAACUUCCUAUAUAUAAUUCUUCACCUCCGGACCAUUCCGGAACCUCUCGUGACGUCCGGGAUCUCAUCCGGGACUCCGAACAACUUUCGGGUUUCCGCAUACAUAUAUCUCUACAACCCUAGCGUCACCGGACCUUAAGUGUGUAGACCCUACGGGUUCGGGAGACAUGCAGACAUGACCGAGACGCCUCUCCGGUCAAUAACCAACAGCGGGAUCUGGAUACCCAUGUUGGCUCCCACAUGUUCCACGAUGAUCUCAUCAGAUGAACCACGGUGUCGAGGAUUCAAUCAAUCCCGCAUGCAAUUCCCUUUGUCAAUCGGUAUGUUACUUGCCCGAGAUUCGAUCGUCGGUAUCCCAAUACCUUGUUCAAUCUCGUUACCGGCAAGUCUCUUUACUCGUACCGCAAUGCAUGAUCCCGUGACUAACUCCUUAGUCACAUUGAGCUCAUUAUGAUGAUGCAUUACCGAGUGGGCCCAGAGAUACCUCUCCGUCACACGGAGUGACAAAUCCCAGUCUCGAUCCGUGCCAACCCAACAGACACUUUCGGAGAUACCCGUAGUGCACCUUUAUAGUCACCCAGUUACGUUGCGACGUUUGGCACACCCAAAGCACUCCUACUUUAUCCGGGAGUUGCACGAUCUCAUGGUCUAAGGAAAAGAUACUUGACAUUGGAAAAGCUCUAGCAAACGAAACUACACGAUCUUUUAUGCUAUGCUUAGGAUUGGGUCUUGUCCAUCACAUCAUUCUCCUAAUGAUGUGAUCCCGUUAUCAAUGACAUCCAAUGUCCAUAGUCAGGAAACCAUGACUAUCUGUUGAUCAACGAGCUAGUCAACUAGAGGCUUACUAGGGACACUUUGUGGUCUAUGUAUUCACACAUGUAUUACGAUUUCCGGACAAUACAAUUAUAGCAUGAACAAUAGACAAUUACCAUGAACAAAGAAAUAUAAUAAUAACCAUUUAUUAUUGCCUCUAGGGCAUAUUUCCAACAAUAAUUGUGUUGAUCGGGUAGAUUUAAAUGUGCAGUUGUUUCAUCGCUGCGAGGUUUGGUGGUCGACGACCUCGCCGUGCGUUUGACGAGCUCUGACCCUUCGUUCGUGGGUGAGCACAAAUGACAUGUCCUCCUCCCCCGUUAAUUAUUUGCUCUGUUCCGGUGUUCGUGCCGAUGAAACUUGAUAGCUAGCUAUAUAUGUGUCUUGAAUCAUCAGUAUGCGUAACCAAUAUGUGUCUCCCGUUCGAAAGCGUCAUAGUUAUAAAUAUGCAUGCAUUUGCAUAUUUAUAACCUUGAUUCUUUCGAAUUGUCCAACGGUAUCCAUGGACAGCCCGAGUAUGUUUAGAUUGGGUUCGUUUUCCCAUAUGCUUUGCUCCGGAUCUGACACAUAAGUUUCGUUAGUGCCUCCCCUGUUGUUCUCCGGGUACACAUCCUCUCUGUUUAUUGCAGAGACGUGUAUCAGGAGAACAGCGGGGAGGUGCUGCCGAAAUUUUGCGUAGGAUCCGGAGCAUAGCAUGGGAAAAUGAACCCAAUCUAAACAUACUCGGGUGGGAUUAGGACCUAUCAUUACCUAUUAGAGUGUAGGUUGCAUGGACGUAAUAAAAUUGACAAAGUAGAUCAACUGAUGAAUAUAUACAUGGUGAAUUAUAUAUAUAUAUUUUGUGUGUGUCUAGUAGCUCUGAAAGUCAAGAUGAGUGAUCGUGCGUGGAUGUACACCGGUCACACUGGUCAGAACAAAUGGAGCACUGAAUGGUUCACAAAAACCAAGGGGUUUGUGCAAGCCGCAUUUGCAAAUGGCCAGAGGAAAACCUGGUGCCCCUGUUUACGGUGCGGCAGUUGGGAAAAGAGGACAGAGGCUGAAAUGGGCAAACACCUGCAAAAGAGUGGUUUUACGCCCGAUUAUACGGUGUGGACAUUUCAUGGUGAGUCUGCCCAACGUGACCGAGCUGAGGUGGAUCGUCGUCGCACCGACGAGCAUGGUACCGGGAUGGAAAACAUGGUGCAAGACUUCGAUGAUGCUCGGGAUUCGGACGAGGAGAUGGAGGAAUCUGCAAAGGCCUUCAAUGAAAUGUUGGAGUCUUCAAAACGUCCGCUCCAUGAGCACACUGAGCUUUGUCAGUUGGAUGCCAUCUCACAAGUAAUGGCUCUGAAGGCUCAGUUCAACUUGGGCAGAGAAUGCUAUGAUGCAAUGAUGACAGUAUUUGGACGCUUUCUACCCAAAGGCCAUGUAAUGCCUGCAAACCUGUACCAGUCGGACAAAAUCCUCCGUGCACUGAAGAUGCCCUAUGAGAAGAUACAUGCCUGUGAGAAAGGAUGUGUCUUGUUUAGGCUUGACUAUGCGGACUUGAACUAUUGUCCCAUUUGCAAGUCUUCCAGGUAUGUUGUGGUAGACAACGGUAUGGGUGAGAAGACACAGACCAAAAUCCCCGUUAGUGUUCUUCGGUAUAUGCCAAUCGUACCAAGACUUCAACGUCUUUUCAUGGUCGAAGAGAAGGCCAGACAGAUGACAUGGCACAAAACGGGCAAAAGAACCGAACUAGAUGCAGAUGGGAAUCUGAUGAUCGUACACACAUCGGAUGGUGUUGCGUGGAAGAAGUUUGAUGAAUUACAUGCUGACAAAGCGGCAGAUCCGAGGCAUCCUCGAGUCGGCAUCAGCACGGAUGGGUUCAGUGUGUUUGGUAUNNNNNNNNNNNNNNNNNNNNNNNNNNNNNNNNNNNNNNNNNNNNNNNNNNNNNNNNNNNNNNNNNNNNNNNNNNNNNNNNNNNNNNNNNNNNNNNNNNNNNNNNNNNNNNNNNNNNNNNNNNNCUGACGUUGAUAAUUCCAGGGCCCAACUAUCCGGGGAAAAAUAUGAAUGUGUACAUGCAGCCGCUUAAGGACGAAUUGCAAGAAGACUGGGAUAAUGGGUUCAAGACAUACGACGCCUAUAGCAAACGGAACUUCAUAAUGCGUGUCUGGUACAUGUACUCGACGCAUGACUUGCCGGCGUAUGCGCUAUUCGUUGGCUGGUGUGUGCAUGGAAGGUUCCCGUGCCCCACAUGCAAGGGAGCUCUUGAGUUUCGUUGGCUUCAGGCCGGUCGCAAGUUUUCUUGCUUCGAGAUGCAUAGACAGUUCCUGAAUCCUCGCCAUAAGUUCAGGGAAGACAAGAAGAACUUCAUCAGAGGUAGAGUUGUCAAAAACUCUGCACCACCUGCAUUGACAGGCCAACAGACCCUGGAUCAGUUAAACGCUCUCGAGCCAGAUCCAGAGCGUCCAGGGUACUUCAAGGGGUAUAAUUCUAAGCACGCCUGGACUCACAAAACAUGCUUAUGGGAUCUGCCUUACUUCAAAGACCUCCUUUGCCCACACAACAUCCAUGUGAUGCACACUGAGAAGAAUAUCGCCGAGGCACUUUUUGGUACAUUGUUCGGCAUAGAUGGGAAGUCAAAGGAUAAUACUAAGGCUAGAGUCGAUCUGGAGGCGCUAUGUGAUAGGCCGUUACAAAACAUGAAAGAACCGAAAGGAAAGCAGAACUGGACGAAGCCAAAGGCAUGGUUCAAUCUUGGAAGGCCAGCUAUGAGGGAAAUUAUCUUGUGGGUGAAAAUGCAGUUGAUGUUCCCCGAUGGGUAUGCAGCGAAUCUAAAGAGGGGAGCCAGUCUUGAUAAAUUGAAGAUAUUUGGUCUCAAGAGUCAUGAUUGGCACAUAUGGAUUGAGCGGGUAAUGCCGGUGAUGUUGCGUGGCUUCAUCCCUAACGAUGAAUGGCUAGUACUGGUAGAACUCAGCUAUUUCUUCCGUGUUCUUUGUGCGAAAGAACUAUCGCCUGGCGUGCUAGAAGAAAUGGAAGAGUUGGCGCCGGAGUUGAUCUGCAAGUUAGAGAAGAUCUUUCCACCGGGCUUCUUUAAUCCAAUGCAGCAUUUGAUUUUGCAUCUCCCGACCGAGGCAAGAUUGGGGGGGCCCGUGCAAAAUCGUUGGUGCUACCCAACUAAGAGGAUGCAGAAGACGCUUCGACAAAAAUGUAAAAAUAAACGUAGAAUGGAAGCAUCGAUGGCUGAGGCAUUCAUCACUGAGGAGGCGGCAAACUUCAUGACAGCACACUACGAAGCCAAAAAUCGUCAUUUGCAUAAUCCGAAGCCUCGGUACAAUGCUGAUGACCCUAAAAAGGGUGGAUCCAACCUCAGCCUAUUCAAAGGGAAUCUCGCACCAGCCAGUGUUUCAAAUCCAGUAUCUUUGGAUAACGAAGAAUGGCGGACCAUUUCGUUGUAUAUCUUCAACAACCUGAUAGAAGUGCGUCCGUACAUCGAGUAAGUUCUUGGUACAUUGUUUCGCAACUUCUAUUUCCUUUGAACUGCUCUUAUUCCUGGAUAUUUCAUACAGUCGAUACGUCGCCUUAUUCUCGUAUGGAGCGGUGAUCCAAAAGGAUUCUGUUGAAGAGUAUGAGCUUCUCGCAAAGCAAGGAGGCGGCUAUCCUGGUUUCAUCUCUUGGUUCAAACAAACGGUAAUUUCUAUUAGACAAUUUCAUUUCAUUCGCUAAUUUGUGCGUAAUGCAACAAUCCUUUCAUAUUAAACUUGUAGGCUAAUUCAGAGUCUAUGGACGCCGAAUUGAGACAAGUCGCUAAUGGUUUUGACUAUAAGGUCUGUUCAUUUGACAAAUACGACAUCAACGGGUAUCGCUUUCGUACCUAUGGCAAAGAGCUAUCUAUGGCCGACCGAAAGUCUACAAAUUGUUGUGUAUCUGCUAUCGGCGAAGGAGGUACCGAGUAUUAUGGGAGAGUUGAAGCAAUUUAUGAACUUCUAUUCUAUGGUGAAAACCCACCGAAUGUCAUAGUCUUCAAAUGUUAUUGGUUUCAGCCGAAGGAGACUAGAAGGACUCAUGAACAUAUAGGGCUAGUUGAAAUCAACCAAAGCACCCAUUUAGAUGUUCCUGAUGUCUAUAUUACUGCUCAACAGGCGACCCAAGUAUUCUAUCUACCGUGGGCCUGCCAAACUAAUCCAAAUCUGAAAGCUUGGGAUGUCGUUUAUGAAGUGCCGCCACGUGCUAGACUAUCUCCCCCAAAGGAAGAGGAUUAUGAACCUCACAUUAACCCAGACACAUAUGAAGGAGAAUUAUUCCAAGAGACACGUCUUUCCAAAAAGCGUUUCAAGAACCGCUAUACUUCACCCCAAAACAUUGAAGUAGACAGCGACAGUGAAUACGACAUCACCCCAGAGGAGGAACAAGAAGAGCCGGAACAAGAAGAGGUUACUGCUGCGGAUGACCUGUCAAUGCUUGACCGAUUACGUCAAGGUGGCCUUCCACAUGUUGAUGCCACUGAACCCUAUGAGCCCGUCAUUGAUUAUAGUGAUGAUGAUGAUUAUGCAUUUAUUGAUGAUACUGAUCGAGAUUAUUAGUAGUGUCAGGUAUUAAAUUUUUUUAUGUUGUACUUGAUGAUGAUACACUUAAGUGAUACACAUAUUAUUAUUCAUGUCGGUCUUUUUUUAUGUUGUACUCAUUUCGUUUACUGUUUGUCAUGGCAGGUGUUGAAAGAUGGUGGGCGCUGGUCGGGAGCGCGCCGAGGCCCCUUCUUCGUCGGCGCGUGGUGUGAGGUCUUCCAUUCCACACGCACCUCUCCGUCGAGCGUUGCUAGACAGUAUGGCGACACCGCCGGGCCCUUCUUCGUCGACCGCGGUGCCCAGCAGGGGACGAGGUAAGAAGAGAGGAGGUGGGGCACGUGGUCACGGGAGAGGAGGUAGGGUGACUGCUACGGCGCCUUCCUCGCCGCCACCCCCAGCUGUUUCACCCGAGCACGUGACUGCUAGGGUGGACUCGUCCGAGGAGGAGGCUACACGGACUCCGGUCCACGAGCCUCCGGUCCACGGGUCUUGGGCCCACGAGCCUCGGGUCGACGGGCCUUCGGCCCACGAGAGUUCGGCCCACGAGACCCCGGAGGAGCACACGUCUGGAUGGGGUACCUGGCCGGAUCAGCCCGAGGAGCCGAGUGGCCAUGCUGAUGAUGGCGGGGAGCCGACUGAUAUUGAGGAGGAGGGGGGCACCGUCUACCAGCGUGGUUGUACACGGCUCCCGUCCGUGCCGGCGACCCGCGAGCAGAGGUGGUUAAUUUUCCCUGAUGGGGAGAGGUACAUUUAAUAUUUUUGUACCUUCUGCAUUCACGUUUCUUCAAAUAACUAAUGCGUUGGCCUUGUCAUGCUGCAGGGGUUGGGACCACCAUCAUUGUGUCCGCCGGCCCAACUCCGUCCUUGGAGUUCUUUGUCGGCAAAACUUCCCGGGGUUUGUCACGUUGCCUGGUGAGGGUCGGCUUCCAGAGCUUGGAUUGAGCUGGGAGCACUACUUGGCUGCCUCGGCCCCGCCGGAUGAGAUUAUCGACGGUGUCUUGUGCAAGACGAGGGCAGACGUGGUGAUCAGAAAGUUCUGGGUAAUUUCUCCUUUACACAAUUAAAAAUCUUGAACUAGCUAGUUAUUAAUUGUACUAAUCAAUAUUGUCUCAUUUGAUUGCAGACAUUCUACAGGUGUGAGGAGGGAUACGAGGACGCGGCAAAUGUUAUCGAUAACGUCUGCAAGCGCCUACUACAUAACUUACGGCACGAGGCUCGGGUGCAGGCUGUUCGAGACUACUACGCCUUGCGUGGUAUCAAGAAGACCAAGUCGGCGUGCCGCGGGAAGUUCCUGAGUAAGGAGCAGUACAUGAAGGUAAUUCUUAAGGCCUUCUACUUAAGUUCCUUCAUUUAGUAAUUCUUAGCCGUAGCGCUCAAGUUUCUAUUUGCUAACUUAGGCGCCUCCGAGAUGGUGUGCGGAUCGGAUGGAUUGUUGGGAGGUGUUGGUCAAUGAGUGGUGCUCAAAAGAAUGGCUAGCCCUCCACAACGAGGCCAAGGACAAACGUGCCCAAAUGGAAGGUGUGCCACACCAUCAAGGCAGCUCCAACUUAUAUCAGUUCGGGCGGAACUGGGUAUGUGGUUUGCUUCAUGAUUCAUGCAAUUCAUUCAUCAUGCUAGCUUGAGCCCUUUAAUUACUAAUUUAUAUUGUUUCUCUCUUUCAGGCACGCUACAAUAAGGUGGAUAAGGUGCCAGAGGUGUACGACCUGUAUGCCAUGGCCCACACUGCCUCUUUCAAGAAAGUCAAGGCAUUCUCUCCGUCUGACCUCGAUGAUGCAAACAACUUCACCAACAUCUCCUCCCACAACAAGCUCGUGAGAUAUAGAGAUGAGGGGAAGGCGAGGAAAGGGGAGGACUUUAGCCCGAGCCAGGGUCCCAUUGAUCCAGAGCUGGUGAUGAUAUCUGGUGGCGGGAGGUCCCAUGGCUCCAUAGCCAUUGGAGAUGGACUUAUCCGUUGUCCUAGCACUCUCCCGGAGAUCAAGGCGCGCCAAUCGAGCUCCGCUCCUGAGAUAAGGCCUCGUGAACGGCCAGUCCAACUCGCCAUCAAGGUUAGUGAUACGUACUCAGCUAUCUUUCUCCAUUACAUUGUGUGCGCUUCCAUCAAUGAUUACAAAUGGUCAUGUGAGUGGUGUUGCAGGCUGCUAUACAGAGUGAGAGAGAUAGAACGGAGAAACUUCUGGCGGAGGCGGCGGAGAGGCAGCGGGAGUUGGAGGAGAGGACGACAAAGAUGUUGGAGGAGGAGAGGGCACGGAAUGACAUGCAGGCAAGGGCCAUGUACGAGCUCCUUGUGGUAAGUUUCUUCUGCAGAUUAGCCAAAACAUUCAUGUAGUGUUUGUCUCAUUACUAACUAGUAUGACUGAGUCGUCAAAACCAAAUUUGCAGUCUGUGUGCGAGAAGACCGGUCAGACCGCUCCGCCGAUGCCAGUGUUUGCUCCUGGGACCACGGUGAGUUUAAUUUGAAUGGACAUUACUUGCUAGUCUUAACAUUUGAGUGUCAUCAUGCUAACAAGACAUUGGAAAUGAUCUUUGGUGCAGCGUAACUCCAGACAAGCAUCGCACGAUCCUUCUCCAGCUACCGACACGAGCCAGCCCGCUCCUACACCUCCUGGAUCAUGGUAAGUUUAUCUAGUGUUUUGCUUAACACAUGCAUAAAGACCUAGACUUAGCUUUAUUUCCUCCAAUGCUUACCAUAAUGACCUAUACUUAGCUUCUUCUCCUCCAAAAUGACUUAAUAAGCUUACUGACCUCCAAAACCAUCCAUUUUACCUAAGUUAGCUCUAAAACGAUCUGUACUUAGCUUACUUAUGUCAAAAAUUGCAUAAUUAGCUUAGUUAGCUCAUAAACGAUCCAUUUUACCUAAGUUAGCUCUAAAAUGACCCAUUUUACCUUGGUUAGCUUAUAAAUGAUCCAGUUCAUCCAAGUUAGCUCAAAAAUGACCCAUUUUACCUAGAUUAGCUCCUAAAUGAUCCAUUUUACCUACGUUAGCUUUAAAAUGACCCAUUUCACCUAGGUUAGCUCCAAAAUGACCCAUCUUACCUAGGUUAUCUCAUAAACGAUCCAUUUCAACUAAUUUAGCUCAUAAACGAUCCAUUUCACCUAAGUUAGCUCAAAAACGAUCUAUUUCACCUAAAUUAGCUCUUAAAUGAUCCAUUUCACCUAAGUUAGCUCAAAAAGAUCCAUUUCAACUAAAUUAGCUCAUAAAUGAUCCAUUUCACCUAAGUUAGCUCAAAAACGAUCCAUUUCACCUAAGUUAGCUCAUAAAUGAUCCAUUUCACCUAAGUUAGCUAAAAAACGAUCCAUUUCACCUUAGUUACCUAAAAAACGAUCCAUUUGACCUUAGUUAGCUCAUAAACGACCCAUUUCAACUAAGUUAGCUCAUAAAUGAUCCAUUUCACCUUAGCUAGCUCAUAAACGACCCAUUUCAACUUAGUUAGCUCAUAUAUGAUCCAUUUCACGUAAGUUCGCUCAUAAAUGACAUAUACUUCUUGUUCUGGUCUUCUUCUUGUUCUACUCUUCUUGUUCUAGUCUUCUUAUUCUAGUCACCUAUUUCUAACUUUCUUAUUUUGCCAUUUUGCAGAUUUCAUUCACUUCAUGGAAGCUAGCUUGCUAUGGAGUGCUUGUUUUUUCUUUCAUUCUCUUCAAUUAUUCUUCUAGCUUGCUAUGAUGGAACUUGCUAUCUUGAUGAAACUUUGCAUUGUAAUAUGUAUGGAUGGAACUUGCUUAUGUAUGAAUGGAUGGAACUUGCUUAUGUAUGAAUGGAUGAAAGUUAUGUGCUGGAUAUGUGAUAUGUUUGCUGUUAAAUAGGCCUGUGAAAUAUAUCUAUAUAUGUCAUAUAUAUUUGCUGUGAAAAUUGUUGGAUUUAAUAAAAAACAGAAAAAAGAGCCAAUAUGCAGGCUCUUUGCCGUCUGCCACCGACGGCAACGGGCUCUUUGCCGUCAGUCACAGACGGCAAAGAAGCCACGUGGCAGCCAACUGUGCUUCCUGGGAGCUGGCCCAUUUGGUCAGUUUGCCUACAGUGGCAGACGGCAAAGACACUAGAAAGUUUGCCUACAGUGGCAGACGGCAAAGACACUAGAAAGUUUGCCUACUGUGGCAGACGGCAAAGACACUAGAAAGUUUGCCUACAGUGGCAGACGGCAAAGACACUAGAAAGUUUGCCAUCAGUGGCAGGCGGCAAAGACUCGCCGUCAGCGGCGGACGACAAAGGCCUGCCGUUAGCCACUUAACGGACUGACAGCGCAAUUAUUGCCAUCUGCUCUCUUUGUCGUCCGCUGCAGACGGCAAAGGCCCUUUGUCGUCCGCUGCAGACGGCAAAGGCCCUUUGCCGUCAGCCGCCCGGAAGCAGACGGCAAAGUAGCUCUUUGCCGGACCUUUCUUUGCCGGAGCCUUUUGCCGUCCGCGGCUGACGGCAAAGGCCAUUGCCGUCCGCCGUUCAUGCCUUUGCCGUCCGCCGUGGCAGACGGCAAAAUAGCUGAUUCCUGUAGUGCCUCCCAUAUAAUGCGGGGUAGACACACAAUGUAACCUAUGCCAAUAUAACAACACAUGCACAUAGGGGAGCCGGUGACAGUGUGUCGACUCUCGGGUGGCCGGUGUGCGGUAUUGUGACGGUGUCACGGGGAGGAGUGACCGUAGUCAUGCCCUGGGGAUGUCUGAGUUCGGUGAACCUCGUUGAUGAAUCUCGGUGUCUUGUCUCGUAUGAUUGCUUGGUCCUUAGUAGAUCGAAUGUGUGUCUCCGAUUUAUUGUAACAAGUGGUAUCAGAGCCAGGUUUUGAGGAGGUCACAGAGUUGAUCUGGAGGAGCAAGAACAUCGACAGGAGUUUGCAAUCGUAAUACGAGACGAAGUCGUACAUCGGCGAGUUACAAUUUGGAUAAAGACGUGACCGAGUUCUAAUAUUCAUGGAAGCAAUCGGAAGCAGCGGCUUGGUUGAUCAAUCGUAGCGACAGCGGUGACGGGAUCCGUAUCGGAUCGCAGCGCAGCAACAGCAGCGAGGAGCUGGCUGAGCCAGGCGAGACACGGCCGAGUUGGGCGAUGAUUUUGGCUGCGUGGCCGUACACGCUGACCUGUGGUUAAAUGGUUAGAUGGACAGUGGUAUCCCCAGCCCACCAGGGUUCAAGUCCUGCCGCUCGCAUUUAUCUUGGAUUUAUUUCAGAAUAUCCGGCGAUGCGCGUUCAGUUGAAGGAGACGUUUCUGUCGACUACGAGGCGCCUACGGUGACUUGUAAAAUCUCAAGAUGAUAUGCCAGCUCAGGGGUGUGUGGUUACAAGGGACUAGACUUGUUUUAGUCCCAGGGACUAAAGAAAAAAGACCCUCCAGUAGAGUCUUUUUCUAGUCCCUUAAAGAAAAGUCCCACCUGUUUGGUUACAUAGGGACUAAAAGGGCCAUUUUCUAGUAUAGUCCCUGUAACCAAACAAGGCUGCAGUCUCUCGGAGGUGCUCAUAGUGUAGAGUGUGUGUGCGCUCGUGUUCAUAGGAAUGAGUAUAUGCACAUAUAUAUGAGCGCGUGCGUUUGUACUGUGUUAAAAAAAGAAUCAAGAGCAGCUAUACCGUGGAUUUAUUUGGAUACAAAAGAAGAGGACCGGGUUCUCGUGUGCUGUGCGUAUGACGUGAAGGGAGGCAAUAGCAGAUCGAUUGGGCGAAGAGAGAUAUCCGUUUGAUAUGCAUCCAUGAGGGACUAGCGACAAAGGUUUUGGCAAAGCAAUUAGCUAGCGUUGGAAAGUUGAGCCAAGACCGGAGCUACACGUGAAGACCAAAAGUUUUUUGUUCUUUGGUAGGAAUUUGCUAUUUAGUGCACGAGGGUGUACCACAUCAGGUUUUGCUUGUUUACUUGGGCAUCACGUGAGGUGAGCUCGAAUAAUUUUCCAUAGGGUCAGUUGUACAAAGAACCAUGGCGUCAACGGGUACCAGGUUUGAGGUGAAGAAGUUGAUGGAACUAGAAACCUUGGGUUAUGGUAGACAAGGGUGAAAGAUUUGUUGUCACAAUAGGGAUGCUAAAAAGCGUUGCGGGAAGUCAUGUCAGCUAAAAUUGAAUUAUCAUGUGAUGGAUGGAAAUUUGUUGCAAACGAUUUGGGAGCCUUGAGCAUGUCAUGCAGCUGGACAAGUUCAAUAGGGUUGGACUAGACAUUCUGACGGAUCAUCAUGGAUGUCGGUGGGUAUAGAAGACGGUGAUGGGAUCAGCGACGACGACAUAGGAGUGUGAAGCUAAUGGUGACCGACUUCUGGGCGUGGAAACACGUGGGACAUGCCCGAGGGUUUGUGUGGUUUUGACAAGACUAUGGCGCGAGAUUGAUUCAGGACUAUGCACAUGAGAACUUGAAGUCGAUGGGGCACGGGGUGGACUGAUCAUCUACAAUGGAGUCAUUUUGAAGGUGGAGUUGAGGUCUAAUGGAAGCCUUCACUCGGUGCUAAUUGAGGGGCUACGGCGUAAGAGCUUAGAGAGUCGAAGCCUGUUUCAGCGGGAGAAAGCGAGGUGACACGUAGUUCGGACUGGAGCCCAGUUGUCUGAUGGAAAUGUGAAACUCGUCAUCGGUCAGUGAUGGUCGGUGGUACUCUGCAGUGGGGGUUGAGUGGUGUGAGUUCGUGACACUUGAGACUCGACCGGGAUAACAGAUACUCGAUGUGGUAAUAGCAGCGAGGCAUGUGGUUAGCACGGGACAUGGAGACGGAUCAGGGCUCUGAUGGUCAUACAUGUGGUGUGACGACUGCGAAUUUGACUCGAGAUGACUACAAGCAACAGUGAAAUUCCUUCAAGUUUCAGACAGACGGUCAAGGAAGAGCGGUGAUGUUGAGUUCAGGUAACUCUUAUAUGUGACACCCAAUAUGUGAGUUGUUCAUUUUCACGCAGGUUAGUGAUCGGUGUGUGAUGACGUUGAACGGAUACUCUAAAAGUUGGGAGCACAAACUAGAGUAAGGGGAAUUUAAUUUCGCUCGAGCAUUUACUGUGGUCAAGAAAAUAAGCGACUACAAGUUGCAAGUGGAGUCAUAUAUAUGGAGUCUUUGGAGUAGCAGUGAUACUCAUGGGUAAGCUCAAGUCCAAUGUACAUGAAAGUUUGACGCAUUAACGAAUUCAUGGUGGUGAAGAAUAUUCGCCAAAGUGGAGUUUUUUACAGUUGUGUCAGAAUAUUGUACAAGGUAGGUUUCAAUUGGACUCUGAGUUAUAUUGUGUUUACAUGGUAUGUAAUCGUGUCUUAGUAGGACACUUGUAUCCUACUCUCUCCGUCCUUAAAAGAGUGUAAUUUCAACUUUGUUGAAAAAUUAAACAUUUUUUAUGUUUGACCGUAUUUAUACAAUAAUAUACCAACAUUUAUGCCAUCAAAUUAGUAGCAUUAGAUUCAUGAUAAAAUGUAUUUUUGUCAUAUAUCUAUUUGGUUUCACAAGUAUUGAUAUAUUUUUGCACAAACUUGGUCAAAAUUUGAGAUAGUUUGACUCUCCAACAGAGUUGAAAGUAGACCCUUUCAAGGACGCAGGGAGUAUGCCUCUCAUAUAAUGCGGGGUAGACACAAUGUAACCUAUGCCAACAUAAUAGCACAGACACACAGGGGGGAGCCUGCGACGUGUACAGGCUCCCGGGUGACCGGUGUGUGGUAUUGUGACGGUAUCAUGGGAAGGAGCGCCCGUAGUCAUGCCCCGUGAUGUAACCAAGUUCGGUGGACCUCGUUAACAAUUCUCAGUGUCGUGUCUCGUAUGAUUACUUGGUCCUUAAUAGACCGGCUGUGCGCCUCAAAUUUAUUCUAACGCGAUAUACUUGUAGUACCACUAAGGGCCAUCUAGACACGAGAAAGUCCCAACAUAUUCUAUUGCCUUCAUGUUCGUAUAAUAAAUUGUUUCGAAAGAGAUAUGCCCACCCCAAUCAAUCUACUAUCCUGCCAUCUCUUCCUCUAUCAAUGACACAAGAAGGUUUUUGUCACCAGGAUGAAACAACCCAUCACCUGUUUCUCUCAUGUCUAUCAGCGCGUUUGUUAUGGCAUAAUGUACCGAGUUAAUGACCAUGUGGCUUACUGGCUUAUAAUUUAAUUCUGCCUACUCUCCCGAAACAGAUUUUUAUGCCACGCUAUACACAUAGUCAUAUGGUCAAGCGACACAAAGUGAUCACGCAGCCCACUUAGAAAAAUCAAAGCAAAGCCAGAAAAACAGAAAGACAACGCAAAAUAAUGCACAAGACAUGCAUUAUCGGAUGAUACCCUCUCGCUGGCAAGCAUGAGCACAAUGUUUAAAAGAUAGGAGGCAUCAAGACCGCCAUGUGUCAGCGCCGAAGAUACUUCGAUCUAUAACCGAACCCAUUAAAAAAUGUUGUCAAUGGGGAACCAAAAGGUAUAUACCUGAUGCCCCAAGAAGAUUACACUAGUGCAGAAAUGCUUAUAGACAAUCGACAUUUAUGGCGCGCAACCAAAGUGCCACGCGAAUGUAUUUGCUGAAAAUACCAGUGGCGUGCCAAAGUUACAAAACACCACUUGUGACUUAUUAAGCCUGCAGACGAUGGCGAAUGCCACGGCUGUGUGCAACCCAGGAAGGAUAAGGGCAAUAGUUACUAGUGGCGUGGUAAUAAAACACCACGCCACCAAUACCUUCACCACUUCUAAUGCAUUUGUCAAACACACACACACACACACGCUAGUAAAAGGUAUCUUCGUAGUCACGUUUAAAUUUGCAUGAAUGUCCACUAGUAGAAAAAGAGACUUCCAUACGCCCCCAUUAGUCCCUAAAAUAAUCGAACCGCGACAAAAGGGGUCUUUAGUCGCGGUUCGGGAGGAGACCCGCGACCAACUAUCUGGGCCCAGCGCGCUCGGUCGACAGCUGGCGGACGGGAGGGGCUUUAGUCCCGGUUGGCCAACCGGGACUAAAGGUCCUCAGGCUGGCCCGAAGGCCUUUAGUCGCAGUUGGCCAGGCCAACCGGGACUAAAGGCCCAUCCCUAUAUAUAGGACUCAGCUCACUUCACUUAGCCACAAUUCAGAAGGGGGGUGGUGGGUUUGCUUUUGGUUCCUCCUAUGCACACAAGGUGUUCGAUGAAAUGCCCGAGAGCAUGAAACAAACAUGAUAUGAAGUGUCCGAGCCACACUUGUGCUUUCUCAUUUAUUUUUCCUCCGCGAUCGCGGUUAGCAACUUGAACCUUUCAUGUGUCAUUGAUAAAAUAUGCAUGUGUGUAGUUCAUUGUUUAAUUUGUAUUAUUUCUAGCUAGUUAGUUUAACAAAUGCAUGAUGGUUAAUUAUAUACUUUAUAUAAUAAUAAUGCAGAUGAAUCGGCAAUGGAUGUACGGUCCCCGACUCUCCGGCGAGUUCACUACGGGUUUGAAAGAUUUCCUCGUAGUGGCAAAUGCGAACAAGUAGCGAGGUUUUAUUAUCUGUCCAUGUGCUGUCUGUAAGAAUCAGAAGGGUUACUCCUCCUCAAGAGACGUUCACAUGCACCUGCUUCGGCACGGUUUCAUGCGAAGCUAUAAUUGUUGGACCAAGCAUGGAGAAAGAGGGGUUAGAAUGGAAGAAGAUGAAGAAGGGGAUGAUAUCAAUGACAACUAUCAUGAUCAUUUCGGUGAUACUUUCAUGGAGGAUGAUGCUGAAGGUGGGGAAGGGUUAGGUGAAGGUGAAGAAGAGGCACAUGAUGAGCCCACUGAUGAUCUUGGUCGGACCAUUGCUGAUGCACGGAGACGCUGCGAAACUGACAAGGAGAGGGAGAAUUUGGAUCGCAUGUUAGAGGAUCACAAAAAGUCGUUGUAUCCAGGAUGCAAUAAUAGUCUGAAAAAGCUGGGCUGCACACUGGAUUUGCUAAAAUGGAAGGCACAGGAAGGUGUAGGUGACUCAUCAUUUGAAAAUUUGCUGAAAAUGUUGAAUAUGUUUCCGAAGAAUAACGAGUUGCCCGCCAGUACGUACGAAGCAAAGAAGGUUGUCUGCCCUCUAGGUUUAGAGGUUCUGAAGAUACAUGCAUGCAUUAACGACUGCAUCCUCUACCGCGGUGAAUACGAGAAUUUGAAUGGAUGCCCUGUAUGCACUGCAUUGCGUUAUAAGAUCAGAGGCGAUGACCCUGGUGACGAUGUUGAGGGCGAGAAACCCAGGAAGAGGGUUCCCGCCAAGGUGAUGUGGUAUGCUCCUAUAAUACCACGGUUGAAACGUCUGUUCAGGAACAAAAAGCAUGCCAAGUCGUUGCGAUGGCACAAAGAGGACCGUAAGUCCGACGGGGAGUUGAGACACACCGCUGAUGGAACGCAAUGGAGAAAGAUCGACAGAGUGUUCAAAGAUUUUGCAGCUGACGCAAGGAACAUAAGAUUUGGUCUAAGUACUGAUGGCAUGAAUCCUUUUGGCGAGCAGAGCUCCAGCCAUAGCACCUGGCCCGUGACUCUAUGCAUCUACAACCUUCCUCCUUGGUUGUGCAUGAAGCGGAAGUUCAUUAUGAUGCCAGUGCUUAUCCAAGGUCCAAAGCAACCCGGGAACGACAUCUAUGUGUACCUAAGGCCAUUAGUUGAUGAACUUUUACAGUUGUGGGGCAGACCUGGUGUACGUGUCUGGGAUGAGCACAAAGGAGAGGAAUUUGACCUACGAGCGUUGCUUUUUGUAACCAUCAACGAUUGGCCUGCUCUCAGUAACCUUUCGGGACAGACAAAUAAGGGAUACAAUGCAUGCACGCACUGCUUACAUGAGACUGAAAGUGUACGUUUGGUUAAUUGUAAGAAGAACGUGUACCUGGGUCAUCGUCGAUUUCUUCCCCGAAAUCAUAACGUAAGAAAGAAAGGCAAGCAUUUCAACGGCAAGGCAGAUCACCGGCCGAAGCCUGCGGAACGUACUGGUGCUGAGAUAUUUGAUAUGGUCAAGGAUUUGAAAGUCAUCUUUGGAAAGGGUCCUGGCGGACAAUCAGUUCCGCGGGGAGUUGACGGGCACGCACCCAUGUGGAAGAAGAAAUCUAUAUUUUGGGAGCUAGAAUAUUGGAAAGUCCUAGAUGUCCGCUCUGCAAUCGACGUGAUGCAUGUUACGAAGAAUAUUUGCGUGAACCUGCUAAGCUUCUUGGGCGUGUAUGGGAAGACAAAUGAUACAAAGGAAGCACGGCGGGACCAGCAACUUUUGAAAGACCCAGAUGACCGGCAUCCGGAAUGGUUUCAAGGUCAUGCCAGCUACGCUCUUACCAAAGAAGAGAAGGUCAUUUUUUUUGAAUGCCUGAGCAGUAUGAAGGUCCCGUCUGGCUUCUCGUCGAAUAUAAAGGGAAUAAUAAACAUGGCGGAGAAAAAGUUCCAAAACCUGAAGUCUCACGACUGCCACGUGAUUAUGACGGAAUUGCUUCCGAUUGCUUUGAGGGGGCUCCUACCGGAAAAUGUUCGAGUAGCCAUUGUGAAGCUAUGUGCAUUCCUCAAUGCAAUCUCUCAGAAGGUAAUCAAUCCAGAAGAUCUACCACGGUUAAAGAACGAUGUGGUCCAAUGCCUUGUCAGUUUCGAGUUGGUGUUCCCACCAUCCUUCUUUGAUAUUAUGACGCACCUCCUGCUCCACCUAGUCGAAGAGAUUUCCAUUCUCGGUCAUGUAUUUCUACACAAUAUGUUCCCCUUUGAGAGGUUCAUGGGAGUAUUAAAGAAAUAUGUUCGUAACCGUGCUAGGCUAGAAGGAAGCAUCGUCAAGGGCUAUGGAAAUGAGGAGGUAAUUGAGUUCUGUAUUGACUAUGUUCCUGACCUUAAGCCGAUUGGUAUUCCUCAAUCGCGGCACGAGGGGAGACUAAGUGGAAAAGGCACGAUCGGAAGGAAAUCAACGAUAUGUAUGGACGGUCAUUCUAUGACUGAAGCACACCACACAGUUCUGCAAAAUUCCAGCUUGGUAGCUCCGUACUUCGAGCAACACAAGAAUAUUUUACGCUCGGACAACCCGGGGAAGCCUGAAUCCUGGAUUAGAAAGGCCCACAUGGAGACUUUCGGCAGUUGGUUGCGGAAACAUUUAAUGAAUGACAAUGAUGUUGGAGAUCAGCUGUACAUGUUGGCCAAGACACCAUCUUCGACUAUAACCACUUUCCAAGGGUACGAGAUAAAUGGGAAUACAUUUUACACCAUCGCCCAAGAUAAAAAGAGCACCAACCAAAACAGUGGUGUCCGCUUUGAUGCAGCAACCGAGAAUGGGCAAAAGGUCACAUAUUAUGGUUACAUAGAGGAGAUAUGGGAACUUGACUAUGGACCCUCCUUUAAGGUCCCUUUGUUCCGGUGCAAAUGGUUCAAGCUAACAGGAGGUGGGGUAAAGGUGGACGAGCAAUACGGAAUGACAAUGGUGGAUUUCAACAAUCUUGGUUACCUUGACGAACCAUUCGUCCUUGCCAAAGAUGUCGCUCAGGUUUUUUAUUUGAAGGACAUGAGUAGCAAACCGAGGAAACGGAAAGAUAAGAAAACGAUCAGUACAUCAUGCGAUGAUCCAAAGCGCCACAUUGUUCUUUCAGGGAAAAGAAACAUCGUGGGAGUGGAGGACAAGACAGACAUGUCAGAAGAUUAUAAUACGUUUGGUGAAAUUCCGCCCUUCAAAGUGAACACUGACCCAAGCAUUAAGUUAAAUGAUGAGGAUGCUCCAUGGAUACGGCACAAUCGUAAGCAAGCAGGGACACAAGGGAAGAAUUGAUGUGUAAUAAUUUAUUGUACCAAACUUUGUUCAAUGGAUCAUGUGAAUUAAAACAUACGAUGGCGAAUCCGGAUGAUUCGUAUUUGAUAUAUUAUUUGUAUUUUUAAGAUUUUAAAAUGAAUUAGUUUUAUUUUAUUGAAUUUUUUGAUGUAUUAUUUGUAUUUUUAAGAUNNNNNNNNNNNNNNNNNNNNNNNNNNNNNNNNNNNNNNNNNNNNNNNNNNNNNNNNNNNNNNNNNNNNNNNNNNNNNNNNNNNNNNNNNNNNNNNNNNNNNNNNNNNNNNNNNNNNNNNNNNNNNNNNNNNNNNNNNNNNNNNNNNNNNNNNNNNNNNNNNNNNNNNNNNNNNNNNNNNNNNNNNNNNNNNNNNNNNNNNNNNNNNNNNNNNNNNNNNNNNNNNNNNNNNNNNNNNNNNNNNNNNNNNNNNNNNNNNNNNNNNNNNNNNNNNNNNNNNNNNNNNNNNNNNNNNNNNNNNNNNNNNNNNNNNNNNNNNNNNNNNNNNNNNNNNNNNNNNNNNNNNNNNNNNNNNNNNNNNNNNNNNNNNNNNNNNNNNNNNNNNNNNNNNNNNNNNNNNNNNNNNNNNNNNNNNNNNNNNNNNNNNNNNNNNNNNNNNNNNNNNNNNNNNNNNNNNNNNNNNNNNNNNNNNNNNNNNNNNNNNNNNNNNNNNNNNNNNNNNNNNNNNNNNNNNNNNNNNNNNNNNNNNNNNNNNNNNNNNNNNNNNNNNNNNNNNNNNNNNNNNNNNNNNNNNNNNNNNNNNNNNNNNNNNNNNNNNNNNNNNNNNNNNNNNNNNNNNNNNNNNNNNNNNNNNNNNNNNNNNNNNNNNNNNNNNNNNNNNNNNNNNNNNNNNNNNNNNNNNNNNNNNNNNNNNNNNNNNNNNNNNNNNNNNNNNNNNNNNNNNNNNNNNNNNNNNNNNNNNNNNNNNNNNNNNNNNNNNNNNNNNNNNNNNNNNNNNNNNNNNNNNNNNNNNNNNNNNNNNNNNNNNNNNNNNNNNNNNNNNNNNNNNNNNNNNNNNNNNNNNNNNNNNNNNNNNNNNNNNNNNNNNNNNNNNNNNNNNNNNNNNNNNNNNNNNNNNNNNNNNNNNNNNNNNNNNNNNNNNNNNNNNNNNNNNNNNNNNNNNNNNNNNNNNNNNNNNNNNNNNNNNNNNNNNNNNNNNNNNNNNNNNNNNNNNNNNNNNNNNNNNNNNNNNNNNNNNNNNNNNNNNNNNNNNNNNNNNNNNNNNNNNNNNNNNNNNNNNNNNNNNNNNNNNNNNNNNNNNNNNNNNNNNNNNNNNNNNNNNNNNNNNNNNNNNNNNNNNNNNNNNNNNNNNNNNNNNNNNNNNNNNNNNNNNNNNNNNNNNNNNNNNNNNNNNNNNNNNNNNNNNNNNNNNNNNNNNNNNNNNNNNNNNNNNNNNNNNNNNNNNNNNNNNNNNNNNNNNNNNNNNNNNNNNNNNNNNNNNNNNNNNNNNNNNNNNNNNNNNNNNNNNNNNNNNNNNNNNNNNNNNNNNNNNNNNNNNNNNNNNNNNNNNNNNNNNNNNNNNNNNNNNNNNNNNNNNNNNNNNNNNNNNNNNNNNNNNNNNNNNNNNNNNNNNNNNNNNNNNNNNNNNNNNNNNNNNNNNNNNNNNNNNNNNNNNNNNNNNNNNNNNNNNNNNNNNNNNNNNNNNNNNNNNNNNNNNNNNNNNNNNNNNNNNNNNNNNNNNNNNNNNNNNNNNNNNNNNNNNNNNNNNNNNNNNNNNNNNNNNNNNNNNNNNNNNNNNNNNNNNNNNNNNNNNNNNNNNNNNNNNNNNNNNNNNNNNNNNNNNNNNNNNNNNNNNNNNNNNNNNNNNNNNNNNNNNNNNNNNNNNNNNNNNNNNNNNNNNNNNNNNNNNNNNNNNNNNNNNNNNNNNNNNNNNNNNNNNNNNNNNNNNNNNNNNNNNNNNNNNNNNNNNNNNNNNNNNNNNNNNNNNNNNNNNNNNNNNNNNNNNNNNNNNNNNNNNNNNNNNNNNNNNNNNNNNNNNNNNNNNNNNNNNNNNNNNNNNNNNNNNNNNNNNNNNNNNNNNNNNNNNNNNNNNNNNNNNNNNNNNNNNNNNNNNNNNNNNNNNNNNNNNNNNNNNNNNNNNNNNNNNNNNNNNNNNNNNNNNNNNNNNNNNNNNNNNNNNNNNNNNNNNNNNNNNNNNNNNNNNNNNNNNNNNNNNNNNNNNNNNNNNNNNNNNNNNNNNNNNNNNNNNNNNNNNNNNNNNNNNNNNNNNNNNNNNNNNNNNNNNNNNNNNNNNNNNNNNNNNNNNNNNNNNNNNNNNNNNNNNNNNNNNNNNNNNNNNNNNNNNNNNNNNNNNNNNNNNNNNNNNNNNNNNNNNNNNNNNNNNNNNNNNNNNNNNNNNNNNNNNNNNNNNNNNNNNNNNNNNNNNNNNNNNNNGGAAAAAGAAAAGGAGAAGGAAGAAGAAAAGGAAGAAGAAAAGCAAAAAGAAAAGGAAGAAGAAAAGGAAAAAGAAAAGGAAGAAGAAAAGGAAAAACAAAAUAAGAAAAGGAAAAACAAAAUACUUGGCAGUGCUCAAUAAUCUUAUUUUUUAAUUCCUCCUCCUCUAUGUCCCCUUAAUCUUAUUUUUUAAUUCCUUUAUACUUAAUUAAUUUUUACUACAUGCAGGAGUGACAUAUGGCGGACGAUAGAGCCGAGCCGCUUAGGGAUCCGGAGGCUGAACGUUAUUUAAUGGGCAUCAUAAACAACGAGAUUCCUUAUGUGCCGGGCUCAGAAUAUGAGCAAGAAGAGGAUGUAGUCUCUUCUUUUCUGAACCUUGACGGUGGAACAGACAUUGUCGAUGAUCAAGAAGGUGAAGGAACGGACAUUAUCGACGGAGGUCAACCGUCAACAAACGACGAUCUCGAAUUGCAAGUAGCAACCACCUCCGGCGAGGUAUAUAUAUACAUUGAGCCUCUCGUGAUACAAACUUACUGAAAUGUGAAUACAUAUGUAUUAACGCGCGCGACUCUCUUUCUUUUUUUAGCCCUCGGCCGGAUCGAGUACGACAAAGCGUGGCAAAUCCAAGGCGAUGAAAAUAGGAGAAACAUAUGCCAUUGAUUUUGUCAGUGAAACCGGCAAGCCCCUACAGCACACCUCAAAGUUUAUCAACCAAUGCGGAGUCGUUGUUAGAGACAACGUCCCGAUCACCGUCCAGGAAUGGAAGGAGCCAAAGAAGGCACGUCUUGGUUUCAGUUUUGUCGACAAGAGAACAAAAAAGGAUUGCUGGAGAAAGCUUAUGGAACAUUUCAUUCUACCUCCGGAAUACAACAAAGUCGAUGAAUUCGGUAACGAGGUUCCGGGUGGACGUGAGAGGAGGAGGCUAGUUAAAGAGUUCGCUCUUCAGAAGAUGGGCGAAGCAUUCCGGAACUUCAAGAAAAAAUUAACCCGUGACUAUGUCAACAAGGGCAAGACUCCGGAUUUCAAUGGACAACAUGAGAAACUGAAAGAUGAUUGGCCAGAAUUUGUGAGGCAAAAGCAAUCGGAGCAUUUCAAGGAAAUAUCGAAAAAAAUAAGGAUAAUGCGAGUAAGAAAAAGUUCCAUCAUAUUAUGGGGCCAGGAGGAUACCGCCUUUCGGAGCCUAAGUGGCAGAAGAUGGAGGAGGACCUGAGGGUGCGAGGAAUCCCUCUAGGUACAGAGGGAUGGGACCCAAGGGCCAAAAGCUGGUGGUACGGGCAUGGGGGAUCGCUAGACCCGGAGACAGGGGUGUGUGUUCACCGGAAGAAAAAGUUUGCUCCCACCCAAGCCCUUAUUGACGCAAUGACCCAAGCUCAAGAGGGCUUGAUCAAGUUCAACAGAGAGAAAGACGCACUGACAACAGCCCUCGGGAAUGAUGAACACGGAGGACGUGUACGAGGCAAAGGCAGAGUUCCGUGGAAAGUAGGGUUUUCCCAGGACAAUGCCCGUACUGUUACAGAAGCCGUAAGAGAAAGACGGACCGGGAUGCAGAUCUUCUGGCGAAGUUUGCAUCGGAACUCCAUGAGUUGAAGCAGACCGUGCAUGAACUAGUAAAAGAAAAAUCGGCUGCAGGGCCGCAUGAAGAUCAUGAAGCGGAUCACGGAAGCCAGCAGCGGAGAAGCAGCGUGGCUUCCACGGAUGCCCCGCCUGGUGCUAAUGCACCGAUGAUCGAGAUUCGUGCACCGGAGCCUCACUACCCCGUGGAUGAUGUAAAAGAGAUGAAAGAAUGUGAUCUGCAUUAUCCCGUGGGGAACGUUUCCACGAAGGUAGCUACCGGCAGUGCUUUACCCUGUACACCUGGAGCACUCCACCACAACAACCCCAUUGCAUAUGGCUAUGCUCGUGUCACGGUGGAAGACAUAGUCCAAGGGUUUGAGGACCUGGAGAUUGACAAAGCUACACCCGAAGGGGAGAGAAGACUUGGAGAUGUCAAGCGCCAGAUCAUUCUAUGGAAAAAGAAGUACAUAGUGUUUCCAGGCGAGGCGCCAAGGCUAACAAGUCCACCCCCCCUCCGAUGGUGGUGGUGGUGGUGGUGGUGGCGGUGGUGGUCGUCGUGGUGGUUCACCUACACCUCCUUCACGCCAUUCGACGCCGUCCCCCGAUCCACAACCUCCAGCGGGUACGACGCCCCCCAAUCCUCCUCCGGCGGGUACGACGCCCCCCAAUCCACCUCCGGCGAAGAAGCAGAAGCAGGCGGACAGCAAGGAAACCCGCUCCUGGACUAUUAACCCGGACCCUUAUGUACCUAAGACCACAAGGGUACCGGAGCCAUCACUGAAGCCUCUCCUCCCAAGGCCUUGGGAACUUAGUGAAGCUGAAACCAAAUUGGCCGCGUCUGCUCAUUAUGAGAAAUGGAAGGCGGAUAUGAAGGUGAUAAAAGAGCCUGAGCCCAAGCAAGUAUUCACUGAGAAGCAAAAGAAGUGGGCUAAGGAUUUUUUGACGACACCGUCCCAAGCCGAGCUGAAUAUGCCUGACGACUAUGGACAUGAACUUCGUAGGCAAGCAAAAACAUUGAAGGAGGAGAAAGAAGAAUUAAAAAAAGCGGGAAACAAGUUGACCAGCUCGGGAUGCAGAAUAAACAAUCGAUCCCCCCGCUCAUAGUGAAAGCCGGUCCGGAAGAGGACCCCGAGAUCAUAGCAGCUGCGGCAGCACUUGGAUUGACUGUAGCGAGUGCCAUGAAACAAGCGUCUGAGAUGGGUUUGAAUCUUCGUGCCUUCUUAGGCCUUGAGGAUGCGCCAGUAUGUGAGAUAGCAUUACAAUAUGUGCGGAAUGGGCCUCUCGUCGAGCCUGCACGGGAAAAGAGUCUACCACCACAAAUGCGAAAUCUGCUACGUUGGUACAAGCAAUUCAUAACAUGGGCCGACAAAGAAUAUGUUUAUGCGGAUGUUACAGAGGAGCAUCACACCAAACGGUACUCUAUACAAGUUCAUAUGAGUGAAUUGUUCCAGCUGUUCAAUCUGCGCGACCUCGACAAAUCUAUGCUGAGUUGCUACGUUAUGUAAGUGAUUUAUUUCUACCUCAUCUCGUUCUUCAUUGCCUGCACUAUAUAUAUAUAUAUUGUCCUAACUAUAUUGUUGCGUACGCUAUUAUGCAGAUUGAAGAUUUGGGAAUGCAAAAUAAGAAACAUCCAUGAUGUUGGGUUCAUUGACCCACAUAUCGUUAAUGGACAUGUGUUACAAAAUCACCCCGAAGACGUGGAGAAAGACUUGUACAAGUUUCUUAGAAAGCAUCAACUCAAAAGUCAUAUUCUAUUUCCUUACCAUUUUGGGUGAGUGUUUCUCUCUUGUGCCCAUUCUCUUUUGUUUACUCCAUGCAUGGUAUGUCUAAUCGAUGAGUUAUGCAUGACUGUGCAUGUAACGUGUCCGCAGGUUCCACUGGAUUCUGCUAAAUAUUGAACUUCACACCUCCAGAGUUCUAAUCAUGGACUCUAUGGAUUCGGAUCCAAAGCGUUGGGCCGACAUGAGAAAAUGCUGCAAAAGUAAUUAUUUUCAAUCAUUUGAGCUCUAUAUCGAUCGGUCUCUUUCGUUCAUUUCCUAAUAUCAAGUAACUAAUAACUCCCUUGUUCAUUUAAUUUUCUUUGCCCUGUAGGGUUUGGAGACGGUUCUCAGAAGAAAUUGUCCGUGAAUUCAAACAUGAGCUAGAUUUUAGAAGGUUAGUUAAUGUGGAUAAGCAGCCACCGGGGACCAAUCUAUGUGGAUACUAUAUUUGUGAGAACAUCCGGAGAAACACCUCUGAGCGGAAGGCAUCGGAUAGCGUGCGGAAGGCGACGGAUAACUUGCGGAGGAGGCUUAGUCCAGAAGCUCGCUUCCGACCAAUUCAAGAUGAAUUAGCAGGAUUUUUCAUGAGGGAAGUCAUCAAUCCUAAAGGAGAACACUAUACCCAGGACGAAGAAAUUUAUAUGCAUACCCGAGAUUGAAACUUGUUCGAAGUUGUAUAUGGUCAUCCAUCCUAAUUGUGUAUGGAAACUUGUUCGAAGUUGUAUAUGGUCACCCGAGAUUGAAUAUAUAUUAUAUAUUCCUCUUGAAUUCUUCUUGUUUGAAAUUUCAUAUGCAUGUAUAUAGUAGCGUAGAAUAUGUGUACUGAAACUUCAUCAAAAUUAAAAUAAAACACAAAAUAAAAUAUAAAAGAAAUAAAACACUACAAAUUAAAAAGAAACCAGGUUUAGGGGGGCUAAAACCCUAAACCUGCGGAGGAGGCCUUUAGUCCCGGUUAGCCACGAGAACCGGGACUAAAGGUCCUCCGCCCCGACGGACUCCUGGCGCCCACGUGGACGGGCCUUUAGUCGCGGUUCGUAAGAGGCGCGACUAAAGGGGGGGGCCUUUAGUCGCGCAUAUUUAGUCCCGGUUGCACAGCCGGGAUUAAUGGCCUUUGCGAACUGGGACUAAAGGCCUAUUCUCUACCAGUGGUCACUUGUGAGAUACAUAUUGGUGGCUUGCCAGGGAGCCCACACACCUCUACUAUGGUUCACCAUUAAUUGAGCUUUUUGGAGACAACCUCUAGCUUCUUCCUCCUCUCACUUCAGAAUGCACAAUGUGCCACCAUUGUUGAGUCGGGCAGAGCUUCACCUAGAGGCCCGACAUAGGGGAGAAACACCACUGUGGUGCCCCAAGAGAGGAAUGCAACACCCACAUGCGUCCUGACACUAGUGUUGAAGCGCAAAGCUUUCGCUUGGUAUCUACCCGAUGUCACGCCGAGAAACCAAAGCCACGGAGCCUACCAUGAGGUAAGGUGAUGGCUUGUGUCCGCGUCAGUUUUUCCUCGAAGAGGAAGGGAUGAUGCAACACAGCUAUGGUAGGUAUUUCCCUCAGUGAUGAAAUGAAGGUUAUCGAACCAGUAGAACCAAGCAACACUAUGUAAACGGUACCUGCACACAAGGAACAAAUACUUGCAACCCGAUGCGUAAGAGGGGUUGUCAAUCCCUCUCGGGUAGAAGAUAGAUUGGUUUGUAUGAUUUUGGAUAAAUAGAUCUCGCAAUAAAACAAAAUAAAAUAAAUAAAGAAAAAAUGCAGAAAGGUAUAUUUGGGUUUUUAGAAUAAUAGAUUUGAAAACAAAAGCAAAUAAAAAAUAGAUCUCAAAGCAAAUAAAUAGACCCGGGGGCCGUAGACUUCACUAGUGGCUUCUUUCAAGAAAAUAGCAUACAGCGGGUAAACAAAUUACUGUUGGGAAAUUGAUAGAACUUCAAAUAAUUAUGACGAUAUCCAGGCAAUGAUCAUUAUAUAGGUAUCACGUCCAAGCUUAGUAGACCGACUCCUGGCUUCCAUUAUAUUCAGAAAAGAACGUCUGGGUUCCAUGCUGAAGGAAAUAUGCCCUAGAGGCAAUAAUAAAGUUGUUAUUUAUAUUUCCUUAUAUCAUGCUAAAUGUUUAUUAUUCAUGCUAGAAUUGUAUUAACCGGAAACUUAGUACAUGUGUGAAUACAUAGACAAACAGAGUGUCACUAGUAUGCCUCUACUUGACUAGCUCAUUGAAUCAAAGAUGGUUAAGUUUCCUAGCCAUAGACAUGAGUUGUCAUUUGAUUAGCGGGAUCACAUCAUUAGAGAAUGAUGUGAUUGACUUGACCCAUCCGUUAGCUUAGCACUUGAUCGUUUAGUAUGUUGAUAUUGCUUUCUUCAUGACUUAUACAUGUUCCUAUGACUAUGAGAUUAUGCAACUCCCGAAUACCAGAGGAACACUUUGUGUGCUAUCAAACGUCACAACGUAACUGGGUGAUUAUAAAGGUGCUCUACAGGUGUCUCAGAUGGUACUUGUUGAGUUGGCAUAGAUCGAGAUUAGGAUUUGUCACUGCGAUUGUCGAAGAGGUAUCUCUGGGCCCUCUCGGUAAUGCACAUCACUAUAUAUAAGCCUUGCAAGCAAUGUGACUAAUGAGUUAGUUGCGGGAUGAUGCAUUACGGAACGAGUAAAGAGACUUGCCGGUAACGAGAUUGAACUAGGUAUUGAGAUACCGACGAUCGAAUCUCGGGCAAGUAACAUACCGAUGACAAAGGGAACAACGUAUGUUAUUAUGCGGUUUGAUCGAUAAAGAUCUUCGUAGAAUAUGUAGGAACCAAUAUGAGCAUCCAGGUUCCGCUAUUGGUUAUUGACGGUGAUGAGUCUUGGUCAUGUCUACAUAGUUCUCGAAUCCGUAGGGUCCAGACGCUUAACGUUCGGUGACGAUCGGUAUUACGAGUUUAUGUGUUUUGAUGUACAUAAGGUUGUUCAGAGUCCCGGAUUUAAUCACGGACAUGACGAGGAGUCUCGAAAUGGUCGAGACAUAAAGAUCGAUAUAUUGGAUGGCUAUGUUUGGACAUCGGAAUGGUUCCGGAUGAGUUCGGGCAUUUACCGGAGUACCGGGAGGUUACCGGAAUCCCCCGGGGAGUAUAUGGGCCUUAUUGGGCCUUAGUGGAAUAGAGGAGAGGAAAAGGUGAAGGGUGCGCCGCCCUAGCCCAAUCCGAAUUGGGUGGGGGGCCACCCCCCUUCCUUCCCUCUCUCCUCCCCUUCCUUCUCUCCUACUCCUACUACUUGGAAAGGGGGGAAUCCUACUCCCGGUGGGAGUAGGACUCCCCAGGGCGCGCCAUAGUAGAGGCCCGGCCCUCCCCCUCCUCCACUCCUUUAUAUACGGGGGAGGGGGCACCCCAUAGACACACAAGUUGAUCAUUGAUCUCUUAGCCGUGUGCGGUGCCCCCCUCCAGCAUAAUCCAUCUCGGUCAUAUCGUUGCAGUGCUUAGGCAAAGCCCUGCGCCGGUAGCUUCAUCAUCACCGUCAUCACGCCGUCAUGCUGACGAAGCUCUCCCUCGACACUCAGCUGGAUCGAGAGUUCGUGGGACGUCACCGAGCCGAACGUGUGCAGAUCGCGGAAGUGUCGUACUUUCGGUAGUAGGAUCGGUCGGAUCGUGAAGACGUACGACUACAUCAACCGCGUUGUCAUAACGCUUCCGCUUACGGUCUACGAGGGUACAUGGACUACACUCUCCCCUCUCGUUGCUAUGCAUCACCAUGAUCUUGCUUGUGCGUAGGAAUUUUUUUGAAAUUAUUGCGUUCCGCAACAGUGGCAUCCGAGCCAGGUUUAUGCGUAGAUGUUAUAUGCACGAGUAGAACACAAGUGAGUUGUGGGCGAUAAUAGUCAUACUGCUUACCAGCAUUUCAUACUUUGAUUCGGCGGUAUUAUUAGAUGAAGCGGCCCGGACCGACAUUAUGCGUACGCUUACGCGAGACUUGUUCUACCGACGUGCUUCGCACACAGGUGGCUGGCGGGUGUCAGUUUCUCCAACUUUAGUUGAAUCGAGUGUGGCUACGCCCGGUCCUUGUUGAAAGUUAAAACAACACAUACUUGACGAAAAACCGUUGUGGUUUUGAUGCGUAGGUAAGAACGGUUCUUGCUCAGCCCGUAGCAGCCACGUAAAACUUGCAACAACAAAGUAGAGGAUGUCUAACUUGUUUUUGCAGGGCAUGUUGUGAUGUGAUAUGGUCAAGACAUGAUGCUAAAUUUUAUUGUAUGAGAUGACCAUGUUUUGUAACAGAGUUAUCGGCAACUGACAGGAGCCAUAUGGUUGUCGCUUUAUUGUAUGCAAUGCAAUCGCCAGCAAUUGCUUUACUUUAUCACUAAGCGGUAGCGAUAGUCGUCGAAGCAAUAGUUGGCGAGAUGACAACGAUGCUACGAUGGAGAUCAAGAUGUUGCACCGGUGACGGUGGUGAUCAUGACGGUGCUUUGGAGAUGGAGAUCAAAGGCACAAGGUGAUGAUGGCCAUAUCAUAUCACUUAUAUUGAUUGCAUGUGAUGUUUAUCCUUUAUGCAUCUUAUUUUCCUUAGUUCGACGGUAGCAUUAUAAGAUGAUCUCUCACUAAAUUUCAAGGCACAAGUGUUCUCCCUGAGUAUGCACCGUUGCGAAAGUUCAUCGUGCCGAGACACCACGUGAUGAUCGGGUGUGAUAAGCUCUACGUUCACAUACAACGGGUGCAAGCCAGUUUUGCACAUGCAGAAUACUCGGGUUAAACUUGACGAGCCUAGCAUAUGCAGAUAUGGCCUCGAAACACUGAGACCGAAAGGUCGACCGUGAAUCAUAUAGUAGAUAUGAUCAACAUAGUGAUGUUCACCAUUGAAAACUACUCCAUCUCACGUGAUGAUCGGACAUGGUUUAGUUGAUUUAGAUCACGUGAUCACUUAGAUGAUUAGAGGGAUGUCUAUCUAAGUGGGAGUUCUUAAGUAAUUUGAUUAAUUGAACUUUAAUUUAUCAUGAACUUAGUACCUGAUAGUAUUUUGCAUGUCUAUGUUAUUGUAGAUAGAUGGCCCGUGCUGUUGUUCUGUUGAAUUUUAAUGCGUUCCUAGAGAAAGCUAAGUUGAAAGAUGUUAGUAGCAAUGAUGCGGACUUGGUCCGUGAUCUGAGGAUUAUCCUCAUUGCUGCACAGAAGAAUUAUGUCCUUGAUGCACCGCUAGGUGACAGAACUAUUGCAGGAGCAGAUGCAGACGUUAUGAAUGUUUGACAAGCUCGGUAUGAUGACCACUUGAUAGUUUAGUACACCAUGCUUUACGGCUUAGAACCGGGACUUCAAAAAUGUUUUGAACGCCAUGGAGCAUAUAAGAUGUUCCAAGAGUUGAAAUUGGUAUCUCAUACUCAUGCCCGUGUCAAGAGGUAUAAGACCUCUGACAGUACUUUGCCUACAAGAUGGAGGAGAAUAGCUCAAGAAGUGAGCAUGUGCUCAGAAUGUCUAAGUACUACAAUCACUUGAAUCAAGUGGGAGUUAAUCUUCCCGAUAAGAUAGUGAUUGACAGAGUUCUCUAGUCACUAUCACCAAGUUACUAGAACUUCGUGAUGAACUAUAAUAUGCAAGGGAUAACAGAAACGAUUCCCAAGCUCUUCGCGAUGCUGAAAUCGGCGAAGGUAGAAAUCAAGAAAAAGCAUCAAGUGUUGAUGGUUAACAAGACCACUAGUAUCAAGUAAAAGGGCAAGGGAAAGAAAGGGAACUUCAAGAAGAAUGGCAAGCAAGUUGCCACUCCCAUGAAGAAGCCCAAAGCUAGACCCAAGCCUGAAACUGAGUGCUUCUACUGCAAAGGAAACGGUCACUGGAAGUGGAACUGCCCUAGAUACUUGGCGGAUAAGAAGGAUGGCAAAGUGAACAAAGGUAUAUUUGAUAUACAUGUUAUUGAUGUGUACUUUACUAGUGUUUAUAGCAACCCCUCGGUAUUUGAUACUAGUUCAGUUGCUAAGAGUAGUAACUCGAAACGGGAGUUGCAAAAUAAACACUGACUAGUUAAGGGCAAGGUGAUGAUAUGUGUUGGAAGUGAUUCCAAGGUUGAUAAGAUCACCAUCGCACACUCCCUUUACCUUCGGGAUUAGUGUUGAACCUAAAAUAAAUGUUAUUUGGUGUUUGCGUUGAGCAUGAAUAUGAUUUGAUCAUGUUUAUUGCAAUACGGUUAUUCAUUUAGGUCAAAGAAUAAUUUUUGUUCUAUUUACAUGAAUAAAACCUUCUAUGGUCAUACACUCAAUAUAAAUGGUUUAUUGAAUCUCGAUCGUAGUGAUACACAUAUUCAUAAUAUUGAAGCCAAAAGAUGCAGAGUUGAUAAUGAUAGUGCAACUUAUUUGUGGCACUGCCGUUUGGGUCAUAUUGGUGUAAAGCGCAUGAAGAAACUCCAUUCUGAUGGACUUUUGGAAUCACUUGAUUAUGAAUCACUUGGUACUUGCGAACCAUGCCUCAUGGACAAGAUGACUAAAACUCCGUUCUCCGGAACAAUGGAGCGAGCAACAGAUUUGUUGGAAAUCAUACAUACUGAUGUAUGUGGUCCGAUGAAUAUUAAGGCUCGCGGCGGGUAUCGUUAUUUUCUCACCUUCACAGAUGAUUUGAGCAGAUAUGGGUAUAUCUACUUAAUGAAACAUAAGUCUGAAACAUUUGAAAAGUUCAAAGAAUUUCAGAGUGAAGUGGAAAAUCAUGGUAACAAGAAAAUAAAGUUUCCACGAUCUGAUCAUGGAGGAGAAUAUUUGAGUUACGAGUUUGGUCUUCAAUUAAAACAAUGUGGAAUAGUUUCACAAACUCAUGCCACCUGGAACACCACAGCAUAAUGGUGUGUCCGAACGUCGUAACUGUACUUUAUUAGAUAUGGUGCGGUCUAUGAUGUCUCUUACCGAUUUACCACUAUCGUUUUGGGGUUAUGCAUUAGAGACAGUUGCAUUCACGUUAAUAGGGCACCGUCUAAAUCCGUUGAGACAACACAGUAUGAACUGUGGUUUAGCAAGAAACCUAAGUUGUCGUUUCUUAAAGUUUGGGGUUGCGAUGUUUAUGUGAAAAAGUUUCAGCCUGAUAAGCUCAAACCCAAAUCAGAGAAGUGCGUCUUCAUAGGAUACCCAAAAGUAACUGUUGGGUACAUCUUCUAUCACAGAUCCGAAGGCAAGAUAUUUGUUGCUAAGAAUGGAUCCUUUCUAGAGAAGGAGUUUCUCUCGAAAUAAGUGAGUGGGAGGAAAGUAUAACUUGGUGAGGUAUUUGUACCUUCUCUCGAAUUGGAAAGUAGCUCAUCACUGAAAUCCGUUCCAGUGAUUCCUACACCAAUUAAUGAGGAAGUUAAUGACGAUGAUCAUGAAACUUUGGAUCAAGUUACUACAGAACUUCGUAGAUCAACCAGAGCACGAUCCGCACCAGAGUGGUACAGUAAUCCUGUACUGGAAGUCAUGUUACUAGACCAUGAUGAAAUUACGAACUAUGAGGAAGCAAUGAUGAGCCCAGAUUCCGCGAAAUGGCUUGAGGCCAUGAAAUCUGAGAUGGGAUCCAUGUAUGAAAACAAAGUGUGGACUUUGAUGGAUUUUCCCGAUGAUCGGCAAACCAUAGAAAAUAAAUGGAUCUUCAAGAGGAAGACGGACACUGAUAGUAGUGUUACUAUCUAUAAAUCUCGAAUUGUCGCAAAAAGGUUUUCGACAAGUUCAAGAUGUUGAAUACAAUGAGAUUUUCUCACUCGUAUCGAUGCUUAAAGUCUGUCUGAAUCAUGUUAGCAAUUGCCACAUUUUAUGAAAUCUGACAAAUGGAUAUCAAAACUGCAUUCCUUAAUGGAUUUAUUAAAGAAGAGUUGUAUAUGAUACAACCAGAAGGUUUUGUCAAUCCUAAUGGUGCUAACAAAAUGUGCAAGCUCCAGCGAUCCAUCUAUGGACUGGUGCAAGCAUCUCGGAGUUGGAAUAUAUGCAUUGAUAAGUUGAUCUAAGUAUAUAGUUUUAUACAGACUUGCGGUGAAGCCUGUAUUUACAAGAAAGUGAGUGGGAGUACUACAGCCUUUCUGAUAAGUAUAUGUGAAUGACAUAUUGUUGAUCAGAAAUUAUGUAGAAUUUUCUGGAAGCAUAAAAGAGUGUUUGAAAGGAGUUUUUCCAAAGAAAGACCUCGGCAAAGCUGCUUACAUAUUGAGCAUCAAGAUCUAUAGAGAUAGAUCAAGACACUUGAUAAGUUUUUUCAGUGAGUACAUACCUUGACAAGAUUUUGAAGUAGUUCAAAAUGGAACAAUCAAAGAAAGAGUUCUUGCCUGUGUUGCAAGGUGUGAUGUUGAGUAAAGACUCAAAACCCGACCACGGCAGAAAAUAAAAAUAGAAUGAAAAAUCAUUCCCUAUGCCUCAGUCAUAGGUUCUAUAAAGUAUGCCAUGCUGUGUACCAGACCUAUUGUGUACCUCACCAUGAGUUUGGCAAGAGGGUACAAUAGUGAUCCAGGAGUGGAAUACUGUACAGCGCUCAAAAUUAUCCUUAGUGGUAUAAGGAUAUGUUUCUCGGUUAUGGAGGUGACAAAAGGUUCAUCGUAAAGGGUUACGUCGAUGCAAGUUUUGACACUGAUCCAGAUGACUCUAAGUCUCAAUCUGGAUACAUAUUUAAAGUGGGAGCAAUUAGCUAGAGUAGCUCCGUGUAGAGUAUUGUAGACAUAGAAUAUUUGCAAAAUACAUACGGCUCUGAAUGUGGCAGACCCAUUGACUAAACUUCUCUCACAAGCAAAACAUGAUCACACUUUAAGUACUCGUUGGGUGUUAAUCACAUAGCAAUGUGAAAUAGAUUAUUGACUCUAAUAAACCCUUUGGGUGUUGGUCACAUGACGAUGUGAACUAUGGGUGUUAGUCACAUGGUGAUGUGAACUAUUGGUGUUAAAUCACAUGGCGAUAUGAACUAGAUUAUUGACUCUAGUGCAAGUGGGAGACUGAAGGAAAUAUGCCCUAGAGGCAAUAAUAAAGUUGUUAUUCAUAUUUCCUCAUAUCAUGAUAAAUAUUUAUGAUUCAUACUAGAAUUGUAUUAACCGGAAACUUAGUCCAUGUGUGAAUACAUAGACAAACAGAGUGACACUAGUAUGCCUCUACUUGACUAGCUCAUUGAAUCAAAGAUGGUUAAGUUUCCUACCAAUAGACAUGAGUUGUCAUUUGAUUAACGGGAUCACAACAUUAGAGAAUGAUGUGAUUGACUUGACCCAUUCCGUUAGCUUAGCACUUUAUCGUUUAGUAUGUUGCUAUUGCUUUCUUCAUGACUUAUACAUGUUCCUAUGACUAUGAGAUUAUACAACUCCCGAAUACCGGAGGAACACUUUGUGUGCUACCAAACGUCACAACGUAAUUGGGCGAUUAUAAAGGUGCUCUACAAGUGUCUUCGAUGGUACUUGUUGAGUUGGUAUAGAUCGAGAUUAGGAUUUGUCACUCCGAUUGUCGGAGAGGUAUCUCUGGGCCCUCUCGGUAAUGCACGUCACUAUAAGCCUUGCAAGCAAUGUGACUAAUGAGUUAGUUGCGGGAUGAUGCAUUACGGAACGAGUAAAGAGACUUGCCGGUAACGAGAUUGAACUAGGUAUUGAGAUACCGACGAUCGAAUCUCGGGCAAGUAACAUACCGAUGACAAAGGGAACAACGUAUGUUGUUAUGCGGUUUGACCGAUAAAGAUCUUCGUAGAAUAUUAGGAACCAAUAUGAGCAUCCAGGUUCCGCAAUUGGUUAUUGACCGGAGGUGAGUCUCGGUCAUGUCUACAUAGUUCUCGAACCCAUAGGGUCCGCACGCUUAACGUUCGGUGACGAUCGGUAUUAUGGGUUUAUGUGUUUUGAUGUACCGAAGGUUGUUUGGAGUCCCGGAUUUGAUCACGGACAUGACGUGGAGUCUCGAAAUGGUCGAGACAUAAAGAUCGAUAUAUUGGAUGGUUAUGUUUGGACAUCAGAAUGAUUCCGAAUGAGUUCGGGCAUUUACCGGAGUACCGGGAGGUUACCGGAAUCCCCCGUGGAAUAUAUGGGCCUUAUUGGGCCUUAGUGGAAUAGAGGAGAGGAAGGGAAAAGGUGAAGGGCGCGCCCCCCUAGCCCAAUCCGAAUUGGGUGGGCCCCCCCCCUCCUUCCCUCUCUCCUCCCCUUCCUUCUCUCCUACUCCUACUACUUGGAAAGGGGGGAAUCCUACUCCCGGUGGGAUUAGGACUCCCCAGGGCGCGCCAUAGUAGAUGGCCGGCGCUCCCCCUCCUCCACUCCUUUAUAUACGGGGGAGGGGGCACCCCAUAGACACACAAGUUGAUCAUUGAUCUCUUAGCCGUGUGCGGUGCCCCCCUCCACCAUAAUCCACCUCGGUCAUAUUGUUGCAGUGCUUAGGCGAAGCCCUGCGCCGGUAGCUUCAUCAUCACCGUCAUCACGCCGUCAUGUUGACGAAGCUCUCCCUCGACACUCAGCUGGAUCGAGAGUUCGUGGGACGUCACCGAGCCGAACGUGUGCAGAUCGCGGAGGUGUCGUGCUUUCGGUACUAGGAUCGGUCGGAUCGUGAAGACGUACGACUACAUCAACCGCGUUGUCAUAACGCUUACGCUUACGGUCUACGAGGGUACGUGGACUACACUCUCCCCUCUCGUUGCUAUGCAUCACCAUGAUCUUGCGUGUGCGUAGGAAGUUUUUUGAAAUUACUGCGUUCCCCAACACAUGCUUCCCAGUGUGGCUUCUGCACUCCUGGCAUGUGCAUGUCUAUUUUCACUACUCUUGCCAAUGCUGACAAAUCCAAGAAGCCUGAACCACGAAAGGGGUUCUCAAAGUUGACGGUAUCUGAAGCAGAAAGGGCUUUCUCAGGCAACAUGUGUAGAUGUACUGGUUACCGACCGAUCGUCGAUGCAUGCAAAAGUUUUGCUUCAGAUGUUGACCUGGAAGAUUUGGGCCUCAAUAUAUUCUCGUCGAUGCGUGCAAAAGUUUUGCUUCAGAUGUUGACCUGGAGGAUUUGGGCCUCAAUAUAUUCUGGAAGAAAGGUGAUAAGGAUGCCGACGUUUGCAAGUUGCCAACUUACACUCUUGGUGGUGGAGUCUGCACUUUCCCGGACUUCCUGAAAUCCGAGAUAAAAUCUUCGCUCAUUCAUCUAACUGAUGUUUCGGAUAUCAUCCUAAAAGCAUCGGGCAGUAUUAUGACUUGCUGAACUCUGGCAUUUUUAGCGACUGCACAGUUAAAGUGGUUGUCGGGAACACAAGUUCUGGUGUAAAGGGAUACAAAGGAUCAGGAUCUAUAUAACAAGUAUAUUGACAGUGGUAUUGAAAUUGGAGCAGCCCCGCGCCCUCUUGGCAAUGUUGUUUCAUAUAUUAAGGUGGUGUUUGGUUCUCUAGUCCUAAGACUUUUUCUAGUCCCUAGGACUUUUUGAAAAAGACUCUCAAGGAGGUGUUUCUAAGGACUUUUAGCAAAAAGUCUCAAAAAAGUCCCACCCUGUUUGGUUUACUAGAGACUUUUUCUAGUCCCAACACAAAAAAGUCCCUGAAACCAAACACCCCCUAACUCUGCUAUGCUGGGUCAUGUCUCCCUGAAUGAACCAUCUGGUGAUCUUGUGUUGAGUAACCUACACAUGGCCUUUGGUGCCUAUGGGACAGACCAUGCUAUUAGAGCAACAAAAGUCGAACAACACCUGAACGGAAAAGUGCUCACUCCAUCUGUUGUGCUCGAAGCAGUUCAGCUACUUAGAGAAACAAUUGUACCAAUGGAAGGAACAUCACAUCCUGAAUACAGAGUCAGUGUGGCUGUUGGUUUUCUCUUCAGUUACCUGUCUCCAUUUGCUAAAGGAAUCAAAUGGCCUGGAAAAACUCUGAACAUAAGUUCUGCUGGUUCUUUAUAUAUAGAUGAUAUGUGUAACCUUCCACUGUCUUCACGUCGAGAAACAGUUUCCAGUGAGGAAUAUAAACCAGUUGGUGAGCCGAUUAAAAAGUAUGCAGUUGAGCUUCAGGCUUCUGGUAUGUGGUUAUCUCACAUCAUCAGAACUCUUAAUGGGAUCUAGAAGUUCUCUUCCUCUCCAGAUUAUCCUUCUGGUAUGAGGCUACAGAUUGAUAUCAUUUAUUUUCUGUACUGCAGGGGAGGCGGUAUAUAUAGAUGAUAUUCCUGCUCCAAAAAAUUGCCUUUACGGAGAGUUUAUUUACAGCACGCAACCUCUUGCAUAUGUCAAGAAUAUCAAGUUCAAGCCUUCUUUGACAUCACAGAAGAUCCUCACGGUUGUUUCUGCAAAGGAUGUUCCAAGUGGAGGGCAAAAUAUCGGAUCAAGCUUGAUGUUUCGGGACGAACCACUUUUUGGUGCUCCAGUUGCUGAGUACGCUGGACAAGCUCUUGGCGUCGUGGUACUUAUCUUUUCAUAUUUUAAUGUUCACUCAACAAUAAAUUCUUGUAUAAUAAAGGAAAUUCAUAAAUGGGUUUUUCUUCAUUAUUUCUCUUUGAGAAAGACGUUUGUGAAUGUUAUGGAAUAAGCAAAUUUUGAUGAGGGGAAAAUCCGUAAAAAUUAAAAUAAUGAAACCCUAGUUUCAAAAAUCCGUAUAUAUUAUUUAUACCCAGAAAUUUGCUUGUAAAAUGCCCUAAGGAACAACCUAUAUCUCUGUUUGUUUCGUAACAAGAUUGCUUGUUGAAACUCAAUGCAAGUGGAUAUGCCAAAAAUAUAUUGUAUUGAAUUAAACACCGAAGGUGAUCUUGUUAAAUUAAACUAAUUAUUUAUGUGCACAUUUGCCCCUAACUACAAGUGAGCAUUAGCUACCUUUUCCUUUAAGAAUGAAAAUACAUAUUCUGUAUUUCUUCAGUACUGAUGUCCUAAAAUGUGAGACUUUACUUCAGAUUGCAGAAACUCAGAGAUACGCCAACUUGGCAGGAAAACAGGUUGUUGUUGAAUAUGACACAAAGGAUUUGAAGCCACCAAUCUUAACUGUAGAACAAGCAGUACAAAACAACAGCUAUUUCGAAGUUCCUCCUGAGAUGUAUCCAAAACAAGUUGGUGACUUUUGCAAGGGCAUGGCAGAAGCUGACCACAAGAUCCUCUCAACAGAAGUAUGUUAAUUCAAAAUACUAUGAGAGCUUUUCCAUUCUAACAUCUCACUUGCAUUACUCAUAACUUUAAUGGAACUUCUUAUACUUAACAUGCAUUACUGAAAAUUUAAUGGAACUUUUUAUACUUAGCAAUACAAACUUCUAAAUUUUAUUUUUUGAUAGUAUCUAUUUUCAACUGAACCGUACGCAUUACUAGUGGAUGCCACUUUUCAUUACAUAUAUAACUUUACAGUCACUAUCAUUUCUGGUAUGGUGCUUGUAGUUAAUCUGAUUCUUCUUUUUUUAUAGUUAAAAUUUAAUCUGCACGGUAACAUAGUAGCUGUAUGAAAGUUCGUAUUGUUGUGAUGCAACUUUGUCAAAGUUAUAUGUAUACCUUCAAUGAUCACAGGUGAAACUUGCCUCUCAAUACUACUUCUACAUGGAAACACAAGCGACUCUAGCAAUUCCAGAUGAAGAUAACAGCAUGGUCGUAUACAUUUCAUCACAGUACCCUGAGGUUGCACAGAGUGCAAUAGCCAAGUGCCUCGGCAUUCCGUUCAGCAGCGUGCGUGUCAUUACAAGGAGGGUUGGAGGAGGCUUUGGUGGGAAGGCAUUCAGAUCAUGCAAUGUAAGUAGGAAUCUAACAAGUUUAAACAACAGCCCGACAAAGCGACAAAAGAAAUUCAUAGCCCAUGCGGCACAACUGAAAGAAUCUAACAAGUACUCCCUCCGUUCGGAACAUCCGUUUGAGCGUCAACUAAUUCCGGAUGGAGGUAGUAUCUUUAUAUGAAUAAUUGCAUUUUUUACUUCUAGUAUAUACCUUCAACGAACAUGAGUGUAUAAGUUAGGUUUCGCAUCAGAUGAGUUCACGACGCGUCAUCUAUUUUUACAACAUAUUCGCCAAAAAAAUCUAUUUUUACAACUAACAUUCCUUUUUUAUGGUGGAUUAGGGUUCUAGUGAUAGGUUUUAACAUAAGUUUGGCCAUUUUACCAUUCAUUCAACUUCGAAGAAAGCAAAAGACAUUAACCAUUUCAGCUGUAUUGUGCUCAGUGAUCCGACAAUUUAUGUUUUUGUAGGUAGCCACGGCAGCUGCACUCUGUGCAUUCAAGUUACGUCGUCCAGUGCGGAUGUAUCUCAACCGCAGUACUGACAUGAUCAUGAUCGGGGGUCGUCACCCCAUAAAAGCAUAUUACUCUGUUGGUUUCAGGUCUGAUUGGAGAAUCACAACCUUGCAUCUGGACAUACUAAUCGAUGCUGGAAUUUCUCCAGAUGCUAGCCCCAUAAUGCCAGACACCAUCAUUUCAGGUCUGAAGAAAUACAACUGGGGUGCUCUCUCGUUCGACAUCAAGCUCUGCAAAACAAACAACACAUCCAAGUCAGUAAUGCGUGCUCCUGGAGACGCUCAAGGAUCUUUUAUCGCUGAAGCUAUCAUUGAGCAUGUCGCUUCGGUGUUGUCACUCGAUGCUAAUAGUGUCAGGAAGAAGAAUUUCCACACCUAUGACAGUCUUGUGCUGUUCUAUCCAGAAAGCACAGGCGAAGCUUCUGCGUACACAUUGCAUUCUAUCUUUGAUAGGUUACUCAUGACAUCGAGCUACCUGCAUCGAGCCGGAUCCAUCAGGCAGUUCAACAGCUGCACCAAGUGGCGAAAGCGGGGUAUCUCUUGUGUGCCCCUCGUCUUCAAGGUGGCACCAAGGCCAGCUCCUGGAAGAGUUUCUGUGCUCAACGAUGGUUCCAUUGUGGUUGAGGUUGGAGGCAUUGAGAUUGGGCAAGGGCUGUGGACCAAAGUACAGCAAAUGACAACUUUCGCUUUGGGACAGCUGUGGCCUGAUGGAUGUGAAUCCCUUCUUGAUAGAGUGCGUGUUCUUCAGGCUGAUACACUGAACUUGAUCCAAGGUGGGCUCACCGCCGGCAGCACUUCGUCUGAAUCUAGCUGUGCAGCAACCCUUGAGGCCUGCAACAUGCUGGUUGACAGAUUAAAGCCAGUCAUGGAGAAGCUCAAGCAGCAAUCCGGCGGUGCUGUUUCAUGGGAUGCUUUGAUUGCUCAGGUUAUUUUCUUUAUUUUCCUCUGGGUUUUUAUGCUACAGAAGUGUAAAAUGUUUGUGUGUGGAAAUUGUUAUCUUUAUACUUGCUAACACUUUCCCAAAUAGGCCAUUAAGGAUAAUGUUAAUUUGUCCUCAAGUGCAUACUGGGUACCUGGCCUAGAAUCCAGCACCUAUCUAAACUAUGGAGCUGCUAUAAGUGAGGUACAGAAAUAUUCUGCUAAAUGUCAAUCACACUAGUAUAGUUCAAUUGUUACUGGAUGGGAUAUUGUGAUACUUUUCUAACUUCCUUUUCACUUUUUACUAAAAAAUCAGGUAGAGAUUGAUCUUCUUACAGGAGCUAUUACUUUACUACGGAGCGACCUUGUGUAUGACUGUGGAAAGAGUUUGAACCCUGCAGUGGACUUGGGCCAGGUUUGAGAUAUUUUCCACAGCGCUAUGCUCUUCUUUUAUCAUUUUGUAGUGAACAUGGAUAUUAUUUGAUAAUGCCUUACUUCGAAACAGAGCGAGUACAUUAGAUUGCAGCCCUGAUCAGGGUUUUUCUUCAUUAUAGUACAUGAUGGCAUCACAUAUUCAUAUCUGAUCUCUCUACCGUCCACCUUACAGAUUGAAGGCUCCUUCAUACAAGGAAUUGGUUUCUUCAUAAACGAAGAACACGAAACAAAUGCCGAUGGACUGGUUGUGAGCGACAGCACAUGGGUCUACAAGAUCCCGAGCGUGGACACCAUCCCGAAGCAGUUCAACGCUGAGGUGCUCAACAGUGGGUACCAUAAGAACCGUGUUCUUUCGUCAAAAGGUAUGUAGUAGGAUAGUGCUUUCCCCUGAACUGAAGCAACAUGAAUAUAGUUUUACUAUUUUGCCAGUUGAAAUUAUCAUUGGUUAAAGUGAUUUAACUAGUCUGCCUCUGCCAGCCUCUGGGGAACCUGCCCUGGUUCUCGCAGCAUCGGUCCAUUGCGCGGUGAGAGAGGCCAUCCGAGCGGCGAGGAAGGAGUUUGGAAGCUCAGAGCUCAUCUUCCAGCUCGACGUCCCUGCGCCGAUGACCCAUGUGAAGGAAAUGUGUGGUUUGGACAUCGUGGAUAAGCGGGAGCUACUACAAUAGAAAAACAGCCACCGGUAGAAAAAUAGAAAAAAUCUAUAUGAGCCGUCAGUUCCAGGAUGGAUGGUCCAGAUUGUGGGGGGUGGAUGUGAGCACACACUUGCUGGCUUCUUUGCACAAAACUCCCUCACUUCUACUUAUUUACCUCUCGUACCGAUAGCACCAGGCCAGCAGCUCACGCCCAAAUUCCCCAACCCUAGCUUGCGUACAAGCCGCCUCCUGGACCAAUCCUCUGGUCCAUCUUCCUCCGGCUUGCCGACGGUGGCGGCGAUCCAGAUCCGGUGCCUAGCUGGGCGAGUAUGCCUAGCGGAGGUCCCGUUCCAGCUUCUGUUCGUCUCAUCGCCGGCGGUCUGGCUGCCCCGGCGGACCUCGCUCUGUCCUAAGAGAACAAGAACUGGAUGGUACUCUUCUCUGGCGACCAGAGGUCGACCUCGCCCCAUUCUUUUUUCUACCUCAACCCGCCAUUCUCCACAUGUCGCCACCCACCCCGCCGACGUCGGAGAAGAAAACUCCAAUCUGAAGGUAUGCUCAUCUGUGAGUCUGCUGUCAAUUUCAGAGUUAAUUUUGUAGCCUUUUAUCUAGAAAGUAUUUUGGUUCAGAUUUUACUACAACUGUCCAUAUCAUGUAAAUAAUACCUGAGUUCCUCCAAUCGAGAGAAGAUUUAUAAAUUUUGAAUGUUUGGAAGUGAUAUGAAUGUCUACAUUUUUUAAAUUUGAACAUAUGCACAUACAGUGUAGAUGAUAUAAUUUGAUCGUCACUAGCAGUAGCUUGGAAGCUUGGAACGGUUUUUGAGAAAAUGCAAUAUUCACAUAGAUAUGCCUGAGCAGUACAGUAGCUAACCCACUAGCAGGACACUAUGCUAUAUAUAUAGGGAGCUAAAGGAAAUUGCUUAGGACAGAAAAUCCAUCAAUCCAACGGAAUAACCAUAUUGCCAGCAUAUAUGCUUAUUCACAUCUUUUCGAUCAAGCUAAAAAUCACCUGUGAUACAUGUCAACUAUACUGCAAAUCCUGGUUAGUAUGUACUUGCACUUUUCUGAGCCGAAUUCAGUUAAUUUGGAGAGACCUUUAUCAGUGUUCAUUUACCAUCACAAAAACAGAAAUUCUGCAAACUCACCGGGUACUGUACAUGAGAAGAAACUAAUCUCAUCUACCUAUUAAAGUACCUGAACGUGAAGUGCGCAUGCAGGCACAAGACUGAAAUUUAUUCAAUACAUGCAAAUAUGUGGCACUUCACUGAUUUAUGGGAAUUCACUAUCUUUUUGGAUUUUUUUUGUAGGACACAAUUUCUGUUCUAAGUAUGAUGGAUACAUCGGAGCUUGUCGACUAGUGCUACGCUCCGCAACUACCAUUCUGCUACUGCAUGUCAAUCUAAUUGGAGGGAAGUAGUGCGACGUCACCUUUAGGAGAGCCUACAGUUCCAAUAAUCAUAAACUGUGUACCAGCACUAUCAUGUGAGAACACACAAUCCAAAAAGGCAAGAGUAUCUUGUCAUUACCUAAUAUUAUGUUAAUCCCUUCUUUGAUGUUGUUUGCUGAAAAUUAUUUGCAGCCGUGGAAUCUGUCAACAGUGUUCAAAAUCAAGAUUUCAGCGAUGCUACCUCAUUAGCAGAGAUUAAUUCUCCAAUGCUUCUCAUUGAUGAUUUCGGUACACCGAAAACGGAACAAUCCUUCUCUCAAGAGGUACCCACACUGGCCACAGCUUGUAAUGCUCGUUAAAUGCCUUGAAUAAGGCCAAUAGUAGUUCAAUUUUGUCUGUUUCAAAUUGUGUUGUUUGUUGUGAUAAAAUGAGAUCUCAUAAGUGAAUAGCAUGUGGUCUUUACAAGUCCAUAUGACAUCAUGUUUUUCAUGCGAGGUCAGUGGUACUAAACUUGCAAUUGCUGUUGCAGGGUUCUUUGUAUAAACCCCCAGUGUGACGACGAAUUGAAGCCCAAAGUAGGGAUGAUAUUUGAUGAUAUUGGCUCGGUACUAGAUUUUUACAGGACAUAUUACACGAUGUUGAAUUUGGUGUACGUCUUGGACAACAAAAGGUCAUUGAUAAUGUGCUUCAGUGGAAGCGCUUCUUGAAUGCGAACGAAAGCUUUCGUCCUGAGAAAGAUAACUUGCAAUUGAUGAUGCAACAUUUCUAAGGAAGUGGUGUUCCAUGAUGCAAGAGCAUACUCUAAGAAAGAAACGACACUGUAGUAGAGGUAUGUGCUUCUUCUUGCUUCGAAGACUACCACUUAUUUGUUUUGCUUUGUCUCCUCAACUAGGUUGAUUGAAACUCCGGCUUAGAUAGAUCAUUUACCCAAGAUAUGUAUGCCUUUCAGUUUGACUGGCCUUUGGUAUCGCUAAAGAUGUAUGUAUGUGAUUUAGUAUCAAUCCUUCUUCGAUGACAUUAGCAUAUCUGGUAUCUUGUUUAUUAUUAUUUUCCUGUGCUAUUGUAGUUUUCGUAUUAUUACAAGGUAUAGCAUAAUGCAUGCCAUCUAAUUAUUUGUUUAUAAUCUGCAUCUGUAGGACUAUCAUAAAUCUCCCUUUAAAUUUCUCGAUGUCCUUCUAUUUGUCCUUACCAUUUAUAUGUUUAACCUAUUCCAUGAAACUAUAAUCUAUUGAUCGGAAGUCUAUGCAUGGAUGUGCAAGCUUUGACCCCCUGUGAAUCUGGAGCCUACGUUCAUAUUUUCUCAAGGUAUCCAGAUAGAUUUUUGCAUGCCCAGUUUGCUUGUAUCUAAUUUUGCAAGGUAUUUUACAUAUGCCAUGGCCUACUAGAGUAUCCGAACAAUAACUAUUGAGCUCUUUAUUAGGUCAGUUGUGGCAAAUGGCUUAAAGUACUAUCUGGUCCUUCUAUAUGUUUGAGGAAUUUCAUCCUAAGUUUGACAUCUAGGUUAUGUAUCAUGGGUUGGAGCAGCAAACGAAGCUGGACAUAAUGACCACCACUCUUCUCAAAAUGUGUUGUAUGCAAUUCGUACAUGUUUCUAACAUACUCAUGUUUAUUUUCUGUGGUUAACUAGGUGGAUUGAACCGAUGAAGGGUAUAUAGAGUCCAUGGAGGUUGCCAUAUAUUCCAACAGAUGAAAGCUCGAUUAUCAAGAAUCACUAAAAUAGGAGGCAAAAUGAUAGAUCUUUUUUGGCAUGUACCAUCAGGUCCUUAAUACUUGGUCUUCAUGCAAAUGUACUAAAAAUGAUAUAUGUUUGCCUCUUGCGUUGUGUUCUUAUGUACUCAAAUACUCGAAUGCUUGUUGAGUAGUGAUAACUUACUCAGAUGCUUCUAGUUACAUGUAAAUGUACAAAGUUUAGCUUGAUCUGGGAUGGCUUAAUUUCCUCAUGUGCUCAAAUUUAGGGGGUUUUGUGGUCAACAUGUUCAACUCUCUUGAAUAAUUAGGACUUUGUAUUAUGAAGAGGAGAGGGGCAUCAGCGUUUUGUGCAUAUAUGAAAAUGGUCUUAUAUUUUUCCACAGCCAAAGAGGAGACAUCAACGCUGUCAGGUUUGAAAAAUAGUCAAGGACAAAAUGAUUGGAUAUGAGAAAGUUAAGGUGGUUACUGCAAAAGUGAAGUUUUAUAUCUAAGUAGUAUCAGGGGGUUUUCAUGAAAUCUACCUGAGCUGCCUCCACUAGAAUCUGUACCAUCCAUGCUUGAUCUGAUGGCCCAGAUUCGUUUUUCUAUUCUUCUACCAUAUGCCCAGAUUCUACACUAGUUGCUCUAAGUGCCUAGAAAGCCUAUCUGAGCAUCAGUCUCGAGCUGCGGCAUGAUGCAAGAUUCCGGUGCCGUCAACUGGAAGGAGCGGUGUGGUGUGAUCGUGUUGUGCAAAGUCGAAUGGUAAAUUGCGGACAUUAUGUUCAAAGCGUUUGUAAUUUUUCAGUGCUGUGCUUGCACGCUUUUCAAAUAAUCCUGGGUUGAGAUCUGUGUUUGUAAUUCCUGACUGAACCUGAAGUCAGGUUUUCUCUUUAAAAUGCAUGUUUUAUAAAUAGUAAUACGCGUUUGCUAUUUGCAAAAUGCAACUUGCAUCAGUCGACUUGGGAAGAGAAGACGACGCCGUGUUGCUAGUGGNNNNNNNNNNNNNNNNNNNNNNNNNNNNNNNNNNNNNNNNNNNNNNNNNNNNNNNNNNNNNNNNNNNNNNNNNNNNNNNNNNNNNNNNNNNNNNNNNNNNNNNNNNNNNNNNNNNNNNNNNNNNNNNNNNNNNNNNNNNNNNNNNNNNNNNNNNNNNNNNNNNNNNNNNNNNNNNNNNNNNNNNNNNNNNNNNNNNNNNNNNNNNNNNNNNNNNNNNNNNNNNNNNNNNNNNNNNNNNNNNNNNNNNNNNNNNNNNNNNNNNNNNNNNNNNNNNNNNNNNNNNNNNNNNNNNNNNNNNNNNNNNNNNNNNNNNNNNNNNNNNNNNNNNNNNNNNNNNNNNNNNNNNNNNNNNNNNNNNNNNNNNNNNNNNNNNNNNNNNNNNNNNNNNNNNNNNNNNNNNNNNNNNNNNNNNNNNNNNNNNNNNNNNNNNNNNNNNNNNNNNNNNNNNNNNNNNNNNNNNNNNNNNNNNNNNNNNNNNNNNNNAGAGGAGGCUUGGGCAGGGUGGGGCGGCAAGGCGCGCGUAGCAGCAUUGCCUGCCGCGGGUGUAGGUGGUCGCCAAAGUUGAGCAACUAGAUAUGUUUUUACUUCUUCGGAAAAUAGAUAGAGGAACUAGAUAUGAGUGCGGCCGUCCUGGACGCAGAAAUCCAGCCACCUGCUGCGCCAAGGUGAUGCGUGCACGAAAUGAGGGGAAAAGUCACAACGGAUGCAUACAUUGCUAUAUACACUUCAAUACCAUGGCCACUUGUGCUCUGUGGCUCGCACGGUGCGGGUACGCAUCUGACGCAAAGGGACAACCUUGCAGGGCGCGGUGACAUUUUUUACCACAUGGGACCCGGCUGUCGUUUUGGGUACAGUGUCCUGGACGACGCAGGUUUGUUUGCGUGUGCCUGCGACCCACCUCUCGCACUCGACAGACCAAGAACCGGCAUUGGGCGACAGGUUAGUAAAACUCCGAGGCUCUAUUUUGUUCUUGCCGGUUGCCCGCGCUGGUCUGUGCUAUCCCCCCGUCCUUCAUGGUCCCGUCGCCCCCCUUAUGGGUUCUUUUGCGGACUGAUUUUUGCAGAUUGGCCGGCACGGGGAGCGCUCCAGAUCCGCCGGUCCCCGAAGCGCAGGUGUUGGGGGUGCACCUAGCGCCCGGGCCGCCUGGGCAGCAGCAGAUCUGCAACACGCCAGAUGUGCAAUCAUCGGGUGCGUCCUGCACGACAUUGAGCUCUAGCGGUGGCGGUUGGCCAUCGGCGGACGCAGGAACUGGCGCACAUUCGUCGGGCGCGCCCGCACUUAGCCAUGACAGCCCCGGCAGCUCGCUGGGCGCCGCGGCUACCUACAACGGUGGUUCUGUAUCUCCGGUUCUAGUGAUCUGUCUUGUGCCUUUGUGUCGGAGUAAAUGACCACGGGUAGCCUAACCGACUCCUCCUGGCUCUUCAAAAAUUAUCGGGCCGAUCGAGCCUUCAAGCACCCAAAGCAUAGGGCCGCCUUCCCCUGGCAGGCUAUCUCACAGGCCGACUACUGGAAGGCGGUCCGGCCCUAAAACCCUCCCGAAGGGAGCCACAAGAAGGCCGACUCCAAGAAGCCGGCCAUAAGAAGACCGACUCCACGAUGCCGGCCACAAGAGGGCCGGCUCCCGGCAAGCGGCCAAGAUUGCACCCUCAAGGACUGCACCCACAUAACGGUGACGAGACGGGGCGUGGCUACGGUAAAGCCUGCCACCCCCGAAUCCCGGAGCACGCAUGGCCACAGUGCGCCGUAUGGGUCGGCCAUCCCCGUCCGGCGCGUCACUGUUGCCAUGUUGACCAUGACGCCACCCACGACAGGCUGUCAGUACGGCCCGCGGGCGGCGGGCCCCUUUAGCCAGAGAGACGCUCGAAGGCGGCCAAGCCUUCCCCAGUCGGCCUGGGGUGUAGCCGCCUCCCAAUAGCCGGCUACCUCACUCCCUCAAAGUAUGUGCAUCAUUAAGAAGACAAAACGAGGUAAGGCUACAGUGAGAGCCCGCCAGACGGCGGCACUAUAGCCAUGCUUACCUCGGCAAAGCCCUCGUCAUCAGAGGCGAGGCUACAGUAACCAGCCGCCGGCAAUACCCCCGGGCGGUGGGGCCGGCCUGUCGGCCAAGAGGCUGGCAGCCGGCGGGCCCCAGCGGCCGGCGGAGAAGCCGGCGGAUACGGACACUGACGGCCUGGACCCGCAUCCAGCCGGAUUACCAUUGUACCCCUGGGGGGUAGGCCUAUAUAAACCCCCUAGGACACCCAUGCAAAAAGUUGAUCUCUUAGAGUUUUAGACACCACAUAGAGAGAAGAGGAGAGCUAGCCUUGCCCUUCUUCCUCCUCUAGCCAAACAGCUCAAGGAGCCACUUGUGUUGAUCUAGUGAUCAUGCGGAGACCCCGCAGAGCAGGACUAGGGGUGUUAUCUCCACGGAGAGCCCCGAACCUGGGUAAGAUUCGUCGGCGUGCAUGUCUUCGCCUUAUCCCGUUUCCAGGCACCGGCGAUGUCUUACUGGCACCCACAAUGAUAAGCCACCCGUUGGCAUAUGUCGCACCUACCACCCGACACUUUGUAUCUCUAUUUGAUCCUGAAGGCUGUAUUUGCACUGGUCUAUUUGCUUUCGAUUGGGAUUCAACAGACUUAUGUUCUGGCUCAUUAAUAAAAGCCAUUUGUUUUCUGCAAAUUACGUUUGUAUUUCCAUGGUAGUUUGAGCUCACCAGGCUGUAUGGGAGUGGUACGGGUGGAGCUUUUCAUCCAAUAACUGAACUAGCUGCGAACUGCUAGCCUUCUCCAAGUUGGGGUGUCAUUAUCGGCAAAAGAAAUCGCUUUGUGGCAGUGAAAUUUAUUUCCCGCUGGACUUGGUAAUGGCACUGACGAUGGCUGUGCUUCACACGUACCACAUGGCCGUGUUGCGCAGACCAGUGUGUCAGUAAGUACUGUCAGCCUGGUCUCUUCCUAAAUACGCAUAUACGUCGCAAAACGGCAUCGACCGCACGACUAUACUCUAGGAAGCAUGCCAGCUUGGUGCGAAUCGCGACGGUCAUCGCGCCGUUGAUGCCGUGCGUGCAGCUGCCGCUGCGUGCAGACCUGCGUUUCUCAACUAGAUAUGUUUUACUUCUUCGGAAACUAGCUUGCCAGUGCGUCUUUCAGUCUUCCGAGCCCAUCAGGCAGGAAAUAUUUCCUGUGGGUGGUGAGGUUCGGCACCAACUCUGAGGGCUCUCCUCACCACAAAGCUUUCCGAUUUCCUCACCAGAUUGUUUGCUGCUAACCAAUAUGCUCGACCAGGAUUUCCUCAACAGAUUGGAUGCUGCUGUCCAAUAGUAUGCUCGACCAGGAAUCCGAUGGGCCAUCAAUGUCGGCUCAACCUUGAUACCUAGAAACCACCAAAGGGACGCAUGUGCUUGCAGGGGGGAAAGCCAAACCAUGGACUGUUCGUCUGGACGUUGGUCUGUCAUACCAGCUUAAUGCUCACAAUGGUAGGAAAAAUUCAAGUUAAAAUUAAGAAAUAUAUGGCCCAUAUGUUUGAGCCACAUAAUAGACAUUAAACUAGGUCCACAUCCUCUAUAACACUAUGCUUCCUAGUUUUAAAGAGUUCACAUUUAACUGUUGUCUCCAACUGGAAUUGGGUCUCCCGAUUUUGAAUGAUCAACAAUUUCUCAAAGCUCUCUUAUUCAAUUCUUUUAUACUCCCUCCGUCCCAAAAUUCUUGUCUUGGAUUUGUCUAAAUACGGAUGUAUCAAGUCACGUUUUAAUAUUAGAUACAUCCGUAUCUAGACAAAUCUAAGACAAGAAUUUUGGGACGGAGGAAGUACUAUACACCGUGCUCUCUAAUUUUUAAGGCCUCAUAAUUAAUUAAGGUCUUCAAUUUAGAAUUUGGUCACCUGAUCAGGUCAACAAUUUCUCAAGGAGCUCUCCAACUCAAUUCUUUUAAUCCCCCAUGUUCCCUAAUUUUGAAGCUCUUUCAUUUAAUUUUAGAUUUGGUUUAUGAUUUUGCGGGGCCAAUGAUUUUUCAAAUCAAUCAGCGGCAACCGACCUAUAAAAACCAUAUCAAUGCCGCACACCCUCUCAUCUCCUAGGAAAAAUAAGCGCCACCAUGUGAUAUUAUAGCACUAAUAUAGUACUCCCUUCGUUUUUAAAUAUAAGCUAUUUUAGAGAUUUCAAUGCGGCCUACAUUCGAUGUAUAUAGACGUAUUUUAGAGUGUAGAUUCACUCAUUUUGCUUUGUAUGUAGUCCAUAUUGAAAUCUCUAAAAGGACUUAUAUUUAGGAACGUAGGGAGUACAUGCAGUCACCGACCCAGAAGUUUCUCCACGUAAAUAUAUGUUGGUUCGUGGAUAACACAGAACCACACCGUGAAAGACCCAUCAAAUCUUUGCAUUAUAAAUAAAAAUAAAACACACUCCAUCAUCUCUCCCACCCGCCAAACUAAAUAUUCCAUUAGUUCCAAAAUAUAAGGGUAUUAGUUAUUUGGAAAGUCAAAUUUCUUUAACUUUGACCAAGUCCAGAGUGAAAAAUAUGAACAUCCACAAUAUUACACAAAAAGUUAUGAAAAUUCAUUUCAUGAUGAAUCUAACCACACCAUUUGAUAUUAUGUAUUUUGAUAUAUUUCUCUACAAUUUUGAUCAAACUUAAAAGGUUUGACUUUAAAAAAAUUACACCUUAUAUUUUGCAACAGAGUGAGUAUUUUUUAAAGAAACCCUACAACACCAAUGACGCAGUAAAGCGUGCCCAACCCUUUUAGUCUAGGUGAAACUGCAUACUGCAAAUGCACAUCAAUGAUUGUUCAUAAUGGUAAGAGAGGUAGACAAACCUCUAAGUACAACUCCGGGGAAUCUAGGCAAGAUAAAAUCUACCACGCAACAAGAGGAACGGCUCUACUCACAAAAUACUUUUAUAGCCACAAGCACCAUAAUUUACAAAUAACAUUAAAUUCUGGGAGUACGCAUGGAGGCAUGUAGCUCUGCCAAAGAUACAAGUAUAGGAGAUAGGUUAAUAUUAUGUGUAAAGAUUGUAUGGUAAUAUAAUUGCAUUGGGGGCUCAUACUAAUGGCUAGCAAGUGAGACUAGUUAUCAAAAUUACAAUCCAAGCCAUGACACUUAGCAUUCUUGCCAUCUGAAUGUUCAUCUGCACUCUCAUACUCGCAAUUGGAUCCAGAUAUGACUAGCAUGUUGCACUUGUAACCAGAUUGACCAUAUGAAUCACAGCAAAAUCCUAUGAAAAUCCUUUGAAUCAAAGGAGCCCUAAAAUGGCAAGUUACCUUGAAUACGAUAGGAUUGUAAGGACGUUUGAUUGUGCACAGGAAAAACAUAGGAUUCUUUGAAAGAGGUUGGAGUGGAUGAAAAUUUUCCUAUGAAAUCAAGUGCAAAUGAAUCCUAAGAAAAAAAUUCUAUGGUUUGCAAUCCUACGAAUCAAACAACCCACGUAGGAAAAAUUCCUCCAAAACACCUUCGAGAAUCCUCUGAAUCAAAGAAGCCCUAAAGGAAUACUUCCUACAAAAUACCUAUCCUUUAGAAUUCCUGAAAAAAAUUACGUACAAUACAUUCAAAGAACAGAUGGUACACCGAUUCAAUCUCGGUACAAUGAAUGCAUUCCAGGGGUUUGGCCAUUCCUCUUUUUCUUAAAUUAUCACAAGUCAUAAUUUUGUUCUGAGAGAACAACCAAAGAAAACCCUGGACCCUAGGUGGCACUUUAAUCUUCCAAACUGCUGACAGGUAAAUAGGUUGCACGCCCCUAAAGUUAAUUAUUGCAUAUAGGGAUUUUGAACAAUAAACCCCUUUAGAUUCAUAUUGCCAGAUCAAGGAGUCAUUUUCCUGGCUAAAUCUAGUGAGUUUGAGAAUAUUAAUCAGGUCGAACCAUUGGACCAUAAGUUCGUCCGAAAAGGUUCUUCUAAAGGAGCAUUUCAAAACUUGACCAUCCCACACUUCUGAGAUAGUUUUGUUUGUCUCAUUAACCAGGUAAUACAUAUCCAGAAUUGUGUAGCCAGAGGAGCAUUUUUGUGCCAAAUGUCUUCCCAGAAUCUAACCUGCUUCCCAUCACCUAGUGCCCACCUAUACCCCAUUCUUACUUCUUGUAGUGCCCAUAAAAACUCUUCCAGAACUGGGAAGAAUAAUUAUCAUGGCAGCAGAGAACAUUGGGGUUUUUGGUGUUGUACUUACUAUCAAUAACCCUCCUCCAGAGGGACCCUUCCCCAGCGAUAUAUCUCUUAACCCAAGAUCAUAUCAAACAUAUAUUCAUAUCCUGCAGAUUUAGCACACCCAUUCCAAACUCCUUUCUCAUGCAAAUAGAUUGCCAGAUAGCAAGGUGAAUUUUAUGACUCCCCUCGCUAUCACUCCACAAACAGUUAGCCAUGUGCGAGUUAAUGAGCUGAAGGGCCCACUUGGGAAACUUAAUAAAAGACAAAAGAUACAAAGGGAUGCUAGCCAAACAUGAUUUGAUUAAAGUAAUUUUCCCCAGGAGAGAUAACAACUGCCUCUCCACCCCGCUAUUCUAGCUAGAAUUUUAUCAAUUAAAAACUGAAGAUCUUCCCUGCUAAGCUUGUUAAAAUGCAAAGGGAUCCCCAAGUAUUUGAUGGGAAACUGCCCAACUACGCAUUGAAAAAUAUCUUUAAUUUUUUUAACUCUGUUGGUUCCACAUUAAUGGGUACUAGGGCACUCUUAUGAUAGUUAAUCCUCAUGUGUGACACUUGUUCAAAACAAGUCAGUAUCCAUUUCAGAUUUAGAGCAACUCUACUAUCUUUUUGUAAGAACAAGAGGGUACCANNNNNNNNNNNNNNNNNNNNNNNNNNNNNNNNNNNNNNNNNNNNNNNNNNNNNNNNNNNNNNNNNNNNNNNNNNNNNNNNNNNNNNNNNNNNNNNNNNNNNNNNNNNNNNNNNNNNNNNNNNNNNNNNNNNNNNNNNNNNNNNNNNNNNNNNNNNNNNNNNNNNNNNNNNNNNNNNNNNNNNNNNNNNNNNNNNNNNNNNNNNNNNNNNNNNNNNNNNNNNNNNNNNNNNNNNNNNNNNNNNNNNNNNCACACACACACACACACAAACUCAGGGCAAAAACCUCUAACCAACCCAGCUUGUGCCCCUUUGAUCAGCAUUCUAAAAAAAACAUCUACUACCAAAUUAAAAAAGGAGGGGAGAGAAAGGAUCUCCUUGUCUCGAGCCUUUGCCUGUUAAGAAGAAAUCACUUUCUUCGCCAUUAAACUUGACUCCAACAGAGUCUCUCUGAGUAAGACUUUUCACCCAUCCUAUCCAUCUUGGGCCAAAGCCCCUAAGAGCUGGCAUUUCAUGCACAAAAUCUAAGUUCACCUUGUCAUAAGCUUUUUCAUAAUCAAUCUUAAAAACUAGUCCUUGUCUGCCUGAAGAAUGUACAGCAUGAACAAUUUCAUGAGUUGUAACCACACUUUCUAAUAUGUACCUCCCCUAAUAGAAGCAGACUGGAAACCAGAGAUCAAUCUACCAAUGAUUAGAGCCAACCUAUUCGUGAGAACCUUAGUAAAGAUCUUAAAGCAACAAUUAAGCAAACUAAUUGGCCUAAAUUUAUUCAUGGAUCUAGCCUCAUUCUCCUUUGGAAUAAAGGUGAUCAUAGUAUUGUUAAGUCUAAAAAUAUCCAAAUCAGCAUCAAACAUCCAAUCAAAUCAUACUUGACCACAUCCCAGAAUUCUUGAAAGAACAUAAAAGGCAGGCCAUCUAGCCCUAGGGCUCCAUCACAGUAAGAGCCAAAGACAGCUGCCUUAAUUUCUUCUUCUAAGAAUUUGGCUUCUAGUCUACUGUUCUCAUCCUCAGUCACUUUCUCUUCUUCUUUAAAGAAGUCAGCGCUAAGGUUAAUGUUAGGUCUAGGUUCCCAAGCAAACAGAUUUUUAUAGUAAUCAACUGCAAUUUUAUGCAUCCCUUUUGGAUCUGAAGUGGGACCAUAUUCCCCAUCCAGAACAUGAAUAAUUUUCUUCCUCCUCCUCUGGUUAGCUACUACAUUGAAAUAAGCAGUAUUUCUAUCCCCUUCUAGAAUAUCCCUAUCUCUAGACCUUUGUCUAUCUUUGAUUUCCUCGACUCUCCAAAUCUCAGAGGGUUCUCUUAAAAUCUCCUCUAAUCUAUGCCUUUCUUCUCUAGAGAGCUCCCCAGACUCAGCUUUGACAUCUAGGGUGUCAUAUUCAAGCAUGAGCUCAAUUUUAUUCUUCCUCGGGAAAGCCUCUAGGUUCCUACUUCACCCUCUGGAUAAUCUCCUAAAGGUUCUAACCUUGUGUUGUCAAACAUCAACCGGAUUCACACUAUUGCAAGUACUAGUCCAGGCUUUAAUCACUAUAUCUUUAAAGUCACUCCUAGUUAUCCACCACUUCUCAAAUUUAAAACUCUUCUUACUAGUAUACUGGCCUUCUCCAGAUUCCCAAACAAGGGGAGUAUGGUCACUACCCACUAUAGGCAAGGCCCUGGAACUAGCCAGUGGGAAACAAGCAUCAAAUUCGGUUGAACAAAAAAUCCUAUCAAUUUUAGACAUGAUCAUAUUCUCCGGAUUAUUAGCCCAAGUAAAAACUCUACGAGACAAGUUAAUCUCCAGCAGAGACCACAUAUCUACCCAAAUAUUGAACUUAUCAACCCAUAUAAAGGUUACAUUACCAUUGUUCUUGUCCUCCUGAGAUCCAACUAGGGUUUUUGCAGGCAGUACAACCUCAGGCGGCGGCGCCGCCACCGUGGACAGCGCACCAGCCAGCGACACCAAAGAACACAUCAGGGAAGAUUCCGAAGAUGGCGAGAUAGGCGAAGCAGGGCAGGAGCCAAGUAUUCCCAUAGUAGGAGAACGAGCGGCAAACUUACCAGAUCUCUGUGAGCGCGCGGAAAUGAUUGACCAGCCCGGCUCCGCAGCUGCUGCCACCGCACGCCGUCUGACACGAACUUGCAGCACCAUAGAUCCCCACGCAGAGGCGCCGUCACCAUGGCAAAGCCGCCACCAACAGUGGCAGUUGUGUAGGUCCCAGAGCAGCCCACAUCUGCAAUCGGACCGACCUCCGAGUCAGGGUCAUCUCCAAAACCAACGGCCCAAAAUUGGUUACCAGAGGGGGCAGACGACAGAGAUCCAGACCGCCGGCAAAGGCGCGCCGGGGAGGGGUGCGGGCANNNNNNNNNNNNNNNNNNNNNNNNNNNNNNNNNNNNNNNNNNNNNNNNNNNNNNNNNNNNNNNNNNNNNNNNNNNNNNNNNNNNNNNNNNNNNNNNNNNNNNNNNNNNNNNNNNNNNNNNNNNNNNNNNNNNNNNNNNNNNNNNNNNNNNNNNNNNNNNNNNNNNNNNNNNNNNNNNNNNNNNNNNNNNNNNNNNNNNNNNNNNNNNNNNNNNNNNNNNNNNNNNNNNNNNNNNNNNNNNNNNNNNNNNNNNNNNNNNNNNNNNNNNNNNNNNNNNNNNNNNNNNNNNNNNNNNNNNNNNNNNNNNNNNNNNNNNNNNNNNNNNNNNNNNNNNNNNNNNNNNNNNNNNNNNNNNAGGGAGAGGAGAACCAUCAUUUUCCACAUUCGUGCUAGAUGAGUAUGUUUGAUCCUGGUAUUCCAUUGUUAAGCGACCCCACGGAACAGGCAUCGGACCGCACAGGGACAGGUAUAUAGGCAUUACAGAUAAUGAUAAACAUCAAACUAUGUGUAUACGGGAUCUGCAUGCCCUGCACCUGCGUGCUACAAAUCUCCUCCCCUCUUUUCGUCGGUGCGGCCCUAGCAUGAUUCACCGCUGGUAACGGCAAACAGCAGUACACAGGCCUAGCUCUAUGAUUACAGCGUGUGAUCAGUUCCAAAUUGCACCUUUCCAAUCUCCAGCAUUCACACACAAGGCGCCUAUCUCGACGUUUCCAGUUGGACACACACGACACGACGAGUCACGUGUUUCCCGUGUUCGCACGUUUUUAGCAGUUGAAAGCUGCUAAAGUGACCAGGCAGAUGCACAUGCAGCCAUGGUAGACACUUUCUCAGUCGAAGACGCCGCUGCUGCAUGCGUGUCCGUGCACGCACAUCCAUCCAUCAUUCCAUCGCCGACUAGUUUUGUGUGUUCACAUAUUCUCCGGAAGGUUCAUUUCCCGGCAUCAUUAUGAAGCUAUUGACCGUCGCGUGAGUAUACAAGUAGUACAUGGGUCUAGGUUGCCGGAUUGGACGCACCGUAGCAGACGUAUCCUUCCUUGAAUCCUAUAGUUUUAGUCGGUGUAUCAAAAAUAUUAUACUAUUAUUAUUUUUAUACAUAAUGGAUUUACCUGAACCAAUACAUGAGAUUCUUACUAUGCUAUUUGGGGAUUUGUUCUUCUACUAGAGGCUCCAGGAGUAGUAUUACUUACCAACCCAUUUAUUUUGCCUUUUCACUCGGAUUAGUUCUUAUUUGUAUAUCCUUGUUCUAUUUUUUAUGGUAUGAACCCGUCACCUUCCGGUAUUGAAUCAACUAGAUCAGUUUUGGCAUUCCAUCAGGUACGCUCAAACGACCUCCUACCAAUGUGCUUGUUGCGCCGACGCUAACUAGCCGCAGGUUAUUAGGACGCGGAUUUUUGGGAUAUGGUGACACGCGAUGCCGAAAUCUCGCACGUCCGCAUAUGCAUCACGAUUGCUACUUAAUAUAGGCCACUGCAAAAUACAGGACGGGUAAAUCACAUGCCAGAGUAAAUACGUAAAGUUAUACCUGACACGCAUGGGCUAGGUCUCGUUUAAUUCUCGUAUGGAUACUAGCUGUCUGGUAGCAACCCCCUUGCAGGUGUUGGGUUGGUCUUUAAUUCUCAUAUCUGUCAUAACUGCACUGUAGCUCUUCUGUGAGUUGCGUCCCUGUGGAGAGCAGAAGAACAAGAGGAGAUGGCCCCAGCAGAAACGUUGAUACACAUGUUAUAGCAUAUCGCUACUGGUCCUGCGUUUUACUUUCUUGGGUAUACACGCGCUGACAUAUAUCCAACAUGUUCGUCUCCUUGCAUUGCAGACUUCUUUUAUGACACUUGUGAUUAGGUGGUCAAGCCUAUGUAUUAAUGUGCUACUCAUCAAUAGGCAGAUGAAUCAAUGGAAUGCUGAUACAAGAAGCUUUAUUCAUAGCGACUGAUUCAUGACAAACUGGAUGGUUUAGUGUAUAGAGUAAGACUUAUAUGCUAAUUAGCCCUAGAUAUUACAGAGCUAAUAACUGGCACAAUGAUAAACACACUUGUAUGAUGAUUAGUCCUAAUUUACCAAUUAAUAUAUUACUACUACAUAUAUUAAUAUAGUAUUAAUACACAGAACAUCGACUAAGCACACGAAUUUAGCUGUAACCAUGACAAACUUGCUCCCAUAUAUUUAGAUAAUUAAAUGCGGCUCGCAGAUAUUUUCAUAUCGUAAGUUUUCAAUUAGAAAUAUAUGUGGAGUUGAUUUUGAUGUCUCUAAUUUUUUUAAAAUGGGAAUUGUAAUUUUUGGUUAACAUGUAUGCUUGUGAAGCUGAGAUCAAAACCGAAGCCGUGAAAAGAAACCUCGUUCUCUAUAAGCCAUGUACAAAUAUUUUAACCUUUAUGUAGAAUUUUGCCUGAUCUUCUAUUAAUAGACGAAAUGAUUUUUUUAUUAAUGUUGCAUUUUAAAAUUCAAAUUAUACUUUUUUCAUGAUUCGAGUUAACUACGAAGAAUGGAGUUAAUUGAUUUUUCAGUAAGAAAUUGAUAAAUGUAAGGAUUUCAAUUCUAAACCAAUAGUUGAAACAAGUGACGAAACUAAAAUACCCCACUUUCUAAAUUGAACAAUGCUAGGUGGAGAGAGCUGGUGUGAUUAUGGACAGGGUGCAUGCUUCCAAUGUAGUUAACACUUCACGACCUGCUCCUAAUAAAUGAAUACAGGUUGAGGUGUGCCAGGUGAAGAUGUCACAUACUCCCUCCUUUUCAGUUUAUAGGGCUUAUCUCAAAAUUUUAGUUUUUCCAUUUUAUAAGGCUCAAUUUGGUUGUUCUCCAUCACAAGUUCAGAUUUCAAGAUGCAUUAAAUCAUUGCAUGCAAGUAUUAAGAAAAAAUUGACCAAUGCAUAUACUUUAUGCAUGCAUGCAUUGCAAUUAAUGCAUUGAUAAACAUAAUUUUUUGAGAAAAACAAGAGCAUUAAUUGGGUGCUUUUGCAAACUACAAAAAGUAUUCCACCACUCAGCAUCUACCUUGGUUGGUGAGAUUUUUGAAUUGAGCCCUAUAAACCGGAAAGGAGGGAGUAUGUCGCCCAAUAUUGUUCAUCUUCAACCUGGCGCUGAGAGGAAAAAGCUGGCCAUGGCAUCAAGCUGUAGCGACGACGGAAGGUUAGAUAUCUUUCCUACGUUGGUUGGGAUCCUAAUACAGACCAUGAGGUUGCUUUGUCCACCCACAGCCGAGAGAGAGAGAGAGAGAUGGACUCCAGUGUAGCUACAAUUCCACAACUCCAUUGUUGGGAAGAGGAACUCUUAGAUCUCCGUGAGCAUGGACUAGAGAAGCUAGUGGAGUGAGGGACGAGCUGCGGGAUGGAUACGAUGAAUGGGGAAAAAAUGCAUGGGUUGGUUAAAUGUACAAAUAAAUGAGAUUAACUCCUCUAAUCAAUAGCAUGGAUCAGUGUAGUUAUUGUGCAGUGGGGCUUACUCACUUAUUGGCUGUGGAAUACUAGGCCUAUACUACACUGGAGCGGUGCUGAGAAAUAGAGAUACGGGCUGGUUGUACAAAUACUACAUGAAUCACGUGCGCAUGGACGGAGGUGAUUCCAUCCUCGCGUGGAACCAUGUCCACUCAUGAUUAUUCGCAGGUUAUUACUACUACCUUCGUCCUAAUUUAUUUACUUAUUUUUGCGAUUCGUCCUGAUUUAUUGGUCCCAUUGUAUUUCAUGCCAAAUUUUGAUCAUAUAUUAUAACUAACAGAAUAUUAAUGCAUGUCAUAAAAAAUAAUAUCAUAGAAAACUAUGUUCAAAUAUGAAUCCAACGAUAUAAUUUUUUGUGACAUGCAUUUAAAUUUUUGGUCAAAAUUUAGCACAAAAUACAAAGGGGGCCUAUAAACCAGGACGGAGGUAGUAGUGCACUACGAAUAUUCACGACUUGAAUGGGUAUGACAAUACGCAAUAAAAUGCACUACAUGUCUUGAUUGGUCUCUUGAAUAGAGGUUAAAUUCAUGCUAGAUGAUUAUUACACACAGGGCGAGGAGGAAAAUUGAAUAAAACAGAGUUCGUCUAAUUGUUUCAAAAUAUAUUAGUUGCAUUUACACGCAAUAUAUUUCAAUGUUAUUUUCAUAAACAAUACAAUCCAAGCUAGUGGUUCCGCAAUAAACAAUGACAACAAGAAUGCACCAUAUAUAAAUUAAAAUGCACUCACACAACAAAACUAUCGAGGAUAUCUUGCGGAUAACAUGAAAUCUUCCUCACGGCUAUGACACAUGCUUUCUUCCCUUCGUGUUGCUGAUCUGCUACUCGAUGGGUACUUGUAUGAUGUAGCUAUUGAAUCACCCAGGACACACUCCUUGGGUGCUUUGGAGAGCUUCCAAGACAAUCUCCACUUGCCUCAUGGUUGGUCGCUCUCCUGCUAUCAGUUUCAUGCAUGACACAGCUAGAGUAGCUACAUCUUCCACUUCACUACCUCCCUCCUCCAUGACCUGUGGAUCCAAUAUUUUGGCUUGAUUUCCAUCAUCAUGUAGUUCAACAAACUGUGUGACAAUGCAAUCACCUUCAGAGGACAUACACAAAGAUGUCCUCUUCCUUGUUAGCAACUCAACAAGAAGGACACCAAAGCUAUAGACGUCGCUACUUUCUGUUAAUCGUCGUGUGUAAUAAUACAUUGGAUCUAAAUAUCCCAUAGUUCUUUGCACUGCAGUUGGUGUUUGUGUUUGAUCUGGAAUGUAUCGUGAAGCUCCAAAGUCUGACACUUUCGCUACCAAGGCAUCAUCAAGAAGUAUGUUGGAAGGCUUAAUAUCUCUAUGGAUUAUGGGGACUGAAAUAGCGGAGUGAAGAUAAGCUAGAGCUUUGCUUAUUUCACUUGCGAUCCUUAACCUAUCUUUCCAAGAUAGAGAUCUUGGUGCCUCUGUGUGAAGAUGGUCACUGAGUGUUCCAUUGGAAACGAACUCGUAAGCAAGUAGAGGGAUUUCUGCCUCAAGGCAACAACCGUGAAGUUUCACAAUAUGCUUAUGAUUGAUCUGUGAGAGUAUGGCAACCUCAUUAAUGAACUCGCCAAUUUCUCUCUUGAUAUUCUUAUGGUUGAUCUUUGAUUUCUUGAUGGCCACAACAUGUAGAUCUGACAAGAUCCCUUUGAAGACAGUGCCAUGCCCUCCACCACCAAGCUUACGAGCUUGAUCAAAAUUGUUAGUAGCCUUCUCUAGCUCCUCUAGAGAAAUGAGCAUUCUCUCUGCGAUGUCAUCCCUAUCGGAUACGAGUUGCUUCAAUAGUUGUCCACGGUUUUGUCGAAAAAAUUUCUGCCUCAACAUCCUAGCCUCGUUGCUUAAGAUAACGGGUUAUUAUGAGUGCACCAAGAACCAAAAUGAGAACACACGGGCCACUAGCAACCGACAGACCAAUGAUUAAUCUCAAGUGACGAUUACCUACAAAAUAAUAAAUACACAACGUAUUUACUUCCUACUACAACUAGAGCAUAUGAAUAAGAGCUAAAAGUAAUUAACUUUAAUUCUUCCAUUGUUGGCACUCACUACUAUUCCCUCCAUGGGAAAUUAUAGUACAUACAAUAUUCUAUCAGAGGUCAAACUUUGUAAACUUUGAACAAGUUCAUAAAAAAUUAGCAGUAUGAUAUACUAGAUUCAUCGUGCCAUAUGCACUAUAAUUUAUCAACCGAUGGACAUAUGUAAGUGCCAAAUUAAUACCAAUAGAUUCAUCAAGAAAUACAUUUUCAUAUGGUAUAUUUUCAGCAUCGAAAUGUUCAUAUUUUAUUAAUAAGUUUGGUCAAUGUUACAAAGUUUGAUUAAAAAAUAGAUUAUAUAUGCACUAUAAUUUGGCAAGAAUGGAAGAAUUUUAAAAAUGAUGAUAUAUGGAUCAUAAAUGUAGAUGGUAAGGUAAUAUAUAUAACUAAGCGAAGCAUGGUACUCGUACCUGUGUUUACCACAGGCAUGACACAGUCAUUGCGUACAUUGGGGUUGCCCUUGGUCCCUUUGGGACAUCCGCACCGGAAUGUUCCGGGAAGUUCCUCGCAGUUGCCGAAGCACCCAUGUUCUUCUUUUCGACCACACUCUUUGAUAUCUACACACGUACAUAUACUUACAGAAUUUAGCUGAUGUCUUGUUCAAAAACUAGCUUGUCAAAAAGUCAAAGUAAGUGCGAUCUGCCUCCUGAUGGAAGCGCCAAGGGUUAGGACCUAGUGCUUCUACUGUCUGGCUGGGUCGAUACAACACUGGGCCGUUUUGUAUAUGUGCGUGUGUGUUCUUUCUAUCUACUCCCUCCGUCUCAAAAUAAGUGUCUCAACUUUGUAUUAACUGUAAUACAAAAUUAUACUAAGCUUGAGACACUUAUUUUAGAAUAGAGGGAGUAGUACAUUGUUACUGUAAACUGAUAUUUUCUUCCUCCCUAUUCAUGAAAAGGGCAGAAGAACUGCCAGUUCCCCUGCAAAAGAUAAUGGGAGGCUCUAUUUGUCAGGCGCCUGGAAAAAGAAGUUGCAUCAGUUACUUGUUAUGUGAACCAUCAGAUUUUGAUCCAAUGGUCCACAAUAGAUCGUGGAACUGUUCAUCGUCUUCCUCCUGCCUUCUUCCUCCUCCGGUCCCUCAGCCUACCCCGCCCCAUCCGCCGGCCUCCACCCCCCGCGUCCACCGGCCGCUACCGCGCGCCGCGUCGCCACCCCGCCCUCCCCUCGACCUCCCCCAUCGCCGUUGCUAGUCACCACGCCGACCAUCCUCUAAGCCCCGCACCAAUGGAGAACUCCGGUGAUCCCCUGCAACCCCCACCUUAAGAUAGAUAAUGGGGCCGUUACUCACCCUAAGAUAGAUGGUGGGGCUAGUUCUUCUCUGGCGAGCUUCUCCGGUGAGGUCCGACCAAGAGGGAAAGAAGAAGAAGGGGGGGGGAAAAGUGACUGAUGCGGGAAGAAAUUUCUGGCACAUAAGAAAUAGCAAAUCCGAAAAACAGCAACAUAAAGCAUAAGUACCUUGGCAUCCGGCGGUGAGGUAAGGGUUACCGUCGUAGCCCUUGUUGCACCGGCAAGAAUAGCCUCUGAAUGUGGCCCGGGGUUCACCCUUUUUCUCGAAAAAAAAGCCCGUGGAUGUAUUGGUUGUCUCGUACACGCACUGGCUGUUGGUGCUUUUGCAGAUGGUCCGAUCUGCGUCGGCCGGGCAUAUCCCCGUGUAGUUGUCAUGCCGUCUGUCGGUCGGUGCAGCUCCGUAGGGCACCGCCCACCGGAGAAUCAUGGGGACCUUCACCUCAGCAGCUGUCCUUCCCAGCGCGACGCGCAGUCUCCUUAUCCGGUCGUAAUUGAGCCAACCCAUCUCGGCGACGAGCACGUUCACCGCGUUGUACUCCAAGUACAUUCUCCAUCUCGGCAUGCCGCCGCCGAGCCGCUUAAGCUCCACGCCAUAGGAUGCGUCGCCUGCGGGGAUGUACGACUGGCAGCAGCCGAGGUUGGAGCAGAUGUUGCCGCCUUCAUCGCGGGUCACCAUCAGAUACAUGGAGCGGAAGGAGGCGCAGCCGCUGACGAUAUGGCCGCUGCUCCCGUUCAUCCUCUGGAGCGUGACUUGCACGUUGCACCCCGUGAGGAUGAGCUCGUUCAAGUCCUGCCCGAGGAUGUAUGGGUAUGGCAGCACCCCGCCCCCGCCGACGGCGAGGCUCCAGCUCCACCGGUAGACCCCAUCGCCGGAGUCGCUCAUGUUUACGGCGUACACUCCCUGGCGGAUGACGCGCACCGUGGUGUUCCUCAGGGAGAUGUUGACAACCUCCAAAGCACCGGCGCCGCCCUCGCCGAGGAGCAGCCUCGGCGGCUUGCUGCCGUGGUCGCAGGUGAGCUUGAACCCUGGCCGGUAGCACCUGGCGGGGCCCAUGCCGAACGGGUACGGCACGCUCACGUCGCCACAGGUGGCAUUGCAGUUCGGCAUCGUCGUCGGCGGAUCCACGGCGACCACCAUUGGCACCGACAUCAGCAGCAGCAACGCUGCAACGGACACCCAGCUUGUUACCAUCGUCACAGCUCCGUGUGCUUGGGUAAUUUUAGUGGGUGUGAAUUGAUGCCGGUACAUAUAGCACUCCGUAGUUGACCCGCAGCGCGUGCACCGCGUGCGCGUCCACACCCCGGGCCCUAGCUGCACCGGCCGGCACCUUUUCUGCCACGCCGUACUUCACCAGACGCGUCCUCCGACGACUCGAACUCCGCGCUCGCGCCAGAGCUGGCGAGGAAGGCGCAACGCAAGGUGCCCGGGUGCCGGCCGGAAGCGCCCCCGUUCCCGGCGCUCCUGUCCGAGGCGUCCGACUACAUCGCCGCGCUGGAGAUGCAGGUGCGCGCCAUGGCCCGUGCUCCUGCCUACUACUCCUGUAAAUUGCCGCGCUGGAGUAGUAGUGAUGCAUUGGUCCCUUGCAAAUUGCACUGUUACGUAGGAGUAAUUUUUAUUUUUUUCAGAAGAACCGACAGAUGCACAAGAUUUCCGUUAUUUUCUUCCUCUUGGCUAAAUCGAGACGAACGGGUUCGAGCUUUCUACGGUGGCCGCCCGUAACGACCAACGGGCAACGCCAUAAUUCCCCCGUGUGGAAGGAUUAUUGUAUCACCUGCAAGGAUUAAAUCAUGUUUUUUUAGGGGUAAAACCUGUUCCAUUUAUUCAAAAGCGUUUGGGAUCUCCGCCGCUACGACCUGCAGAAUGCAGUCCGGCAGGGAUUGGAGCCACAACUUCCGAUCUAUUCAUCUUCAAUCAUCGCAGUACAACGAACACCAGAAAUAAUAAAAAUUACAUCCAGGUCCGUAGACCACCUAGCGACGACUACAGGCACUAAAGCGAGCCGAAGGCGCGCCGUUGUCAUUGCCCCUCCCUCGCCCGGAGUCGGGCACACCUUGUUGUAGUAGACAGUCGGGAAGUCAUCGUCCUAAGGCCCCAUAAGACCAGCGCACCAGAACAGCAACCGCCGCCGAUGAAGGAUAACGUAGAUCGAAAGGAUCCAAUCUGAAGACACACGAACAUAGACGAAAAACAACCAGAUCCGAGCAAAUCCACCGAGGAUAGAUCCGCCGGAGACACACCUCCACACGCCCACCAACGAUGCUAUACGCACCACUGGAACGGGGGCUAGGCGGGGAGACUUUUAUUUCAUCUUCAGGGAGCCGUCUCGUCUUCCUGAGCAGGACACAAACCCUAACAAAUCUGAAAGGAACGACUAACAACGGAGCCCUCUCGCCGGCCCUUGCCAGGAUCCACCUCGCCUCCAUGGCCCUAGGGCCACCGGAGACGAGGCAGACCUACGGCGGAGCCGGCGAAAGGCACAAACCCUAGCUUUUUUGGUGGAGGAGGAGGAGGCGGCUGCGUUGUUUUGGAUGUUGCGUUGCGUCUCUGGUAUCAUGCAUGUUGGCUGGCUGCAUAGGGAACCAACUUUUUCCUGGCGGCUGAUGGCGCUAGGUUGGGCUAGGUUGAUGCAGUAUGCGGUGUUUAGUUGUGCACGGCAUAAGUUAUGAUCACCACUUCUUACUACUAGUGAUGACCUUAUCAUACAUGAUAAAAACAUCGUUUUGGUCAUAGCUAGUAAACAAAUAGCACAUCAUCUUACUACUAACAAAUAGCACAUCAUUCUAUUGUUGUUGUCGUUGCUUCUUCUUCUUCCACUAGUACAAAAUAGGGCUUUCGUCACAGGGCAAUAUUCACAUUAGUCCCGGUUCAGUCACGAACUGGGACUAAUGUGAGCAUUGGUCCCGGUUCGUGCGGCUAAGGCAUUAGUCCCGGUUCACCUGGGCCCUUUAGUCCCGGUUGGUGCCACGAACCGGUACUAAUGGGCUUUGAGGCAUUAGUACCGGUUGAUGGCACCAACCGGGACUAAAGGUCUAACCUUUAGUCCCGGUUGGUGCCACCAACCGGUACUAAUGGGCUUUGAGGCAUUAGUNNNNNNNNNNNNNNNNNNNNNNNNNNNNNNNNNNNNNNNNNNNNNNNNNNNNNNNNNNNNNNNNNNNNNNNNNNNNNNNNNNNNNNNNNNNNNNNNNNNNNNNNNNNNNNNNNNNNNNNNNNNNNNNNNNNNNNNNNNNNNNNNNNNNNNNNNNNNNNNNNNNNNNNNNNNNNNNNNNNNNNNNNNNNNNNNNNNNNNNNNNNNNNNNNNNNNNNNNNNNNNNNNNNNNNNNNNNNNNNNNNNNNNNNNNNNNNNNNNNNNNNNNNNNNNNNNNNNNNNNNNNNNNNNNNNNNNNNNNNNNNNNNNNNNNNNNNNNNNNNNNNNNNNNNNNNNNNNNNNNNNNNNNNNNNNNNNNNNNNNNNNNNNNNNNNNNNNNNNNNNNNNNNNNNUGAUGGAAAUGUCAAAAAAAAUAAAAUAAAAUAAGUUUCCCAUGUGAUAUGUGGUCUAGUUGUUGGGAAAAUUAACAAAUAUGAAUUUCGACUUUAUUUGCAAAAUCUCUCUGGAAUUUCUUAAAAUGGGCAUAACUUUUGCAUACGAACUCGGAUGAAAAAGUUUUUUAUAUGAAAAAUCAUCUACUCGAAAAGUUACAUCCGAAUUUAACCGGGGGAACCCGUUAAACAUUUUCAAAAUCCUCAAAAACCUAACAGAAAAAAGUUACGGUGCUUUUAAGAUCUGGAGAGGCAAAAAAAUUCAAAAAAUUUCAAAUUAUGGUCAAACUAAUUAUUCUAGAAUAUUCUAAAUAAUUAUUUUAGUUUUUUUGAAUUUUGGUCAAAUCUGGUCAAACUGUGGUCAAACAAUGGUCAAACUAAUUAUUUCGGAAAUAUUAGUGUUACUAAAUAAUUAUUGUUGUUUAAAACAAUAGUUUCAAACUUAAACAGUGAAAUGUGUCACUUCAUGCUCAAGCUAAAUUCCUGAGGGUUAAUAGAAUUGACAUCUUACUAUUGUCAGGAAAACAACAAGUGCAGACUUGGAAACGAGGGAGAAUAGAACCCGGAAGUUAAGCGUGCUCAGGCUGGAGUAGUGAGAGGAUGGGUGACCGUCCACGAAGUUAGAUGAUUUGGAAUGAUGAGGGGUGAUUAGAGAUUAGAGGAUAAAUUGAGCAGUGAUGAGGGGUGGUGAUUAGAGAUUAGAGGUUAAAAUAAUUCAGAAAUUUAAAAAUCAAAAAAAAAAUUCGCAAACGGAAAUUUCAAAAAAAAAAUAUCAUAAAAUUUCCUACCAACCGGGACUAAAGUUGGAGCUCCACGUGGCCGCGACCUUUAGUCCCGAUUCGUGUAAGAACCGGGACUAAAGGGGGGAGGCAUUAGUAACGACCCUUUAGUCCCGGUUCAAAAACCGGGACUAAAGGCCCUUACCAACCGGGACAAAAGCCCCCUUUUCUACUAGUGUUCUUCUUCUGUCGUUGCUUCUUCUUCUGCUGUUGUUGUUGUUGUUUCUUCUUCUUCAGAUUCUUGUCUAACCGCUGUUUGUCCACAUUGUCUCAGCCCACUCCAUCUUUCUGUUCUUCCAAUCUUCAUUGUCAAAUGCCUCCAUACCAUGGCCGGAGGUUUCAACAUCAUCAACCAUCACAUCUUCCUCCUCCGGCACAAGCUCAUCACAGCCCAAUUGUAGGAUCCAGUUAUGAGUAUGCAACAUGCAAGAACAAGCCUAACCUGGGUGGGGAAAGUGUGAAAUGGAUUAUGAUCCAGGAUUCUAAAUCUAUUCUUCAGAGCCCCAAAUGCCUUCUAAACAGUAACUCUAAGGUUAGAGUGUCUGAGGUUGAACAAUUCUUAUGCGGUCCUAGGAUACUUCCUGAAAGAGAACUCGUUCAGAGAACUCGCUCACCACACCAAGCUGGCAUGCAUAGUCAGCAUCUCGUAGGUAGAACUUGCCAUGAUAUUGAUAUGCCAUCAGGUUCAGCCAUGUUGUCAGCAAGAAUGUUAGCAUCAUGCGUUGAUUCUUCCUAGCCAACUAACACAUGUGUGAACUUCAUAUCGGAGUCAACAGCAGCAAGCACACUCUGGCUUGUGUAGUGCUUUAAACCCCUAUAAGUUGCAACAUGUGACUUCGACACUAGUAGUCAUAUUAGUACCAUCUACUUUGCCGAUGCAAUCCUGAAAACGGCAUGAAAACAUGGUGGUAUGGUUGUAUCAGGACAAUACAAGCAUGUCAAGGCAUGAACCACGGGUAGUGCUCACCUUGAAAUACAUAUGCCAUCUUGGGCUCAUGCGAGCCUUGCUAGGAAUAUGUCCGGUUGGUGCCUUGAUCGUCUCUCCUCUGAGCUCCCAAAACAACAUACAUGAAUUUCCUAAAAUACAUGGAAAUGGUUUGCAUUGAUCUCAUGAACGUCUCUACAAGCUUGGCGAAAGGUUCUCUUUUCAUUCGAAGUAUCCCCAGAAACAUUGAACCAUAACGAAUGACACGAUUAUCACUCCGACGAACAACUGUCUUGUGGGCCAACAUGAGCCAGGCCUGAAUCACAACUAUCAGUGUUGCUGCUUGAACAACCAGCUUCAUUCGUUCGUUCAUAACCUAGGCAACACUGUUGGUGUGGUGAGCAAUGGCAAAAUCGAUCCUACACCGUACCUAACGGCCUAACAAACGACCUAACAGAGAAGGGGGUUGUAUGCUGCUUAUCCCCUUUGGAGCCGACGACCCGCCCAUGGCACAGAUGAGGAGGACGAGACGACGUCGAAGACGAAGGGGUAAGCAGAUCCUAUUGCCGGAGAUUGAAGUUGAUGCCGCUGCCACUUCCAUAGAUUUGAGAGUCACAACUGUUGAGCAUGGCAAGAACUGUCCUAGCGCUAGAGGUGAGCGAGUACAUGGGGUGAUGCUAGAUUUUGCAGCAUUCCGUGCCCGCCAAUUUCCAUCUUCUGUCAUCUCCACCCAUACUUUCCCUACAAUGCCGUGUACGUCGUGCCUCAUUUUCGCGUCCGACUCAGCCUGACUCGCUGGAAAUGACCGAUUUGAGUGUUCUUGGCGAGUCCGGCUCUAGGCUGCUUUAAGAUUCAUGUGCGUGUGAGCCAGGCCACCGUGUACACCUCACGUGCCCCGUACGCGUGGUAGGUUGAUGGCUACGAUCCAUGUCGCCGUGCGAUUAGGGGGUGCAUACGACAUGGCUAGUGCGUGACAGGCCGUGUGCCGUGUGCGCUCGACAGUGCAAACGCGUACGUUGGCAUGUGCGUCACGUCCUCGCAAUGACAAGAUGGGGCUGUGGUCCAUUGCGUGUUUGCCAAUUAGUCGUACGUAAUACACAUGGAUGCAAUGUUUCUGAACCUACUCGUAUGGAUCGGCGCCUAGUGCAGGUCUUUUUCAGACAAGGUUGAUUUUCUAAGAAAGCUAUUUGAAUUGAGCACUGCUAUGCAUAGUACUAGUAUAAACUCGCGCACAACUCUCACACACCAUUGGAUUGCUUCGUUUGAUUAAUCUGUAUAUAUAUGGCUUCUACUCGUGCACAAAUCGCGCAUCAUCACAUCAUGUGCACAUCACUUUCGAUUUGAAUUUUAUUCUCGAUGCUCCGAAACAUUCCAGAGGAAAGGGUCAAGGGUAAAAUGCCAGCAAAUGGUUUUGGUACAUACAGUAUAUUUUUAAUCCAACGACAUGUUCAUGCAUACAACACUCAAACCGGAAGUACACGAGUCCAUGUGUAAUAUUGUAUUUUUUUAGAGUGCAAAAAAUGAAAAAUAAGAACAAUUGCUCAAGGGGCACAAAUGUUGGGCUAUCAAAACAUCAACAAUUGAACAAAAAAUAGGGGCACAACAGACUUUUCCCACCAAAUAUUCUCAUUCUUGAAUUUGAAGCUGGCUGUAAGCCAAACAAAAUAAACCGCUGCUCCAAGGUGGAGCUGCAACUCCUGGAAUUGCUCCAAAGUGGAGUUGAUGGAGUUAAGCUGAUUUUUGAGGAGUGGAGCCGUCCCAAAGAGGCCCUUACAUGUGACAUAGUUCCGUCACAUCUACAUGAGCCUGAGACACACCAUAAAACUAAGGAAUAGCCCAUAUAUUCGAGCCACAUAAUAGACAUCAAACUAUAUCCAUAUCUAGAUGAAACUGCUUAUUGCAAAUGCACAUUCAUGAUUAGACAUAAUGGUACGAUAGGUAGAGAAAACUCUCGGUACAAACUCCAGGGAAUCUAGGCCAAAAAAAAAAAAAACUUCCAUGCGACAAANNNNNNNNNNNNNNNNNNNNNNNNNNNNNNNNNNNNNNNNNNNNNNNNNNNNNNNNNNNNNNNNNNNNNNNNNNNNNNNNNNNNNNNNNNNNNNNNNNNNNNNNNNNNNNNNNNNNNNNNNNNNNNNNNNNNNNNNNNNNNNNNNNNNNNNNNNNNNNNNNNNNNNNNNNNNNNNNNCAUGCGACAAACGAAACAGCUGUACUCACAAAACAAAACACUUUUUAUAGUCGCAACCAGCAUAAUUUACAAAUAGCACAACAGGGCCAUUAGAUUCUGGGAGUACGACGCAUGGAGGCAUGUAGCUCGCCAAAGAUACUAAUACAGGAGCUAGUUGUAAACUUGUAUGUAAAGAUUGUAUGGUAAUACAGUUGCAUGGAGGGCUAAUAUGUAAUGGCUAGCAAGUGAGACUAGUUAUCAAAAUUGCAGUUCAAGCCAUGGCACUUUAUUUCUUGCCAUCUUAAUGCUCAUAUGCAUCCAGGUAUGAACAAGCAUGUUGCACUUGUAACCAGAUUGACCAUAUGAAUCACAGCACCGCCAACACUGCAUAUACUUUGACUUAAAACAGGCAUCAGUAGAGAGAAGGACGGCCAUAUGAAGAAGCUAGUGUAUCUGAUACACUUAGUGAUCCGCGUUGGAGAUGCCCCUGUUCUACAUUUCAUCAUUCAAAUGGUUGCUCACAGAAAGCAAGCCGUCCCGAUUUGCAUGCUUCCACCUAGUCACACAAAACCCUAACCCUAACACACACCAUAAAAACAAGCAAUGGUAUCUGAUCUCAGUACACAUCUGAAUGAGCCUUACUCAUCAUUUCCAUCAAUAGCACUUUGCUUCAAUCCCACAAAAAAGAAUAGAGGGAAACCAGUUGUCAAAGAACAAAAUAUGACCAGAAACCACGCAAGAAUCAGUGAAAGCAGAAAGAAUUACUAUAUCGGAAUCAAAUCAUGAUCUGGUGGACACAAAAAAGGGUACAUGUAUCAGUAAAAGGCUCAGAUGCUUAUAUCUCCAUCUCGACACCAUACAUGAACUUCUGCUAAAAUGACCAUGAACAUCUUAUAUUUGUGGACGGAGGGAGUAAUAGUUGGCCGCUGAACUGGUUACUUGCUGUGACACAAGCCAUCCUAGUUUAGCACCAAGUGAAUCAAUUCAGGUGUUAGAUAGAAGCUCUUGCAGGGAAGUUAUAUCAUCACAGCCAUUCAUGAACAUGACACAAAGGAAACAGUAAUCUUAACUUGCCCUAUACAACCCUUAAGUUGAAACCACUAAAGAACUAACAAGAAACCAAAAGUACAACUGAUAAGUAGAUAAAAGAGUACAGCAGAAGAACGAAAUUAUGAAGUAGCAAUUGAAACAAGCAAACUGCCCCAACAGUAAUUAAGAUAGUCUUAAGAACUAUCCAAGGGACAGCAGAAUUAUCAUAACCAUUCAAGAAAAAGGAAGAACAGAAGACAACAAUAAGUGCGGCUAGAGUACUGUUCCUAAAACAACAGAACUGGUUGACAUACUGCAAAACCAACAAAAUGUGUAGGAAAAAUAGAAUAGUCGAAGAUCCCUUUGCGCAUGCAACAGAUAGGGCUGCAAGAAAAGCUCGAGGCUCGUGAGCCGCUCGAGAUCGACUUGUUUUUUGACUCGACUUGAGAUCAACUCGAAAAUAAACAAGCAGAGUUUGAACACUUUAUGUAGCUCGACCAAGAAACGAGCCGAUCUUGAGCCAAUAUUGGCUCGUUCGAUUUUAGCUCGAUAGCUCGACAGAAUAUCAUUAUGUUAAAUGAUCAUGCCAUAUAUUAAACGAAAAUAAGAUAAUUUAUUACCAUAUAUUUUGUCCAUAAUUUUUCUCCAUUUUAUAUUUACCAACGAACAUGGAAACUUAAUUAAGUUCAGAGGAGAUUUAGGCCUAAUUAUUGCACGUGGUCGACUAUGUGUUAAAUACCCUAUAUUUUUGGCAAAGGUUCCCAGCAUAUUCACCUUAAAUUUUUUUGGUUUUAAUCUAUAGAUUUAUAAUUUCUAUCAUCUCAUUUAGCUCGAAACUAGCUCGAGAUCGACUCGAGAUCGUUACAAGCUGAGCACGAGUCAUGUUCUACAGCUCGAUCAUGAGCUUCACUUAGUUUGAGCUCGCUCGAAUUUUCAUACGAGUUGAGCUAAGCCAACUCCAACUCGCUCGAGCUCGACUCGUUUGCAUCCCUAGCAACAGAUAAGGGUGGAAAAUAGGUCGGGUCAGAUACAAAACAUAUGCAGCUAAGCACAGUAUCAGCAGCUGGAGGGCGAUUAGAGCUCAGAAGAGAGAAGAGGUGGUAAUUAAGAUUUAAGUGCCUCUUUGGAACGCAAGUAUCGUUCAAUAUGUAUUCCCUCCACAUUCAGUAAGAGUUCAGGCGGAGAGGGAUUCAGACUUCCCAGACACAGCAGCUCAGGUCCAAAAGGCGGAACUGAAUCGUGAAAAAUCCAUCAGAGUAGCUCAGAUCUCGUUGAGCACACCCAACUUCCCAGCCACCAGAGGCCACAGGACUACUCCGCCCCAUGAUCCACACCGCAAACCGCCAGCCCCUGAUGUUUCAGCUGUGCCGGCUGCCCGAGAAGGGCCUCCCAAGCCGAUGCAUUAGUGCAGAGGGCGCGACAGGAGGGGUGGCCCCAUGAAGCAAAGGUCUGAGGCCGGGGGAGACGGCAGGCUUCACCACCUUCAUCAUUCCUCAUCGCUGCCUCUCUAUCACAGGUGAAGCUUUAUAAGGACAUAGGGAUGGCAAGCAUCGAUGGUGGAAGUUAAGGAGGACUACAAUGGCAAAUAUCAAUAGAAAAAUUGACAAUGGAUGCAAAAAUAGGACCAAAAAACUGAAAAAUAGCAUCAAUAAAUCUGCUUUUAAAUUGGUUUGAUAAAAAGAUUUGACACCAUCUCACCUUCCCAGAAGGUCCACAUAAAGAAACAGAGCCAUAAUAACAAAGAACCAAAGCCGUAGGUAAUGCCAGGUUUCUUUUUCAAGGUACAGGCCAACAAUGUACAUAAUAUAUACAACUUAAUUUUCACAGUGAGCCCACGACCAUUCACAGUUGCCAAACAGGUAUUCUUAAAAUCAAGAAGAAACAAAGAAAAGUUUUUGGGAAAAUCAAACUGUUUUCUGGAGUAUAUUCCAAAAGUACUCACUGAUCAAAUUAAUAUAAUCAAACAGUAGAAGCAUCAGACACAGGUGUCAUAACAAAUACAUGCACGAGGAAUAGUUCACAAAAUCCAGGAAACAAAAUCCAGGAAAAUUGUGGAGUAUUACUUGAAUGGCUCAGAUUUAACCCACCAUAAAUCACCAAAGUUGGAAAAUGCUUCAGGUAGUACUCGAAGCCUUUCGGUACCAAACAACAACAACAACAAAGCCUUUCAGUCCCAAACAAGUUGGGGUAGGCACGUGGAUACCUAAUUUCCAUGCACCCCUGCCCAUGGCUAGUUCUUGGUGAUAUUCCAGUCCUUCAGGUCUCACCUUACCAUCUCUCUCUCUCUUUCCCCGCCCAGCAACAAAUAGCCGCAACUGGUAACUUGCUGCAAAGCAAGGCCUCCUAGUAUUACGACUGACUGUCUAACUGGGCAAAGUUGAAUGGAACCAAUCAUCUCUAUCUCAGGAUAUGUUGAAAGAUCUCCAACACCAAAGAGGAGGAAAUCAUCAUAGCCAUUCAGAAAAGAAUAGAACUCAUCAGCACACAACAGAAACAAAUAUGCUGUGUUCGGAAGUUGAUUUGGAACACUAUGCUGAUGGCCGUAUUACUAGAAAUGAAAGAAGCAAUUUACAUUUGUUCACUUCAGAUAAAAGGAGUAACUGCCAGAAAAAAAAAAACAGGACAAUACAAAUUUUCCAUUUUGGAAAAGAAAAACAUAAGGUAGAAAUCCAAGUCAAAAACAAUAGUGUGUUCGACAUAUAUAGUUUGUACAACUAUACAGGCAAAAAAUAAGCCAGCUAGAAAUCAAUCCAAGCUAGGGCGGUUGGCUUCAUCACCAAGAGAAGACAUCAAUCCAAGUCCAGAUGGGCCGUUACCCACAUCAACACAAUAGAGAGGAAUAAAAAAGAAAAAACAGUGCAUAGUAGAGAAGGUAAAAUCGAAUAUUUGUAGCGUAGCAAAAGAGGGCUCAGUUUUGCCUUUCAUCUUCAAGCCCAACACUCGCAUCUCUUGCUGCAUAAUCUACCCAUCACGAUGUAAAAGAACUGCCCUGGUUAUCAUUCAUCAGAAUGACCGUCCAAGUAGCAGAACAUCCAACAUUAGCGAUGAAUUGAACAGGCUGCAAGAGAGGUAAGGGUGUGCUCUAAUUUAGUACCCAUAGGCCACAGCUCUUAAUUGCUCAAGACAGGCUUAUUUCAGCCACGGUCAUCAUCAUUGCCCCUGGUAAGGACUCCAUCUCUUCAUCACACAGUAGCAUGCAUACAUCAUCCAUCCAUCCAUCCAUCAGGCUGGUCGUAGUGGUAAGUAACUUGUCGCAUCCAUGAUAUCCAUUACAGGCAUGCACACAUCCAUCCAUCCAUCCUCUUUAAUUACUUGUCACAUGAUCUUUUUUGCCUAUGUGGCAUGCAUGUUACUACUCCCUCCGUUCCAUAAUUACUGUUGUGGUUUUAGUUCAAAUAGUUCAAUUUGAACUAAAACCUAAGUUACUCCCACUAUGACUAGUCUCAGUCUCAGGAGCUGCUCGUACCUGGCCUCGACCGCCCAGUGUGGACGACGCAUCAGAUAAUGCCUUACGGUUCCCAGCCCACACCACAACCAAAUCCAAGGCAAUGAAAUGGCAGUGGCUGGCAGCACCGUAGAGACGGGGAACUGACGUGGCAGCCACCCGGACAAUGGGGUAGCAAGUCGGCAAUGAGAGCUUUGCUGAUUUGUUUAGGGCUUGAGAGAGAGAGAGAGAGAGAGAGAGAAAGGUGAGGAGGAUUCAUACCGAAUCCAAAACAAAAUGCAACUGAACUGAGCAAAAGAGGGCUCAGUUUUGCAUUUCAUCUUCAAACCAACACUCACACCUCUUGCUGCAUAAUCUAUCCAUCGCAGUGUAAGAGAACUGCCCUGGUUAUCACUCAUCAGAACGACCAUCCAAGGCACAGAACAUCCAACAUCCGCGAUGAAUUGGACAGGCUGCAAGAGAGGCAAGGGUGGGCUAAAGAGUAACUCCAACGCAGAUACCAAUUUUCUUGCACUGUUUAGUCCCACCUCGCCAAGGCUGUCUUGAUUGCUCAAGACAUGAUUAUUUCAGCCACAGUCAUCAUCAUCGGCAUCGCCCCUAGCAACAUAACCAUGAAUCCAUACAUAUAUGCAUGCAUACAUCCAUCUAUCCAUCCAUCCUGCUCAGGAGUUGCUCAUACCUGGCCUCGACCGACCAAAACUCCGGCUCCGACGACGCAUCAGAAGACACCGUACGGUUCCCAGCCGACGGGCACAACCAAAUCCAAGGCAAUGGGACGGCGGUGGCAGGCAGCACCGUAGCGGUGGGGAACUGAACUGACGCGGCGUACAUCCGGACGAUAGGUCAGUCAGCGAUCCGGCAACAAGAGCUCGCCUGAUUUGUUUUAAAAAUAUACUCCCUCCGUUCGGAUCAAGUGUCGUGGUUUUAGUUCACGACACAUGAAUGCAUCCAUUCAUCCAUCCUUCUCAGGAGCUGCUCAUACCUGGCCUCGACCGACCAAACCUCCCGCACGGACGACGCAUCAGACGUCAUCCUACGGCCCCCAGCCCACGCCACAACCGAAUCCAAGCCAAUGGAAUGGCGGUGGCUGGCCGCACCGUAGCAGCGCUGGGUCAGCGAUCCGGCAACGAGAGCUUGGCUGAUUCGGUUUAGGAUUUACUGGUGUGAACUCUAAGCGCGCGCGCGCACAGAGUGAGCGAGUGUGUGAGAGUCUGAGAGAGAGAGAGAGAGAGAUGGGGGGACCGUACCGGAUCCAAAGCAAAACGCAGCCAAGCUGCGAGAAAUCCAUCGACGGCGGCUCAGAUCCCGCGCCGGCCCGACCAAGCCCUCGACCGCAGCGCGCCAUGGGCCCCGCCGCUCGGUCCCCAGCCCGCACGGCCGCAGACGCCUCCCGCAUCCAUCCAUCCUCUUUAAUUACUUGCCAGUCAUUUUUGCCUAUGUGUCAUGAAUGUUACUACUCCCUCUGUUCCAUAAUUCAGUUACUCCCACUAUGACUAGUCUCAGUCUCAGGAGCUGCCCAUACCUGGCCUCGACCGACCAAACAUCCUGGUGUGGACGACUCAUCAGACAACGCCUUACGGGACCCAGCCCACGCCACAACCAAAUCCAAGGCAAUGGAAUGGCAGUGGCUGGCAGCACCGUAGAGACAGGGAACUGACGUGGCAACCACCGGGACGAUGGGUCAGCGAGUCGGCAAUGAGAGCUUGACUGAUUUGUUUUAGGGGUUGAGAGAGAGAGAGGUGAGGAGGAUUCAUACCGAAUCCAAGACAAAAUGCAACUGAACCGAGCAUAUGUAGCGUAGCAAAACAAGGCUCAGUUUUGCAUUUCAUCUUCAAACCCAACACUCACAUCUCUUGCUGCAUAAUCCACCCAUUGCCAUGUAAGAGAACUGCCCUGGUUAUCACUCAUCAGAAUGACCAUCCAAGGCAAAGAACAUCCAACAUUGGCAAUGAAUUUGACAGGCUGCAAGAGAGGCAAGGGUGGGCUCUAAGGCCAACUCCUUUUUUCUGGCACUGUUUAGUCCCACCUCGCCGAGCUGUCUUGAUUGCUCAAGACAUGAUUAUUUCAACCAGUCAUCAUCAUCGGCAUCGCCCCUCCUUUUUUUCCAAAAAGGAGGUUGAACCCCCGAGCAACAUGACCAUGAUAUCCAUACAUAUAUGCAUGCAUACAUCCAUCUAUCCAUCCAUCCUGCUCAGGAGUUGCUCAUACCUGGCCUAGACCGACCAAAACUCCGGCUCCAACGACGCAUCAGACAACACCGUAAGGUUCCCAGCCCAUACGCACAACCGAAUCCAAGGCAAUUGGACGGCGGUGGUAGCGGUGGGGAACUGACGCGGCGGACAUCCGGAAAAUAGGUCAGCAAUCCGGCAACGAGAGCUCGCCUGAUUUGUUUUAAAAAUAUAAUCCGGCAACGACACAUGAAUGCAUCCAUUCAUCCAUCCUUGUCAGGAGCUGCUCAUACCUGGCCUCGACCGACCAAACCUCCCGCAUCAGACAUCAUCCUACGGCUCCCAGCCCACGCCACAACCGAAUCCAAGGCAAUGGAAUGGCGGUGGCUGGCGGCACCGUAGCAGCGCUGGGGAACUGAGGCGGCAACGAGAGCUCGGCUGAUUCGGUUUAGGAUUUACUGGUGUGAACUCUAGGCGCGCGCGCGCACAGAGUGAGCGAGUGUGUGUGAGAGUCUGAGAGAGAGAGAGAGAGAGAGAGAGAGAGAGAGAGAGUGAGAGAGAGAGGGAGAUGGGGGGACCGUACCGGAUCCAAAGCGAAACGCAGCCAAGCUGCGAGAAAUCCAUCGACGGCGGCUCAGAUCCCGCGCCGGCCAGACCAGGCCCUUGACCGGAGCACCGCUCGGUCCCCAGCCCGCACGGCCGCGGACGCCCCCCGCAUCGGCGGCAGCCCCGAGGGGCCUCCAAGCCGAUGCGCGACGGCGCGGCGAGGGGGGCUGGCCCCGAGGAGCGGCGGCCCGGCGCGACCGCCGCCCGGAGCCUGGCCGUCGCCGGCGGCUCCCUCCAUCAUCGCCGCCGUCCGGGGAGGGAAGCGGUCAUCGGCCACGGCGAGAGGGGCGGGCACGGCGGCAGGAUUCGGUCAGACAUGGUUAGAGCGCUCGCAUUGCAUGCUCCGCCGCCGGUGGCCUCUCGCACCAGGACUGGUCCGAGCCAGAUCCGGGAAUGGAUGGAGGGGAAGGGGAAUGAGAGCGGGGGUGCAGAUGAGGGGAGGGAAGAAGCCACCUUCAGCCGUUGCUUGGGGGAGGACACACGGAGUGCCGACUAGCGCACUAGAGUUAGACCCAGUGAACGUGUCCUCUUGUGUGCAUUUUCUCGGGGUCUCUUCUCAACCAAACAUAAAAAAAUACUCAUAUGAAUCUCGGCGUAAAAUCAAUGACAAAGAUACAUUUGAUGUGCAAUGCUUAAGAUAGACUUAGACGUUGUUUAGCAAAACAGUUUUCUCAGGUCGUCGCGGUUAAGACAUUGUUUAACUUAGGCCAACCUCAACGCCGGCGCCCCAACGGACGCGGAUGUUGUCCUUUUUUUUAUGUUUGGAUUGGCUAGGCAAACGCUCAAUGUCUGAUUUUUUUUUCCGCCGGACCAUAGAUCAGCCCAACGCGGACGGAGAGAUUUCGGAAUUAUAAAAAAUAAAAACAACAAAUAAAAUAAUAAAAUAGCCACCAACAGUCCAGUUUACAUUAAAUAAAAAUAUUGAAAAUGAAAACAUGCGUGCGGUGGCGACGGCGGCGUCCUUCUCGGUCAAGUCGACAUACACCGGUGCAUCGAUCCACGGAAAGCCGCCUAGGAGGCUGCCAGUGCCGCGCUGCAUCUGUCGCCGCCUGCUGGACCGGCUGAGUGUCGUGCACCCGUGUGCCGCCUGCCGCUUGGCUGCCAAGGCGCAUGUCUCGGCCUCGUACAGGUGUCGUUGCUUCUCCUCUUCAUCGCGCACAGCCAAACAGGCGUGCACGACGUAGAAGGGCACCAUGCUCGCCCAUGAAAUCGAACGCCACAACACUCCAUGAGCACAGGCGAUGCUUGUGGGUGUGGCCACGGGGAAAAUAUCUGGUAUUCCCACACCUAGGGUGCUCCCGGUGCUUCAAAACUCUAUAGCACGUUUCUAAAUGUUCGAAAAAAUCUGAAAAAAAAUCUAGCACAUUGACGCAACAUCAAAGUAUGUUGUCAAAAAAUUUGAAAUCAAAAUUCAAAACAUAGCUUGAGAAACAUAAAUGACAAAUUCGACAGUAAAUAGUAUGCAACUUAAGUUGGGCUUUAGAGUAGGCCCAUUACCACAUUGAUGUCUAUUUUGUCAUUUUUGUAUCUCGAGCAAUGUUUCGAAAUUUGAUUUGAUUUUUCUUAACAACAUACAUUGAUGUUGUGUCAAUGUGCUAGUUUUUUUCAGAAUUUUUUUAACACUUUAAAAUGUGCUACCGAGUUUGGAGCACCGGGAGCACCCUAGGGAUGGGAGUACUACAUAUUUCCCCUGUGGCCACGGCGCGUUAGUCUCCACGCCCGUUGUUUAAGUAAUUAAUGUUGAACCUUAUACUCCCACUAUUCCUUAAUAUAGUGCAUAUAUAUUAUCUUAAAAGUUUACAGAGAAUAGAAUACUUUAUAUAAUGAGAUGGACAAUUUCAUAUUGUAUGUAUGUGAUAUUGUAGCUAUAGAUAAUUUCGCCCAUAAAUUUGGUCAGACUUGACUCCUAAAAUAAUUUGUAUACACUACACUAUGAAACGGAGAAGUAUUAAGCCUAACACCUUACAAACUCAGAGCACUUCUACCAUCGAUCAGGACAAAGCCCACUUCAAAGUUAUUGAUCCUAGGCUCCAUGAUCAGCGGGCAUCGUUGUGGCUCGAUGAGAAUUUUGGGGGCCAUUGCUUUGGUUGAAGAUGGUGAUUUACACCUUCCACAAGGACCGGACAUGAAGCACGAGAUGUGAUGUGUUCUCAUGCUAAUACUUUCGCUUUAUGUAUUUUCAACUUGUCUCACUCACUCUCAUCGGUGUUAUUAAGCCAACCAUUUCAUCUCAAGACUCAAUCUACAUGUGCCUAUCAUGUACCCCAACAAACGAGCAUAAAACCCCACUGAACCAGCCUAGACAAAGAUUACACCAACGAGCGACGAGUCGGCCCACUGCAUGAAAUGCAGAAGAAGAGAACUGGUUUGGUGGGGGUAUGCCCAGAUUUGGGAGCAUACUCCAACCAUGGAAAUACCAGAUUUGGUCUAGAUGCGUACAAGAUUAAUAGAUGGGCAGCGGAGCACAACACAAAGAAAAUUGGUGGACCAAUAUGUCAAGGCCCAAUACUGCAAACCGGAAGGCCAUGGCUUCAUGAACAAUGCUCGUCUCUUCGGCUAUUUGGAACUGAGAGAAAUUCUAGUGUUUAGGAAGAAAUCCACUAACAUUGUCAUGCUCAUCCACCUCUUCCACAUUCUCAAGCUCAUCCAGGACGAGUCAAGGCUUUUUGAUCACGGCGGGAGGUAGGCAUCUGAGCAUCAUCAUGCCACACAUUUUUGUGUUGGUAGGUGUAUACUAUCUCUAUUGGGCUAUGAUGUGGAGCCAAAAUGUACUUUGAACACCCCUCUCUCCCUCUCUAAUUAAGAAUGAGGCAAAUCUUUUGCCUUGGUUUUAAAAAUAAUAAUUAUUUCCUGGGCAUUAUCUAUGUGUGUAUAGCAACAAUGAACAUGUAUAUGGUGAGAAAAUAGUCAAGAAUAUCAACAUAAGCAAAAUCCAGGGACAGCUGUAGUUAUCGCAAAGAGAAAUACACCCUGUGUACUAAAUGUAAGACGUUAAUAGGCCAUUAAAUUCUAGCUCUGCCUAAGCCGGCAAUCUGGCCCAUGCAUAAAGCCAAGCCACUAAUCCGGCCCAUGCAUAAAGCCAAGCCACUAAUCCGGCCCAUGCAUAAAGCCAAGCCACUGACAUUAGCUAUCAAAAUUUCAUUCCAAGCCAUGACAAUUAAUAUUCUCACCAUCUUAAUGCUCAUAUGCACUCACACUCGCAUCCAAAUGUGACAAGCAUGUUACCAGAUUGACCAUACAAAUUACAGCACCACCAACACUUGUAUAUAUUGACUUGAACAGGCAUCAGUACAGAGAAGGGCGAACAUACAAAAAAGCUUCAUUACUGCUCCAAGGCAUACUUAUUAUUACCUUACCAGAAAGCAUCAUCAGAACUCAUCAGGCUUGAAGUAUUUCAUGGCGGUACAUCAUACUCUUGUAGCUUGUGAUUAUCUAAUAUCAAGAUCUCUAGGCGGCCAAUUUUAUUCCUAUACGUUUCAUGAAAAUUAUGUCGUUAAAGUAGUAUUUCAAAAGUUGCCCACUGAAGGAAUUAACCACAUAGGAGAUCAAGAUGUAGAGUACACUGAAGUUCAAAUCACAUAUUACUGGAAAUAUCAACAGUGCAUAGAAAGAGGGCAACAAACAAGAGGCAAACGUAGAAAUAGGGGAGGAGUGGUGCGGAUUAGGCUGCAACCCUGUGGGCCCUGGGAGUAAGCAUGUAGGCACGCCAAUAUCCAACACAUUCAUAUGGGCAAAACCCACUCUAUAUCCGAUACACUUGGUGAUCUGCAUUGCAGAUGCCCUUACACCCCCGUGUGACACACUAGUAGGAAAAGGGGCUUUUACCCCGGUUCAUAAGGGCCUUUAGUCCCGGUUCAGGAACCGGGACUAAAGGGUCGUUACUAAUGCCCUAGCCCUUUAGUCCCGGUUCUUACACGAACCGGGACUAAAGGCCGUCCACGUGGCCGGUGCGGGGAGCCCAGGCAGGAGGGCCUUUGGUCCCGGUUGGUGCCACCAACCGGGACCAAUAGGCAUCCACGCGUCAGCACCUGGNNNNNNNNNNNNNNNNNNNNNNNNNNNNNNNNNNNNNNNNNNNNNNNNNNNNNNNNNNNNNNNNNNNNNNNNNNNNNNNNNNNNNNNNNNNNNNNNNNNNNNNNNNNNNNNNNNNNNNNNNNNNNNNNNNNNNNNNNNNNNNNNNNNNNNNNNNNNNNNNNNNNNNNNNNNNNNNNNNNNNNNNNNNNNNNNNNNNNNNNNNNNNNNNNNNNNNNNNNNNNNNNNNNNNNNNNNNNNNNNNNNNNNNNNNNNNNNNNNNNNNNNNNNNNNNNNNNNNNNNNNNNNNNNNNNNNNNNNNNNNNNNNNNNNNNNNNNNNNNNNNNNNNNNNNGGGGGGUUUGGGGGUUUUGGGGGGUUAAUUUAGGUUGUUAUUAGGUAGCUAUUAGAGAGAAGUGUCCUCUCUUAUAUCUCCGUGCUUGGUUUACCAACGCUACGUACUGCUAUGCCUAAACAUGGCUUAGAUUGAAGUGAAGGCAACAUGUGGUGCAUGUCGAAAGUAAUACUAAUCCGGACUUGAUCAAGUUUGGAUUGUACUACUUUCGACACGCACCACAUGCAUGUUGCCUUCACUUCAAUUCAAUCCAUGUUCAUUUCACCCGCUGAUAUAUAAUAACUCUUCAUGCACGCAUCAUGCAUCAUCAUAUAUAAUAACAAGUCCUACUAAUCAUCAUCAUACAACUUCUACUCGUUAUUAAUAACAAGUCAUACGAUCGAUCAUCAUCCUCACAGUCAUCGAACCAACCCUACUUAAUUGUUCUUAGCACAUGAUCAUCAGUAUUAGGUAGGACCGAAAUACCCUCUUUAAGGUAAAAUAGCAUAAAACAAUAUAGACCCUGACUCUCCAUUAUGGAGAAUGGAGAUCAUCCUGUCUCCAAUUCUUGCGCCUCGCUUCCUUUUGCUUCCAAGAAGCUCCUUGCGACUGUCCAUACAUUUUUUCCAUUCUUUGAUUUGCAUGUCUCCACUUCUUUUAGAAAUCCGGUAUGUACAGUUGAGAUUCGUAGGAUGACCUAGUUGUAUAUUCAAAACAUCAAGCCUACCAUUCUGAUACAUCAAAUGAGGCACACAAUCCUCUGGGAUUAUCUGUUGAAAAACAUAGUAAUAACUUCAUAGUUAGCAAUGAUAAUGCACUAGUUUUAGAACUAUGCAAAAUAUGCACGGAUGUCGUAAUAGUAAGAAAUCUUACCAGGGUAUCUCCAUAGUAGUUACCGUAGUUCACCACGUGCACUAGUGGCAGGUAUGGAGGACCAUAAUGAUGAGGAGUUUGAUUGUAGAUAUUGUAAUUCUCAAUAUCAGUACAAAAUCCGACCAGAUGAGUUUUCUCCUUAUAAGUUAACUCAGAGCCAUCGGUGUAAUAGGUUCUGUCUACCAUGUUCCGCACAUUGUUUGAACAAUAAAAAUAAGCUGUCAAUGAAAAUAAGCUGUCAACUAUUUUGAAAUGAACAAUAUAAAUUAGCUAAUAACUAUGUUUGAGAAACUCACAUAGCGGUAGAAUUGGAGGCGUAUCAACAAGGACCCAAAUGUCCAUAUUGUCUUGCUCGAUGUCAGGAUCACCAAGAUCCAUGGUGACAAGCAUACCCUCAUCAAAACCAUACAUCUUGCAAAAUGCUUCCCAAUUUUUGCAACCAAAAUGGGUUACGCUCUCAGAAUUAUACAACUUUACUUCAAAAUCUAUAUCAUGAUGGGUCCUUAGGUGAAUUUUCUUUGUUUCCAUACUUUCAUGGUCUUCAAAACCCAUCCUCUCCAAGACGUAGCGUCUUGCAUGGCAUGGGAUAAGCUAGCCGAAUUGUAAAAGAUGAAAAGUACACGUUGAAAUAGUUGAAGUCGUGCUUAAUUACGAAAAAAUAACACUUGUCGUCGUUGCGUACCGUUUCAACAUCGAACGCCUCCUCCAGCUUAAUACUGAAGCGCCGAUCUUCGUCCAGGUGAGGCCUGUCGCACUGACCUCGGUCGUCGUGGCACCAGUCGCACUCCCCCGGGAGACUUUCGUCGUCCGAGUACGACAUUUCCUAUGUUCAUAUAUAAUUCAAAUAGUAAACAUCUACAAUUAAAUAUAUGUACUAAAAAACCUAAGUUAGAUCAUUAUUAUUCAUCACGGGUUGACUAUCGGUUUGUCGAGUCUUUUCUUGAAAACUCUCAGCUCACGUGGUGUAUACAUUCGACCGUUGGUGAUGGUCGCUCCUCCCUUUGUCCCCGUGUGCAUUACACCAAAAUGUCUAGCUAGCACACGGGAACAAAGGAGAAGCGACCCCCACGACAACAGUCGGGAUUCUUCGUCCUCUCAUAUAUAUAUAUGGUGGAACUCUCCCUCACUGAUUCCUCUCUGACAUUUGCGACCGUCGGUGAUGGUAGCUCCUCCUUUCGUUCUCGAGUGCAUUACACCAAAUUGUCUAGCACACGGGAACGAAGGAGAAGCUACCCCCACGACAACACAGUCGGGAUUCUUCGUCCUCUCAUAUAUGGUGGAGACUCGAUAGACUUACAGUCAACCCGAAAUAUCGUUUAAUUAUCUUUCUAAAAGAGGAUUUGGCUGGUCUCACCUCGAUGUCGGAGGGGGCGGUGACGGGGACGACGGCGGGGAUGAUGGAGGGGCCGGGGGGCUCCUAGAUUUCUGCGAAAACAAAAACCCUAUAAGCUAUCAACUAAUCAUAGUGCUCUCCAAUUUUAGCAUUCAAAGUAGGAUCGGAGUAGUUUUCCACUUUGAGCAUUCAAUAAGCAAAAUCAAAUCACAAAAUAAAGUAGUAUUCAAAUUAGGAUGCAUCCAAUUAUAAGCAAAACUACAUCAUCUCCAUGCGUCCGUACAUCGCUGAAUAUUAUCACUAAUACACCUCGAAUACUAUCAUACAUAUAGCAUCGCUAGUACAGCUAGAAUAGUAGCGCCCGACGGACAUCGGCGCGGGCGGUGGACACCCAAAGGGACGGAACCAUCACAGGAUCAUAGCUCCAGUGAGAUCCCUGAAGAACCUGCCAGGUACUGUCGAACCUGCCCUCCAACGCAACCAUGUAGCGACGGACGUGCUGGUCCUCCUCGCUGACACGGUGACGUACCUCCUCCGCGGUGUCCGGAAGCCUCGGCACCGUCACUGGCCCACGCGAGCGCCACCAAACAAGGAUCGGGUCAACGACGGGCUGGUUCCUCACCAACCUACGCCCACCGGAAGGUAGCACCUCCCAAAACCAGCCCGGCGGAGCCCAGUCCCGGACAUGGCCCCUCUGAUCAAGCCGGCCUCCUCCGCCGAGUCCACGACGAGGAUGCGGGAUAGGCAUCGUCGACGUCGAUGCGGGAAUAAUUGCUUUAACUAAAAAAACAAACUAGUUCUAUUAAUUUCCUUACUAUAAAUAGAAUAAAGUAAUACUUACUAAAAAUAAACUAGCUAGUUUAACUAGUUCUAUUAUUUUUCUAACUAAUUCUAUUAAACACUUUCUAGGUAGUACUUACUAAAAGUUAUCGGGGAGGGGGGUACAUAUAUCGACAACGACAUACCCGAUAAAAAAUAAGAAGAGGAAGAAAACGAAAAAAAGAGGAGAAGAAGAAAGGAAUAGAGGAGGAGAUCGAAGAAAAAAAAGAAAAAAAGAGGAGAAGAAGAAGGAAUAGAGGAGAAGAAGAAGAAAUAGANNNNNNNNNNNNNNNNNNNNNNNNNNNNNNNNNNNNNNNNNNNNNNNNNNNNNNNNNNNNNNNNNNNNNNNNNNNNNNNNNNNNNNNNNNNNNNNNNNNNNNNNNNNNNNNNNNNNNNNNNNNNNNNNNNNNNNNNNNNNNNNNCUUCUUCUCUUCUUCUCUUCUUCUUCUCCUUCUUAUUUUCCUUUUUUCUCUCCUUCUUUUUCUUCUAAAUAUGAACAUACAUAAAUGACUUUGAUCAUACACAAUUUCUAUGAACAAAAAAAAUCAUAAAAAUUCUAUGAACAAAAUUACAACAGAAAAAAUCAUAAAAAUUCUAUGAAAAAAUUGAUAUAUUCUUUGCAUAUGAACAUACAAACAUUUGCAUAUUCAAUAAUAAUAUCACCAAAAAAAUCUAAACUACACAUCUAAAUUACAACAACUAAAUUAUCUAAUUAACUACACAUCCAAAUUAAUACAACUAAAUUACAAAUCUAACUACACAUCCAAAUUAAUACUACACAUACAAAUCUAAUUACACAACUAAAUCUAACUACACAUCCAAAUUAAUACUACACAUACAAAUCUAAUUACAUCUAAAUUAAUACUACACAUACAAAUCUAAUUACAACAAUCUAAUUACAAAUCUAACUACACAUCCAUUACAGGGAGGAGGAGGAGGGGAUCGGGGCGGCGCUCACAGGGUGGCGGAGGGCGACGGCGACCGCGGCGGGCCGGGGGCGUAGGGCGGUGACGGUGACGUACGGGGCGACGGCUCGGGGGCGCGCGGCGGAUGCCGACGGCGACGGNNNNNNNNNNNNNNNNNNNNNNNNNNNNNNNNNNNNNNNNNNNNNNNNNNNNNNNNNNNNNNNNNNNNNNNNNNNNNNNNNNNNNNNNNNNNNNNNNNNNNNNNNNNNNNNNNNNNNNNNNNNNNNNNNNNNNNNNNNNNNNNNNNNNNNNNNNNNNNNNNNNNNNNNNNNNNNNNNNNNNNNNNNNNNNNNNNNNNNNNNNNNNNNNNNNNNNNNNNNNNUGUCUGUUGGCCUAUUGGGCCUUCUGCGGGCCUGAAUCCUGGCCCAGGUUGGGUUUCUAGUCGUAUUCAGGCCGUGGUGGCCCAAUAGGUGGCAGUUUUUUAAAUUUUUUGCAUUAUUUAUUUUCUUUUGUUUUUUGCUUUAUUUUUUAAUUCUUUUUGCUUUUAGGUCAGCAAAAUUAUAAACUGUCUGUUAGUGCCAUUAGUUUUAUAAAACAUAUAAACUUUCUAUUAGUUCCAUUAGUUCUUUAUGAAAAUUCUUUUUGCUGUAUUUAUUUUUUUAUUUUAUUUUUUGCUAUAUUUAUUUUGUUUUAUUUCUACUUACAACAAAAAACUUAUUUAUUUUAUUUUAUUUUGUUUCUAAUUACUUAUUUAUUUUACUUUAUGAUAAUUCUUUCUGCUAUUAAAGUUUCUAUCAAAAAAAGUUCUUUAUGAAAAUUCUUUUUGCUUUUAAUGAUUAAAAAUAAAAAAGAGGCGCAACGCGCGUUGAUUUGCUUCAAGCCUUUCGGAAUAGUGUAGACUGCACUGCACAUAGCUCGAUGCAGUCUACCUUAUUCCUCAAGGCUUGAAGCUAAGCAACGUGAGCAUUGCGCCUCUUCUUCAUCGUCUCUGCACUCAGGGCUUAUAAAUCGCUCCUAGUGCCUCUCAGCUAGCGAGGUGGGACUAAAAAACUGCUUAGCUAGUAAGAAACUCUAGUACCGGUUCGUGCCACGAACAGGUACUAAAGGUGCUCGUGGGGCCACAGCCUCAUUAGUACCAGUUCGUGGCACCAACAGGGACCAAAGGGUGGAAUUGGUCCCGGUUCGUGCCACCAAUGGCAUGUUACAAAACGGACAAUCUCUUUCAAAGUAUCAGGAUUUCAUCCGGAAACUCGUCUGUUACAAAGGGAUUUCAUUUUUUUUAAACUUAUUUGAACUCCUGAAUUUUUGUGUGUUCAAAAUGCACCAUUCAAAGCCACAUCAUCAUUUGUCAAUCCUUUCUGACUUCAUUUGUUAUUUUUCAUGCAUUUACUAAUUAUUUUGAGCUAUAAGACCCUAAAAUUGAAAAGCAUUUCAAAUGAACUCUGAAAAGGUUGAAAGUUGGCAUGAUAUCAUCAUUUCAUCCACAUAGCAUGUGCAAGAACGUUGAGAGGGUUACGGCAUAAACUGGAUGCACUUCGUGUACAAAACGGACAAUCUCUUCCAGACGCAUUUUAUUUUUAUUUAUUUUACUGCUGCUAUUUUUACUUAAUUUAUUAAGGUUUAUUUAUUGUAGUUACUAUAGUUUAUUUUAUUUUAUUUUAUUAAGGUUUAUUUAGUUUUAUUUAUUUUAUUAAGGUUUAUUUAUUUUAUAAAUAUAAAAAAUGAAAAUAGAUGCGCUUAUAGAGAAAAUUCAACCUAAAUUCAUAAUAAAUAUCUAUGAAAUUUACUGUGAAUUUAGGUCAAAUUCCCUGUAUAAGGGCAUCUAUUUUCACUUUAAAAGGCAGAGAGGGACGGGCUUAUAAACUGGUGUGAGCCCCUUCGGUUGGUGAGGUGGGACUAAACACUGGCCGCAACUAGGACCAGCCCUUUAGUCCCGGUUUGUGGUAUGAACCGGGACUAAAGGGUGGUGGGCCAGGAGCGUGGCCCAUUGGUCCCGGUUUGUACCACCAACCGGGACCAAAGGGUCCAUACGAACCGGGACCAAUGCCCACGAGGCCCCGGACGGCCCCCUGGGCUCACGAACCGGGACGAAUGCUCACAUUAGUCCCGGUUCGUGACUGAACCGGGGCUAAUGUGAAAACUGCCCUGUGACCUUUGCCCCGUUUUCUACUAGUGACAUCUCAGCAUUCAAAUGGUUGCUCACAGAAAGCAAGCCGUCCCGAUUUGCACGCUUCCACCUACACACACAAAACCCUAACCCUAACAUAUACCAUAAAUACAAGUGAUGGUAUAUGAUCUCAGUACACCUCUGAAUGAGCCUUACUCAUCAUCACCAUCAACAGCACUUAGGCGCAAAUCCCACAAAGAGAAUAACAGAGAAGCCAAUAGUCAAAGAGCGCAAGAUGACCAGAAACAACAUGAGAAUCGGUAAAAGCAGAAAGAAUCACUAUAUCGGGAGCAAAUCAUGAACUGGUGGACACAAAAACUGGGACAUGUAUAAGUACAUGGCUUAGAUACACUCCCAUCUCAACACUAUAACUGAAUUUCUGGUAGAAUGACCAUGAACAUUUAUAUUUGUGAACGGAGGGAGUAACAGUUAAGAAGGGGAGCCUUGCCGCAGCGAUAAAGCUGUAGCCUUGUAACCUUGAGUUCAUGGGUUCGAGUCCUGGAAACAGCCUCUUGCAGAAAUGUAGGGAAAGGUUGCGUACUAUAGACCCAAAGCGAUCGGACGCAUGUUCUUCCUUGGUACAUGCGUGUGUGUGUGUGUUCCUGAGUUCCACCAUUGUGCGUCUGUGUGUGUGUGUUCUUGAAAAAAACCACAAGAGAGUUGAGAGAGGAGGAAGAAGAGAGGCGCUGCAAGGAGGCGGAGCCAACACCCGGACUGUUGAGGAUAUAACCAUUGGAGUCACCCGCCCAGGAGGGGCCGGGUUACCCAUAAUGGUCAUCACGCGAAGCCCAGUACCAAAUUUGAAGACGGCGGGUCAAUAAUGGGCCUAAGACCCGGAGAUGGCUUAAGGCCCGUAGUGUUAGCCGCCGUUGGGGUGAAACUUGUAGUGUAAGGCAAGAAUAGCUAAGAGUCCGAGCCGGACACUGUUAUGGGCCGGCCGGGACUCUGAGAGCCGCUGGGCGUCAACCUCUCUAUAUAAAGGGACGACCCGGCGGCGGUUUAGGGACAAGGAAGAUCAAGUCGAGAGCCGGGCAUAGCAAUUAAGCUCCCUGGUCAUCAAAACCCUAAUCAAUACCACCUCAACUGGACGUAGGCUUUUACCUUCACCGUAAGGGGCCGAACCAGUAUAACCCUCGUGUUCCUUGUCCCGUUUAACCCCUUUAAGCUUCCUAGCUGCGAUGGCUCCACGAUUAAGUCCUAACACGAGGACAUCUGCCGUGAUAAAUGCACGACAGUUGGCGCCCACCGUGGGGCUGGCGCACGGUGGAUUUGAGUUCUUGAAGGGCAGCUUCGAAGGGCUCAAGGGAUACGCGGUAGGCCGGAUGACUAAGAGUCAUCGCGGCAAGCUCUACAUCGACGAUGCAAACUGGGGCCCCGACGCCGGCUCAAUUGAGUACGGGUACCGGGUCCCCUUCGGCGGAAUUCAUGUCUUCAUUGGCAAGAUUGGUGAGCCGGGCCCUAAGCCGGAUCUCUGCGCCGAUCUCAUGGAGACGGCUCAGCGCGCACGAACCGCCCGGGCUCUGCCUGCCUUGAAGCAUGCUUUCGUGGGAUGUGUCCAUGGUGGAUUCUUUGAAGGGUCUGGAUCUGGUGAUGAGACGGCCGCCGGCUCUGGCGGCGAGUCGUCUACGGAUGAGUCAAACUCGUUGUAUCAACUUCAAGAUGGCAGGCUCAGGAGUUGUUCCGAUGGCGACAGCAUUCCGGACCCCUUUGAGCCGCCGAGCCGGGUUGGAAUCUUCAUGGCCGGCGCACAACCUGUUCAAAACCCCGCCGCCGGGUCAGGAAGCCCUGUGCCCUCGCCGGCUCAGGUGUUGAUGGAUCUCACAGACAUGAUGACAGCCUUGUUGACCGCUACGGUUGCCCCGGCGGAUCAAGUUCAGCAUGACAAGGAGGUAGCACAGUUAAAGUUGGAUCUAGCAAAAGCCAAGGAGGAUCUGGCGGCGGAAGGGAUCAGGAUGGCUGCAGAGAGGGCGGCUCUCGACGCCCAGACUCAGUUGAUCCAGGCACAGUCUUUCCAGCUCACGAUGGAUCAAAACGCGUCCAAUGAGGUCAUGAGAAGGAGGCAUCAAAAGGCCCAAUCUCGACUCCCUCCGGUUUACGAUCCUCGGAACCUCUUCAACACGCCGGGUGCAGGGUCUAGUAACCCGCCAGAGAUCAUAGUGCCCGGGGCUGGGACACCAAUUCAGCCCCAAGUGAUGGGACCUCCCCGGGUGAACCCUGCCCCGCCUCAGUACGUACCAAUACCGCCGGGUCAUUAUGCCAACCCGUUGGAAAACAUGGUCGCCGCGGCGGCGCGGCUGGCGGCUCUCCCAAUUGAUGGUGACUCUCCAACGGCGGUUGAAACCCGCCGGGUCAGAGAACUCCUUCAAACGGCUCUGGCGCAGCAAGAGGCGUAUUCUUAUAGCCGGGACAGGAUUCAUUCAACCCUCGUCCAGGCCGGAGCCCGAGUUAUAGCAGACACAUGGUCUCAGCGACCGGCUCAAGCAACGUCCGACGCCAUGGCUUGCCUCCUGGCCACGGCCCGGCUUAUCCGACGGCUCAUAACGGGGCCUUUCACGCGGCAGACCAAGACAGAGCUCGGCAAGAGGCGGAGCAGGCGCCUCAGUUGACGGCUUACCAGCCACCCCCGGCUUAUCCGACGGCUUCUAUCGAUGCGGGUAUACCUACGAGGACUGGAGGUGUCCCUUGUCUGGUGCCGGCUCUCUGCAAUGAACGUCUGCCCAAGGAUUUCAAAGGGCCUAGGAAGGUGCCUAAUUACACGGCUGAUUUACAACCCGGAGCUUGGAUCGAGAGUUACGAGAUGGCCAUGGAGUUGCUGGAGGUCAGUGAAGCGGCAAUGGACAAAUACUUCACCAUGAUGUUAGAUGGGACUGCCCGCACUUGGUUGAAAGGGCUGCCACCGAAUUCUAUCGGGUCUUGGGCUGAGCUAAAGGCCCGGUUCAUCCAAAACUUCAAAGAUACCUGUAGGCAGUCUAUGUCAAUUGUGGAUUUGACUAACUGUAAGCAGCAGGAGGGUGAGUCUACAACCCACUGGGUUCGCCGGGUCAAAGAGAUAAUACAUUCAUCUGAUAAGAUGGAUGCCGGCUCUGCAGUCUUAAUGUUAGAGCAGAAUUGUCGCUUUGCGCCCCUGAAGAUGAAACUCGGGCGGCUCAAGCGCGAUUGCAACGAUAUGGGUACGCUGAUGGCGGCUCUGGUUAAAUACGCCGACUCUGACAGUACCAAGGAUCCCGCGUCAGAUGAUGAAAGGACAGGGAAGGGAAAACGGAACGACAAUGGCAAGGGCCCCCAGCAUAACCCGGCGAACCAGGGGGGUAACAAGCGUAAGGCUGAUGGCACUAUGGAGUUUGUGGCCAAUGCCAGUUCACAAGGUAACAACCACCGGCGCAAGGGGAGACCGCCUCCCCGCCGGCGGGUCAGGCCCGACGCUUGAGCAGUUGUUGAAUGAGCCUUGUCCAAAGCAUGGCUCUAGGGAAAAGCCGGCCACUCAUAUGUGGAAAGACUGCGCAAUCAUGAAGGCCUUCAAAAAUUCCAAUACUUUCAAUGGCAAUAAUGGCCCGGGCGGCGGCUCAGGCGCCGGCGGCUUUCAUGGCUCGGGCAGCGGCUCAAGUUCCAAUCCUCAGAAUGUUCAAAGGGGCUUUAAUCAGCAGUCCGGCCAGGGUCAUCAACAGCAGCAGGGGGAUACCAGACGAAUCCGAAGCAGCUCAAUGGUGGACAGUAUCAUGUGUUUACCACCAGUCUGUGCAAGCGAGAUCAGAAGCUUCAUAAGAGGGCUGUUAACGCUGUUGAGCCGGCGGUUCCACGCUAUUUAAGAUGGUCUGAGCAGCCUAUUGUGUGGAGUAGGGAAGAUCACCCUCCCCGGGUUGAUAAUCCGGGACACCUGGCCCUGGUGGUGGAUCCUCAGGUGGGGGGAUACAAAUUCACUAAGGUGCUCAUGGAUGGAGGCAGCAGCAUCAACAUCCUCUAUUACGAGACCUUCCGUCGUAUGGGGUUGAUUGAUAAGAACCUCAGCCAGUCCAAUACUGUUUUCCAUGGUGUGGUGCCUGGUAAGUCGGCAUAUCCAGUUGGUAAGAUCGAGCUGGAAGUGGCUUUUGGAGAUGAGCACAACUACAGGGCGGAAAAAUUGACCUUUGAGGUGGUUAAGAUAAGAAGUCCGUAUCAUGCUAUAUUUGGGCGGCCGGCUUACGCCAAGUUUAUGGCACGGCCGUGUUACGUAUAUUUACAGCUCAAGAUGCCGGGUCACAAUGGGACCAUUACGGUUCAUGGCAGCCGAAAGAUAGCCCUGGAGUGUGAGGAAGGUGACGCGGCUUAUGCAAAAUCUGUUUGUGCAACAGAGGAGUUGAAGUUUUACAAGGACAACGUUGACCCGGCAGAUAUGACAUCUCUGAAAAAGCUGACCACGGAGCAUGAGCCGGCGAUGAAAUUUAAGUCAGCUGAUGAGACCAAACUUGUUGACUUUGUUCCAGGUGACUCGUCUCAGCAGUUUAGCAUCAGUGCCAAUCUGGAUCCGAAAUAGGAAAGCACGCUCGUCGAGUUCAUCCGUGAGAACAGGGACAUUUUUGCAUGGAAACCUUCUAACAUGCCAGGUGUACCUAGGGAACUCGCUGAGCACACUCUCAAUAUUGAUCCGAAACCGGUCAGGCAAUUCCUUCGGCGGUUUAAUGAGGAGAGGCGGAAAGCCAUUGGUGAGGAGGUGGCCCGGCUCUUGGCGGCCGAGUUUAUUGUCGAAGUCCUUCAUCCAGAAUGGUUAGCUAACCCGGUGUUCGUGCUCAAGAAGAAUGGCACCUGGCGGAUGUGUGGACUACACGGACUUAAACAAGGCGUGACCGGCUGAUCCUUUUGCUCUCCCCCGUAUUGAUCAAAUCAUUGAUGCUACAGCGGGUUGUGAGCGCUUAAGUUUCUUGGAUGCUUAUUCUGGAUACCAUCAGAUUAAAAUGGCAGUUAAGGACCAGGAGAAGACGGCGUUCAUCACUCCCUUUGGAGCCUUCUGUUAUGUGUCUAUGCCUUUUGGACUCAAGAGUGCACAUGCGACUUACCAGCGUUGUGUGCAGAAUUGUCUUCAUAACCAGAUUGGGCGCAAUGUUCAUGCCUAUGUGGAUGAUAUCAUGGUUAAAUCCAGGGAGAAGGAGACCCUGGUUGAUGACCUUAGAGAAACCUUUGAUAAUCUCCGGGUUUACAAGAUGAUGCUUAACCCGGCCAAGUGUGUUUUUGGUGUUCCUGCAGGCAAGCUCUUGGGUUUCCUGGUUUCUAACAGAGGCAUUGAAGCUAACCCGGAAAAAAUCAAGGCAAUCACCUCUCUGGCUAAGCCGGCGUGUAUAAACGACGUCCAGCGUCUAGCAGGCCGCAUCGCUGCUUUGAGUCGUUUUAUAAGCCGUUUGGGUGAAAAGGCCAUGCCACUGUACCAGUUGAUGAAGAAAACUGAUGAUUUUGUCUGGAAUGAUGCUGCUAAUACUGCUUUCGAGGAUUUGAAGAGACAGCUGGCUGAGCCCCCGGUUCUUGCUGCUCCGGUUGACAAGGAGCCCUUAUUACUGUAUGUAGCUGCUAACGCAUGAGCCGUCAGUGUGGCUGUGGUGGUGGAGCGCAAGGAAGAGGGUAAGGAGUACCCGGUUCAGCGGCCGGUUUACUACGUCAGUGAAGUGCUCAUUGAGUAUAAACAGCGGUAUCCACAUUGGCAGAAGCUUGUUUAUGGUGUGUUCAUGGCAAGCCGGAAGCUUAAGCAUUAUUUCCAGGGUCACCCCAUCACUGUGGUUAGUUUCGCUCCCCUUGGAGAUAUCAUCCAAAACAGAGAAGCUACAGGAAGAGUGGCUAAGUGGGCUAUAGAGCUUGGGCCUCAUGGUCUGAAAUACGUACCAUGCACUGCUGUCAAAUCUCAAGCAUUGGUGGAUUUCAUCAAUGAUUGGACAGAGCUACAGGUGCCGGAAGAAAAGCCGGAUAAUACAUAUUGGACUAUUCACUUCGAUGGGUCCAGGCAAUUGGAGGGCUCGGGGGCUGGAGUUGUAUUAGCUUCCCCUCGAGGUGACAAGUUUUGCUACGUGCUACGGUUGAUGUUUCCCUGUACUAACAAUGCAGCUGAGUACGAGGCCUUGCUCCAUGGUCUUCGGAUGGCUAAGGAGAUGAGUUUGAGCCGGGUGAGGUGCUUUGGCAACUCAGAUUUAGUGGCCCAACAAGUGUCAGGCAAGUGGGAUUCCAAGGACCCUCUCAUGGCGGCUUAUCGCCGUGAAGUUGAUGCCAUUGCUGGACACUUUCAGGGUUACCAAGUAGAGCACAUCGAUCGCAGGAAGAACGAGGCGGCUGAUGCACUAAGUCGGCUGGGCUCUCAGCGAAAGCCGGUGCCGCCUAAUACUUUCUUAGACAUCUUGCAUAACCCUCUGUUAAGUUACCUACAGAGGAAGACUUGGCUGUCCCUGACCCGGAGGCACAGUUGGUGGCGGCUCUUCACAUCACCCCAGACUGGACAAUACCAUAUUUGGCUUACAUGACCCGGGGAGAGUUGCCUGAGGAUGAAACUUUGGCCAGACAAAUAACCCGGUGUCACGACCGGUUUUUCAAUAAAAAUAUUUAUUGAGAGACCAAUCCCUUUUAUGGACCAGUAAAGAAGAAUUCCUUCUCACUGGUAGACAAUAUCUUGGUCACAGAAGAAAAUACCAGGAGUACUGAAUAUAAUACAAGGUUGAGCGGGGACUGCUCAACAAUUUAUUACAAACACGCCGACAAAACAUAACGGCGGAUAGGGUGGCAUGACUACUAACUCACGAUAACAACGGUGGUGGAAAUAUCACAGCGGAGUAGGUGAUAUGACUCCUGAAAACUACAGCUCUUCGAGCGUCGGAGUGAGGCUCGAGGAGACUUAUUGCGGGUGGCGGAAGCGUGUAUAAUACAAGUGACCAAAAUCCGGGAUCGCACAGGACUGACUGGGAGUCAUCUAGGCGUCGGACGCACUAUCAAACUCUUCAUCCAAGAGAUCGACUUCGUCAACAUCUGGCCAAAUCAACAAGCCAGGUGAGUACUAUGAAAGUACUCGCAAGACAGUUUGGACAUAAGAUAUAACAAAUGUAAACAUGAAGCAUAUGAACAGAUUUUCCAGUGCGUUCAGACAUAGAGAUAAUAAAUACUGGGUGCCAAACGAGGGUCUGAAUGACUCCUCGAGAGGAAACUGCAAGAAUAGUAAUACUGGUGCCAAACGAGUGUCUGAAUGACUCCUCGAGAGGAAACUGCAAGAAUAGUAAUACUGGUGCCAAACGAGUGUCUGAAUGACUCCUCAAGAGGAAACUGCAAGAAUAGUAAUACUGGUGCCAAACGAGUGUCUGAAUGACUCCUCGAGAGGAAACUGCAAGAAUAGUAAUACUGGUGCCAAACGAGUGUCUGAAUGACUCCUCGAGAGGAAACUGCAAGAAUAGUAAUACUGGUGCCAAACGAGUGUCUGAAUGACUCCUCGAGAGGAAACUGCAAGAAUAGUAAUGCCGCAGUCGGGCGUCAGGGCGACACCACAUAAAGGGCUUAUAAAAGAAAAUAAAAGACGAACAUGCCACAGUCAGNNNNNNNNNNGAACAGAUUUUCCAGUGCGUUCAGACAUAGAGAUAAUAAAUACUGGGUGCCAAACGAGGGUCUGAAUGACUCCUCGAGAGGAAACUGCAAGAAUAGUAAUACUGGUGCCAAACGAGUGUCUGAAUGACUCCUCGAGAGGAAACUGCAAGAAUAGUAAUACUGGUGCCAAACGAGUGUCUGAAUGACUCCUCGAGAGGAAACUGCAAGAAUAGUAAUACUGGUGCCAAACGAGUGUCUGAAUGACUCCUCGAGAGGAAACUGCAAGAAUAAUAAUACUGGUGCCAAACGAGUGUCUGAAUGACUCCUCGAGAGGAAACUGCAAGAAUAAUAAUGCCGCAGUCGGGCGUCAGGGCGACACCACAUAAAGGGCUUAUAACAGAAAAUAAAAGACAAACAUGGCACAGUCGGACGUCUGAGCGACAUCACAUAAAGGGCUUAUAUUGUGGCUCAAUAAUUCAGUAACUUGAGAACAUAAAUUAUUACAAGCACGAGACAAAUAUAAGGUUAGUCCAUCCGCAGGAAUAACAAUUAAACUGGGUUUACCACUUGAGCUUGUUCACCGGGGGUAGAAAUUCCACGAGGAUAGAUAUGGAUAUACUGGUUACUCUAAUUGAUCAUGGGGACUAACAAUUAAACGGAAGGAUUUGACUCUGCAGAGUUUGUACUUAACCACAGCCAACGGAUUUCAGUAGUCACGGGACUAGUUCCGUUUACGGUGUUUUGGAAGAAACACGUCUAACCAGUACACACCCAUUCAACAUUCCGAAGCCAGGGAUCACCCUCGGCAAUGUUCAAGAAAAACCUUGAGACGGGGAGGCUACAACCUCGCGUAGCAUGGGAUCAAAUUUCUAUACGCGCUCUCUAAGGGGGUGCCCCCCCUCUCGGUCCCAACCGGAAACACCCAUGCCCCCUGACCGGAUGACUGGCUUUAAUCCUGGGCCAAGGUACCAUCAUCCCGGCCCCUCUGUUUGGUGUGUACACGGAAAGAGGUUACCAACUUACUAAACCGCAUCCUGGCAAAUGAAACAUGUGGCAGCACGGAGAGGAAAAGAACGAUAACGUGACUCCGUCCACGUUAACGUCGGAAUUUGUCAGAUGACGGAGGCUGGUAUGCUACAACAGUACCACCUUGCUGCCCUUCAUGUCACCACAUGAUUAGGCCAUCUCUCACCAGAGAUCAUCGUGACUUUGGAACAUGCGGGUUGCCUCACAAGCAAUGAGGUACUCACUGACACUCAUAAGCCACGCACAAACUUUCACGCAAACAUGCAAAACACCCAUCAUAUCAAAGGUUCAAACAUGCUUGCCUGGUUCGGAGAAGUCGGAGUCUAGUUCGGCGAAGUUCGCGGCUCCGUCACCUCCUCCAGAACCUACGGCAAUAACGAAAACGGGCACUAACGUGAAAACCAACGUGUGCAUAAAAACUUCUCCAAAUUUUUUCCAAAUAAAUCCCAUAAAAAACUAGACAAAAUUUUAAGAUUGUCAGAAAAAGAAUCACUCAAAAAUCCCUUUUUAUUAAAAAUUUAUAAAGGUUUCUGUCCAGGGACUCAUCUGUAAUGAAACAGAAAAGUUCCAGGGUUUAAACUGAGAAAACAAAAAACGCUUCGAAUAGAAAUGCGCAAGCCCACAGAGAAAACGUAUUUGCCUGAAGGCGCCAACAGAAAACGUUUCGCGAGGGGAAACAGAAGAGAGGCUGACAGGGGGGUCCCACAUGUCAGGUUUAAACCUCGCCGGCGCCCGAGGGCUGCGGUGGUCGCCGGCGUCGAACCACGGCGAGACAGGGAGAUCGGAGUGUACCAAGAGCUUCAGCGUGUCCUUCCGCGUCGGUGGGUGGUGGACUCGACCGACGGAGAGCACCACGUCGACGGCGACACUUUCUCCGGCGGACGGCGGUUCGGGUGAUGGUGGAGAACUCCGGUGGUGAGCUGCAAACUCCGAAUUGACGCGCGGGUCAGAAGAGUGGAUGCAUAAGGGAGCUACUGGCAAGAGAUGGGAGGCAGAGGCGCACGCACGGGAGCGAAUCGAGCUGGAUCCCGUGGCGGGUCGCGGCGGCCGGAGUCGAGGAAGGAGACCUCCUCGGGGUUCUUCCAGUGGCUUGGCGUGCUCUAGGUGGAGUGCAGGGGUGGGGUGGGUUCGAGUUGAAGCCCGGGGCUUCUAUUUAUAGGCGGAUCGAGGGGGUGGCCGUGAACGGAGAAUCUCCGGCGAGCAAUUACGGCGAUGCAGUGGUCGAGCAGGGGGUUUGAGUGGCCAGGCAGCAUCAGUGGAAGUUACUGGUGUCGUUCCCCCGCUAAUCCCGGCUGGUCUUGGCGUAACGGCGCCGGUCCACGGUGGGGUGGCCGCACGGGCACGUCGGCGGCAGAGAGCGCACUCCGCGCCCAGCGGUUCACGACGAGAGUGGCAGCGCGUUCUGGGGAGUGGAAGGCCACACGGCGACCUCCGGUGGCUUGGGCGGCACUGGGUGGCGCCGUCAGCGCCGCGCCUCUCUCUGGCGGCUGCAAAGCCGCCGCUGGCGUCGGUCACGGGGCGGCGCACCUCCUGCUGCUCGUCGCCGACGUCCGCAAGGUGUCAGGGGAUCGUGCGGUGCAGAGGACAAGGAGGAAAGCGCAGGGCGCACGGCGACACCGCGGCACUGGCGAGAUCGACGUCGGGUUCUGAAGAAAACGACAGUGGGCACUGAACUGUUCUCUGAAUUUUCUGAACCUGAUUUUGACAAUGCCCUGCAGGUGUUCGACAGAAUGAUUAGGCAAGCAGAAAAAUUUUCCUGGGGCUGGGACUUGGUGAGGUGACCACUCAAUGCACCCAGAGGCUGCCUGAUUUUACUCAGAAUUUUUGGAGAAGGAUUUGAAUGAAUUUCAUCAAAUUUGACAAAUCUGGUCCAAACUUGCAGCAAGUGUAGUUUGAAAAAUUUGAACUGAAGACCAGUGGAUCUUCAUGGUUCUUGGUUGAGGGUUCAAAGGACUAGGAAGGGAAAAAGGUUUGGGGGCAAAAGUCAAAGCAGAAAGAGUAGUUCCUUUGUAAACCUCCAAGGGCUAGAAUAGAGGACAAAAAUUGUUUUGAUAAGAUUUAAAUGGAAAAUAAUUAUAUGGGGAGGUUCAGCUUGCUGGUUUUGAUGCAAAUCAUGAUCCAAAGAUGAGGGAAGGUUUAGGAGAGUGGAUUUGUACUAAGGCCAUGGCAAGAGAGAAUUGUUGAAAGUGGCAAAGGAUUAUUCCAAAAGCUAUAGAGUAUUUUCAAAGAAAUUUUCAAAAGACAUUUUUCUCAAGUGAAAAGCAUUUUGGUUUGAGUCCAAAUAAAAAGCAAGGACCUCCAAGACCAAAAACAAGUCUUGGGUGAAUCCAAAUAAAACUCUUGCCAUAAAAAAAAUAUUUUGAGAGGGAGGGUUCUUUUGAAGAAAAAUUUAAAUCACCUCCCUCAAGUCAAAUUUUUUUUUUGAAAAAUCCAAAUAAAAUUUUGGGUGUCACACCCGGCGGUAUAAGUCAAUGAUAGUUAUCAAUGGUGAGCUACAUCGCCGCAGUGUCACCGGAACUUUCCAGCGUUGUGUUUCCCCUGAGGAAGGCCAAGAUAUUUUGCGUGAGAUUCAUGAGGGGAUUGUGGCCAUCAUGCCGGCUCAAAAUCUCUUGUGGCCAAGGCUUUUCGUCAUGGUUUUUAUUGGCUGACGGCUCAUGCUGAUGCGGAAGACUUGGUCAGUAAAUGUGAUGGUUGUCAGAGGUUCUCUCGACGGGCUCAUGUGCCGGCUCAGGAGCUGAGGAUGAUCCCAAUUACUUGGCCAUUUGCGGUCUGGGGGCUUGAUAUGGUUGGGCCUUUUAAAAGGUCCAAGGAUAAGAAGACCCACCUCUUGGUGGCAGUUGACAAGUUCACAAAGUGGGUUGAGGCAGAGCCAGUUAGCAAGUGUGACGCAGCCACAGCGGUUCAGUUCAUGAAAAAGGUGAUAUUUCGCUUUGGUUUCCCACACAACAUUAUAACUGACGAUGGUACCAAUCUGUCUAAGGGCGCCAUGGAGGAGUUUUGUCAACGAGAGCAUAUUCGACUUGAUGUUUCGUCAGUGGCUCAUCCUCAAUCCAAUGGUCAAGCUGAGAGAGCUAAUCAGGAGAUCUUGAAGGGUAUUAAGCCCCGGCUUUUGGUCCCUUUGCAACGGACGCCGGGUUGUUGGGUGGAGGAGUUACCCUCCGUGUUAUGGAGCAUCAAUACUACUCCUAACAGGUCUACGGGUUACACGCCUUUCUUUAUGGUUUAUGGAGCGGAAGCAGUCCUCCCUAGUGACAUCCGUCAUGACUCACCUCGAGUGGCGGCUUAUGUUGAGGCGGAUAAUGAACGGGCGCGCCAAGAUGCUCUGGACUUGUUGGACGAACAGCGUGAUGUCGCAGCAGCUCGCUCGGCGAUUUACCAACAAGACCUGCGCCGUUAUCACAGCCGCCGGGUUAAGUCCCGGGUCUUCCAGGAAGGUGAUCUGGUGCUCCGGCUUGUCCAAGACCAAACAGAUGCACACAAAUUAUCCCCGCCUUGGGAAGGGCCCUUUGUGGUCAGCAAGAACUUGCACAACGGGUCAUACUACCUUAUCGAUGUUCGGGAGCACAAAGAUUCACGCAAGUCGGAGGAAGAGACCCGUCGGCCGUGGAACAUAGCUCAGCUUCGGCCUCAUUACACUUGAGCCACCGGCUCUCAUAGUGUACAUAUUUCUAUAGCCAUGUAUAUAUUAUGAUAAAUAAUAAAGCAGGACCUCUGUCCUUUUCUCCUCCAAAGGUAAACGUGUUAUUAUCAUUACAACAUCACAUGGUCACUUGGAGGUGGAUCCGGCUUAUGAUCGUAUUCGAAUCUAGCCGUAAACAAUAUGAUCACAUGGGGGCUUCCUGUUCAAACAUAGGUCGCACUCGAACCAAAGAGAACAUAGUUGUCGAUACCCACUUGAUUGGCAAAUUGCCGAGCUCAUUGGGGAGUUUUCUUUGAUCAUAUUUGAAUCAUAGCUCAACCCCCUUUGGGAACCGAUGUGGAUCGUAUUUGAAUCAGCGUCGUUAAACAACUCUUAAGGUCAUUUGGGGGCUUCCUGUUCAAACAUGGGUCGUAUUCGAACCAAAGAGAACAUAGCUGUCGGUACCCUCUUGAUCGGCAUCGCCAAAGCCAUUGGGGGCUAUAUGAUCGCAUUCGACUCUUAGCUUAACCCCUUUGGGACGGGUCUCUGGUCGUAUUUGAACCAGAAGCCCCUAAGUUUUGAUCUUCUGACUUACAACAAGCUCUUUUGGUCAUGUCAACAGUGUGCAAGGACGGCUUUUACUUCGCCGGCUUAAUUUUGAUUCACAACGUUGAUAACACAUAGUAAGUAUUCUUGAUGCUGGUAAACCGGAGUUGAGAUCUUCAACUCAUUAUUCGGGUUACAUAAACCGGAAGUAUACUUGAAGGCUUGUAAGUAUGCUAUUAUGGUUACAUCAAAAAAUAUAAUUGAGGGCCAGUCUUUGGUGACUUUUGUUCAUACUCCGGGUUAUAUAUAUAAGGUCUAUGAUUCUCAGUGCGGUAAGCCGCCUGGAGACUUGUGACUUGUUUUCUAUGCAGGAUGGUUAAAGACAGCUGUUCGAACUUAAGGAAAAUAAACUGAUCGAUUAUAACCCGGAGGAAUAAGCAGAAGCAGCUUCAAUGGAGUUAAGCAUUCAACACGUGCACGAUGGCACGACAAAAUUAAGUGUUUGUCCUACUCUAUUACAAGACUCCCCGAGUCCAAAAGGUGAGGCAUUGUUUUAAGGUGCAACCAUGAGCCGCCUAAAAGUCAAGAUGCUUGUUGAGUUGAAGCUUCCGGCUCAUCCCUCUCCGCUCCUCCGGCUGAUUCCAUGACCUGGAAGGUUGACGAUUUCCAGUCAAUGCCGUUCAAGGCUUCAAAUUGAGCCUCGUCGUCAAUUAACCCGGCCGGGUCAACUUCUGGGGCAAAGGUAUGCUUACGAGUCGGAGGGAUCAAGCUGAUGGCUUCAUAACAUGGAGUGGGGAUCCUCUGAUUCUCCGCGUCAUAGCCCGGCUGGUACUUGGUAAGAUCUGUGUCGUUUCCAAUCAUGGUAGCCACCGGGCGCACGCUCUUCACACAGGCGGCGAAGUCUUUCUGGUCAAAGGGAGUGUCGUCUUCCUUCAGGCUGGGGUAUGCAAGAGCAAUGUCGGCCGGGUCUAGCUCCGGGAGAAAAGCCUUGGCCCGGCUCAGUGCAGCUAUAGCUCCGGCUCUUGCAGAGGCCCGUCUUAGCUCUUGGAAGCGCUGAGGAAGAACGGCAAGCCGCCUGAGUACAUCCGCCAGGUGAGUCGGAACCUCGUUGGACAGGGCCACAACGGCUAACGCACGCUGUGACCCGGUAUAGAGUUGCUCCACCAAGGUAUACACGGCCUUCAGCUUGGUCAGAACAUUCUGGUUCAAGUUGAAGCUUCUGGGACCUAUUUAACAAAGUCAGGUAAGCCGGUGGCAGUAGUGAGACUUAUGAGACAUAAAGAAUGAAAACUUGUUAAAGGCUUGCAGAAUGACUUACCGAAGAUUGCGGCGACCAUCUGUGACACAUGGCGCUUUAAGCCGGAGAGUUCGGCGGUUCUCUCCGUCAGAGCAGCCUCUGCUUUUUCGGCCCGGCUCAGCAAGACGGUUUUCUCCUCGGCCCAAGUUUUUCUCUCUGUUUCAAAUUUCUUCUUCAGUUUUUCCUGUUCAGCAACACUGAACUCGAAUUUAGCAUUGGCCUUCCGGGUCUCAGUUUCCUGAGUAUUCAGGCGGUUCUUCAGCUUCAAAUUUUUUGCAGACAGCCUGUACAAAUUCCGGGUUAUAGUAUGAGUAAUUUUUAUGUAACAUUCAAAGUCCCAAGCACUUUGCACGCAAAGACACUUGGCACUUGGGGGCUAAUGUAUGCUGAAAGGUUCUAUUUAUAGUGCCGGUUCAUGAAAGUAAGUCCCAAGUACUUUGCAGGCAAAUGUACUUGGCACUUGGGGGCUAAUGUGUAACGUUGCUCAACUACUUGAUGAAAGUAAGGAAAGAGCCGGGUCAACUAUGCUGUUUAAGCCGGCCCUCGAGUGUUACCAGUCAUAGACUUGGGGGCUGGCAUGGUAAAGAUAACUAUGGAAUAAGCAAGAGAGUCAUACCUCAGAUUUUUGCUGUAUCUGCUUCACCAUAUCAAUCUCCAAGUCCCGGUUGCUGUGCACGUGACCAAUGUAACCAGAAACAAUGUCUCCAAUACUCAAGUUAGCAUAGUCAGUAAUCUCCAGUCUAGCCUUGCGGCGCUCCAGCGCUUCUUCUUUGGCAGAGCAUCUGGCCAGCGCAGUGGGUCUUCCCGGCUCAACGUAUUCAGUCCGGGUAAUCACCACAUCCGGAUCAUCGGCCGAUUGAGCUGAGCUGGGAAUCUCCGGGUUGUCGGAACCCGCCAUGGUUUGUUCUUCAGUUGAGGCGGCGGUGUCCGGAGCUGGUGAAGAUGGCGGCCCGGGAGCAGAAGCUUCUGGUUCAAUCAAUACCGACUCUUCGACCGGGUGAUUCUUCUUCGCUCUCUUGCUGAGCUUUGCUUAAGCACUGAAAGGACAAAAGGUUAGUACAAAAGCAUGAGUAAAGAUAAGCACAACAUAAGAUGAUCAUCAUUACCCAGGUGCGGUCUUGAAAGCCGGCAAGUUAGAUUGCAUAGAGUCACCAGAGGAAGGUGAAGUUUCCUGAUAGUUUGAAUCGGAAGAAUUGAGUGGUUGGCGAAUGAUGCCCGCCAAAUGAUGAAAAGGAUAUAAGUUGGAGAUAACCUCGGUCCGGCGCUUCCUUGAUGCUUCAGGUAAGCCAGAGGAGAGGUCUGCAUCCUUGGUGGCCCGGGUUUGUCUCCGGCUCUCAUGAAUCUGUUGCUUCAAAAGAAAUUGAGGAUCUUGAUAAGCUAAAGGAUGUGAAAAUCUUACUUUCCGGGUUACUCUUCGGACUUUCAGCCUUGGCAAGGGCUCCGAGUCGGAGGAAAUGAUCAGUGUCAAUAAGAUGGUUACUCGCUCCGGUAUCAUCCUGCUAAUGAUCAGUGUCAAUAAGAUGGUUACAAACAGACGAAAAAACAAAAGAAGAGUCUAAAGAAACAAGGGCUACCUCUGACUCGGAGCUAUCAUCCAGCUGAAGCAGCUCUGAGGCGCUAGGCUUACUCCCCUUCUUGCGGGGAGCGGCUCUCCUGGCGGCUUUCUUAGCCUUCCUGGCUUUUUUGGCAGCUCCAUGGUCAUACUUGACCUUCCAGAACGCAUCAUUAGCCUGAAAAAUACGACAAAGAUUUCUUAAGGUUCAGGUGAAAACUAUUAAAAGGGAAAGCAAGGUGCUCAGGUCAGCGGCUUACCGCUGGAGCCGGGUUAGCUUGGCAGAAGGGGCUUAAGCCGGUCCUCCCACAGUCGGCUAAGCUCUCAUUCAGGAGAGACUUGGUCAUGUCGUCCACGACAUCCUCAGGAAGAUCGUGGGAGCUGUGCCGCAAAGGGUCAUCCUUUCGGCCCGUGUAAUCACACAUUAAGCCGGGGCGGCGGCUCAGAGGAAUCACCCGCCAAGAAAUCCAGACCCGGACCAGAUCAAUGCCGUUAAGGCCAUUUCCCAGAAGAGCCUUAAUCUUGUUGAUGGUAGGGAUAAGUGGCUGACGUUCCGCUUGAGUUAGUUUGUCUGGCAGGGGGUGAGUUGGCUCCAGACGCAGGGCACAAAAGCCAGGCAGAGGGCUCUCAUCAGCCGGAGAAGUGUCUUGGCAGUAGAACCAUGUCUGGUUCCAAUCCUUUGGGUGGCUUGGCGGCUCAGCGUAAGGGAAAAGACAAUCUCUCCGUCGUUGAAUAGAGAUUCCGCCAAGCUCCAAGCUAGGCCCGUUGGCGCACUCAUUCUGGCGGUUCUGAUAAAACAAUUCCCUAAACAGCAGUAGGCUGGGCUCUUCUCCAAGAUAUACUUCGCAGAAUACUUGAAAGUUGCAAAUAUUUGACACGGAAUUGGGUCCUAUGUCUUGCGGUCGCAGAUCGAAGAAGUUCAAAAAAUCUCUAAAGAAUUUUGAGCCGGGAGGUGCGAAGCUCCGACUCAUGUGAUCAGCAAAUAUUACCACCUCGCCAUCUCUAGGUUGAGGUCUUUCCUCUGACGGGUCAGGGGCACAGUAAGACAUGACCUCCUUCUUGGGCAGGUAACCCGUCUUCACAAAGUCAGCUAGAGUGUCAUCAGUAACAUUGGAUCUCAUCCAGUAGCACGUGAUGGGUGCCUUGGGAGCCUUGGGUGGCAUUGUGAAAGACGAAAGCCUAUGACAAAAGGAAAUGUCCGGUUCAACUAUAAGCCGGAGGAAGUUUAUAGUUCAAUAUUCAAGAUGGCGGCUUAUGAAGGGGCCUAAUGAUAUAUCGCUAAUUCUUUCGGGUUAUCUAAGCCGCUGUGGGCAUCGUGAGUAAUUCAAGUUGUCUAAAACUUUAUCAUAAAUGAGCCGGAAAUUUUACAGCGUGUGGCCUCUUUUAAGCCGGAGAUGUGAGCCGCCAUAGCUAAACAGAUGCAAUUUUUGGCUAAGUGUGCCACAAACAAGUUUCACAGAUCGCAGUAAUUAUUUUGGAUCAAAUGAUUGACUGGAAAGAAAAUAUUUCUAGACCUAGAAGCUGAUACAGAGAAGUUCAUGAGCUCUAAAGAGAUCUCUUUGCAAGUAAAGGGGACAUGCUACUAUUGAAAAUGGGUGCGAAACCACAACCGCAUGAGUUCUAUACAUUCUCUGGAUCUAAAGGGGCCGUGAAGAAGAAACUGUGAAGAACUGCGAAGAACAGCAAGAACCCUAAUGCGGAUCUAUUCUAUGGAGUGGCAAGGGCUUACGGAUGCUGAUGAGUCGCGGAGGUCGCCGCCGUUUCUCUGGACAGGUCAGGGUGAUGCAGCGGCCUGAGUUGGUGAAAACGAGGAGACCCGCGGCGGCGGCGGUGGAGCUCGAGCGGCAGCACAGUAGCGAGAGGAGGAAGAUGGAGGCGACGAGUGAAGGAAGACUCAUGGGCCGGGCUUAUUUAUAAGGUGUGGUUAAUAAGUGGGUGCGAGAAACGAGGAGGCCACGGCGUGAUUAUCUCGCCACAGAAGCGCCUCGAUUUCCGGGAUGGCCAUUAAAGAAGAAAUCCGUUGGGGAUAUGACAGAAUAAAAAAUUAACUUAAUGGAAGAUGAUGUCACAGCGGUUACCCGGAAUCCAGAAGAUGACGUCACGGCGGGUUAUAGCCUUCACACAAAUGUAAGCCGGAAGAUUUUCUAUCAAAGGAAUUGAAAGAUUGACAUGAGCCGGCUCAAAUCAAUCUGGGGCCUAAUGUUGAGGAUAUAACCAUUGGAGUCACCCGCCCAGGAGGGGCCGGGUUACCCAUAAUGGUCAUCACGCCAAGCCCAGUACCAAACUUAAAGACGGCGGGUCAAUAAUGGGCCUAAGACCCAGAGAUGGCUUAAGGCCCGUAGUGUUAGCCGCCGUUGGGGUGAAACUUGUAGUGUAAGGCAAGAAUAGCUAAGAGUCCGAGCCGGACACUGUUAUGGGCCGGCCGGGACUCUGAGAGCCGCUGGACGUCAACCUCUCUAUAUAAAGGGACGACCCGGCGACGGUUUAGGGACAAGGAAGAUCAAGUCGAGAGCCGAGCAUAGCAAUUAAGCUCCCUGAUCAUCGAAACCCUAAUCAAUACCACCUUAACUGGACGUAGACUUUUACCUUCACCGUAAGGGGCCGAACCAGUAUAACCCUCGUGUUUCUUGUCCCGUUUAACCCCUUUAAGCUUCCUAGCUGCGAUGGCUCCACGAUUAAGUCCUAACACGAGGACAUUUGCCGUGAUAAAUCCACGACACGGACCCUGCGCAAGCAGGAGCUACGUGCACCGGGCUGCCCUUUAGGGAGUAAUAGUUAGCCCGGGCUGCCCUUUAGGGAGUAAUAGUUAGCCGCUAAACUGGUUACUUGCUGUGACACAAGCCAUCCUAGUUUAGCACCAAGUAAAUCAAUUCACGUGUUAGAUAGAAGCUCUCACAGGGAGGUUAUAUCAUCACAGCCAUUCAUGAACAUGACACACAAAAACAGUAAUCUUGACAGCUGAACUUGCCCUAUACAACCCUUAAGCUGAAACCAAUAAAGUAGUAAAGAGAAACCAAAAGUACAAACUGAUAAGUAGAUAAAGAGUACAAUAGAAGAAUGAAAUUAUCAAGUCAAAUAGCAAUUGAAACAAGCAAACUGACCCAACACCAAAUAAGAUAGUUUCAAAACCAUCCAAGGGACAUCAGAAUUAUCAUAGCCAUUCAAGAAAAAGGAAGAACAGAAAAGGAAAAACAAAACAGAAGACAAGAAUUAAGUGUGGCUGGAGUACUGUUCCUAAAACAACAGAACUGGUUGACAUACUGCAAAACCAACAAAAUGGGUAGGAAAAUAACCGAAAAUACAAACUUGCAAAACAGUCCUUUGCAUCCACCAGACCAUGAUUUUACCGAAAGAACUAAUAUCAUAACCAAACUCUCAACAUAUCUUUUAUGUAUUCAUGGAUGUGAGCAAGCAAGAAAUACAAAUUCUCAAAAGGAAAAGAUCAGUUCAAAUUUUGGGAAGGAAACACUCAUUUUUACAAAGAACUUUAUUGGGCGGGAGCCUUAGAGUUGGCCAAUUUAUAAAAGGUAGUCAUGGUAUUUUUUCAACAAGAGAUUAUAAGAGGUAGAUACAGGCUUAUGACAACAUUGUGUUUUUCCACGUAUUCGCUUCUAUAAGCAUUAAAAUGGUCAUCAGCAGAAAGCAAACCGUGCAAAUUGUAUUCCUUUAGGCCAGUUAGUAAUUGCAGUGCUUGACCAAAACAGUAGAAAAGAAGUUGACAACUUGCCGACUUGAACGUACAUCACUACCAAAAGAACCAGUAAAAAUUUAAUAGGGAUAGUAAAGGACAUGGAAUAUGACCAAAGAACUAGCUAUGGACGGGUGGGGAAGUAAAGGAGGACAUGGAAUAUCACCAAAGAACUAGCCAUGGACAGGGGUGCGUGGAAGCUAGCUAUCCAUGUGCCAGAACCAUGAGUUGGUUGCAAGAUCUUAUGGGUUUCAGCUCUAGCCUACCCCAACUUGUUUGGGACUAAAGGCUUUGUUGUUUUUGGAUGUUGGUAGUAAAGGAGGACAUGAACAGAUCAUGUUUCACAUAUUUAACCCCAUGAAAAGGGAGUAAACACAUUCAACCACUACCAAUACUAGGACCACCCGUGAGACGAGCUUGAGCAAAGCCCGAAUGCACCGAACUGGUUCCCUCCAUGGACAACAAAAUCAUGAGAGGUGACCUGCGCGUUAGCCAAUCUUAGUGAGAUGGGCCAGUGCCACAACCACAGCAAUUUAUCAGUCUAAUCAUAAAAAGGCGAUGGGAAUAAAUAAAUGUGUAAACCAUACUGUAUAGGAGGGCACAGUAUUAGUUGAAUUGAGAGGGCUCAGAUUCGCCUUUGAUAGAUAAUACAACCUAGCCCCACCCUCUUCAUUCACCAGAUCAACCCCCACCACUGAAGUCAAGCUCUGCUGGUUAUCACUCAACAGAAUGACCAUCCAAGACACAGCCAUCAAUAUUCGGUCAGAAUGAAAAGGUCACAAAAGAGGGGAGAGCGUGUUUUUUAUACACGCGGCUCCUCGAAUAAUCGAAGACAGGUUUAUUGUCAGCCAAGUUUGAUCACCAUCGCCCCUGAUAAAUAGAUCCCUUUGCGCAUAGCACAGUAUCAGCCUCCCUCCCUCCCUCCCUGGGGAGGAAGGGAGGGAGGCCUCCUAGUUUAACGACCAACUGUCUAACUGGGCAAAGUUGAAUGGAACCAACCUAGGAGAUGUGAAAGCAUCUCUAUCGCAGAAUACAUUGAAAGAUCUCCAACACCAAGGGGUGGAAAUCAUCAUAGCCACUCAGAAAAGAAUAAAACUCAUCAACACACAACGGAAACAAAUAUGCUGUGUUCAGAAGUUAAUUUGGAACACUGCACUGAUGGCCUUAUUACUGGCAAAAGAAAGCAAUUUACAUUUGUUCACUUCAGAAAAAAAGAGUCACUGCAAGCCAAAGAAGAACAGGAUAACAUAAACUUUCCAAAUUGUUCACUUCAGAAAGAAGGAGUAACUACAAGCCUAAUAAAAACAGGAUGACAUAAACUUCCCGUUUUGAAACAGAAGAAAAGCAUAAGUUCGCAAAAAGGGAUGCGUAUAAUUCGAACAGAAAACAGGAAAUGCAGCUUGCCCGUUUAUCCCAUGAAAAAUGGGGUUCUAAUGCUAAAUAGUCAGACAUGGAACAUUGAAUAGUGGCAAUACUUCCAACAUGAAACUGAACACCGGUCAGUCCAACCUCUGGCAAAAUGAAAGCAAAACCAAAGCAAGAAUACUGAAUAAAUUUUAAAAUGUAUAAUGAGAAGGGGUCCAACCGCCAACAUAUAAAUCCCAAAUGACCCAAGCAAAAGCUCCAGGAGAACAUUCAGUUAUGAUAAGACAAAAUAUAAGAGCCUUUUUAAUAAAUACACUUUUGCAGUUGAUAAAUUUACUUGACGCUCAUUUAGAAUCCGUGAAAGGGAUCUGUAACACGCUAAUGCAUCAGAAAUGUGGCAGUUAAUAUUGACAGCAGGAGCUAAAGAAUAGACUAAUUACCAAUGAACUAAAUAGCAUAGAGAAUCAUAACAAAAGGUCUGCUCUGACCUAAACAAAUACGAAGGUAAUCUGAGCUUCAAUUUACAAAAAACAGAGACAUAACAGCAAUCGUUAACCAGAUGAAUAGAACUGUCAAUAGCUACAAGCAUUGGAGGAAAAAAAGGGCAAUCGUUUGACUCAUAUAUAGUAUGUACAACUAGAAAGGCAAAAACGAUGCCAACUAGAAACCAACCCAAGUAAAGCUAGGGUGGUUUGGUUCGUCACCAAGAGAAGAUAUCAAUCCAGAUCCGGAUCUCACAUCAACACAAUAGAGAGGAAUAGAAAAUUAAAAACAAUGUAUAGUGGAGAAGAAAAAACUGAGUAUUUGUAGCGUAGCAAGAGGGCUCAGUUUUGACUUUCAUCUUGAAGCCCAACACUCAUGUCUCUUGCUGCAUAACCUAUCCAUCGCGAUGUAAUUUAACUGCCCUGGUUAUCACUCAUCAGAAUGACCAUCCGAGGCGCAGAACAUCCAACGUUAGCCAUGAAUUGAACAGGCUGCAAGAGAAGUAAGCGUCAGAGCUCUUAAGGGCAUCUCCAACGCCGGCACCCAUUUGGGGCCUAUUUAGUACCCACAUGCCAUGGCUGUCUUGAUUGCUCAACACAUAAUUAUUUCAGCCGCAGGCAUCAUCAUCGCCCUGUUUUUUUUAUAAAAAAAAGGUCAAACCCCCAAGCAACAUGACCAUAACAUCCAUCCAUCAAUCCAUCAUCCAUCCAUCCAUUCAUCCAUCAGACUAGCCAUAGCGGUGAGUAACUUAGACAAUCUCAGGAGCUGCUCAUACCUGGCCUUGACCGACCAAACCUCCCGGUGUGGACGACGCAUCAGACAACGCCUUACGGUUCCCAGCCACGCCACAACCAAAUCCAAGGCAAUGGACUGGCAGCGGCUGGCAGCACCGUAGAGACCGGGAACUGACAUGGCAGCCACCCGGACGAUGGGUCAGCGAGUCGGCAAUGAAAGCUUGACUGAUUUGUUUAAGGGAGAGAGAGAGAGAGAGAGAGAGAGAGAGAGAGAGAAAGGGGAUACAAGGAUCGUAAGCAAAAGAGGGCUCAGUUUUGCAUUUCAUCUUCAAACCCAACACUCACAUCUCUUGCUGCAUAAUCUACCCAUCACAAUGUAAGAGAACUGCCCUGGUUAUCACUCAUCAGAAUGACCGUCCAAGGUGCAGAACAUCCAACAUUACCGAUGAAUUGAACAGGCUGCAAGGGAGGUAAGGGUGGGCUCUAAUUUAGUACCCACGGGCCACAGCUGUCUUGAUUGCUCAAGACAUGCUUAUUUCAGCCACAGUCAUCAUCAUUGCCCCUCAUUUACCCAAAAGGAGGUUGUACCCCCAGCCUUUGCCAACCAAGCAAGAUGACCCUGAUAUCCAUACAUACAUACUCCCUCUGUAAAGAAAUAUAAGAGCGCUUAGAUCAUACUCCCUUCGUUUUUAAAUAUAAGCCUUUAUAGAGAUUCCAAUAUGGACUACAUACGGAGCAAAAUGAGUGAAUUUACAUGAAUGCACAUGUCCAUCCAUCCAUCCUCAUCAGCUACUCAUGCCUGGCGGUUCCCAGCCCACGUGAAUGCACAUGACCUACCAACCAAACCUGAUGACGCCCCAGAUAACACCUUACGGUUCCCAGCCCACGCCACAGCCAAAUCCAAGGCAAUGGAACGGCAGAGGCUGGCAGCACCGCAGCAGUGAACUGACACGGGCACCACCCAGACGAUUGGCCAGCGAGUUGGCAAUGAGAGCUCGACUGAUUUGGCUUAGGGUUAGGUACAUAGAGGGGUGGGGGUAUAUGUAGCAUAGCAAAAGAGGCUCAGUUUUGUCUUCCAUCUUCAAGCCCGACCCUCACCAUCUCUUGCUGCAUAAUCUACCCAUCACGAUGCAAGAGAACUGCCAUGGUUAUCACUCAACAGAAUGACCAUCUGAGGCACAAAGCAUCCAACAUCAGCGAUGAAUUGGACAGGCUGCAAGAGAGGCAAGGGUGGGCUCUAAGGCCAACUCCAACACAGACACCGAUUUUUUCAGCUCAGUUUAGUACCACCAUGCCACGGAUGUCUUGAUUGCUCAAGACAUGAUUAUUUCAGCCAUCAUCAUCAUCAUUGCCCCUCUUUUUUUUCUCCAAAAAGGAGGUUCGACACCCAUCCGGGCUGUGCACACCAAGCAACAUGACCAUGAUAUCCAUACAUACAUACUCCCUCCAUUCCAAAAUGUACUCCCUCCGUCCCAAAAUAGGAGUCGUGGUUUUAGUUCACGACACAUGAAUGCAUCCAUCCAUCCUGCUCAGGAGCUGCUCAUGCCUGGCCUCGACCGACCAAACCUCCCGGCUCAAACGACGCAUCAGACAACAGAGCACGGUUCCGGCCCACGCCACAACCGAAUACAAGGCAAUGGAACGGCGGUGGCUGGCGGCUCCGUAGCAGUGUGGAACUGAUGCAGCUGCCACCGGGACGAUGGUCGAUGGGUCAGCGAUCAGGCAACGAGAGCUCGCCUGAUUGGGUUUCGGGUUAGGGUUUACUGGUGUGAACUCGGCGCGCGCGAGCGCACACAGAGCGAGCGAGUGUGAGUCAGAGAGAGAGAGAUGGGGAUAGUAUACCGAAUCCAAAGCAACAUGAUUAUGCCGAGUCCAUCGACGGCGGCUCAGAUCCCGCGGCGGCCCGACCAAGCCCUCGACCGGAG
This 375638-nucleotide long non-coding RNA is filed under the name Triticum aestivum (bread wheat). RNAcentral's name for it is "long non-coding RNA (TAES_LNC018524)". The stretch from base 12088 to 12143 matches the Rfam family "tRNA", at positions 10 to 63 of the family's 71-position model. Lineage: Eukaryota; Viridiplantae; Streptophyta; Magnoliopsida; Poales; Poaceae. The record is from RNAcentral.